RNAcentral lists this long non-coding RNA (459886 nucleotides) under Coffea arabica (coffee). RNAcentral describes it as "long non-coding RNA (CARA_LNC000104)". The stretch from base 391892 to 391998 matches the Rfam family "Plant small nucleolar RNA R71". Lineage: Eukaryota; Viridiplantae; Streptophyta; Magnoliopsida; Gentianales; Rubiaceae. The record is from RNAcentral.
CCUGACGUUGGGAACAAUGCUACAAUGUUUUGAUUGGGAAAGAGUAGGGCCUCAAUUGGUGGAUUUAGAAGAAAAAUCUGGUAUGACUUUGGACAAGGCCAAGCCUUUGGAAGCAUUGUUCAGGCCACGCUCAUCCAUGAUUGAAUUGGUUUCUCAGCUUUGACUAAAGAACAUGACUGGUGGCUUUUGAAGAUUGUAUCAUAAUAAUAUCUGAAAUACUUAAAGCUCAAACUACAAAGGUGCACCUAUUGCAAAGUGUGAAAAAAAGUGAAAAUAAGAGGAAGGAGAAUAUAAGCAUGAAAAUCUUUCAGUCUAUGCAGUUAUUAAAGAUUAAAUAGGCUUUGAACUAAACCGUGUUUGGCUUUUUCUUUUUGCUUUUUAAUAUUGGUCUUUUAAAUUCACUGUAAGUGCAUCUACUGGAGGUCUUUGGUUUUCCACAUUUGUAAUUAUAGAAAAUCUUCAACCUUAACUGGGUUUCUUUGUUGGUACAUAAAGUGGUUAUGGGGUUUCAACAAAACAAGCAAAAAGAAUGUCGUUUGAGUAGAGAUGUCAAUCACAACCCAAUUAUAUUGAUUCGUCCAAAUCCGCCCACCAAUGAAUCGCUCAAACUCACCCACUAAUUUUGAAUGAAUUUAAAUGAGUACCCAAUUAAGUCCAUUUAAUUAAUGAAUGGUGAGUUGACUCGAUUCAUCCAUUUGUAUCCAUUUAAAAAUAAUUAGACAUUUAAACUCAACUUUUAAUUAGUGUUAAGCAAAUAAAUUUGAAUUUCUUAUCAAUUUAAUAAUAAUAAAUACCGUUAUUUCUUAUCAAAUAGCAUGCAAAAAAAAGUAGAAUUGUAAGUGACUCAUAAAUAGAUAAUUGGGUAUAUCUAUACUCAUUUAUUAAAUGGGCAUAAAUGAAUUGACUUAAUUAUACCCAUUACUUAAUUAUGACUGUCCAAACCCACCCAAAUCACUCAUUUUAGCACCUCUACUCAUGAGUAGCGAGGUUAUCGAGCUAACUCGAACCCAAUUAUGGGUAACUCGAGCUAGACAUCAAAGAAAAUUAGCUAAGCUCAAAAUCAAGUUUAAGUUCGACAGUGAAUUUCCUUUCUUUGUCAUAACUCAGUGCAUGACCAUCUUCAAUUUAUCCACCAAAACCGUUGCUAAGUUAGCUUAAGAACUCUUUUAUUGGUAUCAGUGUCUUUUAUUUCACAUUCACUCAAAACUUUUACAUGUUUAACUUCCUUUGGCAUACUUUUUUCUUUGUCAAAAUUUUGUUGGCGGUGUAUAAAGCUUUCAUGUUUUUCAUAUAUCUGUUUGAUGUAUUAGACAUGCAUAAUUUUGAUGUUGCAAGUAAAUUUAUGAAGAUACAACUCUUUUCGUGAGUUACAGGUGCACAUUCACCAUUUCGAAUCCCAGAUUAUUAGAUUUUUUUUUUGUUUUGCAUUUUUUUGAAUUUUCAAUUUAUUUGUGAACUUUUCAAAUUUUUGCAAAAAUUUGUUCUUUUAGAAUGAUGACAGGUAUUUUAGAAGAUGUCUGUAGCUAAUUAUAAGUUCAAUUUAUCCACAGUCUCGUGAACGUUGAAGGACCAAUACCUGUUAAGAUCGCAAAACUAAUUUUGGAGUCUCCAGAACACAUAAUUCUUAAAGAAUAGGGUUAAUUCCACUUUGUCUCCCCAAACUUUGGACGAUUACCCACUUUAGUCCUUAAACUUCAAAAUGGGACACUUAAGUUCCUAAACUUAUAAAUACCUCCCACUUAAGUCCCAAAACUUAUAAAAUGGGACACUUAAAUCCCUAAACCCUUAUAAAAUGGGACACUUCGACCACCAACGGCAUUCAGGAUUUGUUAACAAUUUUCCUUAAAUGGAAUGUAUUUAUAAGUUUAGGGACUUAAGUGUCCCAUUUUGAAAUUUAGGGACUGAAGUGGGUAAUCGUCCAAAGUUUGGGGGGACAAAGUGGUAUUAACCCGAAAGAAUAUUCAAGCCAUUUUUUUUUCAGGGUUCGUUGUCACACUCUAAUUUUUCAACUCUACAUCAGUUAAUCAAAUGACUUCAAUUUAUUAGUGCCACUGAUUUCAAGGUCAAAUUUGCUUAAAAUUUUCAGUUUUGCAAGUCCCUGGAAACUUUUAUCAUCUUCAUCUCAAGUAUCCCUGUAUUCUUGCUUUUAUUAUUCACCCAUGUAAUCUUGAUUCUAAAUGCACAUAUGCCUCAUUGCUAAAGUUUUUAUUCAAUGUUACUUGAUAAUAACUCAUAAGUAUGCCCUUAUGAAACAGCAACAAGGAAGAUCUUGAAUGCGCCUAUUCGCAACCCAGGAAUAAAUUAACCUAAGUACAUACCAGUAACAUGGAGAAUCAAAUCAUGGUUUCACAUAAAAUAUGAUGGACCAAACCUUUUUUCACAUAUCAAAAUAAAAAAAUAUAACUUGAAGCAACUUGACAUAAGUUACCCUGGAAUGAUAAUGCUAUAAGGGGAGGGUUGGGUUGGGUGGUACAGGGGGAGGGAGUGUAAGCAAGAGGUCUCGGGUUGAGUUCUACUGUUUACACUAAAAAAAAAACAAUAAUAUCUGCUACAUAAACUUCUCAAUUAUGUCUGUUUUUUUUUUUUUUUAACUUCUCAUUUAUGUCUAACUGCUUCUAAAAAAUGUCAGUGUCAAUAUAAUCAUUAAGAAGAAUAAUAUUGGACUGCAAAAGUGGACUUUAAGAGUAGGUUCAAGAAAAAAGGAGACUGUGCAAUUAAAUGGCAAACAUCACUUUGAUAACAAUACUUGUUUACUUAAGAAGAAUUGUAUAAAAGAAUAAACGCAAAGACUAAGAUUGCAAUUUUUUUUAAAUUUUUUUUUAAAUAUAAGAAUCACCUAUUAAGCUCUAUAAUUAAUAUUAAAUCUAAAAAGUCAAUUAUUUGGCCUUUAAAACUGCGUUCACAAACUUUUUAUCUCUUCAUAUUCAGAUUUUAUAUAAUGUUUUAGCAAAAUCAAUACGAACACAUGAGAAAACUAUCUCUAAAAGGCUAAGGCCGUAAAAUAAAGAGAAUGACCAAGGCAAACAAAGAGCAAUAAUGAGCAAAAUAUGACACGAAAUAUUUGUCUCUAAAAAAGGACAAGCUCAGUGCUAAGAAAGGUAUAAAAGUUUCCUAGAAAAAGAAGCUUAGAACCAUACAAUUUUAACUAACCUAUUUCACAUUUGAAGUUAGAAUAAUUAAAAAUUCAAUGGACCGAACUAUUGUCUUGAAAUAAUAUGAUGAGUUUUGCAAUUCUACGGUAGAUUCAUAAAAGUGCUUAAGAAACACGUGGGAUAACACUGUUGAGAAUGAUGUGUUCACUGAAUAACGAAAUAUGAUUUCAUCACAACUCCAAAUAUUAUCAUAGAAAUUUAUAAGUAAGAUAAUUAAGUAGUAUUAUCUUAAAGCUAAAGGGAGAAAUUUUGUUUCAAUGUCGACAAAUGCAACGUGCAUUUUCUUAGUCUAUUAUUAAAAACUUGUCCAAGGAUUCUUCCAUUUUUAUAAUAGGUGUUAUCUCAUUUUAUAUGCUAAAAUUACUAAAUUAAUUUUGAGAGGUCGUUAAGUCUAUUCUAUAUCUAAGGUACCCCUUCAGAUGAUAAACUAUUUAGGGGGAAAAAACUGUGAAUUUGAGCAUGCCUAAAAGAAUUAAGAAAUAAAUUUACAAUAAGGAAAGAUAGACUUAUUAUCAUUAGUGGUGACUGAAAGCAUUUUUUGUUUGAGUGAGAAUGGCCCCUAUUUUUUAUUAGAUAAAAAAUUUAAAGAAUUAAAGAUGCUCAUAAAAUAAGAUGAAACAAUAAGGGAAGGAAAUAAAUUAAUCCACUAAGGUUGUAGGCGAGGAACCUUAAAACUUCCUACAAAGAUAUUCUAGAAUAAGUCUGAAAAUAAUAGAAACAAAGUUGGUUUACAUUAAUAGCUUGAACAACACAAGAAAAUUAUUAAAAAAUUUUAGUAGUUUGCCAUAGAACACAAACCGCCUUAUGAAUUAUACUUGUUUGACAAUAUCAAAACUCUUUCCACAAAGCACUUAAACACCACAUACAUCAUCACACUUGAGCUCGAAUCCAGCUCAAAUCUCGGAUCGUUUACACCCAAUACUUGAGUGGUUGAGUGAUCUAGAAGUGGGCCGGAUUUUUGAAACUGAAAAAAAAAUAUUUUUAUAUUUGUAAUGAUUUGACAAUUUAGAUUGAAUCAUAUAAGUCCAGAUUUUGGAUGUAUUGGAUGGUACGGUGAAGCGAACGUAGAACAAGAUUUUAAAAGAAAAGGUCCUUAGUUAAACUGCAAAUUAACUCAUGUGAUUAGCUCGUGAUUGUCCACACGGAGGAUCGAAAGUGGUAAGAGAUGACACUAAAGUAUCAAAUUUAUGUUGUCCCGUACUAUUUGGAUUUCAUUGAGGUUUAUGGAGUAAUGUGAAAUCUCAGCGUACAAAAAGGGGCCGCAAUCAAGAAUAUUUUGACUGAUCAAGCGCUUGCAUUUUGUCUUCUUCCUAUUUUUUGUUUCUAAAAUGCCAUCCUAAGGUGCAUUACCAAAUAAAGGCCCACCUGGCAAAUAAGUUUUUUGGAUGUUUGUUUAAAAUUUUACUGUAAUUUACUGUCAAAGUUGUAGAAAAAAUUUUUGAAGUAUGUAAAUUUUUUGAUAUUUUGAUAUGUAUAGUUUAAAAGUUUUAAGAAAUUUUUUGAGAUUAAUAUAGUUAAAAUAAUUAAAAAACUUGUAACAAACAAAUUUGACAAAAAACUUGCUCGCCAAACAUGCCCAAAAUUUGCUUUGACCACUUUGCAGAUCAAAAUAGUCUUCAGAUUUGUAAACAUUAUUAGUUCAAAGAAUUACUCUAGAGUGCAAUUUAGAAAUCCAUUGUAAGCGAGAACAAGCCAUGUAACAAGAUGUCAAACAAACUAAGAAGAAUUUUUUUCAACAAAAGUCCUUUAUUCAAUCUUUAAAAUAUCCUUUUCAUUUGUUCCAGUUGAAAAGAAUUACUCCACGAUCAAUUUUUUACAAAAGUCCUGUUGAAUAUCUGUUGGCGCAUACUAAAUUUAAAAUUGUAUUGUUAUGUUAGGCUUUACUUUCAUUUUGACAAUAAAUGCCUUGUUGUUUUGCCUGAUUAUACUGCAGGAUUACACACUUCAGCUCUGACCAUGGAGUGGUUUAUGUCCCUUAUGCUAAGCCACCUUGAGGUAUUGGAGAAGGCAAGAAAUGAAAUAGACAACAAUGCCACACAAUCAGGGCAACUGAUUGAGGAUUCAGAUCUCUCCAAAUUGCGUGUUUAUGUUGAAUAAUUAAAGAAACAGUCGGACUUUUUCCGGCAGCACCAACGCUUGUGCCUCAUUAUUCAUUUGGGGAUUGCAGUAUAGGAGGCUUUAAAAUUCCUAAAAGGCAAACUUCGUUAGUAAAUACUUGGGUUAUUCAUAAAGACCCUAAUGUCUGGGAAGAACCAAUCAAGUUUAAGCCAGAAAGCCAGAAAUUCGAGGGAUGUGAAGAAGGGUUCAAAUUUCUUCCAUUUGGAAAAGGUAGGAGGGCUUGUCCAGGGACAGCCUUGAGCAGGAGAUUGAUUAACCGGUCAUUAGGAACAAUGCUACAAAGUUUUGAUUGGGAAAGACUGGGUCCUCGGUUGUUUGGAUUUGGAAGAAAAAUCUGGUUUUGACUUUGGGCAAGGGCAAGUCUUUGGAAGCAUUGCGCACAAGCCAGCUCAUCCAUGAUUGAUAAUCAUUUCGCAGCUCCGAGUUAGCUUCCCAAGGUAACUAAAGAAACAUUUAUUUAGUUGUUUAUGAAGAUUGAAUCACGAUAAGAUCGAAAAUCGAUGCGCCCAACGCUUCACGAAAAAAAAAAAAAAAAAGAUGCGCUCAAACGAAAAAGGGGCACCCAAUGCUAAGCGUGUGCAACAGUAAAAAUGAGAGCAAAGAAAUAUAAGCAUGAAUAGUUUUCAGUCCACGCACUUAUGGAUUAAAUAAAAACAUUAUAGAUAAAUAGGCUUUGAAUAAAACUAUAUCUGGUUUUCUUUCAUUCUUUUUUAUUUUUUCGGCCUUCUGAAAUUACUGCAAAUAUCAUCUAUUAGUUCUUUGGUUUCCAAAUUUGUGAUAUAGAACUCCCAUAGUUCAAUAACCUUAAAUGAUUUUCUGUUGGUAGUCAUAAACUGGUUUUGGGGCGUUUUACAACACAAGCAACUGAAAAUACAUACCGCAUGUGUAGGAUGCUAUCAAGUUGAGUCAAACCCAUAUGCACAAGGUUCUUGAGUUCGAGUUCAAAAAAAAAUUAGUUAAACUUGAAUUCGAACUCAAGUUCAACAAAUAUCAUAUAUUAGUGCUCAAUCUUGAUUAAAGAAAAAUAUGAGGAGCUCAAUUAGCUUGUUUAAGCAAAUUGAGCUCGGCAAAAUAAAAUUGUAAUUUGUCCUAAAAAAACUAUUAUGUAGAUAAUUUUACAUUUAUAUUAAAAACAUGUACACGGACACACAGAUUCACACAUAUAUAUUCAACAAGCUUGAUGAAAUUUUGAGUAGUAUUAUGUGGAGAUCUUGAUGUGUUAAGUUCAUGAGUAAAGAAUUGUAUCCCACAUUGAUUUCAACGAAAGAGAAAGAGUCCUUAAUAUGUUAGUAAGGGUUUAGAAUCUAAUAGUUUAAGUUUUUGGGUUAGCGUUCGAUUUCUGACUUAUAUUAUUGGGUAUCUUUGGUGAGCUCUCACGAGUGUUUCUCCCUAAUAAGUUGUAUCAGAGUUUCUAGUUACGGAACUAGACUACUUAUAGGCAAGUCGACUCUUCUUGAAUUUGGACCAGUGAAAUUCUCAUCUUGGUGGUGGAUCAAAGUACCAAGGAAUUUGGUUGAUGUUAGACCAGAUGCACUAGGAGUUUGGUAGGGGAUCUAGUUGGUGUUAGAUCAAGGAGUUAAGGGUUGGUAGGGUCUAAGAUCCGAUUUGGAUGUUGAAGAAGAGUCGGUCCAUGAGUUGAGAAGAGGUGACCUUGAGUGUUAAGGUGCAAGGUGCACUAAGAGUUUGGUAGGGGAUCCAGUUGUUGUUAGGCCAAGAUGCUAAGGGUUGGUAGAGUUCGAUAUUCGAUUUGGAUGUCAAAGAAGUGUAGGUCCAUGAGUUGAGAAGAGGUGACCUUGAGUGUUAAGGUGAGUUUUUAUUAAGUAUUAAAGUGAACUCAGUUGAACUUCUAAACUUGGAUUCAAUAUAAGUGCCACGGGAUUUGAUUGAUGCUGGACCAAGUGCGUCAAGAGUUUGGAAGGGAGUUCAGUUGGUAUUAGACUAAGGAGGUAAGGGUUGGCAGGGGGUUCAAGAUCCAGUUUGGAUGUUAAAAAAGAAUGGGUCCAAGAGUUGAAAAGAUGUGAUUUUGAAUGUUCAGAUGAGUUUGCACUGAGUAUUAAAGUUUCGAAAAAGAACUUGUAAACUUGUAUUUAAUGUGAAUGCCAAGGGAUUUGGGUUGUGUUGGACUAGGUGCACUAGGUGUUCCGUAAGGGGUUUAGCUAGUGUUAAACCAAGGAGCUAAAGAUUGAUUGGGGUUCGAGAUCUAGUUUGGAUGUUGAAGAAGAAUGAGUCCACGAGUUGAAAAGAGGUGACGUUGAAUGUUAACGUGAGCUUAUAUUGUGUAUUAAAGUGGAAUCAAAAUAGAUCUUGUAAACAUGGAUUCAAUGUGAGUAUCAAGGAAUUUGGUUGGUGUUGGACCAAGUUUAGGGGGGGUCCGAGAUCCAGUUUGAAUGUUGAAAAAGAGUAGGUCCAUGUGUUGAGAAGAGGUCACCUUGAUUGUUAAGGUGAGUGUACAUUGAGUACUAAAAUGGGUCAAAGAAGAGUUUGUAAAUUUGGGUUCAAUGUAAGGAGCUACUCAUUAAGGAAAAAAUUAUUAGGUUCACGAGUAAAGAAUUUUGUUUGACAUUGGUUUGAAAGAUGGAGAAAGAGUUCUUAAUAUAACUUUAUGAGUAAAGAAUUGUGUCUAAUAUUGGUUGAAAGAUAGAAAAAAAGUCCUUAAUAUAUAAGUAAGGACCCAAAAUCUAGUAGAUUAAACUUUUAGGUUAACGUUAGAUUCCUAACUUGUAUAUUAGGUCUCUUUGAUGAGGUCUCACAACAAACUUUCAAGUAGUAUUAUGUGGAGAUCAAACUCGAUUUAUCGAUGAACUUGAACUACUUGAAUUCGACUUGACUUUUGAAUUUCACUGAACAUGUUUGAGCCGUUGACUGAGCUGCCUGAUCUAUUGCCUGCUUUUUUUAAAAAAAAAAUCCUAACAAAAAGUCAAGACCUCUAAUUUUUGGACCCUCAAUUUUAACCACUACACUAAACCAAGGCAUCCUUGACCUUUUUUUCUAAUUAUUUUCCUAUCAAAGGAAGGGUAGAAUUUAAGAAACGAGAAAGAAGCAGGUGACUAGAAUUUAGAACCUCUAACUCUUGGGGCCUCAACCCACUUGGCAUUCCAUAAGCUCUCCAUCAAAUACGGCCCCUUGAUUUCCCUUUAUUUUGGGACCCGCCGCAUCCUUGUCGUGUCAUCUCCAUCACUUGCAAAGCAAUGCUUCACCAAGAAUAAUGAUAUUGCCUUUUGCAAACCGGCCUGAUUCCAUUUCCGCUCAGCACCUUGGCUAUAACUACACUAGCCUUGCGUUUUCUCCAUAUGGAGAUCACUGGCGUAAUCUCCGCCGUCUAACGGCCAUCCAUAUAUUUUCUUCACUUACUGUCCAACAAUAUUCAUCAAUCUGGAGAGAUGAACUACGUUUUGUUGUCAAAAAACUGUUCUCAAGUAGCUCUGAUGAGAAAACAUGGAAAGUUGCAGACCUGAACUCUUUGUUCUUGGAAUUGCUUUUCAAUGUGGUAAUGAAAAUGGUUGCAGGAAAAAAAUGGCCAUCCGAACAAUGAGGGGAUAUAUUUACACCAAGAUCGUUCUUGGAAAUUUGUGUGUGUUCCAAUUUUAAGGUGGAUCGGUUUUGGAUGGCUGGAGAAGAGUAUGAUUUACUUGCACAGGAAAAGAGACAAAGUUCCCUAGGGUCUGAUUGAUAAAAUUCGAAAAAAGGAAGGUAAAGAUGUUGCAUGUUCAACCAAGAGAAAAGAUAUCAUUCAAGCAUUGAUGUCUCUGCAAGAAGCUGAUCCUGAAUACUACACCGAUGAAUGAAUGUAAGCCCCUUUUCAUUUCAAAAAUUUCAAUUAGAAUUACCCUCAGUUAUGUUUUUUAAGCAAGAUGAUUCACGGCGUGAUAAAUCUUGUGCCUUGUAACCACAUCCAAGGUCAUAUAUCACUUUCCAGCCUGUACUGUCUGUCAUUGCAGUUGCAGGUUCAACCGCAGACAGCAAUUUGUGGUUUCAAUCAGUAGCUAAUGUGGCCGGACAUAGGCUGCUGAUCCCAAAUGUUCUUUUAUUUCAUUUGCUAAAUUUGAUAAUCAAGCAAACAUUUUGAUGAGGCCGGUGAUUAACUUUCACAGUUGCACCUAGUAAGGAUCACAUUCACUGUGUUGAAAUUUGGGGGCAUGACGUUAAAAUCAUUGAGUUUUACAAAAUUUCAUCUGCAUUAACGGACAAAUCCUCGUUGUUAAGUGUUGCUAAUGGUCAGUAGCUCAGCUUUGAACAACUAUGUUUCCUAUAUACCAUUUUAUAAUUCAUGAUUUCUGUUUCUGCAUGUCUCAAAUUAUUUUUUGGUGGCUCAAAAGGGAAACAGAAAAAUACUAAUAUCCUUGUUUUUACCCUUAUAAAAUUUUUAACAAAGAACAUUAAAUCAUGUUUCCACAAUAAAUACUCCAAUAAACCACUUCAGACUUUAACACUCCAAAUAUAACUACAAAAUCUUUUAGAUACAAAUCGAGGGACAAUCAGGAAAAAAAGUAAAUUGCAACUCGUCAAACAUCAAUUUCUUGAACUGUGAGUAUAACUAAUGAAAAGGAAAGGAAAAAUUAUCCGUAACCUUGGUCGCGUAAAAAGAGUCAAGACUUCAACUGCUGAGGUUCCAGAUUGAUAUGACUUGAUGAAAGAUCUCAAAAACUAGGCAGAUGAAAGCGUCCAGAAAUGAGCUUCUGAAUUCUUAGUUCCAGAUUGAUGUGUGCUGAUGAAAAGGGUAAAAAGAGUCAAGACUUCAACUGCUGAGGCUCCAGAUUGAUAUGACUUGAUGAAAGAUCUCAAAAACUAGGCAGUUGAAAGCGUCCAGAAAAGAGCUUCUGAAUUCUUAGUUCCAGAUUGAUAUGUGCUGAUGAAAGCUCUCAAAAUCUGGGCAGUUGAAUUGAAAGUGUCUAGAAAAGAGCUUUGACGCAUAAGGAGUCGAUUAAUUUGGUGCACUAAAGAAUUUUUUUUUAAGUGGUGACAUGUAUAAGCAUCUAUAUUAUAGUUUAACUGAUAAAAUGGAUAGAUUUUUUUUCUUUUUUUUUACGCAAAAAAUAUCGUAAAGAUCUUAAUCAUAGUUUUCACAAGAGGAGACCAUCAAAUACAUCAGAGGAAUUAAAAACAUGGAUACUUGAGAGAAAUUUCCAAAAUUAUGAUGAUUUUUAAAAAAUUUCUGCAAAAGGGACACUUUGAGUAUGCAAUUCCAUCAAAGGGGUCUUCGCAAUCAGCAAAUACGAGCUCCAUGAGCUCGCAUUUGCUGAAUGCAAAGUCACUCUGAAUUUUUAGACCCACAAAGUCCAAAAAAAAAAAAAAAGAAAACCAGACCUAGCAUUCAAAAAAUGCGAGGUCUGGCACCUCGCAACAAAUUGAAAGCUUUGGUAUUUGCUAAAACGAACUCGUGUUAAGAAGUAGAACCGCUAAAAUUUUAUUGGCAUUGACCUCUCAGUUUGUUUUCUCCUCAUUUGCUGUGUUUUAUGAUCUUUGUGGGAAUUCUUUGCCAACAUUAGUAGUUCCUCUAGAGAACGUCCUUUUGAAACCAGUUAGGAGAUUCUAAAAAUUGACCAUUACUACAAUUGGUGCAAGCCAUUUUGCUAAACGUGAGCUCUAAAAUUUUUUUUUUUUUUGUUAGAGGUAUCAUGAUAUGAAAAAUAUUUGUUCUGUAAGAGAAAAUAAAUAUUUUUUUAAAUAUUUAUUGUAACUAUGAUCAUUUUGCUCUUUUUGACCACUUUGCAUAUUGUCAUUUACUAAAUGCGAGCUCCUAAAAAAAUUAAAUUUAAAUAAUAUUUGUUUUCUUCUAGCGAGCUUCUACAAAAUUAAAUUUAAAAAAGAUUUGUUUUCUUAACAGUACUAAACGCGAGCUCCUAGCGAAUUAAAUUUAAAAAAUAUUUGUUUUGCAGAUCUCUCAUUUACUAAAUGCAAUCUUUAGUAAAAUCUUAUAUUUUUUUUAAAAUAAUUUUUUAUGCAUUCAUUGAGUGUGAGGAGUAAAUAUUUUGGAUUUCGCAUUCGAUAAAUGCGAAUUCAUAGAAAAUUACUUAAAAAAAUUGGGGUACCAGAUAAAUGCAAAUUCGAUAAAUGCGAAUUCGAUAAAUGAUCUAGGAUGUAUUUUGAGUAAUUGGGGGUACCAAAUGUGAUUUUCAAAAGUUAACAUUUCUGCAAAAAUUUGCAUAAGAAAAUGCAGUUCUAGUCGCGUAUUACAGAAAGUGCGUUUUCAAUUCUAGAAGCUUAAGGCAUAAAACGCGACUUGAAGGCGCAUAUUCAUAAUGGCGCGUUUUCAAUUCUGCAAAUACAACAGAAUACGCGACUUGAAGUCGUGUAUUGAAUUCUCCAAGGAAUAAGUUGCGUAUUCUUGAAGUCACGUUUUGAAUUCUCCAAGGAACAUGAAGAAAACGCGACUUAGCAAAAUGUGACUUGAAUGCGCGUUUUGUGAAGUCACGUAUUGUCUCACUUGUACGAAGCUUUAAAACACGAAUUCCCUCUCAGUUUUCUUUUCUCCUUCUUCCAGUCGCGUUUUCUUUCCACUCUUCACACACAAUUCACCAAAUUCUAUUUUUGCUCCAUAUCUUGGUUAAAAAUCAUCAAGCCAACAACUUUUGAGCAUUAUAUAGCCUUUCUAACCUAUUAAAAUCCAAUAAAAACACCUCAUAAUUGGUUUUAAGGAGAUUGAAAGCUAGGGUUUCUAGUUUUUAAUUUCUUCAAUUAGAGGUCAAUUAGAGGGCGUUUCAUAGGGUUUUUUGCACAGUCAUCAUCUCCAAACAUCCUUCUGCAUAAUUGAGGUAAGUUUCUUCAUCAAAUUUACGUAUUUUAGAAAUUGAUAUUUUUCAAUUUUCUGAGCUUUUUGACAUGUUUUAAUUUCGAAAGUUUGAUGAUGUUUAUAGAUGUUUUUGGCCUCUAUUAUGCUUGUUGAUGGUAAUUAAGUAUGUUUACAAGUUCAAAUGUAGCAAAUUGAUGAUUAAUAGUUCUUUAAAUUUUUAAGUUGCUAUAUUUGGCUAAAAUUCGAAAGUUGGCUUGGAAUGUUGUUGAGCAAUUGGUGAUCAAUGAUUAUGGUAUAAAAUGGUUAGUUGAUGAUGUUUUAACAUGUGCAUUGUGUAUAGAGAGUGAUUUGAUGAAUUUUGUGAGUUAUUAGAAUACAUCUUGCUUAACCAUGUUUAUAGCUAAAUGUCCAUUAUUGUUGCUAAAAUUUGGCUGCUAUUAUCUUGAUUAGUGCCAAUUUCACUUAUUUGGAUAUAUUUGUGGCCUAUUUUGAUAUAUUGAUGAUUUUAGUAAUUUUUGACAUUUUGACUAUGUCAUUUCUCUUAUGUCAUAAUAAUGAUUGUUUAACUAUAUUUAUUUGAUUUCUUAUGACAUGGAGGGAUGUAUUUGUGGUAAUUUGAAUCAAUUCAUGUUAUUUAUUGUCAAAAAUAUGAAAUAUGUCUUAGUACAUGUGAAUAAUUGAAUCCUUCUUAUUAGGUACUAUGGCUAGGGGAAAACAGGUUGUAUAUUCAUCCUCUAGUAGUGAUGAUAUGGAGGUUAGUGAGAAGGUCGAAGUAAGUGAGGAGGAGAGGUCACCUUCUCCUUAACUGGUUAAAGGACGACUAGGUGAGGGUACUUCUCGUGGUGCCGAAGCGUCCGUCUUUGACAGUGCUAGGUUUUCUACCCUGAGGAAUCAAGAGUGGCAUGAGGCGCACACUAAUUUGGAGUUUCUUUUUGAGAUGCACGUGAGUCCAGAAGUUAAAAUGGUUGGGUGUCAAUCAACUUGGUUGGGUGUCAAUUCUCACCUUGCCGAUUCACUACUACACUGACUUGGUGCGCGAGUUCUACGGCAACAUUGAUUAUAAAGCGUGCCACAGUGGUGAGAUGGUGGAGUCAUGGGUGCGUGGGAGACGUAUUGUUUUGUCGAGGGAGCGCCUAGCUGCCAUUUUGGAUUGUAACAACCAGGAUCGAGCUAUCGACUUGAAGAAGGGAUUCGUCGCACCAAAUAGGCAGUGGGAUCCAUCACAUGCCAUGACUAGGUUUGGUCUUGAUUACCAACCUUUUCGGUCCUCGAGGAAGGAGACAAUGUUGGCGAGUGUUUUCGAACCUCGCCAUCAUCUCAUUAUCUAUAUGAUGGCCCACAAUGUCAUACCCAAGAAGACGGGACAUACGGAGGUCCGCAAAAGUGACAUCUACUUUCUUGACUACAUGUUUCAUAAUCGGCGGAACUCCUCCUAUGCUUUUGCCGAACAUCAUUAUUAGCCACAUAAGGUCUACGGUGAGGCGGAGAGCGACGUCAUUCAAAUUGGCAUUUCCUCGUCUGCUUUCCUUGGUGUUCGAGAAUUUUGAGGUUAAUUUGCAAGGUAUACAGCAGGAAUUUGUUACACCUAAAACCGAAUUAUAGGUUUCUACCCUUUGUCUUCUCGGUAUUGGCACGGAGAACAUUCCUCGACCUAUUCGAGAAAGGGGACAAAAGGUAAGACAUGGCCAAGAGGAAGCCGGACCUUCUACUACGGCAUCUCCUCCUCCACUGCCAUAAUCGAAUUGGCAGUGACUGUUCACUCGCUUGGACGAUAUCGAGUAUUGAUUGGGACGGAUGGACACUCGCCUGGAGCGGAUCAAGUAUCAUUUGGGCAUUCCUCCACCUCAUGAUGGUGAUGAAGAUGAAGAUGGCGACUGAAGUUGCACCUUUAGGAUGGCUAUUUUGUUGCUUCAAGAUUUGCUUGUCAUUUUGUUUUUAAUCUGUUGGAUGUAGGGUGUUUAACUUGACCUUUUCUGUUUUCAAGUUUUCUGUUGGAAUAUGAAUUGUAUUCAAAUGUUGUUAAUCUUGAGUCUGCUGGCAGGGAGUUUAGUCCAAUUUUAAGCGGAAAUUCUAUCAAAAUUUUUUCAAAAUCUUGUCCAAAAUUAUAAAAUUGCCGCAAAAGGUUUCAAAUUUUUUCGAUUUUAUCCAAAGGGCAACAAGUUCCCUACAAGUAGUUACUCAUAUUCUUUCUACUUUUGAGAUAAAUAUAUAUGACUUUAAAACUUCUCCAUCUAUACCCUAACUGUAAUAGAGAGUCGCUAAUAUCGCACUAAAAUCAAUUGUGCAAAUGAUUACAAAUGAGUUCUGAAGAAAAUUUUAUCUACUACUAAUCCUUUGUAUAUAAAUAACAAAAAGUUAUAUUUCUUCUAUAUUAAAAGAUUUGAUAAUUAUACGGUUGGAAACACCUAAUUUUAUUAUUAAAUAAUUUUGUAAAGAAAUAACUAUACAUGUAUAAUUCUUUAUUUUCACAGGUCAAUAUAAAAUACAAUAAAAGUGUUAAUAUGUUAAGUCUUAACUUUUGAUGAAUAAAAUUCUCUUUUUUUAUACUUCUCAUACGAGAGCAUCAAAAUUUUUUGUCAUAUGUUUAAUAGAAGAAAUUUUUUCUCAUAAGAGAGCAUCAAAAUUGUUCGUGGGAAAAGAGAAUUUCUUUGUAAUUUUAUGAAAGUUUCUAGUUUUGUAAAAAAGGAUCGAUAAGAUAUACGUGAUCAAGUUUUUCUGCUAAUAUUUGGGAAAGUAAAAAAUAUAAACAGGAAAUGACACAAUAAAGUAUUUCAGCCAUAAUUAGUUAGUUUAUACAAUAGCUACACAAUCAGGGUAUCAUCAAUGAUGUCCAAAUUUUUCAUGAGUACCAUAUCCUCUGGGUUUGCGUACUCUUUGUGUUUGACGUGGUUGGUCUUGCAUUACUGUAUCGACUUGAGUAAUCUGUGACUCAAGUAUAGCAUCAUGAUGUUGGGUACUCUGACCUUCAUCUAUACCUCCUGCAUGUUGUGCAGAAGUGUCAUGAUGUAAGUCUUUAUAGGGCGUAAACUGUUAAAAAGUCACUGGGGACCUAGAAUCGCCAAUGGAUGCACUGUGCAGUUGCAUGACUUCAGUCUGAGAUGUGACUAAAGAAGAUGCGUCAACAUGGUGCUCAGUAACCUGUGACCCUCCAUCGAAUCCAAUUUGGAUGGUGGGUUCUGGUGAUCAGAGUCUACGACGUCAUCUACCGCCAUACUGACCUCCGUGAUUAUUCGUAGGAGCUCGUUGAACACGACUUGCAUCUACGUGUUGUGGAAUGCAAGUCGGGAUGACUCUCCUACAUGAUGCAAUGUUAUUGAUACAAAGUACUUCAUUGCAUUAAAAUAAUUCAUGUGCUAUUCGUCACUAUGUGCUAGAGAGUCCUCAGUCAUAUAAUAUACCUGAGACAUAGCAUUCAUCUAGAGUGCAAAUAUUGGAAUGAAUAAGUAUUAAUAACGUUAAACCUUAAAAAAUUCACUACUACAAAAAUAUCCUUUUAUGACAUUUGAAAGCGUCAUUAUAGCUCCAUGUUAUGACGUUUUAACUAUAAUGACGCUCUGUCAGAAGCGUCAUCCAUUCUAACGUCACUAUAAGUUUUAUAACAGUUUCUAUGCGUCCUAAUUUGUAGUUCUUCUGGCACUUAUAAAUGUCAUUAGUUAUCGCUAUUAUGACACUUUGAAAUGACAAGAAAUGCCAAGGCACAAUUGAUGUUAUAUAAACUUAAGUGAUGCACAUAACUGUCAUAUUUUGAAACUAUCUUGACACUUCUGUCAUGUAAGUACAAUAAGAUAUUAUAACACACUCACAUAAGUAGAAUGAAAUAUUAUGAUACUUUUUGGUAUAACUAGAUUAGGUGAUUAUGACACUUUUUAACAUGAAAUUUUGUGAAUAUUAUGUACAAUAAAAGUCGAAGUGAUGACACUUUUAAGUGUUAGUACAGUAUGUUGCAUUACUCCUAUAUACCAUCCGUGUUUUAUACCCAUAAGCAGAAAUCACAUUUCAUCCUGCUUGCAUAUUGUAAAUCCUAAUUUUUGGAAUAAUAAAGUAGUUAGUACCAUCAUAUAAAGGAAAACCAAAGUUAUUUACAUCUUCGUAGUAACUGGUGCAAUACAAUAAUCCAAAUUGGUGCAAAAAUAUAUUAUCUAAGCAACUCACCUUAAAACUAUGUCAACAAAUUACAUGCUAAUUCAGAGAUUUCCCACUAGUGAUGAGUAUUGCAGUAGCAUUGUCAAUAUAUAUAAAGGAAGCAGUAGCUUGACAGGAACUCGACUAAAAAGCAUUAACAAUGUCUUCAAAGAAAUAGCCAUUUGAUCCAAGGAUCAUUUAGUUUUCUUCAAGAUUCACCUACAUAUAUCAUAAACCAAGCAAUUGGAGUUACCAAUCACACAGCUCUUCUUUUACAGUUUUAAUCUUAGAAAACAAAUAAAAACUAAGUUAGAGUAAAGAUUACCAAGUUUAUUGGCCAAGUAAUGGCCACUCCAAUUACAUCUCCAGUCUUGCGAAAAUUAUGGUAUGGCCUCAUCAGCUUUUCAUCACUCUCCACAAACACAUUCACAUAGAUUUUACACCAAUGCAAUCCCAAAGACAUGUCACCAAGACAAAUCAUAGUUUCUGUGAAUGCAUAUUCAUGACAAAUAUUUAGGUAGGCUCAUGAUUAAAAGAGAACCAAAUAUUAGAUUAGGUAUGUCAUUAAAGGUAACUUUUCUAGUAGUAAGCAAUGUUAGAUUGACCCUUAAGUCACAAGGAUAACUAUGCACAUAAGCUAAUAACUUAGAAGAGCAAACACAAGUCAUAAGGAUUUAUGUAAAGUUUUAUUAAAGAAUUCAGUAAUACAAAUUUAGACAUUUAGCGAUGAUAAACAAUUCCAAAAUUAGAGCUACAAGUAUAUAUUGAACACAAGUACAUGGUUUUGGUCAAUCAUGUUAAUCAGAAUAAUGAUUUUCAUCUAUAUCUUGUUGUAAGAUUUCAAUUUAUGAAGUUAAAUGUGCACUAGUGUGUAGUGAACAUAUAUUUCUUACAUUGGACUUACAUAACAUUUAAUAGAAAUUGGAAAAAAAGAAAGACUAAUAGUAAUUGAAACAAGGACAAAACAAGAGGGGAAAAGCUAGACAAAUAUUAGAACCAAGAGUUUUGCCAUUUCCUGUCAGUAGUAUUCUGGUGACCCUAUUGAACAACGUUGCUAGACAAAGACCCAGUGAAAACUAAAGUCAUUAGAAAUUAAACUAACCACUGGAAUUUAUAAAAGGUGUACACUUCAUCACUGUCUUUGUACCUUGUGCAACGAGAAAUUGGGAACAAGAAUAGAACAAAUUUCAUAGUAUAAUGCACUUUGUCCCAACCAUCUAAAAUGUCUUUGUCACCUAUUAAUUUUGUCAAAUUAAACUUAUGAGAUAUUUUAGUUAUACAAACACAUCCAUAAGUAGGUCUAAUAGCACCAAUGAAAUUAGAACAACGCUAACAUAAAUGUAAGAUUAGCCUUGCUUAUGUCAUUCUCCAAUUUAACAUAAAUGUAACAUGAGCCCCGAAAGCAUCAGCUUGGCACCAAAUAGUAAAAGCUUCCUUAUGCUUUUCUAUAAGCAACAUUUUUUUUUCCUCAUUCUUGUAACUGUAAUAUCCAAAUCUUUGAUCAGUAUCUGAAUAAAAACAGACAAAGUGAUUUCCUAAGUGAAGUGAGACUGUGAGAGUGUCCAAACUUUUUAAAAGGCAAGAAACAACUUUACAUAUUGUCUUCACUCAAUAUAUAUCAUGCAUAAAUACUUAAUGAACAAACAAUAAUAUCACAUGACAAGAGUUGCCAAGCUACUGCUUCAUUAGGCAAUGGUCUGAGACAAAAGUAGCUAAAUACCUCAAACAGAAAAUGCAUGUUCAAACUAAAGAUCCGAAGAGAAAACAUAAAGACACAUUCAACCAUGUUGCAGUAUUUCAGUUCUCUAUUCAACUCAAGAUUAGUUUAUAAAAUUAAUUUCAAGAAAAGAAGGCAGAGCCUUGGCAAAAAACUAAAGGGCAUGCUGCUUGGAAGAAUUGAGUAAACUAGAGAGCAAAUCCAUUUGGCCAGCAAUGAAAUACUUGUUUAGUCAAUUUAUCAAACAUGUGGUGGGUCAUGGAUGCUACCAAACUGAUGCUAAAGAAGGCUAUAACAUUUACUCGGAAUCUUUUGACGGCAUCCAAUCAUCAAGAAACUUUGAUACAACCAUCAAGAAACUUUUAUUGUCUGCUAAAAAACAAAAAGAAAAAAUUUCAAACAUGAGAAUGAAUCAAAACAAUGACACAUCCAAUCAACUGACAUUUUGAAGGCAUACUCAAAUAGCUAAGUAGAAGACAACCCUAAAUUGUUGAUGCCAUCUACCUUUUUGCUUAUUUUAGACAAAAUUGGAGAUGUAUAUGUAGACCUAAAGUUAAAAUUAUCUCUUAAAUACAAGAAAUCAAAAAGAAAACAAUCUUGAUGUUAACAAAAAAUUGAAUAAUUGAUAUUCAAUAAACUAAACAAACAUCUUAAUUAUCGUACCUCCAUCAGUGGGAUGAAUCCUAGUUGCUUUCUCCUUGAAAAAUUAGCUGAUUGGCAAGAAAAUUGGCUAAAUUUGCCCUAAAUUGAGAGAAACAAAAGAGGGAGGGACAGGUCACAGUACAGAGAGAGAGAAAAUGCAGCGGGUGAGGAGAGAAGUGAUUAGAUAUGGUAAAUAAGAAAAGGGAGAAAAUAUUAGAAUUUUGGGUGAAAAUAAUUAUACGCUAAGGCAUAGCACCAAUUUUCAAAAUUAAGGGUGAUACGAUAUAGUUUUGUCUACUUUUGGCACCUUUUUAAUGACACUCCUUACUGACUGUCAUGUUAACACCCUAUUAUGACGUUUAGGAAAAUAUGUCAUAAUACAAGUGUCAUUAAAAGCUAUUUUUCUAGUAGUGAUUAUUUAAAUAAAUUUUUAUAAACGGGUAGUGGUUAGGCAAAAACUUACAAGAUAUUGUGCUCUAGCGCUAUCACCCUAAAACCCCUCCGGAAAAGCGGGAUACCUACUUGGAUUUGAAAUAUAAAGCAUUGUCUGCUCUCGAUACCAAUGACGAUACUCAUCUGAUGGAUAUGUAGGAUCUUCAACUACAGCACCGUCUUGUACAUGCACACGCCGAUCAGUCCACACAUCAAUACAUGCUCUAUGCGUAGUUAUCCAGUCUUAAUUCCCUCUUACCAUGAUGAUCUAGAGAAUGUAGGGCUACUUGAUUUUCAGUCAACUUAAGAGCAGGCAGGGACUGAUAAUAUCCAAAUUGUUGUAUAACUGGAUGCGGAAGAUGCGACUCGACAACUUUUUAACAUAUAAGAUAUUGUCACCUCCAAAUGUCAUGACCUGUAGUACAAUAUGCAGGCAAAGAAGUGAGAACAUCCUCCAAAUAUGGCUACCAUAUGAACUGCAAAAAAAAUAAAUGAAUAUGCACAAACCACUAAGUUAAAUUGGUCUCCACAAACAAUUUACUAUAUGCACCAUUGAAUAUUGUCAAAUGAGAAAAGCAUAACAAAUUUAAGCAAAUUUCUGUCAUUUUACAUAUUUUUUAAGAAAAUUUUGACAGCAUCUCCCCCAUAACUGGAAGAAAACUCCCUGCCAACAAAUCCAAUUUUAAAAUAAUCAAAUACAAUCUGCAUCUAUUCAUCUAACAGUUACAUAUUUUAUUAACGUAUUCAAAAAAGGUAAAGUAUUAGAUGUUCAACGUCAUUGCACAAUUACAAUACCUCUUGAGGAUGUAGACCUAUCAACUGAUCUCAAAAUAUUGACACGACAUGUCUUACAACUUUGUAUAGAUAAAACCCAACAUUCCACCUAAAUAGAAUAAAUGAAGAGUUUUUUCAAAACAAAUGAUUGUUAUUUAAAUUACAAAUUAUGGUCACAACUACAAUUGAUGUAUACGCACCGAACUCCAUAUGGACCAGGAUAGUGCUCUAACAGUUGCACUCGAUCAGGACGCAUUGUAGGUAUACGUUCCCAUACCCAUAUCAGUAAUAAAAAUUGGAAUCAUUUCAUAAUUGUAAUAAAAUAAUAAGUAAAUAACCUUACUUUUAUUGAGUGUAAUGUACCUGUAGCAAAACUAAUGGUCCUGCAAUAGUCGAUCUAGAGGGUGAUGUGGCUAUACACAGGAAUCGAUAGAGAGUCACUAAUAUCGUACUACCCCAAUUAUACUGCCCAAUAGUUUUCAAGUCUCGUAGUAAGGGAAGAUAUAUUAACGGGACUUUAUUGUCGAAUUUAUUGGACAAUAAAUUACCACCUAAUAAUAGGAGGAGGUAUAUGCGUGCUCGCUGUCUACAUUCGACAUCCAAAGCAUCGGUUGGCAACUUUGUAUCUAAUGCUCUGGAUAAACACCAUAAUUUUAACCUUUGUCCAUCAAAAUCCGACGGGGACGAAGAAAAACUAAUAAGCUCCUCACAUAUGAGUCCCCAUUCCUGAACACUAUGAGAUUUAUCUAUUCCAGUGAUCGGAGGACUAUUGAUCGGUAAUCCCCAUAGAACCUCUACAUCUUGUAAGGCAACUGUAACUUCUCCAAUGGGUAGAUGAAAGGUAUGAAUCUCGGGCCGCCAUUGCUCCACUAAACUAGUGAUCAGAGCAUGAUCAAUCAUCAUAUAUCCACUCUCGAGCACCCCUUCAAACCCAGUCAAAUGAAAAUAAUGCCAAACAGUUUCGGGAAUAGGUGUAUGCUCCCAAAAAUCCUUAUCACAUCAUCUGACAUAGAGCUGAUUACCCAAAAUAUGCCAGAAAAAUAUGGAAUGUGCCUGAUGUGUAGUUCCUGCCGAGAUAAUAUCGUACACGAAUGGCCCCGGAUGCAGAUCUGCUGGUGCAGGAAUGUCGAUCAUAUCGAUGUGAAUAUCUGCAAGAAUAAGUACAAUAAUGCAAAAUUUGUCAUUCCUUAUAAUCAUAAACUGAAUCAUCAAAUACAAAAUAUUGAAAGAUUCAACUAAUAUAUAAGACUGUAUACUAUAAUGCCUAGAAUAGGAGUUUGAGAACCCAUACUAACUCGACACUUUAAGAAAUACGACCCCUUCAAAAUAAAAAUAUAUAUAUUAUUUUCAUAAUUUAUCAAUAAAUUGUACAUAGCAAAAUAUACUUAUUUCAUAAUGCCUUCUAAUAGGAUUACAUGGGUUCCUAUCUCUAAAUUAUUUCAUUCAAGGUCUAUAAUUCGAGCAAUUUCUUCUAUUGUGACCUAACUGAUGAUAAUUUGUACAUUUUCUUGGUUCCUCUGGAUCUCUCUCAUCCAUCUCAUUCCGAAUUCUUCUUACUCGUACCCUUCCUGCCCGACAUGCAAUAUAUUUACUUUGAUCUAUAUGUAGCUCCCAAUCAGGUUGGAGCCAAGUAUCUGGAUGCGGUAAAGGGUUAAACCUUCCUGAAUACUGCACCGGCCACCACCUUUUUGUAAAUUAAGGAUCCACAAGCAGUCCCAAAUUGUCUCCUCGAUGCCUGCACAUUGUCAUCAUCACGUGUGAACAAGGAAGCCUAUACUACUGCCAUUUGGCACAAGAACAAAUUUUAUCAAAAAUUUGACCGUUUGUGUAUUAUCCCCUUUGCCAUCCAUAUGUCGGUCUGUCACAACUUUGUACAUUCUUGUUGAGACAUCGAACUCCACAAUCCUGUGUAGUCCGGCUUUCUGAUCAGAAUUUUUAAACCGCCGCCAUAUCUUUGGAGGAAAAGGGUUACAGUAAUGUCUGGCAUUCUCACUUCUCGUUUUAAACGACUCAACUGUCCGAUAAAAUGUCAUAUUGAUACAAGCCCGAAUUGGCAAAUGAUGUGCCCCUUUAAGUACAUUAUUAUAGCUUUCGGAUAUGUUGAUUAUAAGAAUACCUCAACGAUGGCCACCGUCAUGUGUUAGACACCACUUUCGGGUCCAAUGUCAGACAAAUAAGUUCAUGCAUCAGAAACAUGUUUCUUAUUUCUCGUUGGAACCCUCGCCACUUGCGCAAUUGUCUAGUUUUUUCCAUUGCUCAACAUAACCUUUUAAGAUGCAAGCCUUUGAAGUGUGUCAUUAGUUUGCUCCUAACGUGUCGUAGGCAAAACCUAUGAAACGCCAAAGGUUCUUUCCAAUAAUCAAACUGUGUCAUGGCAUGGAUGAUACCAUUAUAACGAUCCAAAAUGACACAAAGAGGAUACCGGUCAUGAGCCACAUGGUAUCUAAAUUGUUCCAUAAACCAUGACCAACUAGAAAUAGUCUCUUCAUCACCAAUGGCAUACGCAAUUGGAAUUAUCUUGUUGUUGGCAUCUUGCGUAACUGCAACAAGUAGUUUGCCUUUAUAUUCACCAAGCAAAUGAGCGCCAUCGUCCAAAAGCCCAGAAUACAAACUUAAAUGUUUUUACUCGAUCUGUGCUUUUCGAAUGGUGCUACCACUUGACCAUAGUUCCCGGAUUUGACUGAACAAGUGCAUCAAUAUAUUUUGGUAGUUCAGCAAAAUUGGCAUCCCAAGAUCUAAAUACAAGUUCAAUAGCUUUGCGUCUGACAUACCAGGCCUUUUUGUAAGAAACAUCCACCUUCAUGCCUUCCUUAAUAUGACUCAUUAUAUUCUUAAUUUUAAAUCUAGGAUCAUCUUCAAUGCUACAAAGUAUGUGUCUAGCAAUAACUGAAGAUGUGAGACUUGUAUUGCUAUUACUCAUCAAAUCACUUAGACAAUUGUAGUUGUUGACCCAUUUGGUUAUUUGCCACAACCUAUGAGUCUUCUUUUUCACUGUUCUAACACACCAGUCGUAUGCCGGAUACGAUGGGACGACUGCAGUGCUAGUACUCCUAUCAAAUGCAGAUUUGCAUUUGGCAACCCACGUGUUACUCUUGCUCUCAACCACCCUGAACUCCCUGUUAUGAUUGAUAGACUACAUCCUAAUAGCUCUACUGAGCUGGUGUUUGCUCUCAAACCUUAUAUGUAGGCAUAUAUUAUUAUUCUUCUCACUGAAUGUAACAAUGUGCUCUAACUCACUUUUAUUAGUGUGUUGGUCAUCAUCAUCUAUGUUUCCAAGGUCAAAGAAAAAUCUAAGACCUCUUGGAACAUAUGAGAGGCCCAUAAUUGCAUUGUUUGACCUACUAUCUCCUCGCUCAGUAUUCGCAAUGCUCGUACCAUUAAUGAGCUGUUGGGUCUCGAGAUCCGGGUGAAAACCACAAGCUUCAUGUUCGUCAUCUGAGCUAUUGUCGGACGCAUCAAUCGACUCAGAUUCUUCUAUGUCUUCUGCGUCAUGUUCCGAAUCAUCAUCUCCUCUAAAGCAGGGAGCUUGUCAUGUCCACUGGCAUACACAUUAUCUUCAGUUGUUGUUGGAUGACUUAGACCAGGGGUGGAAUCUAAGCCAUAACAAGAUAAAUGAUACGGCGAUCCUGGAUAUCUACAACUUGGAAUCGAGUCAAGGUCGUGAACAUAUUCAACAUCACGCCUUAACCUUGAUGUGAUGCUUGACUCUGACGAGUCCCUAUCCCAAUCUCCAUGUGUAUAUUGAGAGGCCGAUGCAGCCUCUGAUACUACUGUACUAGAGUGGGACCGGAACCUUGUUGGAUCCAUGCAUGCAUGGACAAGCGACAUCAUCGGACCAACAUUGUUAGUUGAUGGAAUGAUUACGCUACUGACUGGAGGAUUUUGGGAAAUUUCCUCCCUCGAUAUAAAGCUCGGCUAUGCAUGGAACAAUUUCGUUCCAUAUAUCGUACAUUAUCUCCAGAGUUUCAUCAUCCACCACUGUGAAGACAUUAUAAGAGGUACGGCCACACGGUUGACGGAAAAAUAAAUUCAACUUGAAUGUCCCCUGAUCGACCCCCAUAUAUUAAUAAAUUAUGUCAACCAACUCCUUAUAUCCAAUUCUAUGCCGCAAUGUGAACGUAUGGUUGGAGGUACGAGGCAAGUAACAAAUUGACCCAUUCUUGUAAUGUAUUUUACCUCCCCAAUAAAGAGACACUCGCAGAAGUCUUUCUACAGACAUAUGUGCGAAAUGAAUCCCUAUUUUGGAGAAAAUAAAUUAGAAUUUGUAAUACAAGAGUAUGGAACAAAUGACUAUUGGAUUAGGACUCUCUUCAAAAUAAUUUUCGCAUCAUCUCUCCUAAAUAUUAGCUCAAACUUUUCAUUAACCAUUGACCAAUUUUUUUUAGCUAUCAAUGCACUGUAAAUAAUUACUAUUUCUUAACUAGCUAAAGAAAACACUAUAUUAAUUAUAUCAUGCAUAUAAUAGAAUAUGAAACUACAAUAAUUUGGAGGAGAAUUCAAUAUAUCAAUGUUAGAAGCAGCCUGCUUGUAAAAGUUAAUUUUUUAGUUAAUUUUUUAUAGAAUUUGAAAGCAUAUUUUAAGUUAAUAUUCCCUCUAACUCCCUUAUAAAUUGGCUAUAAAUUUCGAUAGAAUGUUAUUCAAGAAUUCUUAUUCUGCAAAAAAAAAAAAAGAAAGAUAAGUUGAUUAAGUUCAAUAGCUUUCCUUGUUUUAUUUCACAUUUCAAAACACCUCUUUUGAGUCACUAUUGUCACCACUCCUCAAAAAUACUUUUAAGUUAAUAACUAACCAAAAGAGCCCAAAAUUAUAUCUAAGCAUGUAAAUGUCAAACUUUUUGAACAACUUAGUAGAAUUUUUGAAAAAAUUUCGACAGAAUCUCCCCUAUAACUACGCUAAAACUCCUUGCCAACCAAUCCAAGCACGUAUCAAUUUUCAAAGCUAUUUUAUUUAAUCGCCUAAAAUAUUAUGAUGCAUUCGCCAAAUACAUCUACAUCCACCAAAUUCAUCAAAUUCGUCAUCUUUAUGGUUCAAAAGUAAAACUACAUAAAAGACCAUUCAAAUAAAAUAAUAAAGCCAAAACAAAAUGGUCAAUCAAAAUUUUCAAAUCCCCGGUAAUUUGGUCAAAAAAAGAUGUAUAUCUCAUUCUGUCAUGUUUGAGACAACCGGAGGGAUCAAAUAAAACCUACUUGUUCAAGUAAAAUGAACUUGUUCAUAUAGUUGGACAAAUAUCGUAAAUAUAAAGAGAGGCAACUUUGUUAAAGUUGUAAACUUAUAAAUUUACCUAAUAAUUAGUCUCAGAUUCCAGAGAUGCACUCCAACAGAGAUUUGAUCCUACUAUUAUCAACCAAAGCCUCUUCAACUGAUAAUGUGCUCGUGUCACCAACUUUGUGUGCAUCUGUAUGAACAUGAUGGAGUUAAUGACGAAACAAAAAAAAAUUUAAAAAUUAGUCGUAGCAUGUAUUUGUCAAAAAUUUUUAAACAACUUUGAUAGUUUUUAAAGAGAUUUUGACAGAAUCUCCCCUAUAAAUGGGUUAAAACUCCCUGCAGCUGAACAAAUCACAUCAAUUUAGAACACUGCAAACUGUGAUCUCCUAUUUUGCUGUAAGAGUUGAUUGCAAGGGUUAAAACUGAAAAUUCUGCUAAAAUGUCCAGGUUUAACAACAUUGCCCCCUCUAGCUUUUAAAUUGGACUUGAACUUUUUCAUUUGCAUAAAAAUGAAAUUUAUAAGUAAAAAUUCAACCUACUCGAAUGAAUGAAUUCGAUAAACACUCAUUCAGGUCCAAAAUCCAACUUAUUUGAAAAAUUAUAGCCUUUGGUCAUGUCUUUCAUAAUAUCUUCCAAUUUUCUAUUUUUAUUUGUACUUUGGUCCAAUAAAUCUGACCUUUUAUUAGGUCCAUUUUAGAGAUUUCUGAGUUAAAGUCUUCUUGUUCCUUUUUUUUGUUCCCCCUCGAGGAUGAUCCUUUGGUCAUUGUGACUAUCUUACGGCCCGUUCAAUUGGAUAACAUCCACAAACAAGAACUUGUACCAAGCAUUCAUUACCAGUUUGUAUUUGUUUAUCAUAAUAGAAAGUUGAAUGGACUCAUAAAUGGCCCAUAUUUUUGUCAAUUCACCAUUGUAUUGGCUACCUAAACGUCCUGCAUCUCCUCCCACAUCUUAUAGUAUUAGUUAAUUGAGUUAAUAAAAAAUUGGGCCCUGCUUUCUGUUGCCUAAUGCUGGAUUAGUGCAAACAACUUAAAAUCCAAAGAUGUCUGUAAUCUCUAUGAUGCACUGUAUUUACCUUCAAAUCCAAGUUCAUGUACAACUUACAAAUCUAUUAAAUUAGGAUUGAAUGUCCCAAACUCAGGAUUUAAUAGAAUUCCUAAUCCUCAACCCAUUUUCAUCUACUAAUACACUGGUAUCUCAAUUUGUCAUUAACCUAUUAUGUUUGUUCUCAAAAUCUCCUUCAUUAAUUGUCACUCCAGCUAACAUUUUCAUCAAAUAUAACCCAACUCAGCAGUCUUGACCCCUUAAACCACUUUCCAGGCUAGGAUAUACCGCCACAAUUAAUGAUACCAAAACAGAGGGAAUGUAUUAAAUGUCAAUGUUGCUUUGUCAAAUUUCCUCCACCAAGGCAAAUUAUGCAUCGGACAAUUAUCUUUUGAUGGGACCAAAUUUUUGUCAGCAAUUGAAAUUCUGAGCAGUCAAAUUAACUGCCGUGAUUCUUGAGAGAGCAGGCCAUUAAGGAUAGUGAUUAAGAACUAUAUGUUGAGCUUAGUCCCUAGCUUUUGAUGUUUACAAAACAAUGGAUGAUACUAAUAUCUUUUCAAGAAAUACUUUCAACUAUGAAACAAAUCUGAUUCAAAAAACAAGAGCAUUUGAAAGAGAUAAAAGAAGUUGAAAGCUGUCGGACGCUCGCGAAGACAACAUCGGACGUCCGAUAAACAAUGCAGCACUUCGAACACAUGAAGAACUCCAUCACCGGACGUCCGAAAGAAUUAACAUGAUUUCUCAAACUUACUAUUUAUAUAAAUAGCGCAUGGUCAGAAACUUCAAACAACUUUUGCACACUGAAGAUACAAAAGAUAUAGAGUAGUUUUAGUGAAAAAACACUCUCCAAGGAAGAUUUGUAAUCUUGGUGGUGUGAAAUUCAUUGUAAGCUUUUCAUUUAUAAGUGAAUACUUCAAUAGUGUAGCUCUGUGAGGGUUGUCCUGAAGGAUAGUAAAACUUCCUAACUUGACCGAGUAGAAUUUGGGACAAGGAGGAAGUGAGCCUUCCUUUGUACACAAGAUUGGUUAUAUUUCAUCAACUUGAAGAAGCUUGUUUGAAUUGAUCUACAAGCUCAAGAGGAGCUUGGUAGUCAAAUGGUUUGCAAUUCUUCAUUUCUUAUUUACUUAUUGUUAUCUUGUGAUCUUUAAAUUGCUUAUAUCUUCUACUUCUCUCAAGUAAUUUUGUUCAUUCAUUGAUUGAUUCAUUAUGUGAUCACUUAGAAAAGAGGGUAAAUUUUAUAUUGAGCAAAAAGUGCCCAUAAUCUGAUUAGUUUCUUAAUCAACCUAAUUCACCCCUCUCUUAGGUUGUCUUCGAUCCUUACACUAUAAAUAAGUGGGAUUUUGUAAUUUUAACUCCACAAUAAGAACAUUUGUAUUCUCUUCAUGUCCUUAAGAACAUCUGUACCAUUAAUGAACAUUGAUGUUUAACAAAAGAAAAAAAUAACGAUUAUUGGUAGCAUUCCUUUUUCACCAGAAAAAGAAACAAAAUCAAUAACUACGGGCAUUUCAGCAUCUUCUUCCGUCACUGGCCAUAGCAUCAGAAAGCUUACCUUGUUCACCGAAAGAUGGCUGUAGCUUCAACAUUUUCCGGUCUCCAUUUUGCAGCUUUUCAGCCCUUCAACUUUCCGGUCUCUGUUUUGCAGCUUUCUGGCGAGAGCUUCCGAGAUGACCAGAGUUGGACUCCUUCCCUCCAACGGCUGCAUUCUUGAUGAAUGCUGCUGCUUCCGAGGAUUUCAAUGGCGAAUUUGGGAUGCAAUUUCCCCUCAAUUUGUAUUUCCCAAUUUUGUUGUUUCUUAUGGUUUUCUGGUUAAAUGAGUCAAAGAGAGGACGGAGGUUGAAGGAGCUGGGUUUUCGUUUUUGAUCGACAGACAAAGGACCUCACAUUUCUCAAAUGCAAGGUCUAUUUAAAAAAAAAAAAUGCUACUUGGCUUUUUGUUAGCUCGCAUUUGCUGAAUGCGAACUAAGCUAGUUCGCAUUCAGAAAAUGCGAACCACCUAAUUUUAGAAAUUACCCCACAAAUACCAUCUCUUGUAGAAAAACUUUUUUUUCCAUAAUAAUUUAAGAAUUUACUCGGAUAGUUGAUUGGUAUUAUAAGAUAAAUCCAUGACGAAGUAAGGGAAGUGGAGGUCAUUCCAUGUCAUUAGUUAGGCAGCGUUGAAAGAUCCCCUAAUACUUCUUAUAUGACAAAGGAGAGUCACAAGGGAUAAAGGUGAUCAAUCAAAAUAGGAAGUUGACAUUGGACUACAACUACUUUUGUUCCAAUAAAUACAUAUUUUUAUUUUGCAUAUAUUUUUUAAACUAAACAUUAGUAGUUUGUCCAAAUUAUGUUUACAGCCGGAAUACAUACUUCGGCCCUGACCAUGGAGCGUGCAAUGUUCCUUCUGUUAAAUCAUCCUGAGGUAUUGCAGAAAGCAAAGAGUGAAAUCAACAACCAUGUUACUGAUUCAGGGCCUUUGUUGGAUGACCUUGAUCUCUCCAAAUUGCCAUAUUUAUGUUGCAUAAUAAAUGAAACACUAAGACUUUUACCUCCAGCGCCAAUUCUUGCACCUCAUUGUUCAUCUGAAGACUUGGGCCAUUCCCAGACCCCAACUUAUGGGAAGAGCCAAGCAAGUUCAAGCCAGAAAGGUUCGAGGGUUUGGAUGUAGGAUUUAAAUUUCUUCCAUUUGGUAAAGGGAGAAGGGCUUGUUCAGGAGCUGCUAUGGCUAUGAGAUUGGUUGGGUUGGUAGUGGGAAAUGUGAGAACCUUGGUUCAAUGCUUUGAGUGGGGGAGUGUAGGAUCUGAAACGGUAGGCUAUAAUGAAAAAUCUGGCCUCACUUUUGGUAAGACCAAGCCUUUGGAGGCAAUGUACAAGCCUUGCCCUCCCAUGAUCAAUAUAAUUUCCCAGCUUUGAGUUAGUGUUGCAACUUGUUUCUUGGUGUAUACCAAAAUCAAAUGAAAAUAGGCAACUUUUUCUAAGGUAUAUUUGAAUUUAGAUACAUGCACUUGCUAAGGAAAUAUGCAAGAGACUAUAAUAAUUGAAGAGUAAUGUCGUGGAAAGAAUUCUCAAACUAUGCAAUGAUGUAGGAUAAAACGAAAUAUUGGUAGUUGUUUAUACUUUUUUUUUAAUUUUGAGUUUCUCAUCAUACUACAAAAAUAAAAACCUAUUUUUAUUCUGACGUACCCAUAAAAUUCCUUAAGGCACAAGUUUGUUAGUAGAUGCUUCGGCUACUCAUAAAGAACCAAAAGUUUGGAAAGAACCAAACAUGUUUAAACAAGAAAGAUUUGAGGGAAUCAAUGAAGGGGAUGUGAUGAAGGGUUAGUUAUACUUUGAAUAUUUUUACAUUUUUAACAUUUUAUUGGCCCUGGUUAUCAUAUAAAUCCAGAAGAAUGGCAAGUCGUAAUUUAGGCUUUUACAGUGCAUUGAUGUAGCUGAUGGUUUGAACAUGUAGCUUUUGCAAGAUAUUGCUUUGUGGAGUAACUUUUACCUUUACUUGGAAGUUUUCCAUUUCUUUGAAAGCUAUAAAAAAAUUUGUGACAACACAAAUUUGUUCCAAACUUUUACCUAUAACAACUAACAAAUACAAAUUUGUUUCAAAUACAAAUUUUUUUUUAAAAAAAAUUAUCUAAGAUGUCAUACUCAAUAGGCACUUGCAAUGAGGUAAUGUAACGUAAAAUCAAAGAGCAAUUUUAAGUGGAUGUGACGAGGCCUAGACGACAUUUUUACUCAAUUCCUAGGCUGCAGUAAGCAGAUCUAAAGGACCGUUCCAAAUCCCCUAAUUUGGCCUGGAAAUAUAGCAAUCUUGACAAUUUUCUCAAAAAAUCUGGCAAAUUUCACUCAUCAGCUAGCAACUCCCAUAAUAUAGCAACCUUGAUGAUUCUUAUCCAAAAAUUUACUAGCAAUUUUUACUCAUCAGCUUGCAACUGUUCCCCAAUUCUUGACAUAGCUUAUACGACAUGAUGCUGCUUAACCAAAACUGAAUGAAGCUGUCAGCAUUUACAAGGAACUUGGGUCAGACUUCGACCAAGAUCAAGUAAACUACGAUCUCGGUUCUAUUGUGUCAACAACAAAUUGGAACCUAAGCACUUGAACAAAUAUUGAACAUCCCAAUAUGCUCUGUCAAAGGGAUUACUGACCGCAUCAAUGUGUACGGACCUGGAAUGCUGGGAUCCCAACCUUCACCACUUUUACUGAAACCUCUAUAGUACAUGAUAACACCAUUACAGUAAAAUAUUUGUGCUCAAUACAGCUAGUCAAGUUGUUUCGUCCAGUCAAAUGGAUCCCAAUCUUGGGCAAAAACAGCAACAGCUUGUUUCUGCAUCUCCAACGAUAUAUGCUUCUGUCGACAGUGCAUGUCUCCAGCAGGCAAGCGUAGCAUACCUCUUAUCACAUUUAGGCCAAAGUUGCUCUUAAAUUGCUUUUCAUCAUCAAUCACGUGAACGAAUCCCUUGUCUAGGCCAAAUUCGACAUGAAAGUAAGGGAAGUUCUUUGGAACUGAAGCACGGAGGCCCUUCUGACUGGUAUCAAUCAGCUUCUUGGCAUUAUGUUGACUCCACUCCUCCUCUGCCUCAUCAAUUGCCUGUGACAUAUCAAAAAGUAGCCAAAUGUUAACUAUCCAAGCAUGAAACUCGAGCAGUUUUUUACUUUAAAGACAUCAACAUGUUAAACCAAAAUAAUCAAUCAAAAAGAUCCGAUUCAUCAAUGACUAACUAAUCUAUAAACAACAAACAACAGGAGUAAGUACGAUUGGUUUAGUAAGGAAAUUCUUGCUCUAAAAGGACACAAAAGAGAAUUUACUCUCUUCAGUUUUCAAGUACAAUCAUAAGAAUAUAGAUUUACUUCCAACAUGUAACAAACAUCUCAUAUGUCUCCUUCUAGCUGAAUCACAACUAUCAGAGUUGGAUAGAACACCUACACCAGAUCAUGACAAAUUAUUUUUAAGGUUUUCUGAUGCACAAACUGAGUUAUUCAUAAUCAUCAUUGCUCUCCAUACAAAUCAAUCAAUUUCUGCUUUUUCUUUGCAUGCCUUGAUCAAUCAACAAUUUCGUCAAGAACUCAAAGGACUACUUUCACACUUGAUUCAGGUAACACCUAGAAAAGCUAUUGCAAGACUUCUUAAACAGUUAACACUGUCAAUAAUAAAAAUGAAAAGUGGACACCACCCUCCAUGCCCUUAUCUACGCAGCAAACUCCAUAUCGUUAAACACUUUAUCAUACCAAACUAAACACCACAAAAUUUUGGUCUAGAAGGAACCCCAUGAGCUCCAAUUUAUAUUUUUCUCCAAUCUUCAGCAAGUACUGAUUGGUCAAAAUUGAAAAAGAAUUAAAAAAAAAAACACAUUCACACACACGGAUAGCCUCCAGAGUCAGGAUCACCUUUAAGAUUAACCAUCAGAAUGAUGCAAAAAAAAAGAAGAAAAUGAAGAAAACUAACCUUCUUGAAAUACAAAGGUGCCUGUUUUGCAUCUUCAUGGGGCAGCGGAAUGCAAUCCAGCAAACAAUGGCGGCGUUGCUGUGCCAAGCCCAUCACUGUUUCAAGAAACACAACAUCCUUAUCCUGCUUAGCAAACAUCAUUAUCAGGCACUUCUUGAAAUUCCGGAUUUCGUCCCAUAUAUUGUUGUCUACAGUUCUUGUCCGAGACUCAUGCUGCACAUGUCAAAAACCAUUGUUAGUGCUGUGGGAUGAUGACAAUAAUUACAAGAUCAACUCAGCAGCAAAGUCAACUUUCUUUCGUUUCCUUUUCAACAUUAUUAGUGCGUAAAAACUUAAAUGUCCAUCACAAAGUUCUACAUGGCAAGCAGAACGAUAAUCUGGGUUACCAAGGUUUCACAUUUUUCAGCAACUAAUGAACUGUUAAUUUGGAGUAUAUUACCUUUUGCUGCCCUAUGGAUUAAGCACAAACACUUGUAAGAAUAUAGCCUGAACCCCAAUUUGGUUUUAAAGAUGCAAAUGCACAACCUUCACUAGGGCAUACAAGUAGCUAUAACAUAUCAUGAAACAUCUGUAAUGCAUAUCCAUUCUGGUUCUCUUAAUUGGUUGUUUAACUGAAAAAUGCAGACCUAACCACUUUGUUGUAUACAGGGUAUCUCUAAAAGAAAGGAGAAAGCAAUUCCUAUGAGUCUAAGUUUGUGAAGCAGAGUGCUGAGAUAUCUCUAAAGGAUUAGGGACAUGCAUCUUUAACAUAUAACAGACUAGAAAAGAGGCAUUCUUCGUACACGCUCAAACUCCAGAAUUACAGUGGAGCAAUCCUGCUCUGGUCUAGAUAUAAACUGUAAAUAUGGGGAGAGAGAGAGAGAGAGACAGUUCACCUGCAUAGUUAAAAUGCAGCAAUGACCAGGGACAACAGGCUGCCAAUGAGGUAAUGAUAAGUAGGUGAAAUUUGCAAUGGCAACAACAAGAUGCUUUGGUCUCACUGGAUUCUCAAAACAAAAUUGACACCUCUCUUUCUGUGUCAAGAGGCGAUUUGCAAUCCUAGUUGCCUGACUUAUCUCAUUUGGUUUUUGGUCUGUACCCAUUCCUUUGUGCCGAGUCUUUUUCCUUGGACCAUCAUCAUAAUCAUACUCAUCAUCUGCCUGACCAGAGAUGUUAUACUGCUGGUUCCACAUUAUCUUUUGAGCCAGAUACAAGUCAGCGUCCUCCUCCUUCAUCUUUUGUCGAGCAGAUACACCAUGCAUGAUAUAUCUGCUUGUGCUCCCAUCAAUCCGUGGUCUGUGAGACUCAUCCUCAGCAUCUGACUUUGCCUUUGUGUUUUCAGCCUCCACAAGUUUUUCAGCCUCUUCAUGCUUCCCUUUCAUGUGAAGCUGCAUGACUUUGGCAGCCAACUGGUUUGCCGUCAAUGCUGGCUUCACAGUUGGACCAUCUUCACCAUGUCUUUCAACCAAAUUUGAUUCCACUAGUCUGUCAUUUUUUGCAUUUGAAGAAUUGACAGGAUCAUUUGAACUAUCAUUUUUCUUUUGCAUAAAGUCACGCAUAAAGCUUCCAUCAUUGGAAAACUUAUUUAAGCUAGACACUGCAGCAGAGAGGUUGAUAUCCUGAGCAGGCAUCUUACGCUUUCCCCAGGAUAAAGAAUCCUGAACUUUUGGUAUUCUCAUAUUAGCAUGGCACGAAGACCCAUCCUGCAAAAAGUUACUGUUAGGAUUCUAAAACUUAUCAAGAAAGGGAAGAAAACCAUCCAUAAAGAAAUAUGACUGGGAAAAUCUGGGAAGUUUUUGAAAAAUUACCAAAAACUAAUCACAUACUUCUUUUGAAAUUGGAAAAUUUUGUAUCAUUAAGCCAACGUCUUUCAGAAACAAUACAGUCUGGAGAAACCAUACCUUCUCAAUAAAUAUUCCCUUGUCUCUAUCUGCAUCUGUUUGUUCUCCGUCCUUCAGCCCUCUCCUCCGACUUUUUAUCGCAUGAAGAUGAGCAUGAUUUGGUGCCACUCUAUGGGAUGCCACAGAAACUGCCAGCUCUCCAAGAGAGCCCCACCGAUCUUCAACCACCUGUACAAAGUUAGUUCAUUACACAAUACUAGCUUGAAUGAAGAAUCUUCAAAUAAGAAACCUAAGACAAUCCCACAUACCUCCUCAAGCUUCCGUCCUUCACAGGCUGCUUGCUCCUGAGCUCGUUUCAAUGCUUUCAACCUCCAGCUUGCACCUCCAUCACCCACAAGUGAAGAAAAAAGAACUUGGUUCUGACAAGCAUUAACAUCUGAAUCUUCUGGAUACCCACUACCAUUAUUCUUCAAAUAUGGAUUCAAGUCCCUGGGAUUCAUCUUCUUAGUCUGAACCAAAAAAUAUACCAGGAAAUAGAAUAACCAAACUGUAUUUGAAAAUGCAUGAUAACAGCAAUUUGGCAUCUACAGAUAAAAUCAGCCCAGAGAACAAUCCACAACAGGCAAGAUAAACACUCUCAACGUUGACAAGAAAACACAAGUAUUGGCAGAUCGGUCAAACCAAUCAUAUAAAAAAUUACAUGAAGGCACAACUCAACUGAACAAAAGCCACAGGGCAAUGCUUCCUGCAAGAACAUGUAGUUUUGUGCAUAGACGAGUUGAUUUCAGACCCAAAAAUAAAUAAAUAAAUCAAUAAAGCACACACACACACAAGUUUGGAGAAAAGAACUAAAUAAAAAUGGAAAAAAUCCAGAAGGGAAUUUAGAUUAUCACUUUGAAUUGAGAUUGACUCAUUCAAGGUCAUCCAGGAUUGAAAUGUUACCAUUGCUACUAAGCUAAUAGCACGUGAGAAUAUACUACAAAAGAACCAAGUCCUUAAUCCAAUUACUCCAAGAGAGCCGUUAAAGCCUCUCCAAGUGUCUCUAGUCUCCCCUGUCUCAUUUUUAUUGAUCCUAAAUGCUUGUUCUGUCUAUUAUCCAUUAACACCAAAGUUCCUCAAACUCCAAUUACCAACAGGCAGCCCCUAUCCAUUUCUCGUCUACAAAAAAGAAGAAAGCGGGGCAAACGAUUGAACCAAAAAUGUCAAUUUUUUUUUUUUUUUUUUUUGGGCGAACCAAAGCACAUAAAAGUUCCUUUACCAACUGUUGUUCCCAAGGUUUCUCCAUCAACAAAAUUCUGGCCUUUUUAAACUAAAACGUUGCCGCUACAGUAUGUUCAAUGGUAGAGAACAAACAUCAGAUUUACGCGUUUGCAGAUUUUACAUUAAAAAAAAAAGUCUAAAUAAUUUGAAAGCUAACCUCUUCAGGUUCAACCUGAACCUCCUGUUGCUUGUCCGAAACCGUUGCCGGAGUCUUUUCCAUGGUAUCCUUCGGUCGCAGCAUCCAGUCCAAACCCAUCUCUUUCCUUGAAAUAUCUCUCAAGUUCUGGGAUUCAGAACCUCCACCAUUAUCUGACCAAUUUAGCAAAAGAAUAGACAGAUUAGUGGAGUCAAAUAAUUUCAUCAAUGAAUGGAGACUUUCACCAUGAUUUUCAGAUACUUUCAGGGUAUAAACAAAUUUUUUUUUAAAAAAGGGGGAAAAAAAAAACCUUACCCGUAUCCCAUUUACACGAGAAAUUGCACAGAAAGGCAGCCAUAACAAAUCAAUCUUUAACCCAAAUUUAAUUCUCUGUUUGAAGACUCUUCACUAAACAGCAAGUCGGUAGCAGAAAUUCAAGAGAAGGAGAAGGAAAAAUAAAAGGGCGAAGAAAACGAGGAGGCUUUCAUAUCAUAUGCGCGGUGGGUGGUGGUGAAAUUCGAAGCAGCGAGGGAGAAUAGAAUAACAGACUCGAGUUGGAAACCUCCCUCGAAGAGGUUUUUGGCGGUGCUUCACAAACCUCCCUUGAAAAAGUUUCCAACGGUAUCUUGAAAAAGUUACCAACGGUAUUAGUACUUUUUUUUUUGUCAGAUUAGACAUAGCCUAUCUAUCCUAAACUACAGGAAAUGAGAGCCUAAAAAGGCUUUGUAUUAGGAACUAAUAGGUACACAAAUUUUAUUAGAUCAAGGGAGUAUUUUAGUACAACUCUUCGAUUUUUGUGCCGCAUGUUAGAUUUAAACCCCUCACCUACAGCACAAGAAGGGAUUUAACACCUUGCGACUGAGCCAAGCACAGUAGUUUCUAAUGGUAUUAGUCAAUACCCUUAAUUUUGAAAAAUCUCACUUCUCUUAAUUAUUUUUGGAAAAAUAGUCAUUUUCGUCCCUAAACUUUUUUUGUCCGUCAAUUUAGUCCCUAACUUUUAUUUUUAGCCAAUUUAAUACAUGAAUUUAAUUUUCGGAUCUAAUUAAGUCCUUUUACGGCGGCGCCGCCACUUAAAAGUAAUUUAGCUCCUAAUUUAACAUUAAACAAGAGCAUUUUGAGAACUUUGAAUUAUCUCCUCUCCACUACCAGCCUCCGCCACCAACCACCCGCCUCCUCCUUCAUGAUCGGCGAUUUUGGAAUGCCAGCAACACCAGUAAUCCACACUUUGGCAAUUUGGCAACCCCGGCGAGGCCCCUGCAAUCUCAAGACCCCACCAACGAAGAUGAACCACCACCACCACUGCCACCCAGCAGCUGCCCCUCUCACCACUACCACAGCCACAACUACCCCAAGAAAACCAACCUUCUGUAAGGAUCGAAGACAACCAAUCGAAAAGUCAAUUGAUAAACAAUUAAAAGAUCACAAUAUAACAAUGAAUAAAUAAAAGGGAAAGAAUUUGCAAACCAAUUAACUACCCAACUCCUCUUGAGCUUGUAGAUUAAUUCAAAUAAGCUACUUCAAGUUGAUGAAUUACAAUCACUCUUGUGUACAAAGGAAGGUUCACCUCCUCCUUGCCCCGAACUCCACUCGGUCAAGUCAGGACGUUUUACUAUCCCUCAGGACAACCCUCACAGAGCUACACUCAUGAAAGAUUCACUCACAAAUGAAAAGCUUAAAAUGAAUCUCACACCACUAAGACUACAAAUCUUCGUUGAAGAGUAUUUUCUCACUAAAAUCACUCUAGAUCUUUUGUAUUUUCAGUGUGCAAAAGUUAUUUGAAAUAUCUGACCAACCACUAUUUAUAUAGGAUCAAGAAAGUGCCUCAUUAGUGCUUCCAACGGAUAGAAAGUAGCUGAAGAGUCAACUAGCCGUUGGAGUAUCGGACGUCCGAUGCUUGUGUCCGAUACUGUCGGACGUCCGAUUCUUGCGUCCGACAUCAGGCAGUGAGUUUGAAAAAUUUUCUUCAAUUCUAUCGGACGUCCGAUAGGCUGGUUUUCUGCGUCCGAAGGUAUGAUGUAAAACUGAGAAUUUUUCUUCAAUUCCUUAGAACAUCCGGUAGGCUGGUUUUCUGCGUUCGGACGUCCGAUUCAGUCUUUUUGAGCGUCUGACAACUUUCAGCAACCUUUGUUUUCUUUCAAUUGCACUUGUUUAUGGAAUCAAAUAACUUCAUAACUAAAAGUAUAUCUUGAAGAGAUAUUAGUAUCAUCCAUUUGUUUUAUAAACAUCAAAAGAUAGGGAUCAAGAUCAACAUUCUCCCCCUUUUUGAUGAUGACAAAACAAUGGAUGGAAAGAAACAAAAAUAAGUAUAAGCUCCCCCUCAAUCAUUGCAUCCAAAACUUUCAAGAGUCAAACUCGUAAUCUCAGAAUAACUCCCCCUUACUCAUUACAUCUAUUUCUCCCCCUUUUUGUCAUCAUAAGAUGAGAGUAAAAAUCAGCUACCAUAAUUCAACAACAAUAACAAAGAAUCCAAUAUUUCAAGUAAAAACAGAGAAAUGACAGCAAUAACUAUUAUAUCACAGAGAAUUGAUAUCAAAAGGAGUAUCAAAAAGAGAAAUAACAAUCAAAAUAAUUAUCAGACCAAAUCAUCAUUAGAUCAGAAUUGUUCUUUACUCUCUUUUUAACAUCAUACAGAUCCAGUAAUAUUCAAAAAAUAUCAGCGAAAACUCAGAUCAAAGUAUCAGAAAUAUCAAAAGAAAAAAAACAUAAUGAACAAGAAUUACUGCAAUGAUUAAUAAUAUCUCCUACUUGUUAAAGUUAACAUCAUGUCUAACUAUCCACAUGCAUUUCAUGCCUUUUUUUAUAUUCUUUCUCACAUAGCAAUCACUUUUCAUGUGACCUUUUUAACAACAGAAAUUACACAUAGUUAUUGGAUCAAUCAAAUGAACAGGUUUAAUAAAUCUGACUUGCCUUCUCCUGUAGAUAUUAAACUCAUUUUUGCUAUAAUUCAAUCUUGUCUGAUGAGUAUUAAGAUGAGGUUCAGUGUCAUUCUUUUGAAGGCGGUUCUGUUUUAUAUAUUGCAACAAUUGACAUAAAUCAUCCAUCCUCCUUUUUAGACUGCAUUGUUCACUUCUGAGUAUGUUACAGAGUUUUGUCCUUUUGUUAAGUUCAGCAAGCACAUCAGUUUCAAUCCUCUUCAGGUUUUCAUUUUCAUGCUUAAGACCCUUGUUUUGUCGAAAAAGAUUUGCAUUAUCUUGUAAUAGAAAGCUAACUUUCUGUUUUAGUUCCUUGUUUUUAACAUAGGAUUCUUUCAAGCUGUUAUGCAUUUUUUCUAGAAAAGAAUUAACAUCUUCAUCGGAUUCACUAUCACUAUCAGUUUGAGAGUUGCAUUGAAUUACCUCUUCAUCUCCAGUGGUCAUGAAAGCCACUUGAGCAGAUUACUCUUCUUCCUCAACUUCACCUUCUGAGUUGCAAUCAUUCCAGGUGAUCUGGAAAUUGUUGAACUUUGGUUUUCGUUCAACCUUGUUCUCUUUCUUUUUCUUCAUUGGACACUCAUUUGCAUAAUGUCCUGGUUGGCCACAUUCAAAACACUUGUCAGUUUGCUUUUUGUUGAAUUCCAGCUUUCCUUUAUUUCUGAAAUUAUUGGACUGAUUUGGAAAGGAAUUGCUAUGUCCUCCUUUUCUGAAUCUCCUCUUGUUGAGUAUUCUUUUGAAGCCUCGUGUGAUGAGUGCAAUAUCACUAUCAUCACAUUCCAUGUCAUCUUCACUCACGGAGGCUGUAUCAUCUUCAUCUUGUGAAGCUUUUAAAGCAAUACUCUUUCUCACCUUUGUACCUUCUUCCUCCUGCACCUUGAACUUGAGUUUCAGCUCAUAAGAAAUUAGAGAGUUAAUAAGAGAUUCAAUGGGCAAGGUAUUUAGAUCUUUAGCUUCCUCAAUAGCAGUCGCUUUACUCUCCCAAUCCUUCGAUAAGGCAUUCAGAAUUUUUCUGUUUUUCUCACCUAGAGAGUAUUCUUUUUCCAGCACCUCCAAAUCCUUAAUGAGGUCAUUAAAUCUACAAUACAUCUCAUCAAUGUUUUCAUGAGAUUGCAUCUUGAAGGAUUCAUACUUUGUAACCAGAAUAGACUUCUUUUGUUCUCUAACAUUCUCACUACCUUCAUGAAAUUCUCUCAAUUUAUCCCAAAUUUCCUUGGCUGACUUGCAGCCUUUGACUCUAGCAGAUUCAUUUGAAUCUAAGGCACAAUAUAACACAUUCAUGGCUUUUGCAUUUAAGGUGAGAUGAGCUCUAUCCACAGCAGUCAGUUCACUUCUUAUUUUUGGUCUAGAUGUAUGAGUAUUUUCAUCUAUAAAAGAGGUAUCAUAUGGACCUUCACUAAUAAUAAGUCACAAUUCAAUAUCAAUUGAUUGCAAAAAGAUAAUCAUUCUUUCUUUCCAACUCACAUAAUUUAAACCAGUAAACAUGGGUGGUCUAAUCACAGAAUGUCCUUCAAAAAAUAUGACAUUGUUGGUUGUCAUUUUUACUCCCAAGCCGAUUGAUGUGAGAACCCGUUUUGCCCUAAUAUUUUCCUAGGGUUUAUUUUCCCCUUAAUUGCAUGUUUUCUGCAUUUUCUGGCUUAGAAAUAUUUUCUUAGUGGAUUUUAUGAGUAAUUAUAGUUUUUAGAUGAAUUUUCUAGUAUUGGAGAGUUUUUAGAAAAUUAAGAAUAUAUAUUGGACGUGGGACCCACUAGUGCGAAAGGUACGGGAAAAUUCGGCCAAUAAGGUUAAGUUUCGGAUACUGUUAGAAAUUUAUCGGGUGUUAAGUGAUAAGUAGAGUGUGUGAAGUGAUUGAUGUGAGAGAGAAAAGAAAGAUAAGAAUGCAUUGAUGAAAGUGCCACAUGUCAUCUUCUCAUUGGUUGUACCUUAAGAAUUACUAUUCACCUUUUGACAAUUUUUUUGACUUUUACCACUUGAGUUAAAUAUCUCAAAAAUUACAAAAAAACUCACUCUUCUCUCUUCCCUCUUGGCCGGCCAUCCCAAGCUCCACAAGGAAGAAAGCUCUUCAAAUUUUAAGCUUCCACUUGGUGCAAAUCAACCAAAACCAAUUGUUUCCAUCCAUUUCACUCCAUAGGAACUUUGCUUCUAGUGUUAAUAAGUGUACUAGUGAAGUUGUUUUGAAGCUCUAAGGUGGCCAACCUCUCUAUCUUUCUUGUUUCUUGGUAAGUGUUGCUUGAACACUCUACUACCUCUAAUAAUGGUUAUAUGAUGCUUAGAAGUGGCAUGAGUGUGAGAAAAUGUGAUUUGUUUCUUGAUUUGAAGAGUUUUGGUGAAGUUUUCAUUUUAUUGAGAAUUUUUCUGGUUUAAUAUGAAAUGAAGGUUGUGGCUUUGCAUGAUGAAUGGUAAUGGUUGAUGAUGACUCUAUGAGGUGUAUUGGAUAGGAAAAUGCAAUCAAUUUUGGAUUUGGUGUGAAAUUGAAAAGUUAGGGUUCUUAAUUCCCAAAUUCUGUCCGGUUUUUGAUCAUAGGGUUAGAGGCCGAAUUUGACUUUGCUUAAAACAUGAAAGUUGUAGGUAUUGAUGUGAUGGAGAUACCUGUAAAAUUUCAGAGCAUUUGGAUUAGUGUGGAGUGAGUUAUGACGAAAUUACUGUAGCUGUUCUGCUUUGGACAGAAUGCGAAAACUGCGAUAGUAAUUGGCUAUUUUGACUGGAAUUGGUUUGGAUUUUGGAGUUGGUGUCUUCUGAUGAAAUGUAGCUGGAUGACUUAGCUAACAUAUGCCUUUGGAAUUUCGGCAAUUGGACUUGUAUGGACUGAGAUAUACUGAUUACAGUUUUUGGUGAUUUGCAAACCUGUUUUGGUAAUUCUGGUUUAGUAUUUUGCACUUUUGACCUAGUUAAGCUAGGAACUGGAUUGAGUGCCCUUCUACAUUGUUGUAGCCCUGUUUCAUAGCUUCGAAAUGGUGGGUCUUACACCCCCAACCGAUAACCGUAGUGAAUUUGACGCCAUUACCGCAUUAUAAGAUCAAACACGGUUUUUCUAUCAAGGCUUAAGUUAAGGCCAUAUUUUAAUUUCUGGUUUGCUAUCAUGCCUACUUAUGCAUGUGAAACCCUAUUGGGGUUGUGUUUAGCAUUGUUUGGUGACUCGUUCUCGAGUCUCAUUGUAUGUGUUACAUGUUCUAGGGCUUGAAGGUAGUGCUCGACGGCUUGGUGAUCGUGGUACAUGAAAAACCACUUACUUGCGUGGUGAGUAUACUACUCACUUAAUUGUUACUAUGUGGCUUUGCUAAAUGUAUAUGUGAUGCCUUGAAGGCUUACUUGGAUAUUGGAAUUGAUUAAGGUGAGGGUGUACUUGACCGCCCUCACCCCUUUUGAUAGUAUCACUGAUUGGCUACCGUUUUACUGCAUUACUGAACUUGAUAUACUGGAUACUGAAUUCCAUUCUAGGAAACUGAUUUGGUGUCAUUUGGGCGAAUGUCCAAUGGCUUCACUGUAUUACUGAGCUCAACCCCGUUUGGUAGUCAAUUGGAUCGAGCCGGCGAGGGCUUGGUCGUGAAAAUUGUCAUGCCACGGGGACUGUACUGAGGAACCUUGUGGUAAUGAGACCUUUGGUUCCGGUAUACUCGAGUAUUACCAAAAUGACUGAAUGGAGUGCGGGCCCGGUUGGGGUAUGUUGGGUGGAAGGAAUGGAAGUGAAGUGAGGUCUACGGUUUGGUACUUUCAACAUUGACGGAGGGUCAAUGAGUGUGGAUCAAGAAUGUAAGCGUGGAAAUGGGCUCUUGAGAGUCGACCGUAUCCUUUCACUGAAUUGCUUACUUCGAAAUUGCAUACUUGAAUUGAAUGGUUAUGCUUAUGUGAUCUUAACUGCUAUUGUGAUAGUUGCUCACUGAGCUUUAGCUCACUCCGUUCCAUUUGUUUUCCUUACAGGAAAAUGAAUACUUUUGGAAAAGGUUGUAAUAGUUGAAUGACAAGUUGAGCUCAUGUACAUGUAUUUUGAAUAGCUCCUUGAGGGUGAAACCCUAUGUGUUUUGUUUCACCAAUAUUUGGUGUGUAAAUGGCUAUUGUAUGUGAAUGAACUAAAUGGAUCUCUUGGUAUGCCAAUUUGGCUUGACAAUGUUGGAUUUCCAUGUAUAUAUGUUAAGUUGAUGUUUGGAUGAACUUCUGAACGUUUCGGCUUUCAAACGGCAAAAGAAAAUUUUUGACGGAAAGGCACUGGACUGAAUCCGGCCAGGAAUCCGGCCAGAAACUGGCCGGAUUGUCGGCCGGAUUGCUUGGAAAAUUUUGAAUCCGUGAAGUUGCUCACUGGACAGUAUCCGGCCAAGAAUCCGGCCGCUAAUCCGGCCAGAUUCCGGCCGGAUUCUGCUGUCCAGGUUACUAUUCAGUUUUUCGUUUUUUUUAUUUUGUUAUUUUGAUACUUGUGACCUGUCUGAGCGCACUUUUGCAUUCCCGAAACGUAUUAGAACGCGUGUAACUGCUCCGUAGUCCUGGCGAGAGCUGGGCAGACAGUCCGCUAACCCCUUUGGUUCGCCUUAGGGGAAAGUGGGGCUGUUACAAUUGAGCUUAAUCUCUAGGAGACCAAACUCUGAUACCAAUUGUAAGGAUCGAAGACAAUCAAUCAAAAAGUCAAUCGAUAAACAAUUAAAAGAUCACAAUAUAACAAUAAAUAAAUAAAAGGGAAAGAAUUUGCAAAUCAAUUAACUACCCAACUCCUCUUGAGCUUGUAGAUUAAUUCAAAUAAGCUACUUCAAGUUGAUGAAUUAUAAUCACUCUUGUGUACAAAGGAAGGUUCACCUCCUCCUUGCCCCGAACUCCACUCGGUCAAGUCAGGACGUUUUACUAUCCCUCAAGACAACCCUCACAGAGCUACACUCAUGAAAGAUUCACUCACAAAUGAAAAGUUUACAAUGAAUCUCACACCAUUAAAACUACAAAUCUUCCUUGAAGAGUAUUUUCUCACUAAAAUCACUCUAGAUCUUUUGUAUCUUCAGUGUGCAAAAGUUAUUUGAAGUAUCUGACCAACCACUAUUUAUAUAGGAUCAAGAAAGUGCCUCAUUAGUGCUUCCAACGGAUAGAAAAUAGCUGAAGAGUCAACUAGCCGUUGGAGUAUCGGACGUCCGAUGCUUGUGUCCGAUACUGUCGGACGUCUGAUGCUUACGUCCGACAGCAGGCAGUGAGUUUGAAAAAUUUUCUUCAAUUCUAUCGGACGUCCGAUAGGCUGGUUUUCUGUGUCCGAAGGUAUGAUGUAAAACUGAGAAUUUUUCUUCAAUUCCUUAGGACGUCCGGUAGGCUGGUUUUCUGCGUCCAAAGAUACUCAAUGGUUGUCGGACGUCCAAUUCAGUCUUUUUGAGCGUCCGACAACUUUCAGCAACUUUUGUCUUCUUUCAAUUGCACUUGUUCAUGGAAUCAAAUAACUUCAUAACUGAAAGUAUAUCUUGAAGAGAUAUUAGUAUCAUCCAUUUGUUUUGUAAAUAUCAAAAGAUAAGGAUCAAGAUCAACACCUUCCACCUGCGAAAUUUGCAUCGAACCCAUAAUUUCACCAACCCAAUUAUUCAAAAGCCCAAACAAUGAAAAAUGCGGGCCCCACCCAUUCUGCAAAUUGUCAACCAUAACAACUAUACUACUUCCAUGGCGGUAAAAAUCACAAAACCUCAAGUCUCCAAGAGUGGAAUCCCAUGUUUGAAAGAGAAGCCUAGCCACCUUAGGCAUGCAUGUUUAGAGUAGAAAUAGGAAUUCCCUCUUCCAGACUCACUGACACAAUAAGACAAAAUCAAAGCAUCUCAAGGAAGGCUGAAGAGUUAACGAAGGCAGAGGCAGCAGCCAAGUUGAGGGAGCAAUGGUGACUAGAGGAGAAAGCUAAGGCUCUGGAGGCACUAGAGAGGAAAAAGAGGAUCGCAGAAAAAGCGCAAAUGAGGGCUGAAUUACGAGCACAGAAAGAAGCCAAGCUCAGAGACAAGGUAAGAAAUUUUGAAUUUCCAAUUCAUAUGCCUGAGUAAGUGUGCUUUUCUUCACUUGGCUUUCCAUCAAUGAUGUCCAUUUGAUUUGUCUAGGAAAGGGAGAAGAGGUUGAGGAAGAAGGCCGGUGGAGCAGAAGUUCCCGAUGGAAACGAUAUUGGGGAAUGCACUCCAAAAUCUGAAAUCGUACCUGGAACAAUAAAGGAAUCUGAGGUUAAGUACUGUUUUCCUACCGUUACCAAAAGAUCUCAAAAACUAUCAGUUGUGGUGAAGCAAAGCAAGACAAAAUCUAUCCCUCCGCCACUUAGGAACAGAGGUAAAAGAAAAAUGCAGCAGUGGAUGUGGAUAAUUUUGACAUGCGUGGUUGUUAUUGCUCUGUUCUUGCUGGGAAACAUUGGCUUCUUCUCCAAUCUUUCAAAUUUUAGGCCGCGGAGCCAUAGUAAUCCCUCCGCCGGUGGAUUACUGGUGUUGCUGGUAUAUCUAAAAUCGCCGAUCAUGAAGGAGGAGGCGGGUGGUUAGUGGUGGAGGCUGGUAGUGGAGAGGAGAUAAUUCAAAGUUCCUAAAAUGCCCUUGUUUAAUGUUAAAUUAGGAGCUAAAUUACUUUUAGGUGGCGGCGCCGCCGUAGAAGGACUUAAUUGGAUCCGAAAAUUAAAUUCAUGUAUUAAAUUGGCUAAAACUAAAAGUUAGGGACUAAAUUGACAGACAAAAAAAUUUAGGGACGAAAAUGGCUAUUUUUCCAUUAUUUUUUUGGGAUAAUUUCAGAAACCUCCCUUUCAUGCAGACACGACCAAAUAUCACCAUUAGAAACCUUCAAAUGAUCAAAUUUCCCUUAAAAACUUGUGCCAAUGAAUAUUGAAAAUAUGAGAAAAAGAAAUUGUUUUAAAGUAUAUUUUUUUUCUGCUACUUGGCACCAAAUAGUUGGAGGUAUAUAUAUGUUUAAAGUGCCAAAUAACACUUAUAAUAGCAUUAUCUAAGAAAAUCCAAAAUAGCUUAAAAAAAAACCAAGGAACUAGAGGCUCAACAGUUUGUGAUACUUCACUUGGUGAAGGAUUUGUGCUAAAAGGUGACAAAUAUACCACAAUUUAGGUUCCAUCAAAAUCACUAGAUGUAAAAAGAUCAAAGCUUUUUUUGGUUUAUUAAACCUACUUAUAAGUUUUCUAAGUAUUGAUUGUUAUUUGUCAUAUUAAUGCACCUAAUGCUUGUCAUGGAUAUAAUUUAAAUUAGAAGAUUAUUAAGUUUUCUAAGUAUUGAUUGUUAUUUAUCAUAUUAAUGCACCUAAUGCUUGUCAUGGAUAUAAUUUAAAUUAGAAGAUUAUGCUAUACUUGUGAAUGUGCCUUUAUGCUAUUUGAUGAUGGUUACAGAUGACUUUGUUUAUAGAAUAUUAUCAACUAAAGUUGGCAUGAAAUUUUCUUUUGGCAAUUUUGCUAGCCUUAUAUGUUGGCAUGAAAGAUUCAUUGCACUACCAACAACUUUUCUUAGGUUUAAUGAUUAAAAGUGUAACUUAUUAUAUGUUUUUUUUUCUUGCUUUCCUGAGAGAAUUAGACUGAGGGCAAUCUUUUUCCUUUUGCUAUUGGUAUUUUCCUCAUCAAAAGUAUUAAUUGUUUUCUUCUAGAGACAAGAAGGGUAAAUUUGGAAGAAAUUUAUGUGUCAGUACUUUUGCUUCACUUUUGAGGUUACUUUUUAUGACAAGAACUGACUUUGUUAUUAAAAAUGUCAAUCAAGGGAAGACCAAUGUAAUUUUUAAUAUUAGAGAAUAGUAAUGUGAGAUUGUCAGAAACCUCGAGGGAGGAUUCUGAAAUUAUCUCUAUUUUUUAUAACUUUUGCAAUCCAUUUCAAAAUAUGAUAUUAAAAACUCAUUUGGGAAUAGAGGAUAUAAUCUCAUUUUAAAUUUACCCUUUUAUUUUGGACUCUUGAUUGUCAUAACACAUUAAUUUUCUUUCUUAAUUUUUGUAAAUGUGGUCAGCAUAGUUUUUUAAUUGAAAUUUAAAAGUUGGUAAUGGGGUCAAAAGACCUUUUAAUAGUUUUUUACGUCACUAGUUUGGACAAGAAAUAUAAAGAUAUUGAAAAUUAUAAAUAAUUUAAAAUACUUGUAAAUGACUUGAAAUAUUUUAUAACAAUGAAAAUGAGUUUUUGUGCCAACUUGAAAACAUCACAAACAAGUUUAUAUAUAAUUUUCAUCAUAUUUUAUUUUUCUAGUUUUCAAAUCAUUGAUUAAAAAAAAACCUAAAAAUUUGAAAAAAAAAGUAAACGAUUUAUAAAACUCCUUAACUCAAUACAUACAGUAAAGAGAAUAAUACUUUUGUAACUUGUAGAAACUUCAAAUAAACUUUAAAAUAUUAACUCUUUGUAUUUCAAAAGCGACCUAUAUUUUGUCCUAUUAGAAUUCAACUUUCAUUUUUUUGAUUCUAUUUUUUAAUAUAUUCAAGCGUUUAAAAUUAUUAUAUUUGUUAAUGGGUAGUACUCCUUUUUUAUUUGUUAAUUUUUAUCACAUUUAUUGAGGUUUUGGUUAAAUUCCUCUCUUUCCUUUAUUUUUAUAUAUUAAUAAAGUAAAGGGCUGGCAAAAAUAUUUUGUACUAUGGACUUAGACAACAAAAGGGUAAAUUUGGAAUGAAAUUAUAUUAUUUCUCUCACAAAAUGAGGAUUUUAAUAUUAUAUUUUGAAAUGGAUUUUAAAUGUUGCAAUAAUCUUAAAGUAAAGAGGCAAAUGAGAUUUUCAAAGUUGAAAAGUGUCAAAUAAUGCUGUUAAAAACCUCAAGGGAGGUUUAUAAAAUUAUCUCAAAGAUAAAACUGUAUGUCUCUAAUUUGCAAGUGGUGGAUUAAUUAACUCAAGUAAACAUGUAUAUCUCUAAUUUGCAAGUAGUGGAUUGAGAGGUGACUAAUUUGCACUAUACUUUGAUGAAAUAUUUUGUUUGUUUUAUUCAUUUUUGGGAAAUUAUAGGUUGAAACAAAAUAAUUUGAGGUUAAAAGGUGAUUAAUGGUUUUUUAUAUGGUUUAAGUCCCUUUUACUUGCAUUUUGUCUAUGUUUCUUGUAGGAGAUAGAAAUGGACUCCACUUGGGACAAGAAAUAAUUAUUCUUUAUGUGAUUGAAGUCCUAAAGGUUGCAAGGUUAGUGAGUUUCAAGGGUAGAUCGAGGCACAAGAACAAAAAAAAUGAGGAAACUUGAAGAUGAAGAAAAUUGGCCGAAUCCCUCUAUGAAUCCCUCCAAGAACCAGUCAGAUUGUCAGAGGGAUUCAUGGCAAAAUGUUGGCUUGAAGUAGAAAUGAACAAAAGAAAAAUAGAGAAAGAAUCUCUCCAAGAAUCUGGCCAAGAUUCCAAUUGGAUUGCCCAAGGGAUUCCGGUCAAAUUUUGCGACUUUCACUUGCGCAACUUGUUUUCACCUCCAUUCUUUCACAUCUUUUGACGGAUGUUUGGCAACUAUUUUGCAGCUGUAAAAGUAACAUUUGAAGCUUUAUUUCUUAACUUGUUUCACUUAUAAAUAAAUCAUUUGCUUUAAGAAAGGAUAGUUUAGCUUAGUUCAUCCUUUCUUGUGUAGUAACUAGAUGAAGAUGAAGUUGGAGGAUGAAGAAACAAGGAGGAAACUCAUGUGACAAGGGUUACUCUACAUUUCUAACUCUUUAUCUUUUUGUAAUUGAUCCUAAAUUUAGUUAAUAUAUAAGUUUGGAUUUUAUCUUCAUUAUGUCUUUCUAAAGUUUAUGCCUUGAGUUUUGGUUGAACUUUUUGUGAUUGUAUUGUGUUGAUUUCUUGGCUAUUUGAUGCCAGUAUUUUGACGAAGUUAUUUAGCACUUUUACUCCUCUAAUCAUAGUUAACUUGGUACCAUUAAUUAUGAUUAUCUAAAGGUGUUGUUUUUUUAAUAAAUAUUGAGAUUUAACACUAGUUCAAGGAAGUGCUAAACCUAGAGAGUACACUCACAAGAAUUGAGGUACACCUUUGUGGCUUUGGUGGAUUUGUUCCAUAUCAUUUCAUUGAAGUAAUGAACUUGUAGCUAAUUUCAUAAUUAGAAAAGUAGGCAUGAAUUAGUUAUAUGUAUAGGUGAUUUGCUACAACAGUAUGUUUCACAUACAUAACGAAAUUAUGCCAUAACUAGCCAAGAUAGGAGUGUUCAAUUAUCCAAAUUUUGCAUUUGUAUGAGUAGUUAGGGAUACCAUGACCUAAGGAGUUUUUAUUUGCUAUUUUCUUGUACAUUUUAACAUAGUUUUAUUUUCUUUAAUUUGUUGAUUAUCUAAAUAGUAGAGGAAUCUUAAUAUUGCCAAUAGUUGUCCAUUCUUUCUUGUGGUUCAACCCUUAAUACCCUAUACUCAAUAUCGACUCGUAUACUUGCAAAAAAUUGUGUGUGGGAUAUUUAAAAAUUUGUCAAUCUAAAACUUAAUUAUGGAUUGAGCUUAAUUUUGUAUGCAUACCCCGCACUCAUCAAGUUUUUGGGGCCAUUGUUGGGGAAGAUUUGUGGCAAUAUUAGCAUGAAGAGCAACUUCUUUAGUUUAGACAUUUUACUUGUUUUCUUGUAUUCAUUGUGUCUAGUUUGCUUGUAUAUUUGUUGAGUUUUUGUUUGUGUGCUUUUGUACAUGUCAAAUUACCUAUUUUUCUUGACUAAACUUAUUUUUGAAUUACUUUGAAGGCAUGUUAAUGAACUUAAGGAGGGUAGUAAACAUGGGUGGACAAUGUAUGAGAAGUGGAAGUUCAGCAAUAAAUUGUUACUACAUGCAAAGGUCCAUGAAUAGAAGUAACCAAGCGGUGUUCGAAGAUACAUCAAUGAAAAACAGUAUAUAGGCAAAACAAUUUAAUAAUUUAAGUAGACAAUGAAGUUAGGUCAAUGAAGUCCACCUUUAACAAUUUAAAUAGGCAAAACAGUAUAUCAAUUAAAAACUUAAUAAGCACAAGAUUUCUUACUGUUUGGAGAUCAUGGCUGCCUGAAGUACCCUCAAUCAUAUGGGGGCACACACGAAUAUCGUAAAUUAUGGGUGUCUCAAACCAAGGAAUCAUAAAAUGAAUUCCUUUAGAGUAUACCUACAAGAUGAUGGGGAUGUCAUUUUUUUCCCUAUUUCCCUUCCGUUGCCCAUCUAUCAACACCCAAAAGGUAAAAAGAAAUGGAAAAUUGAAGAAGGAUGACAUAAAGAGAUGGAAAAAUACAAUAGUUGGGUCCAUGAUUAUGAUUCUUUUGUAGUCUCUAACAAAAAGAAUGCAUAGCAAAUAUGAACAUAUUUUAGGAUGCAUUUCUAUUAAAAACAAGAUGUUAGAAAUAGAAGUGAUCGAUUUUAGUUAAAUAUGUUGGAGAUAUUCAGGCAACUGCUUUUUAAGUACCUGAUGUAGAAUAUCUGAAACACUAUAGAGGAUUAAGCCAUUUCACUAACAUUUCAAGGCAAUAAUAUGCAUAUGCUUAGGGUUGUUCAACAUUAGCAUUGGCAUUGAUGAGAAAAGGAUGAGUCUUUCACUGAUUUUUCUUUCUUUUUCUAACUAAAUAUACAAUUUACACCUUGAGGAAAGCUAACAUCUAUAACAUAAUUUGCAGGCUAUGUAACAUCCAGGAUGCAUCAAACUCAUCAUCAAACCCAAUUCAGAAUGAAGCAAGAUAGAUGCACAUGAAUAACAUUUUGCCAUAUUAAGAAGAGUUUCUUUCAAGUGGAUCAGAUUUCUGUCCUACUUCAACAUUGCCAUGUUGAGUAGAGUUUCGUUCAAGUGGAUUAGAUUUCUCUGCUAUUUCAACAUGAGUUGGGACACAUAACUCCUAGAAAAUAGACAAGUGAAUAUGCGAAAUUUUACAUUUAAGAACAUUUACCCAAUUACUAUAGUUAUAUCUUUGCAUAGUGUUAAGAAUAAACUUAAGAUGUAAAUGCAUUGCAAAGCAGAAUAUGACAAAGAAAAGAAGAUCUGGCUGCAAAGGAAAAUUGGGAAAUACAAUUUAUCAUUAACAUAUAAGGAAUGAAACUAUUUGACAUAAUGGCUAUUGGUUUAAGUGUACCUUCUUUUUCACACCAACAAUACGAUUAAAUGCAACAUCUCUCUAACCUCCUUCCAUAUUGUAAAGGCUCUCUAACAAAAUAUAUGCUGUAGCAACUCCAAGAACUCCAACUUUUAUUAGAGCGAAGGCCCAUCCUAGCAACUUGGGCACAUUAAGCUUAAACUUGUCAAUGUUUGAAUUCUACAAGAGCAAGAUAUUGAGAUCAGCAUGUAAUCAUGUGCCAAUAUUAACACUAAAAAGCUAAGACUAAAAAUCAAACUCUUAUGACAAUGAGGUACCAUAUGUUCAUAGGCACCCAAAUUAAACUUACAAAAUAUAAUAAGCUACCGGUCCAAAGGAACAUAAAAAGAUUAAACAAUUCUAAAAAUUGUCAUUUCUCAUACUUAAAGCCAAUCCCCUUAGUUUGCAACACAAAUUGCCAGUAGUAGAGACAGAGAAACUAAUGAACUUAAAAAUUAAUAACAAUCUUCAAAGUCACACAAUAGAGUUCAGAAUAUGCAUAAGUAUCCCCCAAACCUUUUUAUUUUUUGAAAGAAAAACCUCAAAUAUCCUAUAAUCAAAACCCAGGUUAAAAUUCAUGAAAAUCAACAUAUAAUAAAAAAUAAAUAACAUCCUAUAAAAUGCUUAGGCCCAAUAGACGUAUACACUGCAAAACAUAGAACUCAUAGCCUCAUUUGCUGAAGAAAAAAUGAUAAGCAAAAGUAAAAAAAUACCUUUUUUCUCUUUUUAGAGAAAAUAAAAGGCUGCUUUUAGUAGAAUGACUUUGGUGAACGGCCCUUCUAAAUUGAGUGUAACUUUACCGUUUGGAAAAAAAAAAAGACUUUGGUGAACGGCCCUUCUACAUAAACAAGCAUAGAGAUAAUCAUAAAUCCCUCAAUUCCAACCAUCAAAAUUAGCUCAACUAUGACUAAAAGACCUAAAAUACACAAACCCCAAACACCAAACUCACCAUAAUUAACUAGUAUUUCACCUCUUCCUAACCCCUAUCCCCAUUCCACAAAAAUGAAUUAAAAAAAAAAGGAAAAGAAGAAAACCUCAGCCCAUUACAAAAUCACAUCAAUCUGGGGAUAGAUCCAUAAGAGUAAAACAAAUAACCAGAGCAAAGUAAUUACAAGAAUAACUUCAGUCAAAAAAGAAGUUUACAAUAUUUAAAACAACAAUAUUACCAUAAAACUAACAUGUAAUGAUAGAAUUUGCUAGCAGCAUUCCAAUCCUAUGAAGAUCAUGAAGUUAUUUGUCCAAAAAAAACUUUUACUUGACACAUAAACAGAUAAAAACACAUGUAGAAGAAGAGGGCGCAAAAGCCUCCUUGAAGUAUAAGGGAAAAACAUUUAAAAAAAAACUGCAUACGAAAAUUGAAAAAAAAAAUCCAUUUCCAAUAAAAAUAUUUAAAAAAGUGAAAAAUUUUCCAUUUAUUUUAAUUACUAGGUAUGUGAGAUUAAAAGCAAAAAGUUUCAUAGCUUAAGAGUAGGGAAGAAGUUUUUUAUACCUGAGUCUAUAUAUUUGCUCUUUUUUUUUUCCUUCUGUCAAAACCAAUGAUGCAACCAAUAAUGUUCAUGCUAUCUACCCUAAUUAUACCCCUAAUUAAAAUGCCCUUGAUAGAAGAAGCACCAGGCUUGUCCCCUUUGCCUUUUGAGGAAGCACCAGGUUUGCCCCCUCUGCUGCUUCUCUUAUUUCCUUUAUUUCCAUCCCCAUCUUUGUCCUUCUCUUUUUCCUUACUUUUGGAAAGGCCUAGCUCAUAAGAUUUUACACCCCUAUGAAUCUUGAAUAUAAGCUCCCUCUUGAUUUUUCCAAUCUUAUUGUGUCCAAAACCAGUACCCCAUGAAUUCUUGAAUUGAAAUAUCUCAACCCCAUUUUCAACCCAAAACCCCGUCAACAAAAUAGCAUAGUUUUCCUUAAGACUAUCUUCGAUAUUUUUUCCCUCUUCUGUUGGUCCAUGAUAAAUGCCCUACAGUAUACUUAAGAUUCAAUUUUACAUCAUAUAAAAUGUUUGUGCUCGUACUUAAUUUUACUGGAUUCUAUUCCUAACCUUUCCCUUGAGAUGGAUGAAGCUUGGAUAUACCCGUAUUACACCAGUAAGAGGAAAUCAUGAGAGUGCCAAAUUGACUCCUUUUUUGGUGUGUGGCUUUAUAAAACUUUUUGCAAAGAAUCUCUUUAUCUGUAAAGACAAGGAUUCAAAGAUUUUUAUUUAGUAUUAGAUAUUUAAAAAAUUACAAAAAAAAUUAACUAGAACAAACUUGCAUUAUGAGGUGGAUUACACCUCCUGUUGAUGCGAUCCCGUGGGUAAUCAUCAUUCAAACAAUAUCUUCGAGCACCUGCAUAUUCAAAUACCCAUUUAUAGGAGUUUCAAUUUUCCUUCACAUGGCUGAGAACUUGCACGCUAUAGUAGUAGUCUCAGCCUCUUGUAUAGACAACUGCUGGUGCUCCUCUUUAGGGUGGAGAACUUUAUAUUAUGAAGACAUUGCUUCCAAUCCAACAAUAGCUCAACAUAUAUCUUAAAAAUAAAUUACAACUACAUUAAGAUCCAAAACUACUGCUUACUACUCAUUACUGCUAAACUAAAAUAUUAUAUUAUAUUAUAUUAUAUUAUAGGACACAUAUCUUAAUAAACACAUUAAUAUCAAAAACUAUUGCUCACUACUAGUAAAAUAUUAUACUAAAUACUACUCAUUAAUAGUAAGCUAAAAUAUUAAAUAUUAUAUUAUAGGACACGUAUCUUAAAAUAGAUUAACGAAUACAUUAAUAUCCAAAACUACUGCCCACUACUAGUAAAAUAUUAUACUAAAUAUUAUAUUGCAGGAUAGGAAAUAAAGUCAUUAGCUAAGCCUAAGUCUUGCUUAAUGACUAGUAGCACAACUCUAGCCUCAUUUAAUCAUGCACGAUGUUCCUGUACAUCAUCACAUAUCAUAAAAGUUUCUAGAAACAGAAAAAAUUAGAAAAGUUUCCAAGAAUGUAAAAACAAAUUAAAAGACAGAUGUACUAAGUUAUACUUUAAAAAAUUCAACUUUUUAGUAAAGAUGCAAGUUUUACAAAUAUUAUCAGUAACAAAAAUGGUGAAAAACACAAUUUUUUAGAAAAAUAAGUGAAACGAAGGGAUUUAUGCAUCCAAAACCUACUUCUUUUUACCCACGACAUCAAAAAUUCAAAAAAUAAGAGAUCCUUAUUCCAGGAUAUCUGAUCUGUCAUUGGUCGAAAAAAGGAAGUUGAAAUAUAUGACACUGAUGAUUUUAGAUUUGCAGUACGUGCAGCCAAGAACUAGUGAGCCGAAUUAAGGUGAAAUGCCGGACGAACUAGAAGUGGUUGGGACUAAUCCCCUAAUUUCACUCCAAUAUUUAAGUCUGAAGUUGUUAGAAGUUGUAGAGGAUAAGUAGGAUUGCAUACCUUUCAAGUGAAGAAGGUGUUAUUAUUUAUACUAAAAGAGAUAAAUAGAAAAUGAAGAGGUAUAAUAGUAGUCUAAACUCGUAACAGAAGAUAUGGUUGCGAUGUCAAUAGUAAGGCGGAAUUGUAGAGUGGGUGAAUGUCACAUCAAUCAUGCUAAUCACCAACUAUAUUUUAAAACUCAGCCGAGCAGCAACUUGAUCGAGGUCAAGGAUCAAUAGGUUCCACCGGGAUCAAAUCCAUUUAAGAAUCAGAUAAUGUCAUCAGGAUGUCAUAAGUAUAAUUAAUUUUAAAAAUUAAUAUACAAUGUAAAAUUUUUUAAAGUAUAAUAAUAUAAAGGUGUGUUCAUGCAUGUUUGAUUUAUUCAAAACUAUUGCCCAUUACUAGUGAAAUAUUAUACUAAGUAUUAUAUUACAAGAUAGGAAAUAGAAUCAUUAGUUGAACUUGAAUCUUGCUUAAUAAUUAGUAGCACAAGUCUAGCCUCAUUUAGCCCCGAACAACAUUCCUGUACAUCACCACAUAUCAAAAAAGUUUCUAGAAAUAGAAAGAAAAAAUUAGAAAGGUUUCCAAAAAUGUAAAAAAAAAUAUAUAAGACAAAGAUGUAUAAAGUUAUACUUAAAAAAAUUCAACUUUAUAAUAAAGAUUUAAUUUUUACAAAUGUUUUCAGUGACAAAAAUGGUGGUAAACACAAUUUUUAAGAAAAAUAAGUAAAAUAAAGGGAUUUAUGCAUUCAAAACCUACUUCUUUUUUACUCAUGACAUCAAAAAUAUUAGAAACAAAAUGUACUUAUUCUAAGAUACCUGAUCUAUCAUUGGUCGAAAGAAAGAAGUUGAAAUAAAUGAUACUAUUUCUUGCGAUUUUAGGUUUGUCGUGCAUGCGGACGAGGACCAACAAGUCGAAUUAAGAUCGAAUCCCGGACGAGUUGGAAGUGUCGGGACUAAAUCUCUCAAUUUCACUCUGAUAUUUAAGUCAUAAAUUGUCGUGAGUUGUAUAGGAUAAGUAGGAUUGCAUACCUGUCAAGUGAGGAAGGUGUUGGUAUUUAUACUAAAAGAGAUAAGUAAGAAAUGAUGAGGUCUAAUAGUAGUCUGAUUUCGUAGAAUAAGAUACGGUUACGAUAUCAAUAGUAGAGCUGAAUUGUAGGGUGGAUGAAAUUUACAUCAAUCAUAGUAGUCAUUAGCUAUAUUUUGAAACUCAAACCAGGCAGAGACUCGAUAGAGAUUAGUAGUAGGGGUGGCAAUCGGGUUCAAAUCAGGUUGAGACCCGAUAAAAUAAAAAAUUCGCUGACCUGAACCUGACCCGUCAACCCGAAACGGGUCAGGAUACCUGACCUGAACCCGAAAUUUUCGGGUUGGCAGGUCAAACGGGCUGACCCAAAACUACCCGAAGUUUAAUUUCAUUUUACUGAUUUAUUGGUUAUGAUUUUUAACAGAAUAAAUUCCAAACUAAAAAAAAAAACACCAUAAGAGUAGAAACUAAUCCCAGUGGUUCAAUUGUUGCAUUUGGCUUGCAAAUUGCCACUAGCAACAACACAAGGCAGCUAAUCAGAUACAAUGAAUUUAAGACCAAAUCAUCUACCUUGGCUAAGAAUAACAACGCCUGUUUCAUUUCUUCUUCUCUGAAACAGAGAAUAGAAAAAGAAACUAGUUCAACAAUAUGAUGGUCAAAAUACUAAAACAUGCAGAAGCUAAGCUCGAUCUAAAUCAGUAAAUCUGCAUACAUUUUUCGCUUCUUUAAUAAUCGAUCUAGAUCAGGAAUUGCUUGCUGCUCAGACCUCAGAGAAGAAAAGCCGUUGCUUGCUUCUAACCGCCGUCUGCUAGUGACAGGUGAGGACCGUGAGGUGAACUGGUGAACGGCAAGGCGGCUCUUUCUGGUUUUGCCGUUUUGAAGAAAAGGGGAAGAAAGAUUUAGGUUAGGUGAAGUAGUGAACUGUUAAGAGGAAGAAAGAUUUCGGCUUCGGGUGAGGAUCAGGUGACAACAUUUGACUAUUUGGGCAACUUUUCAAAUUUUCUUCCUUGGCUGCUGCUUAAAUAGUCCACCUACAAGCUAGACAAAUUAAUAGGGCCAGCCAAGUCAAGUGAAUGUGAAUUGUUGUUUUGGUGUGCAGUGAUAUUUACUAUUUAGUCUUAAGAUAAGUUUUUAAUAUUUAUUUAUUUAUUUUUAUUUUAGAAUCGGGUUAGCGGGUCAACCCGAUUUGGACCUGAUUUGGACCUGUGUUUUUUUCUGGUUUAUUGGGUCUGACCCGAUUCUGACCCGAAUCCUCAAAAUCUAAACUCAAACCUAUUAAUUUCGUGUUAAGUUCGUGUCGUGUUUUCAGGUCGUAUCGGAAAUUGCCACCCCUAAUUAGUAGUUCUGAGUCAAUCGAUUCCACUAGGGUCGGACCCAUUCAAGAAUCAAAUGAUGUCAUCAGGAUAUCACAAAUAUAAUUAAUUUAAAAAAUUAAUGUACAAUGUAAAAUUUCUAAAAGCAUAAUAAUUUCAACAUGUGUUUAUGCACGUUUGAUGUAUCCAAAAGUAUUGCCCACUACCAGUAAAAUAUUAUACUAAAUAUUAUAUUAUAGAAUAGGAAAUAGAAUUAUUAGCUGAACAUGAGUCUUGCUUAAUAACUAUUAGCACAACUCCAACUUCAUUUAGCCAUGAAUGAUGUUCAUAUACAUUAUCACAUAUCAUAAAAAGUUUUUAGAAAUAGAAAGAAAAAAUUAGAAAAGUUUCUAGAAAUGUAAAAAAAAAUUAAAAGACAAAGAUGUACUAAGUUAUACUUAAAAAAAAAUCCAACAAUAUAGUAAAAAUUUAAAUUUUACAAACGUUAUCAAUGAAAAAAAAUGGUGGUAAAUACAAUUAUUUAGAAAAACAAGUAAAAUAAAGGAAUUUAUGCAUUCAAAACCUACUUCUUUUUACCCACAAUAUCAAAAAUACUAGAAGCAAGAUGGACUUAUUGUAGGAUACCUGAUCUGCCAUUGAUUGAAAGAAAGAAGUUGAAAACAAAUUACACUAUUUCUUGUGAUUUUAGGUUUGCAGUGCGUGCAGACGAGAACCAGCAAAUUGAAUUAAGGUUGAAUGCUAAAUGAGCUAAAAGUAGUCAAGACUAAAUUCCGUACGUAGUUUCACUCUGAUACUUAAGUUAGAAAUUAUCGGGAGUCGUAUAGGAUAAGUAAGAUUGUAUACUUUUCAAUUGAGAAGAAUGAUGAUAUUUAUAUUGGAAGAGAUAAGUAGGAAGUGAUGAGAUCCAAUAAUAGUCUGAUUUCGUAGGAUAAGAUAUGGCUGCUAUGUCAAUCAUAUGGCUCAAUUGUUGGAUGGCUGAAUUUCACAUUAAUUAUAGUAGUCACCGUCUAUGUUUUGAAAUUCAAAUCGGGUAGGGACUCGGUCGAAAUCAGUGGUUAGAGGUUAAUGGAUUCCACUGGGUCGGAACCAUUCAAGAACCGGAUGAUGUUAUCAUGAUAUCAUAAAUAUAAUUAAUUUUAAAAAUUAAUAUACAAUGUAAAAUUUCUAAAAGCAUAAUAAUUUCAGCGUGUAUUUAUGCAUGUUUGAUAUAUUCAAAAGUACUGCCCACUACUGGUAAAAUAUUAUACUAAAUAUUAUAUUACAGGAUAGGAAAUAAAAUCAUUAACUGAACAUUAGUCUUGCUUAAUAACUAGUAGCAGAACUCCAUCCUCAUUUAGCCAUGAAUGACGUUCAUGUAUGUCAUCACAUAUCAUUAAAAAAAAUUUUAGAAACAGAAAGCAAAAAUUAGAAAAAUUUCUAGAAAGGUAUGCAAAGAUUUACUAAGUUAUACUUAAAAAAAUCAACUAUACAAUAAAGAUGUAAGUUUUACAAACAUUAUCAGUGACAAAAAUGGUGGAAAACACAAUUUUUUAGAAAAUUAAGUGAAACAAAGGGAUUUAUGUAUCCAAAACCUACUUCGUUUUACCCCCGAUAUCAAGAAUACUACAACCAAAAGGUACUUAUUUUAGGUUACCUAAUUUGCCAUUAAUCGAAAGAAGGAAGUUGAAACAAAUGACACUAUUUUUGGUGAUUUUAGGUUUGUAGUGUGUGAGGACGCAGACCAGCGAACCGAAUUAAGGUUGAAUGCCAAACGAACUGAAAGUAGUCGGGACUAAAUCUCACAAUUUCAUUCCAAUAUUUAAGUUAGAAGUUGUCGAGAGUUGUACAAGAUAAGUAGGAUUGCAUACCUUUCAAGUUUCAAGUGAGGAUGGUGUUGGAAUUUAUACUAGGAGAUCGAGAUAAGUAGAAAAUGAUAAGGUCUAAUAGUAGUUUGAACUCGUAGGAUAAUAUAUGGUUGCGAUGUCAAUAGUAAGGAUAAAUUAUAGGGUGGUUGAAUGUCACUUCAAUCAUACUAGUCACCAGUUAUGUUUUGAAACUUAGACCAAAUAGAGAUUCGAUCGAGAUUAAGAGUUAAGGGUCAAUAGGUUCCAUCAGCGUUGAAUCUAUUCAAGAACUGGAUGAUAUCAUAAUUACAAUUAAUUUUAAAAUUAAUAUAUAAUGUAAAAUUUCUAAAUGCAUAACAAUCUCAACGUAUGUUCAUGCAUGUUUGAUGUAUUCAAAAGUAUUGCCCCCUACUAAUAAAAUAUUAUACUAAAUAUUAUAUAAUAGGAUAAGAAAUAGAGUCAUUAGCUGAACCUGAAUCUUGCUUAAUGACUAGUCACACAACUCCAUCCUCAUUUAGUUAUGAAUGAUGUUGCAAUACAUUAUCACAUAUCACAAAAAAUUUCUAGAAAUAGAAAGAAAAAAUUAGAAAAUUUUCCAAAAAUAUGAAAAAAAUUAAAAGACAAAAAUGUACUAACCUAUAUAAUUAAAAAAAAGUCCAUCUUUAUAGUAAAGAUGCAAGUUUUAUAAACGUUAUUAGUGACAAAAGCAGUAGGAAACACAAUUUUUUAGAAAAUAAGUUAAACAAUGGGCUUUAUGCAUCUAAAACUUGCUUUUUUUUACCUACGACAUCAAGAAUAUUAAAAGCAAGUGAUACUUAUUUUAGGAUGUUUGAUUUUCCAUUGGUCGAAAGAAAGAAGUUGAAAAAAAUGACACUAUUUUAGAUAGUUUUAAGUUUGCAGUGUGUGCGGACGAGGACUAACGAGGCAAAUUAAGGUCGAAUGUCGGACGAACUAAAAGUGGUCAGAACUAGAUCCCCCAAUUUCACUCCAAUAUUUAAAUCAGAAAUUGUUGGAAGCUGUAUAGAAUAAGUAGGAUUGCAUACAUUUUAAAUGAGAAAAAUGUUAAUAUUUAUACUAGAAGAGAUAUAUAUGAAAUAAUGAGAUAUAAUAGUAGUUUGAUUUCGUAGGAUAAGAUAUAGUUGCGAUGUCAAUAGUAGAAUUAAUUGUAGGGUGAUUGAAUGCUAUAUCAAUCAUACUAGUCACCAGCUAUGUUUUGAAAUUUAGACCAGGUAGGAAUUCAAUCGAGAUCAGAGUUUAGGGGUCAAUGGAUUCUAUGGGAGUCGGACCCAUUCAAAAUCGGAUGAUGUCAUAAACAUAAUUAAUUUUAAAAAUUAAUAUACAAUGUAAAAUUUCUAAAAGUAUAAUAAUCUCAAAGUGUGUUCAUGCACGUUUGAUAUAUCCAAAACUACUAUCCAUUAUUAGUAAAAUAUUACACUAAAUAUUAUAUUACAAUAUAGGACAUAGAGUUAUUAGCAGAACAUGAGUCAUGCUUAAUGACUAGUAUACAACUCUUGCCUUAUUUAGUCAUAAAAAUAUUCUUGUACAUCAUAAGAUAUCAGAAAAAAUUUCUAGAAACAGAAGGAAAAAAUUAGAAAAGUUUCCAAAAAUGUAAAAAAAAAAUUAAAAUUAAAAAAAGAUGUACUAAGUUAUACUUAAAAAAAAUUCAAUUUUAUAUUAAAUAUGCAAGUUUUACAAACAUUAUCAGUAACAAAAAUGGUGAAAAACACAAUUUUUUAGAAAAAUAAGUGAAACAAAGAGAUUUAUACAACCAAAACCUGUUUUUUUUUUACCCACGACGUCAAGAAUAUUAGAAGCAAAAGGUACUUAUUUUUGGACAUCUGAUCUUGUGACGCCCUCACUUCUCCCUAAGGCGAACCAAAGGGUAUCCGCAGGACGCCUGCCCAUCUCUCGCCAGGACUCGAGACAAAUCCAAUUCAAACCUAGUCUAAUACUAACAAUGAAAGUCGGAAUAAAGGUACGAAGUCAUUUCCAUACAUAAAUAUCCAGUCUUACAUCACAAUUUCAAAUUUACAAUCACUUUCCCCAAAAUAUACAACUUCCAAAAUGUCUAGUCGAUUACAAUUACAACACUAAUACAAAAGUGUCUCAAGUCGGCAUUUGCUUAACUCCUUCCAAUCGGGUUCCUGUUAAGGAAAACAAACUAAUGGGAUGAGCCAAUACUCAGUGAGGCCAAGAAACACACAUGCAAACAUGUAAUCCAAGUAGCCACAAAUUACAUAGUAAGUAAAGUUAUAAGUUCGAAUAAUUCACAUUUCGAAUAGGAAAAAAUAAACAGAAACAAUUCAAGGAUACUGUAGCUCUCAGGAGCUAAAUUCCACGUAGUCGAGUCGAAGUCUUGAUCACAUCUCAUGUUGACACUCCGUCAACCACAUAAGUAUAAAAUCCGUAGAUACACCACUUUACUUCGAAUCCCGUCACCGUUACACCCCCUUACCGAACCCGCUCAUCAAAGUUUUGAUAAUACUCGAGUAUAUCAUGAUAAUACUACACGAGUAAUGCCGAGCAAGAUCUCUCCAAUAGAUCAUACUCUACGAAUAUCUCAUGGUUUGCUAAGCUUAUCGACCAAGCCCAUGCUGGCUCUAUUCGCAAAGUUAACCAACGAGUUUGGGCGUCCCCCGAAUACGAAUACGAAUAUAAGUCGAUGAGCAACGCUCAAAUCGAUGAUUCCAAAUACGAAUCACGAAUACAAAUCACAUAUACGAACCACAAAUUCGAAUCACAUCCACAUUACUAUGUACAAAUCGGAUAUGAAUUCACAUAGCAAAAUACGAAUAUAAUUUCAUUUGGAAGAGAACGAGUGCGGUAAAGUACACCCUCGUUUCAAAAUUUUAAAUUCAUAUAACGGAUAAGAAACAGAUAACCACUUAACAACAAGUUCAUGCACUUGACACUCACCAAUCGAAAUAAGGGAAUAAGUGUGUAAACGAGCCCUUAGGUGUUCCCCUCGAGAUCCUCUUGAAGGUCUCCUUGAGCACCUGAGCAAAUAGUAAUUGUCUAUUACACACUAUCGUUUAAAACCCCUAAUUAUUGAGGGAGAUUGUACACUUGUACAAUCUAAGAAAAUUUCACGAAAAUGAGCCUUAAUUACUCGUAAAUCGAGGCUCAAAAAUGGGGUUUUAAAACACAAGCGAAAUCUGAUUUUCAUCUCUGAAAUCAAGUGUAAAACGGUUUAGCAAUAUCAAAGGAAAAUAGAGAGUUCGCAACCCUCAAUUUCCUAUAAGUUCAGAAAUUUCAGAUUUGUCACCCAUACUUUGAAAAAUUGUAUCUCAUUCUCUAUAAGUCCAAAAUUGGAAAACUUGGUGCCUUUGGAAACUACUUCCAAAGUACUAAAAGUUUCUAGAAGACAAUUUUCCAUGAUUCCAAAUGGAAAGUAUUCAAAAAUUAGCUCAAAGUUGCUGUUCUGGGGCAUAGAAGACAGGUUUAGGUUGGUUUUUGGUCAACUUUGUAAAUUCGGCAAAAUUCACUUGAUCCGAACUAACCUCUGAAAUUUGGAACUCUAUUAGAGUUGCAAUCCAAGUUUAAGAGAAAACAAAUGGAACAAGAAUUGGAGUGUUGAACACCAAGAUAUGAUAGCUCAAAGUUGGUGAAAAUCGAAACUGUUAAGCAAAAUUUCCAGAUUUAAACUUCAAACUUUGGGACUUUAGUUAGGUAUCGAAAUGGACUCGGAAUGGCACCAAAUUUAGCAGUAUAAUACUACCAUAUAGGGACUAUUCCUCUGCCAAUUUUCAUAGAAAAAUAUGUACGGAAAGUUGGUUAACGAAACCACUAAAGUCCCAAGAAGUUCCUCGGCAAAUCUGCCUUGGACUUCCGUUUUUCCGUCUUCAAAACGUUUGGCCAAUAAAACACCUCAAACACGGUUCAUUUCAGUAUAUAAUGUCUAAAAUGUCCAAGGUACAUUUGAUAGGUGAUUUACACUAAGAAACUUCGGAUAACAAGUCCCAAAUCAUUGUUAGUUUCAAAUCUGUCCAAAUGCGUGGUAUUUCUUCACAAGACCAGAUUCGAAUUUUGAUCAUAAAUCACUCAAUUCAACUCGGAAUUGAGCGUGGUUGGUAGCGUUGGAAAAUAGUCUCAUAAGGAUAUAUUUCCUCAGAAGAAACCAUUUUCAAAAUCUGUCCAUAACUAGCUCAUUCGUGAGCAUCAAGUUACAGCUCAGGUGCUGCCUUCCAGGAAGCAACGAAACAGGACAGCGAAUUGCAAACGAAUGGUUUGGCUUUCUCAAGUGGAACCAGGACAUGUAUUUUAUACCAACAGAAAUCUGGAAGUGUCUAGUUUCCAGUGCCACAAACGGCACUCGAUUCCGACAUCGGAGCGAUGAGUUAUAGCCAAAACAAGAUGACUGCCUGGCCAGUGACGGGAACCAAUUCCAGAUUUCUAAGCUUCCGAAAUUCCAACAUUUGGGUGACCAAAUCAAGCUAUUUUUCAAUGAAACUUUUUACACAAUCAAUAUAACAUGUAAACAACAUAAACAAGCCAUUAGAACCUCAAAAUUUCGCACCAAAGUGCUCGAACAAAGCACGGGCAAAAUGGUCACUUUUGGUUAUUGCACCACCUUGAGUUUCUAUCAACAACCCAACAUUAAUCCACUAGUUUAGGCACUAAAUAAAUAUUAUUACCAGUAAAACACCACAAAUCAGUCCAUAUAUCCAAGGUGUGAGUUCAUAGAGCCCACACAACCAUUUUUCCAACAUAAACAAGCUACCCAUAUACAUGCAUGAGUUUAAAUACACUCUAUUACUUCCAUAAAUCGAGUUUCCAAGGGUUGAUCGUUUCUUACUUGUUUAGAUGAACCAAGCAGAAAUUUCGGUCCAAAAGUGCUCAAGAAAAACCACGGACAGCAGCUCCUUUUCUUAGCUAGAUGUAAUCUCCAAGUGUUGAGCUAACUACGGUUGAAAUUUGAGGUGAAAUGAUGAAGGUUUAGUGAAGAAAUUGAGAAGAAAUUGAGGCUGUUUUACUCUUCCUCUUGGUCGGCUAUUUGGAGCAGAAAAAGAAGAGCUAAUGCUGAAGGUAAGCUUCUGUGAGAAGCUUUAUAAGUUGUGGCUAAAAGUUGCUUCAAAGUCAACUAGGAAUAGUGCGCGCACGCGCGCAUUUUGUGCUCGAUUCCUCUUAAGUUUGUUGCACUAGUGCACUAAACCUCUAAUACACUUGUAUUCAUAUUAAUAUUAUUUACUCUUAAUUGUCCCAAAAUAAAGGUCUAAAGUCCCUCAAUUAAUCGCGCGCUUAAAAACGCGUACUUCCGAUUUGUGCGCGAUAAAGUGAAAUUUUCAAGAAUUUCUUAUAACAAUAGUAUCACUAACUAAUAAUUGAAUACUUAAACAUAAAAAUACCUAUUUCAAGACUAAUGUACAAGUCUCCAAUUUUUCAAACUUAUUGUAUUUUCGAAUCGAUUAUUGUUUCCAAACGUGUAUUCACUAAUCUCACUUAACAAGUUUUCAAAAAUUAAAUUUUGAAAGGAGUCAUUUUAAAAAUAUAAGUAAGUCAUAGUUCCAUGUAAUUGGGUCUAAAAAGAUUUGAAAUAAAUUAUUCAGAGGAAAUGGGUGAAUAAAUACUUAAUUAAGCCAGUAGAAUAAUAUAAAAUAAGAAAAUUUCGGGUCCUCACAGAUCUGCCAUUGAUCGAAUAAAGGAAGUUGAGAAAAAUGACAUUAUCUUUGGUAAUUUUAGAUUUGCAGGGCGUGCGCAUGAGGACCAACGAGCCAAAUUAAAAUCGAAUGAUAGAGAUUCAAUCAAAAUCUGGGGUUAGAAGUCAAUAGAUUCGAUCAGGGUCGAAUCCAUUCAAGAACCAAAUGAUGUCAUCAUGAUGUUAUAAAUGUAAUUAAUUUUUAAAGUUAAUAAACAAUGUAAAAUUACUAAUAAUCUCAACGUGUGUUCAUGAACGUUUGAUAUAUCCAAAACUACUGCCCACAAUUGGUAAUUAUUAUACUAUAUAUUAUAUUAUAAGAUAGGAAAUAGAGUCAUUAGCUGAAUCGGAGGUUUGCUUCAUGACGAAUAGCACAAUUUCAACCUCAUUUAGCCAUGAAUAAUGUUCCUAUACAUCAUCAUAUAUCAUAAAAAUUUUCUAAAACUAGAAAAAAUUUAAAAAUUUUUCCAGAAAUAUAAAAAAAUUUAAAAGACAAAGAUUUACUAAAUUAUACUUUAAAAAAAUCCAAUUUUAUAGUAAAGAUGUAACUUUUAUGAACAUUAUCAGUAACAAAAAUGGUGGAAAACAAAAUUUUUAGAAAAACAAGUGAAAUAGUGGGAUUUAUGCAUCCAAAAUCUGAUUCUUUUUACCCACAACAUCAAGAAAACUAGAAACAAAAAAUACUUAUUCUAGAAUAGUUGAUUUGCCAUUGGUCGAAAGAAAAAAAUUGAAACAAAUGAUACUAUUUUCGGUGAUUUUUUAUUUGUAGUGUGUACAUAUGAGAACCAGCGAGUCGAGUUAAGUUCGAGUACCGGAUGAGUUAGAAGUGGUUGAGACUAAAUCUCUCAAUUUUACUCUGAUAUUUAAGUCAUAAGUUAUCGGGGGUUGUAUAGGACAAGUAGGAUUGCAUACCUUUCAAGUGAAAAAAGUAUUGAAAUUUAUACUAAAAGAAAUAAGUAGAAAAUAAUGAGUUCUAAUAGUAGUAUAGACUCGUAGGAUAAAAUAUGGUAGUGGACAGGGACUCAGGUUCCACCGGAGUCGGAUCCAUUCAAUAAUCAGAUGAUGUCAUCAUGAGUCUUGCUUAACAACUAGUAGCAUAACUUCAAUCUCAUUUAGCCACGAAUGACGUUCCUGUACAUUAUCACAUAUCAUAAAAAUUUUCUAGAAACAUAAGAAAAAAAUUAGAAAAGUUUUUAGAAAUGUAAAAAAAAAAUGUAAAGAUGUGUUAAGUUAUACUUAAAAAAAUUCAACUUUAUGAUAAAGAUACAAGUUUUACAAACAUUAUUAGUAUAAAAAAUGGUUGGAAACACAAUUUUUUAGGAAAAAAAAGUGCAACAAAGGGAUUUAUGCAUCCAAAAUCUGCUUUUUUUUACCCACGACAUAAAAAAUACAAGAAGCAAAAGAUACUUAUUUUAAGAUACCCGAUCUAUCAUUGGUCAAAUGAAGGAAGUUGAAACAAAUGACACUAUUUUUGGUGAUUUUAGAUUUGCAGUGCAUGCAGAUGAGGACCAGUGAAUCGAAGUAAGGUCAAAUGACAUGGGCUUAGUCGAGAUCAGGGGUUAAGGAUCAAUAGAUUUGAUCAGAAUCUGAUCCAUUAGAGAAUCAGAUGAUGUCAUCAGGAUGUCGUAAAUAUAAUUAGUCUUAAAAAUUAAUAUACAAUGUAAAUUUUCUAAAAACAUACUCCCUCCGUCCCGUUUUGUUAGUCUUAUUUUCCUUUUUCGUCUGUCCCGAAUUAUAGUCCACUUUCCAAUUAAGGAAUGUAGUAAUCUUUCAAAUUGUCUAAAAUACCCUUAUUAAAUAUCUUGUUAUUAAUACAUUGUUAUUAAAUACUAACCCACUACAUUGAAUACAUUGAGCUUUUCCAAUACAUAGAUAAAUGAAAAGUCUAUCUUUGUUAUUUAUUGGCACUAUUGGCGGUAAUUGAAACAAUCAAGGUGCACUAUUGGCGGUAACUGAUAUUUAUUGGCACCAUUAGCUGUAACUGAUAUUUAUUGGCACCAUUAGCUGAUUAGCAUAAGGGUAUUUUAGAAAAUUAUUAAUCUAAAUUUAUGUUUCCAACCAAAUUAAUUACACUUUCUUAAUCUGUGUGAAAAAAAAAAUCAAGACUAACAAAACGGGACGGAGGGAGUAAUAAUCUCAAACGUGUAUUCAUGCACGUUUGAUAUAUCCAAAACUACUGUCCACUACUAGUAAAUUAUUCUACUAAAUAUUAUAUUACAUGAUAGAAAAUGAAUCAUUAAUUGAAUCUGAAUCUUGCUUAAUGACUGGUAGCAUAACUUCGACCUCAUUUUGCCAUGAAUAACAUGCCUAUACAUUAUCACAUAUCAUCAAAAUUUUCUAGAAUAGAAAAAAAUUGAAAAAGUUUCUAGAAAUGUUAAAAAAAAUUAAAAGACAAAGAUGUGCUAAGUUAUAUUUUAAAAAAAUCCAACUUUAUAAUCAAGAUACAAGUUUUGCAAAUAUUAUCAGUAACAAAAAUUAUUAGCAAACACAAUUUUUUAGUAAAAUAAGUUAAACAAAGAGAUUUAUGCUUCCAAAACUUGCUUCUUUUUGCCACAACAUCAAGAAUACUAAAAGCAAGGGGUAUUUACUUCAGAAUACCUAAUCUGCCAUUCGUUGAAAGAUGAAAGUUGAUACAAAUGACACUAUUUUUGCUAAUUUUAGAUUUACGAUGCGUGUGAACGAGGAUCAAUGAGCGGGAUUAAGAUCGAAUGCGGGAAGAGCUGGAAGUGGUCGGGACUUAAUCCCACAAUUUUACUCCGAUAUUUAAAUAAGAAGUUAUCAAAAAUUAUAUAGAAUAAGUAGGAUUGCAUAUUUUUCAAGUUAAGAAGGUGUUGGUAUUUAUACAAGGAUAGAUACGUAGAAAAUAAUGAGGUCUAUGUGACAGCCCCACCUUACCCUAAGGCGAACCAAAGGGUUCGGCGGACCGCCUGCCCAACUCUCGCCGGGACUCACUCACUCACUACGGACAAAAUAAGAUAAAAUCUUAAGGAAAAAAAUAAAACAAAAAUAAUUCCCAAACUUAAAACGCAUACUUACAUUCAUUUCUGUCCCGAAAUAAAAUACAACCCCAAAUAUAACAAGAGGUUUAAGUUCCCAUACGUUGCACUAGAGCGAGUACAAGUUGCAAUAAAAUUCAAAAGGACUAGACGAUAUUAUUCUAUACAGGUCUCUCGCCCUUGCUCGCGUCCCCUGUUAAGGAAAACAAAACUAACGGGAUGAGCUAAAAGCUCAGUGAGAUUCCAAACACAUAAACAAACAAUAAGUACAAUACAUAACUAUAGAUAGCAAGUAAUUUAAGAAAUAUGACAAUAUAAAGCAAUAAUAACAUUCAUUAAAAGGAUACGUGCUCACAUGGAGCCAUUCAUUCAUUCAUUCAUUCUCCUUUCAUUUCCUUAUUCCUCCAAUCGUUUGAAAAUGUAUUUUGAUAAGUAAAACCCUUCAUUUACAUUGACAUUCAUUCAUUCAUUUCAUUUCACCCCCUCUUGGACGUUGGUCAGGCUCCACCAGACUACAAGGUAAUACUCGAGUAUACCAAACGUUCACCCAGGGUCACUAAAUCGCCCGACCGAAUCCGCUUCUGGCUCCAGUCGAUCAGUAACAAAGGGCAGGGUCCAGUUCAGUCAAGAGUCUUACAUUCUUGCACAACUAACAUUUAAUCACUUAAACAUUGAAAAUUUCACAUUUCAUAUAGGUCGAGUGCGAUAAAGUACACACUCGCCUAGUAAAAUUCAUUUGUAACAAACAUUUAUCAUUUAAUCAAAUAUCCACAACAAAUCAUAUAGUUCAUGGAAACAUAACAAACAAAGAACACUCACCUAUUUACGCAAAAUAACGUCCAAAGUAUCCUUUCGGAUAAUACCCUCAAUCACCAAGGAACUCUAAUAUAAUCAAAAGAACACAUUAUGCUUCAACCAUCAAAGAUUUAAGUGAUGCAAAGAAAAUUUGAAUACGUACUAGUACAAAGUAUAAAUAUGGUUUUGGUAGUGAAAAGAAUACAUUUAAACCAACGAACAGAAGUAAAAUAUUUGUAACACUUAUGCUCACUCGUAAAACUUUAAAAUCUCCAUUUGAGUCGAAGUGACAAAGAAAACGUAUUUUCAUUAGUCGAAAAUUUCAUUUUUCCAAGGGUACAAGUUUCGGCCAAAUUCUAACUUAUAUACCUCGAUAAAAAAAGACGUAAAUACCCUAGAUGGUUCACGUGGUAUUCGCUCUCAAUCCUCACUCAAGUCGCAAGUAUAUCUACCUAGUUCUUGAGCGUAAAUUUGGGCAGCAUGCCCUUUGUAUUUACCUAUUUUUCAGCCAUUUAUGGCUUCAUUCUUUUCCUCAAUCAAUCCCAAAGUCACACACAAAAUCAUCUCAUUUCAAUAGCCAUUCCAUAGGCUCCAAGUCAUACAAGUACAAAAUCAAGAUAGGAACAUGUGCGGAAAUGAAGAUUGAGUCAAAAAACAAAAGACAGAUUUGACGUUGUUUUGCGUAACGGACACAACUGAGGCUACGCUUAUUGGAUUGAGGUGCAAUUUAUACCAUUUCGAAGCUAAGACAGAGGGCUACAAUUUUGAUGAAGACCACUUAGUCCAGUUUCUAGUGUAUCCAAGUCAUAUUCCCAAUUUAUAGAACCAGAUUCCUACCAAAAGGCUAGUUAACUGCACUACAUUCAAAUGGCCAUAACUCAAGCUACCGAAGUCCGAUUAAGGCGUUCUCAGGGGCGUUGGAAAGCUAAGAUAUAGUACUACAACUUUUAUGUUUUGGCUAAAUAGUAGUUCAGUACAUAUCAUGGUGAAAAGACACGACCAGAUUGGUAAAAUAUUCAAAAUUGAUCACUGGAUUCACCUAGGGCAGUCAAGGUAUUUCAGUCUUUUCACAGGCUACGUUGCUCCGAUUGAGCUGAAAUUUUGCAGGCAGCUAUUAACAUCAUUUGCUACAAAUUUCAAUGUUUUAACCUAAGCUUGAUUCGGCCUCUAACAUGGUCAAACAGAACCGGGUAGAACAGGGCAAAUUGGAACCCUAAAACUGAAAUUUCCGCACAAAACCGAAAUUUUCCGCAAACAACCACAACUAACAUAUAAAAGCUUCAUUUUACACCAUAUCAAGCCAUCAUUCAUGGCCAACCAAUAACUAUCAUAUAAAAACAGAAAAAUUCCCAAAAAAAAACAGAAAUUUAUCUAACUCUACCUCAAACCAUAAAAUCUUCCAUACAAUAACAUAUUUAACCACCACAAACCACUAAUUUGACAUUAGCAUGAACAAAGAGGAAGUUUGUAAGCAAAGUACCUUAACACCUCAAGAAAGAUGAUAACUUAGGGUUUUCCUUUCACAAAUCCCUCCACUAGAAGCUUUAAUCCUCCUUGUCUAGCAACUUUGAUGGUGUAUUUUGCAACUUACUUGGUUAGAACUCAAGAUUGAAGCAAAUUGAAGUUGGCAAAUGAAGUUUUCUCCCUUGGUUUUUCUCUUCAAGAAGCUCGGCCAAGAAGGUAAAGAAUGAAGCAAAAAUUGGUCAAAAUUAAGGUUUUAGUAAAGGUAAAGAAAGUUAGGCAAGUCCAACUUCCAAUCGUGUCGCGACACAUGGCACUUUUAAUGGUUCAAACUUAUCUUCUUUCUUCCAGUGGUUAAUCUAUCUAGCUAACCUCUAAUUAUCUCCUAGCACCUUAUAAAAUAAUAACACUUAGCACAAAAAUCACUUAGUCACCAAACUUAUAUCGCACUAGCGGGUCCCACGUCUAUAACGCACUUCAAAUUAACGUACACUAACUCAUACUAGGAAAAUGAAUUUAAAACUGUACUUGCUUGUAAAAAUGCAUAGAAAUUUUAAUAUUUCCAAGGAAAGUAUAAAAUAUAGGCAAAGAAAUAAAAUAAUGCUGAGAAAAUGUGACAAUUUUUGGGUUCUCACAGUCUAAUUGUAGUCUGAUUUCAUAGAUUAAGAUAUGAUUGCAAUGUCAAUAAUAGGGAUAAAUUGUAAGGUGGUUAAAUAUCAUUUUAAUCAUACUAGUCACCAACUAUAUUUUGAAACUCAAACCAGAUAGGAACACGGUCGAGUUCAGGUAUUAGAGUUCAAUGCCUUUCAUUGGGGUCGGACCCAAUCAAGGACUGGAUGAUGUUAUCAAGAUGUCAUAAAUAUAAUUAAUUUUAAAAAUUAAUAUACAAUAAAAAUUUCUAAAAGCAUAAUAAUUUCAACGUGUGUUCAUGUACGUUUGAUGUAUCUAAAAGUAUUACCCACUAUAAGUAAAAUAUUAUGCACAAUAUUAUUUUAUAAGAUAGAAAAUAAAGUUAUUAGUUGAAUCUGAUUGUUCCUUAAUGACUGGUGGCACAACUCUAGACUCAUUUAGCCAUGAAUGACAUUCCAAUACAUCAUCACAUAUCACAAAAAGUCUCUAGUAACAAAAAGAAAAAAUUAGAAAAGUUUCCAAAAAUGUAAAAAAAUUAAAAGAUAAAGAUGUACUAAGUUAUAUAUUUAAAAAAAAUCUAAUUUUAUAUCAAAGAUACAAGUUUUACAAACAUUAUCAAUGACAAAAAUAGUGAAAAACACAAUUUUUUAGAAAAACAAGUGAAAUAAAGAGAUUUAUGCAUCCAAAAUCUGCUUCUCUUUACCCACGACAUCAAGAAUACUAGUAGCAAAAGAUACUUAUUCUAGGAUACUUGAUUUGCCAUUUGUUAAAAGAAGAAAGUUGAAAAAAAAGAAGAAGAAGAAAGUUGAAACAAAUGAUACUAUUUUUGGUGAUUUCAGAUUUACAAUGUGUGCAGACGAGGACCAGCGAGCCAAAUUAAGGUCGAAUGUCGAACAAGCAGAAAAUGGUCGGAACUAAAUUUUUCAAUUUUACUCCAAUAUUUAAUUUAGAAUUUAUCGAGAAUAUAGGAUAGGAUUGCAUACUUUUCAAAUGAAAAAGAUAUUUGUAUUUAUACUAGGAGAGAUAUGUAGGAAAUUAUAAGGUCUAAUAGUAGUCUGACUUUGUAGGAUAAGAUAUGGCUGCGAUGUAGGGUUGAAUUAUUGGGUGGUUGAAUGUCACAUCAAUCAUACUAGUCACUAACUAUAGUUUGAAAAUUAGACCGAGCAGGGACUCGAUCGAGAUUAGAGUUUAGGGGUCAAUGGGUUCGAUUGGGGUCAGACCCAUUCAAGAACCAGAUGAUGUUAUAAAUACAAUUAAUUUUAAAAAUUAAUAUACAAUGUAAAAUUUCUAAAAGUGUAAUAAUUUCAACAUGUGUUCAUGCACGUUUGAUAUAUCCAAAGCUACUAUCCACUACUUACCAAAAUAUUAUAGUAAAUAUUAUAUUACAUCAUAGGAAAUAGAGUCAUUAGUUGAACUUAAGUCUUGCUUAAUGACUAGUAGUACAAUUUCAACCUCAUUUAGACAUGAAUGACGUUCCUGUACAUCAUCACAUAUCAUAAAAAGUUUCAAUAAACAAUAAGAAAAAAUUAAAAAGUUUUUAGAAAUAUAGAAAAAAAAGACAAAGUUGUACUAAGUUAUAUUUUAAAAAAAUCAACUUUAUAGUAAACAUUCAAGUUUUACAAACAUUAUCAGUAACAAAAAUGAUUGAAAACGCAAUGUUUUAGAAAAGAAAGUGAAACAAAGGGAUUUAUGCAUUCAAAACUUGCUUCUUUUUACCCAUGACAUAAAAAAUACUAGAAAUAAGAGGUACUUAUUCUAGGAUACUUGAUCUGCCGUUGGUUGAAUGAAGGAAAUUGAAAUAAAUGACACUAUUUUUGGUGAUUUUAGGUUUGCAGUGUGUGAGGACGAAAACCAACGAGCCGAAUUAAGGUUGAAUGACAGGAACUCGAUCAAGAUUAGGGGUUAGAGGUCAAUGAGUUCGACCGAGGUCGGAUCCAUUCAAGAACCAAAUGAUGUUAUCAUGAUGUCAUAUAUAUAAUUAAUUUUAAAAAUUAAUAUACAAUGUAAAAUUUUUAAAAGCAUAACAAUUUCAACGUGUAUUCAUGCAUGUUUGAUUUAUCCAAAACUAAUCCUAUUACCGAUAAAAUAUUAUACUAAAUAUUAUAUUGUAUGAUAGGAAAUGGAGUUAUUAGUUGAAUCUGAGUCUUGCUUAAUGGCUAGUAGCACAACUCUAGCUUCAUUUAUCCAUGAAUGACGUUUUUGUACAUCAUUACAUGUCAUAAAAAAGUUUCUAGAAACAAAAAAAAAUUGGAAAAGUUUUUAGAAAUGUAAAAAAAAUUCAAAGACAAAUAUGUACUAAAUUAUAGUUAAAAAAUUCAACUUUAUUGUAAAGAUACAAGUUUUACAAACAUUAUAAGUAACAAAAAUGGUGGAAAACAUAAUUUUUUAGAAAAACAAUUAAACAAAGGGAUAUUAUGCAUCCAAAACUUGGUUCUUUUGACCCACGGCAUCAAGAAUACUAGAAGUAAGAGGUACUUAUUUUAGAAUACCUAAUCUAUCAUUGGUCGAAAAAGAAAGUUAAAAUAAAUGACCCUAUUUCUGGUGAUUUUAGAUUUAUAGUACAUUCGAACGAGGACCAGUGAGCCGAAUUAAGGUCAAAUGCUAGACAAGUUAGAAGUGAUCGGGACUAAAUCCUCCAAUUUUACUCUGAUAUUGAAAUCUGAAGUUAUCGAGAGUUGUAUAGGAUAAGUAGGAUUGCAUACCUUUCAAGUAAAGAAGGUAUUGAUAUUUAUACUAGUAGAGAUAAGUUGAAAAUGAUGAGGUCUAAUAAUAGUUUGAUCUUGUAGGAUAAGAUAUGGUUGCGAUGUCAAUAGUAAGGCUGAAUUAUAAGGUGGCUAAAUGUCAAUAGUAGGGCUGAAUUAGAUCGGGCAGGGAAUCGGUCGAGGUCAGGAGUUUGUGGUCAAUCGGUUUGACCAUGGUCAGACCCAUUCAUAACCGGCUGAUGUCACCAUAAUGUCAUAAAAUAUAACUAAUUUUAAAAAUUAAUAUAUAAUGUAAAAUUGCUAAAAGCAUAAUAAUCUCAAUGUUUGUUCAUGCUCAUUUGAUGUUUCUAGAAUAUUUUACAAGAAAAUGUAAAUAAAAUAAUAUAAUCAAGUAGAAAUCUAUACAAUUUAAUACAUAUUCAACAAGUUUGGAAUUAAAUUGGAGGGAUUAUUUUAAAAAUAAUAAUAGAUUUAGGACAAAAGUUAUAAAUCAUAAAAUGUUACUAGCUAUACUAAUAGUUUUCUAACACUAGGGGUCAAAUCAUAAAUUCAAGAAAAUUUUGAAACCCUAAAAUUGAUUUGAAUUCAAUGGUGUGGACCUGCGGGGCCCUCAGAGUGAGGUCCAACUGUCAGAUUUGACUCACUGAAAUGUGGAGUACAUACUAGUUAUCAUAGUGAAUGAAUUCCUACUUUUUCUCCUUGUUUCUCUCAUCACCCAUUUUCUUCCUUUCUUGCCUUGUCCUUUCUUUUCCAGCCGCAGUUUUCUUCUUGUAUUUCUCACAUUUUUUUCUUUUUUACUUCUAAAUCUUUGCAUAUUUUUCUCUAUUCACUACAAGAAAUCAACUUUUAUUAUUCAUGCUCUUUUUCCCUUUACUUCUCUUCUCUUUUUUUUUUCUCAAUUCUUUUAAUCCUAACUUUAUAUUGUUCAAUAUUAUGUUGAAAGAGCCAUAUGUGGUAGUAGCAGUGGAUAUGCGCUCAAGGAUCGAAUGCUAUAUUAAAAGUUUUAGGAGUAAAAAUGUUUGAAAUUGAAUUUUGGAAAACAAUCGAGUUUUCUCGGUUGUUUACGGUUUUCAAUCAAACGCAGUUUUGAUCAGGUCCUUGUCCACCAGAAAACUCAAACAUGACAUAUUUGAUGGGGUUCUUGUCCACCGGAUUUUUGAACACACUCAAACAUGACAUGUAUCCGGUUUUUGAUCCCACUGGUUGAACCGAUUGGUCCAAUAUGAAUUUAAAAAUAUGGGUCACCAGUCACCAGUUACAUUGAUGACUAGUCGAAACUUUUGAUACCUCGGGUAGAUGGUCAUCCCGAGAUGAAUUCCUGUCAAAAAGCAUCUAGGCUGAGAUAUUAUCUGCACCAGGUUAACCGAGAUGCUUUCUCAUUCGAGGUAGAUGAGGUAUUCACACUGAACCCCCUAAUUUCGGAAAGGAUAAAUAGUUCAGAGGACUGUCUUUUUCAAGGUUAUAACUCGAAAUGAUCAUGGAAUACACAUGACAAAUCAUAGUGCUACUAAAGAGACAAUAUGUCAAGAUGGAAUGACGAAUGUUAGCACAGAAAACUAAUAGCAUUAUUUUGUAAUGUCACUAAAAUUUUAGGAAACAUUUGUAGAAAAAUAAAAAUGUAAUCUACGGAUGCCAAACCUCCUUUCCAUACACAAUCAAAUGAUAUCAGAAGUUAGGGUUUCGUAAUCUAGAGCAGUUCUUAUCUGAUCAUGCCAUCUUGGCUAUCUUCAAGAACAGUUACCCGUAAUAACUGAAAAAAGAAAUUAGGGAAAUUUUUUUUCCAAAUGCAAAAAUCAUUCCUGUAGCAGAAGUAGGAUACAAAACUAACACAUGAAAUGGUCUCCAAAGUUCAAGCUCCUGGUGUUAAAGUCAAAGUUAUCCAAAUAACCUUAAUUAAAAAUUAUAUAAUAAGUAUCUAAGAGGACAAAUAAGUAAUUCCGAAAUGAAUUCCCAUCAAAGAGCAUUUAGCCCGAGAUAUCCUCUACACUAGAUUAAUCAAGAUGCUUUCUCAUUUGAGAUAGAUAAGGUAUUGACACUGAACCCCUUAAUUCCAGAAAGAAUAAAUAGUUUAGAGAACUAUCUUUUUGAGGUUAUAACCCGAAAUGAUCAUGGAAUACGCAUGGUAAAUCAUAAUUCUACUAAAGAGACAAUAUGACAACGUGGAAUGACAAAUAUGUCCCUCUUCUAAAAGGUGUUAGAUAAACUGUCAGUCAUUUAUGAGGGAUGAGAGUCAAGCACUUCAAGAUUCAAAAAGUCCACCUUUUCACCUUCCUUAACACCUAUAAAUAGGGGGUAAUUUAAUUCAUCACCCAUUUUCACCGUAUAAUCAAAUUGUAAUUUUUCAUCUAAAAUAAUCAAACGAGGUGCUUUGACAUCUCCAUCCUUGCCGAGAACUCUAUGAAAUAGUAUGCCAUAUUUUGUUGUAAUAGUUAUGGUUAAAAUAGCAAAAACUUACAAGGAAAGAGUGAGCCGAGUUUUUCUGAGAAAAAGAGACCUAACCCUACAGAAGAGGAGACAACGUAUACAAAACAAACUUCCAGUUCAGGAGAAGAGUCUGUAGAAGAAUCCAAAAUAGAGAGGGUAGAAGGAUUAUCCCGGUCCACCGAGGAGUUAAAGGCAUUGUAUAAUGACGCUUAUGGUUCUGAGAUGCCUCAAGACGUUGGGAUAGUUGUGCCUAAAACACCUCUUAACCUCGGCCUGGUUGGCUUUAGCAAACUUCCCUUAUUCAGAAGCACGAUUGAGGAGGCUGGGUCGAGAGUCUUGUUAUGAGCCUACCUGUUCUGCCGAGAUUACAAUACAUAUUGACAGAGCCGAAUCAAUUAGUGGUCAUUUCACCCCAGGACCAAGUGGCAAUAUAUGCUGACCAUUUCCAAUUCCUCUGAAGGGAAGCACGAUCGAGGAGGCCGACUCAAGAGUCUGGUUAUGAGCCUACCCAUUUUAUCGAGAUUACAAUAUAUAUUGAGUAAAACCGAAUCAUUCAGUGGCCAUUCCAUCCUAGGACCAAGUGACAAUAUAUGUUGAGCAGUUCCAAUUCCUCUGAGACAACCUUCAGUACUAAGGAACUCGGAUUACCUAGUUGACUCUGAAUGCCAUCCAAAUCUUGGUAGGGUUCGAGACGUUAUACCGAAAAUAAGGCGUGGUUCCCAUGGUCAAUCUCUUCCAAAGAUUCUAUAUAACUAAGAGUGGUGGAAAUGUGGAGAGGUGAAUGUAAUUUGGCACCCAAUCCAAGAAUAUCGAGAAGUUAGUUGUGGAUGCCUUGACUUCCAUUAAAAGAUAGAAAAUUAAUUUUGCUUUUGUACCACACGAGAACUUUCCUACGGAAUUUUGGCGGAGAUCACAUAAUGCACCAGGCGACCCAUCUCUAGGACUCGUGGAAAAGUAGAAUUUUUAGAAGAUAAAAUAGUCAGGUCUCAAGAUAAAUAGUCGGUUCUUCCCUGAGGCAGUUCUAGUGGAUAGGGGCAUCAGCCAAACUUUGAUUAGCCUCAACAAAUCUCCCUAGUAUUUUUCUAGUUUUGGCAGUACUUGUAAUUUCUUUUUUCAUUAAGUAAUUUUGUAAUUAUUCCUAUUGCUAAGUAAUAAUUUGUCUCUUCUUUACAGUGGUGAAGGUAUCUGACUUGAUCAUCUCGUGGGCUAAAAUAGUAGCUAAAAAGCAGAAAUGCAAGGCCUCUAAUGCAUAUUCUGGAGCGGGAAAGAAGCAGAAGAGUGUCUCAGCCAUUUCCAACUUUAGCACAUCAUAUAUCUGUUCCUAAGGGCAUUGCUACCUAAAGUUUCACUAUUAUCUUGGUUGGGCAUGAGAAGGAGAAGCUUCUCCACUCCUAUCCUUUAGUUAUUGUUGGGUCAUCUCUGCGGAAUAGACAUCUUAUCCCUUUUCUGAAGCCUUCCUGUCCUGAGAUAAGGCACCUUGAGGAGUACUUUGGCUCACCUUGGCAACUUACCAUCAAUAACUGAUGCCAGGAUCUAGGUCAAUCUCGGGAAUUGCUUCUUAACUCGGUACUGCCAUAAGAUGUUGAUUGGUCCCGAGCUGAUUGACCACCUGGCCAUUGCUUGGGUCUCGUCCAACAUCUUUGUAGCCAAUAUGAUUCAAUGGUUUGGGGUCAUGUAGGGUGCCCAAUUGUCAGCUGCACCUCUCCUAAAGAAUGUGAAGGUUUUAGAAACGGAGCUGGAAGUGGUCAAAGAUGAAAGCGACCAUGCUAUUAUCGAGGCCAACUCCCUAAGAAUGACCUAUAAGGAAAGCAAAAAAGACUUCAAGAAGAGAGAACGGCCAAUGAGAUAACCUUGGAGAAGGCUUGGAUCUCAGUGGUAGAGGCCUUCUUGAAAUCCACAAAUUUUAAUAAAGACUUGGUGAGCUGACUACCUCGAGCUUUAUGUUUGGCUUCACUACAAUUAUCAAUAAGGUCAACCAUCUGCUGUCUGAGGAGGAACUUGAAAGGAUCAAAACCAAUACCAACUACAACGAGGAUGCCAAAGAGUUGUGCGAUUAGAUGGCAGCUGGUAUCUCUCAUGCUAUUGACCUCUUCUCUUGUCAAUUGUCUUUGUAGCAAGUUCUUCUCCCCCUUUCUCUUCCUACCUCUAACAGCCUAGCCUAAUUGCACAACUCCACCUGGCACGACCUUCUGCAACCGAUAAUUUGCCUUAUAGGUACUGAGCAAUGGCUAGUUUUGAUUGUGUACAAAUGUUAAUUCUUUGAAAAAAAUUCAUUUUGGAGUAUCAUGUUUGCUAAAUUCUUUCUGCAUUUCCACAUUUUUAGAUGAUUAAUUAUGGAGUAUGUGCAUAGUGUUCCGAUUUUAUCUAAAUUUCGCUAUGUUAGGCUGAUUUUAUGGAAAGGGCACUACUGACUGUCAUGAACAAUUUAGAUGAAGGUAGCCUCUACAAAAUGGAGACAGAUAGAAUAAAUAAUAGCAUACUUGCAUUAAAAAGCAUUUAUGGCCUGAGGUUCCUAAAUUGUUGAAGUAUUUAUCCUUUAGUUCUCUAUUUCUUAAACCAUCUGCUAUUGGUAAUAUAACUAUGACUAUGAAUUUCCAGUUUUUACAUACAUCAUAUCGUUGUUUACAAACUACAUAGCGAUAAAGUUGCAAAUAUUAGUAGAUGAGAAACCAUAACUGCAUAUGAAAUUUAUUGGAACGUGUUCUAUUGCUUGACUUCAAAUUUUUAGAUAUUUUCACCUUGAGCAACUGCAUCUGGAUUAAGUUUUCUAUAGUUAAAUAUCUGUAACAUUAGGUUUUAUAAUCUAUGAUGGAACCAAAACGGUUGCUUUAAGAAAGACUUUGGAGUGAACAUAUGAGUUUUUCAAAUUAUUGUGGCAAGGAAAAGUUUAAUUUUCGAGGACACUUCUAAAAAUUCUCAAAUCUUUAAGGGGAAAAACCAUGGAUUACUAGGACUUGGGGUGCAUUGGUCCCUGCUUGCCUCCCCUUAGUUCUCAUGUUAAGUGUAAUUUGUAUAUUUACAAUUUUGAGUAUGCAUAUGCUUACAAUUGCUUAAAGCCAGGAAUCUAGUGGUAAGGAAUCUAUGCCUCUUUUUAGAAGAUAAAUUUGGAAGUGCAUAUACUUACAUGUCUUCUGUUGUUUUGUGAAAAUUCUAGGGUGUAUAAUCGAUUUACAUUCUGUAGGAUGAAAGUCUCAAUUCAUUCUUUUGUCAGUUGUUAUGGGCUCUGUGGCUUUUUAGGAAGCAAGAUCAUGCCACAGUGCUUGAGCUAAACCAAAGUUUUAGUUAGGUGAACGAUGUUGAUAGUGCACUUUUCAAGAGAUAUAUGUACAAUGACUUUUUUUGUCGAUAUGUUUUAAUUUCUUGAAACCAUUUCCUUUGGAAAGAUAAUUGAGCUUUUUUUCUAUUGUUGGAAACGAUAAUAGGUUGUUGACAUAAUAUUGUAGUUGGAGAUGACUGGUGAUUAAGUGUGAAUUCAGUUGAUUUGCAGUCUUCAGAAGUUUAUCACAAGGUUGAACUUAUUCAUCUAGUCCUAUCUGGUAUACAGUAUCACAACAAAUGGCUUCUAAAGGUAAAAGUUUUAUAGGUAAAAUGAAAAAAAAUUUCAUCUUCACAUUAAUUGUUAAAGAUACUCAAUGAAAGAUGUGUCCAGAUUAUGGUAUGUUAUCCAUUGUAAGAUCUAAUGCAAUAUUUUUCAUUUUUCUUCCAUUUGUGGUUUACCCUUUCUAAAUUUUGUAUCUGGUCCCUUCCAUAAACUUUCUUUGAAUCUACAUUGAAAAAUUUUAGGUUAACAAUGUAGUUGUUGUGAGCAAGCAUACAAGUCCACAUCAAUUCAGUGUCAAAGGAGAGGGGGAUUGCAAAAUAGCAAUCAAAAGUCCCUCAUCUUAGGAAGUCUAAAUAAUUUACUCUUUUCUAUUUGUGGUUGCAAACUUAUAGCAACCUAUUAUUUUGUGAUAGGUGAAAAAGAAAUAGCUUGUUAUAUUUCUCCCGAUAUAAUUAUUAGGAAUGCGUAUGUGUUACAUUGAUGAAUCAUGUUGAUUUGCUUCAGGGUUAGAUUGCCAUGCUGAUGCCUCAUGAAGAAGCUUCCAAUUCCUUGAAGCAGUGCGAGUUCCCUUCUUCAGAAAUAUAUGUUAUGGGAAUUAACAAUAUGGCUCUACAAACACAGCUGAAGUAUCAUUCAUUUAUGUGCGAGGAGUUUGAGCAUCCACAUAUGGCAAGGUUAUCUCAUGCGGAAUUCUACCGAUUACCCAAAUUCUUGGUAAAAUGCUCUUGUCCUCUACCUGCUUCUAUUAAAACCAAAAUCCACGCUUUAGGAUUGUCUUAGACUUGCUCAAAGGUCAGCAUGAUGUUAAAAUCAUCAAUCUUAUGAUGGAACUGUUGAAAUCAGUGCCUUUGUGUUUUGAUAGAGUACUUUGAUCCCUCUAUUCUUUAAGGGCAAAGUGAACAAUCCAAAGGUAAGAGCCACUAUGAGAUUGCAAUGGUUAUGGCUGGCAUGAGUAUGGAAGCAAGCGUUGAGUGUACAUGGUAGGGUGAAGGAAUUAACACGGGACCAAUUACCAAUGAUGAGCAGAAACAUCUACGAGUAUCAGAUUAUGCUUGUGCAUAUUAAAAAUGUGAUAUCCAAGAUCACUAAGAAUGAAAACAGUCCAAUGAUAGAAUACAUAACAAUUCAGCUGCUGAGCUUCAAGGCAAAUCGGCAAAACUAGCUGUCGGAUUUAAAAUAGACAACCAAAGUAGUGUGAGGUAUGCUGAGGCUAAUUCUUAGGUUGAAAAGCCUAUUUAUUCUGCUUUGAAUUCAAGAUACCUCCACAAGUAGAAAUGAUCGUGCACUAUGUUGAGUUGACAAUGCAAGUGUUGAUAAUAUUUUGAAGUUGUUAAAUGUGGAUGCGUUUGGCAUGAUAGGUAGUACUUCUAUUGUACAUCAAUUGCAAUAUCCCAUGUACUCCUGGGCUAAUUGGUUGAUGUUUGAAUUUUUUUUUUUGUUUUGUUUGGCAUCACAUCAUUUGGUAUUGAAUCCGUUGACAGGAAACCUAGUAUCUCAUACUGUAGUAUCAUCCAAUAAUUGAUUUUUUUUGAAAUGUAGUGACAAUCACUUGUUUGUUCUUAUUUAGUUCUAGCAUCACUUGUAACUUCUUGAAACAUUUGUAAUUGGUUACAGGCAGUUAACUUGGUUUACUAGCAUCCUAUAGGAUGAUGGACACUAGUGCAUUAUUUCUCAUAGUAUUUGAUGUAUCAAAAGCACUUGAUGUUUGCAUUUCUUUUUAGAAAUUAAGUUAGUGAGUCUUACAAAAGAAAAUUUCUGAAGUGCAUGUAUUCUGCUUUUAGUUACUAAAUUGCAAGAAUGGUUUCUUCUUAUCAUGGAGCUGGUUGUUGUUGUGAAAUUGGAGGACUAGGAUGAUACUGCUGCUAGUGAAAUUUCGGUGGCCUUGCAAAUAUAACUAAAAUUCAGAUGAUCCUUCCACCCUGGAUUGUAGGUGUUUGAAUAAGGAUCAUAGUGCCUUUGAGGUGGAUCAGGAAAUCCCUCAUCUGCAUUCGCAUAUUCAUUCAAAUCAUCUUGUAGUGUAGGGCACAUGUCAGUUGGAUGAUCCGAAACAUAGUAAAUUCUAUAUGUUUUAUCCUGUUGUACCUGUCCUACAACUAAUUUUUCCACUAAAGAGGUUAGAGAAUCUAAUUUUUGUUCAAUAGAAGAAGCACUUACCUCAUUGACUUUUCUAGGGACAUAUUCCUAUCUAUCACCAAAUUGUUGACCAUUGACUACCAUACUUGAAAUUAUUUUCCUUGCUUCCAUUGGCGUUUUAUUUACCAAUGCUCCUCCACUAGCAGCAUCAAUAAUUUUCCUAUCUGUUACUAAUAAUUCCUUAUAAAAAUAUUGAAUGAGAAGUUGGUCAGGGAUUUGAUGGUAAGGGCAACUUGCACAUAACUGUUGAACCUUUUUCAAUACUCGUGCAAAGCUUUUCCAUUGAAUUGUCUAAUCCCACAAAUAUCUUUCCUGAUGCUUGUAGCUCGGGAAGCAGGAAAGAAUUUUUCAAGAAACUCUGUCUUCAUCUCAGUCCAGGUGGUGAUUAAUCUAGAUGGUAAAUAACAUACCAGUCCUUUGCUUUAUCAGCUAAAAAAAAUGGAAAGACUUAAUUUUAUUUGCUCCUCAGUGACUCCUUGGGGCUUUAUGGUCGAGCAUACCACAUGAAGUUCCGUGAAGUGCUUGUAAUGAUCUUCACCUAGAAACCCAUGAAAAGAAGGAAGUAAGUGAAUUAAACCAGAUUUUAACUCAAAUGGUACAUCUAAAGUAGGACAUCUGAUGCAAAAAUGUUGCUGAUUUAAAUUAGGUGCAGCUAAUUCUCUCAAAAUUCUCUCGUUCUCGUUCGCCAUGCUUUUAAUCUUCUCUUUAGAUUCACUGGAAGAUUCAACUAAGCCAGAUGCCAGUUUUAGCCCAGGGAAUGAAGAUGAUAGCUUUGCCGUUGCUUAGUUUCCCUUUCCAAUCUACACGCUGUCUACUCUAUCUCAAGAUUGUAUUGCAAUUCACCUAUAUGAGAAGAUCGAAACAUAAUCUAGCAACAAAAUAAAAAUGAAAAUCCAAAGAAAAUAAAUCAACAAAGGUACCAAUCCCCCACGAUGGCGCCAAAAUUUGUUGACUGUCAAAUCAACAAAUAUAAAAAUUCUACACCAAAAAUAUAAAUUCAAUAGUGGUAAGAAGGGUAGUAUCCUCAGGGAUUGGGUGAUUUAUUUUAUUAAAAAAACAAUGACAAUAAAAUAAGAUGGGGGAUAUUGGAAAAAUUAAUCUAAGUAAUUUAAUCGACGAAAAAUAAUGAUGCAAAAUUAAAUAAAAAUAAUCCAAUAUGAAAAAAGUCUCUAGUCAAAGGUUAAUCGCCACUUUGGUUCAUUUACUGAUCAUCUAUGAAAAGAAAUAAAUCAUUUAUUUAUAAACAAACCGGUUAUGGUUGUAAACAAACUCUAACAACCAGCCUCUCCGUACUUCUUCGAUAACCACAACAAACUCUAUGAUUAUUUCCUUUACCAAUUAAACAAUCCUAAUCAAGCUCUUAGGAUUUAAUUUAUUAACAGUAUUAGUUAUUAGAAAGACUACCAACCUCAACCAACAAACACAUAAGAUCAGUUCAUUUAAACUAGAUUGUAUAUUCCCGUGCUAAUAAUCCGAAAGUUUCUACUACAAUUAAAUUAUAUCACUCGCCACAGAUACUAAAACUAUCAAACAAUUACAGAUUUGAUUUUUUUAGAUGACAGUAGAUUAUUCUAACAAUUAAAUAGUGAUAAGGUAUUUAACCGUAGAAAAUAAUCGUAUCAAUAACAAACAUAGAAUAUACAAAUCUUCAUAAAUAAAUGUAACCAUAAGAACAAAUUAAAUCUCACAGUAUUUGUCAAACCAAAAUUUUGAUUAUCCUUUGACUAGAACAGGGAUUUAACCAUGCCUAAUGGUUGAAUUACAGGCAAAGACAUGAUUAGGGUUUGUUAUUGUAAAGGAAAGAAAGAAAAGAAAGUAUCUUCUACUUUAUUCUAAUGAAGGAUAAGCUAAAGCCAAAAAAGUCAGUAUUUUGCUCCGACUUGUGCUCUCCUAAUCGUUUUUAAAAGUCACCAUCAUCCUCUACUAAUACUUGCCUCCUUGUUCUCAAAAGGAUGAGAAUCCUUUUAUAUAUAAUACUACCAAUAAUACUAAAUAAAAAUAAAAGAUAUUAUUCCUAAAAAUUAAUCAAUAUGAAACUUCGAAAAGGAAAUAAAUCUCUUGAUUAGUAGAAAAAAUUUGAGCAGGGCCCACUUCCAAUCUCGAGAUGUCCACACUUCACAACAAGUUAAGACGUGAUCGCGGCAUUUUGGAAAUUCAGCUUUUAAUACCCUUUUUACUCCCUUUUCACAAUAAAUUCCUAGAAAUAACACCAAAAAUCAAAUAUGAGUAAAAUCAAGCAAUUAAUACCAUAUUUUGGCAAAAUAAAAAGGAAAAAUAUAUACAAAUUAAGUGUACAAUUAACCAUCUAACACCUUCACAAAAUUUUUUCUUCCCUGCUUGAAUUUCUUGGCCUGCUUAGCGUCGAGCUUGAUCAAACACCACUAUGACAAUCAACAAUUUGGCAAGACUUUUUUCCCUAAUCAGUGCACAACACCAACAAUCUCAACAGAAUCCCUCUUUUUAGACUUCUAUCUAAUUAGGAUCACUUCUCCCUAAUUCCAACUAAUGAACGAGUACUCCAAGACCAACUUCCGUGGCCCAAUUUUUCAAUACACGAGUACUUUAGCAUAAUCUCUACACCCUUCUAUGGUAUAGGCAUCUCUAUCACAAACUCUGCACAUCCUUCAGACACCACAGAUACCCUAAGAUCAAACUCUUGAACAUAGAGUUCUGAUACCACUUGUUAGGAUAAAAAAUCAUGCAGCGGAAGAAACGUGAAAUCUUCACAAAUAACAAAGAAUAAGAAAGGCACAGGAGGAAACAAAAUAUUUUGCUUCAAUUCAACUACAAACUUAGGAUUCCAAGUCUUUAAAUAGAGAAAUAUAACCACAAAUCCUAUUCUAAUUAUAAUACCAAAACAUGACUCAACUCUAUUUCCUAAACCAACUAUGACACCAAAUCUAAUAUAAUUACCAAAUAACAAAUCAAUUUCUAAAACUAUUAAAAUUCUAAAUACGUUUGAUUUAAAAUAUAUCAACAAAUUGCAUAUCUCCCCACGUCUAUGAUUAGUUAAGGGAUAAUUUCAGAAACCUCCUGUAAGGUUUGUAGCAAUAUUACUUGGUACCUAUGAAUUUUGAGAAAUCUCACCUACUUCCCUUAAUUUUAACAUUCUGUAUCAUUAUCAACCCAAUUCGAAACAUUAUCAAGAAACUCAUAUUUGGAGAUAGCAAAUAUUUUCAUGCCAAAAUUGCCCUUGUAUUAUACUAAUAUUUUUCCAAAAGUGAACAUAUAUUAUUGAAAGCAUGAAAAUAAAGACAAAUAGUGUGAAAGCAUAGUUCUAAUAGAAAUUAUAUCAGUAGGUGUUUUUAAGGUACAAAAGAUUAUUAUUUAAAAGUAUGUUUAAGAUGCUUCGAGUUAAAAAAAUUAUUUCAUUCACUAUUAGGUGCUUUCGUUAAUUUGAGGAGUUUUAAAAUUUUAAGAAUUUUGAACUUUCUAAAUUUUUUUUGUAUAAACCGAUGAGUUGAAUAUUAGAAACAGGCACAAUAUCUAAAAUUAUAUUUACAAAGUCAUUUGAGGUAUUUUCAAAAACGUAAAAAUAACUUUCUUUAUUACAAAAUAUUUUUGAAUGAAUUUAGAAUAUUAUAAAUUAUUUAGAAUUUUUUUAAUGCUCUAACUUUUUGCCCAAAUUGAUAACUUGACAACAAGAGAAUGAUAAAUUAUUAACAAUACAUUUAGAAACUUAUUUUAUGUAUUUUCACUAUGCAAAAUGUUAUUUUUUACAAAUUAUAACAAAAAUUUUUCUUUUGCAUUUCUUGUCUAAACUGAUGACUUCAAAAAUUGCAAAUGAUCUUUCAACCUAAUUAAUAUGUUGUAAUUCUUAAGCAUUUAAUUUGGUUUGUUAUGAAAAAUUAAGGUCUACAAGAAAAGGACAAUUUUGAAAUAGAAAUGUUUUAUCUCUCUCAAAAUGAGUUUUCAAAUCACAUCUUUUGAAAUGGGUUGAUAAAGUUAGAAAAAGUUAAAAAUAAGGGUGGUAGAUGAGAUUUCUUAAAAUUUAAGAGUACAAAAUGAUAUUGUCAUAAACCUCAGGGGAGGUUUUUGAAAUUAUCCCAUUAGUUAAUUACGACCACUAUUUCUUUGGCUUUGCAAUUAGACAUUCAUGCUCGUCUCCAUGAUAGUAUUUUGACAAAGGAGAUUUGGAACUAUAUGAACAAAUUAAUGUUAAGAGUGUGACAUUUUUUUAACGUAGUUCAAUUUCCCGACCUCUACCCUCAAAACCACCUUUGAAUUGUGCUUUCUCCUAUUUUGAAAAGCUAACAAGAUAACGGUCAACAAGGCAUCGUUUGAUAAUAUUAAAAUCUAAAAUCUGAAUUCUAAAACCUAAAAAUUAAUUACUGAAAACAUUACAUUGCUGAAUUGAUGAAGUUAUAUCUGUUUGAUAGCUAAGUGUAUUUAAGCAUUGAAUUGAAAUAUCACACAAGUACGGGAACUUUAUUGUUAAAAAAAUUGUCUUUAUUUGUGUAUUGGUGAAAACGAAAAGUAUAUGUGGGAGAGAGAAAACAUUGAAAUAAUUGAGAGGUGGUCUUUAAGUAUGGUUAUUUGAGUGUGAGAAUGUGUAUAUUUAAAGAGAAAAAGAGAAAAAAUGUACUUUAUAUGAGAUCAUAUAUAAGAGUGUAUUGUGUAUAUGAGAAGGAUAAUAUAUGUAGCCAAUUCAGAAAAUUUAGUGAAAAUUUUUCACUUAAAAUUUUGAACAAAAACUAUAUAGUGCGGGAUGUAUUAAAUGGUAAGACAUUUCCAUUAUCAAACAUGCUAAAUUUAAAAAAUUCUCAAUAAAUUACUUUUCAACAGAUCCAAAAUCUAGUUUGUACACGAAUUCCCUGAAUUCAACCAUAGUUUGUGCCUGCGUGUGUGCUCGUCGGAUGCACUGAUGAUCAUGGGAGAAAUUGUAUUUCCCAGUUGAAGAGGAUUGUUUUAGUUUAGAUCAUUUUCGAGUGUAGUUGAUGCUUUUAAAAUGAAACUAGUUGAAUUGGGCCUCACGCGCAGCAUGAGGUUACCCAGGAUUUCAGUGUUUUUUUUUUGGUUGUUAUUUCUAUCGAUAAGAGCACAAAUGAUGGAUGCCUUGGUUGUUAACAUAAUUGGUGUAGUAUUUUGACUUGCAUAAUGAACAGUCUAGCAAACACAGUUUUAAAUGAUUGAGUUUAAAAUUUUCAGAUUUGGCCAAAAAAUUAGCAAGUUCUGACCUUGACUGUGUGUUGUUUUAUUUCUAAGUGCAAGUUAAUAAUUCCCGACUGUGUGUUCUAACCUUGACCGUGUGUUGUUUAGUAAGCUGCAAUGUAGCCUCCCGGUAAAGCUUGGUUUUUUGUGUCCUAACGUAAUAUCCAUUUUGUUUUAUCAUAUAAUUUAAUAAAUCAAAAUUAUAUCAAUACGAUUAAUAAAAAAAGUAAAAUAUGAUUAAUAUUUCUCAAAAACAUUUAGUCAUUAAUCCAAAACAAAAUUUCCACGUGUCAACAGAUUAGAAAAAAAAAACCAAAAAUCCAUUGUUUUCACUAAAGAAUGCAAAAUGGCGAAGGGCUGUGUUUACUACCAAGAGGGUACUCAUCACUUUUAACGUCCGUUGGUGCAGCCAUGCAGUAAUAAAGUGCAUUUUUGUUAUUGCAAAUCCAUCAUCUAAAACUGAUAUGAUCCCGUCAAUGGACGAAACUCGUAUGUGAUCAGUCUAGAAUCUAUGUCCUAUGGAUCAAAUUUGCACAACACUCUGACCGUGGUUGCAUAUGACUUUAAGUCUAAUAGAUUUUUAUAAGUUUAAUUUGACAAAACAACAUAAUUUUAGUGCAUUUGAGAAAUGCUCACUUAAACAAGCUUUUAUCUAUAUAUUUUUAUUGCAUUUUUCAUCACUAUUCAAGGAUCUACAUCUCCCGCUGGUUCAUUCCCAGGGAUGUUCCUAUAACUCAAGUCAUGCACUCUCUAAUCAAUCAGAGGAAAGUAAACAAUGCUAGCAUGAUUUGUUGGGAAAAAAGGAAAUCAAUUAAAUGUCUAGUUAGAAAUUAACAAGGACCAAAGUCCGGAAGAAUCCAGUUUGGACAACCAUUUUCUGCUUGCGUUGUUUUCCGUGAUCACAUUUUCCUAUUACCUUUUUUUCUCACAUACAUCAAAUCGCUACAAUAAUUUUUCUUCAAAAAAUCCUAGAAACUGCAAUCCAAACAAGGCCUAAAAAUCCAAACAAGGCCCUUCCGGAACUUGCAAUUUCUUUACUACUUUUUGCCAAAAUUGAUCAUAAUAUGAAAUGCUAAUACAAAUAAAUGCUAGUCAAAUAAGAGUUUAGCAACAAAUAGGGACCAUAGACAAAGAACAACUGCAAUUUCCGGUAGCAAGUUGCUGGCAUUUUACCAAAGAACAUAUGUGCAAUAAAUGAUAAACUCAACUUUCAACAAUUGACUGAACACAUUAACUUCGUGCAUAAGCUGUGAAUGAAGCAUUUCAAUACUUUAAAGGGGUAAAAAAAAAAAAAAAGUUUCUACUUCUCCUAGCAAAGCUUUCUUUAACAAAUCCAUUUAAACAAACUUUCAAACUACACAGUGGAAGUAUUAUGUUGAAUUGAUUGCCAAUUUAAGAAUUUGAAAAUCAUUCUCAUACUCAAUUGGAGCUGCUACUAUUUCUACUGAAUGGCAAAAACCAUAUCAGAGAAGAAAAAAACCUGGCUUAAGUUCUACUUGUCUAAAUCUGAUGGUACUUAACUUGUUAUAGCAGUUACCAACAAACUAAAAUACAAAUAUAUAUAUAUAUAUAUAUAUAUAUAUAUAUAUAUAUAUAUAUAUAUCCAUUAACAACUUUAAAAUUUAAAUCAACUACAAUCCAAAAAUUAAAAGCUGAAGAAAUUAGGCCGAUUAGAAGACUUCUAGAAAAAUUUGGUCAUCCUACCUAAUAUUCCAUGAGUAAGCUGAAGAACUUAGGCCGAUUCAAGCUUUCCAUGAAAAGACAACCAUACCACACCUCAUUAAACCAAGUUACAAUCAUAAUUGAGGGCUAUAAAAGAAUUACAUGAGCAAUAUUUUUGUCAUCACGCAAAAUCAACCUCACACUUACCAGCGAGCUGGCCACAUACAACCAUUCAUGCCACCAAAUACCAUAAAAGUCCAUAAUCUUGUCAUCCAAUCAGAAGAGAAAUAAGAGGACUAAACCAAUCCCAAUUGAAAAUUCCCUCUUAGAUUAGUCAAGAUAGAAGACACUACAAACAUUACGGUUGUCACAUCAUCAGUGACAAGGAAAGGCAAAACACGGUUCAUCAAUAAUUGAAAUGACUAUUCAGGGCUUCGGAUAAUUAAAAAAAUACAGUAAAACUGAAUAUAAUAAUUGGGGCAGCUCGUAGGAAGAAACUGGACGGAUCUCAUGAAUCAUUUAUAAAGAAUUCCCAAAAAAAAAAAUUGUCAAUUAUUACAUUUCCUUGUUGAAUUCAUAAAGUUGGUCUGAAGUGUUUAUUGUCUUCUACCUAUGAGCCUUCAGCUAAGAAGCUUGAUUUCUCCUGCAAAAGAUUCUGCAAUAAUCUUAAAAUAGUCAAAACAGCCAAAAGAAAAAUAGUAAAGAAAUGAAACUACUGGCCCCGGAUAUCCAUUCAAUCAUUCAUACAGGAAAAUUGGAGUGAAACACCAAAUUCCUCUCCCUCUUGCUUCUUGAUCAUGGAGAUUCUAUUGAGUGUUCUGAUUCUGAUCUUCUCCAUCUUGAUUGCUCUAAUACUAUACCUCCAGCGAAAGGAGAACAAACAGCCUCCAAGUCCACCAGCCCUUCCAAUUGUAGGCCAUCUCCACCUCUUGAGAAAUACUGCUCCUCACUUGGCAUUUCAUAAGCUCUCCAUCAAGUACGGUCCCCUGGUUUCCCUUCGUUUUGGGAUUCGCCGCAUCCUUGUUGUGUCUUCUCCAUCACUUGCAGAGGAAUGCUUUUCCAAGACUAAUGAUAUCGUCUUUGCAAACCGGCCUGAGUCCAUUUCCAGUAAGCACCUUGGCUAUAACCACACUACUCUUGUUUUCUCCCCGUACAGAGAUCACUGGCGUAACUUACGCCGACUGACCGCCAUCCAUAUCUUUUCUUCAAUCAGUCUCCUCCAGUCCUCCUCAAUUUGGACAAAUGAGAUGCGUUUUAUUGUCAAAAAACUGUUCUCAAGUUGCUCUGAUGAGAAAAGUUGGAAAGCUGUGGACCUGAAUUCUUUGUUCUUGGAACUGGUUUUCAAUGUGGUAAUGAAAAUGAUUGCUGGCAAAAGAUGGCCAUCCGAUCAGUCAGGUGAUGCAUUUACGCCGAGUGCAUUCGCGGAUAUUUGUGAUUAUAUUCCAAUUUUAAGGUGGAUUGGUUUUAGAGGGCAGGAGAAGAGUUCGAUUAACUUGCAGAGAAAAAGAGACAAAGUUUUGCAGGAUCUGAUUGAAGAAACUCGGAAAAGGAAUGGUGAAGAUGUUUCAUGUUCAACUAAAACAAAAGAAAUUAUUCAAGCGUUGUUGUCUCUACAAGAUGCUGAUCCUGAAUACUACACAAAUGAAACAAUCAAAGGAAUAAUGCAAGUAAGUCUCUUUUUGAGUCUUUUCUUUUCAAAGGAUAUAUCCCUCUACCAGCGCCUUUUUAUUAUUUUAUAUAUAUAUAUAUAUAUAUAUAUAUAUAGGGAAAACAAAAUUGUUCAAUAUGGUAUUCGUACAUGUAGCAUCAUCCAAGAUAUGUAGUUCUAGGUUGCCCCAUACUAUUUGGGGCACAGGUUCAAUGUGCACUAGAGGCGAAAAUUGAGUACUUGAUAUGAAAUUUAACAACUUUGGACUUUGCUGUCGACUCGUAGGUCCUUGGAGGGCUAAAAGGAAAUUUAGUGGAAUCACUGAAUAGCCUUCUAUUUUAUAAUGGCCUAUACAGGGUCCCGGCUGAUGUUGCCUUAACAGGGCGGCUGAGAUCAAAUUUUUCUUGGUUAAAUACAAAAGACUCCCUUAUGGUUUAAUUGAAUGUUAAACUUAACUCUUUAUAGUACAAAAGCAUACAAUUUAUUUCUCGUAGUUUGUGAGUUUUUGAAAUACCUACAACAAGAUUCAUUAAACUUAACCCUAGCAACAUGUCACAAUUUUCCCUGUACAAAUAAAUGAGUUAAAAACCAAAGAUCCUACUGUAAUAAAGAGAAUGUUCAACUCAACUCUACCAUCACAACUGCAAUUACAGAAUCCCCUGAUCCGUCAACCCAAUAGACCUCAUAUUCACAUAUUUGAAGAUGCGGCCACGCAAUAAAAUGAUUCGAGACAAAAUAUUGUCAGCGUUGAAUAAAUGAUAAAUAUGCAAAAUUUGAAUUUAAAAUUCAAUUUUUGCACAUAUGUCAUAGAUUCAACAGUGAUAGUGUAUAUUCACAUAUUUGAAGAUGCGGCCACGCAAUAAAAUGAUUCGAGGCAAAAUACUGUCAGUGUUGAAUGAAUAACAAAUAUGUGAAAUUUGAAUUUAAAAUUCAAUUUUUGCACAUAUGUUAUAGAUCUAACAGUGAUAGUGUAUACACUGUCAGUGUAUAUAAUAUUUACUCUAAAGUAUUUCAUGUACAUUUGUGGAUAUAUGAUUGUUGUCUAGUGUUGUGAACGGUCAAAAUAUUACUCGACUACACAAUUGACUUUCUCCCUGCGUGCCAUUUUGUUAAUCAUAAUAACUAUUUUUGCAUGAUUAAAUACUUUCCAAUCAAGAACACUUAAUUCAUAUUACUACAUUAAGUACUUUAACAAACCACUGCAAAAUUUAAAACUGCAACACUUUCAAUUCAAAUUGAGGGACAGUUAUGAAACGAGUAAUUCUCUGUUUAGUCAAAUAAUCAUUUUUAAACUGUCUAUGAUGUAUACUCUUGGCAACCAACUAUUGUAAAGGCCAGGACUUCAACUGCUGAGGUAAUUCAUAUAUAUAUACCUUGGCGUUAGCUCUAAAAACCUGGCCCCUUGAAGGUUUCCAGGACUGAGUUUUGAUGCACAAGGAGCUGCCUAACUUGGCAUGUCAAAAACAUUUCUUUUUGUGUGGUUAACAUGUAAAACUACUAUGUUUUUUUUUUUUUUGUGUAUGUCUAACAAUCUAGAUUUUGAUAAACAAUAUUGAUAGUUUUUUGGUAUUAUAAUGUAAUUUUCCAUAAUAGACGAAAAUGAAGGUCAUUUUGUAAUUAAUCUUGUAAUGUAGAAACAUCCCGUGGUACUUCUUAUAUGAUUCGAAAAGUCUCAAUGUACAAAGUUUAUCUUCACUGAUGAUUAAUAAAAGAAAUUGACAUCAUACCGCAAUCAAUUCUGUUUCUAAAAUCAGAAUUUUUUCCUUGGAAGUGGAACUAACAAUUACUAUUAUUUCUGAGCAUUUAUUUCGAUUUUGCUUUGAUUUUGACUAAACUUCAGUUUGUUUGUCUAGAUUAUGUUUACAGCAGGAACACACACUUCAGCUUUUACCAUGGAGCGCGCAAUGUCAUGCCUGUUAAAUCAUCCAGACAUCUUACAGAAAGCAAAGAAUGAAAUCGACGACCAAGUCACAUACUCCGGGCGUUUGCUGGAGGAUUCAGAUCUCUCCAAAUUGCCAUAUUUACGUUGUAUAAUUAACGAAACACUUAGAAUUUUUCCUCCUGCACCAACUCUUGUACCACAUUAUUCAUCUGAAGAUUGCAUCAUUGGAGGCUACAAAAUUGCUAAAGGUACAAAUCUGUUUGUUAAUGCUUGGGCCAUUCACAGAGACGCCAACUUAUGGGAAGAGCCAAGCGAGUUCAAGCCAGAAAGGUUCGAGGGUUUGGAUGAAGGAUUUAAAUUUCUUCCAUUUGGAAAAGGGAGGAGGGCUUGUCCAGGGGCUGCAAUGGCUAUGAGAUUGGUUGGAUUGGCGGUGGGCACUUUGGUUCAAUGCUUUGAGUGGGAAAGUGCAGAAUCUCAAAUGGUGGAGUUUGAUGAAAAAUCUGGCGUCAUUUUGGGCAAGACCAAGCCAUUGGAGGCAUUGUACAAGCCACGCCUUUCCGUGAUCAACUUAAUUUCUCAGCUUUGAGUUUAUAUAAUAACUAGUUUUGUACCCGUUCGUUGAACGGGAAUCAUCGAAAAAUAAUAAACUAUUUAGUUAAUUUUAUAAAAAUGUCGAUAUAAAAUAAAAAUUUAAUUUAUAAUCUAUUAUAACUUAUCUUAAAUAUAUUACUAUGUGCGUAUUGUAAUACAAAGUAUUCUUAUAAUAUAAAUUUGAACAUCUAAUUCAGUGAAUAAUAAUUCAAAAAUAGAAAAAAUAUCAUUGAACAAUACCAUAACAUUAAAAAUUUUGAAAAUAAAUAAAAAGUGCAGUAAAUAGUAUCAAAUAAUAUUCUAUUCUUCAGAAACUUAUUUUUGUUUUUCUUCUAUUUGAACAUUCUCCUCAAUCUGUCCGUGCAAAUAAGCAUUUAUUGAUUUUCCAUUAUCGCUACAUGAUAGCAAAGCAGGACAACUAAGUAUUGGAAAAAAAAUGAUUUAUAACAUUCAAGAUUGUGUAUAACAAUACGUAAAGAUUAUAAUUUAAGAAAGUAAAAUAGUAUAUUAAAUCUACAUUCUCAUGCAAAUCUUUUUAUGAUGAUUCCCUUCCACUGUGGUUUUUGUUGAACCCUCUGAUGAAUGAUUCACAUGAAGUGUAUUGAAAUGUUGUUGAUUAGAAUCAUCUGUUAUACUAAUUGGGAUCUGGGAAGAAGAUGCUUCAGGUUAGUAUUGGUCGUCGAUUCCAUCAAUCUGACAAUGAUUUAUCAAAAUUAAAGACAAAAAUAUUAUGUGAGAUAUAAUAUGUGAAAUAUAAGAGAAAUUUAUUGCACAUUACCUGUGAAAGCAUGAAAUGCAUUUCUCUCCCGAAAUCACAGUGAAACCAUCUAGUCAGUGUAAAUCUAUUACUACCUUGUUCCGGAUUGUAAUUGUUCAACUUGACUUGGAACACAAAAGGUUUCCAUUUGAUUUUAUUUAUAAUUGAUGACACAAUUUCACUACUAAAUCUUUUCUGAAAAUGAAAUGCAUAAUAGAUUUUUUUUGUUAGAAUAUUCAACGGUUAAGAUAAGUCUCGGAUUGUCUACUAUUAUUAAAAAUAUUUUUAAAAAUUAGAUAUAAGUUUACUUUGUUAAAUUCUUCAAGAACAAAAGAAAGUUUGUGUUCUAUUAUUCUUUCAGCCUCUUGAUCAAAUAUAACAAACCAAGCACUACCUGUUGCAUCACUUGCCAAGACUUUUAACAUACACCUAUAUAAAUACACAUAUUCUAAAAGUUAUGUUUAUGUAGAUAUUUUACCAAUUAAAUGAUAAAAAGGUUAACACCUACGACAUACCUCAUUUAGGAUACUCCACAUUUUGAUUGCAAGCAUUGCACACAAAAUUAGAUCUUUCUAAUGUCACUUUUCUCUGACAUUUUGGACAUGCUUUGUAGUACAGUUGACUAUUGAAAUCAACCUUCACAUGGUGGAGUUUGAUGAAAAAUCUGACGUCAUUUUGGGCAAGACCAAGCCAUUGGAGGCAUUGCUCAAGCCACGCCUUUCCAUGAUCAACUUAAUUUCUCAGCUUUGAGUUUAUAUAAUAAUUUGUUUUUAAGGUAAAACAGAGACGAAUUUAAUACUUUAUCAGGUAUAAUUACUAGUAUAGAUGGCAAAUGGGCUGGACGGACAAACUUUGGACAGGAUUCAAAUGGGAUCGAAACAUAUGGUCUAUAUCAAAGCAGUCUCAUAUUACUCACGGCAUUAAUAUGGGCUAGUCCCAUUUUGAUAAUGGACCACACACCUAACAAAUUGCUGUUACUUUUUUUUUUUUAGGAAACUUCUAUUCUCAAAAAUUGGUUGUCCUUGAAAUUUUCUAUUUACUUUGUUUUUAAUAUUAUUUAUUUUUUUAUUCGUGAAAGCUCCAUACUUCUUUUUAUUCAUCACACAAUGAUUUUUAAAGUAAACAUUUAUAUUGAAUAUCAUUCAUUCUUUUCCUUGUCUCAUUGAACCCAAAAAGUUAACAUAGAUGUUGAUUUGAUAAAUUAAUGUAAAAAAAAAAACAUGCUGAACAAUAAAAAAGCAAACAACUAAAUUAUAAAAAGACAAAUCUGUACUACUACUACUACUUUCUAUUGUGUAAAGUCAAAACUUUAGUUUUAACACUGGAAAAGAGUAUUAUAUUCUUUGUUUUUGGAGUAAACUGAAAAAUAGAAAAGAUCAAUCAUAUAUAUAUAUAUAUAUAAGUCGUACCCUUAUUCUUAUCCCUUCAUGUUUUCUCUUUCCUACGUGGCUUAACGAGACGGUAAGUAGUUUUCUACGUGGCUUGCUCCUUUUUGUUUAGAUAUAUAUCAAUUUUUAUUUCCUAUAAGAAUUCUUAAUAUUAUAUGAUUCUUAUUUCCUACCCAAAAAAGGAACUGAAAAGUAAUGCGAUAUAAAUAAAAGAGACAUAAAUAUCUCUAUUAGAUAUAUCUCCAAAUUCAUGCCAAUAAUUUGUGUACUGCAUAGGGAACCGAAGUAAAUAAGAAUUGUUAUCACUACAAGAAGUAGAAAAGUAACUAAUUACCGAAAUAAAUUAUUAGAUGUUCAAAUUUAUAUUAUAAGAAUACUUUAUAUUACAAUGCACAUAUAGUAAUAUACUUAAGAAAGGUCAUAAUAAAAUAGACAUUAAGUUUGUAUUUCAUAUCGAUAUUUUUAUAAAAUUGAUUAAAUAGUUUAUUAUUUUUUGAAGAUUCCCGUUCAACGAACGAGUACAAAACUAGUUGGUACAUAAAAGUGGAAGUUGUUAAAUCGGAAGUGGGCCACACCUCCCAACACUGCACCAGUACUACUAUAGUAUUUCAAGUUUCUCAUCAAUAAAAACUUGAGACAUGAAGAUGGUACUCGUAACCACAGAGCUCUAGCUCAGUGGCCACCACCACUUUAGGUGGCAGUCUUAAUUGACUUUUUUCGAUGGAGUCUUUACUCACAUCGAAUCCUCCUCCCCUUCCUCCUAGUACUAGAGUAUAUUAAAAAAAAAAGUAAAUCUUAUAUACACUAUCACCGUUAAAUUUAUGAUAUUUGUGCAAAAGUUGAAUUUCAAAUUCAAAUUUUUACACAGUUAUCACUCAUUCAACACUGAAAGUGUAUACACUGUCAGUGUAGGAAAGAUUAAUUCUAUUAAAAAAUGAAUUCUUUUUUUUUUCUAUUAAAGUAGAUCAACGCUAUAAAUAUAGAUGACCAUGCUAAAAUGAUUAAUAAACAACUAAAAAAAUGAAAAUCUUGUAAAUUGUCACUUUGGAAUCUCAAAUAAUAUCCAAGCAUUCCCAUUUAUAGUUGGGUAUUGUUGGGAUUGACCUCAUUUAAAACCCAACCUCCAUCACUUAAGCCCAUUCCGUCCAAAAUUCUUUUGGACACGGAUAGCUCCAUUGGAAUUUGAGAUCAAUGCACUUGAUAAAAAAAAAGAAAGAGCUAAAGAAUAAAUUAGAAAAUCACAAAUGGCACAAAAAGAAAUUUUAAGCAAUGUCAAUGAUGAAUUUUGCAAACUGACAGGUAGAAAUAUUUUAACUUUUUUUUUAUCGUUUUGUUUCUCAUCACAUGGUCAGUAAAAUUAUUAGCAAUACUUACGCAUAUUGUAGGAAUUAAGUAUUUAAUUAACUGCUCAGCCAAGAUUAGUCUCAAGUCUUAACAGUUCUACAGGCUUGACCAAAUUUUAUGGAGCCCCCUGGAUUCCUUUUAAGAUCAGGCCUUAAGUCUUAAACUUCGAUUUAGUAAGUGCGUUUAAAGUAUUGGGGUCAAAAUUCAAAAUGUAAAGUAUAGCAUACGUGGGAAGUACAUGCAUCCUAAGACAUCUUUAUUCAAUAAUGAACAACCUAAAAUCAUAUAAAAAAAAAACACCAAAAGGUAAAAAUCAGCAACAAAAAAAAAAAAGUGUCUGGCAUAGAGUGUAUCUUGAUUAUGAUAGAAUUAUUCCUUUAAUGGAACAAGAAUAUUGAAACAACUAUAAUCUUCUUUAUCUUAAAGGCUCAUAAUUGUAUCGUAUUCUACCCUGUUUCCCAGCGUUUGUCAUAAUUAGUUAAUUAUGUCUUCGGCUUUAGAAUUAGAGAUUAAUGGUCUCAUAUUAGGUUCGAUAAGAAAAAUAUCGAAUCGAAAGAAAGAAAAUUGUUAAGAGUUCAGUAUUUUGCAGAUAAAGGUUAGAAAAGAGGUAAAUUACUCAUAACUAGGGGCAGAGGUAAAUGUCCAUGAGGGUGGGCAAUUGCUACCACUCGAAUAUUUUAAAAUUGCUUUGUUACCCAACAAACAUUUUUAGUCAUGCUUUAAAUUAGUUAUGAUUUUGUUGUUUGCACCCCUUAAAAUCACAAAAAAAAAAAAAAGUACUUGGCACCCCUUCAAACAAAAAUUGAAGGGCAAAUCACUAAGGUGGCGUUUGGUUCGCACAUCGGUAUUGGAUUCGGAUUCGGAAUUGGAUAUCUUGGGUUUGGAAUGAGGUCAUUCAUUCCAAUACAUUUGUUUGGUUCAAGUACCUGGAAUGUGUAUCAUUACUAUAGUUGAUGUUUGGUCGUCGACUCUUUCGGAAUGGAAUAUAAUAAAUAUAUUAUAAAACCCCAUCGUAAAUGAUAGUUAUUGGCUCUUUGUAAAUGGGAUAUAAGAAAUCUUCACUAAUUAAAUAUAUUAGUAUAAAUGUAUUAGUAAAUUUAGUCUAACUAAUUAAUAAUUUCUAUUAGUAAACAUGUAUAAUUAUUAGUAUAAUGGAUAAUAUUAAUUAUAUUACAUAAAUUAAUAUACAUUAUAUAAUACAUAUAAAUAAUAAUAUUAUUAUUAUAAGUUUGUAACUAAUUAAAUUAAAUAUUAUAUAUAUAAUUAAAUAUAAAUAUACAAAUGUUAUAAUAUAAAUAUAUAAUUAUAUAAUUAUAUAAUAUAUACAAAUAUUAAUUAUAAUAAUAUUUUAUAUAAAUAUAAUAUAUAUUACAUAUUAAAUAUAGUUAUUAUUAUAUAUUAUUAUAUUUAAAAUAAUUAUUAUUAUAAUUAUAUAACUUAUUAAUAUUACAUACAUGUAUAUAUUAUAAUUAUAUGCACAUAUAAUAUACAUUUAUAAAUAUACAUAUAUAUUAUAAAUAUAAUAUUAUAUAAUAAUAAUAAAUUUAUAAUAUAUAUUAUAUAAGUAUAAUUAUAUUUAACUAAAUAAUUAUAAUAUAUAAUUAUAUAAUACAAUAACAUCAUUAUUAUAAGUUUGUAACUAAUUAAAUUAAAUAUUAUAUAUAUAAUUAAUUAUAAUUAUACAAAUGCUAUAAAAUAAAUACAUAAUUAUAAUUAUAUAAUAUAUAAAUAUUAAUUGUACUCAUAUUUUAUAUAAGUAUAAUGCAUAUUAAUAUUAGAUAUAGUAAUUAUUAUAUAUUAUUGUAUUUAAAAUAAUAAAUAUAAAUAUAAAUAUAAUUAUACAAUUUAUUAAUAUUAUAUACAUGUGUAUAUUAUAAUCAUAUGCACAUAUAAUAUGCAUUUAUAAAUAUACAUAUAUAUUAUAAAUAUAUUAUUAUAUAAUAUUAAUAAAUUUAUAAUAUAUAUUAUAUGAAUAUAAUUAUAUUUAACUAAAUAAUUAUAAUAUAUAUUUAUAUAAUGUACUAAUAUUAUAAUUAUAAUAUAUUAUAUAUAUGUAUAUAUUAUAAUAUAUAAUAAAUAUAAUAUAUAUAAAUAUUAAUUAUAUCAUUGUAUAAUUAUAAUAUGUAAUUGGAUUUGUUUCUUGGAAUCAAACUUGGGAAUCGGACAAAACCCACCAAAAUACUUGGGAAUGGAGAAACACCAAAUUUUUAGAAAUCAUUCCAAGAUUUCAAUUCCCAUUCCAGUGAACCAAACACCAUUUAUGGGGUUCAUUCCAUUCCCCGAAUCCGAUACCCUCUUACCAAACGCCCCCUAAGUAAAAUCAAUUGAAACCCAAUGUAUUAUAAGAAAGAAGUUAAGAGAAAACAACAAUUGAGAAAACAAGUUGAUAUAGGCAUAUAUAAAAUCAAGCUACCAUAUUGGAUUGAGAGCAACAAUUUAGGAAUGCAUUGACAAUUGACAAAAACAGUUGAUGUCUUUAAUGAAAGAAACAAGUUAAUUACGUGGAAAGAAAUAAACAAAAUGAGAGAAAAGACUAGAAAAAGGAAACAUAAAAGUUUUGAUACUAUAUAUGGAACAAAAUGUACAUAAGAUAUUUCUUUUUUUUUUUUUAAUUUGAUUUACUCCUAACUCUUACCAUCAUUCAUUUUUGUAAAUUAGCAACAAGGUUUUACGCCGAUGAUUUUUAAUUUUUCUAACCGAUUUAGAUAUUAAAUAGUUUACAAUUCAAUCGGUGACAAAUUACAAAUUCAUUUGUGGAAUAGUAUUAUUGUACUAAUUCACUAUGUGAAUGAAGAUGCCAAAUUCUAUCACUUUACGGACAAAUUAUCCAUAUUCUCCACCAUGGAGAUCCUCGAAAGCUGUUUGGUCCUGAAUUUACCCAUAUUCUCAAUUACUCCGAACUCCGAUGUACUUACUUCAAGAAAUUUAGAAAAUCUAAAAAUCGUUUCCCCAAGUCCACUUGCACUUCAAAUGAAUUUUUAUAUUGCACGUUUCAUUUUACUUUUCUUUAGCUUUAUGUUCCAUCUAUUUUCUUUCAUAAUGGUACCACGCUAGCAACCUUGGUAUUAACAAAGUGGAAUAUACAUAGGCAAGAAAAUCAAUGUUUUUAAAUUCGUAUUGGUGAGUGAAUUGGAUGAACUUUUGAUCCUGAUUUAAUAGUUUGGUCAAAUGUUUAACUUUUUUUAUUUUCUUUAAUAUCAAAUAAUUUGGAUGAUACUGAAAUAUAUAUUAAAAAAAUUCAGUGGUAACUGGGUCAAUGGUCUGGAUUUUGAUCAAUUUAAUCAGUUUUUGACUGAGGUUAAUAGAGUUUUUUUUUUUCAUUUUCUAAGCUUAGCAAGUAAUUGGACCAAUGCCAUUACUAGUUCGCAGUCCAACAGGUCGAACCACUUAAUCAGGUCUGGUUUUUAAAAUACUUAAAUGAGUUUAUCAAUCCAUUCGUGAAGAUUAUUGUAAACGCAUGAUUGAUUACCACCAUCUUUUUUUUUUUUUUUUUGCUUUGCAAGGAAAUACAUCACAUGGAGUUGAGGAUUAUAAAAUGAAAUGAUAAUGUUUGAUCUUUUGAAUGAGCAAGAAAGACCUGCAAAUAAGUUUGAUGUCUGCAUCACAGUUUUUGAAACGAUAAAUGGGUGAAAAUGGUUGCUAUUAGGCUGCAAUUUAAAACACAUUCUUCCAUUUUUUUAUUUUUAUUUUUUUCUUUUGAUAUAAUCUUUUACUCUUGGGAUAAUAUAAGCUAAGCCAUCUUAUUUGACAAAAACAUGCUAUGACAGCGCAACAAGACAGAGAAAUAAAAUAUGCCUUUUCGUAAGCAAAUUGAAUUAAGCUCAUUGUGACAACUGACAGCCUUUGUUGAUGCCACUACAAUAUCGGGGCAGGUCAUAACAUGAAUAUGUAAUUUUUUCAGAAAAUAUCUUUGGUAAAAUGUACAAAAAUUUGAUUAGUGUGUAAAUCUUUGCUGACUAUUCCAUUUCUGAUUGUUUUUUAUUAGUGUGGCAACAUCUUAUUUUCCAUUAGCAGACCAAGAAGUUUGCACUAUUAUAGUCGAUCUUAUUUUGCUUUUUAAGAGUAAAGUACGUCAAAGGUUAUCAAACUUUUCAACAGCUUCAUUUUACUCUCGUAACUAUUUUUGUACUAAAUAGUCCACUAAAUUUUUUAAAAGUCUCAUUUUAUUCAUUGAACUAUUUUUUUUUAUAAGAAAUUGCUCACUAAUUUUUGUUAAAAAUUUUAUUUUACCCAUUCAACUACUUUUUGUACCAAAUAACCUACUAAACUUUUAAAGUGGUUAUCUGGAUCGUUCUGUUAGAUUCUACCAUUAAGACAGAUAAAAGUUUGCCAAGUAGUCCUAUUUUAAAUGAAUUAUUUUGUCAUUUCACACCCAGAAUCUAUAUAUCCAAAUCAAUUUAAAAAUUUUAUAGCUUCAAAAAAACCACAAAUUCUAAUUUGGAUAGGGCCAAAAAUAGUUUCUAUGAGGAUCGAGAUUUUAUUUUGGGAUUUAGGUAUUUUAAAAAGUGAUUGAAUAGUUUAAUCCAUUGGGGCAGAUGGAUUUUAGACGCGCAAUGAUGAAAUUGUCCAUUUAAAUCGGGCUCACAUGACAAACUUUCGUCUAUCUUAAUGGUAGAAUUUAACAAAAUAGUCAAGAUGAAUCACUUUCAAGAGUUUAAUAGGUUAGUUGGUACAAAAAGUAGUUGUCUGGGCAAAAUAAAACAUUUAAAAUGUUUACUAUGCAGUUUGAUAGAAAAAAUAGUUCAAUGAGACUUUUAAAAAGUUUGAACGUCUUUAAUCAACAAUUAGCAACCUUAUAUUGUUUUCUAAUGGUUCAUAGAAAGGACUUAAAGUCUAAAACUGUCCCUUGUCAUAGUCUUAUCUACUCUUGUCUAUUUUCAGUUAACAAUCGUCUAAUAGUUGCAUUAAAAGAAAGGGAUAAUUUCAGAAACCUCCCCUGAGGGUUCUGACAAUUUCACUGAGUUCCUCUGAAGUUUGAAAAAUUAUACAUAUCUCCCUUGUCAUUUAAAAUGACAAUACUAUCCUGAAAUAUUUUAAUGAAAUUCCCUUGUUUGGUAUGCUUAUACUUAGAAUGACUUUUAAAUUAAUUUUUCAUUCUUUUUCCUUUUUAUUUUAAUUUUUUGCUAAUAAAAUUGUAAAAUUACCACUAUUGUCUCUAAUUUCUAUUGUAACCAAAUGUCAAACUAGUGAUUUUUUUAAUGAAUUAACUUUAUACGUAAUUCAAUAUUUUUUGCUAAUCUUUAUUUUCUAUUUUUUGGUAUUAAAAUUAACAAUAAAGCAAAAAAAUUGCCCAAAACCACUACUAAAUUAUGAUAAUCUUACUACUCGAAAAAUUCAUAAAUUCUGAAUCAAUUAUUUCAACGUUUUAUUUUCUAUCUUAUAAAUCUAAAUCCAUAAUAAAAUACUAUCAAAGUAUCGUAUCAUAGUGAUAAAAUUAUUAUUAGAGUUGUUUAUCAAAUAUAGGUAUGGAAAUAAAAAAUUAGGUACAUUUUCCUUAUAAUUACAUUAGAUAAUCUUAUAAUUCUAUAGAGAAGUAAAUUAAAACUCAUUACAUCAGGGCAUUUUUAGGUAUUCAUUUAAAAAUUUGACCAAGUCAAUAUUAUUUUAAUAUUUUGUUACUAAAACUAUCAAAUUAAGGGAGGUAUGUGUAACUUUUUAAAUCUCAAAGGAGCUUAGUGAAAUUAUUAGAAACCUCAGGGGAGGUUUCUGAAAUUAUCCCUAAAAGAAAAUCCACACAUGAAAAAUGAAGUGUUAAACCUUAACUUAUUCAGUAUAAAGUCAACACCAAACUUCUCUCUUUCUUCUUGCCAGUUGCAUUCUGAAUCUUGAUUAUGUAGUUACUCUACAGCAUCCUAAGCCUCAUUUUUUUCCGUUUUCUGGAUUGCUGUGAAGUUUCAGUACUACUUCUCACAGAAAAACAGGAAAUUUCCCACAAAUUUGAUAUUUUGUCUGGUAUAUUACCAGAUACAUGCACUUGGCAAGAGAAGUGCAAAUGGCUUGAAGGAGUUGUUUAAGCAAAUGCAAUGAUGGAUUAACUUAGCAGAAGUUGGAAAUAUUUCAACUUUUUAUGUUUCUGUCUUGUGCUUUCACAUCAAGAAUUUCCAUGUGUUAUAAUUUUUCUUUCUACACAGAGCAACUUGACCCCAUGUCUCUCUCUUUUUUUUUUUUUUUUACAGUCGUCACUUAUGAUUUUUAUAUCUACUCCUAUUCUUACUCUAAUAUAUUUUAAAGAAAGGCCAACUAAACCCACAAGGGAAUCGACGGGAAUUAAACCAUCGUUGAACUAGACGUGUUCACUAUGCACCAUUAUAGAUCUAGAAGAAGCCACUUAAAGCGGCAAGAGACGUGCACCCCAUGUCUAAUAGUAACGUGAAUUGUGAAUUUUAGAUGCUUAUCAAAGCUCGGAAAGAGGGUGCUGCAGCCGGACCAUAUCGUUUGCCUUAAAUAAUGAGUUUCCAAUAAAUUGCAUAUUUCGCCAGGUUAAGGGCACAAAUGGUUGCCAUGUGGACUGUUUCGGAAUGAUUUUGUCUGUUUUGAACGCAAUGUAAAUCAUUUUGAACCCAAUGAAAGAUCUAAGCCUUUCAUUCAGUCAUGUAAAUCAUUUUGAACGCAAUGUAAAUUUAAAAUAAAUUUUUGUGAAUUCGAUAAAUAUGGUGUGAAAACGAUUUACACCACAUGAUCUCAGCCUUAUCUAUAUUUUGGGUUAAUCCUGAUUCUCAAACCACUCCAAAACUUCUACUGCCCCAGUUGUAUUUUUCCAUGGUUUGCUAUGACUAGUUUCUUACGAGGACUGAUAGAGAUUUAUGCUAAUCUCCAUAUUAGUUUUGACAAAGAAGAAUUUGAAUUAAAUUACAAAAUAAUAUUAAGAGAAUAGUUAAUAAAAUACGGAGUGAGAAUAAUACGAAGUGUUAUGCGUACCCGCAUUUCACAAGUUUUUCCUCAAAAGUAUAAAUAGAAGUUCAAUUGCAAAUGCGAGCUUAUUAUAUUUACACUUAAAAUUACACACUUAUUUACCAUAAAUUUUAGAUCUUAUGCUCUAUUAACACUAGUUUUCAAUUGUAUUUUUGUACGUGAAUUGAUUAUAAUUUUAUCGAAUAGUUAUAGAUGCAAGUAUAUGAAAGUACCAUGUGAGUCUGUUAUUUUUUUUAUAGCUCAUAAAAUACAUAUUGUUUGAAUGGAAAUUUUAAAAUUUUGUCAUGAAUUGAUGUUUUUUCUGAAGUAUGAUAUCAUAAAAGUUUAUUAGGUGCUUUUGUUGAAAAGUAUGAGUAAUUUUUGUUGGAAAAUAGUAUUCAAGCCCUUGCGUUUUCAGUCACUUUUGUAUUGUUGGGUAAUAAGGGUGGUCACAUAGGAUCACAUCCCAUUGGAUUUAUAAACUAGAAGUAGCGAAGACAUUGGUUUUCUUUGUAAGCCGCAUGGAGUUUUUAUUGUUGGAAAAUAAUAUUCCAUACUAACACAACUUUAUGAUAUAAAAAUAGAAUAAAAGAUGAUCCACCUUCGAUUUCUUAGAUUGCCUAAUUUGAGUUGCUUUUUGUAACUGAAUUCUUUGUUAUUUAAAGUGUCACUUUCACAUUUCUUUUGGGUUGUUGCUGGAGCCUUCACUUAUUGUUAAAUUGAAAAAAUUAUUCUUAAAACUUAAUUUAGUUGGUAGGCACAUUUUUUGAGGUGAUACAAGUUAUACUUUGAAAUGAAAGAAAAUUCCAAAUCCGCUUUGUCUACUAACAAGGAAGUUAUAAGUAAUGUAACUAUGAAUCUCAUGGAGAGUUUAAUCCUGAUUUAGGAUGAACGUUGACGGCAAGAUUUUUAAUUUGACUUUCAAACAUUUCUCGUGUAAGAUUUUGAGUCUUUUCUUGAACCAAAUAAAUAAUUAAAUAAUAUAACAUAAAACAUUUUUCCCUUUGCAUCUUAUGGAUUUUCUUGAGAACUCUUGCUAUGAACGCGUACUAUUCGAUAUAAUACGAGUUUUUCUACACUAUGAUCGGUAGGAUCGUACUCUCGGUGGGGGAGAAAGCCAAGGAAAGUUGAUUCAAAUUCCUAACCUCUACCUUCGACCCUCAGUUUUGCUUUAAUAGUCCCUACCCAAAUGAUUAAAAUAGUCCCUCAACUUUUUUUGUUCAAAAGUUUGUGUGCCCCAACUUUAGUUCAUUAGCUGAUUAAGUCACCAGCUAUUUAACACUCAGUUACUUUGUUUGGAUAGUGAAUUAUUUAAAAAUUUAUUUGCUUGUAUCAAUACAUUUUUUAAUUAUUUUUUUAUUUUAUAUAUAUCACAUCAAAAAAGUGAUACACCAUUAUUCUAUCUCACAUACAUCACAUAAAAAAGUAUUACAAUAUUUGUUCAAAAAAUUAUCCUAAAUAAUCUACUAUCCAAACACAUAGCUUUGGAGCAUCAAUGAAAUCUCCUUGCAAGGUUGGCAUUUUUCCAAGAAGUUUUUAUAUGUGUUAUCUUAGAACAAUGGCAAUAAGCAACUCGAUUUGCCAUGAUCUGGUGCCCCAACCAUGAAAUUCCAAACUCCAAUUAUUGGUCAUUGUACAAGUUGAUUUAUAGAUGACGGUAGCAUCUGAUUCUCGAAAAAAGGGUUUCUACCAAAUAUUCCUAUUUUCUUUGCCUUCGAUCAUUUUUUUUUAACAUUAACAAAUAUGUGCUUCGUCCAAUUAAGGAGGAUGGCAAAUUUGCUUUUUAAUCGGAGCCUCGGUGUUCCCCGAACAUGCCUUUCGAAGAUGGCUUCCUCGUAAGCUCCCGAAGUAGAUGGCUUGGCCUCUCCCUCUACCCCCGAAAAUAUCAUAUUUUUAUUAAGUUGAAAUCAGGGAAAAAUUAUCCCACACGCAUGGAUGUUCCAAUGGCCAAUACCGAAAAAAAAAAUAGUUUGUUGGGUGUGGGCUAGCCCAUUUGUGGGCCAACCCAUUUGUGCAAGUAAACAACACUUGAGGGCUUCUCAAGUUUAACUACAAAGUGGCCCGCAUGAGGUAAUUUCAAUUCUUCGGUCCUUAUGCGACAGAAAAAAAAAGGACAGUCGCCAUCUUUUGCUGGUUGAGAGAAAAACGAAGAGAGAGAAAGAGCUAGAGAGAGAGAAACUUCAAGAUCUUAAUUGGAGGGUGAUUUAAAACCCGAUUGAGACGAAAUUUUACACACGCGAUCCUCUUGUCAAGCUCUACUCAUCUACCGGUUCAACUUUCAGAUUUCUUCUUUGUUUGGUAACACUUUUUCAAACUCACUUCUUUGACAGUUGUAGUUUUUUGGGGUGAUUUUGUAACAAUUUCACUUGAUUGGUGGUGGUGAUAUUAUUAUCGUCCGAAUAUUUCGGAUAGACCUGUGUAUUUCCACUAUUGUCAUAGUGGAGAUUUUGGCUGGACUAGAUCCCGUGAUUUUUUCUAAUUGGAUUUUUCACGUAAAAAUUUUGGUGUCCUGUGCCUUCUAUUUUUCUUGCAUUUUAUUAUCACUGCUGGCAUUAUUACUUGGUGAUUUGAUUUGUUUCUGUUUUAACUGGUACUUGAGAAAAGAGAAAUUUGUUUUGGGCUAACUCUGAUAUUGUGAGUCUGUACUGGUACCCCUUUCCCAACAAGUGGUAUCAGAGCAGUCAGGUUAGGCUGCUCAUUUGUACUGGUUAAAAAUGAAUGAUUCAGAUAGUGGUUGCAUGAUAAAAUUGAAUGCCACUAAUUAUUCAAUUUGGAAACCCAGAAUGGAAGACUACUUGUAUUGUAGAGAUUUGUUUGAACCUAUUCUAAGGGAUAAAGGCAGACCAAGUGAUAUGAGUGAUGAAAAAUGGGCUAUUAUGCACAGAAAAACUGUUGGUAAUAUUAGAAAAUAGAUUGGUCAAACUAUUUUUCAACAUUUUGCUAAUGACACCAGACCUGAUGUAUUAUGGAAAAAGUUUGAGAGUAUGUAUGAAAGGAAGAUCGGUUUGAACAAAACUAGUCAUCUGAAACAGAUUAUUCAGAUGAGAUAUAAGGGUGGGAAAGAUAUGAAUGAACACCUGAUUAAUUUUCAGGGAUUGAUAAACCAGACAACUACGUUAAAUUUGAAAUUGGAUGAUGAAGUGCAAGCUUUAUUAUUAUUCAAUUCACUACCGGAUAGUUGGGAAAUUAUAGUGGUCUUUGUCAGCAAUUUAGCUCCAAAUAGUGUGUUGACUAUGGCUAUUACAAAAGAGGCCGUGAUGAAUGAAGAGUUCAGGAGGAAGGAACAAGGAAUUGUCUAUGAGUCCCAAACCCUGGUGACAGAAAAGAAAAAAAGAAGAAGGAGAAGCAAAAGUAGAGGACCCCACAACAGGAAUGACAAAUCCAAAGAUAGGUAUGAGUCACAAAAAAAUGUUGCAUGCUAUUAUUGUAAAAAGAAUGGACAUUAUAUGAAGGAGUACAGAAUCCUAAAACGGGAACAAGCUGAGAAAAAGGGUAAGGCGAAAGAAAAAGGUGAUGAAGAGACUACAGCAGUUGUGGCAGCUCAUGAUGAUAUGUUUGUGUUCUGUGAUGAUGGUCAGGUGAAUAUUAUUCAUUAUGACAGUGAUUGGGUAGUUGAUUCGGGUGCAUCUUGCCAUGUUACUCCUCACAGGCAUUUCUUCUCAACCUACACCGAAGGAAAUUUUGGAUAUGUUAGAAUGGAAAAUGAGGUCUCAUGCAAAGUUGUUGGCAUGGGAUACAUAUAUUUGAAUACAGAUACCGGGUGCCAGCUGAUAUUAAAAAAUGCUCGACAUGUCCUUGAUAUUCGCCUUAAUCUUAUCUCUACAGGAAAACUUGACGAUAUGGGUUACCAUAGCUUGCAAGGUGGAGCCAAAUGAAAACUCAGCAAAGAAAAUAUAAUUGUUGUUAGAGAAAAGAAACAGAGUACUCUCUACUUGAUGCAAGCCAAGUUUGGGAAGAGAGAAGUCAAUGCAGUUCGUAAUUCAUUAAUUGACCUGUGGCAUAAGCGACUUGGGCACAUGGGUGAAAAAGGAAUUCAGAUACUUGUUCGCAAAUAAAUCUUACCUGAACUUAGAGGUAAUGCACUUAAAUCUUGUAUUGACUGCAUUUAUGAGAAACAACAAAGAGUUGCAUUCAAAACUUUUCUUCCAUCUAGAAAAUUAAAUCCGUUAGAAUUGGUGUACACUGAUGUUUGCUAUAUGAAAGAUAAGUCUCUUGGUGGUGCUAUUUAUUUUGUAACUUUUAUUGAUGACUUUGCUAGAAAGGUUUGGUGUUUUGUUUUGAAAUCCAAAGAUCAAGUUUUGGAUGUGUUUAAAGAUUUUCACAACAAAGUUAAAAGAGACUAACAAGCAGUUAAAGUGUAUUUGUGCUGAUAAUGGUGGUGAGUACAGAGGAUCAUUUGAAAUCUAUUGCAAGUCCCAUGGAAUCAGAUUGGAGAAAACUGUACCAAAAAUUUCUCAAGAGAAUGGAGUAGCAGAGAGGAUGAACAGAUCCAUCAUUGAGCGGGUUAGAUGUAUGCUCUCUAAUGCUAAACUGUCAAAACCCUUUUGGGGUGAGGCAAUGAGGACUGCAGUUGAUUUGAUAAAUCUUUUUUCAUCAGUUCCUCUAGAUGGUGAUAUCCCAGAAAGGGUAUGGACGGAAAAAGAUGUGUCCUUUAAACAUUUGAGAGUUUUUUAUUGUCGGACAUUUGUUCAUAUUCCCAAGGAUGAAAUAUCAAAACUUGAUGUAAAAUCAAAACAAUGCAUUUUCUUGGGUUAUGGACAUGAAGAUUUUGGUUAUAGGUUGUAUGAUCCUAUCGAGAAGAAGGUGAUCAGGAGUAGAGAUAUUAUCUUCUUUGAAGAUCAAACCAUUGAAUACAUUGAUAAAAGUGAUAAGUCAAAAUUCUCAAAUGACAUUCCUGCUAGUUCAAAUUCAGAUCCAGAUCUAAUUCCAGUACCUAUUGAUUUUAAUCAAGGGGGAAUUGAGAUAGAGCAGAGAGAGGAUGUUAAUGAUGGUGAUAGUCCUACUACUGAUGAAUUUGAGCAUGAAACACCAUCUACUCCACCACCACCACCACAAGAUGAGAUUAGGAAAUCUACCAGAGAGAGGAAACCUUCUAGCAGAUAUAAUUCUCAUGAAUAUUUGUUGUUAACAGAUGGAAGAGAGUCAGAGUCCUACAGUGAGGCUUUAGAGCAUGAGAACAAAGAAGAUUGGUUGCAAGCCAUGCAAGAGGAGAUGGUGUCCUUGCAUGAGAAUCAUACUUAUGACUUAGUGAAACUGCCUAAGGGUAAGAGAGUUCUGAAGAAUAAAUGGGUCUACAGGUUGAAGGCUCAGGAGCACAGUUCACAACCAAAGUACAAAGCAAGAUUGGUUGUGAAGGGAUUUAGUCAAAAGAAUGGUGUAGAUUUUGAAGAAAUCUGUUCUCCUGUGGUAAAAAUGUCAUCAAUUCGAGUUGUUCUUGGUAUUGCAGCCAAUUUGAAUUUAGAGAUCAAACAACUUGAUGUGAAGACAGCCUUCCUGCAUGGUGAUUUGAAAAAGAAGAUCUACGUGGAGCAACCGGAGGGGCUCAAAGAAAGUGGUAAGGAAAAUUUUGUAUGCCGUCUCAAGAAGAGUUUGUAUGGAUUGAAACAAGCACCAAAACAGUGGUAUAAGAAGUUUGACUCCUUCAUGACAGACCAUGAGUACCACAAGACUACAUCUGAUCACUGUGUUUAUGUGAAAAAUUUUUCAAAUGGUGAUUUUAUUAUUCUCUUGCUAUAUGUUGAUGACAUGUUGAUUGUUGGCCGUGAUACUAUAAAAAUUGACAGGUUGAAAAAGGAGUUAAGUAAAUCCUUUGCAAUGAAGGAUUUAGGUCCGGUUAGACAGAUACUGGGGAUGAAAAUCUCACGUGACAGGCAGAAUGAGAAGCUCUGGUUGUCUCAAGAAAAAUACAUUGAGAAAGUGCUCAAUAGCUUUAACAUGAGCAAUGCUAACGAAGUUUCAACUCCACUUGCAGGUCACUUUAAAUUGAAUAUCAAACAGUAUCCUACAAGUGAGAAAGAUAAAGAAGACAUGAAGAAGGUUCAUUAUGUUUCGGUUGUUGGUAGUUUGAUGUAUGCUAUGGUUUGCACCAGACCAGAUAUUGCUCGUGCAGUUGGAGUAGUCAAUCGGUAUCUCUCUAAUCCUGGUAAGGAGCAUUGGAAUGCUGUCAAAUAGAUUCUCAGGUAUCUCAAGGGAACUUCUAGAUUAUGUCUAUGUUUUGGAAAUGGUAAAACUAUGCUAGAUGGAUACACUGAUGCAGAUAUGGCAGGUGAUCUUGAUAAUAGGAAGUCCACAUCUGGGUACUUGAUGAUCUUUGCAGGGGAGCAGUGUCAUGGCAAAGUAAGUUACAGAAGUGUAUCGCCCUUUCUAGUAUGGAGGCUGAGUACAUUGCAACCACUGAAACAUGCAAGGAGACUCUUUGGUUGCAGAAAUUUCUUCAGGAGUUGGGUAUGAAACAAGAGAAGUAUAGUAUUUAUUGUGACAGUCAGAGUGCUAUUCAUUUGUGUAAGAACUCUAAAUUUCACUCUUGAUCCAAACAUAUUGAUGUGAGAUAUCAUUGGAUUCGGGAAGUAUUGGAUUCUAAGUUAUUGACACUUGAGAAGGUGCAUACAAAUGAUAAUGGUGCUGAUAUAUUUACCAAAGCACUGUCUAAGGAAAAACUUUUAUUUUACAGACAAGAAACAAGGUUAGUGGAACCCCUCAAAUGAACUGGAGGGGGAGAUUGUUGGGUGUGGGCCAGCCCAUUUGUGGGCCAACCCAUUUGUGCAAGUAAACAACACUUGAGGGCUUCUCAAGUUUAACUACAAGCGGCAGCCGCAUGAGGUAAUUUCAAUUCUUCGGUCCUCGUGCGAGAGAAAAAAAAAAGGACAGCCGCCAUUUUUUGCUGGUUGAGAGAAAAACGAAGAGAGAGAGAAACUUUAAGGUCUUAAUUGGAGAGUGAUUUGAAACCCGAUUGAGAUGAAAUUUUACACACGCGAUCCUCUUGUCAAGCUCUACUCAUCUACCGGUUCAGAUUUCAGAUUUUCUCUUCGUUUGGUAAUACUUUUCCAAACUCACUUCUUUGACAGUUGUAAUUUUUUGGGGUGAUUUUGUAGCAAUUUCACUUGAUUGGUGGUGGUGAUAUUAUUAUUGUUCGAAUAUUUCGGAUAGACCUGUGUAUUCACAUUAUUGUGAUAGUGAAAAUUUUGAUUGGAUUAGGUCCCGUGAUUUUUUCCAAUUGGAUUUUCCACGUAAAAAUUUUGGUGUCCUGUACCUUCUAUUUUUCUUGCAUUUUAUUAUCACUGCUGACAUUAUUACUUGGUGAUUUGAUUUAUUUCUAUUUUAAUUGGUACUUGGGAAAAGAGAAAUUUAUUCUGGGCUAACUCUGAUAUUGUGAGCCUGUACUGGUACCUCUUUCCCAACAUAGUUAUACACUAUUCAGCACACUCUAAAUAAAAUACAAUCUAAUUAGUCAACUACAACAGUACACCACUAGCAAAUGACUCGAGCAAAAAAUUUCCGAUCUAAGUCUCAACUGGUACUAAUCUUCCAAUUCUUGCUAAAUCUAUCUACUUAUAAGGGUACAAUUUACAGCAUGAACAAUUCAUUCCACCACUAUAGAGCAUGCAUAUUUGACGGUUGGCUAGCUAGUCUAUGCAGAAAAUGUAACAUUUGGGUAGCUCAAUCACACAAGGACAAAAUUGGCUACCACAAAAUACUUCGAGGACUUAGUUAGCUAAAGUUAGGAGUUGAAGCACUAAAAUGGUUUAGUAAAAAAGUUCAUUUGCUCUAUUUCCUCCAACAAAUUUAGGGAAAAAAAAGAGAUUAUUUCGCCCAAUUAAGUCCACUGCCACUGGCACUUCCAGUAACUUAUUGUGGAGGUAAGUUCUUCUUCUUCUUCUUUUUUAUUUCUUUUCCUUUUCUUGAAAUUUGAUGUUUGACACACUUUCUUUGGUAAUGUCAUACUGCCAAGGUUUGUAUUAACAGAGUUGAGAAUAUAAAGGCAAAAAAAAGUUUAUCUAUCCACUGAUGGAAAUUUGUGAAUGGUGAUUACCAUAAAAAAAAUUUUUAUUUCUUCUUUUUUUUUGGUUAACAUUACCUGGAAUCAGGCUUUAUGAAAUAUAGUCAUGAUGUUUGAUCUUUUGCAUUUUGAGCAAGAAAGACGUAUACUUUUUGUCUUUUGGAUUUCUGAAGGUAAGAGUUUGUUGUCUUUGGCAGGGUUCAUCAAACCAUAGCUCUAUUAUCAGGCUUUAAAAUAAAACACACUUAACUUUUUCGAAAGCAAAUAAAAUUAAGACAACUCACAACCUUUGUUUGAUGCCACUGAAGUAUUGGGGCUGGUCAUAUAUAAUAUAUAAAUUUUGGGUACUGCCAGCAAAUAUCUCUGGAAAGAUGCACAAAAUUUAGAUUAUUACAUGCAUGAUCCCAAAUUUGGGAAGCACCAAAAUGUAGAAACAUGAUAGAAGGAACUAAAACUCAUAGGCCCACGUUUCAAUCUUAUUCAUUUCAAAAUUGCCCAGCUAUUGCCUUAGAUCUACUUUUACCCACACAUGAAAAAUGAAGUGAAACAUGAUAGCUGCAAGGACUCUCUUCAAUGGUCACUUGUCAAAGCAACUCCACUAUGCAAUAAUUAAUUAUGGGGUGAACUUCAAAUUAAAUAAAUGAUAUUUAUAGUAAGACAAGUAUUAAUGAGGGAAAGAAUUACUUCCUCCGCCUUAUUUUAUUAGGUUUGCUUUCUAUUUUAGUUUGUCCCAAAUUAUUUGUCAUAGCCUAAAAGAGAAAAAUGAAAAGAGACCAAUUUGCCCUUUUUUACGCUUCAUAAAAAAGAGUAUUAAUGUCAUGUUUUAGCAUUAAACGCUUUAACAAACUAUUAUAAAAUUCCCAAAAUCAAAAGCAACAAACAAAAUUUAAAUUCAAGUUAAGAGGUAAUUAUGGAAACAUUUAUUUGUUGGUUGGUCAAAAAUCAAAUUCCUUAACGUAUGUGCAAAAUUAUACAUGACAAGUCAAAUGAGACGGAUAGAGUAUUAUGUGUUUUAAUGAUGUCAUCUUAGUGCCUAGAUUUGUUGGUUUAUUGUCCAUAUUUUUUGAAUUAAUGUUGUAACUUUCAGUAAGUAAGUUAGAGAUUUUGAAUCAGAAUCUCUUACUCAUGAUCCUUCCAUUUUAUUAUCUAACCCGACCCGACCCAUCCCACCCCCUAUUUAUUGAAUCAAUAUUGAUGCUCAUGUAUGAAACAACUGAUACUGGUGAUCAGAGAGUGCCCAAAUGCAAAAUUACUACACUGCACAUAAAGUCAACGACAAACAUCUUUCUCCUUGCUUCUUGCAUCUUGAGCCUUGAUCAUGGAGUUACUCUACACCAUUCUUGGUCUCUUCAUAUUCUUGAUGGCUGUAAAGUAUCAGUAUCUCCGAAAAAAGAACCGAAAACUGCAGCCUCCAAGCCCUCCAGCUCUUCCAAUUUUGGGCCAUCUUCACCUUGUGAAAACUGCCCCUCACCUUGCCCUGCAAAAGCUCUCCAUCAAAUAUGGUCCCCUGAUUUCACUUCAUUUUGGGAUUCGCCCUUUCCUUGUCGUUUCCUCACCAUCUCUUGCAGAGGAAUGCUUAACCAAGACUAAUGAUAUUAUUUUUGCGAACCGGCCUGAGUCAGUUUCCAGUAAAUACCUUGGCUACAACUCAACUGCUCUCAUAAUCUCCCCUUAUGGAGAUCACUGGCGAAAUCUCCGCCGAGUCACAACCAUCCAUAUGUUUUCUUCGAUUCAACUCCAGCGUUUCUCCUCCAUCUGGACUGAAGAAAUCCAUUUCAUCAUCAAAAAAUUGUUUUCCAGUAACUCUGAUGAGAAAACCUCGAAAGUUAAGGACAUGAGUUCUUUGUUCCGGGAGUUAUUAUUCAACGUGAUAAUGAAAAUAGUUGCUGGAAAAAGAUGGCCAUCUGAUCAGCCAGGUGAUAUAUUUUCACCGCGAGCACUCACUGAUCUUUGUGAUUAUAUUCCAAUCUUGAGGUGGGUUGGCUAUGGAGGGUUGGAGAAAGGUGUAAUCAGUUUGCACCAGAAAAGGGACGAGUUUCUUCAGGGCCUGAUUGAUCAAAUGCGGAAAGAGGAAGCAGAAGACGGUUCUUGUUCGACGGAGAGAAGGAAAACAAUUAUUCAAAAAUUGUUAUCUCUACAAGAAGCAGAACCCGAAUACUACACUGACGAAAUUGUUAAAGGAAUUAUACAAGUAAGUCUCUUCUACCUGAAUCUCUUUUACAAAUUGGUCUAUAAUUCAUUAGGACAAGGUCAUCUCACCCAUGUAGCAGCAGCACAAAUUGUCUAGCCAUAUUUAGUGGUAGGGCUAAGACUAGUGACGAGGGAUGCAAUGCUUCUGAAUUUUGAAAUGAUCAAAUCAAAUUGUAGCUUGAUGUUGUGGUCAGAUCUGAACUGUAGAAAACACCUCCGACAGCACAAAGGCACCGGAUCUAGUGGUGAGUGGGGAAAUGGUAUAUGCCACUAACUUCAGUGUUGGUGUCUAGGGAAGAAAUUUAGUCAAAGUCUUUCCAAAAAUUUGGUUUUGUUUGGGUACACAUGAUUUCAACAUUAAAUGUGCCAAUAUCUAGUGGUGACUGGUAAGUUGGGGCAUCCAUCAACAUGUAAAUUGGGUAAAAUCUUGUCGUGGUUCUCUAACGUAACGGGAGAGGGGCUAGUGAGGUUGGAGUUUGGUAUUACAUUUUUUACAUUGUUUGGUGUAUAAUUACAUUAUAUUAUUAUAUUUGAAGUAAAAGUAGUGUACAUUAAUAAAAUAUUUGACACAUAUUCAGUACAAUAUUACGAUGUAUUUGUACACUAAAAAAUUUAAACUUGUACAAGAAUUGGACGAAAUUAUACAAAAUAUAAUUGUACCGAAUUCUUGUCCCAAAGUAACAUAUCAAUUUAUGGCUGUAUCUAUCAUUUUAAACCAUAAAAUAAUCAAAGAAUUUUUAAUGGUAUGUGACAAUAUAUAAGGUUUUAACAAUCUUUUCCGCUAAUAUAAUUUAGGAAUCUAGUUCACAAAAUUUAUGGACACAUGAGGAUAACUUAAACGAACGAAAAAGAUCAUUUUACAAAUUACCUUUAAAAGUUUAGAAAGAGUUGUCAAUAUAACUAUCUAAAAAAUGUACAACACUUGUAAUAAAGUAAAAUUCAUCACAAAAUAAUCUGCACAACUUUAUUACAAGAAUGUUAAAAAUCAGUCUCCUCUUAACAAAAAAUACAUGUAAUUGUAUCCUACUAUUGGUUGUACAUUUUUUAAAUUUUGUUUUGUUGGCCAAAUUAAGGCCUUUAAAAUUUGGGGAAGGUAUCCCUACCCCUGAUGGAGGUGAUAUACUAACAAUUGAUACACGUGAUAAUAUUCAAUAACGGACAACAGAAGCAAAUCGGAUGAGAUAAGAUAACAGCCACUUGAACAAUUGGUCACCACAAAAACUUUAAAGUAAAGUCUUGGUGAGAGUGAUAGAUCAAGUUCAACCCUUACUUUCCACCAUAUACUUGCCAUUUAAUUAUUGCGCCUGACACUUUUAAUGACUUUCUCCCCUAAAUUAAAAUAGAGUAGAUUAUAAAAAUAUAUAAAAAAAGAUGAGAUAAGAUAAUGAGACCUUAACCAAGUUACUCGUGGUUGGGGCUAAGUCAACGGUGGAGGCUGUGAGACAUUUUAAAAAGUGUUCAUUUGAGCAUAGAUAUUAAGUAAUACUUAUGGCACAAUAUUUUAACUGGUUGUCUCUAACAAAAUAUUUUUAUUUUCAUUGAAACAUUCCACAUCUUUAAAUCUUACCUCUCUCUUGUUAUAAAAAAAUAAAAUGUAUAUAUUUUAUUAGUAAUACUUUCGUUUACAUAACUAUAUAUAUAUAUAUAUAUUAUGUGCCUCAUUGAUGUUCCAUAACGAAUACUUUAUUUUCAGAUUUUUAGAAUGUAAGUGGUUGCAAAUGUUUGCACCACAUAAUUGCCCUAGCAAGUUUGGUUUGAUGUGCGUUGUUGACAAAUGUCUGAACCGAACUCCCGCAGAAUUAGCUCAGUUAGUAAGACUAUUAGGCAGAUGAUCGUGAAAUCUUUGUUGAAUUCUCAAAUCUCCCUUUUUCUCUUUAUAAGGCUUUGAAUCUCUCUUAAAAAUAAAAAACAGAAAUCUCGAUUACGAACUCAUCUAGUGAGGCUCCUAAUUUAGAAUCAGGGAACUCGAUAUUUGUUUGGUGCCACUUCUACGGAGGCCAAUUGACAGCCAAGAAUCGGGGAUAAAUUAACUCAACAAAAAGGGUUGCUUUCAAUUUAUACCCGUGUUUAAGGGUUAAAUGCAUAAAACUCCCGCGAACUAGAACACUAGUUGCACUUUACACUCUAAAGUAUUUUACUAAGCACUUUACACCCUUAGUCAACUAAAAUAUUACACGAAAAUUAAUUUCAUCCAAAUAAUUGAUGAAAUGAUUAAUUUAUCCUCCAUUAAAAACUUUAAGUGAUAUGAGAUUGGCUACCCUAUUGGAAGACAUUCAUCAUUUAAAGUUGUUGUUUUAUAUAUGCUCCUUUUGUUAAGUUAGCAAGGAUCAUAAUCAUAUUAGUAAUAGGAUUAUCUCAUAUGCUUUAGCAUCAUUUAAGAUGAGAAACUUUGAUUCCUCCGUGUUAAAAUACACUGAUUGUAUAGUUCCAUCGAACCCUAACUCGAAACGGUAAAGUUUUUGUUAAUCUAUAAAAUCACUUAUCGUUUUUAAAAAAAUUAAAAUCUUAAGUGAUAAAAAUACUAUUUUGGUGGGGAAGAUUACUACUUUAAAUAGACUAAGUUUCACUUUAUAUCAAAAAGUCUAAUUGGUAACACAUAAAAAAUUAUUUUGAGUGAUGAUUAGGACUAUUGGGGUCAAAAUAGGGGCAAAAUAUAGAAAUAUUGAGUGCUCACUAUUGCAAUUUUUAAAAUCUCAUAAUUUUCUUCAAUGCAUCAUAAUGCUAUAACUUCAUAUAAUCAGCAAAAUUUCACUCGGAAUCUUCACAAGCAUAAAAUUGGAGUAGAACCCCAAAAUUUUCAUAUGAAUUUAGCACAAUAUUUGCAAUAAAAUUCAAUACUGAACCAAAAUUAGACGCUGUAUAUUAGGAAACAAAAUAUUGAGCUCAAAAAUUUUAAUAAAACACCUAAAUCAUUUACUUUUCCUUGACAACAAUCUUUUCUUACAUAGGCUAACUUGAAGUACGUAGGAAAAUAGGGUUGAUGAGAUUCUUGAAUUGAAUUUAUUCCUUUUCUUAUUUUUUUUCCUACUUCUUUUGUUUUAAUUGUCAUUUAAAGUGAUCAUAUAUUUUAUUGUUAUAUGUUUUCAAUUAGAAAUUUAUUAUGAAGUGAAAAUUAAUCCAUUUAAAGUGACAUUUUUUUCUACCAAAAGGGUAUUUUUGUCACUUAAAAGCUUUUAAUGGACGAUAAAUUGGUCAUUUCAUCAAUUAUUUAGAUGGGGUUAAUUUUCUUAUUAUUUUAUAGUUGACCAAGGGUGUAAAGUAGGAAUGGCAAUGGGGCCUCUCCCCCGCUCCCGCCUCGCCCCCCCCUACCGGCGGGGAAAAAGUUUAUAAUUAGUAAAAAUAUAUAUUUAGUAAAAAAUUUAAUUAGUAAUUUAAUAUAAAUAUAUAGUUAGUAAAAAUUAUAUAAUAAAAUAAAUGCAUAAAUAGUAAAAAAUAUAAUAAUAAUUUAGUAUAAAUAUAUUAGUAUAACUAAUCAAUAAUUUGUAUUAAUAUAAAUAUAUAAUUAUUAGUAUAACUAAUAAUAUUAAAUAUGUUAUGUAUAUAAUUAAUGUAUAUGUAUAUAUAUACAUAUAUUAUUUUGUUUAAGUGGGGGAUAGAGCAGGGGAUGGGGCGCGGGUAUAGUCCCUUAUACCCCACCCCAUUUUUAACGGGGGAGCAUUUUAUCCCCCACCCCUAUCCUCCACGGGGUGGGGUGCCCGCGGGACUCGCCCAAUUGUCAUUCCUAGUGUAAAGUGUCUAUUAAAAUAGUUUAUGGUGCAAAAUGCAACUAGUGCAAUAGCUGGUGGGGGAGGGGGGUUUACAUUUAACCCCUUAUUUAAUUUUGGCUUUUCAGUUUAUACUGUGAACUAUGAAUUGUGACACUUAAAUAUAAUAUAUUAUCAAUUUUGGGGCACAUCGUCCAAAUAAGAUAAAACCAAUUAAUUCUUUUAACAACUUUAGAAUGAAACAUUUUAAUACCACUAAAUGAAUUAGAGAAUUUGGACAAACAACAAAUUAAGGAUAUGUGAAGCCUUCUAAGCUAACUAUAGAAAAAGUUAUUUGGAUUUGAGUUGAUUUGACCAAUGGGCCAACAAAAGAAUAGUAUAAGAUACUAAAGUUCUAAAAUUAGCAAUUUAGAGAGUAACAAGCAAAUUGGUGAUAAUUUAGGAGUGCAUAUUGGAAUUAACCCAAAAAAAGUAGUUCCUUCAUGCCUCUACAUAUAAUUGAGGUCUAUAAAUAUCACAUGCCACAAUAUAUGGUUCCCUUCUUAUGUUGACCAUUGGACAUUCAUUUGCGAUCAAUGUCAAAAGUGUAAAGUAUUGAUUCAUGAUCUACAUCAAGAGAAAUGACAUUAUUUGUCAACAACCUAAUUCUAAAAACUAAUUCAUAUUCUUUUCUUAUUCAUUCAAAAAGUUCCAUUGAAUUUGACUGUACAUUACUUCUUGUGUAGAUAAUGUUCUCAGCCGGAACCCAUACUACAUCUCAGACAAUGGAGUGGGCAUUGUCCAGCCUAUUAAAUCACCCUAAUGUACUGCAAAAGGCAAGAGAUGAGCUAGAAAAAAUGCAGCCUGGCCAUCUGCUAACUGAUUCCGAUCUCUCCAAAUUGCCUUAUUUACGCUGCAUAAUCAACGAGACACUAAGGUUAUUUCCUGCGGCCCCGACUCUUGUGCCUCAUUUUUCAUCUGAGGUUUGCACCAUAGGAGGCUACAAGGUUCCUAAAGGUACAACUUUGUUAGUGAACGCUUGGGCCAUUCACAGGGACCCCAACGUUUGGGAAGAGCCCAACAAGUAUAAGCCAGAAAGAUUUGAAGGAAUGGGUGAGGGAGGGUGGAAUGAAGGGUUCAAGUUUCUUCCAUUUGGAAAAGGCAGGAGAAUUUGUCCAGGAGCUGCCAUGGCCAUAAGGUUGGUUGGGUUGACAUUGGGCACCCUGAUUCAAUGUUUUGAAUGGGAAAGAGUUGGGCCUGAAAUGGUGGAUUUGGAAGAAAAUCAAGGAGCAACUUUGGGCAAGGCCAAGCCUUUGGAGGCAUCUUACAAGCCACGCCCAUCUAUGAUCAAAACAAUUUCUCAGCUUUAAGUUAGAUAUGUUGUUGUAUUAAGAUAAAUUGGGAUUUCUUUUUUUUUUUUUAAACUUAAAUAUCAAGAAAUAAGUGUCUGUUUUUUUUGGUUUUGAGCUCCUCUUACAAUUUCAGAUUUGUUGUUGUAACUAUCUUUCAAUACAAGUUAAUGCUAAAAUUAUACAAACUUAAAUAUUUUACGUGAAAAUGUGGAACAUUAAAUGAUUCCAAUUCUACAUUGUGAAGGAGGAGAUGGAAAGCACAACCCCACAAGCCUAAUUAGGCGUCUUAUUUAUUCACCAAUCCAUUUGAACACCAGGGAGCCUGAAAACGGUAUGAAGAACCAAAACGAAACAAUCAUUAUAUCAGUACAGUGGUAAUUGCACUGCUUUUAAAUUGAAUAUCAUAGUUUGCCCAAAUUGCAGAAUUCAAAUAAUAAGAGUUGAACGUAACAAUGACCGGAGAAAACUGGGAUCCAUGGUGACCCUAAUGUUUGGGAAUAAUGGAAGGGGGAUGCAAUGAAGGGUUCAAUUUUCUUCCAUUUGUUAAUGGGAAGAGAGCUUGUCUAGGAGCUGCUUUGGCUAUGAAGUUAGUUGCAUUGUCAUUCAUGUUCGCCGUCACGAGUUGCUGUUGCUGGUGUUCCACGUCUGUCACAGUAUAUUGGUUGAAUAUUGGGUAAUAUGUAUAUUAUAGCACAUGAAAAUUUUCAAAAAAUCUGAAAAAAUUAUUAAAAUUAGAUAAAGCCAAAAAAGGCACAAUUUGAAAAAAAUAUUCGAGUUGAUUCCCAAUGGAUUCGAAUAUAUUGGUCGAUACCAUACAUCACGGAUUUGAAUUGGUCGAGUCAAAUCGAGUCGCCACAGAUAUAUUGUUAUCCACAAUUCAGCGAUCAGUAUCGUGCCUGUUUCCUCCGUUCUGAUUACGACUUGGCUGAUUAAAAUAUUCCUAUACACUAAGGGCUUGUUCUAAAACUGCUUAAAAUAUGGGAAUCCCUUCCCACAUCGACAGUUUCUUGGCUUUUUUUUAUCAGUGGUCACAUAUUGAAUAUUCCUAGUAUUUAAUGUCGCAUUCAAACAUUUCAAUUUGACAAAAACAUGCUAUGACAGGGCAACAAGACAAAGAAAUAAAAGAUGCCUUUUCGUAUGCAAAUUGAAUUGAGCUCAUUGUGACAAGUGACAGCCUUCGUUGAUGCCACUACAAUGUCGGGGCAGGUCAUAACAUGAAUAUGUAAAAUUUUUUCAGAAAAUAUCUUUGGUAAAAUGUACAAAAAUUUGAUUAGUGUGUAAAUCUUUGUUGACUAUUCCAUUUCUGAUUGUUUAAGUUUUGUACUCUUGCACGUUUGGCAAGAUUUUAUUUUACAUUAGUAGACCAAGAAGUUUGCUGCAUUAUAGUCGAUCUUCUUUUGUUUUUUAAGGGUAAAGUAUGUCGAAGGUUAUCAAACUUUUCAAUAGUUUCAUUUUACUCUCGUAACUAUUUUUUGUAAUAAAUAGUCCACUAAAUUUUUUAAAAGUCUCAUUUUAUUCAUUGAACAAUUUUUUUUAAUAAGAAAUGGCUCACUAAUUUUUGUUAAAAAAUUUCAUUUUACCCACUCAACUUCUUUUUUUUUUUUUACCAAAAAACCUACUAAACUUUUAAAGUGAUUUAUCUGGAUCGUUUUGUUAGAUUCUACCAUUAAGAUAGAUAACAAGUUUGCCAAAGUAGUCACAUUUUAAAUGGAUAAAUUUUUCAUUUCACACCCAAAAUCUAUAUGUCCAAAUCAAUUAAAAAUUUUUAUAGCUUCAGAAAAAACCACAAAUUCUAUUUUGGAUGGGCCAAAAAUAGUUUUUGUGGGGAUCGAGAUUUUAUUUUGGGAUUUAGGUAUUUUAAAAGUGACUGAAUAGUUUAAUCCAUUGGGGCAGAUGGAUUUUAGGCGCGCAAUGACGAAAUUAUCCAUUUAAAUCGGGCUCACAUGACAAACAUUCGUCUAUCUUAAUGGUAGAAUUUUAACAAAAUAGUCUAUUUUGUACAAAAAGUAGUUGACCGGGCAAAAUAAAACUUUUAAAAUGUUUAGCAUGCAGUUUGAUAGAAAAAAUAGUUGAAUGAGACUUUUAAAAAGUUUGAACGUCUAUAAUCAAAAAUAGCAUUAUUUUCUAAUGGCUGAUAGAAAGGACUAAAAGUCUAAAACCGUCCCUUGUCAGAGUCUUAUCUACUCUUGUCAAUUUUCAGUUAACAAUCGUCCAAUACUUGCAUCAAAAGAAAAUCCACACAUGAAAAAUGAAGUGUUAAACCUUAACUUUGUCAGUAUAAAGUCAACACCAAACUUCUCUCUUUCUUCUUGCCAGUUGCAUCUGAAUCUUGAUUAUGGAGUUACUCUACAGCAUCCUAAGUCUCAUUUUUUUUUUCGUUUUCUGGAUUGCUGUGAAGUUUCAGUACCACAUCCCACAGCAAAACAGGAAACUUCCCACAUAUUUGAUAUUUUGUCUGGUAUAUUACCAGAUAUAUGCACUUGCCAAGAGAAGUGCAAAUGGCUUGGAGGAGUUGUUUAAGCAAAUGCAAUGAUGGAUUAACUUAGCUGAAGUUAGAAAUAUUUCAACUUUUUAUGUUUCUAUCUUGUGCUUUCACACCCGACGUCUAAUUUUUUUUUUGAUAGUCGUCACUCAUCUUUUUUAUAUCUAUUCCUAUUCUAACUCUAACAUAUUUUAGAGAAAGGUCAACUGAACUUAUAAAGGAAUCAAGCGGAAAUGAACCAUCGUCGAAUUAGACGAAUGCACUAUACAUCCUUAUUGAUCUAGAAGAAGCCAGUUAAAACUGCAAGAGACAUACAUCCCAUGUCUAAUAGUAACGUGAAUUGUGAAUUUUAGAUGCUUAUCAAAGCUCGGAAAGAGAGUGCUGCAGCAGGACCAUAUAUCACUUGCCUUAAAUAAUGAGUUUCCAAUAAAUUGCAUAUUUCGCCAGGUUAAGGGCACAAAUGAUUGCCAUGUGAACUGUUUCGGAAUGAUUUUGUCUAUUUUAACAAGAUCUAAGCCUUUCAUUCAGUCAUGUGAAUCAUUUUGAAUGCAACGUAAAUUUAAAAUAAAUUUUUGUGAAUUAGAUAAAUAUGUCGUGAAAACUAUUUACACCACGUGAUCUGAGCCUUAUAUAUAUUUUGGGUUAAUCCUGAUCCUCAAACCUCUCCAAAACUUCUACUGCCCCAAUUGUAUUUCCCCACGGUUUGCUAUGACUGGUUUCUUGCGAGGACUGAUAGAGAUUUAAACUAAUCUCCAUAUUAGUUUUGACAAAGAAGAAUUUGAAUUAAAUUACAAAUAAUAUUAAGAGAAUAGUUAAUAAAAUACUGAGUGAGAAUAAUGUGAAGUGCUAUGCGUACCCGCAUUGUACAAGUUUUUUCUCAAAAGUAUGAUUAGAAGUUCAAUUGCAACUGCGAGUUUAUUAUAUUUACACUUAAAAUUACACACUUAUUUACCAUAGAUUUAAAUCUUAUGCUCUAUUAACAGUAGUUUUAAAUUGUAUUUUUGUAUGUGAGACGUGACAUUGAUUAUAAUUUUAUCGAAUAGUUAUAGAUGCAAGUAUGUGAAAGAAAGUAUCAUAUGAGCCUGUUAUUUUAUUAUAGCUCAUAAAAUACAUAUUGUUUGAAUGGAAAUUUUAAAAUUUUGUCAUGAAUUGAUGUAUUUUUCUGAAGUAUGAUAUCAUAAAAGUUUAUUAGGUGGUUUUUUUGAAAAGUAUGAUUAAUUUUUGUGGGAAAAUAUUAUUCAAGGCCUUGCGUUUUCAGUCACUUUUGUAUUGUUGGUAAUAAGGGUGGUCACAUAGGAUCGCAUCCCAUAGGAUUUAUAAACAAGAAGUAGCGAAGACAUUGGAUUUCUUUGUAAGCCGCGUGGAGUUUUUAUUUUUGGAAAUAAUAUUCCAUACUAACACAACUUUAUGAUAUAGAAAUAGAAUAAAAGAUGGUCUACCUUCGAUUCCUUAGAUUGCCUAAUUUGAGUUGCUUUUUGUAACUGAAUUCUUUGUUAUUUAAAGUGUCACUUUCAUUUCUUUUGGGUUGUUGCUGGAGCCUUCACAUAUUGUUAAAUUGAAAAAAUUAUUCUUAAAACUUAAUUUAGUUGGUAGGGACAUUUUUUGAGGUGAUACAAGUUAUGCCUUGAAAUGAAAGAAAAUUUCGAAUCCGCUUUAUCUACAAACGAGGAAGUUAUAAGUAAUCCAACUGAGAAUUUCAUGAAGAAUUUGAUUCUGACUCAGAAUGAAUGCUGGCGGAGAGGUUUUUAAUUCGGCUUUCAAGCCUUUCUCGUGUAACACUUUGAGUCUUUUCUUGAACCAAAAAAAUUAAAUAAAUAAUGUAAAAUAAAACAUUUUUCCCUUUGCAUAUUCAUUGAUUUUCUUGAGAACUGUUGCUGUGAACGUAUACUAUUCGAUGUAAUACGAGUUUUUCUACACUAUGGUCAGUAGGAUGGUAUUCUCGUGGGGGGAGGAAGCUGAGGAAAGUUGAAUCAAUUUCCCAAGCUCUACCUUCCGACCCUGAGUUUUGCAUUAAUAGUCCCCACCCAAAUGAUCAAAAUAGUACUUCAACUUUAGUUCAUUAGCUGAUUAAGUCAACAGCUGUUUAACACUCAGUAACUAGUUACUUUAUUUGGGUACUGAAUUAUUUUUAAAAAAAUUUAUUUGCUUGUAUCACAACACAUUUUUUAACAAUUUUUUUAUUUCAUAUACAUUACAAUAAAAAAAAUUGGUACAUCACUAUUUUAUCUCGCAUACAUCACAUCAAAAAAGUAUUAUAUUAUUUUUUCAAAAAAUUAUCCUAAAUAAUCUACUAUCCAAACUCAUAGAUUUGCAGCAUCGAUGAAAUCUUCUUGUGAGGUUGGCAUUUUUCCAAGAAGUUUUUAUAUGUGUUAUCUUAGAACAACGGCAAUAAGCAACUCGAUUUGCCAUGGAAAAUUUGCUUUUUAAUCGGAGCCUUGGUGAUUCCCGAAGAUGGCUUCCUCGUAAGCUCCCGAAGUAGAUGGCUUGGCCUCUCCCUCUACCCCGAAAAUAUCAUAUUUUUAUUAAGUUGAAAUCAGGGAAAAAUUAUCCCACACGUUCCAAUGGCCAAUACCGAAAAAAAAAAAGAAUAGUUAUACACUACUCAGCACACUCUAAAUAAAAUACAAUCUAACUAGUCAACUACAACAGUAAACCACUGGCAAAUGACUUGAGCAAAAAAUUUCCGAUCUAAGUCUCAACUCGUACUAAUCUUCCAAUUCUUGCUAAAUCUAUCUACAAGAGAAGUAUAGUAUUUAUUGUGACAGUCAGAGUGCUGUUCAUUUGUGUAAGAACUCUAAAUUUCACUCUUGAUCCAAACAUAUUGAUGUGAGAUAUCAUUGGAUUCGGGAAGUAUUGGAUUCUAAGUUAUUGACACUUGAGAAGGUGCAUACAAAUGAUAAUGGUGCUGAUAUAUUUACCAAAGCACUGUCUAAGGAAAAACUUUUAUUUUACAGACAAGAAACAAGGUUAGUGGAACCCCUCAAAUGAACUGGAGGGGGAGAUUGUUGGGUGUGGGCCAGCCCAUUUGUGGGCCAACCCAUUUGUGCAAGUAAACAACACUUGAGGGCUUCUCAAGUUUAACUACAAGCGGCAGCCGCAUGAGGUAAUUUCAAUUCUUCGGUCCUCGUGCGAGAGAAAAAAAAAAGGACAGCCGCCAUUUUUUGCUGGUUGAGAGAAAAACGAAGAGAGAGAGAAACUUUAAGAUCUUAAUUGGAGAGUGAUUUGAAACCCGAUUGAGAUGAAAUUUUACACACGCGAUCCUCUUGUCAAGCUCUACUCAUCUACCGGUUCAGAUUUCAGAUUUUCUCUUCGUUUGGUAACACUUUUCCAAACUCACUUCUUUGACAGUUGUAAUUUUUUGGGGUGAUUUUGUAGCAAUUUCACUUGAUUGGUGGUGGUGAUAUUAUUAUUGUUCGAAUAUUUCGGAUAGACCUGUGUAUUCACAUUAUUGUGAUAGUGAAAAUUUUGAUUGGAUUAGGUCCCGUGAUUUUUUCCAAUUGGAUUUUCCACGUAAAAAUUUUGGUGUCCUGUACCUUCUAUUUUUCUUGCAUUUUAUUAUCACUGCUGACAUUAUUACUUGGUGAUUUGAUUUAUUUCUAUUUUAAUUGGUACUUGGGAAAAGAGAAAUUUAUUCUGGGCUAACUCUGAUAUUGUGAGCCUGUACUGGUACCUCUUUCCCAACAUAGUUAUACACUAUUCAGCACACUCUAAAUAAAAUACAAUCUAAUUAGUCAACUACAACAGUACACCACUAGCAAAUGACUCGAGCAAAAAAUUUCCGAUCUAAGUCUCAACUGGUACUAAUCUUCCAAUUCUUGCUAAAUCUAUCUACUUAUAAGGGUACAAUUUACAGCAUGAACAAUUCAUUCCACCACUAUAGAGCAUGCAUAUUUGACGGUUGGCUAGCUAGUCUAUGCAGAAAAUGUAACAUUUGGGUAGCUCAAUCACACAAGGACAAAAUUGGCUACCACAAAAUACUUCGAGGACUUAGUUAGCUAAAGUUAGGAGUUGAAGCACUAAAAUGGUUUAGUAAAAAAGUUCAUUUGCUCUAUUUCCUCCAACAAAUUUAGGGAAAAAAAAGAGAUUAUUUCGCCCAAUUAAGUCCACUGCCACUGGCACUUCCAGUAACUUAUUGUGGAGGUAAGUUCUUCUUCUUCUUCUUUUUUAUUUCUUUUCCUUUUCUUGAAAUUUGAUGUUUGACACACUUUCUUUGGUAAUGUCAUACUGCCAAGGUUUGUAUUAACAGAGUUGAGAAUAUAAAGGCAAAAAAAAGUUUAUCUAUCCACUGAUGGAAAUUUGUGAAUGGUGAUUACCAUAAAAAAAAUUUUUAUUUCUUCUUUUUUUUUGGUUAACAUUACCUGGAAUCAGGCUUUAUGAAAUAUAGUCAUGAUGUUUGAUCUUUUGCAUUUUGAGCAAGAAAGACGUAUACUUUUUGUCUUUUGGAUUUCUGAAGGUAAGAGUUUGUUGUCUUUGGCAGGGUUCAUCAAACCAUAGCUCUAUUAUCAGGCUUUAAAAUAAAACACACUUAACUUUUUCGAAAGCAAAUAAAAUUAAGACAACUCACAACCUUUGUUUGAUGCCACUGAAGUAUUGGGGCUGGUCAUAUAUAAUAUAUAAAUUUUGGGUACUGCCAGCAAAUAUCUCUGGAAAGAUGCACAAAAUUUAGAUUAUUACAUGCAUGAUCCCAAAUUUGGGAAGCACCAAAAUGUAGAAACAUGAUAGAAGGAACUAAAACUCAUAGGCCCACGUUUCAAUCUUAUUCAUUUCAAAAUUGCCCAGCUAUUGCCUUAGAUCUACUUUUACCCACACAUGAAAAAUGAAGUGAAACAUGAUAGCUGCAAGGACUCUCUUCAAUGGUCACUUGUCAAAGCAACUCCACUAUGCAAUAAUUAAUUAUGGGGUGAACUUCAAAUUAAAUAAAUGAUAUUUAUAGUAAGACAAGUAUUAAUGAGGGAAAGAAUUACUUCCUCCGCCUUAUUUUAUUAGGUUUGCUUUCUAUUUUAGUUUGUCCCAAAUUAUUUGUCAUAGCCUAAAAGAGAAAAAUGAAAAGAGACCAAUUUGCCCUUUUUUACGCUUCAUAAAAAAAGAGUCAGACGGUAUUAAUGUCAUGUUUUAGCAUUAAACGCUUUAACAAACUAUUAUAAAAUUCCCAAAUUCUAAAGCAACAAACAAAAUUUAAAUUCAAGUUAAGAGGUAAUUAUGGAAACAUUUAUUUGUUGGUUGGUCAAAAAUCAAGUUCCUUAAUUAUGUGUUUUAAUGAUAUCAUCUUAGUGCUUGGAUUUGUUGAUUUAUUGUCCAUAUUUUUUGAAUUAAUAUUGUAACUUUUAGUAAGUGAGAGAUUUUGAAUCAAAAUCUCUUACUCAUGAUCCCUUCCAUUCUGCUAUUCAAUUCAACCUGACCCAUCCCACUCCCUAUUUAUUGAAUCAAUAUUGAUGCUCAUGUAUGAAACAAGUGAUACUGGUGAUCAGAGAGUGCCCAAAUGCAAAAUUACUACACUGCACAUAAAGUCAACGACAAACAUCUUUCUCCUUGCUUCUUGCAUCUUGAGCCUUGAUCAUGGAGUUACUCUACACCAUUCUAGGUCUCUUCAUAUUCUUGAUUGCUGUAAAGUAUCAGUAUCUCCGAAAAAAGAACCGAAAACUGCAGCCUCCAAGUCCUCCAGCUCUUCCAAUUUUGGGCCAUCUUCACCUUGUGAAGACUGCCCCUCACCUUGCCCUGCAAAAGCUCUCCAUCAAAUAUGGUCCCCUGAUUUUCCUUCAUUUUGGGAUUCGUCCUUUCCUUGUUGUUUCCUCGCCAUCUCUUGCAGAGGAAUGCUUAACCAAGACCAAUGAUAUUAUUUUCGCGAACCGGCCUGAGUCAGUUUCCAGUAAAUACCUUGGCUACAACUCAACUAUUCUCAUACUCUCCCCUUAUGGAGAUCACUGGCGAAAUCUCCGCCGAGUCACAACCAUCCAUAUGUUUUCUUCGAUUCGACUCCAGCGUUUCUCCUCCAUCUGGACUGAAGAAAUCCAUUUCAUCAUCAAAAAUUUGUUUUCCAGUAACUCUGAUGAGAAAACCUGGAAAGUUAAGGACAUGAGUUCUUUGUUCCGGGAGUUAUUAUUCAACGUGAUAAUGAAAAUAGUUGCUGGAAAAAGAUGGCCAUCUGAUCAGCCAGGUGAUAUAUUUUCACCGCAAGCACUCACUGAUCUUUGUGAUUAUAUUCCAAUCUUGAGGUGGGUUGGCUAUGGAGGGUUGGAGAAAGGUGUAAUCAGUUUGCACCAGAAGAGGGACGAGUUUCUUCAGGGCCUGAUUGAUCAAACACGUAAAGAGGAAGCAGAAGACGGUUCUUGUUCGACAGAGAGAAGGAAAACAAUUAUUCAAAAAUUGUUAUCUCUACAAGAAGAAGAACCCGAAUACUACACUGACGAAAUUGUUAAAGGAAUUAUACAAGUAAGUCUCUUCUACUUGAAUCUCUUUCUCAAAUUGGUCUAUAAUUCAUUAGGACAAGGUCAUCUCACCCAUGUAGCAGCAGUAGCACAAAUUGUCUUAGCCAUAUUUAGUGGUAGCGCCAAGACUAGUGGUGAGGGAUGCAGUGAUCCACAACCGCAUGCUUUUCAUGGUUGAAAUUGGAUCAUAUUAGCUCGAUUUGAUCUGAAUAUUGAAAUGAUCAAAUUAAACCGUAUCUUGAUGUUGUGGUCUGAUCUGAACUGUAGAAAACACGUCCGACUGUAGAUAGGCACCGGAUCUAGUGGCGGUGAGUGGGGAAAUGGUAUAUGCCACUAACUUCUGUUGGUGUCUAGAUAAGAAAUUUGGUGAAAGUCUUUUCAAAAAUUUGGUCCACAUGUUCGUCAACUUGCAAAUUGGAUAAGUCUUCUUGACGGGAGAGGGGAGAGAUUUGGCGUAGUUUGGCCCAAUUGUUAUAUUUUUUAUAUUAUUUGGUGUGUAAUUAUAUGAUAUUAUUUUAUUUAAAAUAAAAGUGAUAUACAUGAAUACAAUAUUUGAUAUAUAUUUAAUACAAUAUUAUGAUAUAUUCGUACAUCAAAAAAUUUAAACAUUAACUGUGAUGAUAUUUGACAGCGGACAAUAGAAGCAAAUCAGAUUAAGUGAUGAGACGUUAACCGUGAUACUUGUGGCUGGGUUUAAGUCAACGGUGGAGGCUGUGAGAUAGUUUUAGAAUUGGUCGUUCUGAAGGCUCUUUUUGAAAAAUAUACAGAAAAAUGUGCACAAAUCCAAAAUUUAAUCAUGUACAACUCAAGCCACGUCAAGUCGGAAAUUUUUGGACUUUUUUUUUUAAAAAAAAGAACUCUAUCAAUUACUAAAGACAUUUUAAAAAGGUAUUUAAGGCUUAAAUGCAUAAAACUCCCAUGAACUAGUUCACUGGUUGGACUUUACACUCUAAAGUAUUUUAAUAGGCACUUUACACCUAUAGUUAACUAAAAAAAAACAUGAAAAUUAAUUUCAUCCAAAUAAUUGAUGAAAUUAUUAAUUUAUCCUCCAUUAAAACUUAAGUGAUAAAAAUAAUAUUUUGGUGGGGAAGAUUACUAAUUUAAAUAGACUAAUUUUCACUUUAUAUCAAAAAGUCUAAUUGUUAACACAUAAAAAAUCGAUUUGAAUGAGGAUUAAGACUAUUGGGGUCAAAAUGGGGGCAAAAUAUAGAAAUAUUGAGUGAUUACUCUUGCAAUUUUUAUAAUCUCAUAAUUUACUUCAACGCAUCAUAAUGUAGCAAAAUUUCAUUUGAAAUAUUCACAAGCAUAAAAUUGGAGUAGAACCCAAAAAUUUGCAUAUGAAUUUAGCACAAUAAUUGCAAUAAAAUUUCAAUACCGAACCAAAAUUAGAAGCCAUAUAUUAGGAAACAAAAUAUUGGGCUACAAAAUUUUAAUAAAACACCAAAAUUAUUUACUUUUCCUUGACUACAAUCUUUUCUUACCUAGGCUAACUUGAAAUACAUAGUAAAAUAAGGUUGAUGAGAUUCUUGAAUUGAAUUUAUUCAUUUUCUUGUUUUUUCCUGCUUCUUUUGUUUUAAUUGUCAUUCAAAGUGAUCAUAUAUUUUAUUGUUAUAUGUUUCAAAUUAGAAUUUUAUUAUGAAGUGAAAAUUAAUCCAUUUAAAGUGACAAAUUUUUUCUACCAAAAGGGUAUUUUUGUCACUUAAAAGCUUUUAAUGGAGGAAAAAUUGGUCAUCUCAUCAAUUAUUUAGAUGGAGUUAAUUUUCUUAUUAUUUUAAAGUUGACUAAGGGUGAAAAGUGCCUAUUAAAAUAGUUUAGGGUACAAAAUGCAACUAGUGUAAUAGUUCAUGGGGGUUUUCUACAUUUAACCCCCUAUUUAAUUUUGGCUUUUCAGUUUAUACUCUGAACUAUGAAUUGUGAUACUUAAGUAUAAUAUACUAUCAAUUUUGGGGCACAUCGUCCAAAUAAGAUAAAAUCAAUUAAUUCUUUUAGCAACUUUAGAAUAAAAUACUUUAAUACCCCUAAACGAAUUAGAGAAUUUGGACAAACAACAGAUUAAGGAUACUUGAAGCCUUCUAAACUAACUAUAGAAAAAGUUAUUUGGAUUUGACCAAUGGGCCAACAAAAGAACAAGAUACUGAAGUUCUAAAAUUAGCAAUUUAGAGAGUAACAAGCAAAUUGGUGAUAAUUUAGAUGUGAAUAUUGGCAAUAACACCCAAAAAAAGGUAGUUCCUUCAUGCCUUUACAUAUAAUUGAGGUCUAUAGAUAUCACAUGCCAUAAUAUAUAGUUCCCUUCUUAUGUUGACUGGUGGACAUUUAUUUGCGAUCAAUGUCAAAAGUGUAAAUUAUUGAUUCAUGAUCUAUAGCAAGAGAAAUGACAUUAUUUGUCAACAACUUGAUUCUAAAAACUAAUUCCUAUUCUUUUCUUAUUCAUUCAAAAAGUUGCAUUGAAUUUGACUGUACAUUACUUCUUGUGUAGAUAAUGUUAUCAGCCGGAACACAUACUACAUCUCAGACAAUGGAGUGGGCAUUGUCCAGCCUAUUAAAUCACCCUAAUGUACUGCAAAAGGCAAGAGAUGAGCUAGAAAAAAUGCAGCCUGGCCAUCUGCUAAAUGAUUCCGAUCUCUCCAAAUUGCCUUAUUUACGCUGCAUAAUCAACGAGACACUAAGGUUAUUUCCUGCGGCACCAACUCUUGUGCCUCAUUUUUCAUCUGAGGAUUGCACCAUAGGAGGCUACAAGGUUCCAAAAGGUACAACUUUGUUAGUGAAUGCUUGGGCAAUUCACAGGGACCCCAAUGUUUGGGAAGAGCCCAACAAGUAUAAGCCAGAAAGAUUUGAAGGAAUGGAUGAGGGAGGGUGGAAUGAAGGGUUCAAAUUUCUUCCAUUUGGAAAAGGCAGGAGAAUUUGUCCAGGAGCUGCCAUGGCCAUAAGGUUGGUUGGGUUGACAUUGGGCACCCUGAUUCAAUGCUUUGAGUGGGAAAGAGCAGGGCCUGAAAUGGUGGAUUUGGAAGAAAAUCAAGGAGCAACUUUGGGCAAGGCCAAGCCUUUGGAGGCAUCUUACAGGCCACGCCCACCGAUGAUCAAAACAAUUUCUCAGCUUUAAGUUAGAUAUGUUGUUCUAUUGAGAUAAAUUGGGAUUUCUUUUUUUUUUUUUGAAUUUAAAUAUCAAGAUAUGAGUGUCUGAUUUUUGGUUUUGAGCUCCUCUUACAAUUUCAGAUUUGUAGUUGUAACUUUCUUUCAGUACAAGUUGACGCUACAAUUAUACAAACUUAAGUAUUUUACAUGGAAAUGUGGAACAUUAAAUGAUUCCAAUUCUACGUUGCGGAGAAGGAGAUGCAAAGCACAAUCCCACAAGCCAAAAUAAUGAAAACGGUGUGAAGAACCAAAAGGAAACAAUCAUUAUACCAAUACAAUGGUAAUUGCACUACUUUCAAAUUGAGUAUCUUAGUUUGCCCUCAUUGAAGAAUUCAAAGAAUAAGAGUUGAAAGUGACAAUGACUGGAGAAAACUGGCAUCCAUGGAGACCCUAAUGUUUGGGAAGAAGCAAACAAAACGGUGUGAAGAACCAAAAGGAAACAAUCAUUAUACCAAUACAAUGGUAAUUGCACUACUUUCAAAUUGAGUAUCUUAGUUUGCCCUCAUUGAAGAAUUCAAAGAAUAAGAGUUGAAAGUGACAAUGACUGGAGAAAACUGGCAUCCAUGGAGACCCUAAUGUUUGGGAAGAAGCAAACAAGUUUAAGCCGGAAAGAUUUGAAGGGAUUUAUGAUGAAGGGUUCAAUUUUCUUCCAUUUGGAAAUGAGAAGAGAGCUUGUCCAGGAGCCGCUUUGGCUAUGAAGUUAGUUGCAUUGUCAUUGGGCACUUUGAUUCAAUGCUUUGAAUGGGAAUGAAUAGGGCCUGCAAUGAAGGAUUUGGAAGAAAAUAUAGGCUCAAAUGGGGGCCGAGGCCAGCCUUUGGAGUCAUUAUACAAGCCAUGCGAGUGUAUGAUCAACUUGAUCUCUCAGCUUUAGUUAAGUUAGAGAUCGAUGUAGUAUAAUCUGUUCUUCUCUUCACUGAAAUAAAAAGAUUGAAAUAUUUCGUUCCAGAACAUAAAACUGCAAGUGGGGUAAGAAUGUCUAGGAACAAAGAGGAAUAUGGCAUGAAGAAUUAAAUGCUUGAAAGCGAACAUCCUAUGCUCUGCAGUUCAGGCUUUUCAAUCAGUAGAUACAACAAGGUCAUGGAAUCCCUUCCCAUAUUGGCAGUUUCAUGGCAUCUCUUAUCAGUGGUCACAUAUUGAAUAUUCCUAGCAUUCAGACAUUCCAAUUUGACAAAAACAUGCUAUGACAGGGCAACAAAACAAAGAAAUAAAAGAUGCCUUUUCGUAUGCAAAUUGAAUUGAGCUCAUUGUGACAAUUGACAGCCUUUGUUGAUGCCACUACAAUGUCGGGGCAGGCCCACAUAUUUUUGGUAAAUGUUGGGAUGAAGAAUCCCCGUGCACACAGCGGAAGCAAUUCUAACACAUAAAAAAUAUAUGUGAAGAGGAAGAGAACAAACACUCAAUAAUUUAUUUAACUCAAAAUAAAUACUAAGUCGUAGCCUUUCGGUCACAACAACUUACAAAUCUCAACUAUGAAAUUUUCUCUCAGGUCUAAUCUCUAGACUCAACUCAACUCUCCACACAAUAACCUACUAGACUAUUAGUAUUUAUAGACUCCAAAAUUUCCUAAAACAAAUACGGUUGUAAACCAAAACUUAUUUGAAAACUAAUUUGAGAUUUCCUAAUCUAAUAUGAAAACUAAACAAAUAAGAUACCAAAACGAAUUAGGAAACUAAAAUAACUUGGUUUAUUUUCCUACAUUGCCUCCCUUAAACUAAGCUCUUCAAAUUUCACCAUGCUGAGCAUUUUCUUCAAUUUCAUGAACCUCUCCAAUUUGAGUAGUUUUGUCAAAAUAUCAGCUACUUGAUCUUCACUUCUGCAAUAAUCAAUGACAAUUUCUUGCUGUUGAACGAACUCACAAAUAAAAUGAUACUUGAUGUCAAUAUGUUUGCUGCGCCCAUGAAAAAUUGAAUUUUUUGUCAACUCAAUCGCAGACAAACUAUCACAAAAUAUUUUGGUAGGACCAUCUUGCUUGUGUUGUAAGAAUCCAAGCAUUCUCCGCAACCAAAGUGCUUGAGUAGCACUACUUGUGGCCGCCAUGUACUCCUCUUCUGCUGUGGACAAAGCAACCACCUAUUGUUUCUUUGAGGACCAAGAAAAUACACCAGAUCCCAAGUAAAAUGCAUAACCAGAAGUGCUCCUCCUUUGUAUUAUGUCACCAGUCCAAUCAAAGCUUGCAAGUGAGACUGGCGCAGAGAUUCCAUGAAUCUGCUAAUCAAACCAACUCCAUAAGUGAUUCAGGUCUCGUGAAAGUUAAAUACUUGAGACUUCCUACCAACGUCCUAAAGUAAGUAGCAUCAACAAAAUCACCAGUACCAUCUUUGGUUAAUUUCAAUAUUUCUUCAACCAGGGUCAUCAUUGGUUUAGCCACAUCCAUCUUAAACUUCUUUAGAAUAUCACUUGCAUACUUCCUUUGUGAGAUAAAAAUUCCACCAUCCAACUAAUGAACCACAAUACCAAGAAAAUAAGACAUCAAUCCCAAAUCUGUCAUCUCAAAUUGACUAAUCAUGGCCUCCCUGAAUUUAGAAAUUAGUUUGGGAUUAUUGCCUGUAAAUAUCAAGUCAUCCACAUACAAGCAUACAAUAAGGACAUCUCUUCCAAGGUUGAAUUUGAUGUACAGAGUAUGAUCAUAUGGACAUCUCAGAAAACCAUGCUUAAUAAAAUAAGAAUCAAUGCAAGUAUCCUAAGCUCUAGGAGCUUGUUUCAACCCAUACAAUGCCUUUUCCCAUCUAUACACUUUGUUUUAUUGACCAUUUCUAACAUAACCAACAGGCUGCACAACAUAUACCUCUUCUGCCUUUUGCUUAUGGCCUUUGACGACCCUACCUCCUCCUAAGGCGAACCAAGGGGUUCGGCGGACCGCCUACCCAACUCUCGUCAGGACUCGUUCACUCACUUAUAGCUUCAAGAGCAAGUAAGAUGUGCCAAUCAAACUUAACAUAUAUACAAUCAUUAACACAGAUAUACAAUCCUCAAGGUUAAGUACAAAAGCUCAGGAUCCAACCAACUACUAAUACUAUCACUAUUACACAACAAAAGUUCUAGUCAAAAGUUUAGUCUUUCUCUAAUCACCCGUCCUUGCUCAAGAACCCUGUAAGAAAAACAAAAACUAAAGGAAUGAGUUAAAACUCAGUGAGGUUCCCAUGCACAUAAUCAAGCAAUUGAAACAAGGAUAUUAUUCAGUUAAUAACAAUCAAUCGAGAAAACAUUCACAAUAUAAAAACAAUGAGAAUACACUCAUUAAAAGGAUACAUGCUCGCGUGGAGCUAUUCGUUCAAUUAUUCAUUCAUUCAGCUAGUCAUUCUCCUUCAUUUAAUCAUUCAUUUCUUCCCUUAUAAAUUCAACAUUUCCAUUCAUUCAUUUCAUUUCUCGCCACUAGCCAAUUCACUGGCCAAUUCUCCACCAAAUUUCGUGGUCAUACUCGAGUAUACCAAAAAUUAUCUCAAGGUCACCAGUCGCCCGAUCGAGUCCAUUUCUGACUCAAGUCGACUGGCAACAAAGGGCAAGGGUCCAAUUCAGCCAAUGCGGUACCAUACAACCCACAUAGUUUACAUUCAUGCACAGGUAAUGCCCAAUCAGUUAAUCAUUAGAAAUUCACUUUCGCUUAGAUCAAGUGCAAUAAAGUACACACUCGACCAUUGAAAAUCCAUUUAACAGUCAUUGGAAGCCAUUUAACACUCAAUCGAAGAUUCACAACAAGUACACAGUCAUUUAAUACACAAACAUGCAAGAAACACUCACCUUAAACAAGUCACGUUUUAUCAAAAUUUAGUUCAGGGCCGGCAUCUUGGCCACUCCCGAAAUCUGCAGUCAAAUAUUAUCUACAAAGAGCCAAUCAUAUACGAGUGCAAGCUACAUAACUUAUAUUUCUAUAUGAAAGUAAAAAGGCCAGAAAAGGAUAGUAAGUCAUAUAGGCAAGGUGCACGCAUAAUUUGUAAAAGAAAAUGAUCAAAAGCGGUUAAGUUCAAAACCAAUAUGUGCAACUAAAAAUCAUGUUUCGAAUACUUGUUUAGAAUGUUGGAAAUCAGGUUUAGAACACUUGAGAAGUAAAUGUUAAGUCAGAUCAAGGAAACGAAAAACAAGAGAAAUGCAACGAGAAACAAUGAAGAUAGCAGCUUUACCAUCCUUUGGUGUUUUGAUCACAACUGAAGCUACACUUAUCGGCUCGAGAAAAAUUUUAUGAUGUUUCAAAAUAAGACCUAGACUUACAUUUUCUAUGAAGACAUCGACACCCAAUUCUCACAUUUUCAGGGUAAAAAAUGGACAGUCAAAAGCACAUGAAAAACAGGUCAGAAAAAUUAGAGUUUUUGCGCAGUCAGGAGUGCUCUGGCCAAAUUAUAAGCUAAAAUGAUUCAAUUGAUCUAAAAUUUUGCAGGUAGAAAGUUAACUCAAAUCCCAAUAACUUUCAUGUUUUGUCUAAAAGCUGAUUCAGUCUAAAACAUGGAGAAAUUCGCAGCACAAAUUGAUUCCAAAAAUAGGGCAGAGCUGAAAUUCACCAAAUUGUCUAGUUUUCUUUAAAGUUUCAACUCCCAACUCAAACCCAAUCAAGAUUACAUCACUACGCUACCUCCUGUUAACUUAACCCUGGAUACAAAAGUUUUGGCAGCACCUCUCCUAUUUUCAAUCCUUUUCUCCUUGAAAAUCAAGGUGUAAACCACAGUAAUCCCAACACAAUCAAAGCCACAAGAUAUUACAAGGCUUAUUCUAGUCUAUCAAAACCCUUCAAAAUUCACACAAAUAGAAAUUAACCGAAAGACAUCAAAGCUGAAAUUUCCCAAUUCAAGUAAAAAAAUCACUUAUUGAAGUUGUAAACAUGCAUAUCAAAGCUCAAUCACCUUCUAAUACGAUUGGACAACCUAUAUCAAAAUUACAAACUUAACAAAAAUUAAAAUUUCACUUCUUAAGGUAAACUUUGCAUAGAACUAUCACUAAUUGCGAUUAAAAGUUAGAAAUUCCACCUUAACACUAAACUAGCUUCUACUAAUCAUAUACAUGCCAAAUCAAAGAUGAAAUAACUUAUAUAAAAUCUGAAAAAUAUCAAUAAAACUGAAAUUUAUCAUCCCAACCCUAAAAUCACAAGAAUCUCCAAAAAAUCAAUAAAAAUCAAGUUAUCCAACAACUUAAUCACAAGAUUAAAGAACAAAAGGAGCUUCUAAUGAUUACACCUUCCAACACCCUGAAAACAAGCAAAACAAAUCCUUUUCUUCUCAAAAUACUCCACCCUUAGUUUGCUAUCACCUUAGAUGCAAAGUUAAUCGGAGUAGUUUUUGGCAAUUGGAAGAAAUCUCUCAAGAUUUGGUAAAGGAAAUCAAAGGAAAAAUGGACUUAACUUGCUUGGUUUUACUCCUCUUGAGGUUCGGCCAGCUCGGAGAAGAAAGAAUGAAGAGUUUUUGUGUUCCAAAUGAAGUGAUAAAUAUAAAGACUUAAGGGUCCGUUUGGAUUCUUGUUGUUUGGCCUGUUUUUGAAAAACUGUUUUUCACAAUCCAAAUGCUACAGUAAAUGUGUAUUUCAAAAACAACUCCAAAAACACCAUAUCCAAACAAUAUAUUAAAAACAACUCCAAAUACAUAUUUAAUAUGUUUAUUUCAAUUUGUAUAUUUCAAUUAUGCAUAGGAUAUUUAUAUAGUAUAUUAAUUUAAAUAUAUUUAUUUAUACAUAUUAUAAAUAUUUUAUUUUAUAUAAAAUAUAUUUUUAUAUAUUUAUAUAAAUAUUAUAUAUUAUAUAAAUUAUAUAUAUUAUAAAUAUGUUAUUAUACAUUUAUAUAAAUGUUAUAUAUUAUAUAUAUUUAAUAUAUACAUAAUAUAUAUUAUAUAUAUUGAACAUUUAUAUAAAUGUACAUUUAAACAUAAUAUAUAUUUAUGUAUAUUUAUAAUAUACAUUUAUAUUAUGUAUUAUAUAUAAUAUAAUACAUUUAUACAUUUAUAUUAAUAUACAUAAUAUUAAUUAUAUAUUUAUACAUAAUAUUAAUAAAUUUAUACAUUUAUAUUUAUUACAUUAAUACAUUAAUACAUAAUAUUAAUAUAUAUUUAUAAUAUAUUAAUUUAUAGAUUUAUAUAAUAUUCAUUUAUAAUUUAUACAUUUAUAAAUAUAUUUAUAUUAUGUAUUAUAUAUAAUAUAAUACACUUAUAAUACAUUUAUAUAUUUAUUUAUAAAUAUAAUAUAUAAUAAAUAAAUAUAAUACGCUUAUUUAUUUAUAUAUAAUAUAUAAAUUUAUUUAUAAAUAUAAUACACUUAUUUAUUUAUACAUAAUAUAUAAAUAUAUUUAUUUAUAAAUAUUUAUAAUUGUAUUAUAAAUGCAUAAAUGUAUAUAAAUAUAAAAACAUAAAAAUUAUAAAUUAUAAUAUACAUUUAUAUAAUAUUCAUUUAUAAUUUAUACAUUUGUACAUUUAUAAAUAUAUUUAUAUUAUGUAUUAUAUAUAAUAUAAUACAUUUAUAUUUUUUUAUAUAAAUAUAUUUAUUUAUAAAUGUAUAAUUGUAUAUUGUUAUAAAAAUUAAAAAUUAUAAAAAUACUCGAAAAUAUGUUUUAAAAAUACAUCUAUAAAUAAUCUAUAAAACAUCUACAGUAAAAGUUUUUUAUAUAAUUUUUGAAAAACAACCCAAAAAACAACUAAUCCAAACGGACUUGUAUUUGAAAAACGAAAUGCUACAGUGCUAUUUUUGAAAAACAAUCCAAAAAACAGCUAAUCCAAACGGACCCUAAGUGUUCCAAGACUAAAUAAAAAUGCGACACGUGGCACUAUUUUGAUUAUUACUUAUCUCGUGAUCUUUUUUCUUAGUUUUUUAUCAAUCAUUUAUGUGGUGCUCCUCUAACUCACUCUUAACACUUCUAGGCAUAUAUUUCUUGGUAUAUAACAUCCGUUCAUGUCCACUAAAUUUAAUAUACACUUACUAGUGAGUCACACUACCAAAAUGUAAUAUAACUAAACACGCACCACAAUAUAAAGUAAACAAUUAAAAUUUAACACAACCAUAAAAAUACCUUAUAAAUUAAAGGAUUUAAACUAGAGUAUGUCAAAAUAUUAUUGAACGCAUGCAAAACGAGAAAAGAAUUUAAAAUUUUUUUUUUCAAAAUUUCAUAAUCUCUCCCCUUAAAAAAAUUUCGUUCUCGAAAUUCUAACCUUCAUAAGAUUUUGGAACGGGUUGUUGAUCCAAAGAGUAUACUCUAGUUGAUGCCCUGGAUCUAUUUCCUCUUUCUUGGUUUGGCUUAGAAGUAAUCAGAUCUCUUUAUUGUUCAUUCAACCUUCUUUGUUGCUUUUUCGGACAAUUGUGAAGUACUUGAUGAUCAGCACUUUCACAUAUCAAGCAUUUCUUUCCCUUUAUCCAGCAUGCAUCCUAAGUAUGAUUUAUUUUUUCACAGUAACCACAAGCUAAUCGAGGAACUUCUAUUGGAUUUUUUAAAGAGACUUCCUCUUGUCGUCCUCUUCCUACCUGACUUUCCAUUGUUGAACUUCUCUCAUAUUAUCCUUGCAUCCAUGGUGGGUAAGAUAGAAGGAUUACUCUUCUAGCUUUGGAAGGUGGUAGGGUGUCCUUAAGUUCCUCAGACUCACUAUUCGGUGCACUUCUUUUUCGUGUUUGAAAUACUUUUACUUGCGCCCUUGCAAUUUCAACCCUUUGAACUUUCUCAAGAACUUUUGUGAACGUAGUGAUUUGAGCCGCCGCAACAGCUUUCUGGAUUUUCACAUUUAAUCCCUGUACAAACUGCCUUACUCUUCUUUGCUCCGGAGUUACUAAUUCAGGGAUAAAUUUAGAUAAUUUAGUGAAUUGAGUUUCAUAUUCUGACACACUCAAGGCUCCUUGACGUAAUCUAAUGAAAUCGUCCUCCCUUUUUUCUUGGACUAAGGGCGGAAGGUAUUUCUCAUUAAAUUCCCAUAUUAAAUGUACCCAAGUUCGCGCUAUUUGUUCCCUCUCCCACUUAGCUCUAAUCACAUUCCACAAAGCACGAGUUGACCCUUCAAAUUGAAAUACCGCAAAAGUCGCCUGUCUCCCCUCUGAAUAAUUUAGCGCGGCAAAAAUAUUAAUCAUUUGUUCUAACCAAUUCUUGGUUGCCUCCGGAUUAGAUCCUCCAAGAAAUUUAGGAGGAGAAAACUUCUGAAAAGACUCUAGGGCCCUAUCCCCUCCCCCCUCAGAUUCUCUGGGUUGGUUAACAGGUGCUUGCCCUUGUUGUUCCACUAAACGCGCCAAAAUAUCGGUCAUUCGUUGUAUGGCUGUUGCUACCUGAUCCCCUGUUUCAGCCUGUGGUUCAUGUUGUUGUUUAGCUGCCACUUCUCUUUCUUCUCUUGGUUCUUGAGCUUGCCUAACCCUACGUCCAUGAUUAACCCCUCGUCCUCGGUUUCUUCGUCCAUCCAUACCUUUUUUUUUAUAAACUAUAUACAUGUAUGAGCAAAAAAAGAUCAGCUAUAUAUAUAGAAUAAGAAUAAAAUAACAUAGGCCAAAAAUGAGAAAUACCCUUAGAAUGCAUAACACAAAAAAUUCACAAGCUAAAUCACAAAAAUAUUGUACAUAUCAUCCUACCAAAAUCAAGUUCACAAAACAUGUCUAGUAUACUAUACAUAUCAGUCCGCAAUAUGGCAAACACAUACAUACAUACAUGCAGAACAAAACAAGAGACAACGAUUUUUCAAUUUCUCCAAGGGUAAAUUCUAAACCCCAAGUUCAUCCGUCAAAGAAAGUUCAAAAGAUCUCUACUAAAGCAAUCGCCCCAAAAAUUAUAUCUAAUUUCUUAUAAAUGCAAAUGAAUAUCAAAACUCUAAAGGAUACCUUAAUGAUCUUUAAAGUCAAAGUCAGUCCCAUAGUUGUUCAAAUAGUAUCGUUGUUCAAGAAACUGAUCCAUUACUCUUCAAAUCAAUCUCACACAAUUCUCUUCUCUUCUCGCUAAUCCAAUAUAAAAACCCUCAAACAUCAAAUCUUGUUAUCCAUCAGGAACAUAACUGCUUAAUAUUGCACUUAAACUUUACAAUACCCCACAGUCCAGCAUUUUAAACUUUAAUCUUAUGAUACACUACAGAGAUCUAAAAUCUAAACUCUGAUACCAACUGUGACGACCUCAUCUCCUCCUAAGGCGAACCAAGGGGUUCAGCGGAAUGCCUGCUGUGGAGACCCCACUUCCCCCUAAGGCGAACCAAAGGGUUGGCGGGCCGUCUGCCCAGCUCUCGCCAGGACUCACGCAAGCAUUCUAGCUUAAAAUCCUCCAGGGAUUAACCUAAACUACUACAAAAAUAAUUCUUCCGAAAUAAAUCAAUUUCUAUCACCUCAUUAGCUUCAGAGAUAACGGCAUACAACUUAGCCAAACGACGGCUCUUAACCACUUCACACGUUACUCGCAAGGUUAAAGACAUACUAUACUAAUAAAAACAUACAAACCGAAUAUUAGAAUUUGGGAUUACAUUUUUCCAGCUUCAAGUGGCAACCAAAAUAAAAGGUACAGUACUUAACGUAGAAUUCAUUACAAACCGAAAUCUAAAUUCAAGCUAUUCAAAUACAUUCAUAGGAAAUAUAAGCAGCUCAAAUUCUUUCAACUUCCAGACCUGUAAGGAAAACAAAUAAUCGUGGGGUGAGCUAAAGCUCAGUGGUGCCCCAAAACAUGCAUUCACAUAAAUCAAACAGCGAGAAAUAACUUAAACAAAUUGAACAGUUAGGAAAGCGUAUAACAACACAAGGUAGGAUACAAGGGCUCUCAGGAGCCAUUUUCCUCGCUUGAUCGCCAUUCAUCGUAGUUGACCCUCCGUCAACUCUCACUACUUAUAGUCCAUGUAGAUCCACUCAUUUUAAUCCUAACCCGUCACCAUUCAUACCCCGGUCUUGGGCCCGAACGUCGACUAAGGACGCAGUAUACUCGAGAUAUACCCGUAGAUAAUUGGUCGAGGGAUUCACCCAACGACUUUUUUUUUUUUUUUUUUUGUAGUUCGAUUCAAGUGCCGAGGGAUUCACCCAACGACGUAACUACUUUUAGAUUCAGGGAUUCACGAGAAAAAUGAUUCACUCAAGUCACCACUCGAACGGCUAGUGCGAUAAAGUACCCACUGCUCACUUCGAUGGAUCAAAAACUCGUUUUGCAAUUUAUCAUAUAUCGAGUCAAGAAAGCACUUAAUUCAGGUAGGAAAAGAACAGGUAGGGACACUCACCAAGAGUGGAGUUCAGAUAUCAGGUUGGGAAUCGAAUUCCGCGUCCUCGCGAUAUCCUAAAAACCAGAUUUUGAAACUAUAAGUUUCUAUUCAGUUUUUAAACUUAUUCGUAUAAGAAUUUAUUUAAUAUAAUAUUAGUUUACUUCCUCAAGAGAUUUUCAAAAAUCUAUUUAGAUUGAAACUUGACAAAAGUAGUAAAAGUGUUCCUUAUUUUUAUCCUUAGAGGUGGGUAACUAGUAUCCUUUUCUUAAAAUAAGUUGACAAAUCUUUAAACAAUAAUGUUAGAAAGUUACUUUGAACAUUCCCUAAAGUUACGGCUUUUGUAAAAAUUAUCCUUAAAAACUAUUUUUCUUAAAAUAGGGUUUCUUGCUGAGCAAGUCUCCCAAGCUUUUCACUAAAAUUGGUAAAGCUCGUAUUUUGGAACUUUUCCUAUAGUUAACUAUUCCAAGUGCAAAGCUUAAAGAAAGAAAAAGAAUUAAAAUAAGACUUAGAGUUUCCAAAAACUAUUUAACUUAUUUACUAUAGCGAUCAAGGCUAAUUUGAGCUAAAGGAAUUUAUCGAGUUGGAAAGUUUUAGGCAAAACACUAAAUAUGGAGUUUUAUAGUAUAAUGCUAGCUGGAAAAUAUUUUUGAUUAAUUUUGAUCACAACUACUCGAGUUCGCAAGGUCGAUAUAACUUCCACAGCUCCGAUUCCUUUUCGAAGACAUAUUAUGGACCAAAAUAUGGCAAAAAUCACAUAGCAAAUUACUAGGGCUUCGUCAAUCAUUAGCCCUAGCUUUAGGCAAUUGAAAUUCUGAAUAAAAUAAAAUGAUCAACCAAGGCUUCAUCAAUCAUUAGCACUUGGUUUCAGCAAACCCAUCAUAAGCAAGUAAAAAUAAAAGUAAAGCCCCAAGACAUUCCAGCAAUUAACUUCCAUCAUUCAGUAGUACUUUAUAAAUUCAUUCCAAUGGCCAAGGGCUUCAUCAAUCAUUAGCCCUGGACAACAUCAAUCACUCCCAACCACAAUUUAGCCAAGAAUUUAAACCACAAGUAAGCUAAAAUCUCAGUCCAAAUCCAACUUUAGUUUCACAAGGAAAUCAGACAUUCAUACCAGGCAAUCUACUUUGAGGAGUCACGAAUAGCAGUAUACAUGGCGGAAAAAUAUAAAAUUUUUACAGAACAAAGGCCCAUGAGUCUAUUUUCAUAUGCCACUGACGGCACCUCAAUCGGAUUUUCCUACACCAAGAUAUAUGCAUUUUGCCUAGACUGGUCAGAAGUUCCGAAAAUCUGGAAGCUCUUGAUCACAUGUGGAAAAGCUCCUUUUUCUCUUUUUAAAACCACAAGGCUUUUAGUCUAACCAUCCAUACGACUCUAGUAGAAUUUUAGCACCACAUUUUCUAGACAAUUUCAACCAUUAUAAAUUCAAAGAAAGUUUCACAAUCAAGCUGGAAUUUUUAACUCAAACUUUGGCGAUCACAAGGAAAAUUUCCAACAGUUGUAUAUCCAUGUUUUUGGUUAAAUCUUUCAAAAUAUCAAAUGACUCAUUGCCAAAUAGCUUUCACAGAUUACAUGUACAUUUUGUCAUGCAUUUCGAGAUCCUAACAUCCCAAGGAAAAAAAUUCCAGGAACCACUUAAAAAAAUUCCAAGUUCAAGUUCACUGCGUUUCACAAAGAAAUUCCAGCAAUAACAAUGGUUCUAAACAGAAUUUUCUUUGGUUAAAACAGAAUUUUUUUUUUGGUACUCUAUUAGGACAUGCAAACACGUAGUUAGCUAGUAAAGGUUUCCAAAUUCAAACUACAAUUACACACAUCUAACACAAAUCCAGAAAUUAUAUCAGCUAGUCUCGAAUGAUCAUUCAUGAACCAAUUUUUCUGCUUUCAUUUUAUUUUCUUGAUUAGCCGAACUACUUGACCCUAUGCAAGCUUUAAUUAACAUGUUGUUAACUAGUUAAUCGUAUAAAUCAACUCAUAUCAUCACCAUAAGACAGAUUGAUAAUUAAAUAUCAAAUUUAAGGUCUCGGAAAUUUUCAGCUCAUAAGAAUUUCCAAUUCAUCAAACCAUAAUUUCUUAGGUUCCUUAAUUCAUCAAUCAACUUCAUAGAAUUAACAUGCAGGGUCCUAGACAUCAUAAACAUUAAGUUCCACUCGGCUAAUUACACUUGAGUGCUCAGGUUAUCACAAGAAAACAUAAUUUCAGUUGCACUUCCAAACCAUUCUCUCGGCAGAAUCAUUCUCAACAAAACAGAAUUUUCUAAGCUCCUUAGUUCAUCAUCCAAUAUUUUCUUCAGUUAAAGCCUUUUAUUUUGCCCUUAAUUCUCACAUGCACAAUUGCUGAGUUAAUUAGCUAACAUCCAGACCAGAAAAUCAGCUCGGCAGCAGCAAAACACAUUCAUAAUUCCAGAAUUUGGUGAGACUACACUCGGAUGAGUUUGCAUGUGAAAAGUCCUGUUUCAUUUUUAUUUCCAAGGUAAUCCAGGCUAAUUAAAUUCAUGCAUGACCCUAAUCAUAAUAAUCAUCCAAGAUUUGAUUAGUUAAUCACCAAAGCAUGCUCAAAUCAUUUCCGGAAAACACAUUAGAGCUGCAAUUCCAACUCAGCUAUUCGGCAGGGACAUUUAACCAAAACAGAAAUUUUUCUAAUAACUUGAUUUCAUCAACCGAUUGUACCACAAUACAUGCAUGCUUCAAGAUAGCUCAAACUACCUCUGAUUAGUCCUAAAAUGAUCCAGAAUUUUACCUCACCGCAAGCUAAUCUUUCACACGAAAAUCUGGAAAAUUUUUCUUCCUCUCGGCUCUCACGCACGCGGCAGUGAUUGUGGUUGUGGUUGUCGGUGGAGCUGGUGGUGUCGCAGCCGUGAAGUUGGGUGCAAUGGAGGUGCAGAAUGUGUGGAGCUUGCUCACGGUUUCUCUCUGCCUUCACUCCAGCUUACGGCCAGAACCAAACAGAAAGAAGAUUGCAGUUCGCGUUCUUCUUUGUCGAUGAUAGCGAGACGGAGAGGGAAUGUGUUUGUGGAGAGGAAAUGAGAUUGUGGCUUGAGAUAUGAAAGGGAGAGAAAGGUGUAUGGUGCCGGUUUAGGAGAAGAGGUUGAGUGUUAGCAAAGAUUGUGUACUGUAGUGGUGAAGAUGCCGGUUGGUCAGCUAAGGUGGUGGUAUGUUGAAGUGGUGAAGGAUGGGGUUGGCCGGCUGGGGUGGUGGCUGAUCAUGCUGUCCGAGGAGUUGUUUGGCUGUGCAUGGAAUGGUUGUGGUGUAGUGGAGGGUAGUUUAGUCUUUUCACUUCUCCUCCUAUUAUUCACUUAAGUCCUUAGUUCUAACUUAGCUCCAAAAAUUAUCCCCAAGUGUGAUUUGAACGCCUAAUGAUUCGCUAAUCUUGCAAAGCUUUGGUUAUCGAAAUUUUAUGUCCUAAAUAUGGUUAGAGUACUUGUAUUGAUUUUAUCUAGAAUUUACCGGUUGCAUAAACAUAUAGAGAUAUCUAGCUACACUUAACCUUAUUCGAAAUUAGAAUUAGCUAUAUAACAAAAUUAAGGAAUUAUUUUCAAGGAGUAAACUUAAUAUAACUCAAGAAUUAUUAACUUAGUGUAGCAAAGCUAAGUGCUUUAAUAGUUAGCACCGUUAUAUUAUUUUGCACACGAAAAUUAUUUUUAUUUACUUGUUUAAAACAAAUGAAAUAGUGUGGUAGAUUGGAAUAAGAACUACGAAUGAAAUAUGCACUAGUAUAUAAAAGCGAGUGAAAGUAAUACUAGAAUAAAGAAUACGAAUGCUAAAUAAAAGUGAAAUUGAAGUAUGCAUUGGUAUUUCUGCAAAAUUCAAGGUUCUCACACCUGCCCAACUCUCGCCAUAACUCGUUCACUCACUUUUCGCUUCAAGAGCAAGUAAAGAUGUGCCAAUCAAACUUAACAUAUAUACAACAAUUAACAUAGAUAUACAAUGAUCAAGGUUAAGUACAAAAGCUCAGGAUCCAACUAACUACUAUUACUAUCACUAUUACACAACAAAAGUUUUAGUCAAAAGUGUAGUCUUUCUCUAAUCACCCGUCCUUGCUCAAGAACCCUGUAAGGAAAACAAAAACUAAAGGAAUGAGCUAAAGUUCGGUUCCCAUGCACAUAUGAAAACAAGGACAUUAUUCAGUUAAUAACAAUCAAUCGAGAAAAUAUUUACAAUAUAAAAACAAUGAGAACACACUCAUUAAAAGGAUACAUGCUCACGAGGAGCCAUUCGUUCAAUCAUUCAUUCAUUCAGCCAGUCAUUCUCUUUCAUUCAAUCGUUCAUUUCUUCUCUUAUAACAUCAACAUUUCCAUUCAUCCAUUUCAUUUCCCGCCACUAGCCAAUUCACUGGCCAGUUCUCCAUCAAAUUUCGUGGUCAUACUCGAGUAUACCAAACAUUAUCCCAGGGUCACCACUCACCCGACCGAAUCCAUUUCUGGCUCGAGUCACUGGCAAUGAAGGGCAAGGGUCCAAUUUUGCCAAUGCGGUACCAUACAACCCGCAUAACUUACAUUCAUGCACAAGUAAUGUUCAAUCAGUUAAUCAUUUGAAAAUUCACUUUCGCUUAGGUCAAGUGCGAUAAAGUACACAUUCGACCAUUAAAAAUCCAUUUAAUAGUCAUUGGAAGGUAUUUAACACUCAAUCGAAGAUUCGCAACAAGUACAUGGUCAUUUAACACACAAACAUGCAAGAAACACUCACCCUAAACAAGUCGCGUUUUAUCAAAAUUCAGUUCAGGGCCAGCACUUUGGCCACUCUAGAAAUUUACAGUCAAAUAUUGUCCACAAAGAGCAAAUCAUACACCAGUGCAAACUGCAUAACUUAUAUUUCUAUAUCAAAAGAAAAAGGCAUGAAAAGUAUAAUGAGUCAUAUAGGCAAGGUGCACGCAUAAUUUGUAAAAGAAAAUAAAAAAAAACGGUUAAUUUCAAAACCAAUAUGAGCAACUAAAAGCAAUAUUUUGAAUACUUGUUUAGAAUGUUAGAAAUCAGGUUUAGAACACUUGAGAAGUACAUGUUAAGACGGACGAAGGAAACGGAAAACAAGAGAAAGGCAACGAGAAACAAUGAAGAUGACAGCUUUGCCAUCCUUUGGUUUUUUGAACACCACUGAAGCUACACUUAUCGGAUCGAGACAAAUUUUAUGACGUUUCGAAACUAAGACCUAGACCUACAUUUUCUAUGAAGAUAUCGACACUCAAUUCUCACAUUUUUAGGGUAAAAAAUGGACAGUCAGAAGUACAUGAAAAAUAGGUCAGAAAAAUUAGAGUUUGUGCGCAGUCAGGAGUGCUAUGGCCAAAUUAUAAGCUAAAAUAAUCCAAUUGAUCUGAAAUUUUGCAGGUAAAAAUUUAACUCAAAUCCCUAUAAUUUUCAUGUUUUGUCCAAAAGUUGAUCCAAUCUAAAACAUGGAGAAAUUCGUAGCCCAAAUUGAUUCCAAAAACAGGGUAGAACUGAAAUUCACCAAAUUGUUUAGUUUUCUUCCAAGUUUCAACUCCCAACUCAAACCCAAUCAAGAUUACAUCACUACGCUACCUCUUGUUAACUUAACCCUGGAUACAAAAGUUUCGGCAGCACCUCUCCUAUUUUCGAUCCUUUUCCCCUUGAAAAUCAAGAUGUAAACCACAGCAAUCCCAACACAAUCAAAGCCACAAGAUGUUACAAGCCUUAUUCUAGUCUAUCAAAACCCUUCAAAAUUCACACAAAUAGAGAUUAAUCGAAAGACAUCAAAGCUGAAAUUUCCCAAUUCAAGUAAAAAAAUCACUUAUUGAAGUUGUAAACAUGCAUAUCAAAGUUCAAUCACCUUCUAAUACGAUUGGACAACCUAUAUCAAAAUUACAAACUUGAAAAAAAUUGAAAUUUCACUUCUUAAGGUAAAUUUUGCAUAUAACCAUCACUAAUUGUGAUUAAAAGCUUGAAAUUCCACCUUAACACUAAACUAACUUCUACUAAUCAUAUACGGGAAAGUGCUGGUUUUCAUCCCCAAACUUUGGGGUAAGUACACAUUUCGUCCCUCAACUUUUGGACACGACACAUUUGAUGUCUGAAUUAAUAAUUUUUUACCAAUGUCAUCCUCAAACGGCAAUUUAGCCAAUUUUUAACGGAACUGGUCACGUGAAAAUCACAUGACCGUUAAGUAAACUUAAAUCACAUUUUUAACAAAACCUACCAGUUUUUCAUAAAGAGCUAGUAUGUUAUGGGCAAUUUAUUAUUUUUUUUAAAUUUCACAUAUUUAAUUUAUGUUAAAUACAAAACAUACUAGUUUUCUUUUGAGCGCUAUUUAACCAAUUUUUCCUAUAAAAAGUUGGUAUGUUUUCCAUAAAGAGCUGGUACAAAACAUACUACAAAACCUGCCAGUUUCCCAUAAAGAACUGGUAUGUUAUGAGCAAUUUAUUAUUAUUUUUUUAACUUUCACAUAUUUAAUUUAUGUUAAAUACAAAACAUACUAGUUUUCCUUUGAGCGCUAUUUAACCAAUUUUUCCUAUAAUGAUCUGGUAUGUUUCUCAUAAAGAUUUGGUACAAAACAUACUACAAAACCUGCCAGUUUCCCAUAAAGAGCUGGUAUGUUAUGGCAAUUAAUUUUUUUUAAUUUUCACAUAUUUAAUUUAUGUUAAAUACAAAACAUACUAGUUUUCUUUUGGACGCUAUUUAAUCAAUUUUUCCUAUAAAGAGUUAGUAUGUUUCUCAUAAAGAACUGGUACAAAAUAUACUACAAAAUUUGCCAGUUUUCCAUAAAGAACUGGUAUGUUAUGGGCAAUUUAUUAUUCUUUCUAACUUUCACAUAUUUAAUUUAUAUUAAAUACAAAACAUACUAGUUCAAUGGGUAAAAAUAUGUUAUGAAUCACUCAAAGUUUAUACUUUUAAUAGUUCAAUGGGUAAAAAUAUGUUAUGAAUAAUUGAAGGGCCAAAUUUUUACUAUUCAAAUAGUUCAAUGGCUGUUCAAAUAAUUUGCUCUUAUAUAAAUAGUAAAAGUAUGCAAAGUAUAUGUAAUUUUUAAAUUUUGAGAGGAGCUUUUUGUAACUAUUAAAAUCUCAAGGGAUGUUUGUGAAAUUAUCCCUUUUCAUUUUUCAUACUAAUUAUUUCUUUUCUUGCCAAUUUUUCAUUUUAUCCUUAUUUUUAACUUUUUCCCCCCUUACGUACGGGACGCAAGUGUUUAUUGAUGGAUGCUUAGUUAAAAUUGCCAAAAGUUGACUGAUUGCAUGCAGGAAACUGGCAGGUUUUGUUAAAAAUGUGAUUUAAGUUUACUUAACGGUCAUGUGAUUUUCACGUGACCAAUUUCGUUAAAAAUUGGCUAAAUUGCCUUUUGAGAAUGACAUUGGUAAAAAAUUCUUAAUUUAGACAUCAAAUGUGUCGUGCCCAAAUAUUGAGGGACGAAAUGUGUCCUUACCCUAAAGUUUGAGGAUAAAAAUAGGCAUUUUUUCAAUCAUAUACAUGCCAAAUCAAAGAUGAAAUAACUUAUAUAAAAUCUGAAAAAUAUCAAUAAAACUGAAAUUUAUCAUCCCAACCCUAAAAUCGGAAGAAUCUCUAAAAAAUCAAUCAAAAUCAAGUUAUCCAACAACUUAAUCACAAGAUUAAAGAACAAAAGGAGCUUCUAAUGAUUAUACCUUCCAACACCUUGAAAACAAGCAAAACAAACCCUUUUCCUCUCAAAACACUCCACCUUUAGUUUGCUAUCACCUUAGAUGCAAAGUUAAUCGGAGUAGAUUUUGACAAUUGGAAGAAAUCUCUCAAGAUUUGGUGAAGGAAAUCAAAGGAAAAAUGAACUUAACUUGCUUAGUUUUACUCCACUUGAGGUUCUGCCAGCUUGGAGAAAAAAGAUUGAAGAGUUUUUGUGCUCCAAAUGAAGUGAUAAAGAUGAAGACUUAAGUGUUCUAAGACUAAAUAAAAAUGCGCCACGUGGCAGUAUUUUGACUAUUACUUAUCAGCACUUCCACAUAUCAAACAUUUUUUUCACUUUACCCAACAUGCAUCUUAAGUAUGAUUUAUUUUUUCACAGUAAACACAAGAUAAUCGAGGAGCUUCUAUUGGAUUCUUUAGAGAGACUUCCUCUUGUCGUCCUCUUCCUACCUCACUUUCCCUUGUUGAACUUCUCUCAUAUUGUCCUUGCAUCCAUGGUGGGUAAGAUGGACGGAUUACUCUUCUAGCUUUGGAAGAUGGUAGGAUGUCCUUAAGUUCCUCAGACUCACUACUCGGCGCACUUCUUUUUCGUGUUUGAAAUGCUUUUACUUGCGUCCUUGCAAUUUCAACCCUUUGAGCUUUCUCAAGAACUUCUAUGAAUGUAGUGAUUUGAGCUGCCGCAAGAGUUUUCGGGAUUUUCACAUUUAAUCCCUGUACAAGCCUUACUCUUCUUUGCCCCGUAGUUACUAAUUCAGUGGUAAAUUUAGAUAAUUUAGUGAAUUGAGUUUCAUAUUCUGACACACUCAAGGCUCCUUGACGUAAUCUAAUGAAAUCGUCCUCCCUUUUUUCUUGGACUAAGGGCAGAAGGUAUUUCUCAUUAAAUUUCCAUACGAAAUUUACCCAAGUCCACGCUAUUUGUUCCCUCUCUCACUUAUCUCUAAUCACGUUCCACAAAGCACGAGUUGACACUUCAAAUUGAAAUACCGCAAAAGUUGUCUGUCACUCCUCUGAAUAAUUUAUCGCGGCAAAAAUAUUAAUCAUUUGUUCUAACCAACUCUCGGCUGUCUCCGGAUUAGAUCCUCCAAGAAAUUUAGGAGGAGAAAACUUCUGAAAAUACUCUAAGGCCCUAUCCCCUCCCCACUCAGGUUCCCUGGGUUGGUUAACAGGUGCUUGCCCUUGUUGUUCCAUUAAACGAGCCGAAAUAUCGGUCAUUCGUUGUAUGGCUGUUGUUACCUGAUCCCCUGUUUCGGCCUGUGGUUCAUGUUGUUGUUUAGCUGCCGUUUCUCUUUCUUCUCUUGGUUCUUGAGCUUGCCUAACCCUACGUCCACGAUUAACCCCUCGUCCCCGGUUUUUUCGUCCAUCCAUACCUUUUUUUUUUUUAUAAACUAUAUACGUGUAUGAGCAAAAAUAGAUCAGCUAUAUAUAUAGAAUAAGAAUAAAAUAACAUAGGUAAAAAUGAGAAAUACCCUUAGAAUAUAUAACACAACAAAUUCACAAGCUAAAUCACAAAAAUAUUGUACAUAUCAUCCUACCAAAAUCAAGUUCACAAAACAUGUCUAGCACACUAUACAUAGCAGUCCGCAAUACGGCAAACACAUACAUACAUACAUGCAGAACAAAACAAGAGACAACGAUUUUUCAAUUUCUCCAAGGGUAAAUUCUAAACCCCAAGUUCAUCCGUCAAAGAAAGUUCAAAAGAUCUCUACUAAAGCAAUCGCCCCAAAAAUUAUAUCUAAUUUCUUAUAAAUGCAAAUGAAUGUCAAAACUCUAAAGGAUACCUUAAUGAUCUUUAAAGUCAAAGUCAGUCCCAUAGUUGUUCAAAUAGUAUCGUUGUUCAAGAAACUGAUCCAUUACUCUUCAAAUCAAUCUCACACAAUUCUCUUCUCUUCUCGCUAAUCCAAUAUAAAAACCCUCAAAUAUAAAAUCUUGUUAUCCAUCAGGAACAUAACUGCUUAAUAUUGCACUUAAACUUUACAAUACCCCACAGUCCAGCAUUUUAAACUUUAACCUUAUGAUACACUACAGAGAUCUAAAAUCUAAACUCUGAUACCAACUGUGACGACCUCAUCUCCCCCUAAGGCGAACCAAGGGGUUCAGCGGAAUGCCUGCCCAACUCUCGCCAUAACUCGUUCACUCACUUUUCGCUUCAAGAGCAAGUAAAGAUGUGCCAAUCAAACUUAACAUAUAUACAACAAUUAACAUAGAUAUACAAUGAUCAAGGUUAAGUACAAAAGCUCAGGAUCCAACUAACUACUAAUACUAUCACUAUUACACAACAAAAGUUUUAGUCAAAAGUGUAGUCUUUCUCUAAUCACCCGUCCUUGCUCAAGAACCCUGUAAGGAAAACAAAAACUAAAGGAAUGAGCUAAAGUUCGGUUCCCAUGCACAUAUGAAAACAAGGACAUUAUUCAGUUAAUAACAAUCAAUCGAGAAAAUAUUUACAAUAUAAAAACAAUGAGAACACACUCAUUAAAAGGAUACAUGCUCACGAGGAGCCAUUCGUUCAAUCAUUCAUUCAUUCAGCCAGUCAUUCUCUUUCAUUCAAUCGUUCAUUUCUUCUCUUAUAACAUCAACAUUUCCAUUCAUCCAUUUCAUUUCCCGCCACUAGCCAAUUCACUGGCCAGUUCUCCAUCAAAUUUCGUGGUCAUACUCGAGUAUACCAAACAUUAUCCCAGGGUCACCACUCACCCGACCGAAUCCAUUUCUGGCUCGAGUCACUGGCAAUGAAGGGCAAGGGUCCAAUUUUGCCAAUGCGGUACCAUACAACCCGCAUAACUUACAUUCAUGCACAAGUAAUGUUCAAUCAGUUAAUCAUUUGAAAAUUCACUUUCGCUUAGGUCAAGUGCGAUAAAGUACACAUUCGACCAUUAAAAAUCCAUUUAAUAGUCAUUGGAAGGUAUUUAACACUCAAUCGAAGAUUCGCAACAAGUACAUGGUCAUUUAACACACAAACAUGCAAGAAACACUCACCCUAAACAAGUCGCGUUUUAUCAAAAUUCAGUUCAGGGCCAGCACUUUGGCCACUCUAGAAAUUUACAGUCAAAUAUUGUCCACAAAGAGCAAAUCAUACACCAGUGCAAACUGCAUAACUUAUAUUUCUAUAUCAAAAGAAAAAGGCGUGAAAAGUAUAAUGAGUCAUAUAGGUAAGGUGCACGCAUAAUUUGUAAAAGAAAAUGAUAAAAAACGGUUAAAUUCAAAACCAAUAUGUGCAACUAAAAGCCAUAUUUUGAAUACUUGUUUAGAAUGUUAGAAAUCAGGUUUAGAACACUUGAGAAGUACAUGUUAAGACGGACCAAGAAAACGAAAUGCAAGAGAAAGGCAACGAGAAACAAUGAAGAUGACAGCUUUGCCAUCCUUUGAUUUUUUUUAUCACAACUGAAGCUACACUUAUCGGAUCGAAGCAAAUUUUAUGAUGUUUCGAAACUAAGACCUAGACCUACACUUUCUAUGAAGAUAUCGACACUCAGUUCUCUCAUUUUCAGGGUAAAAAAUGGACGGUCAGAAGCAUAUGAAAAACAGGUCAGGAAAAUUAGAGUUUUUGCGCAGUCAGGAGUACUAUGGCCAAAUCAUAAGCUAAAAUAAUCCAAUUGAUCUGAAAUUUUGCAGGUAAAAAGUUAACUCAAAUUCCUAUAAUUUUCAUGUUUUGUCCAAAAGCUGAUUCAAUAUAAAACAUGGAGAAAUUCGCAACCCAAAUUGAUUCAAAAAAUAAGGCAGAACUGACAUUCACCAAAUUAUCUAGUUUUCUUCCAAGUUUCAACUCCCAACUCAAAUCCAAUCAAGAGUACAUCAUUACGGUACCUCUUGCUAACUUAACCCUAGAUACAAAAGUUUCUGCAGCACCUCUCCUAUUUUCGGUCCUUUUCUCCUUGAAAAUCAAGGUGUAAACCACAGCAAUUCCAAUACCAUCAAAGCCACAAGUCAUAGGAUAUUACAAGCCUUAUUCUAGUCUAUCAAAACCCAUCAAAAUUCACACAAAUGGAGAUUAACCGAAAGCCAUCAAAGCUGAAAUUUCCCAAUUCAAGUAAGAAAAUCACUUAUUGAAGUUGUAAACAUGCAUAUCAAAACUCAACUACCUUCUAAUAUGAUUGAAUAACCUAUAUCAAAAUUACAAACUUAACAAAAGCUGAAAUUUCACUUCUUAAGGUAAACUUUGCAUAUAAUCAUCACUAAUUGCGAUUAAAAACUAGAAAUUCCACAUUAACACUAAACCUGUUUCUACUAAUCAUAUACAUGCCAAAUCAAAGAUGAAAUAACUUAUAUAAAAUCUGUAAAAUAUCAAUAAAACUGAAAUUUAUCAUCCUAACCGUAAAAUCGCAAGAAUCUCUAAAAAAUCAAUCAAAAUCAAGUUGUCCAACAACUUAAUCACAAGAUUAAAGAACAAAAGGAGUUUUUAAUGAUUAUACCUUCCAACACCUUGAAAACAAGCAAAACAAACCCUUUGCUUCUCAAAACACUUCACCCUUAGCUUGCUAUCACCUUAGAUGCAAAGUCAAUUGGAAUAGAUUUUGACAAUUGGAAGAAAUCUCUCAAGAUUUGGUGAAGGAAAUCAAAGGAAAAAUGGACUUAACUUACUUGGUUUUACUCCUCUUGAGGUUCGGCCAACUUGGAGAAGAAAGAAUGAAAAGUUUUUGUGCUCCAAAUGAAGUGAUAAAGAUGAAGACUUAAGUGUUGCAAGACUAAAUAAAAAUGCGACACGUGGCACUACUUUGACUAUUACUUAUCUCGUGAUCUUUCUUCUUAGUUUUAAAUCACUCAUCUAUGUAGUGUUCCUCUAACUCACUCUUAACACUUCUAGGCAUAUAUUCCUUGGCAUAUAACAUCCGUUCAUGUCCACUAAAUUUAAUAUACACUUACUAGUGAGUCACACUACCAAAAUGUAAUAUAACUAAACACGCACCACAAUAUAAAGCAAACAAUUAAAAUUUAACUCGACUAUAAAAAUAUCUUAUAAAUUAAAGGAUUUAAACUAGAGUAGGUCAAAAUAUUAUUGAAUGCAUGCAAAACGAGAAAAUAAUUUAAAUUUUUUUUUUCAAAAUUUCACAAUCUCUCCCCUUAAAAGAAUUUCGUCCUCGAAAUUCUAACCUUCAUAAGAUUUUGGAAUGGGUUGUUGAUCCAAAGAGUAUACCCUAGCUAAUGCCCUGGAUCUGUUUCCUUUUUCUUGGUUCGGUCUAGAAGUAAUCGGAUCCCUUUGUUGCAUAUUCAACCCUCUUUGUUGCUUUUUCGGAUAAUUGUGAAGUUGAUGAUCAAUACUUCCACAUAUCAAGCAUUUCUUUCCCUUUACCCAGCAUGCAUCAUAAGUAUGAUUUGUUUUUCCACAGUAACCACAAGCUAAUCGAGGAGUUUCUAUUGGAUUCUUUAGAGAGACUUCCUCUUGCCGUCCUCUUCCUGCUUGACUUUUUCUUGUCGAACUUCCCUCAUAUUGUUCUUGCAUCCAUGGUGGGUAAGGUGGAAGGUUUACUCUUCUAGUUUUGGAAGACAGUACAGUGUCCUUAAGUUCUUCAGACUUAUUACUUGGCGCAUUUCUUUUUCAUACUUGGAAUGCUUUUACUUGCACCCUUACAAUUUCAACCCUUUGGACUUUCUCAAGAACUUCUGUUAAUGUAGUGAUUUGAGCCACCACAAGAGUUUUCUGGAUUUUCACAUUUAAUCCCUAUACAAACCGCCUUACUCUUCUUUGUUCCGUAGUUACUAAUUUAGGGGCAAAUUUAGAUAAUUUAGUGAAUUGAUUUUCAUAUUCUGACAUACUCAAGGCUCCUUGAUGUAAUCUAAUGAAAUCACUCUCCUUUUCUCUUGGACUGAGGGCGGAAGGUAUUUCUCAUUAAAUUUUCGUAAGAAAUUUACUCAAGUCCGCGCUAUCUGUUCCUUCUCCCACUGAUCUCUAAUCACGUUCCAUCAAGAACGAGCCGACCCUUCAAAUUGAAAUACUGCAAAAGUCACCUGUCUCUCCUCUGAAUAAUUUAACGCUGCAAAAAUAUUAAUCAUUUGUUCUAACCACCGCUUGGCUGCCUCCGGAUUAGAUCCUCCGAGAAUUUAGGAGGAGAAAACUUCUGAAAACACUCUAGGGCCCUAUCCUCUCCUCCCUCAGGCUCCCUGUUUGGUUAACACGUGCUUGCUCUUGUUGUUCUACUAAACAUGCCAAAAUAUCGGUCAUUCGUUGUAUGGCUGUCGUUACCUGAUCCCCUACUUCGACCUGUGGUUUAUGUUGUUGUUUAGCUGCCGCUUCUCUUUCGUCUCUUGGUUCUUGAGUUUGUCUAACUCCACGUCCACGAUUAAUCCCUCGUCCUCGGCUUCUUCGUCCCUCCAUACCUUUUUUUUAUAAAUUAUAUAUGUGUAUGAGCAAAAAUAGAUCGGCUAUAUAUAUAGAAUAAGAAGAAAACAACAUAGGCCAAAAAUGAGAAACACUCUUAGAAUAUAUAACACAACAAAUUCACAAGAUAAAUCACAAAAAUAUUGUACAUAUCAUCCUAGCAAAAUCAAGUUCACAAAACAUGUCUAAUACACUAUACAUAUCAGUCCGCAAUACGGCAAACAUAUACAUACAUACAUGCAGAACAAAACAAGAGACAACGAUUUUUCAAUUUCUCCAAGGGUAGAUUCUAAACCCCAAGUUCAUCCGUCAAAAAAAGUUCAAAAAAUCCCUACUUAAGCAAUCACUCCAAGAAUUAUAUCUAGUUUCUUACAAAUGCAAAUGAAUGUCAAAACUCUAAAGGAUACCUUAAUGAUCUUCCAAAGUCAAAGUCAGUCCCAUAGUUGUUCAACUAGUAUCAUUGUUCAAGAAAUUGACUCAUUACUCUUCAAAUCAAUCUCACACAAUUCUCUUUUCUUCUCGCUAAUCCAAUAUAAAAACCCUCAAACAUCAAAUCUUACUAUCCAUCAGAAACAUAGCUGCUUAAUAUUGCACUUAAACUUCACAAUACCCACAGUUCGGCAUCCUAAAUUUUAAAUCUAGAAUACAUUACAGAGAUCUAAAACCUAAACUCUGAUACCAACUGUGACAACCCCACCUCCCUCUAAGGCAAAUUAAGGGGUUCAGCAGACCGCCUGCCUAACUCUCGCCAGGACUCGUUCACUCACUUAUCGCUUCAAGAGCAAGUAAAGAUGUGCCAAUCAAACUUAACAUAUAUACAAUCAUUAACACAGAUAUACAAUCCUCAAGGUUAAGUACAAAAGCUCAAGAUCCAACCAACUACUAAUACUAUCACUAUUACACAACAAAAGUUAUAGUCAAAAGUUUAGUCUUUCUCUAAUCACCCGUUCACGCUCAAGAAUCCUGUAAGGAAAAUAAAAACUAAAGGAAUGAGGUAAAACUCAGUGAGGUUCCCAUGCACAUAAUCAAGCAAUUGAAACAAGGACAUUACUCAGCUAACAACAAUCAUUCGAGAUAACAUUCACAAUAUAAAAACAAUGAGAACACACUCAUUAAAAUGAUACAUGCUCACGUGGAGCCAUUCGUUCAAUCAAUCAUUCAUUCAGCCAGUCAUUCUCCUUCACUCAAUCAUUCAUUUCUUCCCUUAUAAUUUUAACAUUUCCAUUCAUUCAUUUCAUUUCCCGCCACUAGCCAAUUCACUGGCUAGUUCUCCACCAAAUUUCGUGGUCAUACUCGAGUAUAUCAAACAUUAUCUCAGGGCCACCAAUCGCCUGACCGAGUUUAUUUCUAACUCGAGUCGACUGACAACAAAUGGCAAGGGCCCAAUUUAGCCAAUACGGUACCAUACAACCCACAUAGCUUACAUUCAUGCACAAGUAAUGCUCAAUCAGUUAAUCAUUUGAAAAUUCACUUUUGCUUAAGUCAAGUGCGAUAAAAUACACACUCGACCAUUGAAAAUCCAUUUAACAGUCAUUGAAAGGCAUUUAACACUCAAUCGAAAAUUCACAAUAAGUACACAGUCAUUUAAUAUACAAACAUGAAUGAAACACUUACCCUAAACAUGUCACGUUUUAUCAAAAUUCAAUUCAAGGCCGGCACCUUGGCUACUCUCGAAAUCUGCAGUCAAAUUUGUCCACAAAGAGCCAAUCAUACACGAGUGCAAGCUACAUAACUUAUAUUUCUAUAUCAAAGGAAAAAGCCAUGAAAAUUAUAGUAAGUCAUAUAGGCAAGGUACACGCAUAAUUUAUAAAAGAAAAUGAUAAAAAACGGUUAAGUUCAAAACUAAUAUGUGCAACUAAAAAUCAUGUUUCGAAUACUUGUUUAGAAUGUUAGAAAUUAGGCUCAGAACACAUGAGAAGUACAUGUUAAGUCGGACCAAGAAAACGAAAAACAAGAGAAAGGGAAUGAGAAACAAGAUGGCAGCUUUGCCAUCCUUUGGUAUUUUUAUGACAACUGAAGCAACACUUACCGAAUCGAGGUAAAUUUUAUGGCGUUUCGAAACUAAUACCUAGAUCUAUAUUUCCUAUGAAAACAUUAUCACCCAGUUCUCGCAUUUUUGGGGUAAAAAAUGGAUGGUUAGAAGCACAUAAAAAAUAGGUCAGGAAAAUUAGAGUUUUUGUGUAGUAAGGAGUGCUCUGGCCAAAUCAUAAGCUAAAAUGAUCCAAUUGAUUUGAAAUUUUGCAGGUAGAAAGUUAACUCAAAUCCCUAUAACUUUCAUGUUUUGUCCAAAAGCUGAUUCAGUCUAAAACAUGGAGAAAUUAGCAGCCCAAGUUGAUUCCAAAAACAUGGCAGAACUGAAAUUCACCAAAUUGUCUAAUUUUCUUCCAAGUUUCAACUCCCAACUCAAACCCAAUCAAGAUUACAUCACUACGCUACCUCUUGUUAACUUAACCCUAGAUAGGAAAGUUUCGGCAGUACCUCCCCCAUUUUCGAUCCUUUUUUCCUUGAAAAUCAAGGUAUAAACCACAGCAAUCCCAACACAAUCAAAGCCACAAGUCAUAAGAUAUUACAAGCCUUAUUCUAGUCUAUCAAAGCCCUUCAAAAUUCACACAAAUAGAGAUUAACCGAAAGACAUCAAAGCUGAAAUUUCCCAAUUCAAGUAAGAAAAUCACUUAUUGAAGUUGUAAACAUUCAUAUCAAAGCUCAACCACCUUCUAAUAUGAUUGGACAACAUAUAUCAAAAUUAAAAACUUAACAAAGGCUGAAAUUUCACUUCUUAAGCUAAAUUUUGCAUAUAACCAUCACUAAUUGCUAUUAAAAGCUAGAAAUUCCACCUUAACACUAAACUAGCUUCUACUAAUCAUAUACAUGCCAAAUCAAAGAUGAAAUAACUUAUAUAAAAUCUGAAAAAUAUCAAUAAAACUGAAAUUUAUCAUCCCAACCCUAAAAUCGCAAGAAUCUCCAUAAAAUCAAUCAAAAUCAAGUUAUCCAACAACUUAAUCACAAGAUUAAAGAACAAAAGAAGCUUCUAGUGAUUAUACCUUCCUACACUUUGAAAACAAGUAAAACAAACCCUUUUCUUCUCAAAACACUCCACCUUUAGCUUGCUAUCACCUUAGAUGCAAGGUUAAUCGGAGUAGAUUUUGGCAAUUGAAAGAAAUCUCUCAAGAUUUGGUGAAGGAAAUCAAAGGAAAAAUGGACUUAACUUGCUUAGUUUUACUCCUCUUGAGGUUCGGCCAGCUUGGAGAAGAAAGAAUGAAGAGUUUGUGUGCUCCAAAUGAAGUGAUAAAGUUGAAGACUUAAGUGUUCCAAGACUAAAUGAAAACGCGACAUGUGGCACUACUUUGACUAUUACUUAUCUCUUGAUCUUUCUUCUUAGUUUCUAAUCACUCAUCUAUGUGGUGUUCCUCUAACUCGCUCUUAACACUUCUAGGCAUAUAUUCCUUGGUAUAUAACAUCCGUUCAUGUUCACUAAAUUUAAUACACACUUACUAGUAGGGAUGUACGCGAGCCGAGUCAUAAUCGAGUAGCUCGCGAGUAGCUCGGUCAACGGCUUGGCUUGAACUCGGGUUGACCGAGUUCGAGCCGAGUCUCGAGCUACUCGAUUGUCAUUCGAGUCGAUUUUCGAGCCAAUAUUUUGAGGCUCGAGACUUGUCGAGCUACUCGUCGAGUCGGGGGUAUUUAAAUAAUAUAUUUAUAAUUUAAAUAAUAUAUACGUAUUAUAAUUAUAAAAUGACCAUUAUGGGUAUAAGUUUUACGGAAUUUACAAUAAAAUCUUCUUUAUAAUAAAAUUUCAUAAUGGCAAAAAAGUAAUAACAUAAUUGUAAAAAGACCUAAAAAGAAAAAAUGUCUAAAAAAGGGAAGAAAAGACGAAAGUGUGUCAAAAAGCUUGAUUAGGCUCGACUUGAUAAGGUUUGACUAAAGGUCGAGCCUUAUUGAGUCGAGUCUCGAGGUUAAAACGAGUUUCUCGAGUCAAAUUUCGAGUAUCGAUUUUUUGUACUGGGUCGAGCUCGAGUCGAGCUCGAGCCUAGGUAUAUAUGAGUCGAGUCGAGCUCGAGUAUAGCAAUACUCGAGCUUGAUUUGACUCGAUUACAUCCCUACUUACUAGUGAGCCACACUACCAAAAUGUAAUAUAACUAAACACGCACCACAAUAUAAAACAAACAAUUAAAAUUUAACUCUACCAUAAAAAUACCUUAUAAAUUAAGGGAUUUAAACUAGAGUAGGUAAAAAUAUUAUUUAACGCAUGCAAAACGAGAAAAUAAUUUAAAUUUUUUUUUCAAAAUCUCACAGCUUUGAAGCGAUCCAUCUCUCCUGUUGGCUUAUAUUUGGUCUUAUAUACCCAUUUCACUCCAAUUGGCUUCCUUUCAGGUGGGAUAGUGGUCAAUUCUUGUGUAUCAUUUUUCGCAAUGGCAUGAAUUUCUUCAUCCAUUGCACGAACCCAAUGAUCAUCUUUGGCAGCUAUGAGAUAGGCUCACAAUCUGCAAAAAGAGAAAAAUUCACAAUCUCUUCAUCAGUUAAAUCAUUAUCUUUACCAACAGCAUAAUCAUCAAAUCGGGCUAGCAUGUGGCGUUCUCUCUAUGGUCGACUGGAUGUCUCAACCUGAAUAGUGGAAGGUGAGGGAUCACCAUGAGGCUGCACAACUUGCUCCACUGCUUGCUUAUUAGCACUCGGUCCUAUAAUGGGAGAAAUGGAUGGAUACUUUGGCGAUACUUCAGGGUCUUGUUUGGACCAAUCCCAAACUCCAUGUUCAUCAAAAGUCACAUCUCUGCUAACAAUCACCUUUCCUGUGUUUGGAUUGAAUAACUUAUAUCCCUUAGUCUCAUGACUAUAUCCAAUAAAAAUACACUUCUCUGCUUUGUCAUCCAAUUUCUUCCUGAAAUGAUCUGGAACAUGCGCAUAUGCAAGACAACAAAAUACCCUGAAAUGAGAAAUAUCCAGUUUCAUACCAAUCCAAACUUCUUGUGGGGUCUUCCCAAAGUUGCAUCUAGCAGGGCACUUGUUCAAAACAUAAAUAGCACAAGAUACUGCUUCUGCCCAAAAGGAUUUAGGAAUACCUUUGGAGUGCAGCAUAGACCUCACCAUGUCCAUCACAGUCCUAUUCUUCCUUUUAGUCACACCAUUUUGUUAAGGUGUAUAUCUGGCUUUCAAUUGAUGUUUUAUGCCACUUUCCACCAAAUAGUCAUCACAAAAAAGAUACUCAGUGCCUCUGUUAGUUCUCAAAGUUUUAAUAAAAUAGCCACUCUGCUUCUCUACAUAAUAUUUGAAUUUUUUAAACACAUCACAUGCAUCAUAUUUAUUUCUUAAAAAAAUACACUCAUGUCUUCCUGCUGAAAUCAUCAAUGAAGGUAAUAAAAUAUUUACUACCACCAUUGGAAGGAACUUCAACUGAGCAUAAAUCUAAAUGAAUCAAUUCAAGUGGUCGAUUAGCCCUCCAAGCCUUGCCUUUUGGAAAAGGAUCACUGUGCUUCUUUUUCAAAAUACAAGACUCACACUUGUUGUCAGGAAACUCAAUAGAAGGCUACUCAAUAACUAAUUUCUUUUUUUCAAGAAAUUUCAAACUCCCAAAAUUCAAAUGCCCAAAAUGCAUAUGCCAUAACUAAGAAUUAUCACAAGUCACGGAAUUAAAGCAAGGUAAAUCAUCACAGUUAAGGGAAAGAGGCCACAGACGACUACGAUUCAUCUUUAUCUUGGCAAUUAAUCCCAAUUUUCCAUCACUUAUGGUGCCCUCACCAUAUUUAAAAUGAGGAUCAUAACCUUUCUCAAAUAAUUGUCCCAAACUCAACAAAUUAUGAUAUAAACUUGGCACAUAGAAAAUAUCAGAAAUAAAAUUCGAAGACCUAUCUUGCAAGAUAAUUCUGAUUUUUCCUUUUCCAAGAACAUGCACUUUUUCAUUGUUUCCAAAUCUCACAGAUACAUGAAAAGAUUCAUCUAGGUCAGAAAACAUCUCCUUUUUACCGCACAUAUGAUUACUACAACCAGAAUCAAUAAACCAAUCAUUCUUCAUAGACUCUUCAGAUGUAGAACUAGAAAACAACAAGGUCUCCUCUCUAUCACUACAAUUUUCAGCCACUUUAGCAUGCACCUCUUUAUUGGACCAACAUUCAUUCUGAUAAUGACCAAUUUUAUCACAAUUAUAAUAUUGGACAUUAGAUCUAUCACGCCUUUGAAAAUUAUUUCUUUGACUUUACUGUUGAUUGUUUUCCUGAUCCCUAUUAGAAUUAUUUCUGGGUUGGUGAGAAUAAUUACCUCUUCCACGACCACGAAAGUUACCUCUACCUCCAUGCCCUCUACCUCUGAAGUUCUGGCCCUUUUGAUUUGUGUCCAUGUGAUUUACCUCCUCUUUUCCUUUUGGGUGAUCCACCUUGGCUUGUAACACCUCUUCUACUAUAUCCGAUGGCUGCUGAUUCAGGGACAUCUCAUACGUCAGCAAUUCACCUUCCAAUUCAGCAAGUGGCUAAUUGUUAAGGUCCUUUGUGGCUUCAAGGACUGUCUUCUUGGUGUGAAAUUUAGCAGCUAGAGAUCUCAAAACUUUUUCAACAACUCUAACCUCUUCCAAAUUCUCACUAUUGGACUCCAUAUCAUUGACAAUUUCUUUAAUUGUACCAAUGAAAUCUUUAACUGACUCCGUGGAUUUCCUCUGGGCCAACUCAAAUUGUCUCCUAAGUUCUUGCAAUCUGAUUUUUCUCACGUUAGCACCUCGAUUUGAGUUCACUAAAAUUGUCCAAAUGUCUUUUGCCAACUUUGCAUGUAUAAAUUUUUUGCAACGUGCAACUGGACUUAAGUGUUGAGAUAGUACAUUGCCUUGCAAUCCAACUGUCUAUUUCUCUCUAAUUCUUUAACUGCAUCGCUUGAUAAUUCUAUAUCUACCACCGGUUCCAUAUAUCCUGUCUCGACAAUAUUCCAAACUCUAAUAUUUUGGAAAAAAAUUCUUCAUCAUUGACCUCUAAGCCUCAAAAUCGCUUUAACCAUCGAAGAUAAAAACGUGACAAUUGUACAAAUAAUGUGGAUCCACACUUUAAUUUCAUGAACAAGCUCCAAGCCCCGAUUUUGCAAACAAGGCCCAGGAUCAAAGCCUAGGACUCUGAUACCACUUGUUGGGACGAAGAAUCCCCAUGCACACAGCGGAAGCAAUUAUAACACAUAUAAAAAAUAUAUGUGAAGAGCAAAAGAACAAACACUCAAUAAUUUAUUUAAUUCAAAACAAAUACUAAGUCGUAGCCUUUCGGUCGCAACAACUUACAAAUCUCAACUAUGAGAUUUUCUCUCAUGUCUAAUCUCUAGACUCAACUCAACUCUCCACACAAUAACCUACUAGACUAUUAGUAUUUAUAGACUCCAAAAUUUCCUAAAGCAAAUACGGUUGUAAACCAAAACUUAUUUGGAAACUGACUUGAGAUUUCCUAAUCUAAUAUGGAAACUAAACAAAUAAGAUACCAAAAAGAAUUAGGAAACUAAAAUAGCUUGGUUUAUUUUCCUACAGUAAAAUGUACAAAAAUUUGAUUAGUGUGUAAAUCUUUGUUGACCAUUCCAUUUCUGAUUGUUUAAGUUUUGUACUCUUACACAUUUGGCAGCAUUUUAUUUUACAUUAGUAAACCAAGAAGUUUGCAGUAUUAUUAUACUCGAUCUUUUUUUGUUUUUUAAGGGUAAGUUACGUCAAAGGUUGUCAAACUUUCAAUAGCUUCAUUUUACUCUUGUAACUUUUUUUGGUACUAAAUGGUCCACUAGUUUUUUUUAAAAAUAAAUUUAUUGUACCCAUUCAACUACUUUUUGAACCAAAUAACCUACUAAACUUUUCAAGUGAUUUAUCUGGAUCGUUCUGUUAGAUUCUACUCUUAAGAUAGAUAAAAAGUUUGCCAUGUAGUCCUAUUUUAAAUGGAUAAUUUUGUUAUUUCACACCCACAAUCUAUAUGUCCAAAUCAAUUAAAAAAAUGUAUAGCUUCAGGAAAACCACAAAUUCUGUUUUGGAUAGGGCCAAAAAUAGUUUCUAUCACGAUCGAGAUUUUAUUUUGGGAUUUAGGUGUUUUAAAAAGUGAUUGAAUACUUUAAUCCAUUGGGGCAGAUGGAUUUUAGGCGCACAAUGAUGAAAUUGUCCAUUUAAAUCGGGCUCACAUGACAAACGUUCAUCUAUCUUAAUGGUAGAAUUUAACAAAAUAGUCAAGAUGAAUCACUUUCAAGAGUUUAAUAGGCUAUUUUGGUACAAAAAGUAGUUGACUGGGCAAAAUAAAACUUUUAAAAUGUUUGGCAUGCAGUUUGAUAGAAAAAACAGUUCAAUGAGACUUUUAAAAAGUUUGAACGUCUAUAAUCAACAAGUAGCAACCUUAUAUUAUUUUCUAAUGGCUGAUAGAAAGGACUAAAAGUCUAAAACUGUUCCUUGUCACAGUCUUAUCUACUCUUGUCUAUUUUCAGUUAACAAUCGUCCAAUACUUCCAUCAAAAGAAAAUCCACACAUGAAAAAUGAAGUGAUAAACCUUAACUUAUUCAGUAUAAAGUCAACACCAAACUUCUCUCUUUCUUCUCGCUAGUUGCAUCUUGAAUGGAGUUACUCUACAGCAUCCUAAGUCUCAUUUUUUCCGUAUUCUGGAUUGCUGUGAAGUUUCGGUGCUACUUCCCACAGAAAAACAGAAACUUCCCACAAAUUUGAUAAUUUGUCUGGUAUAUUACCAGAUACAUGCACUUGACAAGAGAAAUGCAAAUGGCUUGAAGGAGUUGUUUAAGCAAAUGCAUUGAUGGAUUAACUUAGCUGAAGUUAGAAAUACCACAGGAUUUAUAAACUAGCAGUAGCGAAGACAUUGGUUUUCUUUGAAAGCCGCAUGGAGUUUUUAUUUUUGGAAAAUAAUAUUCCAUACUAACACAAUUCUAUGAUAUAGGAAUAGAAUAAGGGGCAAAUUACACUUUAUCGCCCUGUGGUUUAGUGUUUUUGUAUAUUACCCCCUAUGAUUUUAAAAGCUAUAUAUAAUCCCUUCAUGGUUUGGAUUAAAGUGUCAAAAUAACGGAAUUUGCAAUCCAUAAUGGAGUCACCUAAAAUGUCAAAAAUACCCCUAUGUAAAGUUGAAAGUUAUUUAUUAACCACAGGAGAGUUAUGUGUAUAUUUUAAAAUCAUAAGGGGUUAUAUAAUAAAAUAUUAAAUUAUGAGGGGGUUAUAUUUUAAAACAUAAAAUCAUAUAGGGUUAUUGCGUCGGUAUAUUAUAUUUAUAUAUUUUGAUCAUUUCACCAUUUUAAUUUUUAAACAAGGGUAAGUUUGACAUUUUAAAAGGUUCCGGAGUUAAUGAUCAUUUUCAUGAUUUUGACACUUUAAUCCAAAUUAUGAGGGAGUUAUAUAUAGUUUUUGAAACUAUAGAGGAGCUGUGUACAAAAAUACUAAACCAUAGAGAGGUAAAAUGUAAUUUGCCCUAGAAUAAAAGAUGGUCCACCUUCUAUUUCUUAGAUUGCGUAAUUUGAGUUGCUUUAUGUAACUGAAUUCUUUAUCAUUAAAGUGUCACUUUCAUUUCUUUUGGGUUGUUGCUGGAGCCUUCACAUAUUGUUAAAUUAAAAAAUUAUUCUUAAAACUUAAUUUAGUUGGUAGGCAUAUUUUUUUUUGAGGUUUCUAAUUCGACUUUCAAGCCUUUCUCGUGUAAAACUUUGAGUGUUUUCUUGAACCAAAAAAAUUAAAUAAAUAAUAUAAAAUAAAACAUUUUUCCCUUUGCAUCUUCAUUGAUUUUCUUGAGAACUUUUGCUAUAAGCGUAUACAAUUCGAUAUAAUACGAAUUUUUCUACACUAUGGUUAGUAGGAUGGUACUUUCGUUGGGGGAGGAAGUUGAGGAAAGUUGAUUCAGUUUCCCAACCUCUACCUGCCGACCCUCCUUUUUGCUUUAAUAGUCCCUACCCAAAUGAUUAAAAUAGUCCCUCAAUUUUUUUGUUCAAAAGUUUAUGUCCCUCAACUUUAGUUCAUUAGCUGAUUAAGUCACCAGCUGUUUAACACUCAGUAAUUAGUUUGUUUGGAUAGUGAAUUAAUUAAAAAAUUCAUUUUCUUACAUCAAUGCAUUUUUCAAUUAUCUUUUUAUUUUAUAUAUAUCACAUAAAAAAAGUGAUAUAGCAUCAUUUGAUCUUUUGCAUUUUGGACAAGAAAGACGUAUACUUUUUGUCUUUUGGAUUUCUGAAGAUAGAGUUUGUUGUCUUUGUCAGAGUUCAUCAAACCAUAGCUCUAUUAUCAGGCUUUCAAAUAAAACACAUUUAACUUUUUCGAAAGCAAAUAAAAUUAAGACAACUCACAACCUUUGUUUGAUGCCACUGAAGUAUUGCGGCUGGUCAUAUAUACUAUAUAAAUACUGGAUACUGCCAGCAAAUAUCUCUGGAAAGAUGCACUAAAUUUAGAUUAUUACAUGCAUAUGGAUUAAACUAUUUCAAUUUUGAUUAUUUUAGUUUUGUACCACUAUUACACUUCUGCGCUCUGACUUUGAUUAUGUUCAAUCAAAUGCUAUUAACUUAAAUUAAAAACCCACUGAUUUCUGAAUUUAAAAUGUUAAAUUACAUCAUGCAUGAUCCCAAAUUUGGGAAGCACAUGCUUCCCAAAAUGUCUUUAUUCAACAAUCAGCAGCAUAAAGCAUUUGGAAAGCACCAAAAUGUAGAAACAUGAUAGAAGGAACUAAAAUUCAUAGGCCCACGUUUCAAUCUUAUCCACCCUCUGUAUUACCGCACAUGAAAAAUGAAGUGAAGCAUGAUAGCUGCAAGUAAAGACUCUCUUCAAUGGUCACUUGUCAAAGCAACUCCACUGUGCAAUUUAUGCUCCUUAAUUAUGGGGUGAACUUCAAAUUAAAGAAAUGAUAUUUAUAGUAAGACAACUAUUAAUGAGGGAAAAAAUUACUUCCUCCGUCUCAUUUUAUUAAGUUUGUUUUCUAUUUUAGUUUGUCUCAAAUUAUUUGUCAUAGUCUAAAAGAGAAAAACAAAAAGAGACCAAUUUCCCCCAUUUUACCCUUCAUUCAAUUUUCCAAAAAAAAGAGUAUUAGCAUAAUGUUUUAGCAUUAAAUCCUUUACAAACUAUUAUAAAAUUCUCAAAUUCAAAAGCAACAAACAAAAUUUGAAUUCAAGUUAAGUGGUAUUUAUGGAAACAUUUACUUGUUGGUUGGUGAAAAAUCAGAUUCCUUAAUCUAUGUGCAAAAUUAUACAUGACAAAUCAAAUGAGACGGAUGAGUAUUAUGUGUUUUAAUGAUGUCAUCUUAGUGCCUAGAUUUGUUGGCUUAUUGUCCAUAUUUUUUGAAUUAAUGUUGUAACUUUCAGUAAGUAAGUGAGAGAUUUUGAAUCAGAAUCUCUUACUUAUGGUCUUCCCAUUUUAUUAUCUAACCCGACCCCACCCACCCCACCCCCUAUUUAUUGAAUUAAUAUUGAUGCUCAUGUAUGAAACAACUGAUACUGGUGAUUAGAGAGUGCCCAAAUGCAAAAUUACUACACUGCAUAUAAAGUCAACGACAAACAUCUUUCUCCUUGCUUCUUGCAUCUUGAGCCUUGAUCAUGGAGUUACUCUACACCAUUCUAGGUCUCAUCAUAUUCUUGAUGGCUGUAAAGUAUCAGUAUCUCCGAAAAAAGAACCGAAAACUGCAGCCUCCAAGUCCUCCAGCUCUUCCAAUUUUGGGCCAUCUUCACCUUGUGAAGACUGCCCCUCACCUUGCCCUGCAAAAGCUCUCCAUCAAAUAUGGUCCCCUGAUUUUCCUUCAUUUUGGGAUUCGUCCUUUCCUUGUUGUUUCCUCGCCAUCUCUUGCAGAGGAAUGCUUAACCAAGACCAAUGAUAUUAUUUUCGCGAACCGGCCUGAGUCAGUUUCCAGUAAAUACCUUGGCUACAACUCAACUAUUCUCAUACUCUCCCCUUAUGGAGAUCACUGGCGAAAUCUCCGCAGAGUCACAACCAUCCAUAUGUUUUCUUCGAUUCAACUCCAGCGUUUAUCCUCCAUCUGGACCGAAGAAAUCCAUUUCAUCAUCAAAAAAUUGUUUUCAAAUAACUCUGAUGAGAAAACCUGGAAAGUUAAGGACAUGAGUUCUUUGUUCCGGGAGUUAUUAUUCAACGUGAUAACGAAAAUAGUUGCUGGAAAAAGAUGGCCAUCUGAUCAGCCAGGUGAUAUAUUUUCACCGCGACCAAUCACUAAUCUUUGUGAUUAUAUUCCAAUCUUGAGGUGGGUUGGCUAUGGAGGGUUGGAGAAAGGUGUAAUCAGUUUGCACCAGAAGAGGGAUGAGUUUCUUCAGGGCCUGAUUGAUCAAACACGUAAAGAGGAAGCAGAAGACGGUUCUUGUCCGACAGAGAGAAGGAAAACAAUUAUUCAAGAAUUGCUAUCUCUACAAGAAGCAGAACCCGAAUACUACACUGAUGAAAUUGUUAAAGGAAUUAUACAAGUAAGUCUCUUCUACUUGAAUCUCUUUUACAAAUUGGUCUAUUAUUCAUUGGAACAAGGUCAUCUCACCCAUGUAGCAGCAGCACAAUUUGUCUAGCCCUAUUUAGUGGUAGGGCUAAGACUAGUGGUGCGGGAUGCAGUGCUUGUGUGGUGCAGAUGCAACUGCAUGCUUUUCACGGUUCAAAUUGGAUCACAUUAGCUCGAUUCCAUCUGAAUUUUGAAAUGAUCAAAUCAAAUCGUAGCUUGAUGUUGUGGUCUAAUCUGAGCUGUAGAAAACUCCUCCGACUGCAUAUAGGCAUCGGAUCUAGCGGUGGCGAGUGUGGAAAUGGUGUGUGCCACUAACUUCAGUGUUGGUGUCUAGAUAAGGAAUUUAGUCAAAGUCUUUUCAAAAAUUUGGUUUUCAAGAAUUUAGUACACGUGAUUUCAACAUUAAAUAUGCCAAUAUCUAUUGGUGACGGGUGAGCUGGGGCAUCCGUUAACGUGUAAAUUGGGUUAGUCUUGUUGUGGUGCUCUAACGUAGCGGGGCAGCCCGUCCCCCGUCCCCCGUCCCCCCUAAUAAAAAAUUAUUAUAUAAUUUUAUUAUGGUUAAAAUUUAGCAAAUAAUCAAGUACUAAAAUAUCAACACAUCAUCAAAUUAUUAUUCAUUGUAAUUUUACAAUUGAAACGUAUAAAAUCAAUCAAAUAAAAAUUAUUUGAAUACAAUCCAACAUUAUGAAAUAAAUAUAACUAAAGUAGUCAAGUUUUCACUUUUGGCACAAAUACAAUCACUAAUUCAUUAUUGUGCUUGUGCUUUUUUUAAGAAAAAAAUGUUAUUGUAUUAAGUGUAAUUAGGGAUUUAGUAUAAAUGUAUUAGUAAAUUUAGUAUAACCAAUUAAUAAUUUGUAUUAGUACACAUAUAUAAUUAUUAGUAUAAUUAAUAAUAUCAAUUAUAUUAUAUAUACUAAUAGACAUUAUAUAAUACAUAUAACUAAUAAUAUCAUUAUCAUAAGUUUGGAACUAAUUAAAUUAUAUAUUAUAUAUAUAAUUAUAUACAUAUAUAUUUUAUAUAUUUAUUUUUUUAAAGCGGGUGGCGGGGCGGGGGUACACUCCCCCGCCCCCCCGCCCAGUUUCUAAGCGGGGGGAAAAAAAUUCCCCCGUCCCCGCCCCAACCCCCUCCCCAUUAGCCCCCCGCGAGGCGGGUGCCCGCGGUCACCCGCCCCCAUUGUCAUCCCUAGUUUGGUACAAUUGUUAUACUUUUCACAUUAUUUGGUGUAUAAUUAUAUUAUAUUAUUUUUUUUAGAAAUAAAAGUGAUGUACAUAAAUAAAGUAUUUGACACAUAUUCAAUAUAAUAUUAUGAAGUAUUUGUACACUAAAAAAUUUAAACCUAUACAAUGGUUGGACGAAAUUGUAUAAAAUACAAUUGUACCAAAUUCCUAUUCCAAAGUAACAUAUCAAUUUAUGGCUGUAUCUAUCAUUUUACACCAUAAAAUAAUCAAAGAAUCUUUAAUGGUAUGGGGCAAUAUUUAAGGUUUUAACAAUAUUUUCCGCAACCGUAGAUUUAGGAAUCUAGUUCACAAAAUUUAUAGACACAUGAGAAUAACUUAACAAACAAAAAAGAUUAUUUUAACAAGUUACUGUCCUUUUUUUCCUCAAAAGUUUGGGAUUCAAUAUAAUGGAUGUAAUAGCCUUAAGAUGCCCUUAUAGUUUGGCUUGGCAACAUGGGAUGGAAGCAAUUGCCAAUAUAACUAUCUCAACAGUGUUGAACUUUCGUAAUAAAGUAAAAUUUAUCACAAAAUAGUGUGCACAGCUGUAUUACAAGAAUGUUAAAAAUCAGCCUCAUCCUAACGAAAAAUACAUGUAAUUGUAUCCGAAUAUUAAUUGUACAUUUUUUAAUUGUUGUUUUGUUGGCCAAAUUAAGGCCCUUAAAAUUUGGGGAAGGUUGCUGCUUGCUCCCAGUCCCUACCCCUGAUGGAGGACAAAUAGGUAAAUUCACAUUGCUGAGGUGAUAAACUGACAAUUGAUACACGUGAUGAUAUUCGGCAACGGACGAUAGAAGCAAAUCAGAUUAGAUGAUGAGACAUUAACCAUGACACUUGUGGCUGGGUUUAAGUCAACGGUGGAGGCUGUGAGAUAGUUUUAGAAUUGGUCGUUACGAAGGCACAUCAAUGUUGCUUUUGAACCUUUGUCCUGGCUCUUUUUGAAAAAUAUACAGAAAAAUGUGCACAAAUCCAAAAAUUAAUCACAUCAAUGUUCUUUACAACAGAAAAAUCAAACCACGUCAACUAGGAAAUUUUUGGACUUUUUUUUUAAAAAAAUCUAUCAAUUACUAAAGACAUUUUAAAAUGUGUUCAUUUGAGUACAGGUAUUUAAGGUUAAAUGCAUAAAACUCCCACGAACAAGUACACUAAUUGCACUUUACAUUCUAAAGUAUUUUAAUAGGCACUUUACACCUUUAGUUAACUAAAAAAUUACAUGAAAAUUAAUUUCAUCCAAAUAAUUGAUGAAAUGAUUAAUUAUCCUCCAUUAAAACUUAAGUAAUAAAAAUACUAUUUUGGUGGGGAAGAUUACUAAUUUAAAUAGACUAAUUUUCACUUUAUGUCAAAAUGUCUAAUUGUUAACACAUAAAAAAUCGAUUUGAAUGACGAUUAAGGCUAUUGGAGUCAAAAUGGGGGCAAAAUAUAGAAAUAUUGAGUGAUUAAUGUUGCAAUUUUUAAAAUUCCAUAAUUUUCUUCAAUGCAUCAUAAUGCAACAAAAUUUCAUUUGAAAUAUUCACAAGCAUAAAAUAGGAGUAGAACCCAAAAAUUUGCCUAUGAAUUUAGCACAAUAAUUGCAAUAAAAUUUCAAUAACGAACCAAAAUUAGAAGCCAUAUAUUAUGAAACAAAAUAUUGGGCUAAAAUUUUUUAAUAAAACACCUAAGUUAUUUACUUUUCCUUGACAACAAUCUUUUCUUACCUAGGCUAACUUGAAAUACGUCGUGAAGUAAGGUUGAUGAGAUUCUUGAAUUGAAUUUAUUCCUUUUCUUGUUUUUUUCCUACUUCUUUUGUUUAAUUGUCAUUCAAAGUGAUCAUAUUUUUAUUGUUAUAUGUUUCCAAUUAGAAUUUUAUUAUGAAGUGAAAAUUAAUCCAUUUAAAGUCACAAAUUUUUCUACCAUAACGGUAUUUUUGUCACUUAAAAGCUUUUAAUGGAGGAAAAAUUGGUCACUUCAUCAAUUAUUUAGAUGGAAUUAAUUUUCUCAUUAUUUUAUAGUUGACUAAGGGUGCAAAAUGCCUAUUAAAAUAGUUUAGGGUACAAAAUGCAACUCGUGUAAUAGUUCGUCAGGGUUUUCUGCAUUUCACACCCUAUUUAAUUUUGGCUUUUCAGUUUAUACUCUGAACUAUGAAUUGUGAUACUUAAGUAUUAUAUACUAUCAAUUUUAGGGCACAUCGUCCAAAUAAGAUAAAAUCAAUUAAUUCUUUCAGCAACUUUAGAAUGAAAUACUUUAAUACCCCUAAACGAAUUUCAGAAUUUGGACAAACAACAAAUUAAGGAUAUUUGAAGCCUUCUAAACUACCUAUAGAAGAAGUUAUUUGGAUUUGAGUUGAUUUGAUCAAUGGGCCAACAAAAGAGUAGUAUAAGAUACCGAAGUUCUAAAAUUAGCAAUUUAGAGAGCAACAAGCAAAUUGGUGAUAAUUUAGGAGUGCAUAUUGGCAAUAACCCAAAAAAAGUAGUUCCUUCAUGCCUUUACAUAUAAUUGAGGUCUAAAGAUAUCAAAUGCCAUAAUAUAUAGUUCCCUCAUGCCAGAAUAGGGGUUCAUUUUUUCGAAUAUCACAUGUAAUUCUCAUAUUUCGCUUGAACCUUCUUAUGUGACUAGUGGACAUUCAUCUGCGAGCAAUGUCAAAAGUGUAAAUUAUUGAUUCAGGAUCUAUAGCAAGAGAAAUGACAUUAUUUGUCAACAACUUGAUUCUAAAAACUAAUUCAUAUUCUUUUCUUAUUCAUUCAAAAAGUUGCAUUGAAUUUGACUGUACAUUACUUCUUGUGUAGAUAAUGUUGUCAGGCGGAACCCAUACUACAUCUCAGACAAUGGAGUGGGCAUUGUCCAGCCUAUUAAAUCACCCUAAUGUACUGCAAAAGGCAAGAGAUGAACUAGAAAAAAUGCAGCCUGGCCAUCUGCUAAAUGAUUCGGAUAUCUCCAAAUUGCCUUAUUUACGCUGCAUAAUCAACGAAACACUAAGGUUAUUUCCUGCGGCACCAACUCUUGUGCCUCAUUUUUCAUCUGAGGAUUGCACCAUAGGAGGCUACAAGGUUCCUAAAGGUACAACUUUGUUAGUGAAUGUUUGGGCCAUUCACAGGGACCCCAAUCUUUGGGAAGAGCCCAACAAGUAUAAGCCAGAAAGAUUUGAAGGAAUGGAUGAGAGAGGGUGGAAUGAAGGGUUCAACUUUCUUCCAUUUGGAAAAGGCCGGAGAAUUUGCCCAGGAGCUGCCAUGGCCAUAAGGUUGGUCGGGUUGACAUUGGGCACCCUGAUUCAAUGCUUUGAUUGGGAAAGAGUUGGGCCUGAAAUGGUGGAUUUGGAAGAAAAUCAAGGAUCAACUUUGGGUAAGGCCAAUCCUUUGGAGGCAUCUUACAAGCCGCGCCCAUCUAUGAUCAAAACAAUUUCUCAGCUUUAAGUUAGAUGUGUUGUUCUAUUAAGAUAAAUUGGGAUUUCUUUUUUUUUUUCUGAACUUAAAUAUCAAGAAAUAAUUGUCUGUUCUUUGGUUUUGAGCACCUCUUACAAUUUCAGAUUUGUAGUUGUAACUUUCUUUCAAUACAAGUUAAUGCUCAAAUUAUACAAACUCAAGUAUUUUACAUGGAAAUGCGGAACAUUAAAUGAUUCUAAUUCUACACUGUGGAGAAGGAGAUGGAAAGUACAACCCCACAAGCCUAAUUAGGCGUCUUAUUUAUUCACCAAUCUAAUUGAACACCAGGGAGCCUGAAAACGGUGUGAAGAACCAAAACGAAAUAAUCAUUAUACCAGUACAGUAGUAAUUGCACUGCUUUUAAAUUGAAUAUCAUAGUUUGCCCAAAUUGCAGAAUUCAAAUAAUAAGAGUUGAACGUAACAAUGACCGGAGAAAACUGGGAUCCAUGGUGACCCUAAUGUUUGGGAAUGAUGGAAGGGGGAUGCAAUGAAGGGUUCAAUUUUUUUCCAUUUGUUAAAGGGAAGAGAGCUUGUCUAGGAGCUGCUUUGGCUAUGAAGUUAGUUGCAUUGUCAUUCAUGUUCGCCGUCACGAGUUGCUGUUGCUGGUGUUCCACGUCUGUCACAGUAUAUUGGUUGAAUAUUGGGUAAUAUGUAUAUUAUAGCACAUGAAAAUUUUCAAAAAAUCUGAAAAAAUUAUUAAAAUUAGAUAAAGCCAAAAAAGGCACAAUUUGAAAAAAAUAUUCGAGUUGAUUCCCAAUGGAUUCGAAUAUAUUGGUCGAUACCAUACAUCACGGAUUUGAAUUGGUCGAGUCAAAUCGAGUCGCCACAGAUAUAUUGUUAUCCACAAUUCAGCGAUCAGUAUCGUGCCUGUUUCCUCCGUUCUGAUUACGACUUGGCUGAUUAAAAUAUUCCUAUACACUAAGGGCUUGUUCUAAAACUGCUUAAAAUAUGGGAAUCCCUUCCCACAUCGACAGUUUCUUGGCUUUUUUUUAUCAGUGGUCACAUAUUGAAUAUUCCUAGUAUUUAAUGUCGCAUUCAAACAUUUCAAUUUGACAAAAACAUGCUAUGACAGGGCAACAAGACAAAGAAAUAAAAGAUGCAUUUUCGUAUGCAAAUUGAAUUGAGCUCAUUGUGACAAGUGACAGCCUUCGUUGAUGCCACUACAAUGUCGGGGCAGGUCAUAACAUGAAUAUGUAAAAUUUUUUCAGAAAAUAUCUUUGGUAAAAUGUACAAAAAUUUGAUUAGUGUGUAAAUCUUUGUUGACUAUUCCAUUUCUGAUUGUUUAAGUUUUGUACUCUUGCACGUUUGGCAAGAUUUUAUUUUACAUUAGUAGACCAAGAAGUUUGCUGUAUUAUAGUCGAUCUUCUUUUGUUUUUUAAGGGUAAAGUAUGUCGAAGGUUAUCAAACUUUUCAAUAGUUUCAUUUUACUCUCGUAACUAUUUUUCGUACUAAAUAGUCCACUAAAUUUUUUAAAAGUCUCAUUUUAUUCAUUGAACUAUUUUUUUUAAUAAGAAAUGGCUCAUUAAUUUUUGUUAAAAAUUUUCAUUUUACCCACUCAACUUCUUUUUUUUUUUUUUUUUACCAAAAAACCUACUAAACUUUUAAAGUGAUUUAUCUGGAUCGUUUUGUUAGAUUCUACCAUUAAGAUAGAUAAAAAGUUUGCCAAGUAGUCCAAUUUUAAAUGGAUAAUUUUUUCAUUUCACACCCAAAAUCUAUAUGUCCAAAUCAAUUAAAAAAUUUUAUAGCUUCAGAAAAAACCACAAAUUCUAUUUUGGAUGGGCCAAAAAUAGUUUUUGUGAGGAUUGAGAUUUUAUUUUGGGAUUUAGGUAUUUUUAAAAGUGAUUGAAUAGUUUAAUCCAUUGGGGCAGAUGGAUUUUAGGCGUGCAAUGACGAAAUUAUCCAUUUAAAUCGGGCUCACAUGACAAACAUUCGUCUAUCUUAAUGGUAGAAUUUUAACAAAAUAGUCAAGAUGAAUCACUUUCAAGAGUUUAAUAGGCUAUUUUGUACAAAAAGUAGUUGACUGGGCAAAAUAAAACUUUUAAAAUGUUUAGCAUGCAGUUUGAUAGAAAAAAUAGUUGAAUGAGACUUUUAAAAAGUUUGAACGUCUAUAAUCAAAAAGUAGCAACCUUAUAUUAUUUUCUAAUGGCUGAUAGAAAGGACUAAAAGUCUAAAAUUGUCCCUUGUCAGAGUCUUAGCUACUCUUGUCAAUUUUCAGUUAACAAACGUCCAAUACUUGCAUCAAAAGAAAAUCCAAACAUGAAAAAUGAAGUGUUAAACCUUAACUUAUUCAGUAUAAAGUCAACACCAAACUUCUCUCUUUCUUCUUGCCAGUUGCAUCCUGAAUCUUGAUUAUGGAGUUACUCUACAGCAUCCUAAGUCUCAUUUUUUUUUUCGUUUUCUGGAUUGCUGUGAAGUUUCAGUACCACAUCCCACAGCAAAACAGGAAACUUCCCACAGAUUUGAUAUUUUGUCUGGUAUAUUACCAGAUAUAUGCACUUGCCAAGAGAAGUGCAAAUGGCUUGAAGGAGUUGUUUAAGCAAAUGCAAUGAUGGAUUAACUUAGCUGAAGUUAGAAAUAUUUGAAUUUUUUAUGUUUCUAUCUUGUGCUUUCACAUCUGAAUUGAUGUAUUUUUCUGAAGUUUAUUAGGUGGUUUUGUUGAAAAGUAUGAGUAAUUUUUGUGGGAAAAUAAUAUUCAAGCCCUUGCAUUUUCAGUCACUUUUGUAUUGUUGGGUAAUAAGGGUGGUCGCAUAGGACCACAUCCCACAGGAUUUAUAAACUAACAGUAGCGAAGACAUAGGUUUUCUUUGAAAGCCGCAUGGAGUUUUUAUUUUUGGAAAAUAAUAUUCCAUACUAACACAACUUUAUGAUAUAGAAAUAGAAUAAAGGGCAAAUUACACUUUACCCCCCUGCGGUUUAGUGUUUUUGUACAUAACUCCCAAUGGUUUCAAAAGUUAUACAUAACCCUCUCAUAAUUUGGAUUAAAGUAUCAAAGCAACAGAAUUUGGAAUUCACAAUGGAGUCACCUAAAAUGUCAAAAAUGCCCUAUGUAAAGUUGAAAUUUAUUUAUUAACCAUAGGGGGUAUGUGUAUAUUUUAAAACAUAAGGAAGUUAUAUGGUAAAGUAUUAAACUAUAAGGGGGUUAUAUGGUAAACUAUAAAAUCAUAUGGGGUUAGUGCGUCAUGUAUAUUAUAUUUAUAUAUUUUGGUUAUUUUAACCAUUUUAAUUUUUAAACAUGGGUAAUUUUGACAUUUUAAAAGGUUCCGUAACGAAUGAUCAUUUCCAUCACUUUGACACUUUAAUCCAAAUUAUGAGGGGGUUAUAUAUAAUUUUUAAAACUAUAGAGGAGUUAUGUACAAAAAUACUAAACCAUAAAGAGAUAAAAUGUAAUUUACCCUCGAAUAAAAGAUAGUCGACCUUUUAUUUCUUAGAUUGCGUAAUUUGAGUUGCUUUAGGUAACUGAAUUCUUUGUCAUUAAAGUGUCACUUUCAUUUCUUUUGGGUUGUUGCUGGAGCCUUCACAUAUUGUUAAAUUAAAACAUUAUUCUUAAAACUUAAUUUAGUUGGCAGGGACAUUUUUUGUUGAGGUUUCUAAUUCAACUUUCAAGCCUUUCUCGUGUAAAACUUUGAGUGUUUUCUUGAACCAAAAAAUUAAAUAAAUAAUAUAAAAUAAAACAUUUUUCCCUUUGCAUCCUCAUUGAUUUUCUUGAGAACUUUUGCUUUGAGCGUAUACUAUUCGAUAUAAUACGAGUUUUUCUACUCUAUGGUCAGUAGGAUGGUAUUUUCGUUGGGGGAGGAAGCGGAGGAAAGUUGAUUCAGUUCCCCAACCUCUAGCUUCCGACCCUCAGUUUUGCUUUAAUAGUCCCUACCCAAAUGAUUAAAAUAGUCCCUCAACUUUAGUUCAUUAGCUGAUUAAGUCACCAGCUGUUGAACACUCAGUAACUUACAUUAUUUGGGUAGUGAAUUAUUUUUUAAAAAAAUUAUUUUCUUGUAUCACAAUAUAUUUUUUAACUACUUUUUUAUUUCAUAUACAUCACAUUAAAAAGAAUUGUACAUCACCAUUUUAUCUCGUAUACAUCAUAUCAAAAAAGUGUUGCAUUAUUUUUUCAAAAAAUUAUCCUAAAUAAUCUACUAUCCAAACUCAUAGAUUUGCAGCAUCGAUGAAAUCUUCUUGUGAGGUUGGCAUUUUUCCAAGAAGUUUUUAUAUGUGUUAUCUUAGAACAAUGGCAAUAAGCAACUCGAUUUGCCAUGAUCCGGUGCCCCAACCACGAAAUGCCAAACUCCCAUUAUUGGUCACUGUACAAGUUAAUUUAUAGAUGAUGGUAGCAUCCCAAUAUUCCUAUUUUCUUUGCCUUCGAUCCUUUUUUUUAAACAUAAACAAAUAUGUGCUUAGUCCAAUUAAGGAGGAUGGAAAAUUUGCUUUUUAAUCAGAGACUUGGUGUUCCCCGAACAUGCCUUUUGAAGAUGGCUUCCUCGUAAGCUCCCGAAGUAGAUGGCUUGGCCUCUCCCUCUACCCCGAAAAUAUCAUAUUUUUAUUAAGGGUACGUUUGGUCCCCCAUAGAAUUGGAGUGUAGAAUUGGAAUUGGAGCCCCAAUUUCAAUUCUUGUGUUUGGGUACUAUCUUUCCUGUAGAAUUAGAAUCGAACUGCAAUUCCAAAUCGAUCCAAUUCCAUGGUUCCAAUUCUUUGGCUGGACCAAAGAAUUCCAAUUCCAAUUCCACGGACAAACUUCCAUUCGGGUCAACACGCGGACUUUAAAUGGGUAAAGCUUCCAAAACGGGUCAACUAUAAAGCUGGAUUAAAAAAAAAAUACAAAGCUGGCUUCUUUCUCUCUUCUCGUGUGCAAUCGCUCUAGCGUUUUCUGCCACCACCACCGCCGGUGCCGCCUCCUCUUCCCAACACUUCACCCGUAACCCCUCCAGGCCUUUCCUCCCUCUUCUCUCCUCCCCAACAUCGUGUGGGUGAAAUCGCUAUAUCUAUUCUGCUAUAUCGUGGUAAGCUUUCGUUCCGCUGUAUCCUCUCUCUUUCUAUGUGAUUCGCUUCUUCUCUAGAUUUGCAAAACUAGGGUUAUUUUGCUAUAGAUACAGCCCAUAUGAUUGCUGAUGACCAUGUCGUAGAUGUCAAAAUCAUACAUAAAAAGUAACAGAGAAGGAAAAGAAAUUGUAAGAAUCAUCACGUUUCUUCAUAAAAGGAAAUACGAAAAAAAAGAAAGAGAAGACAAAUUGCCAUUAUAUCUUUCUUCACUUUCUGAAAAAACGAUGUUUAUGAUCUAUAGAUGUGGAUUUUCAAUGUGACUAAAAGGACUCCAGGCAUAGUAGAAACUAGAAAGGGUACAGAAAUAAAGUAGACAAGAUGUUAAAACUUAGAAACUAAAAAAGAAUUUACGACUUAAGCUAGUAUAGAAAACUUCAAUUUUUAGCAUUGAUUAAUGCUAGAAUUUAUCAUGGGACCAGAUAUUUGAGAAUACAUUUUUCUAUUUCUUUUAGUGAGAAUACAUUUGUUAGACUUUUAGUGAGAAUGCAUUCUUAUAAAGUACCACAAAUUUGUGUUGCAAUAUUUUCUAUUUAUAUUGUCAUUGUUGGUUGUGGUUUUUGCCUGAAUGUAAAGAGCAAUAUACUUGGAUUUCCGGCUGGAUUUUGCCCAAUCGUUGGAGUUGGUGGACAUAUAAGUGGUGGUGGCUACGGUUCACUGUUGCAAAGAUAUUGCCUGAUGGUGGAUAAUGUUCUUGAUGCUCAGAUUAUCGAUGUUAACAGCCAGGUUUUGGAUAGAAAAGAAAUGGGAGAAGAUCUGUUUAGGGCUAUUAGAGAUGGUGGUAGUGCUAGUUUUUGUGUUGUUUUUGCAUAUAGAAUCAGGUUAGUCAGAGUGCCUGAAAUUCACACUGUUAAUGUGCAGAAGACUGAGGCAGAGAAUGCAACAGAUGUUCUUUACAAAUGGCAAAAUGUUGCUGACAAAAUUGACAACGAUCUGUUCAUUAGAGUUCUUGUGCAGCCAAAUACUGGAAAAGUAAAGAGUCCAAAAUCAUUAGAUUGACAUUUUUGGGACAUUUUCUUGGAGAUGCAAACAGGUUGAUUUCUGUUAUGAACACUGGAUUUCCUUAACUGGGAUUGAAGAGAAGUGAUUGUUUGGAAACAAGUUGGAUUGACACGAUGCUCUGGUGGUAUAGCUACAAGAUUGGGACAGCAAAGGAAGUAUUAUUAGGAAGGGCUUUUGAUCAAUUGAUCUUCUUGAAGAGAAAAUCAGAUUAUGUACAGAACCCAUUCCUAAAGAUGAUUAGUAUCACUAUUCAAGAAAAUGGUUCAACUUGGAAAAACAAGACUUGUUUUCAAUCCUUAUGGUGGAAGAAUGAGUGAAAUUCCUGAGAAUGAAACACCAUUUCCUCAUAGGGCGGGGAUCAUCUUCAACCUGCCAGAUUGGUGAAAGUGAAGGCUACCGUGGAUCCUCAAGAUUUCUUCAGGAAUGAACAGAGCAUCCCCACUUUGAACCUUCAAACCUCUAAAGGGAGGAAGGGACGAAAGUAAAGAGCAACAAAUGAUAAUUGCUCAUAUAGUAACGAUUAUCAAGUAGCAGAGGUGCCUUGUCCUAUUAAUGGCUUUAGCAUAAAAUGUAAUGUUAAUGAAUGGAUAUAGUGAGCAUUACUUUUGUAGCAUUGUAGCACCGAAUGGUUGCUUGUGCAUUAAAGAGGCAAAAGUGAUGUACAAGGUUUUAACUGUAAGAAAAAUAUCAAGGUUUUAACUUGAUGAAUAUUAACUACUUUUUAAGUUAGAAUAUAUAAUUAGUUUUUUAUUUAAUAUAAUUUAAUUAAUAAUAAAGGAAACAAGAAUAAUAUAUAUAUUGCAAAAAAGGAACUAAUUGGUUUUCUUUUUCUUUAAAGCUUUAGUAACAAUUAGUUAAAUGCAAGAAAAAAUAAAUUAUUAAAGGCACUAAUUGGUUUUUUCCUUGAAGCUUUAGUGACAGUUAGUUAAAUAUCAAAAAAAUUAUUACAUAGGAAAAAGAAAAAAAGAAAAUUUUUAUGUAAGCAAAUGUUAGAUGGAAGCAAUUCUAAUUUUUAAUGAAUUCUUCUUUCAUCAAAACAAAGAAUUUGAAAUUCUAAAUGAAUUCUGCAUCAAUUCUAUGCAUUUUCCAAACAAAAGAAUUCCAAUAUUUUGGAAUUCCAAUUCCUAGAAUUUUAAUUCUAUAGAAUUCCAAUUCCAAUUCAAUUCCAAUUCUAUACAACCAAACGCACCCUAAGUUGAAAUCAGGGAAAAAUUAUACCACACGUAUGGAUGUUCCAAUGGCCAAUACCAAAAAAAAAAAAAAAGAAUAAUUAUACAAUCUAACUAGUCAACUACAACAACAAACCACUAGCAAAUGACUCAAGUGAAAAUUUUCCGAUCUAAGUCUCAACUCGUACUAAUCUUCCAAUUCUUUCUAAAUCUAUCUACUCUUAACAGUACAAUUUACAUCACGAACAAUUCAUUCCACCCCUAUAGAGGAUGCAGAUUUGACGAUUGACUAGCUAGUCUAUGGAAAAAAUGUAACAUUUGGGUGGUCCAAUCACACAAGGACAAAAUUGGCAAAAUACUUCGAGGACUCAGUAAACUAAAGUUAAGAGUUGAAGCACCAAAAUUGUUUAGUAAAAACGUUGAGGCACUAUUUUGCUCAUUUGCUCCAAUAAAUUUACGGAUAAAAAAAAGAUUAUUUCACCCAAGUCCACUGCCACUGGCACUUCCAGUAACUUAUUGUGGUGGUAAGUUCUUCUUCUUCUUCUCUUUCAUUUUUUUGGUUUUUCUUGAAAUUUGAUGUUUGACACACUUUCUUUGGUAAUGUCAUACUGCCAAGGUUUGUAUUAACAGAGUUGAGAAUAUAAAGGCAAAAAAAAGGUUUAUCUAUCCACUGAUGGAAAUUUGUGAAUGGUGAUUACCAUAAAAUUAUUUAUUUAUUUUUGGGUUACAUUACAUGGAAUUCAGGCUUUAUGAAAUAUAGUCAUGAUGUUUGAUCUUUUGCAUUUUGAGCAAGAAAGACGUAUACUUUUUUGUCUUUUGGAUUUCUGAAGAUAGAGUUUGUGGUCUUUCUCCUUGCUUCUUGCAUCUUGAGCCUUGAUCAUGGAGUCACUCUACACCAUUCUAGGCAAUGUUUUGAAAACCGGACCGGACCGGCCGGUUCGACCGGUUGAACCGCGAACCGGCCAUGCACCGGUCCGGUUCAAUGACAUUGUUGACUUUGCUAGAAAACCGGUCAAAGACCGGUUGAACCGUGAAAACCGCCGAACCGGAUUGAACCGGCGGUUUUUCGGUUUUCAGCUUUCCUUUUUUUUUUUUUUUUUUUUUUGCAAAAUGCAACUAUCAAGAUUCGAACCAAGACCUUUGUAAUAAAAGACCAAUGUAUUAACCGUUGCACCAUCACAUUUUAUUAGUUUUUUUUGAUAACUUAUUUAUAUAAAGCAAACACUUAUAUUUCUUUUUUCCAUUUUUCUUACAAAAUCUCAUGCUCUCAUGGCUCUUUCUUUUUAAUUUUCAACUCUCUCUCUAUUCUCUUUUCUUUUGUCACUCCCUUUUUAAUCAAAGCUCUUUAUUUUUAAUUUAUUGAUGUUUUCUUCCAUCUUUUAAUUUUGUUUUUAUCCAUUAAAUUGAAAAAGGUUAAAAAAGAAUUUUUUUUAACCCAAAUUAUUUAAUGCCACAACCACUCACUUUUAUCUUAUUUUUUGUUUCUUAUCAAGUUUACAUUUCUAUUUUCAAUUUUCUUGACUUCCUUCGAAUUCCAAAUUUUCUUUUUUAAAUUGCAAUAUCUAAAUUCCAAAACGUAAAUUAAAAUUUAAGUUCCUAAUAUCUAAAUUCUCAGAGACAUGAAUUUUGUAUAAUUUCAAAAUAUUGUGAUAUUUUGGGGUUGGAUUUAGAUAUAAUUGAAAUUGAGAUGAAAUUUAUUUGUUUUAACUUAUAAUUUAAAAAAUUUAUUUUUAAAAAUCCAAGUUAUUAAAAAAUAGUAAAUUUUUCAUCAUAUAAAAUAUUAAAUUAGUCUAUUACAUGUCUUAUUUUGUACAUAUAUAUAUUUAUAUAAAUUAUUUUUUAAAAAAUUCAUUGAACCGAGGUUGAACCGGUCCGACCGGUUGAACCUCGACCCUUUCACUUCACCGGUUCAAUUAACGGUCCGGUUUUUAAAACAUUGAUUCUAGGUCUCUUCAUAUUCUUGAUGCCUGUAAAGUAUCAGUAUCUCCGAAAAAAGAACAGAAAACUGCAGCCUCCAAGUCCUCCAGCUCUUCCAAUUUUGGGCCAUCUUCACCUUGUGAAAACUGCCCCUCACCUUGCCCUGCAAAAGCUCUCCAUCAAAUAUGGUCCCCUGAUUUCCCUUCAUUUUGGGAUUCGUCCUUUCCUUGUCGUUUCCUCACCGUCUCUUGCAGAGGAAUGCUUAACCAAGACGAAUGAUAUUAUUUUCGCAAACCAGCCUGAGUCAGUUUCCAGUAAAUACCUUGGCUACAACUCAACUGCUCUCAUAAUCUCCCCUUAUGGAGAUCACUGGCGAAAUCUCCGCUCACAACCAUCCAUAUGUUUUCUUCGAUUCAACUCCAGCGUUUUUCCUCCAUCUGGAUGUUAUGGUAUUGGACCAAUAAGCGCAAUGGUGACAGAUUACUUGCAGCAGAAAGAAUUAACCCUUGACACUUUUGAAUGGAACAGGAACUAGUAAUGAGUAUUGGAACUUAAGUUUCUGAUUGACAGUAGGUAGGUCAAUUACAGAAUAGAAUCAACGGAUGUAGGAUUGGAAAGGAAAGAUUGAAGGAAUUGAAAGAGAGAAGAGAGGGAAAUUGGCAGAGCCAAUUUCUGUUACAAUCAAUGGAAAUGAUAUGACUAAAAUCUAUCUAACUCCCGAAUUCUUCAGCCUUUUAUGGCCUUUUCCGGACUAACUAACUUCUAACUAGCUAAUCAGGUGAGGCCACGUGGAAGUUCUGGAAUCAUCAGCUCCACUUGCGCCAAACAGAAGCAUAAUUCUGUUAUAUCAGGUAGAAGGCGUGAUUUGUAAGUCACGCCUUUCUUCCUCAAGUUGAGCAGCUGCGCCUUUCACAUAAACUGGAACACGCCUUCCUCCUUCUUCAAGCUGGAACACGUUUUUCAUGUAUUCCAAAUCACGACUUCCGUAUAUCCUUCAUACUCUAUGACAGAGCCUCCCUCUUUAAAGAAUCUUGUCCUCAAGAUUGGAAAUGAGGAAAUUGCCUCCUAAUUUCGUCUGCAAAUUCCCAUGUUGCCUCUGCUGGAUCUGUUCCCCACCAAUGUACCAGCCAUUGAACAGCAGCUGCAUUCUUUCUCUUGACUGUUCUUCGUUCUAGCACUGCAACUGGUUCGAUCCUUAAGUGCCCCCUCCCAUCUGUUUCUGGUAGUUGUAAGACAGGUGUGGUCUGGUUCCCAACCUUCUUCUUCAGCAGAGAGACAUGGAAAACAGGAUGAAUUUUGGAAUCUGCUGGUAAUCUGAGCUUGUAUGCAACCUCCCCCAUCCUUCCUAUUACUUCAUAUGGUCCAUAGUAACGUGCUGAUAACUUAGUGUUACCUCGCAUGGCCACUGAACUCUGCUUGUAAGGCUGUAACCUCAGGUACACCCAAUCACCUAUAUCAAACCUUCUUUCACUCCUGCUUUUGUCUGCGUACUUUUUCAUCCUCUCCUGAGCUAGCUUUAGGUUCUGCUGCAGUAAGAUGUCAACCUUGUGUCUCUCCCUCAAGUAGUCCCCAACAACAGCUACCUUGGCCUGAGUAUAUGGCCCUAUAGCUAAUUGGGGGGGUGCCUGCCCAUAUAGAGCCUCAAAAGGGGUCAUUUGGAUGGCUGUGUGGUAGCUGGUGUUGUACCACCAUUCAGCCAUAGUCAACCAAUGAUUCCACUUCUUUGGUUCCAAAUGUGAAAAACACCUGAGGUACAUUUCCAGUACCUGAUUGACCCUUUCAGUCUGGCCAUCAGACUGGGGAUGGUAGGCGGUACUGUGGUCCAGUGUAGCUCCCAGGAAUGUAAACAGUUCUCCCCAGAACUGACUGGUGAAGACCCUGUCUCUGUCUGAUAGCAUACUCUGAGGUACUCCAUGCAACUUGACCACCCCAUCUAGAAAAAUCCUGGCGAUCUUUGGGGCAUCAUAAGGAUGUGAAGUGCUCAGAAAGUGGGCAUACUUAGUGUAUCUGUCCACUACUACCAUGAUGGUAUCCUUUCCUUCAGAGUUAGGUAAUCCUUCGAUGAAAUCCAUAGUGAUGUGGCUCCAGGGGUACUGUGGAAUUGGCAGGGGUUGUAGGAGCCCUGGAUAGGAUACAUGCUCAUCCUUACACUUCCUGCAGACAUCACAUUCCAGGAUUGCUGUCUUGAUGUCUCUGUGCAUUCCUGGCCAAUGGAACAACUGCUUGGCUCUCAUGAAACUGGCCUGGAUCCCAGAAUGUCCCCCCAAUUGGGAGUCAUGUAAGGUGUUGAUCAGCUUUUUCCUUAUCUCUCCUCCUGAUCCCACUACUACCCUUCCUUUAAACUUCAGUAUACCAUUCUGAUAGCUGUGAUUGGCAAUCAGGUCUGGUUUAAGUAGAACUUCCCUGAUGAUAUUCUGUGCCCAGUCAUCUCCUUGGUAGCUACUAAUCACCUCCUUGAUCCAUUCUGGUACUAUGGUAGUUAUUGCAGUGCACUCCAAGCCUGAUUUUCUCCUGGAAAGGCCAUCAGCUACCACAUUCUCCUUUCCCUUUUUGUAGUGGAUCUCAUAACUCAUCCCCAUGAGCUUAGUUAACCACUUCUGCUGCAGUGGUGUGGUGAUUCGUUGUUCCAGCAAGUACUUCAAACUCUGAUGAUCAGUGUUGAUGAUGAAGUGUUGGCCCUCCAAGUAGUGUCUCCAUUUGGAAAUUGCUGUAACUAAAGCUAGUAGCUCCUUUUCAUAGAUAGAUAGCCCCAUGUUUCUUGGCCCCAAACUUUGACUGAUAUAGGCUAAAGGUCUUCUGUUCUGCAUUAAUACUGCCCCUAUCCCAUUGUAACAGGCGUCAGUUUCUACUACAAAGGGUUGGUUGAAGUCAGGUAGAGCCAGGACAGGUGUGUCACACAUGGCCCUUUUUAGCUUUUGAAAUGCCUCCUCUGCUUCUGUUCCCCAAUGGAAGCUGUCUUUCUUCAAUAGUGCAGUCAAUGGUUUGGCUAUACUACCAUAUCCCCUAACAAAUCUCCUAUAGUACCCUGUCAGGCCUAGGAACCCUCUCAGCUGUUUCACAUUUCCUGGUUUAGGCCAUUUCACCAUACCUUCAAUCUUCUCAGGGUCAGCUUUUACUCCUUCAGCAGUUAUGAUGUGUCCCAGGUACUCCACCUGUGUUUGGCCAAAGGCACAUUUGCUCCUUUUGGCAUACAGUUGGUGUUUCCUGAGAAUGUCCAAGACUUCUGUAACAUGCUUCAAAUGUUCCUUGAACUCGUAGAGCCCUUGAUGGGUUCUAAAUGCAGUCUUGGAAAUGUCUGCUGCUUUCACUCUGAUCUGGAAGUAGCCUGCCCUCAAAUCUAUCUUGGUGAAGUAUUUGGAACCUGUCAAUUCAUCCAAAAGUUCAUCAAUAAGGGGUAUAGGGUAUUUGUUUUUGACUGUCAGCUCAUUUAGCUGCCUAUAAUCAACACAGAAUCUCCAGGUGCCAUCCUUCUUUUUUACCAGAAGUACAGGGGAUGCAAAGGGACUGGUAUUGUGCUGAAUGAUACCAUUUUCCAACAUUUCUCGCACCAGCUUCUCAAUCUCAGUCUUUUGAAUAUAUGGACAUCUGUAUGGCCUGAUCUGGAAAGGUUUGGACCCUUCUUUAAGGGUAAUGGUAUGAUCAUGACCCCUCUCAGGGGGUAGCCCUUGAGGUUCCUUGAAUAUCUCCUCAAAAUCCUGCAGUACCUCCUCCAUCUCUGGGGGUGUAGUAGCAUUGGUAUGUACCUCCUCCUGGACUGCACUGAGUUGAGCCAUAAUUCCAUAGGCCUGUUUCCUGGCCCACUUGUGCAAUCUGCUCCCCUUAAUCAACCUUAGCUGCACCUGAUCACUUUCCCCCUUCAAUUCUACCUGCUGUUUUCCCUUCCUGAACUUCACACUUAGUCCCUUGAAAUCAAAUUCCAUAGGACUGAAUCUGGCAAGCCAAUCCACUCCCAGCACCAUAUCACAUCCCCCUAGCUUCAGUGUAUUAAACUGGUGCUGGAAUUCAUAGCCUUGCAUCUUCCAGACUACAGGCUUAGCUAGGCUGUUGGACUGUACCUUUUCCCCAUUAGCUACCUUGACAACUAGGGGUGGACCACUACUAACCAGUUUCAGGUUGCUAGCCAGUUGUGCAUCCAUAAAACAGUGAGUGCUACCACUGUCAAUAAGUGCAGUGAUAGUUCUCCCUUUUAUUAACCCCUUUAGUCUAAUAGUUUUGUGCUCACUACCCCCUGCUAAAGCAUUGAUGGAGAUUUCCAUAUGUUCAUCCCCAAUUUGGCCCUCAAUGCAAUCGCAGAAAACUUCAGAUUCAGCCUCCUUCCCUCCCUCACUGGUCACAGGGUUCUCACUGUCAUCAUGUGCUAGCAGAAGAUGGAUGUGGGAUUGUUUACAUACGUGGCCAAGUGUGUAUGGUUCAGCACAUUUAUAACAUAAUCCUUUCUCCCUCCUUAGGUUGAACUCACUAGGGGUGAUCUUUUUGAACUGGUUAGUGUUGCUGUUUGGGGUCCUGUAGUUGUCUGUGGGAGGUUUAUCUGAGGUUCUGGAUGUGGUGGGGUUCCAUUUGUUAUGGCUCUGGGGGUGGAAAGGGGUUCUGUGUGUCUGGAAGCUGUUAGGUGGGGGUUUGUGAAACUUUUGCAUAGCUUUUAGGUUCUUUUCUUGUAGCUUGGCUGCUUCAAUUGCAUCUGCCAGGGUUAGAGGUUUGGCCAUUUUAACCAUAUUGACUAUUUCUUCCCUUAAACCACUCAGGAAGCAUGCUUUAUAAUAGGAAUCAGACAAAUGUGGGAGGGAAGGCAUUACCAGUGCUUUGAGCAGCUCGAACUUUUCCAGAUAGUCUGCUAUGGAUCCCUCCUGCCUAAGCUUGUUGAAUUCUUCAAUAGCUUCCUCUGGUGUACCUUCCCCAAACCUUUUACACAAAGCAGUAGCCAGUUCUGUCCAUGGUAUGUUUCCCCUGCCACUGAAUACCCCGUGGAACCAAGUAUCAGCUCUGUCCCUCAGGUAUAGCUCAGCAAUCUCAGUUUUCAUGUUCUCCUCCACUCCAUUGAUCUUGAAGAACUUGUUAGCCUUACGGAUCCAUUCCCUGGGAUUAUCUCCUGUGAAGUUAGGUAACUCCACCUUAGGCAUUCUGGUGUAGGAUCUAGUUUCUUUCCAUUCUGAUCUGCCACAGCCUCCUUCCUGAGUUGCUUCCUUCUUAGGUCCUUCAAUGGAGCUACUGCUUUCUGCCUCCUUGUCCUUGUCAUUGAAUUUUGCCAUCAUCUGAGCCAUCAUAGCCAUCAUACUUUCAUAUUUCUGAUCUAGAUUUUUGAGAGUUCGUUCUGUGCUUUCUUGUCUAUGCCCCAACACUUUGACCACACUGCCUAGCUCAGAGAUAUCCUUCUUUAGCACCUCCUCCUGAGACUUUGUCAUCCCAAUGGCUCGUAGCUAAGCUCUGAUACCACUGUUAUGGUAUUGGACCAAUAAGCGCAAUGGUGACAGAUUACUUGCAGCAGAAAGAAUUAACCCUUGACACUUUUGAAUGGAACAGGAACUAGUAAUGAGUAUUGGAACUUAAGUUUCUGAUUGACAGUAGGUAGGUCAAUUACAGAAUAGAAUCAACGGAUGUAGGAUUGGAAAGGAAAGAUUGAAGGAAUUGAAAGAGAGAAGAGAGGGAAAUUGGCAGAGCCAAUUUCUGUUACAAUCAAUGGAAAUGAUAUGACUAAAAUCUAUCUAACUCCCGGAUUCUUCAGCCUUUUAUGGCCUUUUCCGGACUAACUAACUUCUAACUAGCUAAUCAGGUGAGGCCACGUGGAAGUUCUGGAAUCAUCAGCUCCACUUGCGCCAAACAGAAGCAUAAUUCUGUUAUAUCAGGUAGAAGGCGUGAUUUGUAAGUCACGCCUUUCUUCCUCAAGUUGAGCAGCUGCGCCUUUCACAUAAACUGGAACACGCCUUCCUCCUUCUUCAAGCUGGAACACGUUUUUCCUGUAUUCCAAAUCACGACUUCCGUAUAUCCUUCAUACUCUAUGACACUGGACUGAAGAAAUCCAUUUCAUCAUCAAAAAAUUGUUUUCCAGUAAUUCUGAUGAGAAAACCUGGAAAGUUAAGGACAUGAGUUCUUUGUUCCGGGAGUUAUUAUUCAACGCGAUAAUGAAAAUAGCUGCUGGAAAAAGAUGGCCAUCUGAUCAGCCAGGUGAUAUAUUUUCACCGCGAGCACUCACUGAUCUUUGUGAUUAUAUUCCAAUCUUGAGGUGGGUUGGCUAUGGAGGGUUGGAGAAAGGUGUAAUCAGUUUGCACCAGAAAAGGGACGAGUUUCUUCAGGGCCUGAUUGAUCAAACGCGGAAAGAGGUAGCAGAAGACGGUUCUUGUUCGACAGAGAGAAGGAAAACAAUUAUUCAAAAAUUGUUAUCUCUACAAGAAGCAGAACCCGAAUACUACACUGACGAAAUUGUUAAAGGAAUUAUACAAGUAAGUCUCUUCUACUUGAAUCUCUUUUACAAAUUGGUCUAUAAUUCAUUAGGACAAGGUCAUCUCACCCAUGUAGCAGCAGCAGCAGCACAAAUUGUCUAGCCAUAUUUAGUGGUAGGGCUAAGACUAGUGAUGAGGGAUGCAGUGCUUGUGCGGUGUAGAUGCAACCGCAUGCUUUUCAUGGUUCAAAUUCGAUCUGAAUUUUGAAAUGAUCAAAUUGUAGCUUCAUGUUGUGGUCUGAUCUGAACUGUAGAAAACACCUCCGACAGCACAAAGGCACCGGAUCUAGUGGUGAGUGGGGAAAUGGUAUAUGCCACUAACUUCAGUGUUGGUGUCUAGGGAAGAAAUUUAGUCAAAGUCUUUCAAAAAAUUUGGUUUUGUUUGGGUGUACACAUGAUUUCAACAUUAAAUGUGUCAAUAUCUAGUGGUGACUGGUAAGUUGGGGCAACCAUCAACAUGUAAAUUGGGUAAAAUCUUGUCGUGGUUCUCUAACGUAACGGGAGAGGGGCUAGUGAGGUUGAAGUUUGGUAUGGUUCAAUCUAGUUAUUACACUUUUUAUAUUUGGUGUAUAAUUACAUUAUAUUAUUAUAUUCAAAGUAAAAGUGGUGUACAUUAAUAAAAUAUUUGAUGCAUAUUCAGUACAAUAUUAUGAUAUAUUUGUACACUAAAAAAUUUAAACUUGUACAAGGAUUGGACGAAAUUGUACAAAAUACAAUUAUACCGAAUUCUUGUCCCUAAGUAACAUAUCAAUUUAUGGCUGUAUCUAUCAUUUUAAACCAUAAAAUAAUCAAAGAAUCUUUAGUGGCAUGUGACAAUAUAUAAGGUUUUAACAAUCUUUUCCGUUUAUAUAGAUUUAGGAAUCUAGAUCACAAAAUUUAUGGACACUUGAGGAUAACUUAAACAAACGAAAAAUAUCGUUUUACAAGUUACUGUCAAAAGUUUAGGAUUCAACAACGUGGAAGUGAUGGCCUUGCGAUGCUCCAUGGGAUAGAAAGAGUUGUCAAUAUAACUAUCUCAAAAGUGUACAACACUUGUAAUAAAGUAAAAUUCAUCACAAAAUAAUCUGCACAACUUUAUUACAAGAAUGUUAAAAAUCAGUCUCUUCUUAACAAAAAAUACAUGUUAUUGUAUGCUAAUAUUGGUUGUACAUUUUUUACAUUUUGUUUUGUUGGCCAAAUUAAGGCCUUUAAAAUUUGGGGAAGAUUGCUACUUGCUCCCUGCCCCUGAUGGAGGUGAUAUACUAACAAUUGAUACACGUGAUAAUAUUCAAUAACGGACAACAGAAGCAAAUCAGAUGAGAUAAGAUAACAGCCACUUGGACCGUUGGUCACCAUUAAAACUUUAAAGUAAAGUCUUGGGGGAUGGUAGAUUAAGAGUUCAACCAUUGCCUCUCAUCAUAUACUUGUCAGUUAAUCGUGCCUGACACUUUUAAUGGCUUUCUCCCCUAAAUUAAAAUAGAGUAGAUUAUAAAAAUAUUAUCGUUACGAUAAAACAAAAAGAUGAGAUAAGAUAAUGAGACCUUAACCAAGUUACUCGCGGUUGGGGCUAAGUUAACGGUGGAGGCUGUGAGACAUUUUAAAAAGUGUUCAUUUGAGCAUAGAUAUUAAGUAAUACUUAUGGCACAAUAUUUUAACUGGUUGUCUCAAACAAAAUAUUUUUAUUUUCAUUGAAACAUUCGGCUGGAAUAAAUCCUACCUCUCUCUUGUUAUAAAAAAAUAAAAUGUAUAUAUUUUAUUAGUAAUACUUUCGUUUACAUAACUAUAUAUACAUAUAUAUAUUAUGUGCCUCAUUGAUGUUCCAUAACGAAUAGUUAAUUUUCAGAUUUUUAGAAUGCAAGUGGUUGCAAAUGUUUGCACCACAUAAUUGCCCUAGCAAGUUUGGUUUGAUGUGCGUUGUUGACAAAUGUCUGAACCGAACUCUCAGAAGUUUGGGCCACAAACUAUCCCACAGAAUUCACUCAGUUAGUAAGAUUAUUAGGUAGAUGAUCGUGAAAUCUUUGUUGAAUUCUCAAAUCUCCCUUUUUCUCUUUAUAAGGCUUUGAAUCUCUCUUAAAAAUUAAAAACAGAAAUCUCGAUUACGAACUCAACUAAUGAGGCUCCUAAUUUAGAAUCAGGGGCCUCGAUAUUUGUUUGGUGCCACUUCUACAGAGGCCAAUUGACAGCCAAGAAUCGGGGAUAAAUUAACUCAACAAAAAGGGUUGCUUUCAAUUUAUACCCGUAUUUAAGGGUUAAAUGCAUAAAACUCCCACGAACUAGUACACUAGUUGCACUUUACACUCUAAAGUAUUUUAAUAGGCACUUUACACCCUUAGUCAACUAAAAAAUAACACGAAAAUUAAUUUCAUCCAAAUAAUUGAUGAAAUGAUUAAUUUAUCCUCCAUUAAAAACUUUAAGUGAUAUGAGAUUGGCUACCCUGUUGGAAGACAUUCAUCAUUUAAAGUUGUUGUUUCAUAUGUGCUCCUUUUGUUAAGUUAGCAAGGAUCAUAAUCAUAUUAGUAAUAGGAUUAUCUUAUAUGGUUUAGCAUUAUUUAAGAUGAGAAACUUUGAUUCAUCCGUGUCAAAAUACACUGAUUGUAUAGUUCCAUCGAAUCUUAACUCGAAACUGUAAAGUUUUUUUAAUCUAUAAAAUCACUUAUUGUUUCGAAAAAAAUUAAAAUCUUAAGUGAUAAAAACACUAAUUUGGUGGGGAAGAUUACUAAUUGGUAACACAUAAAAAAUUCUAAUUGGUAACACAUAAAAAAUCAUUUUGAGUGAUGAUUAAGACUAUUGGAGUCAAAAUAGAGAAAUAUUGAGUGAUUACUGUUGCAAUUUUUAAAAUCUCAUAAUUUUCUUCAAUGCAUCAUAAUGCUAUAACUUCAUAUAAUCAGCAAAAUUUCACUUGGAAUCUUCACAAGCAUAAAAUUGGAGUAGAACCCCAAAAUUUUCAUAUAAGUUUAGCACAAUAUUUGCAAUAAAAUUUCAAUACCGAACCAAAAUUAGAAGCUGUAUAUUAGGGAAAAAAAUAUUGAGCUCAAAAAUUUUAAUAAAACACCUAAAUUAUUUACUUUUCCUUGACAACAAUCUUUUCUUACAUAGGCUAACUUGAAGUACGUAGUAAAAUAGGGUUGAUGAGAUUUUUGAAUUGAAUUUAUUCCUUUUCUUUUUUUUCCUACUUCUUUUGUUUUAAUUGUCAUUCAAAGUGAUCAUAUAUUUUAUUGUUAUAUGUUUUCAAUUAGAAAUUUAUUAUGAAGUGAAAAUUAAUCCAUUUAAAGUGACAUUUUUUCUACCAAAAGGGUAUUUUUGUCACUUAAAAGCUUUUAAUGGAGGAUAAAUUGGCCAUUUCAUCAAUUAUUUAGAUUGGGUUAAUUUUCUUAUUAUUUUAUAGUUGACUAAGGGUGUAAAGUAGGAAUGGCAAUGGGGCCCCUCCCCCGCCCCCGCCUCGCCCCAUCCCACCCACGGAGAAAAAGUUUAUAAUUAGUAAAAAUAUAUAAUUAGUAAAAAAUUUAAUUAGUAAUUUCAUAUAAAUAUAUAGUUGGUAAAAAUUAUAUAAUAAAAUAAAUGUAUGAAUAGUAAAAAAUGUAAUAAUAAUUUAGUAUAAAUAUAUUAGUAUAACUAAUCAAUAAUUUGAAUUAAUAUAAAUAUAUAAUUAUUAGUAUAACUAAUAAUAUCAAAUAUGUUAUAUAUGUAAUUAAUAUAUAUGUGUGUGUAUAUAUAUAUUAUUUUAUUUAAGUGGGGGAUAGAGUGGGGGAUGGGGCGAGGGUAUAGUCCCUUAUACCCCACCCCUAUUUAACGGGGGAGCAUUUUAUCCCCCGUCCCAUCCUCCGGGGGAUGGGUGCCCUCGCGGGACCCAUCCAAUUGUCAUCCCUAGUGUAAAGUGCCUAUUAAAAUAGUUUAGGGUGCAAAAUGCAACUAGUGUAAUAGCUCGGGGGGGGGGGGUUUGCAUUUAACCCCCUAUUUAAUUUUGGCUUUUCAGUUUAUACUGUGAACUAUGAAUUGUGAUACUUAAAUAUAAUAUACUAUCAAUUUUGGGGCGAAUCGUCCAAAUAAGAUAAAACCAAUUAAUUCUUUUAGCAACUUUAGAAUGAAACAUUUUAAUACCCCUUAAUGAAUUAGAGAAUUUGGACAAACAACAAAUUAAGGAUAUUUGAAGCCUUCUAAGCUAGAAAAAGUUAUUUGGAUUUGAGUAGAUUUGACCAAUGGGCCAACAAAAGAAUAGUAUAAGAUACUGAAGUUCUAAAGUUAGCAAUUUAGAGAGUAACAAGCAAAUUGGUGAUAAUUUAGGAGUGCAUAUUGGCAAUAACCCAAAAAAGUAGUUCCUUCAUGCCUCUACAUAUAAUUGAGGUCUAUAGAUGUCACAUCCCAUAAUAUAUAGUUCCCUUCUUAUGUUGACUAGUGGACAUUCAUUUGCGAUCAAUGUCAAAAGUGUAAAUUAUUGAUUCAUGAUCUAUAGCAAGAGAAAUGACAUUAUUUGUCAACAACUUGAUUCUAAAAACUAAUUCAUAUUCUUUUCUUAUUCAUUCAAAAAGUUAAAUUGAAUUUGACUGUACAUUACUUCUUGUGUAGUUAAUGUUAUCAGCCGGAACCCAUACCACAUCUCAGACAAUGGAGUGGGCAUUGUCCAGCCUAUUAAAUCACCCUAAUGUACUGCAAAAGGCAAGAGAUGAGCUAGAAAAAAUGCAGCCUGGCCAUCUGCUAAAUGAUUCUGAUCUCUCCAAAUUGCCUUAUUUACGCUGCAUAAUCAACGAGACACUAAGGUUAUUUCCUGCGGCACCAACUCUUGUGCCUCAUUUUUCAUCUGAGGAUUGCACGAUAGGAGGCUACGAGGUUCCUAAAGGUACAACUUUGUUAGUGAAUGUUUGGGCCAUUCACAGGGACCCCAAUGUUUGGGAAGAGCCCAACAAGUAUAAGCCAGAAAGAUUUGAAGGAAUGGAUGAGGCCAUAAGGCUGGCUGGCUUGACAUUGGGCACUCUGAUCCAAUGCUUUGAGUGGCAAAGAGUUGGGCCUGAAAUGGUGGAUUUGGAAGAAAAUCAAGAAGCAACUUUGGGUAAGGCCAAGCCUUUGGAGGCAUCUUACAAGCCACGCCCAUCGAUGAUAAAAACAAUUUCCCAACUUUAAGUUAGAUAUGUUGUUCUAUUAAGACAAAUUGGGAUUUCUUUUUUUUUUUUUUUUAGAACUUAAAUAUCAAGAAAUAAGUGUCUGUUUUUUUUUUUUUGGUUUUGAGCUCCUCUUACAAUUUCAGAUUUGUAGUUGUAACUUUCUUUCAAUACAAGUUGAUGCUAAAAUUAUACAAAAUUAAGUAUUUUACGUGAAAAUGUGGAAAGUUAUAUGAUUCCAAUUAUACGUUGUGGAGAAGAAGAUGAAAAGCACAACUCCACAAGCCUAAUUAGAAUUCUUAUUUAUUCACCAAUCUAAUUGAGCACCAGGAGCCUGAAAACGGUGUGAAGAACCAAAAGGAAAUAACCAUUAUUCCAAUACAAUAGUAAUUGCACUGCUUUCAAAUUGAGUAUCUUAGUUUGCCCUAAUUGAAGCAUUCAAAGAAUAAGAGUUGAAAGUGACAAUGACUGGAAGAAAACUGGCAUCCAUGGAGACCCUAAUGUUUGGGAAGAAGCAAACAAGUUUAAGCCGGAAAGAUUUGAAGUGAUUUAUGAUGAAGGGUUCAAUUUUCUUCCAUUUGGAAAAGGAAAGAGAGCUUGUCCAGGAGCCGAUUUGGCUGUGAAGUUAGUUGCAUUGUCAUUGGGCACUUUGAUUCAAUACUUUGAUUCAAUGAAGGAUUUGGAAGAAAAUCCAGGCUCAAAUGGGGGCAGAGGCAAGCCUUUGGAGUCAUUAUACAAGCCAUGCGAGUGUAUGAUCAACUUGAUUUCUCAGCUUUAGUUAAGUUAGAGAUCGAUGUAGUAUAAUCCGUUCUUCUCUUCACUGAAAAGAAAAAAGAUAGAAAUAUUUCUUUCCAGAACAUAAAACUGCAAUUGGGGUAAGAAUGUCUAGGAACAAAGGGGAAUAUUAUAUGGCAUGAAGAAUUAAAUGCCUGAAUGCAAUGGUGGAUAAAGUAGACGAACAUCCUAUGCUCUGCAGCUCAGGCUUUUCAAUUAGUAGAUACAGCAAGGUCAUGGAAUCCAUUCCCAUCUUGACAUUUUUAUCGCUUCUCUUAUCAGUCAACGAAAAUUUUCUUUGCAGGGACUUGUCACAUGUUAGUGGUCACAUAUUGAAUAUUCCUAGUAGUUAAUGUCGCAUUCAGACAUUCCAAUUCACUAAGGCUUGUUCUAAAACUGCGUAAAAUUAAAAAUUAAACAUUACUUCCCAGUCAGCUUUAAAUAAUAUAUACACGAGAGAGAGAGAAAGAGAGAGAUUGAACAAAUAUUUUCUCUGAGAGGGAUUGAACACAUAUUCCAAUAGACUCAGGGCUUGUUCUAAAACUGCUUAAAAUUAAACAUUAACAUUCGCUUCCCAGUCAGCUUUAAAUAAAUAAAAAAAGGAUUGAUCAUACUAUGUCCCUUCAAGGUAUGGUUUAGUCACUCUUUAUAACGCAACAUCAGAAAUAUAUACUUUACCCCUCUCUUGACUAGUCAAAAUGUUAAAAAUGCUUAACACUGUUAAAAAAAAAAAAAGUGUUGAUAAGACUAAAAUAGCCAUGAUUUGGUACUGAAGGUAUAAUUGUAGCCUUGUUUUGGUGGAAAAUUAAGCAUGCAGUGCAUAUGACCUCAAAAAAAAAAAAAAGACAUUAAGUUUGUUUGGAUUGACUUGAUUUCAGAUAAAAUAAUUUACUUCACAAAUUUCAACCACCUUUUUAUCUUCCCAAUCAUCUUUUUAUCUUACAUACAUCACAUCACAAAAAGUGAUACAGUAACUAUCUCAAAUAAAUCAUCCAAAUAAACUCCUAUCCAAAUGCUAAGUGAAAAAAAAAACUCAUAGUUGACAGCAAGUAUGGUAAAAAACCCUUGAAGCAUCGAGAGAAACUAGAAAAAUUUGCCAAGAUGUGCUAAAGGGCUCAUUUGGGUUGUGAUGACUUAUCAAAAAACAUUUAAAAAUUGUUUAGGGUUGUGGUUCUUUUGUUAAAAAAGUGUUUUUGGGGGAUAAAAACACUUUUAAUGUAUUUGAUGGAAUUGCUCGAAUUUAGGAGUAGAGCUUUUCGCCAUAAAAGAGCUUUUAGCAUAGGUUUUAAAUUUUGAACUUUUAAAGUAACUUUUAUGUUUCAAAAAAAUAAAAUUUAACUUUAAUAAUUUUUUUUAAAUUUUGAGCUAAAAAAAGAGAUAAAUAAUUUAUAAACUCAAAAUUGCAUAUUAUUAAAUAGAAAAAGUACUUAUAUAAGUGUAUGCAUCUAAACAAUAUGAUUAACAACUUUGACUAAAAAAGUCUGUUUGGAGUUGCAGUAGUUUAUUAAAUAACAUUUCAAUUAGUAGAACUUUUCGUUAUCAAUGUACUUAUAAAGUGUUUAAUCAUAUUAUUUGGGUGUGUACUACUCCCUCCAUCUCAUAAAAUUUGUCAUGUUUGACACUUUUUCUUGUGCAAAAUUAAUUGUCAUUUUAGACAAGUCAACCCAUUUUUUUAUGAAAUUUUAUUUUUAUUCUUCAUGUGACUCACCACUUAUUCAAAUAAAAGAUGAUCUGCCACUAAAGAUAUAAAAGGAAAGUAAAAAUUCUCUUUCCUACUAAUAUCACUAUACAUAAAUUACACAUUUUUUGAAAAUAGAAUAAUACUUUUUCUAUUUGAUAAUGUGCCCUUUUGAAUUUGUAAAACAUAUUUAUCUUUUCAUUUAGUUUAAAAUUUAUAGUGAGAUUGUUAAAUUGAUUUUUUGUUUUUGAAAUACAAAAGUUGCUCUAAAACACUUAAAAAUUCUACUCCUAAAUUCAACAAAUUACACUCACCAAACAUAUUAAAUGCACUUUUAUCCUUCAAAGUACUCUUUUAGUAAAAGCACCCAAUCCCGGACGAGCCUACACUUUCACUUGAUUAAUGAAAAGGACGAAUUAGGCAACAAGAACAGUGCGCAAAACCAAAACCUUUCGCUACCACUUCCCCUUAGGCGGCUAAGAACUGCUCACUUCGGAAAUGUCCAUCGUUCUAGAGAGGAGUCUGUUCUGUUUCAUGGUCAGAAGAGCUUGGCUUCUGCGAAAGUGUUGCGAUCUGCUAGUCCAAGGUGGGGCGGAUCUUGUGCUUAUGAAGGUGACCAAGGACGGCAUUGCCUUGCAAACUGUAGAGGAGAACAUACAUGCCUCCGUCUUGAACUCUAAGUUCUUCCCUAUUUUCGUCCUAGAUAGUGACCAAUUCAUGAUGUAGAUGCCGUACAAUGGCUGAUCAAACUUUUCAAUUGGAUGGUAGAUGGAGACUUCAUGAGCUUCUUCUAUUGGAAGACUGGAUCGACGUAAUUCUUGUUCGAUCUAUAUCAGGAACCCUGUUGGUAACUGGUGGACAUCUGGUCGAGGCAUCCUAUUUGCUGAAUGGCUUUUAUGUAACAUAUUGAGAAAGAUUAGAAGACUGAUUCAUGAUUUCUCAGCUUUUAGACGGCGUAUUUUUCAGGAGGUCAAUUCCUCUGCGAAUAGGUUAGCGGCUAUUAGAACAUCUGGUGAAUUGAUAUUUGAUCAUAUGCAGUAGUUGCCUUCUCUAGUUGGAACUCAUCUUGUUCUAGUUUCGCAAGAUUUGUCAUCGGUUCGUAUGAUAUUGUCUUCAUUCGGUUGAGGUCAGAUUUUGGCUGUCAGUUCUUUUACUCUUUCAAUUUUAUGGUAAUAAAAAAAUAUUAUUUCCCGCUAAAAAAAGAUUAAAAUACAAAGUAUAAGUAUAAAACUCUCUUAAUAUCUUGUCCAAGAGGAAAAAUCCAAUUUUGACCAUGUCCACGACCAUUUUGAUGCUGUGACCUACAAAAUUCAUAAAGACGCAUAUUAACUUAAGAAAUACAAGAAGCAUACUAAACACUAGAAAAACACUAAAUGGUUGGAUUACCUUCCAACAAGUGCUUUGUUUAAAAUCGUUAUACUGCAGUUUUCACUAUUUAUUUUAAUGAAGAGAAGAAGCCCCUGAGUAAACUACCCCUUUUGGGGCUAUUUCACUUGUUAAAUAAGUCUUUAAACUCUACCCAUUCACCUUAAAAGAUUCAUUUUUACCAUUUGUUAUGUCUACCGAUUCAUAGGAAAGUACUCUUGUCAGUUCAAAUGGAUUAGAGCACCUAGAUUUUAACUUGUCUGGAAAAUAAUUUAAGGUAUGAAUUGUACGAUAACACCUUAACGUCCAAUUUCAAAUUGUUCAUGAAGGAUGCUUGUCAUGUUGAAACUUCACAUUUUUCUUAUAUAUCUUGGCAUUCUCAUACAAAGUCAAAUGAAAUUCCUCCAAUUCACUCAAUUCAAGCAAUUUCUUCUCACCUGCAACAUGAAAAUCCAUAUUAAUAGCCUUCAUAGCCUAAUCUGCUUUAUGCUAGAUGGCAUAUUUUUCAAUAAAUUAGUCGAUAAGGCGACAUUCCCAACAGAGUCUUAAAUACCAUGCUAUAGUUCCAUAAUACAUCAUCUAACUUAUCGUCUAAUCCUUCCUUGACUUGUUCACUAUUUUCUCUAAAAUGAGUUUGAGCUCCCAAUUAGCAAACUUUGCUUGGCCAUUCACUUGCAGGUGAUAAGGAAGUGAAAUUUUGUGCUUGCAACCAUAUUUAAGCAAUAAAAUGUCAAAUGAUUUAUUACAAAAAAUGUUUGCCUUUGUCAUUUUUAAUGGUUUUUGAAAUUCCAAACCUGCAAAAUAUAUUACUUUUAAGGAAUUUAAUUACAACUUUAGCAUCAUUAAUAGGCAAUGCAAUAACUUUUACCUAUUUCGACAUAUUGUCAACUGCUACAGGAGUCAUUGAAGUUUCCUUGAAUCUCUUCUUCUGCUUUCUUUUUUGCUCUAAAAUACUGCAUGUAAGUUGAUCUAACAUCAUACUUUUUCAUCUUAGCUCCUAUCCCCUCGUUAGAUAUGAUAAGAUGAUCUCUCAUCAAAGGAAUCAGUUUUUUUAUAAUCUAGUCAGAUGUAGUCUCAAUAUUAUUCCUAUCCAUCGCACAAGUGUGUUUAGGUUGGUAGGCUUUAAUCAUAAAAGUGAUGGAAUCAGCCACUGGUGAUGCAUGAAUCCUCCAUUUGCAACCAUCCACAUCAUAAAUAGCAGUCACUCUAGUUUUCUCAUUCUUCAAACUAAGUAUUGAAAAUCGUUUUUGAAUUACAUAAUCUUUCAAGAUUGCUAUAAACGAAUCCACAUUAGUGAAGAAUUGAACUUUUUCAAAUUCUAUAUCAUCUCUAUGGUUGUAAGUCCACAUUUUUUAUCUCAACACUUCUAUCAUAGGGUGAGACUCUUGAUCAAAUUCAGAAUUAAAAACAAUCUCACCAUCUUCAUUUUCUUCAAAAUUAGAAAAAUUGGCAUCACUUGAUUCACUACUAUUCACUAACAUAGCAUUAGCAUUUGCAUCAACUUCAUUGUCACUGUCAAGCAUAUGUUUUCAUGAAUCAUUAAAACUAGAAUCCUCAUAUUCAUCAUCAGAUAUUUCAAGGUUAGUAAUCAUCCUUUUAGAAGUCUGAUCAAGACCUAAAUUCUCUUGAGUGUUUUCAAAAUUUUUAUCAGCAUUGGUAUUACCAUAUUCAGUUGAAAUAAUUUUUAUGUCAUAUACAUGUAAAUUGAUUACAAUUUCAAAUUGAUGCAUUUUGAACAUGUCGACAACUGCAUCAUCAUCAUUAACAUCGCACAUUUUAUUUUCACCGGGAAUUUCCUUCCUUGUAUUUAUCAGCAUAUUUACAUUUUCUGACAUUUCUCUCAAUACUUUUUAAAUCACAUCAUAUAGCAAGUUACUGUACAAGUAUUCAUUAGGAUCAACAUUCGGGAUCCUGACUUUCUUUCCCUUGCAGUGCACAACUAUGUCAUAAGUACCAAUGACCAUCUUACAUUAUUCACAAUAAUUGUUAAUUACUAACAACUACAUGUGAAAAUUCUACCAUACACAUACAAUUUUACUCAACAAACCAAUAAUAAAUGCACAAUACAAAUUUACAAAUCAAUAAUCAGAAUAAACAACUUAUGUCUCGCAUAUGCACUAAAAUUAUUUAUAUAGUCAUCUGAUCAAUGAGUCUAUCAAAUAACUUUUCUUAUAAACACAUAUGACAUACAUAAUUGUACUGCCUAACAUUGAUAAAAUAAUGUCACCAUCUAUCCAUAUAUAGAAUCUGUAAAGACUCACAAAAAAAAAAUAUCUAUUUUAAACUCAAAAUUCUAGCUUAUUUAAUUAUUUAUUUGGCCAAAUGCUCCGAUUAUUAUUUUCUAACCUUUUUAGACCUAAUGUGAUGGAUCUAUAGCUUAGUUAUAUUUUUAAAGUGUCUCGUUUUAAAAUUUAAUUUCUAAAGGCUCGUUAAGUGAAAAUAGUUAAUACGCGAUUGGAGUAAAUAAUCGAUUCGAGGAUACAAUAAGUUUGGAAAAUUGGAGACUUGUACAUUAGUUCUAAAAUAGGUAUUUUUAUGUAUAAGUGUUCAAAGGUUAGUUAGUUAUAUUACGGUUAUAAGAACUUCUUAGAAAUUUCACUAUCUCGCGCUUAAAUUGGAAAUACGCGUUUUUACGCGCGCGAGUAAUUGAGGAGCCUUAGACCGUUAUUUUGGGAUUAUUAAGAGUGAAUAAUAAUAAUAUGAAUGUAAGUGCAUUAGAGGUUUAGUGCACUAGUACAAUAAAGUCGAGAGGAAUCGAGUAAGAAACGCAUGCGCAUGUGCAUUAUUUUAGUGGACAACUUUGAGCAAAUUUGAGCCACAAGUUUUAAGCUUACCUUAGAAGCUAAUAACAUUAGAAUUUCCUUCCUCACAUACACUCAAACAGCCGAGCAACAAAGGAAGAACAGGACAAGAAAAUUCUUCCACUCUUUCUCCUCAAUUCCUUGCUCAAAUUACCUCCAAAUUUUACACACAACACUCAAAGCACUUGGUGAUCAAGAUAAGCUAGGAAAGGAGCUGCCUCUCACGAUUUUUCUCCAGCUCAAAGUGACCGAAAUUUCUGUCUUGGCUCUCUAAGAAAGUAAGUAAUGAUCAACCACUUAAUUCUUGAUUUAUGGAAGAUAGAUUACACUCAUGAGCUCUUGAAUUCUCAUGGGCAGCGUUAAAUUGUUAGAAAAUUGGUGAGUGGGCUCUAUGAAAUCCCACAAUGACUUUGAUGAUCUGAUUUGAUAAGAUUGGAUGUUAAUUGUGUUGAUUAGGUGUUAAUUUAGUAGAGUUAAGUGAUAAAAGUGAAAAGGAAGUCAAAUGAGGGGUUGCAUGUGAAGGUGCCGAUUCUGCCCUGCCAUUUUUGUGCAUUUUAGUGUACUUUCUUGAAGUCCAAUUGACUUGUUUCUAAUGCAAAUGUGUAAUAUAGGUUGUGUAUAAAGUUUUCUCAAAAUUUUACGUGAUUUGGGUGAGUGCAUGUUGAGAUUUAGAAAAUUUGCCAAAACUGGAAUUGUGUCCCGUAUUAUUCUGGCAAUGAUUUUGUUUAGACUAUAACUCUUUGUCCCGAUGUCAAAAUCGAGUGCCGUUUGCGGCACUGGAAAUUAGACAUUCCCAGCUUUCCAACAUUAUAAAAUACACAUUCUGAUUCCACUUGAGUGAACUACACCAACCGUUUGAACUUGGCUGCACUGUUUCGUUGGUUCACUGGAAGGCAGAACAUGAACUACAACUUGAUGCUUAAAUGUGGGCUAGUUGUGGACAGAUUUUGAAAAUGGUUUCUUCUAAGAAAUUGUAGCUCUAUGAAUGUGUUUUCUAAUGACACAACCAUGCUCAAUUCCGAGUUGAAUUGAGUGAUUUAUGACCAAAAUUCGAAUCUGGUAUUGUGAAGAAAUACCAUGCAUUUGGACAGAUUUGAAACUAACAAUGAUUUGGAACUUUGUUAUCCGAAGCUUCUUAGUGUAUAUCACUUAUCAAAUGUACCUUGGACAUAUUUUAGACAUUACCUACUGGAAUGGACCAAGUUUCAGAUGUUUCUUGACCAAAUGCUUGGAAACGGCAAAACGGAAGUUCAAAGGCAGUUUAGCCUUAGAAUUUCUUGUGAUUUCAACGGUCUCGUUAACCGAUUUCCGAGCAUAUUUUCCUAUGAAAUUUGGCAAAGGAGUGGCCCUUAUACGGUAGUAUAUUCAUACCAAAUUGGCUCUGUUCCGAGUCCGUUUUGAUACCUAACUAAAGUCCCAAAGUUUGGAACUUAAAUCUGGAAAAUUGGCUUAACAGUUUCGGUUUUUCACCAACUUUGAGCUAUUGUAUCUUGAUGCUCAAAACUUCGAUUCUCGUUCCGUUUAUUUUUUUUUAAACUUGGAUUGCAACCCUAAUAGAGUUCCAAAUUCCAGAGGUUAGUUCAAAUCAAGUGAAUUUUUCCGAAUUUUCAAAGUUGGCCAAAAACCAACUUAAACUUGUCUUCAAUGUCCCAAAACAGCAACUUUGAGCUAAUUUUUGGAUACCUUCCAUUUAGAAUCCUGGAAAGGUGUCUUCUAGGAACUUUUAGUACUUCCUAAGAGGUUUCCAACAGUACCAAUUUUUCCAAUUUUGGACUUGUAAAGAGUGAAAUACGAUAUUUCAAAGAUCUCGUAUCAAAACUGAAAUUUCCGAAUCUUAAGGAAAUGGAGUUUUUCAAAUUCUCCUUAUUCCUUUGAUAUUACUUGAACGUUUUAUAUUUGAUUUCAAAGAUGAGAACUCGAUUUCUUUUGUACUUUAAAACCCCACUUUUGAGCCUUAAUUCGCAAGUAAUUUAGGCUCAUUUUAGUGAAAUUUUCUAGGAUUGUACAAGCGUGCAAUCUUUCUUGAUAAUUGGGCUUUAUAAGUAUUUGUUCACUAUUAAUUGCUCAGGCUCGCACGAGAACCUUCAAGAGGAUCCUACUGUAGAUGCUUGAACUUCAAGUAACAAUUCUCCUUGGUUGACUUGGUGAGCGUCAAGUGCAUGACUACUUGAAUUCCUGUGGACUUGAUACACGUUUACUUGUUAUUCAUGACUUGAAAUUUUGAAAAUGGAGUCGAGUGUGUACUUUAUCGUACUCGUUCUCAUUUGAAAUAAAUAACUCAUGAUUAACUUGCUUGACAUGAAAUAAAUGACCUGCUGGACAUCACCUGAAUGCUUGAAUACAUCAAAUGCUUGCUUGACUUGAAAUAGUAUGCUAUGGCUGCAUACGUCACUGAAGUAAAUCUCCUUGACACUCAAAUGCACAUGGGGGACGCCCAAACUCAUAGGUCGACCUUGGAACUCGAGCUGGCAUGGGCUUGGACGGGAACCUCGGUGUGCCAUGAGAAUCACAUGAUAAGCUUGAUCUAUUGGAGAGAUCUUGCUUGGCAUACUCGUUGAGUACCGCCUCAUAAAUGACGUGCGGGCCCGGUUGUGGUAUGUACGGUGGACGGACAUGAGAAGUAAGUGGAGAUCUACGGAUUUGAAAUACCGACCUGGUUGACGGAGAGUCAUCGCGGGAAGGUAUACGAAUGACCUUGGCAAAGCAAGUGAAACUUAACUCCUGAGAGCUACCAUAUCCUUGAAUUGUUUCUGUUUACAUUUCAUUGGAAUUGACAAUUACUUGUACUUUAUUAUGUGACCUGUUAAUUGGGCUUGUUAUUUGGACUAUGUCCUUGCAUGUGUGUCCUUGACCUCACGAGCGUUUUGCUCACCCUGUAGAUUUGUUUUCCUUAAUAGGAUUGGGCAUGGAAUGAUACUUGGAGGAACUCUUUUGAUGCAUUUUUGGCUUAGUGUUUCUAAUAUAUUUUGGGCUAGACCUUUUAUUGGUUGUACUAUUGGGAACUUAAUGUAUGAUUUGGAUAUUUGAUGUACCUAGAUGUUAUAUAUUUUGGGUAUUGAUGUAACUUUUGGGAAUUUAAUGUAAUGAUUGGAUAAGCGUUAUAUAUAUAUUGUUAAGUUUGGAAGUUUUCCGCACUUUCUUACUUAUCUAGUAUUGUUGAAUAGUUUUACAUUAAGCUUGAACGGAAAUUGCUUGAGUCUUGGUGAGAGUUGGGCAGGCGUCCCGCGGAUACCCUCUGGUUCGCCUUAGGGAGAAGUGGGGGCAUCACAGUUGGUAUCAGAGCACUAGGUUAGAGAUCUAUAUGGGAGACAUACUAGAUACUUUACCCUUAAGACCUGAGACCGGACGAUUUAGUCAUACCUUAAGUGAUAUUUGGGCGAACUAGUGACUAUGUUAGACAUACCCUAAGUGACAUCUGUGCGAGUGAGUGAUUAAGGUUCUAACCUAAAAAGUGUAAUUGUUUUGCAGGGAUGGAAAAUAGAAACGAGACUUCGGCAACUAAUGGGAAUGGCCAUGCUAAUGGUCACGUAGAGUUUUCUAGGCCCAUUUACUACCGAGUUCUGAGUGGAGGAGUUCACGUGCGAUAUGCACCUUAUGAUGGAUAUCCUCGUUGCCCAUGUAGGGUGAUAUUUGCCUACCCGAAUCAUAUUGUGCUAGCAUUGGACGAUGAGCGUCGUCAGUUGGUGACCGCCAACUUAGACUUACAGGCCGAAGUGAACGAGUUUAGACAGAUGGUUAGUGCUCAGGGCGAGAGGAUCGCUGAGGUUGAGGAGGUAGUAGAGGGCGAGGUGGCUACAGCUGCAGUUGUUCGUGAGGAGCUCCAGAGUAUUAGAGCUUGACUUACUAGAUUAGGAGGAGAGGUCCGUGAUCGGGCUUCCAGGAUCUUGGCUGAUGCCACUGAGAUGAUAGAGGGAGUGGCGGAUAUAGUUCAGAGCCCGGUCCAGGAGGAGGACCCUGAGGAGGAGAUUCCGCCUGGUAGUCCUGCUGUGGACUAGGUCCCUAGUGAUCGACUCUUUUAACCCUUUUGACUGGUGUAGAUAGGAUUAGCAGGGGUGAUGCUACGUGCUGAGGCCAUUGUAUUUUGCAUGACUGUGUAACCAACUUUUGUGGCACUUGCUUUUACUUUAGUCUUCUGUGACUAAAAGUACUCUUGUAGCACUUGCGUGCUAUAUUUUUAUGAUUUUUCCAUGACUUGCUAAUUGUAUGAACUUGAAAUGAUAAUGAAUGUAAAUUAUUGUUAUUUUCAAUGCUUUCGUGAUUGGUUCUUGUUUUAAGUAUUUUCUCACGAAAUUGAUUUAUUUCUUGCACUAGGCACAUCUAGGAUAAUGGACGGACAAAGAAGUGGUCGAGACCGUGAUCGAGGCCGUGGGCGAUGGACUGGACAGGCCAAAUCUCAUGGAGAUGAUCAGGGAUCGGCAACUGGACCGACCCAGGGACAGGAAAAUAUAAAGGGAAAUCAAGUGGCUACUGCCAUCAAUAGGAGGACUGAUAUCCUAGAACGCUUAGCUGAUAGGCAAGGUCCUGGACCACUUAACCAACCUGGGGGACGGGAAAGAGGAGAGAACUGAGCCUUAGAAAGAUUUUUGAAGUUUAAUCCGCCUAAAUUCGUUGGUGAACCCGAUCCUGAGGUAGCGAAGAAUUGGUUGGAAAGAAUGACUAAUAUAUUCGCCGCCUUAGACUAUACCGAGAAUAGGCAAGUGAAUUUUGCUGCUUUCCAAUUUGAGAGAGUGGCUCGUGCUUGAUGGGACAUGAUAAAAGGAAAACGAGAGAGAGUUCAAACCCUUUGGACUUGGGAGAAUUUCACGAGGGAGUUUAAUGAAAAAUUUCUUCCACCUCUGAUUCAAGAAAAGAGGGAGGAUGAAUUUAUCAAGUUGAAACAAGGGACCCAUAGUGUAGCUGAAUAUGAAGGAAAAUUUACUAAACUUUCUAAGUACGCUCCUGAAUUGGUAACCAAUGAGCGAAAGAGGAUAAGGCGGUUUGUGCAGGGACUUAAUGUAGAAAUCCAAGAGGGCUUAGCUGCACCUCAAAUCUCCACCUUUAUUGAGGCUUUAGACAAAGUACAACGGGUAAAAAGUGCAAGAAUGCAAGUUAAAGACUUUCACAAUAAGAAGAGAAACUUUUCUAGUCGUACUUCUGGACAGACUAGUAAGAGUUCACAGCCUUCUAAAGUUGGAAAAGGAAUGGGAGGAAUAAGGACUACUGGACCUCUUAGUGGAGCUUUAUCCAGAGGAGGUCAUAGUGGACCGGUUCAGACUAGGGGAGCGCCUUCUAGUGGUUCAGCCGUGACCCCUCAAGUCACUUGUGGAUACUGUGAAAAAUCCAACCACUCUGAGAAUGAAUGCUGGAGGAAGUUUGGGAAGUGUUUAGCUUGUGGUAGCACGGAGCACCAACUCGUGAACUGUCCAAGUAAAACGAAGAUGGGAGGUAACACUCAGAAGCCAGAAAAGUCAACCUCUAAACAGACUAGUGCUGGAGGAAGUCGACCGAAAGUACCGGCUAGGAUCUAUGCACUGGACUAUCAACAGGUCCCUGAGGCGACUGAGGUGGUUCAAUGUACAAUUCCAAUUUUUCACCGUUUAGCUAGGGUUUUAAUUGAUUCGGGUGCAACACAUUCUUUUGUAAACCUUAACUUUAUGAGUGUGAUAGAUUUGAACCCAAUUAAAUUACCAUAUGACUUGGAGGUUAGAACACCUACUGGAGACAAAAGUUUAAUUGCUAACCUGGUGUAUAGGGAUUGUGAAAUCUGUUUUGGGGAACGAAAAUUGUUGGCCGAUUUGAUAGGUUUAGCAAUUAAGGGAUAUGAUGUGAUUUUAGGGAUGGAUUGGCUAGCCCGUUAUAAUGCCCAGUUGAAUUGUAGGACAAAAAUUGUAGAAUUGUGUAUUCCAGGAGAAGCAACCCUGAAGUUGGAUGUGAGGGGUAAGUUGGUUUCGUCUGCACUUAUUUCAGGAAUUCGGGCUAGAAGAUUAUUAAGUAAAGGAGUUCAAGGUUAUUUGGCCUUCCUUAUUAACACCCCUAGUGAUAAGGUGAAUUUGGAGGACAUGCCUGUAGUAAAAGACUUUCUAGAUGUUUUUUCUGAAGAGUUAGAGUCUUUGUCCCCGGAACGGGAUAUAACUUUUAAGAUUGAUGUGACCCCGAGAGUAACACCUAUCUCUAAGAUGCCAUAUCGAAUGGUUCCAGCCGAAUUGAAAGAAUUAAAAUUACAACUACAGGAUUUGUUGGAACAUGAUUUUAUAAGGGAAAGUGAUUCACCGUGGGGAGCCCCGGUUUUAUUUAUUAAGAAGAAUGAUGGGAGUUUGAGACUGUGCAUAGAUUACCGAGGCUUAAAUGAUGUUACAGUUAGGAAUAAGUACCCACUGCCCCACAUUGAUGACUUGUUUGACCAAUUUUAAGGGGCGGUAGUAUUCUCGAAAUUGGGUUUGAAACAAGGUUACUAUCAAUUGAGGAUUUUGGAGAAGGAUAUACCAAAGAUUGCUUUUAACUCAAGAUACGGGCACUUUGAGUUUGCCGUAAUGCCGUUUGGGUUAACAAAUGCACCUGCUGCUUUCAUGGAUUUAAUGCAUAGGGUUUUUAAACCUUACUUGGACCAAUUUGUCGUGGUCUUUAUUGACGAUAUUUUGGUGUAUUCUAAAAAUAUGGAGGAUCAUGAGAAGCACUUGAGGAUUGUUUUGCAAACUCUAAGGGAACAUCAAUUGUAUGCUAAGUUUAGCAAGUGUGAGUUUUGAUUAAAAGAAAUGACUUUCUUGGGACACAUAAUUUCUAAGGAAGGGAUUAAAGUAGACCCGGCCAAAGUUGAAGCUGUUUCAAAAUGAAAACGACCGGAAAACCCUACUGAGAUCUGAAGCUUUAUUGGAUUAGCAGGGUAUUACCGGAGAUUUAUUCAAGAUUUUUCUAGAAUUGUUGGACCCAUGACCGAGUUAACCAAGAAAAGUAAAAAGUUUAUAUGGAGUUCUAAGUGUGAAGAAAGCUUUCAAGAGUUAAAAAGACGUUUGACUAAGGCGCCAGUGUUACCCCUAUCGAACGGAAAAGAUAACUUUGUGGUCUACACAGAUGCUUCCAAGGAAGGAUUAAGUUGUGUUUUAAUGCAAAAUGACAAAGUGAUAGCCUAUACCUUUAGGAAAUUGAAACCGCAUGAAGGAAAUUACCCGACCCAUGACUUGGAGUUAGCAGCGGUGGUAUUUACUUUAAAGAAAUGGAGGCAUUACCUGUACGGGGUGACGUUCGAUGUUUUCACUGACCACAAAAGCCUUAAGUACUUAUUUUCUCAGAAGGAGCUGAAUUUAAGGCAACGUAGAUGGAUGGAAUUUCUAGAAGAUUAUGAUUGCACGAUAAAGUAUCAUCCAGAAAAAGCCAAUAUAGUGGCUGAUGGUCUAAGUCGUCAAGUACAAGUGGCCGAAUUGAUGAUUAAGGAGCUUCAUUUGUUAGAAGAAAUUAGUUAUUGGAAUCCUCGAUUGGAGCCGAGAAAAAUAAUCUUUGGGAACAUUGUAGUGAAUUCCAUUUUGAUAGGACGUAUUAAAGAGUCUCAGGAAAAAAAUCCUGUAGUGCAAAAGUGGGUGGAAAGUGUCGAAAAGGGAGAAAAGUCGGAUUUUAAUUUGGGAUCAAAUAGUAUUGGGUAAACAACAAAAAAACCCCUUGUGGUUAAGCAAUCAUACAUAAAAAUCCCCUGUGAUUUCAUAUCAUACCAGUCGAUAUCCCGUGGUUUGAAUUAACCUGAAAAGUGGACGGAAAUCGUCAAAACAGACGGAGCUGAGUGAAUAGACGAAAAUAUCCUUUUGAUAUAAGCGAAAAUUGCAGAAGUAAUUUUGCACUUUCAUUCUAUCGAAACCAACGAAGAGAGAGAGAAAGAAAUAGAAAACCCUAGAGAGAGAUAGAGCAGCCCCUUUUCUAGCCAAUUUUCAACAAAAUGGGGCGUGAUUCAGCGGACGACGUUCAAGGACAAGACGUUUCCGGAGUCAGACGAUCAAACGGGGUUGGCUUAUCUGAUCCUGAAAGAGAGAGAGAAAUGGGGGAACAAAAUUUACAUGGAGGAUGUAUAUUAUUUUGAGGGGUACUGGAUGGAAAUCGUGGGGACGCUGGAGAGCAUCACCGACACAUACACGGGGAUUGAGAAGCAGGAGAGGAGACUGAGGAGGCGGCAUGCAGAGAGAGUGGGGGAGAGUUAUGGUAAGGUGUGGGAGCAGCACCUUAAGGACGCUGGGUAUGGGAGGGGGAGUUGGAGGAGACCGUUCAUGACUCACUUCACGGGGUGUCAGCCUUGUAGCUGGGACCACAACCAGAUGUACUCUGGCCAGUCUUGCUGGGAUGCAAUGCAAAUUGCUUUGAAUUUUGCUGAUAAUCAGGUGCUUAGGAGAUAUGGGUUCGUGCACCGGGAUUUAUUGGAUACGUCCACCGUCUUGCCUCUGUCGUUCGAUUACCCAGCAUCGGACCUUGUUGAAGGCGCUUCCGAGAAAUAUUUUAUUCUAACCAACUGUUUCCUACCAUCAUCGGAGGCUUUACUAGUAGUAUCAUUAUUGAUUUAUGAAACGAUUAGUGUCAUAUAGAAAGAACCCACAUUCAUUUUUUUCACACAUAAAAUAUAACAAUCCUUUCGAUGGCUUUUCCGACUCAACAAUCUUUAGCUUUGCUUUCCUUCGACAAUUACAUACCUUGUACUGGUAUCGAAGACCUCUGCCUCCAUUUCCCCCGCUUGUUGGUCGAGAGCUUGAGGAAGACAUCUUAGGGUACUUUUUGCACUUUUCCUUUAGAAUUUGCAGACCGAAUAUAUACAAAUAUAGUUCACAUUUUUACCUUAAAGCUUUGUUUCCUGCAAUUCCUUUGCUAGCCUGCAAGCUCUGCACAGGCUUCGAAUGUUGCCUUCAAUCUUCAAUUUUGGCCGAACUUGAAGACUCGGAAGACUUGGAAGCUGGUCUCUUAUUAUUAAAGAGUGAAGGGUAAAGUAGGUAUAUCAGGUGAAAGUUUGUGGUGGAAAUCUAUUUUUCGCAUAUGCACGCCCCUUUGCAGUUCGUUUAAGACACACGCCGAAUAUUUGACGAUUUCCGUCCACUUUUCAGGUUAAUUCAAACCACGGGGUAUCGACUGGUAUGAUAUGAAAUCACAGGGGACUUUUAUGUAUGAUUGCUUAACCACAGGGGGCUUUUUUGUUGUUUACCCAAUAGUAUUUUGAAGUUUCAGAAUCAGAUAGUAGUGCCAAAAGAUGAAGGGUUUAAGAAGAAAAUUUUAGAAGAGAAACACCAAUCGAAGUUUACGGUACACCCUGGAGGGAAUAAAAUGUACCAAGAUUUGAAGAGUUUGUACUGGUGGGAGAGCAUGAAAAAGAAAAUUUUCCAAUUUGUCCAAACCUGUUUAAUUUGUCAACAGGUUAAAGCCGAACAUUAGAAACCAUCAGAAAUUUUGCAACCUUUGGAAAUACCUGAGUGGAAAUGAAAGAACAUCACUAUGGAUUUUGUAUCAGAAUUACCGAGGACACAAAGUGUCCAUGAUGCCAUUUGGGUAAUAGUGAAUAGAUUGACCAAAUCGGCUCAUUUUCUGUCGAUUAAUAUGAAAUACCCAUUGGAGAAGUUAGCUAAACUGUACAUGGAUGAGAUUAUCAGGUUACAUGAAAUACCGGUAAGUAUUGUAUCUGAUAAAGAUCCAAGAUUUGUUUCGAGAUUCUAGCAAAAAAUGCAAGAGGUGCUGGGGACUAAAUUGAAUUUCAGUACUACUUACCAUCCCCAAACCGAUGGACAGUCCGAGCGGACGAUUCAAACACUUGAGGAUAUGUUGAGGACUUGUGUUUUGGAUUUUGGGGAGAGUUGGAGUAAAUUUUUAACACUAGUGGAAUUUGCAUAUAAUAAUAGUUUUCACUCUUCUAUUCAAAUGACUCCAUAUGAAGCACUUUAUGGUCGGGAGUGUAGAUCACCGAUUUAUUGGGACGAAAUAGGUGAACGAAAGAUUUUAGACCCGACUACAGUGCCCUGGAUUGAGGAAGCUAAUGAGAAAGUAAAGUUAGUACGUCAGAGAAUCCAAACUGCACAAAGUCGUCAAAAGAGUUAUACAGAUAAUCGGAGAAAGGACUUGAAAUUUGAAGUUGGAGAUCUAGUAUUUCUCAAGAUUACACCUCUGAAAGCAAGUUUAAUGUCUGGGAAGGGAAAGAAAUUACAACCAAGAUUUGUAGGACCUUACAAAGUUAUCCAACAUGUAGGAAAUGUAGCCUAUAAGUUGGAAUUGCCACCGAGGCUGUCUCGGAUUCAUAAUGUUUUCCAUGUGUCCAAGCUUAAGAAGUACCAUCUAAACCCUUCUCAUAUUUUGCAACCUGGAAAGUAUUGAGAUUGAUAAGACUGUGAUCUAUGAGGAGAGACCGGUGAAACUUCUGGAUAGAAAGGUAAAAGAAUUGAGAAAUAAGCAGAUACCUUUAGUAAAAGUUCUCUGGAGGAACCACGAACUAGAGGAAGCGACCUGAGAAGUUGAAGAGGCAAUCCGAGGAAAGUAUCCAGGCCUGUUCGCAGAUCAAGGUAAAUUUCGAGGACAAAAUUUUCUUAAGGGGGAGAGGAUGUAAAGACUCACAAAAAAAAUAUCUAUUUUAAACUCAAAAUUCUAGCUUAUUUAAUUAUUUAUUUGGCCAAAUGCUCCGAUUAUUAUUUUUUAACCUUUUUAGACCAAAUUAGAUGGAUCUAUAGCUUAGUUAUAUUUUUAAAGUGACUCGUUUUAAAAUUUAAUUUCUAAAGGCUCGUUAAGUGAAAAUAGUUAAUACGCGAUUGGAGUAAAUAAUCGAUUCGAGAAUACAAUAAGUUUGGAAAAUUGGAAACUUGUACAUUAGUCCUAAAAUAGGUAUUUUUAUGUAUAAGUGUUCAAAGGUUAGUUAGUUAUAUUACCGUUACAAGAACAUCUUAGAAAUUUCACUAUCUCGCGCUUAAAUUGGAAAUACGCGUUUUUACGCGUGCGAGUAAUUGAGGAGCCUUAGACCAUUAUUUUGGAACUAUUAAGAGUGAAUAAUAAUAAUAUGAAUGUAAGUGCAUUAGAGGUUUAGUGCACUAGUGCAAUAAACUGGAGAGGAAUCGAGCACGAAACGCACGCGCACAUGCAUUAUUUUAGUGGAUUUGAGAAAAUUUGAGCCACAAGUUUUAAGCCUACCUUAGAAGCUAAUAACAUCAGAAUUUCCUUCCUCACAUACACUCAAAUGGCCGAGCAACAAAGGAAGAACAGGACCAGAAAGUUCCUCCACUCUUUCUCCUCAAUUCCUUGCUCAAAUUACCUCCAAAUUUUACACACAACACUCAAAUCAUUUGGUGAUCAAGAUAAGCUAGGAAAGGAGCUGCCUCUCACGGUUUUUCUCCAGCUCAAAGUGACCGAAAUUUCUGUCUUGGCUCUCUAAGAAAGUAAGUAAUGAUCAACCACUUAAUUCUUGAUUUAUGAAAGAUAGAUUACACUCAUGAGCUCUUGAAUUCUCAUGGGCAGCUUUAAAUUGUUAGAAAAUUGGUGAGUGGGCUCUAUGAAAUCCCACAAUAAUUUUGAUGAUCUGAUUUGAUAAGAUUAGAUAUUAAUUGUGUUGAUUAAGUGUUAAUUUAGUAGAGUUAAGUGAUAAAAGUGAAAAGGAAGUCAAAUGAGGGGUUGCAUGUGAAGGUGCCGAUUCUGCCCUGCCAUUUUCGUGCAUUUUAGUGUACUUUCUUGAAGUCCAAUUGACUUAGUUCUGAUGCAAAUGUGUAAUAUAGGUUGUGUAUAAAGUUUUCUCAAAAUUUUACGUGAUUUGGGUGAUUGCAUGUUGAGAUUUAGAAAAUUUGCCAAAACUGGAAUUGUGUCCCGUAUUACUCUGGCAGUGAUUUUGUUUAGACUAUAACUCUUUGUCCCAAUGUCAAAAUCGAGUGCCGUUUACGACACUGGAAACUAGACAUUCCCAUCUUUCCAACAGUAUAAAAUGUACAUUCUGAUUCCACCUGAGUCAACCACACCAACCAUUUGAACUUGGCUGCACUGUUUCGUUGGUUCACUGGAAGGUAGAACAUGAACUACUUCUUGAUGCUUAAAUUUGGGCUAGUUUUGGACAGAUUUUGAAUAUUGUUUCUUGUAAGAAAUUGUAGCUCUAUGAAUUUUUUUUCUAACGCCACCAACUAUGCUCAAUUCCAAGUUGAAUUGAGUGAUUUAUGAUCAAAAUUCGAAUCUGGUAUUGUGAAGAAAUACCAUGCAUUUGGACAGAUUUGAAACUAACAAUGAUUUGGAACUUGUUAUCCGAAGCUUCUUAGUGUAUAUCACUUAUCAAAUGUACCUUGGACAUAUUUUAGACAUUACCUACUGGAAUGGACCAGGUUUGAGAUGUUUCUUGACCAAAUGCUUGGAAACAGCAAAACGGAAGUUCAAAGGCAGUUUAGCCUUAGAAUUUCUUGUGAUUUCAACGGUCUCGUUAACCGAUUUCCAAACAUAUUUUUCUAUGAAAUUUGGCAAAGGAGUGGCCCUUAUAAGGUAGUAUAUUCAUACCAAAUUUGGCACUGUUCCGAGUCCGUUUCGAUACCUAACUAAAGUCUCAAAGUUUAGAACUUAAAUCUGGAAAAUUGGCUUAACAGUUUCGGUUUUUCACCAACUUUGAGCUAUUGUAUCUUGGUGCUCAAAACUCCGAUUCUCGUCUGUUUAUUUUUUUUUAAACUUGGAUUGUAACCCUAAUUGAGUUCCAAAUUCCAGAGGUUAGUUCAAAUCAAGUGAAUUUUUCCGAAUUUUCAAAGUUGGCCAAAAAUCAACUUAAACCUGUCUUCAAUGCCCUAAAACAGCAAUUUUGAGCUAAUUUUUGGAUACCUUCUAUUUAGAAUCCUGGAAAGGUGUCUUCUAGGAACUUUUAGUACUUCCUAAGAGAUUUUCAACGGUACCAAGUUUUCCAAUUUUGGACUUGUAAAGAGUGAGAUACGAUUUUUCAAAGAUCGCGUAUCAAAACUGAAAUUUCCGAAUCUUAAGGAAAUGGAGUUUUUCGAAUUCUCCUUAUUCCUUUGAUAUUACUUGAACGUUUUAUAUUUGAUUUCAAAGAUGAGAACUCGAUUUCUCUUGUACUUUAAAACCCCACUUUUGAGCCUUAAUUCGCAAGUAAUUUAGACUCAUUUUAGUGAAAUUUUCUAGAAUUGUACAAGCGUGCAAUCUUUCUUGAUAAUUGGGCUUUAUAAGUAAUUGUUCACUAUUAAUUGCUCAGGCUCGCACGAGGACCUUCAAGAGGAUCCUACGGUAGACGCUUGAACUUCAAGUAACAAUUCUCCUUGGUUGACUUGGUGAGUGUCAAGUGCAUGACUACUUGAAUUCCUGUGGGCUUGAUACAUGUUUACUUGUUAUUCAUGACUUGAGAUUUUGAAAAUGGAGUCGAGUGUGUAUUUUAUCGCACUCGUUUUCAUUUGAAAUAAAUAACUCAUGAUUAACUUGCUUGACAUGAAAUAAAUGACCUGCUGGACAUCACCUGAAUGCUUGAAUACAUCAAAUGCUUGCUUGACCUAAAAUAGUAUGCUAUGGCUGCAUACGUCGCUGGAGUAAAUCUCCUCGACACUCAAAUGCACAUGGGGGACGCCCAAAUUCAUAGGCUGACCUUGGAACUCGAGUCGGCAUGUGUUUGGUCGGGAACCUCGGUGAGCCAUGAGAAUCACAUGAUAAGCUUGAUUUAUUGGAGAGAUCUUGCUUGGCAUACUCGUUGAGUAUCGCCUCAUAAAUGACGUGCGGGCCCGGUUGUGGUAUGUACAGUGGACGAACAUGAGAGUAAGUGGAGAUCUAUGGAUUGGAAAUACCGACCCGGUUGACGGAGAGUCAUCGCGGGAAGGUAUACGAAUGACCCUGACAAAGCAAGUGGAACUUAGCUCCUGAGAGCUAUCAUAUCCUUGAAUUGUUUCUGUUUACAUUUCAUUAGAAUUGACAAUUACUUGUACUUUAUUAUGUGACUUGUUAAUUGGGCUGAUUACUUGGACUAUGUGCUUGCAUUUGUGUCCUUGGCCUUACGAGCGUUUUGCUUACCCUGUAGAUUUGUUUUCCUUAACCGGAUUGGGCAUGGAAUGAUGCUUGGAGGAACUCUUUUGAUGCAUUUUUGGCUUAGUGUUUCUAAUAUAUUUUGGGCUAGACCUCUUAUUGGUUGUACUAUUGGGAACUUAAUGUAUGAUUUGGAUAUUUGAUGUACCUAGAUGUUAUAUAUUUUGGGUAUUGAUGUAACUUUUGGGAAUUUAAUGUAAUGAUUGGAUAAGCGUUAUAUAUAUAUUGUUAAGUUUGGAAGUUUUCCGCACUUUUUUACUUAUCUAGUUUUUUUGAAUAGUUUUACAUUAAAUUUGAACGGAAAUUGCUUGAGUCCUGACGAGAGUUGGGCAGGCGUCCCGCGGAUACCCUCUGGUUCGCCUUAGGGAGAAGUGGGGGCGUCACAGAAUCAAAAUUUGUACCCAACUAUCAUAACUUUGUAACUAACUAUUUUUUUUUAUAGCAUAUCAUUAGAUCAUACAAUACCAUUACUCAUUAAAAUAGAUGAUCAUUUUUUUCAUUUUUCGCUGUUUAUAAGUUAGUUAAGUCAAUAGUUUUCAUAGGCCUGUUUAACUUCUCAUCAUCAACUCACAAAUUUUCAUGAUCUAGAACUUAUAUUGACUUUUUAAUAUUAGAUUGAGACAACAGAAAUUGCUAACCUGUAUUCUGUGUCUUGUUGCAAUUUACAACAGAAAAAUACCAUAUGUUGUUUUUUAUACUCCUUUCUUUCUCUUGCAAAGUCAAAAUAAAUACCAUCACAACCACGAAAUCAGGUGCUGUAUUUUUCAACCUUCAUUCUCUCUUGCAUUCUUCCUUAAUUUUCUUUUUUGGACGAGAUGCAUUCUUUUUAUUUUGCAAUCCAGUACUGAUUUGAUAUGUUUGUCACUAAUGUCAUUCAAUAAAUGGCACCAAAUUGGUGUAGAAUUGGUAAUACAAUAUAUAAGCAAUUGGUGUCAUUUGUCUAAUAGCUAUUAGGAGCUUUCUGAUGGUACUUUUAAUCGUUAAUCAAGUUUAACUAAUUUAUUGUGCCAUAAGUACUAAUUGUUAUAUAUUAGCCUUUGCAUACUUCAAAAUCUUAUGGGUAUAACAAUAAAUUCAUCUCAUGUGAUGUAAAGAGGUGGGUUCAAAAUUCUACUAUAGAAGGUUAGUGUAAUUUUGAAAUCCUUAGGGGAGGUAAGUGAAAUAUUCAGAAUCUCAGGGGAGGUUUUUUGAAUUAUCCCUUAUUUAAAGUCGUUAUAUUGGACUUUUCACUAUUCAUCUUAAUGAAGAGAAAAAUCCCCGACUAAACUACCUCUUUUGGGGCUAUUUCAUUUGCUAAGUAAGUCUUUAAGUGCUACCCAUUCACCUUAAAAGGCUCAUUUUUACCAUUUGUUAUCUUUACCGUUCCAUAGAAAAAUAGUUUUGUCAGUUCAAAUGGACUGGAACACCUAGAUUUUAGUUUAUCUAGAAAAUAAUCUAAGGCGUAAAUUAUACAAUAACACCUUUCCUUUUUGGCAAAUUUUAGUAAGUGCUAUUAUAUUUCAGUAGUGAGAAAGCGAGGCCAUUUGAUAAUCAACAAAGAAUCUCUAUCCAUAUAGUAAAAACUAAUACUCGCUCAAACAAAGAUUGAAAAAAUCAACUUGGUAAAUAGAACACAAAGAGCAGUCAACUCGAAUUCUUUUUUCUAAUUCUAAAAUCAAAAUAUGGCAGUCAACUCUAAUUCUUCCUUCUAAUUUUAAAAUCAAAAUAUCACACCAGACCACUGUUAAAAUAACAUAUAAGAGACUAUAGAUGUCUCAUAUCCUUAAAUGCAACUCUUUCAUAGAUGGUCAACUGAUAAUCGUCAUUCAAUUGAUUUGCCAAUUCAAAAUUUAGUUCUCCCAUAGAUGGUAAAUUGGCUGUCGAAUUGUUGAUUGCAUCCCGAUAUCUUUUAAGCAUAUUCUCCUCGACUACAUGAACUUGAAAAUAUCUAAGAAAUGCAAGUUAAGAGGACCGAGUAUCUAUGUAAUAUAGAGAAAUAAUCACUGGUGUUGAUUUUAUCUUUUUCUAUUCUUCCUUCCACUCUUUAUUUUCUUGUUUAACUCCUCCUUUAACUGCAUAUUUUUCUACCUCCGCUUCUCUUUUGGAUAAUCAAAGAUUAUGUCACAAAUGGAUUUAGGCUUAAUCUUUUAGUCCAAUCUCUCUAAUAGGUUGAGUAUGUAUCCAACACAGGUAUCCGACCCGAUUGAGGUCUAACCAUUAACAACAUGUAGAUACAAGUUGGAAAAGCCAGCCUCUCUACAUGACUGAAUAGGAACAGAUGAUAGUACGUUCCUUCAUUCGCAUAGUUCUUCUACAAGUAAAAAUUAUCGCUCUCGACAGCUAACAAUGACUUAGUCGGUAACAAAGAAUCAAACAUUCGUUGGCGGCAUAUGCUGUCAUUAGUCCUCACUGUCUCAUUCCAUUUUGUUCUAUCCAUGAUUCUGUGAUAGUAUUUUACAAGCAAAUGCCUAACCUCCUCCCUCUUCUUGAUUAAAAAAAUGUGUUUAGCAAUCAUAUCAUCGUGUUCAAUCUUUUUUUUAUCCAGUUAUUGAAAACAAGUUAAGACUCCGCGUAUUUUCUCGGUAAUCUAGGGCAAUAGCACAUCAUAGGCAUCAUAUAUUCAUUCUCAUUUAGCUGCAAUGUACGAGUCUAGGCUAUGAUUGAUUCUCUCCAUGAUGAUUCUAUAUUUUUCCUUCCCAUUCUCACAUUCCAUGGCUGUACCCAUCACACGCAGAAAACACCUUCCUCUUUUCGUUGCAACUUCGACUGUCGCAUCAAAAUCAGUCUUAACUGAAACAUCGAUGAUGGAACAGGGAAUCUCUCGAUCGAUGGAAUCGCCCCUAAAGAAGCCAUGGUGAAGCUACUCUUCAACGUUAAACUGUUGAAUCUUAUAUUAGAUGCCGGUUGCAGGUCUAAACAUUAGCAAAGUAGGAGAGUAAAAGAGAAGGCUCGAAAACAAUGAAAAUGAGGGAAUUGGACAAAAGGUAUAGUAGGAGAAUAUUAGGGUUUGGAAGUCUUAAGUUUGGAGGAGGAGAUGAUUAUGCUUUGGAAAGGAGACAUGAGCCGUCAUAGAGAAACGGGAAAUGUGAAGGGAAAAAGACGGCAUGGAACAAGAGAAAAAGUUUAGGGUUUUAGGACUCUUGAUGCUUACAUAAGUAUAUUAAAUAACCAUCGUAGUAUCUACAAUAAUACCUUUUGUCCAGUUUCAAAUUCUUUAGGAAGGAUGCCUGUCAUGCUAAAUUUCACCUUUUCCUUAUAUAUUUUGACAUUCUUAUACGAAGUCAACUGAAGUUCUUCCAAUUCACUUGAUUCAAGCAAGCUCUUCUCACUUGUAAGACAAAAAUCUAUAUUAAUAGCUUUUAUAGUCUAAUCUGCUUUAUGUCCAAUUUCAACAGGUAGAUCGCAUGCCUUUCUAUAAAUUAGUCGAUAGGACAACAUUUCCAAUGAAGUCUUAAAUACCAUCCUAUAGUCUUAUAAUGUAUCAUCUAACUUUUCAUCCAAUCCUGCCUCGACUUGUUCACCAUUUUUUCUAGGAUAAGUUUGAGUUCCCGGUUAGCCAACUCCAUUUGACCAUUCACUUGCAGGUGAUAAGGAAGUGAAAUCUUAUACCUGCAACCAUAUUUAAACAAAGUGUCAAAUGAUUUAUUACAAAAAUGCUUACCUUUGUCACUUUUAAUUGUCGUUGAGAUUCUAAACUUACAAAAUAUAUUCCUUUUAAGAAAUUCAAUUACAUCUUUUGCAUCAUUAAUAGGCAAUACAAUAGCUUCUACCUUUUUCGACAUAUUAUCAAUUGGUAUAAGAAUGUACUUAUUAUUAUAGGAAUUAGGAAAGGUCCCAUAAAAUCUAUACUCCACAUAUAAAAUAAUUCAACUUUCAUAAAAAUAGUUAAAGGCCUUUUAUUUUUCUUAGAAAUAUUGUUAGUUCUUUGACACUUAUGGCAUUUGAUAAAAUUUCUAAUAUUUUGGUGUAUAGUUGGCCAAUAAAAACCUGAUUACCAUACUUUCGUCACUAUUUUUGAUGUACUAAAAUGUCCUCCCAUUUCAAAGCAGUGACAAUACAAUAAAAUACUAUAUAUCUCUUCUUGCAGUACAUACCUUCUUAUCAUGCCAAUAGGAUAAUGUUUGAAGAAAAAUGACUCCUGGCAAAAAUAAUGUUUGGCAUCAUGAAAAAAUUUCUUCCUUUGGUGGUUGUUUAAAUUUCCUGGAAUGACUUUACUAACUACAAAGUUAAUCAAAUCGGCAUACCAUCUUCAUUUUCUUCAAAAUUAGAAAAAUUGGCAUCACUUGAUUCACUACUAACCACUAACAUCAUAUUAUGAUCUGCAUCAACCUUGUUGUCACUGUCAAGCAUAUGUUUUUAUGUCACUGUCAAGGUUAGUAACCACUCUUUUAGAAGUAUGAUCGAAACAUAAAUUCUGUUGAGUGUUUUGAACAUUUUUGUCAGUAUUGAUAUUUGAUAGGGUACAUUUUAGUGGGGUAUUUUGGGCAUUAUUGCACAAUUAAUUGACUAAAUAUUUUUAUUAAUUGGGUGGAUUCUACUGAUAUUUUGUUUUGGUGCUAACUGCAGGAAUUGGUACCAAAAAGAGCUUGAAAUCGAAAUUUAGAAGAUUCGUCGAACGGGAGCCAUUUCAAGUACUGGGGUCCGCUCGAGAAGUUGAAGAAACUUAAUUGUAAUAGAUAUUAUUUUAUUCUAUUUUUGGAGGGAGGCUUGUUAUUUUAUUUUGGGAAAAAAAAGGAAAAACACAACUGCCUGGAACUUCGGUCGACAACAGAGGCGAGAGUUAGUUUUCUUCGGCUGGCUUAGGUUUUUAGGGAGGCUAUGCGUUUAAAAGGGAGAUUGGCCGCAGCUUUGAAGGGGGAAUGAGCAGAGACAAGAGCCACCAUUCUUGACUUCUGUACUUUUCUUUCCAUCUUUUGUGGACUUGAAAACUCAAAUUCUAAGUUUGGUUGACCGAAAUUGGAAGAACAAAAGAAGCAAUUGAAACCUUUCUCUCGUAUGUUUGUUUUGUGAGGGACCAAUAUGGGCCACCAUUGUUGACCAUUUGGCACUUACUUUACUCUUUCAUUUUGACCGAAUUAAUGGAGAGAGCAUCAGACAAUUUCUUUGCUUGGUGAGAAACAACUGCAGAUCGAUUCCUCUCGCUCUUUUCUAACUCUCUCGGUUGACCGAUUCCCAACGCAAGAAUUGGCGGCCCUUGUCAACUACGUUCGCAUGGCCUGUUCACUAAUGGGGAACUAAACCUCUAUUUCUAGUCAAGGGAGCAACUGAUGAAUUGGUUCAACUAAUACUGUGAGAUCUAAAUCAUUCUUUAUUAUUUUUCUCAUUUAUUGAUACUUAUAUGUUCCUGGCUUUUAAUCGCUAUAGCCUUGUGUAUGAUUGGUUAGUGCGCAAUAAUUAAUUAUUCAUAUAGGCUAUUUUGCUAAAUAUGGGUAAUUGAAUCCGUAAUUGUUCGUUACCUCUGUGUUAGUAGCAACUGGCGUAAUUGGCUUUAUGUCAGGGGAACAUAUGAUCUAUCUUAAAUAAACCCUCGUAGCGUGUUUGUUAGUUAGGAUUGGGCAUUUCUAAUUAUUAAUGCAAUCUAGAAAUUAAAUCCUACGGUCGUACCUAGGGUUGUUUUUGGGUUAGAGAAAUAGCUAACGGUCGUACCUUAGCUGUCGAGAAAUUAAGGAAAGGUUGGUUGUUUAUCGCGUGCAUGACAACUAUAACUAAUCUGUUGAUAAAUGUUGGAAUUAUUUCUGCAUCAAUGAUCAGUGCAUGAACCAUUUCUGAAGUGUACCCUUGGCUAGAGCUUCUCUUAAUUAUUUCUUUAAAUUAAUUAUUCUCUGCAGUUACUUUAUUCUUAGCAUUUAAUCGUGAAAACCCCCCAUUUGUCUUGAUUCGAAAAGGAAUAAAUUUCUCUCCAGUCCCUGAGGAGACGACCCUGCUUACCACUGUCUACUAGUUAGUGAAUUCAGUUAAAUAAUUAAUUCAGGUAUAUCGGAUUAAGUAAACUCUUCGGGAACAGGGUGAAUCAAGUAACCCAUUGCACACCUAGGGUCCUUGCUCCAGUACUCGAAUUAAUUAUUGACUGCUUUAGGUGGUAGUUAGGUUUUAUUUAUUAUUAUUGCACAGGUUCGGCACCUGUCAAUUUUUGGCGCCGUUGCCGGGGACUGGCAUCUGAAUUAUUUGUUUCUUUUUGAAUUCAGCCUUUUAUUUUGUUUUAUUUUAUUUUAUUUUUCUUGAUAUUUUUGCUAGUUUAUGCCCAGUUCUUCUCGCACAGGUGAAUUGAUAUACGAACCUGAGGUUGAGAAGGCAGCACGUAGGCGAAGGCAAGAGACCAAGAGACGAAAAGAAGGGCACUUAUCUUCUGCAAACGAGUCAGUAGAAGAUGAAUUUAGCAUGGCCAACACCCAGACAUUAAGGGAGCUGGCUACCCCGAAGCUGACUCAUCAGCCCUUGUGCAUCACUUUCCCAACUCUGUCUGAGAAUACCUCCUUCGAGCUGAAAUCGGGAUUGAUUCAGCUCUUACCUUCGUUUUAUGGUCUUUUUGGUGAAGAACCUCACAAACACGUCAAGGAGUUCGAAGUGGUUUGCUCUAGCAUGAAACCUCCUGGGGUCACUGAGGAGCAAAUAAGACUUAGAGCUUUCUCCUUCUCUCUCAAGGAUGCAGCGAAGGAUUGGCUAUACUACCUACCUGCAGGUAGUAUCACCACGUGGGCACAAUUGAAAAAGAAAUUCCUAGAAAAGUUUUUCCCCGCAUCCCGGGUUGCGAGUUUGAGGAAGGAGAUAUGCAGCAUCAAGCAGUACUCCGGGGAGUCCUUGUACGACUAUUAGGAAAGGUUCAACAAGUUGUGCACUAGAUGCCCACAGCAUCAAAUUAGUGAACAAUUGUUGAUCCAGUACUUCUAUGAAGGGCUCCAGUCAAUUGACAGGAGUAUUAUUGACGUUGCGAGCGGAGGAGCCCUGGCGAAUAAGACAGCGAAGGAAGCAUGGGACCUGAUCGAAGCCAUGGCAGAGAACUCCCAACAAUUUGUCUUCCGUGAGAGCAACCCUACCCGUAGAGUCAACGAGGUAGAGACUUCAUCCAUACAGCAGCAACUGUCAGAGUUGACGUCUGCUUUCAGGCAAUUAACCAUGAGAGACACGCCGCGAGCUAGAGUUUGUGGCAUCUGCACUAGCAUGGACCACUGCACGGACACGUGCCCCCUUUUGCAAGAGGACGGGGCAGAACAGGUAAACAUGGCCGGAGGCGUGCCCGCACCCCGCAGGCAGUAUGACCCGUAUUCCAACACAUACAACCCCGAUUGGAGAGACCAUCCUAAUUUCAGUUAUGGGAACCGACCGCAAAAUUCACUCUCAAAUCGUCCACCAGGGUUUCAGCAACCAUGGCAACCGAAACCGCAACCUUCAUCCUCCAACGCAGGAAGUUCCUUGGAAGAUAUUGUCAAGAGUCUGGCUACGACUACCGCCCAGAUCCAGCAAGAGACUAGACAGCUCCAGCAGGAGACCAGGUCAUUGACCACGAAUAUGGCUCAACUCCAGCAAGAAACUAGAGUUUUAACCAUGAGCACCACUCAGUUCCAGCAGGACACCAGAGCAGGCAUGAAAGAUAUGGAUGCUCGAAUAAGCCAAUUGGCAACUGCCAUCAAUCCCCUGGAGUCCCACGCUCAUGGAAAAUUGCCAUCUCAACCUGAGAAAAAUCCUAGAAAUGUAAGUGCCAUGACGCUGAGGAGUGGUAAGGAACUGGAAGGGCCUAAAGUGGAAAAUUCAAAAAGCAAAAGUGAGGAGGAGAAAGAAAAGGAAAUCGAAGAGGAAGGACACAUUCGCGAAGACCCUAAGGUAACAUCUAUUCCUACAAUCCCUAUUAAAUCUAAUCUAGCUCCUUUUCCUUGCAGGUUGGAAAAGACAAAGAGGGCAGAAAGGGAAAAAGAAGUCCUGGAUGUGUUCCGCAAAGUUCAAGUAAACAUCCCACUAUUGGAUGUGAUUAAGCAGGUACCCAAAUACGCAAAGUUCUUGAAAGACUUGUGCGUUAACAAAAGAAAGCUAAGGGGUGAUGAAAGAGUGAUGGUAGGAGAGAAUGUAUCAGCUGUACUUCAAAGGAAACUUCCACCCAAAUGCGGGGAUCCAGGUAUGUUUACUAUUCCCUGUAAGAUUGGACAUUCUAGUAUCAAAAAUGCCAUGAUAGAUUUAGGGGCUUCUAUUAAUGUGAUGCCUAAGUCAAUCUAUAAUUCCCUAAAUUUAGGACCAUUAAAAGAAACGGAGAUAAUAAUUCAAUUGGCUGAUCGUACAUGUGCUUACCCGGAUGGGAUAAUUGAGGAUGUUUUAGUGCAAGUAGAUGGAUUAAUUUUUCCUGCUGAUUUUUAUGUGCUUUACAUGGAUGAUAGAAGUGCCCCAAAUCCAUCACCCAUUAUAUUAGGAAGACCAUUUUUGAGUACUGCCCAGACUAAAAUUGAUAUUAGUAAGGGUACUCUCACGAUGAAAUUUGAUGGAGAAAUAGUCCACUUUAAUAUCUUUGAUACAAAGAAACAUCCUGUUAACUUUCAGUCUGUAUAUGCUAUUUAUGCCACUAAUCCCUCUGUACAAGAAUUUUCUAAGUUUGCUGGUAGGGGUAAAUUCAAGGUUGCUGCGAACAAGUCCUAUAGGAUGAAAGCAGUUUAUGAGGUGAAAAUGGAGAGAAAAUUUAGGAAAAAGGGUGCACUCAAUGGCCACGUGGAUCCCGGAGGAAGGCCACCAAUUACAAGGAAAAUUCAAUUACAUCCAGACUAAAGAGUGGUGCAAUGUCUAGCCAAAGACAUUAAAGAAAGGCGCUACUUGGGAGGCAAUCUAAGACUUUGUUUCAGUUUUCAUACAUUUUUGAAGUUUUAGUUAAGUGUUAGUGUCAAUUAAUAGUUUGAUUUUUUGUGGCAGGAAAUUGGCAGUUAGACGUGCCCACGUUAAGUGGUCACGUCUGAGGAAAAGGGUUGGAAGGUGACGGUCAGAAGACUCUGUAGCAAUUAAGCGUGCCCACGCUAGGUGGUCAGGCUAAAGGAUCAAGAAUUUUCGUCGGAUGGUCAAAAGACUAGGGGCAGUUAGGCGUGCCCACGCCUAAGACAGGAGUUCUUCGUUUACCCGAAAAAAAUAAUAAUAAUAAUAAUAAUAAAAAAUAAAAAGAUGAAAUUGCCCUAAUCCAAAAAGAAAAAAUAUAUAUAUUUCAAAGGACCCGCAACCCAACUCUUUUUUUCUUCUUCUUUCUUUUCUUUUUCUUUCUUCUUCUUCCUUAUUUUCUUUCUUUUCUUUUUUCCCCUCUUUUGCUUCGUCCGCCGCCGCUCCUCACCGCACCGCACGCCACUCAUUGCUGUUCGACGCCGCCGCCCUCCAGCUCAGAUCCUCCGCCAGCGGCCACCCUGCUUCAGCGCGCCGCUGAGCGCGCCCUCUGCGCAAGUUCCUUGUGCGCCGCCCAGCCCGCGCGCAGCGCGCGACCGCUCCACCUGGCACGCCUGGGCCCCAGCGCAGUCCAGCGCAACCCAGCGAGCCCAGCAGCUCGCGACAGCCACGCCAGCGUACUACCCAGCGCACGUCACCCGUGCGCCUCCCCUUCGUAAGCUCCAGCCUCUGCCCAUCGCGCGACCAGAGCACCAGCACCAGCAGCCAGGCGCGCAGCUCAGGCGCGGCGCAGGGGCGCGCUCGACCAACGCAGCAGCAGCAGCAGCCCACGCGCGUGGCUCUCACGCGCGUCGCACCUUUCUCCUCCGUGCCGCCUCUUCUCUCUUCACUGUCAUCCACUGCCUACUCCAAACCUCCGGUGAAUUCUUUCUUUAUUUUUCUGUCACUAAGUAGCUGAGGCCAGAUUACUAGUUUUCAUUAGCUGAUGCCAGAUUUUAAUUUCUUAGCUGAGGCCAGAUUGUUGACUUGCUAGCUGAGGAUAGAAAUUUUGUGCUUGUUUAGGUGCUGUGGUAUAUAUCUGUGGUUGAUUGCUGACUAAUAGUUAAAUUUUGUCUUCAACCAGUGAUAUUUGGGGGAUGUUCUUAUUUGGGUUGCUAAUUUAAUUGAUUUUUUGGGGAAUGUUGCUGCGGUUUUCUAAUUAAGUGAUUUUUGGGUUGAUCUGGUAGUGUUUGGGGAAAAUUUUGCUGUUCACAGGAUUAAUUAGCUUUUAGGGUAAGUUUAUUGUCUGUUUUUGCACUUGUCUGUGAUUGGAAGCUGUGACUGGGAAUCAUUUACUUUGCUAGCUGUUUGUUGACCUCUUUGGAAUAUCAUUCCCUUGCCUUUGCCCUGCCCUCUGAUUUCAAAUGACUAAACCAAAAAAUAAGGGCAAGAACAAGCAUUCCACCUCCACCCCACAGGCUACGGUCCCCUUGAGUGGACCUGCCCCCUCGACUGGGCCGGGAGGGCCCCGGACCGUACUCUUCGGUGCCUCCACCGUCUUCCUCCGCCGAUAGCCAGGGUACAGCCCUUCGAUUCCAGAUGCAGCACAUGGACACUCGUAUGGAGCGGAUGGAGCGUCAGAUGGGCGGGAUGGCCCAGAAUUUAGCGCAGUAUCUCCAUCAUGUGGGUUUCCGCCCGCCUUUUCCUCCACAGCUGUAGUCCAUUUCUGUCCUCCUCCAUUUUUAAGGGAAGUGUCGUUGCCCCAAUACCUCUGUUUUGAUCUUUCUUUGCUUACAUUGAGGGCAAUGUAAGGUUUAGGUGUGGGGGAGGGUUAACUAUGCUUUAGUUGUGUUUUUAGUUGUCUGAUUAAAUUUUCCUUGCCUUAGUAGUUUUCUUCUUUAAACGGUGAUGAAUGAAAUCGGGAUAUGAGUAUAAGUAGUAAGUUCAUACCAUGGGGUGUUUCAUUUUUCCUCGAUGAUGUGUUGAUUGAUGAAUAUGCCAAACUUGACAAAAAUUUGAUCACUUGUGCAAUUUUUGAGCAUAAUUUUUCGUUUGUUUGAGUGGUUAGUGCACAUGGUUUGUCAUUCUAGAACUUGCUUGGUUAUGCAUGUCAAGACCACAUUUAAAUGAGUUUAAUGCAUUAAAAUGAUAGGGCACCUAGGAAUGAGCCAUUUUUGGACUUUCUUAAAACCAACCCUCGGAUUAUUUACAACCAUUUGGGAGCCAAGUUGAGCCUUAACUCCUAUUCUUCACUUGGGACCCUAGUUUUUAGCCGUAAAAUCUCUUUUUAGACUUUCUUUUGAACCUCGUGUGAAGAAGUGCUUUGAUUUCAUUAUACAGAAUUUUGGAGUAUUAAUUGAGAGGCAUUACACCUAUCCCGUACAAAAAAAAAACACAAAAAAAAGAGAAAAGUGAAAAGAAGACAAAGUGCAGGAAAUCAGCAAGUAAAGUUGAUUUUUAUGGUGCUGGUUGGGAGUUAUUGAAAAUCUUUCUCGGAAAAAGAAGAGCAAAAGAAAAAAGAGGAGAAAGAAAAGUCGAAGGUUGUGGCAAAUGCCAAUUUUUACUUCGCUUGAGGGAUGGUUGAGGUGCUUUGAAGUUCCCAAUGUGCAGGAAUCUGUGUAAUGAGUUUCUGAGCACUUUCUUUAUACUUUUACACCCUUUUGAAUCCUUUUUAUCCGACCUCCUCACCCUAGCCCCAUUACAACCUUGCAAAGUCCCUUGAUUGUUGCAUUUAAAUUCACAAGUAAGUGGUGGCGAUAUGAUAUAAGAGCAAGCUUAUGGUAGUGCCAUCCUAUUGUGUUGAAUGAGGGCCAUUUUAUAUACAUAUCCUAUACACCUUGGAGUGAAUGAGUGCACUUUGAACUGUGAGCAUUAUUGAUUUGGUAUAUUUUGAUUUCAAUGAGGUUAUUGGGGAAUUUGGAGUGCCAUUCUUGGUAUGGACUGUUGUAAACUGCUCAGUAUCUUGUUUGCACUUCUGAGUUAAUUAUGCUUGAGGGCAAGCAUAGUUCAGGUGUGGGGGAGAUUGAUAGGGUGCAUUUUAGUGGGGUAUUUUGGGCAUUAUUGCACAAUUAAUUGACUAAAUAUUUUCAUUAAUUGGGUGGAUUCUACUGAUAUUUUGUUUUGGUGCUAACUGCAGGAAUUGGUACCAAAAAGAGCUUGAAAUCGAAAUUUAGAAGAUUCGUCGAACGGGAGCCAUUUCAAGUACUGGGGUCCGCUCGAGAAGUUGAAGAAACUUAAUUGUAAUAGAUAUUAUUUUAUUCUAUUUUUGGAGGGAGGCUUGUUAUUUUAUUUUGGGAAAAAAAAGGAAAAACGCAACUGCCUGGAACUUCGGUCGACAACAGAGGCGAGAGUUAGUUUUCUUCGGCUGGCUUAGGUUUUUAGGGAGGCUAUGCGUUUAAAAGGGAGAUUGGCCGCAGCUUUGAAGGGGGAAUGAGCAGAGACAAAGAGCCACCAUUCUUGACUUCUGUACUUUUCUUUCCAUCUUUUGUGGACUUGAAAACUCAAAUUCUAAGUUUGGUUGACCGAAAUUGGAAGAACAAAAGAAGCAAUUGAAACCUUUCUCUCGUAUGUUUGUUUUGUGAGGGACCAAUAUGCGCCACCAUUGUUGACCAUUUUGCACUUACUUUACUCUUUCAUUUUGACCGAAUUAAUGGAGAGAGCAUCAGACAAUUUCUUUGCUUGGUGAGAAACAACUGCAGAUCGAUUCCUCUCGCUCUUUUCUAACUCUCUCGGUUGACCGAUUCCCAACGCAAGAAUUGGCGGCCCUUGUCAACUACGUUCGCAUGGCCUGUUCACUAAUGGGGAACUAAACCUCUAUUUCUAGUCAAGGGAGCAACUGAUGAAUUGGUUCAACUAAUACUGUGAGAUCUAAAUCAUUCUUUAUUAGUUUUCUCAUUUAUUGAUACUUAUAUGUUCCUGGCUUUUAAUCGCUAUAGCCUUGUGUAUGAUUGGUUAGUGCGCAAUAAUUAAUUAUUCAUAUAGGCUAUUUUGCUAAAUAGGGGUAAUUGAAUCCGUAAUUGUUCGUUACCUCUGUGUUAGUAGCAACUGGCGUAAUUGGCUUUAUGUCAGGGGAACAUAUGAUCUAUCUUAAAUAAACCCUCGUAGCGUGUUUGUUAGUUAGGAUUGGGCAUUUCUAAUUAUUAAUGCAAUCUAGAAAUUAAAUCCUAUGGUCGUACCUAGGGUUGUUUUUGGGUUAGAGAAAUAGCUAACGGUCGUACCUUAGCUGUCGAGAAAUUAAGGAAAGGUUGGUUGUUUAUCGCGUGCAUGACAACUAUAACUAAUCUGUUGAUAAAUGUUGGAAUUAUUUCUGCAUCAAUGAUCAGUGCAUGAACCAUUUCUGAAGUGUACCCUUGGCUAGAGCUUCUCUUAAUUAUUUCUUUAAAUUAAUUAUUCUCUGCAGUUACUUUAUUCUUAGCAUUUAAUCGUGAAAACCCCCCAUUUGUCUUGAUUCGAAAAGGAAUAAAUUUCUCUCCAGUCCCUGAGGAGACGACCCUGCUUACCACUGUCUACUAGUUAGUGAAUUCAGUUAAAUAAUUAAUUCAGGUAUAUCGGAUUAAGCAAACUCUUCGGGAACAGGGUGAAUCAAGUAACCCAUUGCACACCUAGGGUCCCUGCUCCAGUACUCGAAUUGAUUAUUGACUGCUUUAGGUGGUAGUUAGGUUUUAUUUAUUAUUAUUGCACAGGUUCGACACCUGUCAAUAUUACCAUAUUUAGUUGAAAUAAUUUUCAUGUCAUAUACAUGUAAACUGAUUACAAUUCCAAUUUGAUGAAUUUUGAACAUGUCAACAACUGCAUCAUCAUCAUUAACAUCACACAUUUUAUCUUCAUUAGGAAUUUCAUGCCUUGUAUGUAUCAGCAUAUUUACAUUUCCUGACAUUUCUCUUGAAGAUUUUUCAAUCACAACAUAUAGCAAAUUAAUGUACAAGUAUUCAUUAGGAUCAACAUUCAGGAUCCUGACUUUGUUUCCCUUGUAGUGCAUAACUAUGUCAUAAGUACCAAUGACCAUCUUACGUUAUUCACAAUAAUUAUUAAUUAUCAACAACUACAUGUUGAAAUUCUGCCAUACGCAUACAAUUUUGCACAACAAACCAAUAAUAAAUGCACAACACAGAUUUGCAAAUCAACAUUAAUCAAAACAAACAACUUAUAUCUCUCACAUGCACUAAAAUUACUUAUAUAUUCUUCUGAUCAAUAAAUAUAUCAAACAACUCUUCUUAUAAAAAUAUAUGACAUACACAAUUGUACCACCUAACAUUGAUAGAAAAGUCAUCAUCUAUCCACAUAUAGAACCAAAAUUUAUACCCAACGAUCAUAGUUUUACAACUAUAUUUUUUAUAGCAUAUCAUCAGAUCAUACAAUACCAUCACUCAUUAAAAUAGAUGAUCAAUUUUUUCAUUCUUUACUAUUUAUAAACUAGUUAAAUCAAUAAUUUUCACAUGCCAGUUUAACUUCUCAUUAUCAACUCACCAAUUUUCAUGAUGUGAGACUUUCUAAUAUUAGAUUGAGACAACAGAAAUUGCUAACCUGUAUUUUGUGCCUUGUUGCAAUUUACAGCAGAAAAAUAUCAAAUGUUGCUUUUUAUACUCAUUUUUUCCUCUUGCAAAAUCAAAAUAAUACCAUCACAACCAUGAAAUUAAGUGCUGUGUUUUCAACCUUUAUUCUCUCUUGCAUUCUUCCUUAAUUUUCUUUCUUGGACAAGAUGCAUUCUUCUUAUUUUGCAAUCCAGUACUGAUUUGAUAUGUUUGUCACUAAUGUCACUCAAUAAAUGGCGCCAAAUUGGUGCCACAAUAUAUGAGCAGUUGGUGUCAUUUGUCUAAUAGCGAUUUGGAGCUUUCUAAUGGUACUUUUGAUCGUUAAUCAUGUCUAGCUAAUUUAAUUGUGCCAUAAGUACUAAUUAUUAUAUAUUAGUCUUUCGAUACUUCAAAAUCUUAUGGAUAUAGCAAUAAAUUCAAUCUCAUAUAAUGUAAAGAGAUGGGCUCAAAAUUCUAUUAAGGGAGGUCAGUGUAAUUUUGAAAUCCUUAGGAGAGGUAAGUAAAAUAGUCAGAAAUUUCAGGGGAGGUUUUUGAAAUAAUCCCUUGUUUAAAGUCAUUAAAUUGAAUUUUUCACUAUUCAUUUUAAUGAAGAGCAGAAUCUCCUAAGUAAACUACAUCUUUUGGGGCUAUUUUACUUGCCAAAUAAGUUUUAAGCGCUACCCAUUCACCUUAAAAGACUCAUUUUUACUAUUUGUUAUCUUUACUGCUCCCUAGAAAAAUAGUCAUAUCUGUUCAAAUAGAUCGGAACACCUAAAUUUUAGUUUGUCUAUAAAAUAAUCUAAGGUGUGAAUUGUACAAUAAAAUCUUUUUUUGACAAAUUUUAGUAAGUGCUACAAUAUUUCAUUAGUGAAGAAGCGAGACCAUUUGAUAUUCAACAAAGAACCUCUAUCUAUAAAUUAAAAACUAAUACUUGUUCAAACAAAGAUUGAGAAAAUCAACUUGGCGAAUAGAGCAUGAAGAGCGGUCAACUCUAAUUUUUCCUACCAAUUUUAAAAUGAAAACAUGACAGUCAACUCUAAUUCGUCCUCUUAAUUCAAAAAACAAAACGUGAAAUUUAAUUCUAAUUUUUUUAGCGUAUCAUUUUCGACUACAUGAAUUUGAAAAAUUUUAAGAAAUGCAAGCAAAGAGGACUGAGCAUCUGUGUAAUCUAGAGAAACUGUCACUGGUGUUGGUUUUAUCUUUUUUCUAUUCUUCCCUUCUCUCGUUAUUUUUCUUGUUUAACUACUCCUUUAACUGCAUAUAUUUCUACCUCCAUUUCUCUUUCGUGUAGUAAAAAAUUACACUACAAAUGGAUUUAGACUUAAUCUUUUUAGUCCAUUCUUCCUGAUAGGCUGAGUGCGUAUCCAAUACAUGUAUCCAAUCCGAUUGAGACCUAACCAUCAACCAUGUCUAGAUACGGAUUGGAAAAACCGGCCUCUCUACAUGAUUAAAUAGAAACGGAUGAUAGUACGUUCCUUCAUUCGCAUAGUUCUUCUGCAAGCAAAAAUCACCGCUCUCGGUAGCUCACAAUGACUUAGUGGAUAACAAAGAAUCAAACAUCCGCUGGAGGCAUAUGCUGUCAUUAGCUCUCAUUUUCUCAUUCCAUCUUAUUUUACCAAUGGUUCUAUGUUACGAGUAAAAACUUAACCUCCUCCAUCUCCUUGAUUAAAAAAAUGUGGUUAGCAGUCACAUCAUCGUGUUCAAUCAUUUUUUAUCCAAGCAUUGAAAACAAGUUAAGACUCCAUGUAUUUUCUUGUCAAUAGCACAUCAUAGGUAUCAUAUAUCUGUUCUCGUUUGGCUGUAAUGUACAAAUCUAUGCUAUGAUUGAUUUUUUCCAUGAUGAUUUGGUAUUUUUUCUUUCCAUCCUCACAUUCCACGUUUGUAUCCAUCAUGCAUAGAAAACACUUUCCUCCAUCCGUUGCAACUUCGACUGUCACAUCAAAAUCGGCCUUAAUUGGAACAUCGAUGAUGGAAUAGAGAAUCUCUCGAUCCACGGAAUAAUCCCUGAAGAAGUUAUGGUGGUGCUAAUCUUCAACGUUAGCCUGUUGAAUCCUAUAAUAGAGGAUAGUUGCAGGUCUAAACAUUAGCAAAGUAGGAGAGUAAAAUAUAGGGACCGAAAACAGUGGAGAUGAGAGAAUUGAACAAAAGGUAUAGGAGGAGAAUGUUAGGUUUAAACAGAGUGUUAGGGUUUGGAAGUCUUAUGUUUAAGGGAAGAGAUGAUUACGCUUUGGAAGGGUAACAUGGGCCAUCAUAGAGAAACCGAAAAUGUGAAGGGAAAAAGAAGGCAUGGAACAAGAGGAGAAAUUUAGGGUUUCGGGGCUUUUUAUGCUCACAUAAUUAUAUUGAGUAACCAUCGUAGUAUCUACAAUUAAACCAUUUGUCCAAUCUCAAAUUGUUUAGAAAGGAUGCCUGUCAUGCUAAAAUUUCACCUUUUCCUUGUAUAUUUUGACAUUCUUAUAGGAAGUCAAACAAAAUUCUUUUAAUUCACUUGAUUCAACCAAUCUCUUUUCACCUGUAUGACGAAAAUCUACAUUAAUAGCCUUUAUAGGCUAAUUUGUAUUAUGUUGAAUCUCAACAGGUAAAUCAUAUGCCUUUCCAUAACUUAGUCAAUAUGGCAACAUUCUCAAUCCUUCGUCGACUUUACUAGUUGCAUAGUUAAUCAAAUCGCCACACCAUCUUAAUUUUCUUCAAAAUUGAAAAAAUUGGCAUCAAUUAAUUCACUAUUAUCCACUAACACCAUAUUAUCAUCUACAUCAAUCUCAUUGCCACUGUCAAGCAUAUGUUUUCGUGAAUUAUCAAAAUCAGAAUCCUCAUAUUCAUCAUCAGAUAUUUCAAGGUUAGUAACCACUUUUUUAAAAGUCUGAUCAAGACCUGAAUUCUGCUAAGUGUUUUGAACAUUUUUGUUAGCAUUGGUAUUACCAUGUUUAGUUGAAAUAAUUUUCAUGUCAUAUACAUGUAAAUUGAUUACAAUUUCAAAUCGAUACAUUUUAAACAUGUCGACUACUGUAUCAUCAUCAUUAAUAUCACACAUUUUAUCUUCAACAAGAAUUUCAUUGUAUGUAUCGGCAUAUUCACAUUUCCUGACAUUUCUCUCAAUGAUUUUUCAAUCACAUCAUAUAGCAAGUUAAUGUACAAGUAUUUAAUAGGAUCAACAUUCGAGAUCCUGACUUUGUUUCCCUUGUAGUGCACAACUAUGUCAUAAGUACCAAUGACCAUCUUACGUUAUUUGAAACAAUUAUUAAUUAUCAAUAAUUACAUUUGAAAAUUCUGCCAUACGCAUACAAUUUUACUCCACAAACCAAUAAUAAAUGCACAACACAUAUUUGCAAAUCAAUAUUAAUCAGAACAAACAACGUAUGUCUCUCAUAUGUAUUAAAAUUACUAAUAUAUUCAUCUAAUUAAUGAGUCUAUCAAAUAACUCCUCUUAUAAACACACACGACAAACAUAAUUGCACUGCCUAACAUUAAUAGAAAAGGUCACCUUCUAUCCACAUAUAGAACCAAAAUUUUUGGCCAACUAUCAUAACUGUACAAUAAUAUUUCCUAUGACAUGUCAUCAGAUCAUACAAUACCAUCACUCAUUAAAAUAGAUGAUCAUUUUUUUCACUCUUUGCUGUUCAUAAGCUAGGUAUGUCAAUAGUUUUUACAUGUUGAUUUAACUUGUCAUCAUCAACUCACAAAAUUUCAGGAUGUGAAAUUUAUGUUGACUUUCUAAUAUUAUAUUGAAACAACAAAAAUUGCUAACAUGUGUUCUGUGCCUUGUUGCAAUUUAUAGUAGAUAAAUAUCAUAUGUUGUUUUUUACUCCUUUUUUCUUGCAAAGUUAAAAUAAAUAUCAUCGCAACCACGAAAUCAGGUGCUGUAUUUUUCAACUAUCAUUAUCUCUUACAUUCUUUCUUAAUUUUCUUUCUUGGAUGCCCUCUUCUUAUUUUAUAAUUUAGUACUGAUUCGACAUGUUUGUCCCUAAUAUCACUCAAUAAAUGGCACCAAAUUGGUGUAGAAUUGGUGCCACAAUAUAUAAACGGUUGGUGCCAUUUGUCUAAUAUCUCUUAAGAGCUUUAUAAUGGUACUUUUGAUUGUUAAUCAGGUCUAACUAAUUUUAUUGUAUCAUAAGUACUAAUUGUUAUAUAUUAGUCUUUGCAUAUUUCAAAAUCUUAUGGGUAUAGCAAUAAAUUCAUCUCAUGUGAUGUAAAUGUGAGGACCCGAAAAUUUUCUUAUUUUUAUCGAAUAUUAUUGGUUUAUUCAAAUAUCUAUUCACCCGUUUUCUCCAAAUAAUUUAUUUCAACCAUUUUAAAUCCAUUCGUAUGGAACAAUGUCUUCCUUGUGUUUUAAACGUCCCGUUAGCAAAUUUAAUUUUUCGAAGGUUCAUUUAAGUGAGGAAUAAUGAGUACAUGUGUUUUGACGUGAUAUUCUAUCCGAGAGUGCAAUUAUCUUGGAAAAUUAAGAAUGAUUAAUAGUAGAUUAAGAAAAGUUAAUUGAGGAAUUAAAGGUGAAUGAGUUCUAAUUAAGCGCAUACCGCUCGCGCGUCGAUAGUUUUUCGAAAGACGCGCUGAUACAAAUUAAUUAGAGAUUUGACGAAGUAAUACUAAACUCAUGUGAGGACUCAUGUUUUUGUUACUAAAAUAGGUAAAUUUUAUGUCUAAUUACCCUAGUAUUAGUUAGUUAUAUCAUCAUUAUAAGAAUUUCUUAGAAAUUUCGCUUUAUCGCGCACAAGUUGGAAAUUCGCGUUUUCGCUCGCUUGACUAAUUGGAGGAUUUUAGAAAUUAUUGUUAGACUAUUAAGAAUGAAUAAUAAUGGUGAUAAAGGGAGUGCAUUAGAGGUUUAGUGCACAAGUGAAAUAAACCCGAGAGGAACCGGGCACGAAACGCGCGCGUACGCGCUAGGAAGAAUUGACUUUUGUGCACUUAAAGUCACCACCUACCAAGCUUCUCCAAGAAGCUUUCUAUAUCAGAUUUCAUCUCUCUCUUUUCUCUCUCAAAGCUGCCGGCCACCCCAAGGAGAAGAAGAAGGAAACUUUCAUCAUCUCACUUCAAUUUCUUCCAUCAAAUUCACUUCAAAUUCACCGUACAAACUCAAAACAACUUGGAGCUUCACUUGGACUAGGAAGAGACCAUCAUUUCCACGAUUUUCUUGGAGCUUUUAGUGGCCAAAAUUUCUGAGUUUCUUCACUCAAGAGGUAGUGAAUCAUCCAACCUUUGAAUCUUAGUUUUAGUGAGUUAAAUUGCACUUAGAAGCUUGUAGCUUCAUGUGGGUGGCUUUGGUUCGUUGAAAAUCACUCGAGUGGGCUCUAUGAAAUCCCACAAUGGACAUGUUGGACUGAUAUGAUGAUUUUGGAUGUUGUUUAUGUUGAUUAAGUGUUAAAUAAGUGGUUAUAAGUUGAAAAAGUGGAAAGAAAAUCAAAAGAAAGUUGAAAGCUAAGAAGUGCCGAAUCUGCCCUGUCCUUGCCGCAACCUUAGUUCUAUUUUUUAGUGAUAAAAUUGCCUUUAUUUUGAUGUAGAUAUGUUGUAUAGGUUGUGUGAAAAUUUUUCACAAAAAUCACUUGAUUUGGUUGGGUAAAAAUUGCAUUUUCAAAAAUCCUUCAAAGCUGGAAAACGGGUAACAGGGGUUACCUGGCAGCGAAAUUUAAACGAUCAUAACUCUUUGCUCCGACGUCAAAAUCGAGUGCCGUUCAUGGAAUUUAAAACUAGAUACUUCCAGUUUUCUAACGGUAUAAAGUACAUCCCCAAAUUCGAACUGAGUGAGCCGUACUAGUUCUUCAAAUUUACCUGUUUUGUUUUAUUGUUGUGCUUGAGAGUUAGUGAUGAGCUGAAGAUUGUUGCUUGAAUUUGAGCUAGCUAUGGACUGAAUCUUAAAACAUUUUCUUCUGAGAAAUUGUAACCCUAUGAAUUUAGUUUCCAACACCACCAGCCAUGCCCAAUUUCAAGUUAAAUUGACCGCGUUAUGGCCAAAUUACAGACCUACAUCAGAGAAAGAAAACCCUAAUUUUGGGCUACCCAAUGGCUUAGCUCGAAUUGGGACUUGUUAUUUUGAAAAUUUUGGUGUAAAUCACCUACCAAAUAUAUUUUGGAUGUUUCUUAGACCUUUGUUUUAUAAAUGAACCAGAUUUGAAUUGAUUUCAUUGGCCAAAUGUUCGGAAAGGAAAACGGAAACUUGAAGACAGAUCUGUCUUCGGUUUUCCUUAAAACUUUGGUAGCUUAGUUAACUACCUUCCCUUGUGAAUUUUUAAGUGAAAUUUGGUAUAGGAAUAGUCAUUAUAUGGUAGUAUAAUCAUACCAAAUUUGGUGCCAUUCCAAGUCCAUUUAGAUGCCCAACUGAAAUCCCAAAGUUUAUGUUUCAAAUCUGGAAAUCCUUGUUCCGUGAGAAAAUUUCAGCAACUUUGACCUGCUAUAUCCUGGCACUCAAAACUCCGAUUCUUGUUCCAUUUGUGGUGUUUUAAACUUUGAUUUUAACUCUAAUUGAGUUUCAAAUUUUAGAGGCUACUUCAUAUUCUGUAAAGUUUGCCGAAUUUUCAAAGUUUACCAAAACCAACCUUGAAUCUGUCUUAGAAGUGCAAGUCAGUAGUUUUAAGCCGAAAUUUAAGUGUCUUCCAUUUUGAAUCAUGGAAAAGUGCCUUCUAGGAACUUUUAGUACUUCAGAACUAGUUUCCAACGAUAUCAAGUUUUCCAAUUUUGGACCUACGGAGUGUGAGAUAUGAUUUUUCAAAGAUUACACCUCAAAUCUGGAAUUUCUGAACUUAAAGGAAAUUGGAUUUUUAGAACUCUCCAUUUUCCUUCGAUAUUUCUUGAUCGUGUUACACUUGAUUUCAAAGAUGAAAAUCAGAUUUUUGUUGUAUAUUUAAAUCCCACUUUUGAGCUUCGAUUUACGAGAAAUUAAGGCUCAUUUUCAUGAUAUUUUCUUAGAUUGUACAAGUGUACAAUCGUCCUUGAUAAUUAGGAUUUUUAAGUGAUAGUUAAUUAUUGUUUGCUCAGGCACUCAAGAUUUUUAAGUGAUAGUUAAUUAUCGUUUGUUCAGGCACUCAAGAAGACCUUCAAGAGGAUCUCACUGUGGACGCCUAAACCCUUGAAUUGCGCACUACUUCCUAUAUUAUUUGGUGAGUGUCAAGUGUAUGUGAAUUUGUUACGUGCUUAAUUGUUAUUAGUGAUUGGAGAUUUUGAAAAUGUUGAGUCGAGUGUGUACUUUACCGCACUCGUUCUCACUUGAAUGAAUAAUGAUUGAAAUGAAAUGAAUGAAUCAUGAUUGAAUUGAUUGAAAUAAAGUGAAUGGAUUGAAAUAUAUUGAAUGGAUUGAAUGAAAUGAAUGGUAUGCUAUGGCUGCAUACGUCGUUGGAGUAAAGCUCCUCGACUCAUAAAUGUUAAAUGGAGGACCCCCAAACUCAUAAGCCGACCCUGGGACUGGAGCCGGUAUGGGAUUGGUCGGGAACCUCGGUGACCCAUGGGAAAAAAAUGAUAAGCUUUAUCUAUUGGAAAGAUCUUGCUUGGCCUACUCGUGCAGUAGCGCCUUUAUCGAAGUUCGGACCCGGUGGGGGGGGGUUGUAAGGUGGAAGGAAUUGUGAAGUGAAGUGGAGUUCUACAGACUUAAAAUACCGACUCAGGUGACGGAGUGUCAUUGUGGGAAGGUAUUUAAUCGAUGUUGGCAAAGCAAGUGGAAAUUAGCUCCUGAGAGCUACCAUAUCCUUGAAUUGUUUCUGUUUAAAUUUCAUUUGAAUUGUUAAUUACUCGAAUAUUAUUGUUUUACUUGUCAAAUGGAAUUGUUACUUGGACAACAUGCUUGCAUGUGUGUUUCUUGGUCUCACGAGCAAUCGCUCACUUCGUAGAUUUAUUUUCCUUAACAGGAACGGACAUGGAGUGAAACUCGAAAAAACCCUUGGAAUGUACUUUUGUGUUAGGGUUUCAAAUGUAAUCGACUAAACACCUUUUGGCAGUUGUAUAUUUUGGAAAAUUGAUGUAUUUUGAACUUGUGGUGUAAGAUCGAAUAUUAUUUAUGGAAGCAUCUGCACUUCUUCUUUUGUCUUGUCAUGAUAGCUAUUAUUGUAUUAAGUUUGAACGGGAAUUGUACCGAGUCCUGAUGAGAGCUGGGUAGGCGUCUCGCGGAUACCCUUUGGUUCACUUUAGGGAGAAGUGAGGGUGUCACAGUAAAGAACUGGGGUCAAAAUUCUACUAGGGGAGGCCAGUGUAAUUCUGAAAUCCAUAGGAGAUUCAGAAAUCUCAUGGGAGGUUUUUCAAAUUAUCAUAUUGUUGAAAUACGUUAAAUUGGACUUUUCACUAUUCAUCUUAAUGAGGAGAAGAAUCUCCUAACUAAACUACCUCUUUUGAGACUAUUUCACUUGUUAAGUAAGUCUUUAAACGCUGUCCAUUCACCUUAAAAGACUCAUUUUUAUCAUUUGUUAUCUUUACCAUUCCGUAAAAAAAUAGUCUUGUCAGAUCAAAUGGAUCAGAACACUUAGAUUUUAGUUCCCUGGAAAAUAAUCUGAGGCGUGAAUUGCACAAUAAAUCCUUUUUUACCAAAUUUUGGCAUGUACUAUUAUAUUUUAAUAGUGAGAAGCGAGACCAUUUGAUGUUCAACGAAGAAUCUCUAUCCAUAAAAUAAAAACUAAUACUCGCUCAAACAAAGAUUGAAAAAAUUAACUUGACAAAUAAAAUAUGAAGAGCAGUUUGCUCUAAUUCUUCCUUCUAAUUCUAAAAUCAAAACAUGGCAGUCAAUUCUAAUUCUUCCUCCUAAUUCUAAAAUCAAAACAUCACACAAGACCAUUGUUAAAAUAACGUAUAAGAGACAACAGAGGUCUCAUAUCCUCAAGUGCAACUCUUUCAUAGAUGGUCAACUGAUAAUCAUCACCUAUUUGACUUGCCAAUUCAAAACUCAGUUCUCUCAUAGAUAGUAAAUUGGCUGUCGGAUUGUUGAUUGCAUCCAGAUAUCUUUUAAACAUAUCCUCCUCGACAACAUGAACUUGAAAAUGUCUAAAAAAUGCAAGCCAUGAGAACCGAGCAUCUGUGUAAUUUAGAAGAAUCAUCACUGGCGUUGGUCUUAUCUUUUUCUAUUCUUUCCUCCAUUCGUUAUCUUCUUGUUUAACUCCUCCAUUAGCUGCAUAUAUUUCUACUUUCACUUCUCUUUCGGAUAGUCAAAAAUUACAUCACAAAUGAAUUUAGAUUUAAUUUUCUUAGUCCAUUCUUCCUGAUAGACUGAGUAAGUAUCCAACACACGUAUCCGAUCCGAUUGAGGCCUACCAUCAAUUGCGUGUAGAUACGGGUUGGAAAAGCCCGCCUCUCUGAAUGAUUGAUUAGGAAUGGAUGAUAGUACGUUCCUUCUUUCGUAUAGUUCUUUUGCAAACAAAAACCAUCGCUCUCGACAACUAACAAUGAUUUAGUGGGUAACAAAUAAUCAAACGUCCGCUGGAGGCAUAUGCUAUCAUUAGCUCUCACUGUCUCAUUCCAUCUUGUUCUACCUAUGGUUCUGUGAUACUAUUUUAUGAGCAAAAGCCUAACCUCCUCAUUCUCCUUGAUUAAAAAAAUGUGUUUAGCAGUCAUAUCAUCGUGUUUAAUCUUUUUUUAUCCAGAUAUUGAAAAUAAGUUAAGACUCAGUGUAUUUUCUCCACAAUCCGGGCAAUAGCAAAUCAUAGGCAUCAUAUAUCUGCCCUUGUUUGGCUGCAAUGUAUGAAUCUAGGCUAUGAUUGAUUCACUCCAUGAUGAUUCUGUAUUUUUUCUUCCCAUCCUCUCAUUCCACGGCUGUAUCCAGCAUGCGCAGAAAACACUUUCCUUCUUUCAUUGCAAGUUCGAUUAGCACAUCAAAAUCAGUAUUAACUGGAACAUCAAUGAUGUAACAGAGAAUCUCUCGAUCGACGGAAUCGCCCCUGAAGAAGCCAUGGUGGAGCUACUCUUCAACGCCAGUCUGCUGAAUCCUACAAUAGAUGCUGGCUACAGGUCUAAACAUUAGCAAAGUAGGAGAGUAAAUGAGAAGAACCGAAAACAGUGGAAAUGAGAGAAUUGGACAGAAGAUGCAAGAGGAGAAUAUCAGAUUUAAGGAGAGUGUUAGGUUUAAGGGAGGAAAUGAUUACGCUUUGGACGAGUGACAUGGGCCAUCAUAGAGAAACUGGAAAUGUGGAAGGAAAAAGACGGCAUGGAACAAGAGGAGAAAUUUAGGAUUUCAGGGUUUUUUAUGCUCACAUAAUUAUAUUGAGUAACCAUAAUAGUAUUUACAAUAAAACUUUUUGCCCAAUCUCAAAUUGUUUAGGAAGGAUGCCUGUCAUGCUAAAAUUUCACCCUUUCCUUAUAUAUUUUGACAUUCUUAUACUAAAUCAAACGAAGUUCGUCCAAUGCACUCAAUUCAAGCAAUCUCUUCUCACCAACUAGACUGUUUAUCUCAGUCCGUAACUUUUAAUGAUUACAAAAUAAAUAGAUGUUACUGAUACUCUCUGAUUAGACCUUUUCAGAAUUGGAGCAAAACAGGUUCAAAGGCUAACAUAUGCUAAAAUAGCUGUCGAACGCACAAAAAAAAUGCAUCGACCGUCCGACAACCAAUGAGUAACUUCGGACGCACAAAGAACUCACCCUCGGACGUCCGAAGCUGAUAAACCAAGUCCUCUAAGCUUACUGAUCUCGAUCGGACGAACAACACCUGAGCAUCGGACGUCCGACACAUGUUGCGACACUUCGGACGCCAAGCAUUGGAGGUACCGGACGUCCAAAGGAAUUAAAGAAGAAUUUUCAGUUUUACAUCAUACGUUCAGACGCAUAUUUUGGAGGUACCGGACAUCCUAAAUAUUUCAAAAAAACUUCUUGAACUCACUGCCUGCAUUCGGACGCAGAAAACUAGCCUACCGGACGUCCGACACCACUAAAGGCUAGUUUACUCUUCAACUGCCUUCUAUCCGUUAGUAGCAUUGAUUGAAGAACUUUUUGGUCUCUUAUAAGUAGAACAAAGUCAACCACUUCAAACAGACUUUGAACAUUGAGACUAAAUCAGAUCUUGAGUGAUUCAAGCGUGAGAAUACUCUUUAAAAAAGAUUUGUACUCUUAGUUAUGUAACUUUUUCGAUAAACUUUUCAGGUGUGCUUCAAUUUUUUCAAUAGUGUAGCUUUGUAAGGGUUAUUCGAGCGAUAGUAAAACUUCCUUACUUGACCAAGUGUGGCUUGGGGUGAGGAGAAAGUGAUCCUUCCUUUGUUCACAAGAGAUUGGUUGUAAGUUGAUCAACUUGAAAAAACUUGCUAUAUAAAGUGUUUUUCAAGUUCAAGUGGAGUUUGAAACUUGGUUUGCUACUCUAUCCUUUCACUUACUGUCUUGCUGUGACGCCCCCACUUCUCCCUAAGGCGAACCAGAGGGUAUCCGCGGGACGCCUGCCCAACUCUCACCAGGACUCAAACAAUUUCUGUUCAAGCUUAAUGUAAAACUAUUCAACAAUACUAGAUAAGUAAGAAAGUGCGGAAAACUUUCAAACUUAACAAUAUAUAUAUAACGCUUAUCCAAUCAUUACAUUAAAUUCUCAAAAAUUACAUCAAUACCCAAAAUAUAUAACAUCUAGGUACAUCAAAUAUCCAAAUCAUACAUUAAAUUCCCAAUAGUACAACCAAUAAGAGGUCUAGCCCAAAAUAUAUUAGAAACCCUAAGCCAAAAAUGCAUCAAAAGAGUUCCUCCAAGCAUCAUUCCAAGCCCAAUCCUGCUAAGGAAUCCAAAUCUACAGGGUGAGCAAAACGCUCGUGAGGCCAAGGACACACAUGCAAGCACAUAGUCCAAGUAACAAGCCCAAUUAACAAGUCACAUAAUAAAAUACAAGUAAUUGUCAAUUCCAAUGAAAUGUAAACAGAAACAAUUCAAGGAUAUGGUAGCUCUCAGGAGUUAAGUUCCACUUGCUUUGCUAGGGUCAUUCGUAUACCUUCCCGCGAUGACUCUCCGUCAACCGGGUCGGUAUUUUGAAUUCGUAGAUCUCCACUUACUUCUCAUAUCCGUCCACCAUACAUACCACAACCGGGCCCGCACGUUAUUUAUGAGGCGAUACUCAACGAGUAUGCCAAGCAAGAUCUCUCCAACAGAUCAAGCUUAUCAUGUGAUUCUCAUGGCUCACCGCGAUUCCCGACCAAACCCAUGUCGGCUUGAGUUUCAAGGUCGGCUUAUGAGUUUGGGUGUCCCCCUUGUGUAUUUGAGUGUCGAGGAGAUUUAUUCCAACGACGUAUGCAGUCAUAGCAUACUAUUUCAGGUCAAGUAAGCAUUUGAUGUAUUCAAGCAUUCAGGUCAUGUCCAGCAGGUCAUUUAUUUCAUGUCAAGCAAGUUAAUCAUGAGUUAUUUAUUUCAAAUGAGAACGAGUGCGAUAAAGUACACACUCGACUCCAUUUUCAAAAUCUCAAGUCCACAGGAAUUCAAGUAGUCAUGCACUUGACACUCACCAAGUCAACCAAAGAGAAUUGUUACUUGAAAUUCAAACGUCUACCGUAGGAUCCUCUUGAAGGUUCUCGUGCGAGCCUGAAUAUUUAAUAGUGAACAAUCACUUAUAAACCCCAAUUAUCAAGAAAGAAUGCACGCUUGUACAAUUCUAGAAAAUUUCACUAAAAUGAGCCUAAAUUACUUGCGAAUUAAGGUUCAAAAGUGGGGUUUUAAAGCAUAAGAGAAAUCGAUUUCUCAUCUUUGAAAUCAAGUAUAAAACGGUCAAGUAAUAUCAAAAGAAUAAGGAUAAUUCAAAAAACUCCAUUUCCUUAAGAUUCGAAAAUUUCAGUUUUGAUACGAGAUCUUUGAAAAAUCGUAUCUCACUCUUUACAAGUCCAAAAUUGGAAAACAUGGUACUGUUGGAAACCUCUUAUGAAGUACUAAAAGUUCCUAGAAAACACCUUUCCAGGAUUCUAAAUGGAAGGUAUCCGAAAAUUAGCUCAAAGUUGCUGUUUUGGGGCAUUGAAGACAGGUUUAAGUUGGUUUUUGGCCAACUUUGAAAAUUUGGUAAAAUUCACUUGAUUUGAACUAACCUCUAGAAUUUGGAACUCUAUUAGGGUUGCAAUCCAAGUUUAAAAAAAAAAUAAACGAAAUGAGAAUCGGAGUUUUGAGCACCAAGAUACAAUAGCUCAAAGUUGGUGAAAAAUCGAACUGUUAAGCCAAUUUUCCAGAUUUAAGUUCCAAACUUUGGGACUUUAGUUAGGUAUCGAAACGGACUCGGAACAGUGUCAAAUUUGGUAAGAAUAUACUACCGUAUAAGGGACACUCUUUUGCCAAAUUUCAUAGAAAAAUAUGUUCGAAAAUCGGUUAACAAGACCGUUGAAAUCACAAGAAAUUCUAAGGCUAAGCUGCCUUUGAACUUCCGUUUUACCGUUUCCAAGCAUUUGAUCAAGAAACAUCUCAAACCUGGUCCAUUCUAGUAGGUAAUGUCUAAAAUAUGUCCAAGGUACAUUUGAUAGGUGAUGUACACUAAGAAGCUUCGGAUAACAAGUUCCAAAUCAUUGUUAGUUUCAAAUAUGUCCAAAUGCAUGGUAUUUCUUCACAAUACUAGAUUCGAAUUUUGGUCAUAAAUCACUCAAUUCAACCCGGAAUUGAGCAUGGUUGGUGGCGUUGGAAAACACAUUCAUAGAGCUACAAUUUCUUAGAAGAAAUCAUUUUUAAAAUCUGUCCACAACUAGCCCACAUUUAAGCAUCAAGUUGUAGUUCAUGUUCUGCCUUGUAGUGAACCAACGAAACAGUGCAGCCAAGUUCAAACGGUUGGUGUGGUUCACUCAGGUGGAAUCAGAAUGUGCAUUUUAUACCGUUGGAAAGCUGGGAAUGUCUAGUAUCAGUGCCACAAACAGAACUCGAUUUCAACAUUGGGACAAAGAGUUAUAGUCUAAACAAAAUCACUGCCAGAGUAAUACGGGACACAAUUCCAGUUUUGGCAAAUUUUCUAAAUCUCAACAUGCACUUACCCAAAUCACGUAAAAUUUUGAGAAAACUUUAUACACAACCUAUAUUACACAUUUUCAUCAGAAACAAGUCAAUUGGACUUCAAGAAAGUACACUAAAAUGCACGAAAAUGGCAAGGCAGAAUCGGCACCUUCACAUGCAACCCCUCAUUUGACUUCCUUUUCACUUUUAUCACUUAACUCUACUAAACUAACACUUAAUCAACACAAUUAACAUCCAAUCUUAUCAAAUUAGAUCAUCAAAGUCAUUUUGGGAUUUCAUAGAGCCCACUCACGAAUUUUCUAACAAUUUAAAGCUGCCCAUGAGAAUCCAAGAGCUCAUGAGUGUAAUCUAUCUUUCAUAAAUCAAGAAUUAAGUGGUUGAUCAUUACUUACUUUCUUAGAGAGCCAAGACAGAAAUUUCAGUCACUUUGAGUUGGAGAAAAACUGUGAGAGGCAGCUCCUUUCCUAGUUUAUCUUGAUCACCAAUUGAUUUGAGUGUUGUGUGUAAAAUUUGAAGGUAAUUUGAGCAAGGAAUUGAGGAGAAAGAGUGGAGGAAUUUUCUGGUCUUGUUCUUCCUUUGUUGCUCGGCUGUUUGAGUGUAUGUGAGGAAGGAAAUUCCGAUGUUAUUAGAUUUUAAGGUAGGCUAAAAACUUGUGGCUCAAAUUUUCUCAAAGUUGUACACUAAAAUAAUGCACGUGCGCGUGCGUUUCGUGCUCGAUUCCUCUCGAGUUUAUUGCACUAGUGCACUAAAUCUCUAAUGCACUUACAUUCAUAUUAUUAUUAUUCACUCUUAAUAGUCCCAAAAUAAUGGUCUAAGGCUCCUCAAUUACUCGCGCGCGUAAAAACGCUUAUUUCCAAUUUAAGCGCGAGAUAGAGAAAUUUCUAAGAAGUUCUUAUAACGAUAAUAUAACUAACUAACCUUUGAACACUUAUAUAUAAAAAUACCUAUUUUAGGACUAAUGUAAAAGUCUCCAAUUUUUCAAACUUAUUGUAUUCUCGAAUCGAUUAUUUACUCCAAUCGCGUAUUAACUAUUUUCACUUAACGAGCCUUUAGAAAUUAAAUUUUAAAACGAGUCACUUUAAAAAUAUAACUAAGCUAUAGAUCCAUCUAAUUAGAUCUAAAAAGAUUAGAAAAUAAUAAUCGGAGCAUUUGGCCAAAUAAAUAAUUAAAUAAGUUAGAAUUUUGAGUUUAAAAUAGAUAUAUUUUUUUUGUGAGUCUUUACAUCCUCUCCCCCUUAAGAAAAUUUCAUCCUUGAAAUUUACCUUGAUCUGCGAACAAGCUUGGAUACUUUCCUCGGAUUGCCUCUUCAACUUCCCAGAUCGCUUCCUCUAGUUCGUGGUUUCUCUAGAGAACCUUUAUUAAAGGUAUCUGCUUAUUUCUCAAUUAUUUUACCUUUCUAUCCAGAAGUUUCACCAGUCUCUCCUCAUAGGUCAAAGUCUUAUCAAUCUCAAUACUUUCCGGUUGCAAAAUAUGAGAAGGGUCUGGAUGAUACUUCUUAAGCAUGGACACAUGGAAAACAUUAUGAAUCCGAGACAGACUCGGUGGCUAUUCCAACUUAUAGGUUACAUUUCCUACACGUUGGAUAACCUUGUAAGGUCCUACAAAUCUUGGUUGUAACUUCUUUCCCUUCCCAGACAUUAAACUUGCUUUUAGAGGUGUAAUCUUGAGAAAUACUAGAUCUCCAACUUCAAAUUCCAAAUCCUUUCUCCGAUUAUCUGUAUAACUCUUCUGACGACUUUGUGCAGUUUGGAUUCUCUGACGUACUAACUUUACUUUCUCAUUAGCUUCCUCAAUUCAGGGCACUGUAGUCGGGUCUAAAAUCUUUCGUUCACCUAUUUCGUCCCAACAAAUCGGUGAUCUACACUUUCGACCAUAAAGUGCUUCAUAUGGAGCCAUUUGAAUAGAAGAGUGGAAGCUAUUGUUAUAGGAAAAUUCCACUAGUGUUAAAAAUUUACUCCAACUCUCCCCAAAAUCCAAAACACAAGUGCUCAACAUAUUCUCAAGUGUUUAAAUCGUCUGCUCGGACUGUCCAUCGGUUUGGGGAUGGUAAGUAGUAUUGAAAUUCAAUUUAGUCCCCAACACCUCUUGCAUCUUUUGCCAGAAUCUCGAAACAAAUCUUGGAUGUCUAUCAGAUACAAUACUUACCGGUAUUCCAUGUAACCUGAUAAUCUCAUCCAUGUACAGCUUAGCUAACUUCUCCAAUGGGUAUUUCAUAUUAAUCGGCAGAAAAUGAGCCAAUUUGGUCAAUCUAUCCACUAUUACCCAAAUGGCAUCAUGGCCUCUUUGUGUCCUCGGUAAUCCUGAUACAAAAUCUAUAGUGAUGUUCUCCCAUUUCCACUCAGGUAUUUCCAAAGGUUGCAAAAGUCCUGAUGGUUUCUGAUGUUCGACUUUAACCUAUUAACAAAUUAAACAGGUUUGGACAAAUUGGGCAAUUUUCUUUUUCAUGCUCUCCCACCAGUACAAACUCUUCAAAUCUUGGUACAUUUUAUUCCCUCCAAGAUGUACAGUAAAUUUAGAUCGGUGUGCCUCUUCUAAAAUUUCCUUCUUAAGCCCUUCAUCCUUUGACACUACUAUCCAAUUCUGAAACUUCAAAAUACCAUUUGAUCCCAAAUUAAAAUCCAAUUUUUCUCCCUUUUUGACACUUUCCACCCACUUUUGCACUACAAGGUCUUUUUCCUGAGACUCUUUAAUACGUCCCAUCAAAAUGGAAUUCACUACAAUGUUCUCAAGGAUUAUUUUUCUCGGCUCCAAUCGAGAAUUCCAAGAACUAAUUUUUUCUAACAAGUGAAGCUCCUUAAUCAUCAAUCCGACCACUUGUACUUGACGACUUAGAGCAUCAGCCACUACAUUGGCUUUUUCUGGAUGAUACUUUAUCGUGCAAUCAUAAUCUUUUAGAAAUUCCAUCCAUCUACGUUGCCUUAAAUUCAGCUCCUUCUGAGAAAAUAAGUACUUAAGGCUUUUGUGGUCAGUGAAAACAUUGAACGUCACCCCGUACAAGUGAUGCCUUCAAAUUUUUAAAGCAAAUACCACAGCCGCUAACUCCAAGUCAUGGGUCGGGUAAUUUCCUUCAUGCGGUUUCAAUUUUCUAGAGGUAUAGGCUAUCACUUUGUCAUUUUGCAUUAAAACACAGCCUAAUCCUUCCUUGGAAGCAUCUGUGUAGACCACAAAGCUAUCUUUUCCAUUCGGUAGGGCUAACACUGGCGCCUCAGUCAAACGUCUUUUUAACUCUUGAAAACUUUCUUCACACUUAGGACUCCAUAUAAACUUUUUAUUUUUCUUGGUUAACUCGGUCAUGGGUCCAGUAAUUCUAAAAAAAUCUUGAAUAAAUCUCCGGUAAUACCCGGCUAAUCCAAUAAAGCUUCGGACCUCAGUAGGGUUUUCCGGUCGUUUCCAUUUUGAAACAGUUUCAACUUUGGCCGGGUCUACUUUAAUCCCUUCCUUAAAAUUAUGUGUCCCAAGAAAGUCACUUCUUUUAAUCAAAACUCAUACUUGAUAAACUUAGCAUACAAUUGGUGUUCACUUAGAGUUUGCAAAACAAUCCUCAAGUGCUUCUCAUGAUCCUCCAUAUUCUUAGAAUACACCAAAAUAUCGUCAAUAAAAACCACGACAAAUUGGUCCAAGUAAGGUAAAAACCCUAUGCAUUAAAUCCAUGAAAACAACAGGUGCAUUUGUUAAUCCAAACGGCAUUACGGCAAACUCAAAGUGCCCGUAUCUCGAGUUAAAAGCAGUCUUGGGUAUAUCCUUCUCCAAAAUCUUCAGUUGAUAGUAACCCUGUCUCAAAUUCAACUUCGAGAACACUACCGCCCCUUGCAAUUGGUCGAACAACUCAUCAAUGUGGGGCAGUGGGUACUUAUUCUUAACUGUAACAUCAUUUAAGUCUCGGUAAUCUAUACACAGUCUCAAACUCCUAUCCUUCUUCUUAACAAAUAAAACCGGGGCUCCCCACGGUGAAUCACUUCCCCUUAUAAAAUCCCGUUCCAACAAAUCCUGUAGUUGUAAUUUUAAUUCUUUCAAUUCGGUUGGAGCCAUUCGAUAUGGCGUCUUAGAAAUAGGUGUUACUCCCGAGGUCACAUCAAUCUUAAAAGUUAUAUCCCGUUCUGGAGGCAAAAACUCUAAUUUUUCAGGAAAAAUAUCUAGAAAAUCUUUCACUACAGGCAUGUCCUACAAAUUCACCUUAUCACUAGGGGUGUUAAUAACGAAGGUCAAAUAUCCUUGAGUUCCUUUACUUAACAAUCUUCUAACCCGAAUUCCUGAAAUAAGUGCAGACGAAACCAACUUACCCCUCACAUCCAGUUUCAGGGUUGCCUCCCCUGGAAUACACAAUUCUACAAUGUUUGUCCUACAAUUCAACUGGGCAUUAUAACGGGUUAGCCAAUCCAUCUCUAAAAUCACAUCAUACCCCUUAAUUGCUAAGUCUAUCAAAUCGGCCAAUAAUUUUCGUUCCCCAACACAGAUUUCACAAUCCCUAUACACCAAGUUAGCAAUUAAACUUUUGUCUCCAGUAGGUGUUCUAACCUCCAAGUCAUAUGGUAACUUAAUUGGCUUCAAGUCUAUCACACUCAUAAAGUUAGGGUUUACAAAAGAAUGUGUUGCACCCGGAUCAAUUAAAACCCCAGCUAAACGUUGAAAAAUUGGAAUUGUACCUUCAACCAUCUUAGUCGCCUCAGGGACCUGUUGAUAGUCCAGUGCAUAGACCCUAGCCGAUACUUUCGGUCUACUUCCUCCAGCACUGGUCUGUUUAGAGGUUGACUUUUCUGGCCUCUGAGUGUUACCUCCCAUCUUCGUUUUACUUGGACAGUUCACGAGUUGGUGCUCCGUGCUACCACAAGCCAAAAACUUCCUAGACUUCCUCCAGCAUUCAUUCUCAGAGUGGUUAGAUUUUUCACAGUAUUCACAAGUGACUUGAGGGGUCAUGGCUAAACCACUAGAAGGCGCUCCCCUAUUCUGAACCGGUCCACUACGACCUCCUCUGGAUAAAGCUUCCCUAGGAGGUCCAGUAGUCCUUAAUCCUCUCAUUCCUUUUCCAAUUUUAGAAGGCUGUGAACUCUUACUAGUCUGUCUAGAAGUACGACUAGAAAAGUUCCUCUUCAUAUUGUGAAAGUUUUUAACUUGCAUUCUUGCACUUUCUACCCGUUGCGCUUUCUCUAAAGCCUCAGUAAAUGUGGAGCUUUGAGCUGCAGCUAAGCCCUCCUGGAUUUUUACAUUAAGUCCCUGCACAAACCGCCUUAUCCUUUUCCGCUCAUUGGUUACCAAUUCAGGGGCAUAUUUAGAAAGUUUAGUAAAUUUUCCUUCGUAUUCAGCUACACUAAGGGUCCCUUGUUUCAACUUGAUAAAUUCAUCCUCCCUCUUUUCUUGAAUCAGAGGUGGAAGAAAUUUUUCAUUAAACUCCCUCGUGAAAUUCUCCCAAGUCCAAGGGGUUUGAACUCUCUCCCAUUUUCCUUUUAUCAUGUCCCACCAAGCACGAACCACUCCCUCAAAUUGGAAAGCAGCAAAAUUCACUUGCCUAUUCUCAGCAUAGUCUAAGACGGCGAAUAUAUUGGUCAUUCUUUCCAACCAAUUCUCCGCUACCUUAGGAUCGGGUUCACCAACGAAUUUAGGCGGAUUAAACUUCAAAAAUCUUUCUAAGGCUCGGUCCUCUCCUCUUUCUCGUCCCCCAAGUUAGUUAAGUGAUCCAGGACCUUGCCUAUCAGCUAAGCGUUCUAGGAUGUCAGUCAUCCUAUUGAUGGCAGUAGCCACUUGAUUUUCCUCUAUAUUUUUCUGUCCCUGGGUCAGUCCAGUUGCCGAUCCCUGGUCAUCUCCAUGAGAUUGGGUCUGUCAAAUCCCUCGCCCACGGUCUCGAGCACGGUCUCGACCACUUCUUUGUCCGUCCAUUAUCCUAUAUGUGCCUAGUGCAAGAAAUAAAUCAAUUUCGAGAGAAAAUGCUUAAAACAAGAAUCAAUCACGAAAGCAUUGAAAAUAACAAUAAUUUACAUUCAUUAUCAUUUCAAGUUCAUACAAUUAGCAAGUCAUGGGAAAAUCACAAAAAUAUAGCACGCAAGUGCUACAAGAGUACUUUUAGUCACAGAAGACUAAAGUAAAAGCAAGUGCCACAAAAGUUGGCCACACAGUCAUGCAAAAUACAAUGGCUUCAGCACGUAGCAUCACCCCUGCUAAUCCUAUUUACACCAGUCAAAAGGGUCAAAAGGGUCGAUCACUAGGGACCUAGUCCACAGCAGGACUACCAGGCGGAAUCUCCUCCUCAAGAUCCUCCUCCGGAUCCUCCUCCUGGACCGGGUUCUAAACUAUAUCCGCCACUCCCUCUAUCAUCUCAGUGGCAUCAGCCAAGAUCCUAGAAACUCGAUCACGGACCUCCCCUCUUAAUCUAGUAAGUCGAGCCCUAGUACUCUGGAGCUCCUCAUGAACAACUGCAGCUGUAGCCACCUCGCCCUCUACUACCUCCUCAAGCUCAGCGAUCCUCUCGCCCUGAGCACUAACCAUCUAUCUAAACUCGUCCACCUCGGCCUGUAAGUCUAAGUUGGCAGUAACCAACUAACGACGCUCGUCGUCCAAUGCUAGCACAAUGUGGUUCGGGUAGGCAAAUGUCACCCUACAUGGGCAACGAGGAUAUCUAUCAUAAGGUGUAUAUCGCACGCGAGUUCCUCCACUCAGAACUCGGUAGUAAAUGGGCCUAGGAGGUUCUACGUGACCAUUAGCAUGGCCAUUCCCAUUAGCUGCCGGAGUCUCAUUUUCAUUUUCCAUCCCUGCAAAAUAAUUACACUUUUUAGGUUAGAACCUUAAUCGCUCACUCGCACGGAUGUCACUUACAGUAUGUCUAACUUAGUCACUAGUUCGCCCAAAUAUCACUUAAGGUAUGACUAAGUCGUCCGGUCUCAGGUCUUAAGGGUAGAGUAUCUAGUAUAUCUCCCAUAUAGAUCUCUAACCUAGUGCUCUGAUACCAACUGUGACGCCCCCACUUCUCCCUACGGUGAACCAGAGGGUAUCCGCGGGACGCCUGCCCAACUCUUGCCAGGACUCAAGCAAUUUCUAUUCAAACUUAAUGUAAAACUAUUCAACAAUACUAGAUAAGUAAGAAAGUGCGGAAAACUUCCAAACUUAACAAUAUAUAUAUAACGCUUAUCCAAUCAUUACAUUAAAUUCCUAAAAGCUACAUCAAUAUCCAAAAUAUAUAACAACUAGGUACAUCAAAUAUCCAAAUCAUACAUUAAAUUCUCAAUAGUACAACCAAAAAGAGAUCUAACCCAAAAUAUAUUAGAAACCCUAAGCCAAAAAUACAUCAAAAGAGUUCCUCCAAGUAUCAUUCCAUACCCAAUUCUGUUAAGGAAAACAAAUCUACAGGGAGAGCAAAACGCUCGUGAGGCCAAGGACACACAUGCAAGCACAUAGUCCAAAUAACAAGCCCAAUUAACAAGUCACAUAAUAAAGUACAAGUAAUUGUCAAUUCCAAUGAAAUGUAAACAGAAACAAUUCAAGGAUAUGGUAGCUCUCAUGAGCUAAGUUCCACUUGCUUUGCUAGGGUCAUUCGUAUACCUUCCCGCGAUGACUCUCCGUCAACCGGGUCGGUAUUUUGAAUUCGUAGAUCUCCACUUACUUCUCAUAUCCGUCCACCGUACAUACCACAACCGGGUCCGCACGUUAUUUAUGAGGCGAUACUCAACGAGUAUGCUAAGCAAGAUCUCUCCAACAGAUCAAACUUAUCAUGUGAUUCUCAUGGCUCACCGCGAUUCCCGACCAAACCCAUGUCGGCUCGAGUUUCAAGGUCGGCUUAUGAGUUUGGGUGUCCCCCUUGUGUAUUUGAGUGUCGAGGAGAUUUACUCCAACGACGUAUGCAGCCAUAGCAUAUUAUUUCAGGUCAAGUAAGCAUUUGAUGUAUUCAAGCAUUCAGGUCAUGUCCAGCAGGUCAUUUAUUUCAUGUCAAGCAAGUUAAUCAUGAGUUAUUUAUUUCAAAUGAGAACGAGUGCGAUAAAGUGCACACUCGACUCCAUUUUCAAAAUCUCAAGUCAUGAAUAACAAGUAAACAUGUAUCAAGUCUACAGGAAUUCAAGUAGUCAUGCACUUGACACUCACCAAGUCAACCAAGGAGAAUUGUUACUUGACACCCAUGUCUACAAUUUCCCCCUAGCAUUGGACUAGUGAGAAAAGUCGGAACAAAUGACCACAACUAGCAUUGGACUAGUGUGGAUUCGAGAAAUUGACCACAACUAGCAUUGGACUAGUGUGGUGAAGUCACACAUCGGUUACAAUCAAAUAAAUCAUGUGAGACCUAAUAAAAGCAUGUAAACAUAUAAAUCACACAUAACACAUAACACAUAAGCAUGAUAUCUAAAUCCAAGACCCUAAGAAAGCGGUAACACAUAGCACAUAGACAUGCAAAACACACAUAAGACAAAUAAAGCAAAUAAAGCCCUAACUAUUACAUUCGGGGGAAGCCUACUACAAUCUAAGAGGGGAAACAGAAUAAAAUAAAUAAAAUAAUAACCUAACUAUUACAAUUUUGGCAUUCAAGUGCCUUUCAAAUGAUCGAAAUUGAAAAUAACUAUACAAAACUAAAACAAAUAAUGUGGAUAAAUAAAUAAAUAAAUAAAAUGAAAACAUUCAAAAGGCAUGCAAUUAAGCACAUAAAUCACAUAGACACAUAGGGUCAAAUAAAGUGAAAAUAAGGGAUAGAGUAUACCUUCCUUGCAAUGGUAAUCAAAUGAGGGAAAAAUAGCUUCAAAACAAUAAAAGGGUCAAGACACCAAUUAAAUAGUAAAGUAUAAACAAAAUCACCAAAUCCCUCCCAAUUGCAACUUAAAUGAAAUCAAAUAAUGCAUAAUUUCCAAGAAAAGUAAAUUAUUGAUCAAAUUUCUAAAAUAGAAAAACUACCAAGGACCCAAUUGCAAAUAUUAACUAAUCACUCAAGCCCAAUUAACACAUUUUGAAAAAUUCACGGGUCCAAAAGCAAAGAAGGGGUCAAGUAAUGGUUCAAAUUGCAAUUACUCUAGGACCUAAUUGCAAGAAAUCAAAACAUGAUUGGGCCUUUGUAGCAUUAGAUAGAAAUUGGGGGGCCAAAGUGCAAAUUUUUCAUGCAUACAUAUGAAGCUUUCUUUAUUUAUGCUGGUUUCUUUUAUUUGCAACAGGUUGAGCUUCUCAACAUGCAAUCUCCCAUCCUUCCUAACACAACUAACAUCUCCGCCAGCCAAACAUUCAGAUUAAACAACAAGACAACCAAACUUUCUUUUCAUCUUUAAACACAAAAAUCCAGAGAGCAAGAGCAUGCAAAUCUAGCCAACCAAACUUCUGAGAAAAAGAACGUGAAGCAGGAUAACACACAGAGAAUCAUUUCAACAUUCUGCAAAUCUCAAUGCUUCCCCCCUUACCCAAAGCUGAACCCAAAAUAAGCAAAAGAAAAGAGCCUACAUACACACGAAACUGGUAUUGCCUAUGAACACCAAAUUCUGCAAACCCAUCUUUCGGCCGAACAAAAUCUCAAACAGAUCAAGAAUAACGAUAGCUACAAACAAUGUCAUUGUUGAGACCAACUGUUAUGCUACACUUUGCUGCAAAUAAAUUGCAGCAAACGCAUACAAUGGCAUCGCCAUCCAACAACAAACAGACCCAACAGACAAAAACAAAUCAAAUCAAGGUCUUAAUUCCCAAAGCAACCCGUUUUGCCGACCUCGCUGCAACAAGCCAAAGCUUUGAGGUUGUUGCAGCAAAUUUUAUGUGCAAAAAACAGUUAAGCAACAUUUAAGUUCAGCCAACAAAAUCCUCAAUCAACCUUCCUACUACACAAUCGUAAAACCUUUGGAUUUAAACACAAAAGGAUCGAAGCAUAGGAACUUGCCAAUUUGGAAAUUUGUUUUACAGCUUGUGUAUUCAUUUUCUCAAUUGCGGGCUUCAUUACCAAACACUCGCAUGGUGAAAAUCAAUUCCAAUCCAACCAAACAUGCACACAUUAUACUUAUUACUGCUAAGAAACCAACGCAAGCAAACGAAGAAAAAUGAGACAGCAAUGGACGAAGCAUCAAUGAAAAGAUUUUGCCGACUGUGUGGUAUCCUUCUGGGUUUCGUUCAUCAUAUGCACAACAACCAUGAACCUUAAGCAAGAACCGAUGAUUCAACCUCAUAGAUAACCUAGAUUUCUACCUCAAAAACCCUAAUUCAAACUCAUCAAAUCUUCUACUUCCCCCCCUCCGACCAGAUUCACACAGAAAUAAACAUAAGGAGGAUAACUUCAGUACGUCCCAUAUGCAGUGAGCUAAGAACAAACCCAGUGGAAGAUGUUACCUUUUAUCCCUUUCAAGGGAAAAUCAAGGUCUGGGAUGAUGGAAUAGGGGGUCUUCGUUCAACCGGAGAGUCUAAUCUUCCCGGCUCGCAAGCUGUCCUUCUUUGGCUUCCUCAGCAGAAUACUUGCUCCCUGGUUUUUCUUCUUUUUUUUCUAUCUCACCGUCUUUCAAUCUACUAUGUUUCUUCCUUUCUUAGUUGCUUGCCCUCUAUUCUUUCUUUUCCUUCUAUCUCCAGUCCGCCCCCAGAUUUUUAUCCGCCGCCUCUCUCUUGCUAUUUCUUUCCUCGGGUUUUCUCAUACCCUAGCUCACCUCCAGCCGUCCCCUCUGUUUUCUUUUUUCUAUCCCUCUGCCCUCUGUUUCUCAACCGCUAAUCUUUUCCUCUCCCCAUUUUUUCUCUCCAGCCCCAGACCCCUUUGGCCGUCCACUUAGCUUUCCUUUUAUAUCCUCUCUUUAUAGCUACCAAAACUUCUAAACCUACAUCUAAUGGUGCUGCUGAAAUCAUCUUUUCUUGAUGGUUUAUGAACCCUUAGAUGAGUUUUGUCCAUGAUGAUCUUAGUGUAGGGAUCAAAGCCAAGUGGUUAGGGAGAAAGUGAUCCAAUGGCGAUGAAAAAAAAUGGUGGGAAAAAGAAAAUAGGAUUGUGUUGCAUUUCCUUGUAUUUUCGCUUCAUGUUUCUGCUCAAAAACGAAAUAUGGAGAUAGAGUUCGGAUCACAUGAAGUUCACACAAGCGUGAGCUUGGUCUGACACCUCUUCUCUCUUUUUUAAUUUUUAAUGCUAAAAAUGCCUAACGAGAUAAAGGAUUAAAUAAAAACAAAUAAAGAUAAAUAAAUUACUAUCUAGAAUGCCAAAAUGAAAAAAUAAAAUCAUGAGAUUAAUAAGGUAAAAUAAAUGACAAUUAUCAAUAAAUAAAUAAAAUAAAAUAAAAUAAAAAAUUUGGUGUUUACAUUUUGCCCCUCUUUGUCUGAGUUUCGAAGAAGCUCGAAACAAAGAAGUUGACACCAAAUGCUCACCUGUGGCUAUUCUGCUGCAAAUUAAUCGAACGACUGACAUUCUUGAAAUGAGAACUGACCCCGACAAAAUUUUUUAAAAAUGGAACUGACUCAGAUGAGAAAUUUAAAACGAGACUGACCUCCUGAACAAGAAAUUUAAAAGGGGACUGACCCCGACAAGAAAUUUAAAUCAUGGGAUUGACCUGAACAAGAAAUUUAAAUGGGACUGACCCCAACAAGAAAUUUAAAAGGGGACUGACCCGAACAGGAAAUUUAAAAGGGGACUGACCCCAACAGAAAAUUUAAAUGGGACUGGCCCGAACAGAAAAUUUAAAUGGGACUAGCCCGAAUAGAAAAUUUAAAAUCAUGGGAUUGACCCGAAUAAACUUUAAAUCAUGGGACUGACCCGAACAAAAUUUAAAAUCAUGGGACUGACCCGAACAAACUUUUAAAUCAUGAGACUGACUUGAACAAACUUUAAAAUCAUGGGACUGACCCGAAUAAACUUUAAAUCAUGAGACUGACCCGAAUAAAAAUUUAAUGCUCACUAGUGGGACUAACCCAUGUUCAGUGGCAGUGGAAAUGAAAUGCUCACUGGUGGGACUAACCCAUGUUCAGUGGCAGUGGAAAUGAAAUGCUCACUAGUGGGACUAACCCAUGUUCAGUGGUGAUGAAAAUAAAAUGCACACUAGUGGGACUGACCCAUGUUUAGUGACAAUGAAAAUGAAAUGCACGUUAGUGGGACUGACCCAUGUUUAGUGGCAAUGAAAAUAAAAUGCACGCUAGUGGGACUGACCCAUGUUUAGUGGCAAUGCAAAUGAAGUGCUCACUGGUGGGACUGACCCAUGUUCAGUGGCAAUGAAAACGAAAUGCUCGCUAGUGGGACUGACCCAUGUUUAGCGGCAAUGAAAAUAAAAUGCACACUAGUGGGACUGACCCAUAUUUAGUGGCAAUGAAAAUAAAAUGCACACUAGUGGGACUGACCCAUAUUUAGUGGCAAUGCAAAUGAAGUGCUCACUGGUGGGACUGACCCAUGUUCAGUGGCAGUGAAAACGAAAUGCUCGCUAGUGGGACUGACCCAUGUUUAGCGUCAAUGAAAAUAAAAUGCACACUAGUGGGACUGACCCAUGUUUAGUGGCAGUGAAAACGAAAUGUUCACUGGUGGGACUGACCCAUGUUCAGUGGCAAUGAAAAUGAAAUGCUAGUAUGGAUGCAGAAACUGUAUAAAAUUUACUUGAAAAAUCAUCCAAAAAUUUGCCCCAGUGAUGAAUUGGUCAGUGGGAUUAAACCCGAGCCUGCCGUGAAAAUUGGUCAGUGUGAUUAAACCCAAACCUGCCUUGAGAAGCGGUUAGUGGGAUUAAACCUGAGCCUGCCUUGAUAAUAAGUCAGUGGGAUUACACCCGGGCCUGCCUUUGGCAAAUUGGUCAGUGGGAUUAAACCCAAACCUGCCUUGAAAAUCGGUCAGUGGGAUUAGACCCGAGCCUGCCAUAAGAAUCGGUCAGUGGGAUAGCACCCGAGCCUGCCGUGAAAUUAGCCCCAAAAAUUAAGUGUGAUUGUCAAAAGGGGAAGAUAGAAGGGAGCGCGGCGGACGCUGAGACAUCGCCAACAAGAAUUCAAUUUGAUUUUUCAAGAAAUAAGAAAUUGAAUUUGAUUUUUUUUUAUUUUUGAUUUUUCUGAUUUUUCUGACUUUUGAUUUUUAUUUUUUUUUGGAUUUUCUAAUUUUUUGAUUUUUUUUUGGAUUUUUUCUUUGAUUUUUUUUGGAAUUUUUUUUUGAACUCUUUUUGGAAUUUCUUUUGAAAAAUUUUUGAUAUUUUCGAGAGAAUCUUUUUCAAAAAUAAUUUGCCCCAGUGUAGGGCCCUUCUUUUUUUUCUUUUUCCGGUAUCGGUCUUCCACAUUACUUGAUGUUUCUCCAUCGAUUUCAGCCAUGAAUACCUGCACAGGGGGCUUGUCAAAGUACAACAUGCACUUAAAUUUCUUAUUUUAUUUUAAAAUCAAUGCAACUACUACUCAUGAAAAGAGCAGCGUGUUUGGUUUGACAUCCUCAAAUGUAUUUACAAACAAUUUGCCCUAACGUGGGCUUAUUUUGUGAAAUUUCAAAAAUAAAAAUUUGCCCCAGUGUGGGCCUAUUUAAUUUGCAAAAACUUUGUUUGGAUGACGUUCCAUUUGUUUGAGCAAAGUAAGAAACUAUGUUUCCUAUUAGAAAAUUUCAUGAUGAAUUUCUCGAAAUAAUACCAAAUUACAGAAGAUUUCUUCCUCAUCUUAGUAUCGAUGCUUAGAGUAAUGGGUCCCCAAUUCUUGUUAAAUCGUCUUUCAAGACCAAUCAAGUGAUCUUAUUUCUGAUUUUGAGGUGGCUAAGGAAAAUGAGAAGUCAAGAUUUGUCUUGUUCUUGUGCCCAAAAUUGUAUGUAAUCCAUUCAAUAUCACAUCUUAGUGAAAGCAAAUAGUUUGUCACCCUCAUUUCUUAAGAAAACUUAGUCAACAUAUAAGCUUUUAGGCUUGUAACGUAUGGGCAGAAACGAUAGCUAAACAUGUGAAAACUGGUUAUACCCUUAUAAUUACAAAUGAUUGAUGGAUUUCUUAUGAGUAUAAUCCUCACUUUGGAUUGUCAUGAAGGAUAAGUCAGCGAUGGACUUUAUAAGCUUAUAAUGUGGCUUGAAAACGAUAGUUAAAGAAUAUGACUUCAAGGUCAUUGCACCGAAGAUCGCAUUUUUCCAAAAUUGCCUCUAUUUUGAACUCAAAGAUCUUAGAUUUGGUGACUUUCCUCAUCACUUAACGGGGACUUCACCAUCAAAUCUUUUCAUUUUCUUUGCAUUUAUUUUUGCUUUUUCCAUUUCAUUUCAAAGGUGCCCUGGCGGAUUUUUAGAUGAUGAGUAAUGUUAAUUUCACAGCUAAUCAAUUCAAAAAUACAUCUAAAAAAUUUUCUAACAUCAGAAUAUGCGCAUCACUUGCCAAUUAAUUAGAAAGUUUCUUAACAGAGAUAUUGUAAAAAAAUGGAAGUCAGGACUUUUAGCUUUUGUAAUGGGGUCUGGUGGGGUGCUUAGAAAAGUUAAGACUUGAAAGCGGAUUUUCAAAAGUGGUUUAAAUGAUUUGAGACCGCAUUAUUGCGCCAACCCUAUUUUAGGGUUAAAUCAAAGUUUGCCCCAAUUCAAUCUCCAUUGAGGUUUUUUUCUCUUUCAUUUGUUUCUUUUUCGGCCUUGUGCCAUUCUUUUCCAAAAAUUUGCCCCAGUUUAUGCUCAACAGUGGUUCUCUUUUCUUUUCUUUUCCUUUUGAUUUUGUUGCUUUAUCACUUUUCAUCUCUUGGGACUUUUCUUUCUUUUCAACUCAAACUUGCCCCAGUGUGGGGUUUGCGAUUCUCAGGGGUUGCCAAACGAAGUAAUUUAUUCUGAAGGUUCAAAAGGAAUAACUAGGGAUAGAAUGUCUGAUUGGAAAAGAAGAGGGCCUGACUUUUAUUCCGUUCCUUACAUUAACUCUGAAAGGAAACUUUCAUUAAUGGGAAAUUCUUGCUUGUAUCUGAAUUAACUGACUGAGAAAGACCAUUGUUCAUCCAUAUCUGUGAAACAUAGGUGAUCCGCCGGACAAAACUCUUCCUUUUCUUUUCUCUUCUUCUUUUUUAAAAUUGAAACCCAGGUGGAAUCAAAUUUCCCCAAUUUGCGGUUCCCUCCUUCUUCUUGAAUUUUAGCAUUUUUGCCCUCUUUUUUUUCUUUUUUUUUUCCUCUUUUGAAAAAUCCUCCAAUUUCCUUCCCCGGUGUGGGGUACGAUCAUAAGUGCUUUUGAAAAGAACCAUCUAUUUUAGCUCAAAGGGGGAUGCAAGGGAUAAAUAGUGUUUAGAUUGUAGAAACGAUGGCCAAAGCAUCAUUCUUACAUCUCAUGACAACCAAAGGAACGACAUGCUUAUUGAGAAUCCAUUCCCUUUUGAUAUUUGAAAAUCUUCAAAUGUAAGAUAGUGGUCAUUAAGGCUCUUAUUUGAAACAAAAUUAUUCUUCUUUAUUCUUUAUUCUUUUUUUUUUAAGGCUCAAAUGGGGGAGCAAAUGAUAAAAUCUAUGUAGAUAGAGAAACGAACGCUUGAAGUGUCAUUCCAAAUUUUCAAAACAAACAAGAAUAAUGCACAUUUUUGCUUUCACUGAGAUGUGAAUUGAAUAUAAUUAGACACAGUGGACAUUUUUCAAGCAAAGAUUGCUCCAAUUUGUAAUUUAUCAAUCAAUGUGACUGAUUUUAUUUUGGGAUAAUAGAAGUGGGCAAAAAUAUGAAUUGUACAGUGAAGGAGAAAAGAUAUCUCAUUGGAUUUUUCGAGUGACCUCUUUUAAUUUUGAACACUCUUAUUGUACAGUUCGGAUCACCAAUCUAGUGUACGUAAAGAUUUUAGAAAGCAUACACUUGUGAAUUUUCAGGCUAGAGGUUAAAAAAAAAUCCCUAUUUGGUCUUAUUUCUUAAAAUUCAUCAUGAAACCUCCAAUGAGCAACAAUUAAAGAAUGAAAUGUACAUGAACAUACACAAAACAAUAAGUGUCCAAAAACUUUACUGCUGGAAAAAGUUUAAAACAAAAUUUUUCGUUCAACUAUAAUACAAUAAGAAAAGAAAACUUCUAACAAGCUCCACAUAUAUACACUUUUUGUCUCCCUUUCUUUUGGAACAAAAUGUAUUAACAAAUCAAAUAAAUAGAAUUUUCCCUUGAAAAAACAAUUAUAAAGUCUCUCAGAAACCUUAACCUAGAGCUUUCAGAUGGAUUUUUCAUGUUUUCAUUGUAAGGUCUGCCCAAGAAUCAAGUAAUACUUGUAAUUUUCAAAUUUUAUCAGACAUAGAAAAAUAUUUUCACCUUAUUAAAGCAUUUUUUAUGAAUGCAGGGGAGGGGAAAACAAAAGAAAAAAUACCCCGAGUUAGUAAGCAAGACUAUAAAAUCGGUAUGCAUGUCCUAUUGGGGAACCCUUUUAUGCCAAGGGUAGGCCUAGCAUGAAAAUGCAAUCCUCUAGGGUAUGCACCAUACAAUACCUGAUGAAUCCGAUCCACUGAUUGGGUAAAAAAAUGAUUUGAAAAACUUGGCCAAUUGGAGUGAGAAGAGACGUUUGUCCUAAAAAAUGAGGACGAAGUCCGAAUGGAUUGCUUGUUUUGAUCGACACAUAAAAUGAUGUGAGAAAGAGCCUACUCUUGACAGGAUUGCAAUGUUUAGAUUAGGUCAUUCAGUGAACCUUAGACCAAACCCUAAGAGAGGAAAAUCGGGUCAAAUGGAUAGGAUGAAGUUGAUGAUUUAUUCAAAAUUGACUAGAUUACCUUAAAAAGGGUAAAAUGGUCAAAUGUAUUGAAUUAAAUUUGAUUAUUUAUUCAAAAUUGAAUGGAUAACCCUAAAAAUGAAUUAAACUAAUCAAAUGAAUUGAAUGAAAUCAAUUGAUCAAACAGAUCGAGUGAAAUGAUGAUUUAUUCAAAAUCGAUCGAACUGCCCUAAAACUAGGCAAAUUGGUCAAAUGGAUCGGACGAAAUUGAUGAUUUAUUCAAAAUCGAUAAGAUUGGCCUAAGAAUAGGUAAACUAAUCAAAUGAAUUGAAUGAAAUUAGUGAUCUAUUCAAAAUCGACUAGAUUGCCCCAGAAAUGAACAAAUUGAUAAAAUGGACUGGAUGAAAUUGAUGAAUAAAAUGGUCCAAUGGAUUGAAUGGAAUUGACAGCUUAUUUAAAAAAAAUCAAUCUAUCCAUUGGUAGUUUCAAAAAAUUUAUUGCGAUGCGUUAGUCUAUUAGCCUUCUAAUAUCAAAAUUUGGCCUCAAUUUAUUUACCGUCUCAACAGUGAGGAAAAUAUUGGUGAAUUUCUUCAAGUUAAUGUCCUCUAACCAAGGGAAUUUUACCAAAUAUGUAAAAAUGGCCAACAGAUGAUUGUUAAAUGGCCAUAUCCUAAUGUGCCCAAAGUUGUUGUGUUAUCAGGGAAAAAUUGGAUCCUAUCUUAUCUCGUGCACUACCCCUUUGGAUGGUACAAAAUGUAAACGUGCAAGUCUCCUUGGAUUAAGUAUUCGAGACACGAGGUGGCUUAUUCCUAACAUGGGAUCCCCUAAAUGGCAUUCCCUUUCUAGGGUUUAUGCAUGAUGCCAUUUUAUCAAAGCGCAUAAAUAUGCAGUACACAAAUGAAACGUGACCUAAAGGGAACCUCCUUUAGUAUGCCGGGGUGAGCCUAAAAUAAAAUGUAUUCAUGCUGCAAAUACGAAGCAUUGAAUUUAAACGUGUCAUACCAAAUAAAGUAGGCUCCUAGAGAGUACCAUGCCAGGACUCUUAUUUUCUAGGGCUUAUGAAUGCAAUAAAGACAAAAACCAAGAAAAGUUAGUUCAAUAAAUACACAUAACACAUUGUAGCAAUGCAAUACAAAGAGAUAAAGCAAUAAGAGGGGUUGGAUCCCUCCCCUCGUGAAUAGUGUCCCUAAUAGGGUAAGGCAGACUCUACCCUAGGUAAACUAUCGUGGAUGCAUGAGGUUGGGUUUCACUAAUGCAUCUAGACUCGAUAGGUUUUAGGUCCCCGAGCCUUCAGAUUUGGAAAUCAAGGGUCAUCAAUCCCAAGGUUCUUUGUCGGUGGCUCGAGCGAUUCCCCAGACAUUGCUACGCACACAUCGUGUCACGGCUACAUGUCAUGAGUGAAUCUAUCAAAAAUCCUCGACUUUCGACUAAAAGUUAAAGACUAUCAACCCCAAGCUUAAAAUGGAAGAUUGAAUGACCUCUCAGAUCAUGCUGCGCACAUAUCGUGUCGCGAUCACACGUCCAAGUGGGUCACCUAAUCCUAAUAGGGUGGAGUGACGUGACAAGCCACUAAAAGAAAAAUAAAGGAGGGAUAAAUAAUAAAGCGUAUGCACGUAUGCUAGUGCUCCUUUUUGGAGGGGAGGGAUCGAGAACCAAUGCGAGGCUCUAGGGUAAUGACCCCCCAUCCCAAUGCAAUGCAAAACGCGGGAUAAAAUAAACUAUCCAUUCAUCAAAUCAAACGUAGGCGAAUGGGUGAGGAAAUGAGUUGAUACGCGCGAAAUGCAAAAAUCCUAAAAAGAAAAAAAUGCAAUGCUAAACAUCCAAAUGUAAUAUAUAAGAAGGUUAAAAGAAGAAAAGAAUCGACUAAAUCAAAUGCUCAGACUCUCUAAGUCCCCAGUGGAGUCGCCAGCUGUCGCGCCCCAUUUUUUGAAAACAUAAAUAAAUGGUUUAAAAAGUGAAUUUUGAUUCAAUUUUUGGUUGGAAAAUGAAUUUUUGAAAAAACAUGGGUCUAAAUGGGACAUGAAAAUGCGACGAUUUGACCCAAAAUAUAAUUUAAAAAGGGUUUAUUGAAUGAAAAAUGAAGUCACCACUUGGUAUAGAGUUAAGGUGUACCAAGUCACCUAAAAUGAAAUUUUAAAGAAAAAAUGGAAAAACCCUUUUUAAAUGACUGCAAAUCCACGUAAAUCAAAGAAAAAGAUUCGAGAGUCACAUUCGAAGAAAGGGAAGGCAAGGAUAAAAAUCCGAGGCACCCUUUCGAUCUAACCAAGGAUAGUUGCGUGAUUUAGUUAAGGAUUUUCUUAUUUUAACCAAAAGAUUUAUCACAUAUGGACGUGCUAUAUGAAUGCAACCCUAGACCUAGGAGGGUAUCGGGGGGUCAAAAUUUCUCUUCAAAACUCAAUUGAUGCUAAUCACAUUAAUUGUGAUGCCCAAUGCGGAUUCUUUGGAGAGGUCACGAAUAAUGCAGAAAAUAUGAGACUCUAAGAAAAGAAAUAAAAAAUAAUUAUAGAAAUAUGCAUGUCUUAAAGAAGUGCAUCAUGUCGGGUACGGGGGGCUAAUGUUCGUGAUUCAAUUUUCCCUUUUAGUAGAAGGAAUACGGGCGUGUUAAGGCUAGAAGAGCCAAACUCGUCCAUAUCCCAUAUCCAAGGGGGUAUUCCCUAAUCUAAUCAAGCAAAUGCACUACCCUAAUCCUAAUUUUAAAAUAAAAUGCAAUUCUAAUGUUAUGUUUUCAUACCAAAGGGGUAAGGAAUAUAUAUAUAAGGGAAAAUACGUAAUAAGGGAUAUGAGUAGAAGGGAAUACGGGAUAAAUGAUGUACAUAUAUAAGAAAGUGUCAUGCAACAUGGUAAAACCCUAAAAAGUAAAAACAUGCAUGAGAUGAAGUGAUUUUAUCACACGACCAUGAUCUAACGCUCGAGGGGCUCCUAAGGGUCUAGCGUUGGACUAACCCAUGUCUACAAUUUCCCCAUAGCAUUGGACUAGUGAGAAAAGUCGGAACAAAGGACCACAACUAGCGUUGGACUAGUGUGGAUUCGAGAAAUUGACCACAACUAGCAUUGGACUAGUGUGGUGACGUCACACAUCGGUUACAAUCAAAUAAAUCAUGUGAAACCUAAUAAAAGCAUGUAAACACAUAAAUCACACAUAACACAUAACACAUAAGCAUGAUAUCUAGAUGCAAGACCCUAAGAAAGCGGUAACACCUAGCACAUAGACAUGCAAAACACACAUAAGGCAAAUAAAGCAAAUAAAGCCCUAACUAUUACAUUCGGGGGAAGCCUACUACAAUCUAAGAGGGGAAACGGAAUAAAAUAAAUAAAAUAAUAACUAACUAUUACAACUUUGGCAUUCAAGUGCCUUUCAAAUGAUCGAAAUUGAAAAUAACUAUACAAAACUAAAACAAAUAAUGUGGAUAAAUAAAUAAAUAAAUAAAAUGAAAACAUUCAAAAGGCAUGCAAUUAAGCACAUAAAUCACAUAGACACAUAGGGUCAAAUAAAGUGAAAAUAAGGGAUAGAGUAUACCUUCCUUGCAAUGGUAAUCAAAUGAGGGAAAAAUAGCUUCAAAACAAUAAAAGGGUCAAGGCACCAAUUAAAUAGUAAAGUAUAAACAAAAUCACCAAAUCCCUCCCAAUUGCAACUUAAAUGAAAUCAAAUAAUGCAUAAUUUCCAAGAAAAGUAAAUUAUUGAUCAAAUUUCUAAAAUAGAAAAACUACCAAGGACCCAAUUGCAAAUAUUAACUAAUCACUCAAGCCUAAUUAACACAUUUUGGGAAAUUCACGGGUCCAAGAGCAAAGAAGGGGUCAAGUAAUGGUUCAAAUUGCAAUUACUCUAGGACCUAAUUGCAAGAAAUCAGAACAUGAUUGGGCCUUUGUAGCAUUAGAUAGAAAUUGGGGGGCCAAAGUGCAAAUUUUUCAUGCAUGCAUAUGAAGCUUUCUUUAUUUCUGCUGGUUUCUUUUAUUUGCAACAGGUUGAGCUUCUCAACAUGCAAUCUCCCAUCCUUCCUAACGCAACUAACAUCUCCGCCAACCAAACAUUCAGAUUAAACAACAAGACAACCAAACUUUCUUUUCAUCUUUAAACACAAAAAUCCAGAGAGCAAGAGCAUGCAAAUCUAACCAACCAAACUUCUGAGAAAAAGAACGUGAAGCAGGAUAACACACAGAGAAUCAUUUCAACAUUCUGCAAAUCUCAAUGCUUCCCCCCUUACCCAAAGCUGAACCCAAAAUAAGCAGAAGAAAAGAGCCUACAUACACACGAAACUGGUAUUGCCUAUGAACACCAAAUUCUGCAAACCCAUCUUUCGGCCGAGCAAAAUCUCAAACAGAUCAAGAAUAACGACAGCUACAAAUAAUGUCAUUGUUGAGACCAACUGUUAUGCUACACUUUGCUGCAAAUAAAUUGCAGCAAACGCAUACAAUGGCAUCGCCAUCCAACUACAAACAGACCCAACAGACAAAAACAAAUCAAAUCAGCGUCUUAAUUCCCAAAGCAACCCAUUUUGCUGACCUCGCUGCAACAAGCCAAAGCUUUGAGGUUGUUGCAGCAAAUUUUAUGUGCAAAAAACAGUUAAGCAACAUUUAAGUUCAGCCAACAAAAUCCUCAAUCAACCUUCCUACUACACAAUCGUAAAACCUUUCGAUUUAAACACAAAAGGAUCGAAGCAUAGGAACUUGCCAAUCUGGAAAUUUGUUUUACAGCUUGUGUAUUCAUUUUCUCAAUUGCGGGCUUUAUUACCAAACACUCGCAUGGUGCAAAUCAAUUCCAAUCCAACCAAACAUGCACACAUUAUACUUAUUACUGCUAAGAAACCAACGCAAGCAAACAAAGAAAAAUGAGACAGCAAUGGACGAAGCAUCAAUGAAAAGAUUUUUCCGAAACUGUGUGGUAUCCUUCUGGGUUUCGUUCAUCAUAUGCACAACAACCAUGAACCUUAAGCAAGAACCGAUGAUUCCACCUCAUAGAUAACCUAGAUUUCUACCUCAAAAACCCUAAUUCAAACUCAUCAAAUCUUCUGCUUCCCCCCCUCCGACCAGAUUCACACAGAAAUAAACAUAAGGAGGAUAACUUCAGUACGUCCCAUAUGAAGUGAGCUAAGAACAGACCCAGUGGAAGAUGUUACCUUUUAUCCCUUUCAAGGGAAAAUCAAGGUCUGGGAUGAUGGAAUAGGGGGGUCUUCGUUCAACCGGAGAGUCUAAUCUUCCCGGCUCGCAAGCUGUCCUUCUUUGGCUUCCUCAGCAGAAUACUUGCUCCCUGGUUUUUCUUCUUUUUUUUUCUAGCUCAUCGUCUUUCAAUCUACUAUGUUUCUUCCUUUCUUAGUUGCUUGCCCUCUAUUCUUGCUUUUCCUUCUAUCUCCAGUCCACCCCCAGAUUUUUAUCCGCCGCCUCUCUUGCUAUUUCUUCCCUCGGGUUCUCUCAUACCCUAGCUCACCUCCAGCCGUCCCCUCUGUUUUCUUUUUUCUCUCCCUCUGCCUUCUGUUUCUCAGCCAUUAAUCUUUUCCUCUCCCCCUUUUUUCUCUCCAGCCCCAGACCCCUUUGGCCGUCCACUUAGCUUUCCUUUUAUAUCCUCUCUUUAUAGCUACCAAAACUUCUAAACCUACAUCUAAUGGUGCUGCUGAAAUCAUCUUUCCUUGAUGGUUUAUGAACCCUUAGAUGAGUUUUGUCCAUGAUGAUCUUAGUGUAGGGAUUAAAGCCAAGUGGUUAGGGAGAAAGUGAUCCAAUGGCGAUGAAAAAAAACGGUGGGAAAAAGAAAAUAGGAUUGUGUUGCAUUUCCUUGUAUUUUCGCUUCAUGUUUCUGCUCAAAAACGAAAUAUGGAGAUAGAGCUCGGAUCACAUGAAGCUCACGCAAGCGUGAGCUUGGUCUGACACCUCUUCUCUCUUUUUUAAUUUUUAAUGCUAAAAAUGCCUAACGAGAAAAAGGAUUAAAUAAAAACAAAUAAAGAUAAAUAAAUUAAUAUCUAGAAUGCCAAAAUGAAAAAAUAAAAUCAUGAGAUUAAUAAGGUAAAAUAAAUGACAAUUAACAAUAAAUAAAUAAAUAAAUAAAAUAAAAUAAAUAAAAAUUUGGUGUCUACAAGGAGAAUUCGAAAAACUCCAUUUCCUUAAGAUUCGGAAAUUUCAGUUUUGAUACGAGAUCUUUGAAAAAUCACAUCUCACUCUUUACAAGUCCAAAAUUGGAAAACUUAGUACUGUUGGAAAUCUCUUAGGAAGUACUAAAAGUUCCUAGUAGCCAUCUUUCCAGGAUUCUAAAUGGAAGGUAUCCGAAAAUUAGCUCAAAGUUGCUGUUUUGGGGCAUUGAAGACAGGUUUAAGUUGGUUUUUGGUCAACUUUGAAAAUUUGGCAAAAUUCACUUGAUUUGAACUAACCUCUCGAAUUUGGAAAUUUGUUAGGGUUGCAAUCCACGUUUAAAACAAAAUAAACGGAACGAGAAUCAGAGUUUUGAGCACCAAGAUACAAUAGCUCAAAGUUGGUGAAAAAUCGAAACUGUUAAGCCAAUUUUCCAGAUUUAAGUUCCAAACUUUGGGACUUUAGUUAGGUAUCGAAAUGGACUCGGAAGAGUGCCAAAUUAGGUAUGAAUAUACUACCAUAUAAGGGCCACUCCUUUGCCAAAUUUCAUAGAAAAAUAUGUUCGUAAAUUGGUUAACGAGACCGUUGAAAUCACAAGAAAUUCUAAGGCUAAGCUGCCUUUGAACUUCCGUUUUGCCGUUUCCAAGCAUUUGGUCAAGAAACAUCUCAAACCUGGUCCAUUCCAGUAGGUAAUGUCUAAAAUAUGUCCAAGGUACAUUUGAUAGGUGAUAUACACUAAGAAGUUUCGGAUAACAAGUUCCAAAUCAUUGUUAGUUUCAAAUCUGUCCAAAUGCAUGGUAUUUCUUCACAAUACCAGAUUCCAAUUUUGGUCAUAAAUCACUCAAUUCAACUCGAAAUUGAGCAUGGUUGGUGGCGUUGGAAAACACAUUCAUAGAGAUACAAUUUUUUAGAAGAAACUAUUUUCAAAAUCUGUCCACAACUAGCCCACAUUUAAGCAUCAAGUUGUAGUUCAUGUUCUGCCUUCCAGUGAACCAACGAAACAGUGCAGCCAAGUUCAAAUAGUUGGUGUGGUUCACUCAGGUGGAAUCAGAACGUGCAUUUUAUACCGUUGGAAAGUUGGGAAUAUUUAGUUUCCAGUGCCGCAAAUGGAACUCGAUUUCGACAUCGGGACAAAGAGUUAUAGUCUAAACAAAAUCACUGCCAAAGUAAUACGGGACACAAUUCCAGUUUUGGCAAAUUUUCUAAAUCUCAACAUGCACUCACCCAAAUCACGUAAAAUUUUGAGAAAACUUUUUACACAACAUAUAUUACACAUUUGCAUCAGAAAGAAGUCAAUUGGACUUCAAGAAAGUACACUAAAAUGCACGAAAAUGGCAGGGCAGAAUCGGCACCUUCACAUGCAACCCUUCAUUUGACUUCCUUUUCACUUUUAUCACUUAACUCUACUAAAUUAACACUUAAUCAACACAAUUAACAUCCAAUCUUAUCAAAUCAGAUCAUCAAAGUCAUUGUGGGAUUUCAUAGAGCCCACUCACCAAUUUUCUAACAAUUUAAAGCUGCCCAUGAGAAUCCAAGAGCUCAUGAGUGUAAUCUAUCUUCCAUAAAUCAAGAAUUAAGUGGUUGAUCAUUAUUACUUUCUUAGAGAGCCAAGAUAGAAAUUUUGGUCACUUUGAGCUGGAGAAAAACUGUGAGAGGCAGCUCUUUUCCUAGCUUAUCUUGAUCACCAAGUGAUUUGAGUGUUGUGUGUAAAAUUUGGAGGUAAUUUGAGCAAGGAAUUGAGGAGAAAAAGUGGAGGAAUUUUCUGGUCUUGUUCUUCCUUUGUUGCUCGGCUGUUUGAGUGUAUGUGAGGAAGGAAAUUCUGAUGUUAUUAGCUUCUAAGGUAGGCUUAAAACUGGUGGCUCAAAUUUGCUCAAAGUUGUCCACUAAAAUAAUGCACGUGCGCGUGCGUUUCGUGCUCGAUUCCUCUCGAGUUUAUUGCACUAGUGCACUAAACCUCUAAUGCACUUACAUUCAUAUUAUUAUUAUUCACUCUUAAUAGUCCCAAAAUAAUGGUCUAAAGCUCCUCAAUUACUCGCGCGCGUAAAAACGCAUAUGUCUAAUUUAAGCGCGAGAUAGUGAAAUUUAUAAGAAGUUCUUAUAACAGUAAUAUAACUAACUAACCUUUGAACACUUAUACAUAAAAAUACCUAUUUUAGGACUAAUGUACAAGUCUCCAAUUUUCCAAGUUUAUUGUAUUCUCGAAUCGAUUUCCUCCUGAGGAGCGUUUUUAUUUUCUUUGUUCCAAACCAUCCAUGAUGUUCCGUCGCUCUAGGUGGACUAAAACCAUACAGAGCAAUUCUCCUGAAAAUACAGCCUGUUCCGACAUACAUUGGACCUUGUAAUCCAUCAAAAGCCCUCAUACUCACAUCAAAAAAUACGGUGUUGUGGUUUGCAUACCGAUCAUUUGGAUCAAUCCCCUCGAAUCGUUGAGGGAAUUGUACGUAACAAAUUCUGUCACCACCUCGGUCUAGCAUAAAACACAUUCCCUCCCUCAAUGCCAAGAGUUAUAGAUAUAGUGGUCACAGUCCAAAUUAAGAAUGAAAGGGCCGUUGGACAUAAUUGCCCUGGCACGGACUAGAGCAUUCAUGGCUCUAGCUUUCUUGUUGUGUUCAAAACCACGCCGCUUCUCACGAGAGACAUAAACCAGCAUUGGCAGCCGGAUAUCAACUUCUGCUGUAUCAAUCAAGUUGUCCUUAUCAGCUUCAGUCCCAAAAACUGGCUCUGAAUUAGGCGGCAUCAACAUCAUCUGAAAGAGCGAAACAAGAUAUUAGCAAUGAAGAAUCACAUCAGACUAAAGGAGGAAAAUUGCACCAAAGCCAAGAAGUAAAAAUGCAAUUUACCUGAAUAAUGCCCUCAUGAUCACCUUUUGAAUGACCUUCCUCUCCCGAUGUCCAAGUUCCGGGCCAAUGAGAGCCAUUGAACAUCCAAGUAGCCUUUGGGGCCUUAACGGCUUCUGAAAGAUUGUCCCCAAGUUCAAGCUGUUUCUUCCUAGCCCUUAAGCUCUGCUUGAGCAUUGUAUGCAUUCGAUCUUCUCCUUAUUGACUCCGGCAAGGCAUUUAUCCUGACUUUGAAUUCAUCAUACUCUCUUUUCACUCUUCUCCUGUCCCUCACAAAAUCAAUUUUCACUUUGUUCUUGAGAGGAUCACUCUUCUGACUAAAGUAUGCCUCCGGAUUGCGAGGUACAAUGUUGUGUUUCCUACAGAAGGGAACCCAAGAUUUUGAAAAGCUUGCAGCCUCGGCAAGAGCCUCAAAUGUCACCAGAGAACUUCCAUCAUCAGAUAGAUAACAUGUCACCUUCUCCAUCGGAUAAUCAACUGCAAGUAUAGAAAGAAUAGUGUUUGCAGUAACUAGAGGUGGCUCUUUGUCUGGAUCAGCUGUAGAGACAAAUACAUCAAUCCCUGGAAGGUCAGAUAAUGUUUUGGGAUUGUUGAGGUUUGGAUCGGAUGAUUCAAAUCUCUGCUUCAGAACCGACAGGUCGGUCACCCUUUUCACAGGGCAAAGCUUAGGUAGCUGAUCAAGAAGCCAAGACAGUGCAAACCAAAAUUCACAGACAACAGACAUUAUCCAUAACCACAUUGCUUCAUGAUUAGGAUGUGACACCCUCCAUGUAAGGAAACAGGCAAGUGCAGCAAGACGAAGAGCCAUCAGUAAUCUACACAGCCAAGCCAACAUAAGCUUGCGUCAAUUUGAAUUUUUCGGUAACAAUGUCCUACUAACUAUAUAUAUAUGCACAAGUGGAGGAAUAAAAGGAAUUUGCAUUUCUUAAACUAUUCAAGGUCCUAGAGCGUAGCAAAGAUGAAAAAGUCAGAGCAACAGUGGACUGAAUCUCAUACGACAUAAAUUAGUCAAUGAUCAAUCGCAGAUUAGAGAAACAUAUCCUUGUCCGAUAACAUGCUAGUAAAUUCUUCAAAGUAAGAUCUUUUUCAUCAUGGAAAAACCAAAAAAUGUAUAACAAUUGAGCAGAACAAGUAAACAAGAACUAGAAAACAAAACUCUGGUUGGUUUUGGUUCUGACCUGUAGGGACUGAUUAUUGCAGUAGAAAUUCCAACUUUCCUAGUUAAGGGCUUGUUUCUCCGGUCCGUGAAAUCGGGAGGAUUUUGAUGUCGCUCAGUUCCCAUUCCAGACACGUAUCCAUCUCUAGGCCAAACUGCAUUUCCAUACCCAUAAGUUCCUUUGGUCUCAAACAGCCAUUGUGCAUGAUCAAAAUCAUGGUUUGGAUUCUUGAAAGACUGAACCAAAGAGUAAUUCUCUCCCACUCUGAUUCGCGGUUGGGACCGUGGCUCAUCCUGAAUUUCGUCAUCAAUAACAUCUCCCCUGUAAGGCUCUUUGCAACCGGGGCAUCUUCCGGCUCCAUUUUCAACGCAAUCAAAGAAGCAAUCCCUGUAAAUCCUGAAACCACACUCGCACUGCAUUUUGGAAUUCCUAUCAAGAGCUUUCUCAUCACAGCCCUCGAUUUCACAUACCAGAUUUGAUUUUGUCUUCACAUUUGGUAGCUCAACUUCCUCGGAGCUUUUCCUGACGUGAGCUCGAGUCACCGAAUUGUGUCCUCCGGUAAAAAUGGUAUCUUUGAUGAAGCCUGCACUAGGAAUUCCCCUGCUUUUGCUUCUGUCUAGAGGGCUGUUCUGAGAUCCAGCGAUUAUCCGGUUAUUAGGGGUGGGAGGAAUGUGAACUGUGUAGGCGACAAACUCCUCGGUGCUGUCUUUGGAGAAAGAAAGAUACCUCGCAGUAGUAUUGGAAGAAGAAGCUUUGCCUCCACUGGAAGCCCUCAAUCCUCUUCCACUCAGGGGUGAAUUCGGAUUGUUUGAUAAGGAAUGACGCCGGAUUGGACUAGUCAAGGCGAUUCCAUGGCCCCCACCACCACCUGAGGUAGAGACCGUAAUUGUCAUAGGAGAUGAGGAUGGAGAAUCAACACCCAUUUUCACCAAUUUUUUGUUCUCCUUUUCUUCGGGGAAAACGGGUAUGACAAGAAGGAAACAGAAAUCGGCAGCUGUAUGAGAACAAAGAUCAGAAAUUCAUGGUAAGCAGAGAAAGCUGAUGGGUAUUUUUGGGGGGCAAAAGAAGAAGAAGGAAGGUCUGAACUCUGGGUAGGGAAGCUAUGGUAUAAAUUUGAAAUUUUGUGGGGUUUAGACAGAUAUGGAUUUCCAUGUAACGGUCGACUGAUUAUGGUCGUUGGUUAGGAGAAAUCGGACGGCGCUUCUUUGGACUUAAUAAAAUGCCCGUUUGUGACGCUGAGAUGUCCGAAAGUUUUGAAGAAAGUUAAAAAAAAAAAAAAAAAAAAAAGGUCCUCUGCCCUGCCCACAAUGCAAGGAUCAAAAUGGGCCCGACUUGAAUUUCAACGGCCGGUCCAGUUUUUUUUUUAGUAUAGCAGUCUCAUGAUCGUAAUAAUUUACAAGAGCCUCCGUGAGCUUUGGCAUAUUCGAAACAAGCCCCUCUAGGGUGGGUUUUCUUGCAUUCUGUUCAAUAACAACUUAUGCUUCCUUCAUUUCACUUUGAUAGUUUUGUUUUCCUUUUUCAUCCAUCCUAAAUUAUAGUUCAUUUUUUUCAAUUGAAGAAUAUAGUUAACUUUAAUUUCUCUAAACUACCCUUAUUUAAUAUAGGGUAAAAAAACAAAAAAGCCAUUUUUGGUUAAGUGAACAUACAGAAUAACCCCCGUGAUUUCAAAAUACACAAUCCGACACCUUGUAAUUUGAACUAAAUUGAAAAGGCAAUGGAAAUCGUCAAAACGAAUGUAUUUGAAGCACACACACUUGUGUUUUACAACUAGUGAUACCUGAUAACAGUUUUUUAUGAUUAAUUUUCAUUUAAUAUACCUAUUCUACCCCUUACAGAAAUGCCCCCUGUGGUUAAUUCAACCUAUAGAAAAAGCCCUCCAUAGUUGUGAAACAUAUAAGUUGGAUUUAAUGGAAACUUUCAAAAAAUAUAUUGAAAAGAGAGUAAAGCUUUUUGAGAUAAAUCAACCACCAGUCUUAUGCUUUGGCGUAUUUGAAACAAGCCCUUUGAGGGUGGGUUUUAUACUAUUUUCUUGCAUUUCUUGCAUUCUGUUCAGUAACUUGGACUCCUUUUAUCACACUUUGAUAGUUUUAUUUUAUUUAUUUUUUAUCCGUCUCAAAUUAUAAUCUAUUUUUUUAAUUCAAAAAUAUAGUUAACUUGUAACUUCUCUAAAAUACCCUUGGAUUCAUACCUUGACUAGUACAUUUUUCCAUAGAUUGUUGUUGUAAUUAAGAUAAAGGUAUAGUGAUUAGUCAUACUCCUAAUAUCAAUGUAAGGGUAUUUUAGAAAAAUAAUAGGCUAAAUUUACUCUUCCAACAAGGUUAACUAGUAAUUUUUCCUAAACUGUGUGAAAAAAAAAUCAAAACUAUCAAAAUGAGAUGGAAAGAGUAGAAGAAUUGGAAUAAUGAUUACGAGUUAUAGAACCUUGACAUUAUAUUGAAAUAGAAAUCCAUAAUUGUUGGUAUUUUUGCUCGAUCUGUAUAUGUAUAUAACUACUAGCCUAUUGAUACAUAUCAAUUAACAUGUGUAUAAUGAUAUGUAUAUUUCGAAAAUCAAACAAUUGAACUGAAAAAAAGUAAUGUUGGAUGACAUUUUAUGAUACUGUUGUAACGACAGGACAAGAGAAAACAUGGGAACAAUUUGAGGGCAACUAAAAUUCUGCGAGAUCUAGAUGUCUCCCUCAAGGUUUUUGACAUUCCUACUAUCCUCCCUCGAGGUUUUUAAAAUAUCAGAAAUCUCCCCUAUUAGGUUAUUAAGGCCCAUUCAUUGCAUUACUCAUGGAGAAAUGACUGAAAGAGUUUCCUAUCUCCACCAUUUUUAUUAGCUUACAGUUUUAUCUUCUAAGUCGAUUUGUGGAAUUCUCUGUUUUUAGACCUUAAAAUGGGGAACUUCAUCUUCAUACAUGUUUCGACUUCUUUCUUCUGAUGCCAUGUUCAUCACUCCUGCUGCCUUUCCUGCUAAAGUCAUGUAGAGGGUCGGUGAUAUUUUACUGAUUCCAGCUGUUCUUUUGCUCUGUCAACCUUCCGAUUUUCAACUCUCUACAAUGAUACAUAGACAAGAGCAUUAAGUUCUUCAGACACUUAUCCCAUAAUUCACCAAAUAAUUCACUAGAAUCUGCACCCACAAGGGCCUUAUUAUCAUAAUUAGCAAUUUGUUGCUUGCAAAGCCUGAGCUCCAUCUCAAGUGCACUAAUCCGAGACUCAACAGGUACAUCAUAUUGCUCAACCGUCUGCUUUUGCAUACCUCGAACUACCUCUGGUUGCCAAACUUUCAAUGCAUCUGAUGCUUGUCUGAUGGUAUGCAAGCAUUCCAAUAGCCAGUGCAUGAGCCCAUGGUUCGCCAUAUCGACCGAGUCGUAACUGGAACGGAGGGCCGAAUCACGAAUAUUACCAUAUCCGCGACGACUCGCUCUGAUUCGGCUGAUAUUGAAUGAUUCGAAUCCGUGAUACACGAUAUCGGCCAAUAUAUCCGAGUCAACUCGGAGUCGAUUCGGAUAUUUUUUUACAUUAUGUCUUUUUUGGUAUUUUCUAAUUUUAUUAAUUUUUUCAAAAUUUUUGGAAACUUUCAUGUGUUAUAAUAUGCGUAUCACCCGAUAUUCAUCCGUUAUGCCGCGACGGAUGUGGAACAAUCGAUACCGCGACCGCGACCGCGACCCACGAUGACGAACCAUGCAUGAGCCUAAAAUGUUCCAAUUUCAGAGAAAGCAUUAAACUUUGAAGAUUCUCCACCUUUGAUGUCUAGAACAGAACAGACACAUAUGUCAUUAGAUUGAAGGGCACCAGCAAUGAAAGAAUUUUCGUAAGCAGUCAUAUGGAGAUAUGUUUUGCUACCAGGACACUUACUUGGUUGUAGCCAUGGUUCAAAGACUCGGCCGAGUCGUCACUGGAACGGGGCUUUCCGAUUCGAUACUGGGACGAGAUGACUUUGAAAUAAUGAAUCGUCGAGAACUCGGCCGAGACGUCUCCGAGACGGAUAGAAGCGGCCGAGUCGCGCCCAAAUCAUCUCGAGUCAGCUCGAUAUUUUAUUAUUUUUGCUAAAUUUUUAAUUAUUUUUUUAUCAUAAUUUUUUACAAAUUUUAGAAUAUUAAAUAUUUCAAAAUUUUGUGUCUCGCAGAGACCGUGACGGAUAAGUCGAGACCGAUGUGGAACGGUCCGGAUCGCGACCGCAACCGCAACCAUGACUUUGAACCAUGGUUGUAUCACAUUCUGAACACUCACUGUAGAGGAGAUGGCUAUCUAGCCCUACUACACCUUCAACACCAAUAACCAUCAGAGGCAGCAGCAAACCAUAAAAGCUGCUUCUAAUAUCCAUGUUCCAGGUGCUUGUAAUGUGUCCUACCCUGCUCUUGUCUAAAAAUCUAUCCGAAGUCUCAGAUUGAUCGCAAGUAAUAUAAAAGUCUGUCUGAAUUCCCGGAUUGAUCACCAAGUAAUAUAUAAUUUGGCCAUUGUUCCUUGGUCGUUUCAACUCUAUUCAAUGAAUACGGAGUUAACUAGCUAAACUUAAAGAAGAUCAAAUUUUCAAUACUGAAAGAGUCAGCUUUCGCUAAUAUCUGAAAUGUCACCGUAGUUAACUAACAACCUUGAAGCAGUUUGGAAGCAGUUGCAAUUCAUUUGUUCUAUCAGGCAAACAAUAACACAAUCGUUUUAGGUUGCUUUUCUUUUCUUUUACACCUUUGCAAGUCAUCCCAAAAAACCCAAUUGCUGGAGUUGAAUAAAAGACCAACAACAAACUCAGCACAGGCUUUAAGAUUCUCAAUUUCUCAAGCCCGUAUCAAUCAUGAUUCAUCUCAACUCUAAUGUACGCCUGCCUGCCUGCAGAUGCUAGGGACUGUAGAAAGUAGAAACUGAUUAACCUUCGAGUUUAUCCCUUUAAUUAUGACAGUCCAUUUCAACUUGCAUACGUAUGUCCCUACUUUGUCUAUUAAGUACUUUUAUCAUGUUUGAACUAGUGAUAGACAUGUCCAUCCUGCUAUUCGAAAUCAAAACUAACAUUUCCUACUACCAACCAAUAAGAAGAGUCGCGUGAUCAAGUAUUUCUGGGCUCUUGAAGAGAGGAAUAUCCCAUCGCAUAUGCCUCCCUUUAAAUGAGUGUAUGGAGGGCUGCAGUGAAUUUGAACAACAUUAACACAGCUUUCAUUCAAUAUCACUCAAACUUGAAACUCUAGCAUCUUGGUACCAGUACAGGCGUGAAUGUGUUUGUUGAUGGUCAUCUGACCUUCAUGUAGUCAAGACCAUGAUUCAAAGACUCGGUCGAGCCAUCACCAGAACAGAACUCUUCGUUCCGAUACAGAGGCGAAAUGACUCCGAAAUACAUUAAUCACCGAGAAUUUGGCCGAAAAGUCUCCGACACUGUGUCAACCUGAGUUCAGCAUAUUUUGUCUAUAUUAUUUUGUUUCUUUUGCUAAUUUUUUAUUAUUUUUGUUUAGCAUAUUUUUUUAAUAUUAUUACAAACAACUUUUAGAAUAUUAAAUGGUUCAAAACUUGUGUUUCGUCGAGACGGUAAUCGAUACAUCGAGACCAAUGAUGUAAAACAGUCAGAACCGCGACCGCAACUGCAACCGUAACUUUGAACCAUGGUCAAGACUCAAGACUGAGUUUUGUCCUUGGUCCUUGCCAGAUUCUGGUUAGAUGAUCAUCAACAAACAUAUUCAGAGCAACCUGCAAAUCAGCUUGCUUUGACACUUAAUCCAAAUCAACAAUUUGUUGGAUCAGAUUGCAGCACGAUAAUAAAUUUCUCGUGAUAACCUUAUCUAUCAGCUAUUGCAUGAAUUUGUAAUUCAUCCAUACCGUUUCUUUUUGCAGGCCUGCCAUAUUUUUCUCUAAGUUGGGAUGUAACGCAAGCCCAACAAAUCAUGCUUGUUCAGAUUCAAAUGUGUACCUGCAUACUUCCAGCUCUUGGUUAACAUGCAGUAUAACAAAUCUUAAAGCUUCAAUAUCAUUUUACUAGUGGAUCACUCAAUUACUUGCUAAAUUUUAAUUUCAUGCGGUACCAUCAAGCUCUUACUAAGUUUUCAGUGCAUUUUUUGCAUCUGGAUCAAUUGCUGCUCAGUCGUCCUUUCUUUCACCUUCUCUUGCACAAUUGCUGCUGUUCCUUCUUCGAAACAAGUUUGGCCUAAAGAUCAGGUAUGGAAUUAGUUUCCUAUUCUUUCAUUCUUGGGUUUUCCUUCCAUUGAUUUUGUUCCAUGGAUUUUGCUUAUGAAUAUGUUUUUUUUUUGUGGUCCGAGGGCGAUUUGGCUGCAAAUUUUGAUUCACUGAUACAAUAAUAAACUCAUAACUCUAAGGGUCUGUUUGGUUGGACAGAAAACAUUUUCCAAAGUUUCUACUGUUGAGAUAUGAUUUCUGACGGCAUCUCCAGAAAUCACACCCUUUUCUUUUCACAGUCUGUAACUGAAAAAGACGAUUGAAGACUAUCCAUAAAAGACCAUCGGCAGCGACAUCUCAUCGGCAAACCAAUCCCUUCUUCGCCGACUGCAUCUCCAGCUCCGGCGGAGACCCACUUUCAGAGCUAAGCUACUCCUCCAAUAAGGUUAUUCUUCUUUUAAAAAUCAGCUACAAUUAUUAUCUCUCUCUCUCUCUCAUUUUUUUCCUUUAAAAGCAGCCAAUAUCAAGGCUCAUCCCCACUCUGGGGGCGAUAUCUCAUCCCUGUUCCUGCAACAGCAUCUCCAACAGGGGUGAAGACUCCUUAACUAUUUCUAGAGGUAUGAUGAUCUCUAAUUAGUUUUUUUUCCGCCUUUUUCCUUUGAAAAAUUGUCUAGAAUUUCUGGUGUAGGUUCUUUAAGUUGGAUUGGAAUGAAUUUUUGUGGGUUGCUUUUGUUUUAGUUUGCUCUUACCUGAUUAGGGUUACAUUUGAUUUGAUUGAUGCUAAUGAAUUAAUUUGGCUGCUGAAUUUUGGGCAAUUUAUGAUUCUUGGAAUCUGAUUAUUAAUCUUGGUGCCCUUGUCUCGACCCUCUAACUUGCUCCGAAUCCAGGUAGGGGACGGUAGUGCUUUUCUUACAAUCUGGUGAGAUCAUUUGUAAAAGCUUUAGUGCAUUCAUUGAGUUUGUGAAGCCACGGGCUGAUUCUUGCCAUAGGUGCUUGAUUGAAAAGGGGUUAAUUAAUAAUAUAAGUCAAAACUUUGAAACCAAAAAAAAAAAGAUCUUGCCACCAAGUCUAUCUCAGCAACCUUAAACUUUUCAGUUCCAUUAACUUAAUAUAACCGUGGAAAAACAUAACGCUUUGGAUAUAUUCCCAAAUCAGUGAAUGUUUUGACAUAGCAGCAAGCAAAUCACCAAAUGGCAAUGACGACUCUGUCGUAAAAUGAUCACUGAGGUUUGUCAUCUUGGCAAAUACAGGAAACGACAAAUAAGUACUCUACAGGUUGUUGGUGGCCAUUUUCCAUGGAAGUCUAGAAUUGGGUGCAAUGGGCACAAUAUACGGCCCUCAAUAAAUCCCCACCACAAGCCUUAUUUGAAAAAGAAUCUAAAUGCUAGCCAUAGAUGUCAUUGAGGUUCAGCUUCGUUGAUCUUUCUAUGACCAACCUUUUUGAAAUUUGAAUAGAAUGUUUUCAUGCUGCAGGACAAAGUUGAAGCAAACAGAAGUUGACUACCAGAAUUUUGAUAAUGCCUGAAUCACUUACUUUAAAAAAGAAAGUUUGUACUUGAUUACACUAAAGUUUUACUGAAUUAUAAUAUACAGUAAUUAAGGGGAAUUAUUAAAGUUUUACUUCAAUAUGCAAGUGAGGUAUGUAUAAACAUUGAUAUAUGAGAUAUUCAUUGAAUAAUAAGUUGAGAUUCAUGCAUCCUUGCCCUUUCAACUUACUUGGAUUGCACUCUUUGAAUGACUUCCUUCUAAAAGACUUCUCGUCCUUUUCUGAAAGUAUUUGGCACUAAAAAAGACCUCAAUGAUUGUGCAUUGCACUGCCAUUGAACUUCAACAAAUAUAUUGCCAUCAUGAAUUCAUACACUUACUAGUUCUUUAUUUUUACAUAAAUAAUAUAGUCAAAAGCUACCUUCUUGGAAUCUGAUUAUUAAUUGCAGUGGCUUUUAUCCAUUGGGAACUUGCACUUGCAAUUCUAACUAUCUUUAAAGAUUUGGGGUGGAGAGUUGCUUGACUUAGGCGUUCAGUUUGUUCAUUUGGAGCAGAGUUUGUCCUUUCGGAUAUGGACUAUCCAGGAAGUUGUAAUUGAAUAUGUUUGUUGCUGUUGUUGAUGGAUUAUCAUUUUUUCCUCCUAAGCUUCUUGUGGAUUUCAAUUGUUGGCAUUUGCUGGUGUUCUAGUAUUGUAUACUAGUUUGUUUAGAGCAAUGUCCUUUAAUGAUUUUGCGAAGCUGCACAAUGGACAUGGGAACUUGGACUGUUUCAUUACGCUUACAUUCUUGUUUUUCGUUGUAAUCAGUGAUUAUUGCUUGUAGUAUGAUCAGAUGAACAAGAUGUUGAUUGUGACUAUUUAAAGACACUAAGCAAUUUUCUUUUGGUGGAAACUGACCCUUGGAGAGUGCUCUGUUUCUUUUGUCUAGAGCCAUAGUUGUCAAAAGAAGACAUAGUUGUUAGAAUCAAUGUUGCAGACCUGACUGCAUAAUGUUGGCAAGUUGUGUAUUGAUGUAAAUUCCUAGGAUAAAGGUUUCAGUUGUGAUUAUUUUCUAAUUCAAAGGGUGUAGGUAUUGGUAAUGGUUGUACUGAGGUAUUCUGCUUGGCUUGUUGAUUAAGUUGAUCAUCUGCUUACAACAAAGAACAAUUAUUCUUUCUUCAAUUUUGUGUCUUAAAUGACUGCAUGUUUUGUGGCAUUCUGCUUGGCUUGUUGCUUAAGUUGGUCCUUAAAGAAGAUGAUAAUUAAUUUUAGUUACCUGAUACCAAAUAUCAAGUUGGUUGAUGACCUGGAUGCACAUUUUGUGGCAAAAAUUAUUUAUGGAUUCUAGUUUGUACAGCAUAAAAAAAGGUUGAUUCGGAGAUAAAAUUGCACAGCUUGCUAAGUUUUGGAUUUAGGAGAAGACGGUGCAGCACUUGAAGAACUUAAGUUUUGUAUACUUGGACCAUGAAAGUCGCCUUCUAAAUUUCUUGGAUUAGUCUUUACAUAUCCAGAGAUAAAGCUUUUGAGAAUGGGAAAAUAUUUGCAACAUUGCCAACAAACACUAAAAAAGGAAGUCAGAAAAUAUUUUCACUGACAAACCAAACACCAAAAAAUUAUGAAAAAAGGAAUUUGGAAACUAUUUUCACUAAAUAACCGAACACCGGAAAAUUAUGGAGAAGGAAGUGAUUUUCCAGGAAAAUGACUUCGAUGGAAAAUAUUUAUUUUCCGUCCAACCAAACGGACUCUAAGCUAUCUGAUUUUUCCAUGCUUUACAUAACUCAAACUAAGAGAGAUCAGUUGGCGAUUUUGCUUGUAGACUGUAGCACCAGUUAAAAUUACCUUGAACAACUACAGGUUGACAUCUUAUUUGUUUUCUUUGGUUUUUCUUCUUAAAAUACACUAUGGAAAGAGGAAACAAUUGGGUUAUAGAAAUGGGAAAAAAUCAAAUGUUAGUAAAUAUGUUUCCUCAAGUUGAUAUUUAAUGAGUUGCUAUUACUCUGGAUGUGGAAUUGAUGAACAAAGCAGCCAGGAGGCAUAGAUGCAUAAAAUUGUUGAUGGAUACAAGUCCUUUCAAGUUGCAAUCUCUUCCCCUUUUGUCUUAGCUCUUCUAUAUGGCAAAUUGUUGAUCAAAUCUACUGAAACAAGCAUUCUUUUGCCUUGAACGAUCUGGUUCUAUCAGGAUCAAUCUAUUUAUCCUCUUUGUUUUUUUCCCCUCUAACAAAGCCAGUGUGGUGCCUUGUUCUAUUUGGAUUCUACUUGUGGUUAGAUUGUGCUUAGUUGAAUUCACUUCUAAUUCUUUUUUCAUUUUGGGAUGAUUUAGGUUUUGCUGAAGGUGAAACUAAGUGCAAAAUGCUCUAGAAUGUUCCACAUCAGAUUGUGCAAUCUCCAGCUCGGCUAGGGUUACCAAAUCCAAAUUCACCUUCUCUUCAAAACACUACUCCGGCUAAGUUUGCCUCCCAAGCCCAACAAUCUCAUCCGCCAAAUCAACAGUCAAAUGCAUCAAGCAUUAUUUCAACUUCUUCAACACUGCUUCGUCUCCUUCCCCCUCUGCCAAGAGCUCAGUCUAUUCUUCUGCAAAUGUCCUCACUUGCCUCAAGACUUUUUGAUGUCUCACCUAAUAGGUCGCAUUGGAUUAGCGCAUUUCGAGGUUCCCUACCCUCCUUCUUGUCUUCCCAAUCCCAACCUUUGACAUCAACUGCACCAGAUUCCUACCCUUCUUCCUCCAAAGAAAUUCUCGCUCUUUUCACAAACCUUCAAACUCAGCUAUUUGAAGCUGUUGCAGAGCUCCAAGAAAUUCUUGAUCUUCAAGAUGGAAAACAGAAACUCUCGCACGAAAUCAGGUCAAAAGAUGCUGCAAUUCUUGCACUUGCAAGCAAGCUCAAAGAAGCUGAGCAGGUUCUUGACAACCUUGUGGAUGAUUACUCGGAUUAUCGCCGUUCAAAACGGUCCAAGUCAGAAGAUGUUGCAGAAGAUUCUUCAACCACCACUGUGGCAUCUCAGCUGAAGCUUUCUGAUAUAUUGUCAUAUGCCCAUAGGAUAAGCUACACUACUUUUGCACCACCAGAAUUUGGUGCUGGACAGGCUCCUCUCCGUGGGGCACUCCCCCUGCUCCACAGGAGGAGCAAAUGCGGGGCAUCCCAACUGUACGCUUUUGCUGAUCAUGAUGUUGGUUUACCAAAAACAGAUGAGGAUAAGAAGAAAACUAUAGAGCCAUUGAUCGAAACUCCUGUUGGGCAACCAGCAGAGCCAAAUCCAUUGGCCAAUCUUGCUGGAAUGCAGGGUCUACUUCCACCUAAUAUUGCUGUGCCACCAGGAUGGAAACCUGGAAUGCCCGUGGAGUUGCCCAAUGAUCUACCUAUUCUUCCUCCACCUGGUUGGAAGCCCGGUGAUCCAAUGGCACUGCCCCCAUUGGAUUCUCUUCCUAUACAUCCUGGAAUUGAAGAGCAACAACCUCAGCAUAUCUCCCCUCCAAUGCUUACAAAGACACCCGAGCCUAUACAAGUUCGGCAUGUGCAGCUUGACAUUGACGAUGAUAGUAGUGAUUAUAGCAGUGAUGUUGGUAGCUCUGACAGUGAAGAUUAGUCCUAGACUCCAGUGCUUUUAUGUCGAUGUAAAUUCUGAAAUGCUACGUAGAGCAUCUUUCAAAGAGGAUUGAAGUUGCUAUCUCUAGCCUGUACUUUCUGCUGAUGAAAUUGAAGUUUUACUAGAAUUCUGCAAUUCCUCAAAGAUUGUCUAACUGUGUUUGCAUACCUAGAAUAUUCUUUCAAUUUGCUGAACAUUUCUCGCAAUCCGUUCUAGUACUGGUUUUGAUUCUAAGGUGUUAUUGGAAGCCUAGUUGAGUGAGCAUGAUCUUUUAAAUUUGUGACAAUAUGGACCAGUACACUGAUAUUACACACUUAUGUAAUGUUUUUAUGUAGAUUCUGAGGCAAUAGAUUUUAAUGUUUUACCUUUGACAUACUUUUGUGAUAGUUGAUCAUCUUCUGGACAGUCGUACGUAUAUUGUGUCUUCCGCAAGAUGAGGAACGAAUGAAAGCAGAAAAGCUGUACCUUUUCCUCAGUCAAUACAUCUAAGUACUUCCUAUUUGGGCUGAUAGGUGGGAAUUUACUUAGGUUACUCCAGACAUCCUAACAUAGGAAUAUUGUACUCAGGUUCGUAACACGCUGUAUAAGGGUACCGAUUUGUGUAGCUGUAAACAUAAAAGCAUUUUUCAUCGCAGUCGCUCUAGAAUCUUAAUGCUUGAUGAUUGACAAACGUUUGUUAAAUGAGAUGUAAAGUUAUCAAUGAAUAUGUUGUAAAGAAUUAAAUCAACUGAUGUAAGAAAUGUUGAAGUAGCAGGUGUUGGCAAAAGAGAAAAAAAAAUUGCUUGUUUUAAAGGGAAACUGAAGCAUAAUUCCCUGCAAAGAUCACAGGACAAAUAGGAAAACAAGUUGAGGAGGAAAAAAAUUCACAAAAUUUUCAGAUACUUGUCAGCCCUUGUGAGGUCGCGGACAUUAUAGCAGAAUCAUCUAAGAAAUGAAAAUCCAAGUUACAGAUUGAUGCAGUACAGAAAUUACAGUUUUGGCAAUGGAAAAAAAUUCAAGGGUUGGCUGCAAUAGAAGUUUUCUUCUCUGCCAUGACAAAUUCAUUAGAUUUUAGUAUAGGCAUUGCUCUUCUGGUGUUGGUUGUUGCUUGUGCCCUGAAUGCUCUGAUGUUUCUGACAGCAAGGUUUAUGAAUGAAUGAAUCCCUAUUAUAUGUUGUCAUAGUCAAAUCUUUACGUGACGUGAGAGAAGUACAAAUCCUCUGAUACAUGCAAUCCAAUCCUCACUACUAAUCUGACAUCUAAGCUAAUUUGACUGAAAUAAGAAUGUAUUAUUAAUGAUGAUGAAGAAGAUGAUAUGUACAAUUUUACAUGGCACCGAGCAGCAGCCUAAAGAAAUCUAACUUAAUAAUCGCGAAUAUUACCACAUCCGCAACGACUCGCUCUAUUGAACGAUUCGAAUCCGUGAUGCAUGAUAUCGGCCGAUACAUCCGAGUUAACUUGGAGUCGAUUUGGAUAUUUUUUUAAAUUGUGUCCUUUUUGGUAUUUUCUAAUUUUAUUAAUUUUUUCAAAAUUUUUGGAAACUUUCAUGUGUUAUAAUGUGCGUAUCACCCGAUAUUCAUCCGUUAUGCCGCGAUGGAUGUGGAACAAUCGAUACCGCGAUGCUACCGCGACCCGCGAUGGCGAGCCAUGCAUGAGCCUAAAAUGUUCCAAUUUCAGAGAAAGCAUUAAACUUUGAAGAUUCUCCACCUUUGAUGUCUGGUACAGAACAGACACAUAUGUCUUUAGAUUGAAGGGCACCAGCAAUGAAAGAAUUGUCGUAGGCAAUCAUAUGGAGAUAUGUUUUGCUAAGAGGACACUUACUUGGUUGUAUCCAUGGUUCAAAGACUCGGCCGAGUCGUCACUGGAACGGGGCUUCCCGAUCCGAUAUUGGGACGAGAUGACUCUGAUAUAAUGAAUCGUCGAGAAAUCGGCCGAGACGGAUGGAAACGGCCGAGUCGCGCCCGAAUCAUCCCGAGUCAGCUCGAUAUUUUAUUAUUUUUGCUAAAUUUUUAAUUAUUUUUUUAUCAUAAUUUUUUACAAUUUUUAGAAUAUUAAAUAUUUCAAAAAUUUGUGUCUCGCCGAGACCGUGACGGAUAAGUCGAGACAGAUGUGGAACGGUACGAACCGCGACCGCAACCGCAACCAUGACUUUGAACCAUGGUUGUAUCACAUUCUGAACACUCACUGCAGAGGAGAUGACUCUCUAGCCCUACUACACUUUCAGCACCAAUAACCAUCAGAGGCAGCAACAAACCAUAAAAGCUGCUUCUAAUAUCUAUGUUCCAGGUGCUUGUAAUGUGUCCUACCCUGCUCUUGUCUAAAAUUCUAUCCGAAGUCUCAGAUUGAUCGCAAGUAAUAUAAAAGUCUGUCUGAAUUCCCGGAUUGAUCACCAAGUAAUAUAUAAUUUGGCCAUUGUUCCUUGGUCGUUUCAACUCUAUUCAAUGAAUACGGAGUUAACUAGCUAAACUUAAAGAAGAUCAAAUUUUCAAUACUGAAAGAGUCAGCUUUCGCUAAUAUCUGAAAUGUCACCGUAGUUAACUAACAACCUUGAAGCAGUUUGGAAGCAGUUGCAAUUCAUUUGUUCUAUCAGGCAAACAAUAACACAAUCGUUUUAGGUUGCUUUUCUUUUCUUUUACACCUUUGCAAGUCAUCCCAAAAAACCCAAUUGCUGGAGUUGAAUAAAAGACCAACAACAAACUCAGCACAGGCUUUAAGAUUCUCAAUUUCUCAAGCCCGUAUCAAUCAUGAUUCAUCUCAACUCUAAUGUACGCCUGCCUGCCUGUAGAUGCUAGGGACUGUAGAAAGUAGAAACUGAUUAACCUUCGAGUUUAUCCCUUUAAUUAUGACAGUCCAUUUCAACUUGCAUACGUAUGUCCCUACUUUGUCUAUUAAGUACUUUUAUCAUGUUUGAACUGGUGAUAGACAUGUCCAUCCUGCUAUUUGAAAUCAAAACUAACAUUUCCUGCUACCAACCAAUAAGAAGAGUCGCGUGAUCAAGUAUUUUUGGGCUCUUGAAGAGAGGAAUAUCCCAUCGCAUAUGCCUCCUUUUAAAUGAGUGUAUGGAAGGUUCCAGUGAAUUUGAACAACAUUAACACAGCUUUCAUUCAAUAUCACUCAAACUUGAAACUCUAGCAUCUUGGUACCAGUACAGGCGUGAAUGUGUUUGUUGAUGGUUAUCUGACCUUCAUGUAGUCAAGACCAUGGUUCAAAGACUCGGCCGAGCCAUCACCAGAACGGAACUCUUCGUUCCGAUACAGAGGCGAAAUGACUCCGAAAUACAUUAAUCACCGAGAAUUUGGCCAAGAAGUCUCCGACACCGUGUCAUCCUGAGUUCAGCAUAUUUUGUCUAUAUUAUUUUGUUGCUUUUGCUAAUUUUUUAUUAUUUUUGUUUAGCAUAUUUUUUUAAUAUUAUUACAAACAACUUUUAGAAUAUUAAAUGGUUCAAAAUUUGUGUUUCGUCGACACGGUGAUAUAUAUAUCGAGACCGAUGAUGUGAAACGGUCAGAAUCGCGACCGCAACCACAACUUUGAACCAUGGUCAAGACUCAAGAUUGAGUUUUCUCCUUGGUCCUUGCCAGAUUCUGGUUAGAUGAUCAUCAACAAACAUAUUCAGAGAAACCUGCAAAUCAGCUUGCUUUGACACUUAAUCCAAAUCAACAAUUUGUUGGAUCAGAUUGCAGCAUGAUAAUAAAUUUCUCGUGAUAACCUUAUCUAUCAGCUAUUGCAUGAAUUUGUAAUUCAUCCAUACCGUUUCUUUUUGCAGGCCUGCCAUAUUUUUCUCUAAGCUGGGAUGUAAUGCAAGCCCAACAAAUCAUGCUUGUUCAGAUUCAGCUGUGUACUUGCAUACUUCCUGCUCUUGGUUAACAUGCAGUAUAACAAAUCUUAAGGCUUCAAUAUCAUUUUACUAGUGGAUCACUCUCAAUUACUUGCUAAAUUUUAAUUUCAUGUUGUACCAUCAAGCUCUUACUAAGUUUUCAGUGCACUUUUUGCAUCUGGAUCAAUUGCUGCUCAGUCGUCCCUUCUUUUACCUUCUCCUGCACAAUUGCUGCUGUUCCUUCUUCGAAACAAGUUUGGCCUAAAGAUCAGGUAUGGAAUUAGUUUCCUAUUCUUUCAUUCUUGGGUUUUCCUUACAUUGAUUUUGUUCCAUGGAUUUUGCUUAUGAAUAUGUUUUUUUUUGUGGUCCUAGUGCGAUUUGGCUGCAAAUUUUGAUUCACUGAUACAAUAAUAAACUCAUAACUCUAAGGGUCUGUUCGAUUGGACAGAAAACAUUUUCCAAAGUUUCUACUGUUGAGAUAUGAUUUCUGACGGCAUCUCCAGAAAUCACACCCUUUUCUUUUCACAGUCUGUAACUGAAAAAGAUGAUUGAAGACUAUCCAUAAAAGACCAUCGGCAGCGACAUCUCAUCGGCAAACCAAUCCCUUCUUCGCCGACAGCAUCUCCAGCUCCGGCGGAGACCCACUUUCAGAGGUAAGCUACUCCUCCAAUAAGGUUAUUCUCCUUUUAAAAAUCAGCUACAAUUAUCAUCUCUCUCUCUCUCAUUUUUUUUCUUUAAAAGCAGCCAAUAUCAAGGCUCAUCCCCACUCUGGGGGCGAUAUCUCAUCCCUGUUCCUGCAACAGCAUUUCCAACAGGGGUGAAGACUCCUUAACUAUUUCCAGAGGUAUGAUGAUCUCUUAUUAGUUUUUUUCCGCCAUUUUCCUUUGAAAAAUUGUCUAGAAUUACUGGUGUAGGUUCUUGAAGUUGGAUUGGAAUGAAUUUUUGUGGGUUGCUUUUGUUUUAGUUUGCUCUUACCUGAUUAGGGUUACAUUUGAUUUGAUUGAUGCUAAUGAAUUAAUUUGGCUGCUGAAUUUUGGGCAUUUUAUGAUUCUUGGAAUCUGAUUAUUAAUCUUGGUGCUCUUGUCUCGACUCUCUAACUUGCUCCGAAUCCAGGUAGGGUAGGGUAGUGUUUUUCUUACAAUCUGGUGAGACCAUUUGUAAAAGUUUUAGUGCAUUCAUUGAGUUUGUGAAGCCACGGGCGGAUUCUUGCCAUAGGUGCUUGAUUGAAAAAGGAGUUAUUUAAUAAUAUAAGUCAAAACUUUGAAACCAAAAAAAAAAAAAAAGAUCCUUCCCCCAAGUCUAUCGGAGCAGCCUUAAACUUUUCAGUUCCAUUAACUUAAUAUAACCGUGGAAACACAGAAUGCUUUGGAUAUAUUCCCAAAUCAGUGAAUGUUUUGACAUAGCAACAAGCGAAUCACCCAAUGGCAAUGACGACUCUGUCGUAAAAUGAUCACUGAGGUUUGUCAUCUUGGCAAAUACAAGAAACCACAAAUAAGUAUUCUACUAAAGAAGAUGCGGCCAGAAGUAAAACCGGACUUACACAGGACAUAGUCCAUAGACAUCAUCGGGGAACUGGGGACAAAAUCACUAAAACAGAAAAAGGUACUUGCUGGGUUUAUCUUGUUGGGUUGUUAAGCAAUGCUAGCUUCUAUAAGGGCUGCACAAAUCUUUUAUUUAUAGCAGUACUUAUCAGCGUUUAAUUUCGGAUAGACUCAUGAAUUCCUUUGGUCCUUUUCUCGAGCAACGAAUAUAUUGAUGGAGUUCUUGUUUGUUGGCAAAUUUCAAAGUCUUCAUUCCCUGUCAAGGUUAGACUUCGUAGUUCUCUAAAACGUCAAGAUUAUUUGGAAAUGUUGCAGCAUCUUUCCCUGUUUCUGAUGAUAUCUCUAUCUGCCCUAAAUCAUUUAAUCUUAUCAUUUAUCACAUGUAUUCUGCUUGCUUCAUCACUUGACUUUAUUUCCAAGUGCCAAGUUCCAACUUGUUGAAUAUCAAGAAAAAAACCUUAUUCUGGUCCCAUUUUGGCAUUUUCAAGUUAGAAGCUUUUGUUUUUCUAAGGAGUAAUACUUGUACACAUUUAGCUGAGGUUAUGUCCCUAAUUUUAGAAGCAUGUAAAUCUAAAGUCACAUUGUUUAGACAUUUAAAAUAAUAAGCCUAGAACUUUUAGACCAGGACAAACAAUGAGGGAGAGCACCUGAUUGCCCAUUUUCUUUCAAAUUAAUCUUACAAUUUGGUUCCUCCCAUGUUUAAGAUAUCUGUCAAUUGAAACCCAUGCUUGAGUUAGUGUUUCCCCAGAUUAACAUACUCUCUAGUAAAACGACAACAUCAAAUCUUAGCAUUGUAAAGUUUUUUAUUGGAUGAGCACAAUAUAGCCAGGUGUACCAACAGUCGAAUAAGCCUGUAAUGUACCAACAUUGAUUACUCAAGGAACUUAAAAGAUUCAUGCAUCCUUGCCUUGCCCAGUUUCUACAAGAUGUUAUAGCAACUCUUUAAAGAUGGAGCUAUGUAGCAUUUGUUGAUCUUUUAACAUAUUUAAUGAAGUGCAAAGGAUUGUAAUUUCCUCAAGUUGGUCGUUUACUAGGAUUUCCAAAUAGUAAUGGUUGACAAGGACAGACUAGUAGCAAAGAAGUAAAUUUCAUAACCUUUUUUUUAAUCUCAAUUUCAGAUAUAAAAAUUACUCAUUGGAUGGAUUUUGUGUAAAACCAGACUGGUCAUUGCAUUCUCAAACUUCAGUUGUAUAGGAGUAACAGACUUGUGUACUUCCAUCAAUAUGGCUUUUUCAGCACUUAAAUUCGUAAAUUGCCAAAAAGCUCAAAUCUUCUGCUAUCUAUUUCUUUGUGUUGCAUUAGCCUAAAACUUAUGGAUGAUGGAUUAGGAAAGGAAAUAGACAUUUAAUUUUCAUAUCAAAGUUACAAGUUGUUGGUGGCCAUUUUCCAUGGAAGUCUAGAGUUGGGUGCAAUGGGCACAAUAUACGGCCCUCAAUAAAUCCCCACCACAAGCCUUAUUUGAAAAAGAAUCUAAAUGCUAGCCAUAGAUGUCAUUAAGGUUCAGCUUCGUUGAUCUUUCUAUGACCAACCUUUUUGAAGUUUGAAUAGAAUGUUUUCAUGCUGUAGGACAAAGUUGAAGCAAACAGAAGUUGACUACCAGAAUUUUGAUAAUGCCUGAAUCACUUGCUUUAAAAAAGAAAGUUUGUACUUGAUUACACUAAAGUUUUACUGAAUUAUAAUAUACAGUAAUUAAGGGGAAUUAUUAAAGUUUUACUUCAAUAUGCAAGUGAGGUAUGUAUAAACAUCAAUGGUUUCAAACUCGGCCGGACUGGCCGGUUCGACCGCGACCCGACCAUGUGUCCGGUCCGGUUCAUAGCCUAUGGUGACUUGGUCCAAGAACCGGUCAAACUCGUAAAAACCGUUUAAAUCGGAAUGAACCGUGAACCGCGGUUUUUUAAUUUUUGGCAAAAUUGACUGAAUUUUGACGAGUAAAUUCCCAAAAAGAGGGAUUUUUUAAUCUAACUUCCCAAAGGGUGGCGAUUUUUGAGUCUCUUCUCAAAGGGUGAAAAAUGCAUUCAAGGAAUGCGUUUUUUCAAAUAAAAACGUAAUUUUCAAAUACGUUAUUUUAAUUUUCAUAAAUUUAUUUAAAUAGAAAAAAUUGGUUAAAAACGCAUUAGUGGAAUGCAUUGUUUGAUAGAAAACGCAUUUCGCUAAUGCGCUAUUGUUUAAGAAACCCAUUAGAUGAAUGCGGUUUUCGUUUAUCAAUAUGUACCACUUUUUUCCAUUUCUUUGAUCUUGACUUGGGUUAUGUAAGGUUUUUUUUUUAAAAAAAAUAUUAUCUUAUUAUUUUAUGGAAGUUAUUAUUAAUUUAGCUCACUAACACAAGUCAAGAUAAAAAAAAAAUUUAUUUCAUAGUUGUUAUUAAUUUAUCUGGUAUAGAUUUCAUUUCAAGUUUGCAAAGGCUUAAAGGUUUUUGAACUUUGGAUUUUACAUAUGCAUGCACAUAUUUUGUAUCUUAAAUGUUGGUAAUUUGUCUUAAAAAUCGUAACAAUUUUUCUAAAGAAAAUUUUACGAUUCAUAAAAAGUUAAUCCUAAAUAUUUAGUGUAAAAAUAUGAUGGCCCAAAAUGAGUUAGAAUAAUCACAUAUCUUGAAAACUUUAAUCAAAGGGAAAAUUGCGAAACUCCUCUCAUUUUUCCUCAUUUUCAACUAUUUAUAUCACAUGUUAAGCAAAAACUUGCAUAUUCAAAUAUGUCAUAAGGGGAUAUAAUGUCACAUCUAAUUUUAUAUACUAUGUUUACUUGGUUUUCAAUCCAAAUUUUCUUAUACAAUAAGAAUUCUUAUAACAAGACAAGUACCGGGGAUUAGAAUAGAUUCCUAGAUAUGCUAAAAACUCAUUUAGCAAUCAGUUUUUUUUUAUUAAUAAACGCAUUUCCAAAAUGGGUUUUAGGCCAAAAAAUGCAUUCAUUAAAUGAGACUUUUUAAAACAGCGCAUCCCACUAAUGCAUUUUUUAACUAAUUUUUUCUAUUUAAAUAAAUUUAUGAAAAUUAAAAUAACGUAUUUAAAAAUUACGUUUUUAUUUGAAAAUCAUUCGGGGAGAGACUAAAAAAUUACCGCCCUUUAGGAAGUUAGAUUAAAAAAUCCCUCUUUUUGGGAAUUUACUCGAAUUUUGACCGAUUUAUCUAAACCUAAUCUCCGGUUCACUCUUCAAUCUUCAUUCAGUCUUCUUCUUCGCUGCGCCGCUUCGCCGCUUCGGUCUUCCCACUUCCCCUGCAAUUGCCAAAAUUGCCUGCCGUCCCUAAUCCCUUAUCCAAACUCCAAUCUUUGAUCCAGUGCUAUUUCCACACUUGCUCAUCGAUCAAUACCCAAUUUCUUCCCGUUAGAUUUUCCUCCAGGAAUUUGGGCGAUAACCAGUUCACUGACCUACCUCACUGUCAAAGAAUAGCGGCUUAAAUUUAGUGUAAGCUUGCUCAAACUUUAAUCUCAUCCUCGUUUUGGUUCCAUUAUAUAGAGUUUUCUGUUAGAUGGAUAAACUGCUUGGUUAUAAAAGUUUAGAAACUUUUAGAGGUAAGUUUAGAGGUAAGCAACUUACCUCUGGAUUGCUGCUUGUCACUGGUAAGUUUAGAAAUCUUGCAUUUCUUUACGUGAUUUUGUUUUUGGUUUUUAGUCUUAAUUUAAAAAAAUUUGUGGGGUUCUGAGUCCUUGGUGGUGUUUAAUGAAUUGCCGUAAAAAAGAUUUGAAAGUAAUUUUAAUUGUUUCCUUUGUGUUAAAAUUUCAAGUUUCUUGCUGAUGAUAUAAUGCAGCGAUUGAGUUGUAAACUUGUGGGAUUCUGUGGAAAUAAUUGCAUCUCUAAUUUGAUGCCUUUUCUAAGGUCAAAUGGUUUUUGAUAAACAAUUUGAUGGUUGUCUGAUGAGUAUUAGGUUACAUUAUAUGGAAUUCGUAUGGUUAAAUUUGGGCAGUUGUAGCAUAUCUUCUUAGGUCCAACAGCUACUGAUUGGCUUAGAAUGGAGGUGCUACUGACAAAAUGUUGGAAGGAUGAAGAUAAAACAAUGGUUUUAACUUAAUUAAUGUAGAUGAGAUUUUACUUAACCUAAUGUAGAUGAGUCUGUUUUGUCUUCUGUUGGACGUGAGCUGAGUAUAUGGUUUCAAAGGGCUUCCAUAUUGACGUGCUAAUCCAAAGUCACAGAUCUUCAACUCACCACAAUUAUUUAAAAGUAUAUUUGAUGUCUUUAAAUCUCUGUGCAAAACCCAGUUAUCAUGAAGAUACUUAACACCCUCAAGAAGCUGAAGCAUGAGGCACUUAACUUCACUCUCCCUAAACGGUUGUUUCAUUGUCUCCAUUAACCACUUCAGAUCUUUGGUGACAGUUUCAGUUCCCAAAUACAAAUAGUCUUAAGCAUCAUUGAUUCUACUAAAAUUAUUGCAUUGCAUCAAAAUUUAUAUCUUAUAUUGCAUUGCAUCAUUGGUGACAGUUUCAGUUUUUUUGUUAAUUCUAAUAUUUAGACAAUUGGACAUAUAAGUUGGAUAACUAUGAUAUUGCUCUUAUUUUAAUUGUGGUUUAUCAUUUAUAUCUUAUUUUGUGCAUAGGUGUGUGUGUGUGUCUAUAUAUAUAUAUAUAUAUAUAUAUAUAUAUAUACAUAUAUAUAUUUAUUUAUUUAUUUAUUGAACCGGGGUUGAGCCGGUCCGACCGGUUGAACCUCGACCCUUUCAUUUCACCGGUUCGAUUAACAGUCCGGGUUUUAAAACAUUGAUAAACAUUGAUAUAUGAGAUAUUCAUUGAAUAAUAAGUUGAGAUUCAUGCAUCCUUGCCCUUUCAACUUACUUGGAUUGCACUCUUUGAAUGACUUCCUUCUAAAAGACUUCUCGUCCUUUUCUAAAAGUAUUUGGCCCUAAAAAAGACCUCAAUGAUAGUGCAUUGCACUACCAUUGAACUUCAACAAAUAUAUUGCCAUCACGAAUUCAUACACUUACUAGUUCUUUAUUUUUACAGAAAUAAUAUAGUCAAAAGCUACCUUCUUGGAAUCUGAUUAUUAAUUUCAGUGGCUUUUAUCCAUUGGGAACUUGCACUUGCAAUUCUGACUAUCUUUAAAGAUUUGGGGGUGGAGAGUUGCUUGACUGCUUUUAUCCAUUGGGAACUUGCACUUGCAAUUCUGACUAUCUUUAAAGAUUUGUGGUGGAGAGUUGCUUGACUUAGGCUUUCAGUUUGUUCAUUUGGAGCAGAGUUUGUUCUUUCGGAUAUGGACUAUCCAGGAAGUUGUAAUUGAAUAUGUUUGUUGCUGUUGUUGAUGGAUUAUCAUUUUUUCCUCCUAAGCUUCUUGUCGAUUUCAAUUGUUGGCAUUUGCUGGUGUUCUAGUGUUGUAUACUAGUUUGUUUAGAGCAAUGUCCUUUAAUGAUUUUGUGAAGCUGCACAAUGGACAUGGGAACUUGGACUGUUUCAUUAUGCUUACAUUCUUGUUUUUUGUUGUAAUCAGUGGUUAUUGCUUGUAGUAUGAUCAGAUGAACAAGAUGUUGAUUGUGACUAUUUAAAGACACUAAGCAAUUUUCUUUUGGUGGAAACUGACCCUUGGAGAGUGCUCUGUUUCUUCUGUCUAGAGCCAUAGUUGUCAAAAGAAGACAUAGUUGUUAGAAUCAAUGUUGCAGACCUGACUGCAUAAUGUUGGCAAGUUGUGUAUUGAUGUAAAUUCCUAGGAUAAAGGUUUCAGUUGUGAUUAUUUUCUGAUUCAAAGGGUGUAGGUAUUGGUAAUGGUUGUACUGAGGUAUUCUGCUUGGCUUGUUGCUUAAGUUGAUCAUCUGCUUACAUCAAAGAUGAAUUAUUCUUUCUUCAAUUUUGUGUCUUAAAUGACUGCAUGUUUUGUGGUAUUCUGCUUGGCUUGUUGCUUAAGUUGGUCCUUAAAGAAGAUGAUAAUUAAUUUUAGUUACCUGAUACCAAAUAUCAAGUUGGUUGAUGACCUGGAUGCACAUUUUGUGGCAAAAAUUAUUUAUGGAUUCUAGUUUAUACAGCAUAAAUAAAGGUUGAUUUGGAGAGAAUAUUGCACAGCUUGCUAAGUUUUGGGUUUUGGAGAAGACGGUGCAGCACUUGAAGAACUUAAGUUUUGUAUAAAAUUGUUGAUGGAUACAAGUCCUUUCAAGUUGCAUUCUCUUCCCCUUUUGUCUUAGCUCUUCUAUAUGGCAAAUUGUUGAUCAAAUCAACUGAAACAAGCAUUCUUUUGCCUUGAACGAUCUGGUUCUAUCAGGAUCAAUCUAUUUAUCCUCUUUGUUUUUUUCCCCUCUAACAAAGCGCCAGUGUGGUGCCUUGUUCUAUUUGGAUUCUACUUGUGGUUAGAUUGUGCUUAAUUGAAUUCACUUGUAAAUCUUUUUUCUUUUUGGGAUGAUUUAGGUUUUGCUGAAGGUGAAACUAAGUGCAAAAUGCUCCAGAAUGUUCCACAUCAGAUUGUGCAAUCUCCAGCUAGGCUAGGGUUACCAAAUCCAAAUUCACCUUCUCUUCAAAACACUACUCCGGCUAAGUUUGCCUCCCAAGCCCAGCAAUCUCAUCCACCCAAUCAACAGCCAUAUGCAUCAAGCAUUAUUCCAACUUCUUCAACACUUCUUCCUCUCCUUCCCCCUCUGCCAAGAGCUCAGUCUAUUCUUCUGCAAAUGUCCUCACUUGCCUCAAGACUUUUUGAUGUCUCACCUAAUAGGUCGCAUUGGAUUAGCGCAUUUCGAGGUUCCCUACCCUCCUUCUUGUCUUCCCAAUCCCAACCUUUGACAUCAACUGCACCAGAUUCCUACCCUUCUUCCUCCAAAGAAAUUCUCGCUCUUUUCACAAACCUUCAAACUCAGCUAUUUGAAGCUGUUGCAGAGCUCCAAGAAAUUCUUGAUCUUCAAGAUGGAAAACAGAAACUCUCGCACGAAAUCAGGUCAAAAGAUGCUGCAAUUCUUGCACUUGCAAGCAAGCUCAAAGAAGCUGAGCAGGUUCUUGACAACCUUGUGGAUGAUUACUCGGAUUAUCGCCGUUCAAAACGGUCCAAGUCAGAAGAUGUUGCAGAAGAUUCUUCAACCACCACUGUGGCAUCUCAGCUGAAGCUUUCUGAUAUAUUGUCAUAUGCCCAUAGGAUAAGCUACACUACUUUUGCACCACCAGAAUUUGGUGCUGGACAGGCUCCUCUCCGUGGGGCACUCCCACCUGCUCCACAGGAGGAGCAAAUGCGGGCAUCCCAACUGUACGCUUUUGCUGAUCAUGAUGUUGGUUUACCAAAAACAGAUGAGGAUAAGAAGAAAACUAUAGAGCCAUUGAUCGAAACUCCUGUUGGGCAACCAGCAGAGCCAAAUCCACUGGCCAAUCUUGCUGGAAUGCAGGGUCUACUUCCACCUAAUAUUGCUAUGCCAUCAGGAUGGAAACCUGGAAUGCCCGUGGAGUUGCCCAGUGAUCUACCUAUUCUUCCUCCACCUGGUUGGAAACCUGGUGAUCCAGUGGCACUGCCCCCAUUGGAUUCUCUUCCUAUACCUCCUAGAAUUGAAGAGCAACAACCUCAGCAUAUCCCCCCUCCAAUGCUUACAAAGGCACCCGAGCCUAUACAAGUUCGGCAUGUGCAGCUUGACAUUGACGAUGACAGUAGUGAUUAUAGCAGUGAUGUUGGUAGCUCUGACAGUGAAGAUUAGUCCUAGACUCCAGUGCUUUUAUGUCGAUGUAAAUUCUGAAAUGCUACGUAGAACAUCUUUCAAAGAGGAUUGAAGUUGCUAUCUCUAGCCUGUACUUUCUGCUGAUGAAAUUGAAGUUUUAUUAGAAUUCUGCAAUUCCUCGAAGGCUGUCUAACCUUUCAAUUUGCUGAACAUUUCUCGCAAUCCGUUCUAGUACUGGUUUUGAUUCUAAGGUGUUAUUGGAAGCCUGGUUGAGUGAGCAUGAUCUUUUAAAUUGACAUUACACUGACAUUACACACUUAUGUAAUGUUUUUAUGUAGAUUCUGAUGCAAUAGAUUUUUAUGUUUUACCUUUGACGUACUUUUGUGAUAAUUGAUCAUCUUCUGGACGGUCGUACAUAUAUUGUGUCUUCCGCAAGAUGAGGAACGAAUGAAAGCAGAAAAGCUGCACCUUUUCCUCAGUCAAUACAUCUAAGUACUCCCAGAAAAUCAGCUGAAUCAGUGCCUUCAUAAAAAAGCAUUUCAGUCUUCGCAGCAUCAAGAGGAAAUUGGGAUUGUCACAGGGAAUUGGGGUUGCGGUGCUUUUGGUGGAGAUCCUCAACUUAAAGCUAUUAUUCAGUGGCUUGCUGCUUCUCAGGUGAUGCCUUCUACGGGCUUCAUUUUCAGCUUCUUUAUGUGGUGCAAUGCACCAAGUGUGAUUAACUGAUUCCAUAUUGGACAUUAUGACAUUUUGCUAGUCUGGAAAGAUUUAUUUACUGUGUUCUGUUUUCUGUUCUAAUUCUUCUUUCUCAGUCUUAUAUUCCUAGUAAAUAUUAGAUAUCCAUGUUAAUUGUCAGGUGAACCAUUUCUAUAUGUUAUUUGAUAAUACUGAGAAAGUUGCUGAGCUAUUUUGAGCUAAUGUAUUGCCUUGCGGAAAAAAUGGAUCUGUCAUGAUGUUGUGUUUAGUCCAAAUUUAUUCUGAGAUUGCUUCUUGAUAUAUGCUGCUCUUUACUUACGUCUUCGUUUCUGUCAUCAUGAUUGAAUUCUUGAAAGAAUUGCAAACAUGUGACUUACUAAAUCCUUUCUACUGCUGUUGUAAUGGAAUCUGGUUUAGGAAUGGAUGCUUGGCCCGUAUCCUAUUUGUGUAAUACCAUAAUUAUUUGACAUACAAUAUGGACAUUCUUUCUCUUUCCGAAGACAUCAGUUCAUAGAUUUCGUGCAUUUUGUUAUCAACUGGUUUUAUUUAGUCUUCUCCUUUCAGUUCUUCUAUGAUUUUUCUGAUAUUGUCCUAUGUUCCAGGCAUUAAGACCUUUCAUCUUGUACCACACAUUUGGUUUGGAGACAUUGGAGGUGCUAGAUCAGGUACUUAACUUCUGCCAGCUGUAAAUGAUGUUUAACGUAUUGAUUUGAAUGUAUAUGAGAUUUUUUCUCUUUUUUUUUUAUUGUUUUUCUGCUGAAUAAUGGAUUUCUGUUUUAGGAGCACCAAAAUAAGUAAAGGACAAGUGGUCUUGGUUACUUUGUCAGCUUUAAGUAUGUGGCCUUAAAAAAGGAUGAUCUUUGGAGUAUUUCUUUGUAUUCAGACACUUACCCCCUCCAUCAUAAUUUGUUCUUCACUUCUGGGUCCCAAUUCCUAUUGCACUUACCUGCACAAUUCUCAUGUAUAUCCACAUGCACUUGUAGUCAGCUUCUUCAAGGCCAAGCUAUAAAAAGUACACGAUUGACCACUAUUUGUGCAUUGUUAUUUCGAAAGGGGUUUCCUAAAAGUGAAGAACAAACUGUAUUCUAGUCCUGCAAUCUUCUUUUAGAGAUGUGAUCAAAUGGUCAAAUUGUGACUAAGUGUGGUGUCUCCUCCAAGCAUUUUCUUAAUGCUAAUCUUAAAAGGCAAACUAUCCUUUGGUUGGUUACCUUUGCCAAGGUUUAGUUUGCCCCUUUGACUCAAAUUCAUUUGGUCCAUUUAUUAACUAUAGCUCAAAGAUGGUUGCCAUUAUCUUUUGGAGUUCUUCUGUUAAAUUUAUUAUCAUUUCUUGAACAAGGAACUUCCCUUGUUUUUAAGGUUGUGGCAGACUAAGUUCAAAUUCAAAAAGUAACAAAUCGGUGGUGAAGGAGCACGGUUGAAACUUUACCAAAUUUAGUGCUCGAUGAUGUGGCUGUUGCAUUUCAAAUACUGAAAUAAUUUCUUGUCAAUUGUUUAUGCUGCUGGAUACUGUGUCUCCUGCACUUUGCGAAUUAUAGGUCUAACACGCGGCCUAUUAUUCAUUAGAUUCUUAGAUCUGACUGAUUGAACUUUGGACCACCUUUCAUUAUUUUAUGGAUGGACACUUUCUUUUCAUGCCCAUUGGUUGUUGACAAUUUCUCUUUUAGGUGACUCGCUGGAUUAUAUCCCAUGAGUGGACUGUUGGAGAACUUUGGAAUAUGAUGGUUGAGUACGGAUCCAAGAGAUUAAAAGGUGAAGCCAGAGUUGGCUUUUUCAGUUGGCUCCUUCCCUUGGUAGAUUCCAAUGAUGCAUGAGCUGUUGGGCAUCACCUCAAUCUUCAUGAGAUUUACUGAGCAUUGACCAAAAUUUCUUCUUUGGUGGGCACUUUCUUGGCUUGGUGCGGCUCAUAUUUGAUUCACUAUGGAAGACUAGCAUAGUGUAAAUGCUUUCACUGUUAGUUGCACUGUGGAAAUAUAGAAUACUCGGCAUAAUUUUUCCCUAUAGGGGUGCGUGGUCUGUGUAUCUGAGGGACAUUUUAUUGUUCGUUAGUGACAAAAAAGAAGUGCAUCUGGAGUUGCUCUGCGCCAAUGGUUGAUUUUGUCUGACCCAAGAUCUCCUUUGCAAUUCACCUGUAAGGGAGAAUGGAUGAGCUCAAGGGCAGGUAAAAUGAAGGCAUUCUAGCUAUUCAUUGAACAAGAAAAUGACAGGAGAGGGGGGGUUGCAUGCACGGAGAUGGAGGGUAUUUACUAUCUGCUGCCCACUGCCCCGGAUUUGAAACUGCUGUGGAAGCAUAUGCGAUCAAACUCUGGCUUGCGACAGCAACUCUGCUGCUAUCAGAAUUUGUUGGUUAGAAAGCUUUGUCCAUAACCAACCUAGUUAUGAGGAUCUAACCCGCAUUCAUGUAAUACCUUUCUUUCUUGUUUAGUGAACGGAGGCUCGUAGAAUUCGCUGAAAGAUAGGAUCAGCUGUUUGGUACGUCUCCUUUUGUACCUAUAAUUAAGUCUAUACACGUUAGGAUGAGGUUCAAAAGUUACCAUUCAUACAAGGACCAUUAAUUUGACAUAUCUUUUACUUCCACAAAAUAAAAUAGGGGAAAAAAAUUCUCAUUACUGAAAAUUGGUCUACACAAACUAGGGCUGUUCACGAAUUGGAUUGCGAGCGCCUCGAAUACGAGCUCGACUCGAGCUCGGUCAAUAUCAAGCUCGAGUCGAGCUUGAGCUCAAAAACAUUAAGAUCGUUGGCUCGCGAGUUCGAUUAUAUGUAUGUAUCUUUUAUUUUUUAUUUUAAUAGUAAAAUUACAUAUAUAUUCUUAAUAUUUUAUUAUUUGUUAAGAAAAAUUAUUAUUUUAUUUAUUUUUAAAAUAAAAUAAUUAUUUUUUAUUUUUUAAAAAUAAAAUAAUUAUUUUUAUUUUUUAACCUCGAGCUCGACUCAAAUUUGAGUUCGUUGAGCUCGAGCUCGAGCUCGAGUUCCAGUUUUGUAAAAUUAACUAGAGGUUCGGUUCGAUUAGAUCAAAACUCAAUUCGACUCGAUUCGUUUGCACCCUUAACACAAACACAAGCAUUGGGUAGAGCGGGAUUAAUUUAAUGCAUGUCUAGACUUGUAAGAGGGUGGUGGAUAAACUUGCCCUGAUAAUGACUUUAGGGGAUUAAUUCUUUCUUUGUGCUUGAUGUUUCAUGAUGAACAUCAAUUUUUUUGUUUGGGGUGGUUUUGAGAGUUCGAGUUUGAAAAUAUUUUUUACCGUUCCAAUGAUUAGCUUAUUGUAAUUUUCCCAUUCCAGGGAUUAUUUUACCUACUUAUAUCCUUUUUUUUUCUUUUUCAAUGCUCUUAGUAGGCCAGAUGCUCUCGUGCUAACUAUCCCAUAAUUUGAAAUUAAAAAAAAAAUCUAAUUUGGCAUCUAAAAGAGGAUCCAAUAUUAGGCAUCUUUUUUCCAAUUUAUGCACUUGAUAAAUAAAAGGAACCAAAUAUAAAAAGAUUUUAGUUGAGCUAAAUUUUCUUAUAAUUGUGGUGACAGCAAGAAUCUUAAGGUAUGAAAAAAAAAUGUUUUGUUAAAUUUUGGAAGUUGUUAUUUUUUGUAUGAAUAAUGGAUAUAUUUUAGGGUUAAUUACAUUUACCUCCCCUGAGGUUUGACCAUAUUACCAAUCAAUCCCUGUAAUUUGUCCAAAUAACGGUCUCACCCUUUGAAUGAUCAAACAUUUAACAAAAACCCCCUUAAUGCCGAAAAUGCCCUUAUUGAGGCCAUAUUGCAUUAAAAAAAGAAUAUAUUUUUAUUUAUUAACCUUCAAGUAAUCCAAAAAAAUAGAAAAAGUUUUUGCUUAUUAUUUUAUAAAAAUCACAUCUUUACUUCCAUAAAUAGUUUUGAAUCAAUAAUUAUUUUAAAUCUUAAAAAUGAAUAUUAAAAAUUAUAUAAAUUGAAAGAAAAAUAAAAAAGAAGCAAUUAUUUUAAAUCCUCAAGUAUGGUUCGAAUUUGUGGUUCAAGGCAUGUUGCGGAGAGCACAAGGCAUGUUUUCCUCAAUUUGAACCAUACUCUAGGAAUUAAAAUAAUUUCUUCUUUUUUUAUUUUUCUUUCAAUUUAUCUAAUUUUUAAUAUUCAUUUUUAAGAUUUAAAAUAAUUAUUGAUUCAAAACUAUUUAUGGAAGCAAAGAUAUGGUUUUUAUAAAAUAAUAAGCAAAAACUUUUUUCUAUUUUUUUGGAUUGCUUCAGGGUUAAUAAAAUAAAAAUAUGUUCUUUUUUUAAUGCAACAUGGCCUCAAUAAGGGUAUUUUCGCCAUUAAGGGGGUUUUUGUUAAAUGUUUGAUCAUUCAAAGGGUGAGACCGUUAUUUGGACAAAUUACAAGGAUUGAUUGGUAAUAUGGUCAAACCUCAGGGGAGGUAAAUGUAAUUAACCCUAUAUUUUAUUGACCCUGUAUAGUAAUGGCCCCAUAAGUAAAUUAACAAGUUAGAUCAAAUAUUUAAUGUAACUAGUAUAAUAAUUGAGGGGCAAUUUUGGCAUAAAAAAAUCUUCUCACAUCUGAAAUUAUUUUCUUAUUGUUGCUUUUUUGAAUUGGAUUAAAUUGUUACAAGAAAAUUAGUUUUAAGGGAGGUUAGUAAUAUUUUUAGAACCUCAGGGGAGGGGCAGUGAAACUAUUAGAAACCUCCCCUGUUAUCCCUAUUAUUGUAUCAUCCUUGCUCCGGAAACCUGCCUUUCCACUGCUAGUGCUGGAGUAGAAAACAGUCGCAGGAUACCAAGUUUUCGGGUUAAUUUCACUUUAUCCCCCCAAACUUUGGACGAUUACUCACUUUAGUCCCUAAACUUCAAAAUGGGACACUUAAGUCACUAAAACUUAUAAAUUUGGACACUUAACUCCCUAAACUUAUAAAAUCGGACACUUAAAUCCCUAAACUCUUAUAAAAUGGGACACUUCGACCACCAUGGCAUUCAGGAUUUUGUUAACAAUUUUCCUUAAUUGGGAGGUAUUUAUAAGUUUAGGGAUUUACUUGUCCUAUUCUAAAGUUUAGGGACUAAAGUGAAUAACCGUCCAAAGUUUGGGGGGACAAAGUGGAAUUAACCCCCAAGUUUGCUGUCUUUUGUAGUCCGUAAGAACUAAGAAAGAAUUGAGGAGACCGGUUUCCAUCGGCAAAGCAAAGAACUUCAGCACUCCACCUCUCUAUCUCUCCUUCUCUGGAUUCAAGCUUUUCACAGUACCAAAACAAAAUACUAUUGUAAGUGGUAAGAAGCCCGCAUUCAAAUCCCUUUCUUGGUUACCACUAAACUUUUGUACCUUCUAUGUGAGUCCUUCUGGAGUUAGUAGUAGUACAAAUAUAUGCAAGUCCUCCCUGCUGCAUGUUGCCUUUUUCGUUUUUUUUUUCCCCAAAUCAAAGUUUGAAUCUUUCUCUGUGAUUUCAAUUGAAAAGUGGACAGCAUCUUUUCCACUGGGGAGUGAGGGGUUGUGGGAGUUUUCCUAUGGAGAUAACCUUGAGACAUCUUCUCAUGUAAUUGUAAUUUAAAGCUUCUCUAUUGUUAUCUAUUUGUCCUUUUCUUUUCUUUUAAUCCUUGGAGAAUUGCACAUUUCCAUUUUUCUGCUACAAAGGAAGGGGUUGCUCUAUGGGGCUUUGUUUGUUAAUUCCACAUUUUGAGGCUCUUGGGUUGGCUGUUGAAAUAAGUAGUCUGUAUUUAGCUGGUAUCCCAUUUUUCAGCACUCCACUGCUGUUGGCGUUUGCUAAAUUCUGAUUUUUUUUCAAAAGGAUCUUUUAGUUUCAUGCCCUUUUAUAUAUAUCUAGCAGCAGAAGAGAUGUCUGUGGCGGCUUCGGCUGCUGCUGCUGCUGUUGGGGCUGGGGCGGUCGCCUUGUUCAGACUAAACAGGUUGCCUUCUUCCCCCUCCACCUCCUCCUGCUCUUGUCUUCUUCUCAAAGGACUCCGAGCUUUUGCACCAUUUCCAUACCGAUACCACUUCGCUUCUUAUUCUACUUCUUCUUUGCUUUCACAAGAAGCAGCAGCUGUUGCUUCCCAACUUCCACGCUCACACGCCGCCAAUACCUCCUCCAAUGUGGUGGAAAUUCUUGAACAGAGAGGCCUGCUGGAAUCUCUCACCAGCGAUAGUCUCAGGUCGGUCUGCUCCUCCUCUGCCCCUAACCAAGCACCUCUUCGAGUCUACUGUGGUUUUGACCCCACCGCUGAUAGCCUCCACCUCGGCAAUCUCCUUGGCAUUAUUGUCCUCUCUUGGUUCCUCCGCUGCGGUCAUCGUGCUGUCGCUCUCAUUGGGGGAGCCACCGGCCGCGUAGGCGACCCUUCUGGCAAGAGUUCCGAAAGGCCUGAGCUUGACCUUGAAACCCUCCAUAAGAACAUUUCUGGGAUUUCCGCCACCAUUUGCCACAUUCUUAGCAGGGCUGCUCCUAUCCCUGAUUCUGUUUCUAUCCUGAAUAAUUAUGAGUGGUGGAAAGAUGUUAGGCUGCUGGAUUUCCUCAAGGAUGUUGGGAGGUAUGCGAGGGUGGGCACCAUGAUGUCCAAGGAAAGCGUCCGCAAGAGGCUUGAAUCUGAUCAGGGCAUGAGCUACACUGAGUUCACCUACCAGAUCCUGCAGGGCUACGACUUUGUCCAUCUCUUUCGCCAAGAAGGAGUCUCUGUUCAGAUCGGUGGCAGCGAUCAAUGGGGCAACAUCACUGCCGGGACUGACCUUAUCCGCAGAAUUCUUCGCGUUGAAGGGGCAGCCCAUGGACUCACAUUCCCUCUCCUCCUCAAGAGUGAUGGUACUAAAUUUGGAAAAUCAGAGGAUGGUGCCAUUUGGCUUUCCCCUUCCAAGUUGACCCCUUAUAACUUUUACCAGUAUUUCUUUUCAGUUCCUGAUGAUGAUGUUGUUAGGUUCCUCAAGAUACUUACUUUCUUGAGCUUGGAGGAGAUUGCACGGCUGGAAAGGGACAUGGAUACCCCCGGCUAUGUUCCCAACACUGCCCAGCGUAGGCUGGCUGAGGAGGUUACUCGCUUUGUACAUGGCCAAGAGGGUCUGGACGAGGCUCUCAAGGCCACUGAGGCUCUGAGGCCUGGGGCAGCUACCAAGUUGGAUGCUAAAACCAUUGAGGGGAUUGGAGAGGAUGUUCCUUCUUGUUCGCUGCCUUACGAUCAGGUCCUGAGUCUGUCUCUGUUGGAUCUCUCCGUUUCAAGUGGAUUGCUUGAGAGUAAAUCAACAGCACGGCGUCUACUCAAGCAAGGAGGGCUUUAUCUGAACAACGGUAGGGUUGACAGUGAGGCGAAAAAGAUUGAGGCAAAUGAUAUUAUAGACGGAAAAGUUAUCCUUUUAUCUGCUGGAAAGAAGAAUAAGAUGGUUGUAAGAGUUUCUUGAUUGCCUUUGCCUUGGAUUAUUUUUCAUUUAUUUUACAUCGCAGAACGUUCAUCAUUGCAAGUUUUGGAUUUGUCUAGAUUAAACAUAUGGACUUAGAUUUUGGUGGAGUUAAUGCUAUUUGGAAUAUCUUUUGUUCCUCUUUUCCGUGAUUAUUGUAUUCUAUUAUAGAUAUUACUUAUCAUUUCAGCAGCUUCACUCUGAUCUGAAUUUUUUCACUAUUAAUCAUUUAUAGUGGAAGUACCUUUCGAAGGCAUUCUCAACUACUGAGAUCGCUUAAGUCUCUUGUUUUUGAAAUUCUCAUUUUGUUUGUUAUCUCAAGAAAAUAGAUAUAGAAUCAACAUAGUCUGUAAUUAUGCACUAAGCAUAGCUCAAGAUGAGGAAUGGGAUAAUCCUCAGUGUUAGGUACAUUUUUGUAAAGCGAAAUUUGGGCCGUUGCCCAACAAUUGUACACUUUUACCUGAUCAAUAUAUAUAUAUAUCUUAUCGUUUCUGGAAAAAAAAAUUAUACUUCAUAAUGUAUAAUAUAUCAUCUAUUGUUAAUAAAAUUUGCAACUUUCUGGACUUCUUGGUUCACUACACUAAAUUGUUUAAUUCAGUGGAGACUGAUGUCGAUCACAGAAUACCUCUUUUCUACAGCAAAUAUUCUCAAAGAUAAUAAGAGAUGGAACGAAGCAUGUGCUGGGUAAAGGAGUUAAAAUCUAUAGCCAUGCCUUGCAGUUCUUCAGAAGGGGUGACUUGAUAAUUCAACUUAUACAAACCUAAACUUUCCCAAGCUGCGGAGAAAUUUUUAAUUUGUUUUGGGCUACAUUAGCUUUUGUUGUCAAAGGGAAGUUUUGAUUUUGAAAGCUAUUGAGAAUUUGGGGGUUGUGGGAAGGUAUGGAACUGCUGUAAAUCCCCUUUACCUACCAAUUUGCCCCGCAUAGCAAUGGCUUUGGCUUGUCUUGUUGGUUUGUCUGUUUAAAUGACAUAAAACAAAUAGAAGUUUUCAUUCUUGAUGGUACAAUAUGUGUCAUGUAAUGGUAAACAUUCAAUAUUCUCCACUCCCUUUAAGGACAAAAGAUUGGUGCCCUAUUUUGGCAGCAUCAUUUGGUGGGAACAGAGAAGCAAGUUUCUUUUAGUUAUUAUCUGAAUUUAUGCUCCCGGAUGAUUGUUGAAAUGAUGUGAGUCAGCUGAUUCUCAGUUGAAGGAUAAAAAUUUGUUAUGAAUAUUAGUUGCUAGUUCUUCAAUGGUAAAGGUUCGAAUGCUAAAUUAACAUGCUUCAAAAAAGUUCUUAUAAUUCCUCUGAAGACAUAUUUCCUAGUAUUGAUAGCAAGAAACAAAAAAGCUUAAUGGUCUGAAAUGUUACUACAAAUCUUUCCCGAUAUGUCUACUAUGUCUGGACUUAAGACACCUCAAGCCCCCCCCCCCCUCCUCCCCAAAAAAAAAAAAAAGAAAGUGUGAGGUGGUUUGACUAGGUCUUCCAACGAUGGCUGAUUUGCUCUUGAAUUUGCGGUCCCUUUUGGAGACCAACUAUCAGCAGCAGCAGCAGCAGCUGCUUAAGAGUAUGCCUACUGUUGCCUCUGCUUGUUAGACACUCUCAAGUAAGAAUGUCAACUCUUUAUGGAGUACUAUUAAUACUUACUACUAUUAAUUAUUUGUACCUAGUACUAGUUUAUAAGCACUUAUAGACGGUUUAAUCAAUUAUGUGUGAGAAUACAGCUACUCCAUUUGAUUACAUACUGUUCUUUGACAAUGCAUUGAUUCAUGAAAACUUCUUUUGUUCUGCUCCUGCUUUACCAUUUACAUCUGUUUGUUUGUUUUAUACGACAACAGGAGUUGAUUUCUGCACUGUUUUACAAAACUUGCAUGCAGCAACACACUUAAAAGGGUAAAAUUAGUACUGGUCAAGGUAAAACUUAUCCUGGCAAUUGCCAAACUAUGGAAAAUUGUUGGUACCAAAUUGCAAAUCGUACCCAUGCUCAUUGCUUAGUUGUCCUACUUCGACUAUAGGAGAAAUGCAAGUUUAGUUCUCAAUAUUUAGCAUGUGUGCUAAAUUGGUCCUUAAUAUUUCAACUAAAAAUGAGACCCACUAUCGGCGCCAGCAGCAGCAGCCCCUUGAUAGUAAUACAACUUGCCUCCGCUUGUUGGACUCCCAGCAGCCUGGCCUUGUGCUUCUCUCUCAAGUAAGAAUAAGAAGCAAAUUCCUUCACUCUUUACGGACUUCUUUUUAUGCUUGUUUCUAUUGGCCGUUUGUUCCUACGAUUAGUAUAGCACCAAAUGUUGCUACUUUAACCAAUUAAAUGCCAGAAUGCGUUUAUUCUGUUCAAUUUUGGAUUGAUUGUUCUUUCUCUAGGCAUUUUGAUUCAUGGAAACUUCUUUUCUUCUGCUCCUACUUUACAAUUUGCAUUUCUGGUUAACAUUGAUGGUUGUUGUGCUUGUUUUAUUUCACAACAGGAGUUGAUUGCUGCUCUGCUUUCUUGCGCUUUCUUUUCUUUAUUUCCUGCUGCUAAUAGAGGUGCCACAUAUCUCCCAGCGAUCAACUUUCAUCAUUUAUUUGCGUAUGUUAUCAUUCCAUCAAUCAGCAUCAUCAUCAAUUGUGCAUACCCCUUCAUUAUUAACUACUCUGCUAUUCUUGCACUCUUGCUUGUCCUUGCAAACUGACACCUUUUCCCUGCCAUAUUACCAGCAAUGUUCUAUGGGCCCUUUUUGUUCAUAUCAAGGACCAACCGGCUUGGGCAACCUUAUUGAAAACUGAUGAUUUUUUUUUUUCUUUGAAACUGAUGGUCACAAGGUUCCUAUGGGUCUGAAGUUUCUUUGGGCUGUUUUGUUAACUGUGUCAAGACUUAGUCUUUCUUCAAUUUAGCUUUUCUAUGACAACAUUUUCCUGGUGUAAAGCUGGCCUUUGAGUUUGUAAUUAAGCGUGUAGAUCAGAAAGCAUGAAGGAGAAUACACUUAGUGUACCGCAUGUGUGUGCUUAAUUUAACAUAACAAGGAAGGAUUAUAAUGCAUAAGAAGUUGACGACCUACUACUACUUACAGUUUCAUGUCUCCAUCUCUUAUUUUGAUCUGUGCACUUCAGUCAUCGUGGUCGGAUCACAGUCAAACCUUGAAAGUGUAGGAUAGUGGCAACUUAAAGAGAGAGAGAGAGAGAGAGAGAGAGGGGGGGUUGGAUCUACAAUCUCGAAGCUUGUGGAAGAGAAGCUAUAAACUUUGGGAGUGAUUAUGCAUAUUGUAACUUCAUCAAUCAAAUCUAAUGAGUGCUGUUGAUUCUUAUCUGAAUUUUCAGUUCAGUCGGCAAGUGGAUAUAUCUGAUACUAAUGUUGUUUCAGGUCUCUAUACGGGUGUUAUGAGGAGUACCAGGAAAGCAAAAUAAAGUACAUUGAUUUGAAUGUAUAUGAGAUUUUUUCUCUUUUUUUAUUGUUUUUCUGCUGAAUAAUGGAUUUCUGUUUUUGGAACACAAAAAUAAGUGAAGGACAAGUGGUCUUGGUUACUUUGUCAGCUUUGAGUAUGUGGCCUUAAAAAAGGAUGAUCGUUGGAGUAUUUCUUUGUAUUCAGACACUUGCUCCCUCCAUCAUAAUUUGUUCUUCACUUCUGGGUCCCAAUUCCUAUUGCACUUACCUGCACAAUUCUCAUGUAUAUCCACAUGCACUUGUAGUCAGCUUCUUCAAGGCCAAACUAGAAAAAGUACACGAUUGACUGCUAUUUGUGCAGUGUUAUUUCAAAAGGGGUUUCCUAAAAGUGAAGAACAAACUGUAUUCUAGUCCUGCUAUCUUCUUUUAGAGAUGUGAUCAAAUGGUCGAAUUGUGACUAAGUGUGGUGUCUCCUCCAAGCAUUUUCUUAAUGCUAAUCUAAAAAGGCAAACUAUCCUUUGGUUGGUUACCUUUGCCAAGGUUUAGUUUGCCCCUUUGACUCAAAUUCAUUUGGUCCAUUUAUUAACUAUAGCUCAAAGAUGGUUGCCAUUAUCUUUUGGAGUUCUUCUGUUAAAUUUAUUGUCAUUUUUUGAACACGGAACUUCCCUUGUUUUUAAGGUUGUGGCAGACUAAGUUCAAAGAUAAAACGUAACAAAUCGGUGGUGAAGGAGCACGGUUGAAACUUUACCAAAUUUAGUGCCCGACGAUGUGGCUGCACUUCGCGAAUUAUAGGUCUAACACGCGGCCUAUUAUUCAUUAGAUUCUUAGAUCUGACUGAUUGAACUUUGGACCACCUUUCCUUAUUUUAUGGAUGGACACUUUCUUUUCAUGCCCAUUGGUUGUUGACAAUUUCUGGAGAUGCUCUGCACCAAUUGUUGAUUUUGUCUGACCCAAGAUCUCCUUUGCAAUUCACCUGUAAGGGAGAAUGGAUGAGCUCAAGGGCAGGUAAAAUGGAGGCAUUCUAGCUAUUCAUUGAACAAGAAAAUGACAGGAGAGGGGGGGUUGCAUGCUGGAGGGUAUUUACUGUCUACUGCCCACUGCCCCGGAUUUGAAACUGCUGUGGAAGCAUAUGUGAUCAAACACUGGCUUGCGACGGCAACUUUGCUGCUACCAGAAUUUGGUUAGAAAGCUUUGUCUAUAACCAGCCUAGUUAUGAGGAUCCAACCCACAUUCAUGUAUUCCUCUCUUGCUUGUUUUGUGAACGGAGGCUCGUUGAAUUCGCUGAAAGAUGGGAUCGGAUGUUUGGUCUAAAAUUGUUUUGUCCGCUUCCAUGAGUAUGGCUCUUUUCGUCAAGUUGAUUUCUCAAUCUUUGUGCCUAUAAUUAAGUCUAUAUGCGUAGUAUUAGGUUCAAAAGUUACCGUUCAUACAAGGACCAUUAAUUUGUCAUAUCUUUUACUUCCACAAAAUAGGGAAAAUUUUGUCUCGUUACUGAAAAUUGGUCUACACAAGCAUUGGGUAGAGCGGGAUUAAUUUAUUGCCCGUCUAGACUUGCAAGGGUGGUGGAUAUGCUUGCCCCGAUGAUGACUUCAGGGAUUAAUUCUUUUCUUUGUGCUUGAUGUUUCAUGAUGGGGUUAAAACGAGGGAAAAAAAUUCCCCUCAUCCCGCCCUAUUACUUCCCCCGGGAUGAGCGCGGGUACGCGCCCCUGUUGCCAUCCCUAGAUAUUAUUAUAUGGGAUUAAAUAUAGAAAAUUCUCAUGAACUUUUAUAGCUGUUGCACAAUAUACUCCAAAGUAUGUUUAUAGGCACUUUGCACCCUAAGAAAACUAUCGUUCACAGAUUUCAUGACCAUACAAAGCGCGUGUCUUGCAAGCUCUGUCCAUUGAAAUUUCUUGAUAUAAUUGUCAUCCUUUCAAACAAAUAUAAAUGGCUAUCUCCAGCUAUCGUUACUUGUUCAUUCUACUCAUUUAUUAUCAUUUUCAUCAUAGUUUUUCCCCUUUUAUUUCCUCUUUUUCACAAAUGCUGCACAAUUUCUACAUUGAGCAUAGUCCUAAUAAUUGCAGCUCAAGCGAUGCAUAUGAAGCAACAAACUUCAACUCAAGAUGCAGGUGUGGAAGAAUGGCACCUCUAUGCACUUCAUGGACUAUUCACAAUUCAAGAAGAAAAUUAAUUGGAAUAACUAAUGUAGUAUUUUUUGGGAUGUGAUCUAUGCAAAAAAAAAAAAAAAAAAAAAAAGAUGGUUCGAAAGAUAAAAAGUUGAUUGCAAAUUGUAUUUGUGAUGCAAGUAAAAUAUUAUUCGAAAUAAUUUUGUUAUCCAAAAAGAAAACAAAAAGUACGAAAAUUUUAUCUUCUCAAAUGAGUAAAAAAUUUCUAAAAAAAAGUCAUUAACCAAUAAUAUACUACUACUAAUAUUUUCUUUUUUAUUUUAAUCUUAUUAUUUGUCACUUUACUAUUAAUAAUUAGAUUUAUUAUGGGCUCAUUUGUUUUUGAUGUAUCUAAAUAAUUUGAAUACUAUACAAAAUAUGCUUUGCACAUAACUAACAUAUAUUUGCAAUUAUUAUUACUAGUAAUAACUGAACAUAAAAAAGAGAUGAAAAGAGAAUAAGUUGAAGUUCAUUAAAAAUAAUAGAUAAAUAAUGAUAGUAAAAAAUUGAAAUAACUAGUCACACAAGACAGAAAAGAAUAAGAAAAAUGUAAAAUGGAACAAGGUAAAGAGUAAAGAAAAAAGUACCAAAAAUAAUUGAUAUAUAAAUAAUAUUCCAAACAAUAGUUUUUUUUUACAUACAUCAUAUUCCAAAAUUAUUUAGAUACUUUAUGGACCAUCACAUCCCACUCUAUGCAACACAAUGGCCAAUCGGACAUGAAGGAUGCUUUUAUCUGUUCAAUUAUUAUUUGAGAAUACAGUUAUCAUUUCAGUGAUAAAGUGAACGAUACAUAAAAAUUAGUUACUUUUCAGUGGAUUUUGGAUGCAAAUUACCUAUAAACAUACUUUGAAGUGUGUCGUGCAAGUGCAACAGCUAUAAAAGUUCACACGGGCGGUUUCUGAAAUUAUCCCUAUUAUUGUAUCAUCCCUUGCUCCAGAAAUUCGCCAUGCCACUGCUAGAGUAGAAAACAUUAGCAGGAUACCAAGUUUGCUAUCUUUUGUAGUCCGUAAUACUAAAUACCAGCAAGAAGAACUAAGAAAGAAUUGAGGAGACCGGUUUCCAUCCGCAAAGCAAAGAACUUCAGCACUCCACCUCUGUAUCUCUCCUUCUCUGGAUUCAAGCUUUUCACAGUACCAAAACAAAAUACUAUUGUAAGUGGUAAGAAGCCCGCCUUCAAAUCCCUUUCUUGGUUACUACUAAACUUUUGUACCUUCUAUGCCAUCGGGAGUUAGUAGUAGUACAAAUAUAUGCGAGUCCUCCCUGCUGCAUGUUGCCUUUUUUCGUUUUUUUUUUCCCCAAAUCAAAGUUUGAAUCUUUCUCUGUGAUUUCAAUUGAAAAGUGGACAGCAUCUUUUCCACUGGGGAGUGAGGGGUUGUGGGAGUUUUCCUAUGGAGAUAACGUUGAGACAUCUUCUCAUGUAAUUGUAAUUUAAAGCUUCUCUAUUGUUAUCUAUUUGUCCUUUUCUUUUCUUUUAAUCAUUGGAAAAUUGCACAUUUCCAUUUUUCUGCUACAAAGGAAGGGGUUGCUCUAUGGGGCUUUGUUUGUUAAUUCCACAUUCUGAGGCUGCUGGGUUGGCUGUUGAAUGAGUAGUGUGUAUUUAGCUCGAAUCUCAUUUUUCAGCACUCCACUGCUGUUGGUGUUUGCUAAAUUCUGAUUUUUUUUUUCCGAAGGAUCUUUUAGUGUCCUGCCCUUUCAUAUAUCAUACUUUCUUUAUCUCAUGCUUCUGCCCUGAUGGUUGAGAAGAACGCGAUCGCACAAAGUCAAGUACAGACGAAAAGUUUCGUGAAAUAUAUUCUUAUUUUCGUUUUUUUUCCUGGAAGACUGGAAAGAAGGAAUUGCUAACUGUGUUUCCGUGGAAUAAAGAUAAGAUAGCCUGUUUAACCAUUGACAUUUGCCAUUGUAAUUUAGGAGUAAAGCUUCUACCUUUACGUGGAUAUUGAGAUUGGAUUUGUUUUGGGUUCUUUUCUGCAUUUGUAUUGCACACGCGUCUUUUCUUGUCUAUUGAGGCCACUAUUGCUGCUACUCAAGUUGAAAAAGUUUUCACUGUUAUUUUGCAGCACUGGUUGCAAUUAGAGGACCUUGCAGUAAAGGUUGUUCUUCAGCUACUAAGAUAAAAGGCAGUCGUGGUUACAACAAAUGGAUGCAUUGAGGCUGCAGUCUUGGUUCUCACCUAUUAAAAUAAAAGGCAGAAAAGAUUCUUCUUCAUGCUAUGGUGAUCUCUCUAUGAGGAGAAAGAAACAGAACCAAACUGUUAUAUCAUCAACCUGGAUGUCUAUGAACAGCCUAUCCAGAUCGCCUUCAUGGGUACGUGCAUCUGAUUCUCAUUUCCCUUCCGUGUCUAAUGUCUAUUUCUACUUCAUAAUAUUCAUUUGUGUGUCAAUUCAUAUCAUUGUGGAGGUCUUAGUGGUAGGGGUUUUUGAUCAGGUUCAUGGGUUCAGAGAAUAUAGGUUAAAGACUACUAAAGCAGUGGGUGUAUCAGAGGCGGAGGAUGGGAGGGAGAAAGGAAGCAAAAAAUCUGGUGAAAAUUCUAUACCUGAUGAUGCCUUUGAUAUGGAUGAUGAAGAGAGGCAGGCAUGGAGGAAAAAAAUUAGGGAAGUGAUCAGUACGAACCCUGCCAUUGAUGAAGAGGUAGAUCCUGAUGAAUGUAGAAAAAAGAUGCAAAAGCUUUUGGCGGAUUAUCCUCUUGUUGUUGAGGAAGAUGACCCCGAUUGGCCAGAAGAUGCUGAUGGUUGGGGUUUCAGCUUAGGUCAAUUCUUCAACAAGAUUACCAUUAAAAAUGUCAAGAAGGAUGAUGAUGACAACUAUGAUAGUGAAAAUGAAAUUGUGUGGCAAGAUGAUGAUUAUAUCCGUCCAAUUAAGGACAUAACAUCUGCAGAAUGGGAAGAGGCAGUGUUCAAGGACAUCAGUCCUUUAGUUGUUCUUGUACAUAACCGUUAUAAAAGGUUUGUUUGCUUUACUUUGUUUUUGUCAUUGGCACUCUUUUAGUGCAAGUUAAUUGGUUUUAAUGUCCAUGUUUUUCUUUUUAAAAUGUUGCUGGGAUUAGUUACCUCAAAUUGCCUGUCUUUUAAUAUGAUGCUUAGUGUUGUAGAUUAGUGCUGAUGCCUGACUAUUUGCUGUGCCUGAAUCAUUUUGGGAUAAUUUCUGGCUAUCAAUUUCUUAGCUAGGUGAUCUCUUUGAGUUCUUAUUCUUCUGCUGUGAUAUGUCCCUCCCUGGGUUAAACAUUUAGGAACGUUUGUCCAGAAAUGCUAUUGAUAUUGCAUAUGCAUAGCCUUUGUUGAGUUACUUUGACCUUUAUAGCAGGCUAUUGCCAGCUAAGUGUUUGUCGAUUGAUCUUAAGGUCGCAGUAUUAUGUGACUAUGUCUUAUCAGUUUUUGAACUCUGGCUUGCUUAUAUAUUCUACCUUGCAUCGAAUAACUUGCAAACAUAGAACUGAGGUCCUGGUAAUAUGCCAACAAGAAUUUACUGAUUGCAAUUGGCAUUAUUUGAUUUGAUUCACCUACAUAGGCAUGCUUGGUUGCUUGACUUGGCAAAGUUACUGAACAGCAAAAUUUUGAAAGAAUUGAUAUGAUCCUCUACCUCCCCUCUUGUGCUCUUCCCCUUGCUUGUUGAUCCUAAUUUUCUGGGUUUUGGAUAACUUUGUGGCAUUUGUCUACAUAUAUAUUUGCAGAGCUGUUAUCUGGAAAAAUAUAGUAAUAUGAAAAUGCAGAUGGAAGGCUUUUGCUGACACCCUUUGCAGCUACUUUUUCUGAGCUGGGUUAUAUUGAGCAAAAUAGUCAUUGACAAAACAUUUUUUGGAGCAUUUUGCUAACACGUUUUACAAUGCCCAUUAUAGUUUGCCGACCAUCUUUUCAUCCACGAGAAAGUGCUGAUUUUUCAGAAAAAAUCCUCAAGAAUGCAAUCCAAAGGAAAGAAUUUUAAAAGAUCUAUAAUUGGUUGCUUCUGUAAGGACUUCUUCAUUAUUCCUCAUAGCUUUAUGAUCUAUGCAGACCAAAGGAAAAUGAAAAGAUUAGGAAUGAAUUGGAGAACGCUGUGCAUAUCAUAUGGAACUGCAGGCUACCAUCUCCAAGAGUAAGUGAAGGCUUUGAGUUAUUAGGUUAUUUGGUAGUUUACCAUGUUCGGCAUAUUGAUACGUGUAUUUCAAAAUAGUGUGUAGCAAUUGAUGGUGUUAACGAGCUUGGUUUGGUCUCUGCUCUACAAGUCUCUGUUUUCCCAGAGCUCAUAUUUAUUAAAGCAGGGAAAAUCUUACAUCGCGAGAAAGGUAAAGUUCAUGUGUUAAGAAGUUCAUGAUUGCCUUCAAAAGAAACUAUCAUUGUGAUUUAACUUUAUUUCCUUUUGCUUCUUCAGCAAUUCGAACGGCAGAUGAGUUGCCAAGAAUGAUGGCAUUCUUUUACUUUGGAGCAGCAAUGCCACCCUGUCUUAGUGGCAUUAAGAACUGUUGAAGAUAUGUGAUCUGAUAUUAUGGAAAGAUUUGAUAUUGUAAAUAUUAGGAAAGAUAUGAUUAUAGUAUCAUGUAUUAAUUAGGUAUCAUAUGAUUAUAGUAUCAUAUAUUAAUUAGGUAGUAGAUUGAUUUAGAUUAGCAUGAUUUUAGGAUUCAAAUUAGGUUACACUUGUGUAUAUAUAUAUGUAUAUUGUGUAGUCCAAAGAUAUGUAGAAGAGUAUUUUCUCUCCCUUUGUCUUAGUUUUCAUGGUAUCAGAGCCCUACCAUCAAGGUUAGGGUCUCUGUCCGCUGCCAGAAAAUUCAUUAGUCAUCAUUCGGUUCAUCUGGUUCUGUGUAGGACAUAUCUGUGUUCUAUUCUUCACUCUUGUUUUAAAGAGUUCAGAUCUGUCCUCUUUUGUUUGUUUCUGUUAAUUCUAAACCCAUGGCAGAAACGAAAUCUGUCGUUACGUCUGAUGUGGUUCCUGUGAUGUCCAAGAUCACGGACCACAAACUCAAUAAUUCUAACUAUCUUGAUUGGAGCAAAACAGUUCGUCUUUAUCUGCGAAGCAUUGAUAAAGACAAUCAUCUGACUGAUGAUCCUCCAAAAGAUGGUUCAAGACAAACAUGGCUAAGGGAAGAUGCUAGAUUGUUCCUGCAAAUACGGAAUUCUAUUGACAGUGAGGUAAUUAGCUUAAUUAAUCACUGUGAAUUUGUUAAGGAGUUAAUGGAGUAUUUAGAAUUUUUGUAUUCUGGUAAAGGGAAUAUUUCUCGCAUAUAUGAGGUGUGUCAAGCCUUUUAUCGUGCAGAGAAACAAGAUAAGUCCAUUAUGACUUAUUUUAUGGAUUUUAAGAAAACUUAUGAGGAGUUUAAUCUGUUAUUACCGUUUAGUUCUGAUGUGAAAGUUCAGCAAACUCAACGGGAACAGAUGGCAAUUAUGAGUUUUUUGGCUGGUCUUUCACCUGAAUUUGAAGCUGCUAAAUCUCAGAUUCUUUCCAGUCCUGAGAUCUCAUCCUUGCAAGAUGUGUUUAGUAGGGUGCUUCGCACAGAGAAUACCCAGUCUGUUCAGUCCAGCAGUGCUCUUGUUGGUCUUGGAAAACAGCAAUACAAAGGUGGUGGUAAAGGAAUUGACACUCGGGGACAGAAUGUAGAAGUGGUUGUGUGUUACUAUUGUCAUAAGCCGGGUCAUAUGAAGCGUGAUUGUAAGAAAUUGCAGUACAAGAACCAGAGAACUCAAUCCGCACAUAUUGCUUCUACCAAUGAUGCUAUUAACCAUGAAAAGUCUGUUACGAUCUCUGCAGAUGAAUUUGCUAAAUUUUCUCAGUAUCAAGAAUCAUUAAAGUCUUCAUCUACUCCCGUAACUGCCAUCGCUGAGUCAGGUAAACCAAACACAUGCCUUGUGUCCUCAUCCUCCAAAUGGGUAAUUGAUUCUGGUGUCACAGAUCAUAUGACAGGUAAUUCUAGUUUAUUUUCUACCUUUCAGCCACACACAUCUGCACCUACAGUUACCUUAGCUGAUGGGUCAAAAUCUCGUGUUCUUGGAUCAAGCUCAGUUAACCCCACUCCAUUAAUCUCAUUGUCAUCUGUCUUAAGUUUGCCUGAGUUGUCUUUUAAUCUAAUUUCUGUGAGUAAACUUACUCGUGCCCUCAAUUGUUCUACCCAAUUGCUUGUUUCAGGAUCUUACGACGAAGCAGAUUAUUGGUAAAGGGCAUGAAUCUGGAGGUCUUUACAUUCUUGACACACAGAUACCAAAGUCCAUAGCUUGUUCUGGAAUUGUAACUCCAUUUGAAGCACAUUGUAGGCUGGGUCAUCCUUCUCUCCCGUUGUUAAAGAUACUUUGUCCACAAUUUCAGAGUUUGUCUUUAUUAGAUUGUGAGUCUUGUCAGUUUGCUAAACAUCAUCGUGUUAAUCUGAGUCCUAGAGUCAAUAAACGGGCGGAUGCUCCUUUUGCAUUAGUUCAUUCAGAUGUCUGGGGACCUAGUCCAGUCAUUUCUAAAACUGGAUUCAAGUAUUUUGUUACUUUUGUCGAUGACCAUUCUCGUAUGACUUGGUUAUAUUUGAUGAAAAAUCGGUCAGAGUUGUUUUCUCAUUUUUGUGCUGAGGUUAAGACCCAAUUUAAGCGUUCUGUACAAAUAUUGCGAAGUGACAAUGCCAAAGAAUAUUUAUUCGCACCUUUUCAAUCUUAUAUGGUGCAAAAUGGCAUUAUUCAUCAAACCUCUUGUGUGGAUACGCCAUCCCAAAAUGAGGUCGCAGAACGAAAGAAUAGACAUUUGCUCGAAACUGCAAGAGCCUUAUCAUUUCAAAUGCAUGUUCCUAAACAUUUUUGGGCUGAUGCAGUGUCCACAGCUUGCUUUCUAAUUAACCGUCUGCCUUCAUCUGUUUUGAAUGGUGGGACUCCUUAUAACACUCUUUUUCCAAAUAGACCCUUGUUUCCCAUCGAACCUAAAAUCUUUGGGUGUACAUGUUUAGUUCGCGACUCUCGUCCCCAAGUCACUAAAUUAGACCCCAAAUCAUUGAAAUGUAUUUUUCUUGGUUAUUUCCGUGUCCAAAAAGGAUAUAGAUGUUAUUGUCCUAGUCUCGGCAGGUACAUUGUGUCAGUUGAUGUUACUUUUCUUGAAAAUACACCUUUUACCCCAUCCUCAUCUCAUUCAUGUCAGGAGGAGGAUAAUGAUUUGUUAAUCUAUACUGUCACAUCCUCAAGUUCUUCCCCUGCUAAACCUCCAAUUACUCAGGUAUAUUCUCGACGACAAAAGUCUCCUGAUGCAUGCCCUGAACCGGUUCCUUCGCUACUAGAUCCUGUCUCAAAUGAUGAUCUUCCUAUUGCUCUUCGCAAAGGUAAGCGUCAAUGCACUUAUCCUGUGUCUUCGUGUGUAUCUUAUAAUCAUUUACCCACCUCUUCUUGUUCCUUUAUUACAUCUAUUGAUCCUAUCUCCCUUCCUAAAACUGUUCAUGAAGCCCUAUCCCAUCCCAGAUGGCACAAUGCUAUGAUAGAGGAGAUAAAUGCUCUAGAUGGUAAUGAUACUUGGAACUUAGUAAAUUUACCUGCAGGGAAGAAGGCCAUUGGGAGUAAGUGGAUUUUUGCAGUUAAAUUUAAUCCUGAUGCGUCGGUUGCUUGGUUAAAAGCUCGUCUUGUUGCCAAAGGCUAUGCCCAAAUCUAUGGAGAGGAUUAUUCUGAUACUUUUUCCCCUGUUGCUAAGUUAACAUCUGUCAGGUUAUUCAUUUCUAUGGCAGCCACUCAUAAUUGGCCUUUGCAUCAACUAGAUAUCAAGAAUGCCUUUCUUCAUGGAGACCUCCAAGAGGAAGUUUAUAUGGAGCAACCACCAGGGUUUGUUGCUCAGGGGGAGUCUGGGAAGGUUUGUCAUCUUCGGAAGUCCUUGUAUGGACUGAAACAAAGUCCUCGUGCUUGGUUUGGAAAAUUUAGUCUAGCAGUUGAAAGGUUUGGGAUGCAGAAAAGCAAAUCUGAUCAUUCUGUUUUCUACAAACAGUCUGAAGUUGGUAUUGUUUUGUUGGUAGUAUAUGUGGAUGAUAUUGUUAUCACUGGGAAUGAUGCUGCAGGUAUUUCAUCUCUUAAAACUUUUCUUCAUAGUCAAUUUCAGACAAAGGAUUUGGGGCUGUUAAAGUAUUUUUUGGGUAUUGAGGUAGCAAAGAGUAGGAAGGAGAUAUUCCUGUCCCAAAGGAAAUAUGUUCUUGACUUGCUAUCUGAAACGGGAAAAUUGGGGGCUAAACCAGCUAGUACCCCAAUGAUUCCUAACUUGCAGCUCACAAAAGAAGGUGAAUUGUUAGAAGAUCCUGGGAGGUAUAGAAGAUUGGUUGGAAAGUUGAAUUAUCUUACAGUAACUCGUCCAGAUAUCGCGUAUUCAGUUAGUGUUGUUAGUCAAUAUAUGACUAAUCCUACUGUUAGAAUUGGAAUUGAAUUAGAAUUGAAAUUCUAUAGAAUUUGAAUUCUAUGAAUUAGAAAUCCAAAUCCUUGCAAUUCUUUCGUUUGGAAAAUACAUAGAAUUGAUACGGAAUUUAUUUGGAAUUCCAAAUCUUUUGUUUGGAUGAGAGAAGAAUUUAUUAGGAAUUAGAAUUGUUUUCAUAAAACAUUUGCUUACAUAAAAUUUUUCUUUUUUUUAUAUAAUAAUUUCUUUUUUUUCUUACAUUUAGCUAAUUUUUACUAAAAAUUUAAAGGAAAAAUGCAAAUUACUUUCUUUUUUGGCAAAAUAUCAGCCAAAACCCCGAAAUUUACAGUUGAAGAACGGAAAAGAAAGAAAAUUUUAAAAGAAUCAAGGAAAGUAGUGGUAAAAUGAAUCAACUACUACUAGUAUAGAACUGAAACGUCCAAGUUCCUUUUCCUUUUUCAUCCCCCCAAGACACCCUCCCCAAACGCGUGUCAUUAACUCUCCCAUUUUCCCUUUCUUUGUUUCCUUUUCUCUCUCUCAAUCAACACCACAACCACUUCGUCGAGGCACCACCUUGACCACAACUCCGUCGGCACCUACGCCACCACUGAAAAUUAUGGACUGAAUUCCCAAAACUCCUCACCACCCUUCUUAUAAGACCUAUACAUAAACUCCUACUUAACUGGAAAAUUAAGAUACUAACUAUAAAAGAACAAAAAUCAGUGAGCCAAAACUCAAAAGCCUUGUAUGAUGGCGGAGCUGGCUCAAUCCGCCGACGUCUACGCGCCGAAGACUAUACAAGUUUGGAGAGCACUAUUAAACUGGCUGGCUUUCUUCUUCCAGAUCUUCGUUCAGAUCAUCAGAGGCACGUCGUCGCUGACUCAGGUCCUGUCUUACGUUGGCCUGCGCCACUCCUCUCUUCUCUCUUCUUCAUCGCCUCAGUUCAAGCCUUUAGUGAUGGGUGAAGGCAGCACAAGUGAAGGAGGCGGCGGCAGGAAUGCUCCAACAGAGCAUUAGAUAUGGCGAUUGAUAAUGGAAAGAGAAGAGAGGUUUGAGUUUUUUCCAUCACUUUUAUAGUUGACCCAUUUUUUAGAUUUUGCCCGUACAAGACCCGCGUGUUGACCCGAUUGGGGAGUUCAGUCGUGGAAUUAGAAUUGGAAUUCUUUGGUCCAACCAAAGAAUUGGAACCAUGGAAUUCGAUCGAUUUGGAAUUGCAAUUCGAUUCUAAUUCUACAGAAAAGAUAGUAUCCAAACACAAGAAUUGAAAUUGGAGCUCCAAUUCCAAUUCUACACUCCAAUUCUAUGGGAACCAAACGUACCCUAAGUGUAUUUGGUAGGGAAAAUGAUGAAAAUGUGUAAGUUUAGUCAUGAUUUGAUUUUGAUCUCUUUUUUUUUUUUUUUUGCUUUUGAUUUUGAUUGAUUUUUUCUUUUCAUAAUUUUCUUUUCUUAAAAUAAACCUACAAAAAAAAUGAGAAAAAUAUACAUUAAAAUGAAAGAAAAUAAAUAACUCAUCACAUAAAAAUUUGACAAAAAUUUGAUGUCUACAUACAUUGAGUGGAAAAAUCAAUUUCCACUAGUAUUGCUAUUAAGGAAAUUUUUUAUUCAUAUAUGCAAUUUCCUAAGAUUUUUAUUAAAGCUAAACAAUGGAAUGGAUUUUUCAAUUCUCUGUAGAAGGAAUGUGUGGUUAGAAUUUGUAAAAACUAAAGGUAGAGGUAAGCAAGAUCAUAUUCCAAAGUUGGAAAAUAUUUUCAAAUGUUAAACAAACACCAGAAAAUGAAGUUAGAAAACAUUUUCAAUAGGCUAAUCAAACACCCAAAAAUGAUGAAAAAGAAAUUAUUUUCCUGGAAAAAUACUUCCAUGGAAAAUAUUUUCCCAUGGAAAACAUUUUACUCCCAACCAAACAGACCCUAAAUGAUUCCAAUUCUACAUUGUGGAGAAGGAGAUGGAAAGCACAAUCCCACAAGCCUAAUUAGGCAUCUUAUUUAUUCACCAAUCUAAUUGAACACCAGGGAGCCUGGAAACGGUGUGAAGAACCAAAACAAAAUAAUCAUUAUACCAGUACAGUAGUAAUUGCACUACUUUUAAAUUGAAUAUCUUAGUUUGCCCUGAUUGCAGAAGUCAAAGAAUAAGAGUUGCACAUAACAAUGACUGGAGAAAACUGGGAUCCAUGGUGACCCUAAUGUUUGGGAAGAAGCAAACAAGUUUAAGCCGGAAAAUUUUGAAGGGAUUUAUGAUGAAGGGGGAUGCAAUGAAGGGUACAAUUUCUUCCAUUUGGAAAAGGGAAGAGAGCUUGUUCAGGAGCUGCUUUGGCUAUGAAGUUAGUUGCCUUGUCAUUAAUGGUUUGCCGUCGCGGGUCGCGGUCGUGGUUGUUUCACAUCUGUCACGGCAUAUCGGUUGAAUAGCGGGUGAUAUACACAUUAUAGCACAUAAAAAUUUUCAAAAAAUCUGAAAAAAUUACUAAAAUUAGAAAAAAUAAAAAAAAACACAAUCUAAAAAAAUAUCCGAGUGGAUUCAGAUAUAUUGGCCGAUACCAUGCAUCACGAAUAUAGUAUUAUCCACGAUUCGACAAUCGGUAUCGUAUUAGUCUCCUCCGUUCUGAUUACGACUCGACUAAUUCACAUCGUAAUCGGCCGAUAUUGCUAACCGUGUUGCCAUUGGGCACUUUUAUUUAAUGCUUUGAGUGGGAAAGAGUAGGGCCUGCAAUGAAGGAUUUGGAAGAAAAUCCAGGCUCAACUAGGCCAGGGCCAAGCCUCUGGAGUCAUUAUACAAGCCAUGUGAGUGUAUGAUCAACUUGAUCUCUCGGCUUUGGUUAAGUUAGAGAUCUUUUUUUUUUCAAAACGAUAGGAAUAUAUAUAUAAGUUAGAGAUCGAUGUAGUAUAAUCCGUUCUUCUUUUCACUGAAAAAAAAGAUUAAAAUAUUUCUUUCCAGAAUAUAAAACUGCAAGUGGGGUAAAAAGAAUUAAAUGCUCGAAAGCAACGGUGGAUAAACUAGACGAACAUCCUAUGCUCUGCAGUUCAGGCUUUUCAAUUAGUAGAUACAACAAGCUCAUGGAAUCCCUUCCUAUAUUGACAGUUUCAUGGCUUCUCAUAUCAGUUCUUUGCAGGGACUUGCUAGUGGUCACAUAUUAAAUAUUCUUAGUAUUUAAUGUCGCAUUCAGACAUUCCAAUCUACUAAAGGCUUGUUCUAAAAUUGCUUGAAUUUGAAAAUUAAUAAUGUAUUCCCAGUCAGCUUUAAAUACACACACACACGAGAGAAAAGGAUUGAACAAAUAUUUCUCUGCAGGGACCUGCCAAUGGUCACACAUUGAUUAUUCAUAGUAUUUUCUCUAGCAUUCAUAUAUAUUCCAAUACACUAAGGGCUUGUUCUAAAACUGUUGGGUGGUAGUUUAUAUUAGUUUUUGGUGAAAAACAUCACCUAUUAAAUCCAAAAUUUUUAUGGCGAUUAUUAAGAAAUAAAUUAAUAGUAAAAUUACGAAAGCGUAUCUAGAUUCAUGUUGACAAACUGGCACUUGAAUCCUUGAAGGUAUUUUUGGGAUGGCCUUUCAGGUUAACACGUAUUCGCUGAUUCUUAAGAGAGCACUUUAGUUUCUCUCUGGUAUCUCUCUUGAGGAUGGAAUAUCGAGAAAGGCUAUUUUGUGGUACUAGAAAAUAUGACAAUAAGAUACGUAUGACUUGGGGACCAUAACCCUAUUUAUAGAUAACUUUUCUGUUAUCUUUUAGAUUCCUAUUUCAACCCAUCAUAGAAAUAGAAAACACUCUUAAGUCUCUACACAUUAAAAACUCACAUCCUAUUAGAUAUAUUAAAGUGCAAACCAUAUUUGAUCACUUUAAUUGGAUUUAAUCUUAUUUGACAGUCUGCAACAUAUAAUUAUUCACAUAUAAAUCCAACGUUGGAUUAAAGAUCCAACAAUUUUUAGUUGGACUAUAUGUGUAACCUUAUAAUUAUGUUUUGCUAUUAACUGUAUGAGUUCAACUUUACUUUCAUUAUCAAAAUGCAUCUACAACCAAUUUGAUCUAUCAAUUACACCAACAUAGGAUCAAAACGGCCUUUGUUAUACUUUCAUAACUCGACCCAUCAAUAGUCACAUAUGAUAUGAUCUGGAUCCCCCACUCUAGCCCACAACUCCGUUCAAGUGGUCCAAUCACAAGAACUCGUGCCAAGAAGAUGCGCGAAGCUCCUCAAGCUCUUGUAUGCACUAUCUAAGAGAGAGUUGGAGACAAUUUGAAGAUCAUUGAAGGCUUGAAGAAUGAAAAUUCAACAAUAUACACCUUACUCCAUGUUGAAGAGUCAAAUGAAGAAUAGUCUUACAAAGUGCCUUAAUCAAAGCCGAGGCUUAUUUGUCAUUCUUUUAGUUAUUUAUUGUACAAUAAAUUCGGCCAAACAGCCUUCUACUUGGCCAAAUAUUAGAUAGCCCAUUGUUAGUCCUUAUCACGGCCCAAAGCCCUAACCUAGCCUAAUUUGCUUAAAGUAUUUUUAAUUUAAAUGAAUCCAAUUCACCUUAAAUCUAGUUUAAGUGAAUCCAAUUCACUUUAGGUUGUCCAGUGUAUGGCUAUAUAAAAGCCAAGGCAAGAGACCUUCAUAAUCAGUUUUUGAAUCAAUAAAAUUGUGAGUUUUCACUUUUCUCUUUCCAAGAGAGGUCUUUGAAUAUUUGAUAGUCUUUCUCAAGUUAUUCAAGUAAACUUAUCAAUCAAGUAACUCCUUAGUUGUGGCGUUCCUCUACCUAUAGUUUGGUUCGCUAAUUCGUUAAGUAGUGGGUUGAGAUAGUAUCAAUAUUAUUCGCUAUUUCGGGGAUUAUAUUGGGUCAAAUUUCCGCUGCCAAACCGUUGGUGUUUGUUGUCUAGAUCGCGUGUCAAGUGUAGAUCACAUCAGUUGGUAAUCAGAGUUAGUCGACAACCACCAGGUUAUAUCCUUCUUUUCUUUUGUGUUUGGAGUCACAUACUCUUGUUCCAAAUCAGUUCACGUGUCAAUUCAAAAAAAAAAAAGUACUGUAGUAUCGUACUGUUCAUAGCUACUGUAGCGAUACUAUUCACCGAGUCGUACUGUUCAUCCGAAAUAUUGUAGCGACACUGUUCAUCCGAAAAAAAAUUUUGUUUUGCAUAACUUGUGUUUCUUUCUUGUUUUGGUGUCUUGUUAUAUUGUUCUUGAAGUCCUGUGCUGGUUUAGAGUUAAAAAAAAAAAAAUCUGGUCACUAGUUUUGUUCUUGAAAGCCGAAAUCAAAAGUAGGGUUUUUUUUUUUUUUUUAACAAAGAGGGUUGGGAAUUUUGUCGUGUCUUGCACUAAAAGAGACUGUUAUAUUAUUGCUUGAACCUCUUGACAAAUUUACCUUGUUUCUUGGGAUUCUUGACAUCUAUCUUGAAGUAGUGGUUUGGUUCUUGAAAUUCUUGAAGCCAAGAUUGACCAAAUCAAAACUUAAUUCUUGUUUCUUGAAGUUGGGACUGAUCUUGUGCAAAAAUCACAAACGAAAUUCUUGUUCCUUGUUGUGAUUCGAAUUGACAAAAAAGAAAAAGAAAUCUGAUUGCGUUUAAAAAAAAAAAGGAGAACGCAAGAAAAAAAGAAAGUCGGAUUCAUAAGGAAAAAGAAAACUAACUUGAAUUUGGAAAUCAAGUUGACUUGGGUUUGAAAAACAAAUCCUAGUUGCACUCAAAUUGUCAAAUUCUGAUUGGUCACCUUUGCACACGUGGGAUACCAGAAAAUCAGCACCUAAACUACCCAAAAACAACCCAAAAAACCUUGUUUACAACUCCCAAAAAUACAGCCUAGUGCAAUUGGGUAGAGUCCAUCUAGGGUUCCAAAAAAAAAUUCUGCCAUUCUUACCCUUGUUUGAGUCGAGUUGUGCAAUCUGUCUCAUUUCAAUUUGUCUUUUUUUGAGUCUUUUCCACCUUUAAAUUCGUGUAUAAGGGUUCCACAACAAGUCCAAAUCAGUCUUGACUUGUACCUAGUUACUAGUUUCCAAAUUGAGUCCUUGUCAAAGUCAAAUACUACCAAAGCUUGAGUUACCUUUUGCGGACUAAAAUCAGUAAAUUUCCAGCAUGUUUUCUUGUGUUCUUUGCUACCUUUUGAGUCAUUAUUCAGUUCUAAAUUUCCAGCUAUUCAUACACUACUUUUGGGGAGAACUUGAUUGAAAUUUGGUUGAACUACUUGGAGGAAAUUUCUGAUUUCUUCAAAGGAAGCAAUCAAGGGAUUUGAGAAAUGAGUGGUGAGAACAUUAGAGUGUUUUAAACACUUGAAUGAUACACGAGAGUGAGCGAAACAUGUAAGGGAGUGAGUGAGGCCUUUUCUACUAAUGUUUGUUGAGUUUUGCAGGUAAUAUAAGUAUGAGACAAACGAAUGCUCAACUAGAGAUCCACCAUCUUGUGCCUAAAGGAGUAAAUGUUAUGGCCUUGCGUGAGAUAACUGAGCAAUUGAAAACUGUCAAAGCUCAAAAACAUGGCUGGUUUUAUACUCGUUAUGGUGUCAAAGAUAAAACCUGCAGCUUGGCCAUUGAUAGGAGUUGUGAAGUCAAUCUUGCAAGUGCUAUCAUGGUUGAGACAUUAAAUCUGCUAACCAUUGAUCACCUUCAACCGUACAAGUUGUCGAGUGCUCAUGGUGAUGUUUGGGUUACUAAGCACACACUUGUACUCAUUCAAAUUGGCAAAUAUAUGGAUGAGGUGUUGUGUGAUGUAGUCCCAAUUCAAGUGACACAUGUAUUGUUGGGCAAAGCAUGGAUGUGGAGACGAGAAGUUAAUAUGAUGGACAUACUAAUAAGUAUUCCUUCUUAUUUAAUGGUCGUCGUUCUGCACUUGUAUUACUUACUUAUGACCAGCUUUAUAUUGAUCUAGAAAACAUGAAAAGUGAGCAUGAGCAUUAUAGUAUGAAGAAAGAGCUAGAUGAGGGAAUUGUAACUGACGAGGUAAAAUCUGAGGGAGUUGAAAGUAAUGAGAGGAAAAAGUCAGCUAUUGAGCGUGAGAAAGAGAUUAAAAAGUCUAAGAGUGAGCUGAUUGUGAGAAAAGAUAAGAGAUCUUACGUUUUUUCUAAUGAUCUUAACUCUACUUUAUUUAGUGUUUCUACUUUUAUGCAGGUUAAGUAAGGAAAAAUUGAGUUGAUCUUGGCAUGUUCUAUUUCUAAAUCCAUCGGUCAAUAUCAAACUUUUCAUGGAAUUUGGGUCUUAAGUGUUGUAUGUCUUUGUUAUCCAUUGAUGUUCAAUUUCAACCAUGAGCCUGACUUUCUUGUUGGGAGGAAUAAUGAAGUUUCAAAGGGAGUUUCUAUACUUGAAAAUUGUUGUAAACCUCCUUCUUAUUUCGUUGGUGAUAAUCCUUUUCUCAUUGUUUCAAAUGUUGAUUCCUUACAACCUGAAUGUAUUUUUCAAUUUGAAGGUACAAAAGCUGCCUGUCUGGAUCUUGCUCCAUUUGUGCAAGAUAAGCCAUACCAACAACGACUUGCAACGAAAUUUGUAACUUUACACAAUCAUAUUCGGGACUUUUCUAACCUGAUUGCGUAUCACUAUAAAAAUCCUUAUCUUGUGAAUGUGAAUGGUAAGCUGUCAAGUGAUUUUAUACCUACAAAUGCUAAUUGUGUGAUUUAUUGUGUAGGUCCAAAUUCGACCAUUCAUGACAAAAGGUUGAUUAGAGAGCAUUGGAGUGGAACCUGAAAUUUUCACAAGCUUUAUACAAGAUGUUUCUUGUCUUGGAGAAUGUCUUUGUUCAAAAGCAUCAUAAGGCUGACCAAACGACAUGCAACAUGGCUCGUAGUUAUUCAUCUAUUUCCAACCUUAUUGUCCUUUAAGCGCACUGUCGAUUUGUGGACAAAUCGCUUUCAAGAGGAGGGGAACGAUAUGAUCCGGAUCCCCCACUCUAGCCCACAACUCCGUUCAAGUGGUCCGAUCACAAGAGUUUGUGCCAAGAAGAUGCGCGAAACUCCUCAAACUCUUGUAUGUACUAUCCAAAAGAGAGUUGGAGACAAUUUGAAAAUCAUUGAAGGCUUGGAGAAUGAAAAUUCAACAAUAUACAUCUUACUCCAAGUUGAAGAGUCAAAUGAAGAAUAGUCUUACAAAGUGCCUUAAUCAAACCCGAGGCUUAUUUGUCAUUCUUUUAGUUAUUUAUUGUUCAAUAAAUUCGGCCAAACAGCCUUCUACUUGGCCGAAUAUUAGAUAGUCCAUUGUUAGUCCUUAUCUCGGCCCAAAGGCCUAGCCUAGCCGAAUUUGCUUAAAGUAUUUUUAGUUUAAGUGAAUCCAAUUCACUUUAGGUCUAGUUUAAGUGAAUCCAAUUCACUUUAGAUUUUCCAGUGUAUUAGCCAAGGCAAGAGACCUUCAGAAUCAGUUUUUGAAUCAAUAAAAUUGUGAGUUUUCACUUUUUUCUUUCCAAGAGAGGUUCUUUGAAUAUUUGAUAACCUUUCUCAAGUUAUUCAAGUAAACUUAUCAAUCAAGUAACUCCUUGGUUGUGGCGUUCCUCUACCUAUAGUUUGGUUCGCUAAUUCGUUAAGUAGUGGGUUGAGAUAGUAUCAAUAUUAUUCGCUAUUUCGGGGAUUAUAUUGGGUCAAAUUUCCGCUGCCAAUCCGUUGGUGUUCGUUGUCUAGAUCGCAUGUCAAGUGUAGAUCACAUCAACAUAUAUUGAUACAAUUGAAUGACAUGAAUCAUAAUGUGUAUGUGUAACAUGAAAAUUUCAUGUAAUAUGAUCAUAACAUGCCUAUUUCUAACUGAUCCACCUUAAACAUUCAUGAGAUCAAACCAUACAAAAAUUAGAGUGUAAAUAAAUACAAAUUUUAUUUAUGCAUAAAAUAUUCUUAAAACUUUAAUAAUAAAAAAUAUUGUAAAAACAUUUAAAAUAACAAACUCCCAUUAAAACUGUACAUCACUUAAUAACAUGACAUCCAUACGAGCAGUAUGCUCAUGAAACACUUUGAGUGGCAGUCCCUUAGUAAGCGAAUCUACAACCAUAGAGUUUGUCCCAAUAUACUCUAUCCAUAACUGUCCACUCUGCACUUUUUCUUUAACAGUCAGGAAUUUGAUAUCUAUAUGUUUAGGUUUUGUUGAACUCCUAUUGUUAUUGGAAUAUAAGACUGCUGAUUUAUUGUCACAAAAUAAUUUGAGUGGUCUUUCAAUAUUAUCCACUACACGUAAUUCUAUGACAAAAUUUCGCAGCCAAAUUCUAUGGUUGGAUGUCUCAUAGCAAGUUAUAAAUUCUGCAGCCAUAGUAGAAGAUAUUAUAAGAGACUAUUUAGCAUUCUUUCAAGAUAUGACACCCCCAACUAGCAAUUAGAUAUAGUCUGACAUUGACUUCAUACUAUCUUAGUAUCCAACAUAAUCGAAAUCAGUAUACUCAAUGAUCUCGAGUUUAUCUGACCUCCGAUACAUGAGCAUGUAAUUUUUUAUUUUCUGUAAAUACCUUAAGACCGUUUGGUUGCCUUCCAAUGAUCUAAUCUAGGAUUGUUUUAAUAUUUACUCAACAUCCCAAUAAUGUACGCAAUAUCCGGACACGUACAGACCUGAGUAUAUAUUAGAUUCCCUACUGCUGAUGCAUAGGAAAUCUUUUGUAUUUCCUUUUCUUCAAAAGUAUUUUUAGGACAUUGGUCGAGACUAAACUUAUCUCUUUUAGUUAUAGGAGUGUCACCUGAUUUAUAAUUUUGCAUGCUAUAUCUUUUAAGAAUUUUUUCGAUAUAACACUUUGUGAUAGUUCAAAAAUACCCCGAAAGCGAUCCCGAUGUAUUUGUAUGCCUAGCACAAAAGAUAUAUCAUCAAGAUCUUUUAUCUCAUAGUUCUUAAUUAGAAAUCUCUUGGUUUCAUGCAAUAAAUCUAUAUCGUUGCUGGCAAGUAAAAUGUCAUCAACAUACAACAUCAGAAAAAUAUACUUGCUCCCACAAAACUUAUAAUAUAUACAAUUAUCUAUUAAAUUCAUUUCAAAAUCAAAUGAGAUGAUUACUUGAUGAAAUUUGAAAUACCAUUGUCGAGACGCUUGUUUGAGUCCAUAGAUGAAUUUUUUAAAUUUGUAAACCACAUUUUUUGGAUCUCCCAAUACAAAAUUUUCUGACUGCACCAUAUAAAUCGUCUUAUCAAUAUUACCAUUAAGAAAUGAAGUCUUUACAUCUAUUUAGUAUAAUUCAAGAUUAAAAUGCGCCACUAAUGUUAUAAUAAUUCUAAAAAUCUUUCGAAAAGACAGGAGAGAAUGUUUUUAUAUAAUCGAUAUAUUCUUUUUAUGUAAAUCCCUUACAACAAUACGGAUUUUGUAUUUUUUUUACAUUAUCUUUCGAAUCCCUCUUAAUUUUAAAUAUCCAUUUACAACCAAUGGGUUUCGCUCCUUCUAGUAAUGGGACAAGAUUCUAGACAUCAUUGUCUUUAAUAAAUUUAAUUUCUUCAUUCAUGACAUCGAUUCAUUUUUAAGAAUUUGAAUUUUUCAUGAUUUGAUGGAAGUUAUUUGGAUCAUCUUCCAUCAAUUUAAUGUCAUUCUUAUAUUUUUGGAGAAAAAUAAUGUAAUCGUCUGGCAUUACGUUUCUUUUUUUUCUAGUGGAUCUUUUUAGUGACACUGAUUCUUGAAAAUGUAGAGUUUGCUUUUUUAUAACAGUUUGCUCUUCAAUAUUAUCUUGAUUUGUUGUAUCAUAAUCAAUUUCAGGAAUGAGAUCCUGAACAAGAUCAAUGACACAUGUGAAAAUAUUAAUAUAUUUCUCUUCAAAGACAAGAUUUUUAACUGUAUCUUCUCCCCCAAACUCAACAUCUUCGAAGAAUCGAAUAUUUUGUAUUUUUUUUACAUUAUCUUUCGAAUCCCUCUUAAUUUUAAAUAUCCAUUUACAACCAAUGGAUUUCGCUCCUUCUAGUAAUGGGAUAAGAUUCUAGACAUCAUUGUCUUUAAUAAAUUUAAUUUCUUCAUUCAUGACAUCGAUUCAUUUUUAAGAAUUUGAUUUUUUCAUGAUUUGAUGGAAGUUAUUUGGAUCAUCUUCCAUCAAUUUAAUGUCAUUCUUAGAUUUUUGGAGAAAAAUAAUGUAAUCGUCUGGCAUUACGUUUCUUUUUUUUUCUAGUGGAUCUUUUUAGUGACACUGAUUCUUGAAAAUGUAGAGUUUGCUUUUUUAUAAUAGUUUGCUCUUCAAUAUUAUCUUGAUUUGUUGUAUCAUAAUCAAUUUCAGGAAUGAGAUCCUGAACAAGAUCAAUGACACAUGUGAAAAUAUUAAUAUAUUUCUCUUCAAAGACAAGAUUUUUAAUUGUAUCUUCUCCCCCAAACUCAACAUCUUCGAAGAAUCGAAUAUUUUGUGUCUCGAAAAUCGAUUUAGUAGUGGAAUUAUAAAACUUGUAACCCCUGGAUCUAUCAAAAUAUCCAUAGAAUAAUAAUUAAACGUCUUUGAUUUCAGUUUCUUUUCAUUUGUCCUAUAUGGUCUUGUCUCAAUUGGACAUUCCUAAAUAUGUAAAUGUUUCAAAUUGGUCUUUUUUCCUAUCCAAAUCUCAUAAGAGAUUUUGAUAGUUACUUUAGUUGAAAUUCUGUUAAGAAUAUAUGCGGCAGUUUUAAGUGCUUCUCCCUAGAAUGAUUUUGGUAAGGUAGAAUGACAUAUCAUACUCCUUACCAUGUUUUUAAGCGUUCUAUUUCGUCUUUCAAUUAUACCAUUCAUAGUGGGUGAAUCCGGUGUAAUAUAUUGUGGGAUGAUACCAUAUUCCUUUAGAUAUUUGACAAAUGGUUCUGGACGUUGUUUACCUGAAUCGUCAUAUCUACCAUAGUACUCAUUACCACGGUCAGAUCUGACGCUUUUAAUUCUUUUGUUAAAUUGGUUCUCAACUUCAACCUUAAAAUUUUUGAACACGUUCAGUGAUUGUGAUUUUUUAGAAAUGAGAUAUAUGUAACCAUAUUUUGAAAAAUCGUCUAUGAACGUUAUAAAAUAUUGUUAACAAUUUCAAGCAGAUGUAGGAAAUGACCCACAAAUAUUUGUAUAUAUAAAUUCUAAGACGUCUAAGGACCUAUUGAUUUCAAAUUUCCUCUUAUUGGUUUGUUUUCCUUUUAUACAGUUAACACAAUUACCAAAAACUGUAAAUUCAAGGGGUCGAGAAUUUCAUUUGACAUAAGUCUUUUCAUUCUUCGUUUGAAAAUACGUCCUAAUCUCUUGUACCAUAAUGCAGCCGAAUUCUCAUUGGUUAAUUUUCUCUUUACUCCUCUAGUACUCAAAUACAAAUAUUCAUUAAAUGAGACAAUUGUAUCAAUUAAAUAUAGAUUAUCGUAAUGCAUUAAAGAACAAGAACUAAUCAAUUUUAAAUCAUGAAAUAAUUUAAAAUUUUCAUUUUCAAAUGAACAAAAAUAACCAAAUUUGUUCAAAGCAAAAAUAGAAAUCAAAUUCUGUUGAACAGACGGUACAAUAAAUGUUUCAUUAAGAUCCAAAUAAAAUUCGAUUUUUAACAAUAAUCUAAAAACUCCGAUUAACUCAACUUGAACUAUUUUGCCAUCGUCCACAUAGAUAUAGCUUUCCUUAUCAUUAGGUUUUCGACAAUUCAGACAACCCUGCAUAGACACACUAAUAUGAGUUGUUGCACCUGAAUCUAACCAUCAUGCGUGUCUGAGUAUCGAAGUUAAAUUAAUUUCAGAAUAAACCAAAUUAAGAAGCAUACCUUUCUUAGUACGCUAAGCAUGAUAGUUGGUGCAAUACUUCUUUCUAUGCCCUUUAACUCCACAGAGGAAACAAUUAUUCUUUCUCGGAUCAAUCGAUUUUUUCUGUUAUUUCUUUUGCGGUACCGUACCUAUAGAUUAUUUAUCAUUCUUUCUCUUAAAUUCGUUAUUUUUAUUAUUAGUGGUUGAGACCAGAUAAAUACUCUCUGUCUAGUUUUGUUUCAACCUUUCCUAUUCCUCUAUACAAUAUGAAAUGAGUUCAUUUAGAGAUCAAGCCUUUUUUUGAUAGUUGUAACUCACCUUAAACUGAUUAAACUGUGUGGGAAGAAAUAUUAAAAUCAAAUGCACUAGUAACUCUUCAAAGAGUACCAAUUUAAGUGCAUUUAAUUUCAAAAUAAGAUGAGACAUCUUCAUAAUGUACUCUCUGAUAUUACCUUUACCACUAUAUUUUAUUGAAACUAAGUGUGUCAAGAGUGUACUAAUUUCAGUUUUUUCACUCUUGAUAAACUUUUUUUUAAUGUUUUGAAGGAAUUUCUUAGCGGUAACUAUCAUUUUUGACAUUGUUUCUUUGAAUGCUUCUGAAACGGCCGUUUUAAUGAUCAUCAAACACAAGUGAGUUGAUCUCUCCCACCUUUCCUUAGCUCUCUUUUCAUUAGAGGUACUUUGAUCUGUAAGAGGUGGAAGAGAAUCAACCCUUAACGCAAGGUCGAGAUCCAUUACUCCAAGUACUAUUAAGAGGUUUUUUUUCCAAGACUUGAAAUUUGUGCUAUUCAACAUAGAAAUAUUAUUGAUGUUGGUAAUAAUAUUUGUAAGAUCAUUCGCAAUUGAACAGAAAAACAUAAAAUAAUUAAAACAAUCUCACAUAGAAUAAAAUAAUAAUAAAUUCAAAUAAAGGUAACCCCAUCUCAAGAUACCAAUGUUCCAUUAAUAUUUUAUUUUUGAUCAAAAUAUUAACUUCUAAGUGAUAUCUUGAUGCAAUAAUAAACACCGAUAAUAAUAACAUGUCAAAAAAUAAAUUUUCCUUUAGGUCAAUUUAUAAUUCACAUGUAAAAAGUCGAAUAUUUAUCACAUGUUUAUUACCACAAGUGCACGUGUAAUUUUGUUAAACAUUGAUAUUCCUUUGGGCCAAUCAAUAUUCAUAAAAAUUACAAGUACCCAAUUACUUAUAUUCUAGAAUAAAUUAAUUUUCACAAGAGAGGUCACUUUGGUAGCAUAUUAUUUUAAUUAAUUUAUUCUAAAAUAUAUAUAAUCAUACCAAUAUUCAAAUUUAAAAUUACACAAAUUACACAAAAAUUUUGAUCAAAAUCAACUUUGGUCAAUUCCGAUCAAAACGUGAUCAAACCUGGUCAAACCAGUCAAAUUUGGUCGAACCAAUCAAUUAGAUCAAGACUUAUUGGACCAAAAGUCCAUAUCUAGAGCUUGAUCCAAAUUUAUCAUUUAAGUCCAAAAUUUUUUUAAAGUUCAUAAUGCCUUAUACGACUAUAUAUUUAAUGGGCCAACCUUAUGGAUUUUAUAAGGUUUAAAUGUCUUAUUUAAAUUUAUUAGGGUUCAUUCAAAUUAGAAAAAUCCUAAUUUUCUUAACAUAAAUAUGUGUAUAUUGGCUCUUAAACAAGAAAACAAGUCCAAGAAUUCAACUUAAUAGUCCUAAUUUUAUAACCAAAGGCAUACCCAUAGCUGGAUUGAAGUGAUAUAAACAAAUUAAACAAUUUACUAGGACAAGUAAACUUGAUUCGUGAAACACAUGCUAAUUAGUCAUAGUUUCAAUCAAAGGCAAAUGUUUGAGAUUAGGGCUGCAAAUGAACCGAACCGCUCGCGAGCGGCUCGAGUCAAGUUCGAUUCGAGCUCUUACCGGCAUUUACCUUCUGCCCCGACCAUGAUAUAUAUAUUUAUUUUAAUAGUAAAAUUACAUAUAUAUCCUUAAUAUUUUAUUAUUUAUUAAGAAAAAAAUAUUAUUUUAUUUAUUUUUUAAAAAUAAAAUAAUUAUUUUUUAUUUUUUCGAUCUCGAACUCGGCUCGAAUCAAGUCGAGCUCAAGCUGGAGCUUUAAAUUAUCAGUUCGUCGAGCUCGAACUCGAACUCGAGUUCGAGUUCAAUAAAAUUAAGUCAAGACUUGGCUUGAUAAGGUCAAAAUUCGAAUCGACUUGACUCGUUUGCAGCCCUAUUUGAGAUGCAAAAGUAGACAAUCGGCCAACUAAAAUAGCAUAAGGAAACAAUGGAUCGGCCAAAACAAUAAUCAAUGAAAUCAAAGUGGGUUCCACUGAAUUCAAUGUUAAAACAAUGGAUCGUACAAUUUGUGAAUUGACUACUGUCAUGAAAACUGCAUCAUAACAUAUGCAAACAAUCAUGAUCAGAAUAGUAUUUAACCAGAAUUUUCGUGAAUCAAAACUAGAACCACGGAAUAAUUAUGACCAAAAGACUAGAGACAAAACUAACAAUCAAUUAGGACAAGCCAAUUCACACGACAUAAAUGAGUUUCAAUACAAUUCGUUUCAACCAAAUUCACGCGAUUUCCAAAUUUGAACAAUCGGCCAUUACCAGGAGUAUUCUUGUUUAAGAGCAGGCAACCAUAUAACCAAAAUUGAAUUCGCGAGACAAAAAAAUACAAAUUACAGAAUCCAAUUUAUUUCUUAAUAAUUAACCAUAUCUAGUUCACCACUUAUUGAGUGGUAGUUUAUAUUAGUUUUUGGUGAAAACUAUCACCUAUUAAAUCUAAAAUCUUUAUGGUGAUUAUUAAGAAAUAAAUUAAUAAUAAAAUUGCAGAAGCGUACCUGGAUUCAUGUUGACAAAUUGGCACUUGAAUCCUUAAAGAUUUUUUUGGGGAGGUCUUUCAGGUCAACACGUAUUCGCUAAUCCUUGAGAGAGUUCUUUAAUCUCUCUCUGGUAUCUCUUAUGACGAUGGGAUAUCGGAAAAAACUAUUUUGUGGUACUAGAAAAUACGAUAAUAAUAUAAGUGUAAUUUGGGGACCAUAACCCUAUUUAUAGAUAACUUUUUUGUUAUCUUUUGGAUUUCUAUUUUAACCCAUCAUAGAAAGAUGAAAUACUCUUAAGUCUCUACACAUUAAAUACCCACAUCCUAUUAGAUACAUUAAAGUCCAAAUCAUAUUUGAUCACUUUAAUUGGAUUUAACCUUAUUUGACAGUCUGUAACACAUAAUUAUUCACAUAUAAGUCUAAUGUUAGAUUAAAGAUUCAACAAAAACUGCUUAAAAUUAAAGGUUAAUAAUUACUUCACAGUCGGCUUUAAUUAUUAACAGAAAAUGGAUUGAUCAUACUUUGUCCCCUCAAGGUAUGGAUUAGUCACGCUUUAUCACCCCAACUUCACAACUAUAUAAUUUACCCCUUCUUGACCAGUCAAAAUAUUAAAAAUGCUUAACACUGUUAAGACAAAAUAAAGUGCUGAGGAGAUUAAAGGAUCCGUGAUUUGUUAGUGAAGGUACAAUUGUACUCUUGUAUUGGUGCAUAUGGCCUGCGAAAAAAUAAAAGAAAAGUUAUUGACAAGUGAAAAAAAAAACUGACAAUCGACAACAACUAUGAUAAAAAAACUCUUGAAAAGGCCCUGAUGUACACGGGAGAAGGAGUCAGAGAAUCCGCAAGUUAAGAAAAGCACUGCCCGGUAAGAGAUGGCAUCACCACUUUAAUUCAGCCGGUGAUCACUUUUGAAAAACAUUUAUAGAGAAUGUUGCAACAAGCAACAUGCCUAACAUCUUUCACAGUGACAGGGGAACAUUCAAAUGAAAAUAGAGAUUUUGGGAUGAGAACCACGACUGUACAGCGCUAAAAACUCCUCCCCAGUUGUCUUCGAAUUCAAUAUGGAAAAAAUCUACUGCAAAGCCAUGAGGACCAGGGCCUGUACCUCUUAUCAUUUUAAACAAUGUGCUUUUAUUUUCAUCCUGAUUGACUAGAGCUCUGAACGUCCUCCUAUGACAACUGCUUGAGCUUCAAGGAUCUAAGGGCCAUUUACCGAUCUGUAGAUAUAAAUUCCGUGUCAGCAAACAAAUCCAUAAGAAACAUGAGAGCUUAACUUUGAUUCGUUGAUAGUGAUUCAACCGUGAGCCAUACUAAUAGUACGAAGUCUAUUUCUUUGCAAAGGAAGUUUUCAAUUUGAUUAUAUUUUUUUCUUAACGCUCUUUUCCUAAAUCCUCUUUAAUGCUCCACCUUCUUCCAUGAACUCUAGUGGACUCCAUUCAUGACCUCAAUUAAAAUUUUGCAGGUACUAGGCUUCAAGCAUAUUUUAUCAGAUAAAUAGAAAUAAGUGGGAGCAAUUCAUGCCUGUCAAUGCUGCAUUGUAAGAAUACUUCUCAUGUAGUUGGCUUAUAUUAAAUCUGUAUGCAUUUGGAUACCAUGAGUCUUAAACACAAUAACUUGAUUCAAUCAAAAUCCCCUAUGAUAUGCGGUCUGAAUUUGGAUCCACUACCACCUGGCUGGCGGAAAAAAUGUACUGUUUUGUCAGUUUAAUCUUCUACUCCUACUCCUAUCAAGCUGUGGUUGUUGGCACAACAUUUUCCAUGGCUGUGAUUUUCACCUUUCCUUAAUAGACAUUUUAUCUUGCUGAAUCCAUAAUUAUCAACUGCAUCUAAUCUCUUCUAGAUUUUCCUUUGCAUAUGUCAAAGAGGUACUUCAGGAAAUAUUUAAAGCUAAGAUGGUAGAUAAUAAAUGACUACUUUAAAUUUCAUUAAAAACACAAAUAUUUUUAUUAAAUAUAGCAAUUGUCACAAUAUUUUUUCCACAAGGACAGGAAAGGAAACUAAAUACCAUAUCAUUAGUUCAUGUGAGAAAUGAUACACCAAUGAAUGUGGGUGAUACAUGGUGAUACGAUUACUUAUCACUCUAUUCCCCUAUUUAGAUUUUUUUAACAUAUCCAUAAUGAGCACUCGUUAAUACAUUUAAAUUAUAUUUAACUUAUCAUAUUAAUAUAUACUGUCACACUUACUCUACUCCCAUUAGAUAAUUUCCCAUAUGAGCUACACUUAUACAAUUUUAACACUUGAAUCCCCUCUUAAUGAGUACCCAAUGGGCAUUCGUUAAUCAAACCGCUAAAAAUAUUUUUGAUUUAAUUUUACUUUUGCGAAUGACUUAAUGACUGUCAAUAUGGUAGUUCCUAAAUGACCAAAGUUUGAAAGUUCUCUGACUAAAUACACACAAUGUAGUCUUUACAAAUUUGGAUAUUUCUCCAAUGUAACUUUCAGGAAGGGAAAGUAUUUAUUAGUGGGUCCAAUUAUUCAAUUGCUAGAUAUGGCAAUCCUGACCUAAUGUUUUACUAAUUUAUCUCCGUUCAGCGUGUGAACUAGCACAUUUGCAAAACGUAUUGAAGAUUAUUCUUUAAAGCAAAUUUCUUGGCUUUCUGACUUUUUAUUGUAAAGCAUUUACGUAGACCAAUUCACGACUCACUUGUAAGCGAAGAUUUUGGGAUUUCUCCAAGCCUUUUUGUUGUUUCGGAUGUUAAGAGCAACUAGAAGUCUAGGAUUUUACAUACUUGGACAUUCUUUUUUGUGUAACUGGCUUCAACUUCCAUCCAUCUCUGUUCAUAACUUGUCAAGAUUCUGUUUUUAAGGAUUGGCUUUAUCUCUGUUAUAGUAUCCAAACAUGGAAAAGUCCCAUGUUGUUGUUUCUCUUCUUCUGGUUCUACUGUUUCAUGUUGGCAUAGCCACAGCAGUUAUAACUGAAGAUGGAUCAGAAGCGUGGGGCUAUGUUCCAGUCAGGCCAAGUACUCUAAAUCUUUUCUACAAUCUUUAUCCCAAUUUAGAUAUUUAAAGGGCAGAGAUAUAUGGAUUUAGUUGUCAAUGACGAACUUGAAUUGUUGUGCUUGUGGCAGAGGUUCACAUGUUCUGGUGGUACUACAGAAGUCCAAACAGGAUUCAUGAUCCAAAAAAGCCUUGGCCAAUAAUUCUUUGGUUGCAGGGCGGACCUGUAAGUAUCAGAAUUCUUGUGGGAUUCUCUCUAGUUUCAAUCUUUAUUGCUUGUUCAUACAAUCAACUGUAAUUUGUUUACUGAAGGGUGCUUCAGGAGUUGGACUUGGUAAUUUCGAAGAAUUCGGGCCUCUAGAUGUGUUCCUAAAGCCAAGAAAUUCGACAUGGUUGCAGAAAGCUGAUCUUCUGUUUGUGGUAGGUACAAGGUUGCAUAACGUUGGUGAAUAAUCACAUCAGCAUCAAUACUGUUUUACAAAAUAAAAUGGGAAUUCCCUGCAGGGUUUUUCUUGUAUCUGCUUAUCUAAAUUCAUUUUUGCCCGUUUCCAAUGUAUAUAGGAUUAUCCAGUUGGGACUGGUUACAGUUUUGUGGAAGACGUUAAAAACACCACAUUGUUUGUGAAGAGUGAUAUGGAGGCUGCAAAGGAUGGAACUAAAUUCUUGACUGAGUUUUUCAACAGGAAUCAUACUCUCCAAAAGAGUCCUCUGUAUAUUGUAGCAGAGUCUUAUGGAGGCAAAUUUGCUGUUACUCUGGCAUUAUCUGCUUUAAAAGCUAUUGAGGCUGGAAAGCUGAAGCUAAAUAUUGGAGGUAACAAUUGCUUUUUCAUUCUCAAAAUUAAAAUUUUAUUCUCUCUCUUCAAUCCUGAAGUCUUGAGCUUGCUGUUACCUUUUCUGCAUAGGAGUUGCAUUGGGGGAUAGUUGGAUUUCACCAGAAGAUUUUACCGUAUGUAGUUUCUGUUCUUCAUUCGUCUCAUGAUUACUUAGUUGGAACAGCUGAAUUGAGUUCUGGUGAUCAAAAUACAGUCUUCAUGGGCUCCUCUUUUGAAAGACGUCUCAUUGCUUGACAGCAAUGGUUUCCAGAUAUCAAACAGGUAUUAAGUUAUUAUACUUGAAAGAUGGCACUAUCCUGAAUCCACGCCUCAAAUGCGUCGAUGCUGUGUUUUUUUAGUAUUGAAACUUGCGUGAAUUUAGCAUUUCUGUCUAACCUAAUCAAGCUCGACAAUUUUAAGCUGUCUAAUAAGCCUAUUGUUCAAUGCAGGGUUGCUAAUCAAAUUAAGAAGCAAAUUGCAGCAGGUAAGUUUGCGGAGGCCACAGACACAUGGAAUGAAUUGGAAGAUCUAAUUACCAAGUACAGUAACAAUGUGGUAUGAAUUUGAAGAAUUUAUGUUUAAUCACAACAAAUUGGUAAGUUUGUGCUUGACGAUUCCUUUUGUGGAUAAAUACAGGACUUCUACAAUUUCCUCUCAUUUGCAGAGGACGACCCUUCAUCGCUGUCAGCUGCUUCAGAGCUAAAACAACGUAUUGCAGUAAAAAGGUCCUGUCCUGGAGGUGAUGGAGAUCUUUAUAGCUUGAUGAAUGGAGAUAUUAAAAAGAAGUUGAAGAUUAUACCACCAAAUGUUACGUAAGUUUUCUCCUUAGAAAAUUUUCAGACUUUUUCAGAGUUCAUUACUUAUUUGUUAUUAAAGGAUUAGUAUGGUAUCAACAGAUGGGGAGGGCAGUCCAAUAGUGUUUUUGAAGCCCUGAAAGGUGAUUUCAUGAGACCCAGGAUUAGUGAGGUAACUAAAUCAGCUGCAUUUUUUUUUGGUUAGGAAUUAAUCACAAAGUUUAGGAACUUUCGUUUUUAGUUUGAGCUACACCAAGAAUGUUUUUUGAAUUUCUGGAUCAGCAUUCUUUGACACAUCUCAAUUGCGAUAAGAGCAGUUACCCAAUUAUAUGCAGUAAAUUCUAAAGCAUUUGAUCAACUACUUUUGGCAGGUUGAUGAGCUUUUAGCAAAAGGAAUAAAUGUGUCUAUCUACAAUGGACAAGUAAGAUUCUGUAAUGCUUUAUGUUGUUUCUCACAAUAUUCUCCAAAGAGGAAUGGAAAAAUAGUGUAUUAACAUUUCUGGAAGAAUGGGAUUUAUACAGAAGCAGUCGAUAGAUAUUCAAGGAAAAACUUGAUUUGACUUUCUGGUUGUACUAUGAUUCCACUGCAUAGCAUUUGUUUUCAAAAAUUGGCAAUAAGAUAAUAUGGCAAUAAUGGAACAUAAUAAUGGUAAUCAGGUAAAGGAUGAUAUUUUGGAGUAAUCGUACUUGUAAUUUGAUAUUUGCUCACAAUAAAUUGUGAAUUCCAGUGGAUAAACUUGAUCAGGGCAGCUUUAAUAUCCAUGCUACAAAUUUCACUGUUUUUUUUUUUUUAUAUUUUUGUUUUUGGCUAAGUAGUUCAAUUUAAAUGUUGUUUUGUUGUUGCUUGUAGUUCGAUCUAAUCUGUGCAACCAAGGGAACCAACGCAUGGGUUGAAAAGCUCAAGUAAGAAAAAAAAAAUCCCAUAAGUAAAUAAGCACCAAAAUUUCUUCCCCUGAUCAGUAAUUUUUUUGCCUAUUUUCACAGGUGGCAUGGGAUAAAAAAUUUCUUGAACAAGGAUAGAACGCCUCUCUAUUGUGGAGGUGACAAGAGUAUUAAGGGUUUCACCAAAUCGUACAGAAAUCUUCAUUUCUACUGGAUUCUCAAUGCUGGCCACUUUGUAAGUCAACAAACCAUUGUCAUAUUUCUGCUGCAUUUGUUUGUUAGUUUAAAAUUACUGUUACUUUUGCCUACUUGACAAGGUUGAGAACACAACACACACACUUGUCUCAAUAGCUUUAGUAUGUCAUAGCCAAUCUCCACAUUUGAGAAAUGCUAAAGUUUGCAUAAUAUAUUGUCUUUGUCCAAGAAACCAUCAAAGGUAGAAAAAAAAGUAAUACUCCCUCCGUUCUAUUGAAACGUUCACUUCUCAUCUUUGCAUGUGCCAAAAUACUUGUCAUGUCCAAAAGCUAAACAUAAUUUUCGCUCUCAUUUCAAAUACUCUUGUUCAUUGUCAUUUUGGGGAAGACAUUUCAAACAAUUGAGAUUUUACUCUGGGAGCAUGAAGCUGAGAAAGCUUAAAUAAUUAUCAGUAUCAGUUCCAUUGAAAGGUGGAUUGCCAAAAAGUGGCAAAACUAUGGGAUUGAAAGUAGUAAUUGCCAGACUUAUAAUGAAACUUUAGAUUAUUGAGACAAAGAUGAAACUGUGUGUGUAUGUGUGUGUCUGAAAGAAGAAUUGAAUGAAUUUGACAAGCAACAUCACACUGUAUCUACUUGAGGACAAUGAAACUGGUUCUGCUGCCACGCAAUAACUACCAUUUAAGUUAGGGUAGAUUGGACUUAUACCAAUAUGUCUGGCAUUUAUUGGUGGUAAAUCUACCAAACCCUGUGGGAAUAUCCGAAUAUGAGAUGAUUAAGAACAAAAGAACAUUAUGGAACAUCUUUGUGAGAGAAAUUUUCCAUAGAAAUUAUUUGUUGAAGCUGUUUAUUGGUUAUAGACAUGAGAAGGGCAAGCAGAAUGGACAUUAAGAUUUGCGGCAAAUAUGUUCUCGCUAAGUAAAUACUAUAUUUGGUAGAUUUGUAAGAAAAUUUAUUUCCCCUUUUCGAUUUCUCUAUAGGUCCCUGUUGACCAGCCCUGUGUAGCAUUAAAGAUGAUAGGAAGCAUCACACAGUCACCUGCUGCUUCAGGGUUGGUGUCGCUUUCCAACUUAGCCAAUACAGAAGACAGAUACUGAAGAAAUAUGAACCGAAGAAUAACAUAGAAUUCUCUUUUGAUUCUGAAAAAACCAUCACAGGAAUGAGAAUUAUUUCAGAGGAAAUUGGAAAUUAUUUUUUAGUAUUUUCGUCUUGUGGAGUCUUUAUGACAUUUUUUUUAGGGCAAGUUUUACUUUAUCCCCCUGUGAUUUAGCGUUUUUUUUUUAAAUAACCCCCCUAUGGUUUCAAAAGUUAUAUAUAACCCCCUCAUGGUUUGGAUUAAAGUGUCAAAGUGACAGGAAUGAUCAUUCAUAACGGAGUCACCUAAAAUGCCAAAAUUACCCUUAUAUAAAGUUGAAAAUUAGGAUUAAUCACAUUUAAUCCCGUUAAGGUAUACCCUAUUUCUUAGUUUACCCCCUAACCUUUUAUUUUGCUCACUUAACCCCCUAUAGGAUAAAAUUGCCCUUGCAUAAUUUUGACUUUUCAUUUAUCUUGUUUUCCUUUCUUUUAUUUCUGUUUCUCUUUCUUCUUUAUUUAAUUCUUCCUCUUUCUCACAAAAAUCUUCACCUUAAUGAUUGAAAUUGAAAAAGAGGAAUUGCAGAGAUCUAUCUUCUCCUUAAAUGAUUAAAAAAAUAUUCAAAUCACUUUCCUAAAAUACAAUUUUUUUAGCCUUUCAAUUCUUUUAAUUUUGGAUUUUCCUCUUUCCUUUCUAGUUUCUCAUUUUAUUCCCAAGAAAAUAUCUUAAGAUGAAAUUGUGACUUGAUUAAUAAUCAUCAAUUGAAAUUUGUGACACGUGGCAUCAUAAAAAAAAUCAAAAUUAGUUUUUGAUGCCUUUUAAAUCUUCACCCAAAAAUAUGCAAUUACAAACUCAAAACAAAAAUUUUCGUUGAAAUGGAAUUUUCUAUUGGGAAUGAUGAAAGAGAGAAGAAAAAGAAAAAGAAAUAAAAGAAAGGAAAACAAUUUCAUCUUUUGAUAUUUUCUUGAGAAUAAAAUGAGAAACUAGAAAGGAAAGAGGAAAACUCAAAAUUAAAAGAAUUGAAAGGCUAAAAAAAUUGUAUUUUAAGAAAGUGAUUUGAAUAUUUUUUUAAUCAUUUAAGAACUGCAAUUCCUCUUUUUUAAUUUCAAUCAUUAAGGUGAAGAUUUUUGUGGGAAAGAGAAAGAAUUAAAUAAAGAAGAAAGAGAAAAAGAAAUAAAAGAAAGGAAAACAAGGUAAAUAAAAAAUGAAAAUAAUGCAAGGGCAAUUUUGUCCUAUAGGGGGUUAAGUGAGCAAAAUUAAAGGCUAGAGGGUAGACUGAGAAAUGGGGUGUACCUUAAGGGGAUUAAAUGUGAUUAACCCUUUAUUUAUUUAUUAACCAAGGGAGGGUUAUGUGUAUAUUUUGAAAACCAUAAGGGGAUUAUAUGGUAAAGUAUUAAACCAUAAGGGGGUUAUAUAGUAAAAUAUAAAAAUCAUACGGGAUUAGUGUGUCAUGUAUUUAUAAGGGUAAUUACGACAUUUCUAGAAGUUCCGUUACAAAUGACUAUUUCCGUCACUUUGACACUUUAAUCCAAACCAUGAGGGGGUUAUGUAUAGUUUUUGAAACCAUAGGGGAGUUAUGUAAAAAAUGCUAAACCACAGGGGGUAAAAUGUAAUUUACCCUUUUUUUAUAUAGAAAAAAUAGAAUUUCAUUACUGAAUUUGCUAAAAAUCAUCCAGCAGAUUUUGUUUAAGAAAGUUAGGAGGUCCAUUUUAUAGAUAUCCAUCAAGUUACUGGACUUGACACGAUUUAAUUUGCAUGUCCUUAUAGUUGGUGAAUAAUUCGAGACUUGAUAUUUGACAAGCUAGUGAUGCCUGACGUCGAGAGAUACAAACCACAGGUGCUCAAACCGUUUCAUUAGGUUUGCAAUUUAACCAGAAUCAAAAGCUGCAAAGAUAAUACUUUACAUUCAAUUUGCCACAACAUAUAGGCGGAUGCAUCCUAGACACUCAAGCUAGUUCCUACGGUUAAGAUUUGAGGAAAAAAAAUUGCAGAAAAAAGUAGCCUACAAUUUUGUGCUACAUGUCCGAGAAAAAAAAGAAAAAAGAAAAAAGAAAAAAAUAUAUAUAUAACUCCUAAAAUUCACCUAAAAUGCCUUAGAUUCAACAGGGUAAUUUUUGUACCUUAAAACAUCCAAAUUGAAUUUUAAACAUGAAAAAAUAGCAUUUUGGGAAACUAUGAAUAUUGGAAAUUGAGUUAACUAUACUAAUCCAAAUUCUAGGGACCAAAAUGCAAAAUUAAAAUUUUUUGCUAAUGUAAAUUUGAUUUCGACUAUUUGUCAAGUUUUCCUUCUGUCUAAAAGAAGAAAAUUUUAGUACCACAUUUAUUUUGCGUGAGACUUUAGAAAUUAAUUUUGCUCAUAAACCAAACAUUAGGAAUCAAAAGUGCAUUUCUCCAUUUCUCAGAAAAGGAAAGUAAAACUUCCUUUGCCAAUUUGAUGAAAAUGCUCGGCAAUUUUUUCAUGCCUUCAACCAAUUUGAAUUCUAUUUUAGUAAAUCAUUCUAGUAUAAUUUCAUGAGUUUUGUCAUAAUAACAAAAACUGCCUUGCCUUUCUUUUUGUUCAAGGAUAAAUUCUAAACUAGUAAAAAGAGGGAUUCAGAGUCGAAUGAAGGGAUCUGACGGUUCCCUGACUAAUGUCCUUGCCAACUAGUUUGGGUCUUGAGACAAUAUAGAGAGACUUAUUGUGUAAAACCUAUUUUCUAUGCAUUUGAAAUCAAAUGCAAAAAGUAAAUAAAUCAGUAAAGUGUUAUCGCCACUGUGCAAUUUAUGGUGGGUUAGUUCAAUUUACUCUUUUUACCUACUUUUAAACAGCCUAACCACUACAUGGAUAUUUAAAAAAAUUAAACUAAUCGAUUUAUUGAAAAAAAAAACCUACAAUUAGUUAAUAGUAGCAUGAAAUUGGACUCAAAAAUAAAUAAUUGAUUAGCAAUGCCUAGGCCUCAAUUUCACAGCCAAUGUGGAUUGAUCCUUGCUUGGUCAUUGGUUAUUCGAUUACUAGAGUUCCGUUAAUAUUUGGUUAUUUUCAAAUAAAUUAAAAAACCAGAUCCAAUACCAAACCAAAAUUUACUUCGGUUAGCGGAUAAUCGAUAUUGCUAUUAUCAGUCACUAGUUUAACCGGUUAACAAAUCUUAAAUGCCUUUUAGUUUUAGGGAGGGGGAGAAAGACAUCUCAAAUACUCGAACAAUAAUCCAUCCACAAUGCAAUAAAAUGUGUGCCUCUAAAAUAUAAUCAAAAAAUAAAUAAGAAGUUAAAUUUUCACUAGCCUUGUUAAAAUAUCAUAAUAUCAUUUGUCCCUAUAGAAACACCUUCCAUUAUUAUCUCUCUCUCUCUAGAACUCAAUUUCUCUUUCUUCUCUGCAAUUUCUUCCAACCAAAACCUCAUUUGACUCUUCUUUGGGAAAGAGAUUAGAUAAUUUGGUCUUUUCUCAUGGGAUGUAACUUUUCUCUAAUUUUAUUUCUUUAUUUGAAUAAAUUCACUUUUAAGUUUUCUAGUGAAAGAUUAUUCUCUUCUAGGGUUUCCUUGUAUGAAAAUCUUCUAUCCUAGAUUUUUAUGAUAAGAGUUUUAUUUUCUCUUAAAAUAUUCUUAUGAGAGUGUGUUUUUUUUUUUUUUAAUGGGUGAGAAUAGAGAUUUGGUAGAUCUCAAAAACCAAAUCAAAAAAUCAAUUCUAAAUUAUUUUCUUUGGACUUGAAGUAGUUUUUAUCAAAUUUGACUAUUUAAAGACAUGCUUAAAGAUAUAUUGGAUUGCAAUGAUAUUCAUCUAAUAGAAAAUACUCUUGGAUUGCAAUAUUAUGAUCAAGUUUAUUGCUUUUUAUAUUUGUUGUGUCAAUUGAUUUUCAAAUUUGUAUGUUUACAUCAUAUUUGAUGUACUUGCUAUCAUGAAUGUAGAUAUUACAUUGAAAUUAUCCUUUUUAUCCAAAAAAAAAAAGGUAUCAUUUGUUCCAUCUAGCAUGAUGAAGCCAACUAAUAGCCAACAAUAGGCCAGGGGGGCUCUUGGAGGGAAGGAAGGAUUGAGGUUCGCCGGAUUGUGAUGAGAUGUGAUAAAAAAGGCUGUUCGGUUGUGAAACUCGAAAAAAAAAACAAUUGGGCUUAACUUUGAAAUGUGUGAUUAACUUUGGGCUUAAUUCAGAUAGUCAAUAUGCUAGUAGGAUACCACUGGUAAAAGACUAGUACUAUUUUGGUCGGCCGGCUAUUAAUCAAUAACCAAAUAAAAAGUUCAUUCAACUAUUCGAAUAUUAAAUUUCGGAGUCUAAUUUGGUAUUAUUUAAUCCAAUUCUUGAGAUUCACUUUAGAAUAGACAAUCCUAAUAAAUUUCCAAUAACUAAGGGUGUGUUUUGAAAACUAAAAUUUGAAAUUUAAAUCUAUUAAGUUAUUGAAUUAUUAAAUAUUAAAUCUAAUACAUUUGAAUAUAUACCACAUUUAGUGAUGAGUGAAUAGUUUAUCACUUAUUUUUUGGAGCAAAUUUUGCUUAGUAAAUUAAUCCAGAUGUUCAAUUUUUGGUUAUCAAACGCAUCUAAAUAUAUUAAAAUCUGAAUCUAUUAAAUUUAAGUGCAGAAUUACAUUAUCAAACAGUUGAUAAUGGUGCAGUCGGUUUUUUUUUGGUUUAUUCAAACUGCCCUCCAGAUGUGUCGUUCUUAUCUUCGAAAAUGUAUUACAUUGUCAAAAAAAAAAAAAAUUUUACUUUGGAACUCUGGGGUUGCUUUCUUCCAGUUAGAGAAUGUGGAAAAUCAUGAAGAAGAAAGGGAGGACAGAAACAACUAUUUUUUAUAAUAAAAUAUUUCUUAAAAUUGCUUCGAAGUUGUAUACACAUAAAGUAUGUUAUAAUCAGUAGUAUUUGCUUACGAGAAGAAAGAUGGUUAAAAUUAAAUGUCAAUUUGCUACUGUAUUGGAUAACCUUGAAACUCUAGUCAUUGGAUGUUUCAAUGUUGCACGAAUAAUAUUUGGGUCUUUCUUAACAAGACAUUUGGUGUUUCAUGAAUAGAUGAAUUGAUAUCUAUUAUUCUGCGAUUAGUAUAUGCAAGUUCACUUAACAAUCAUUUUCUAGGUAUAAAACUAGCAAAACAUGAAGGAAACACAAACAAGAACCAAGUUUGUAUUAUAACUAAACAUUAUAAUUAACACAAGAAAUAAAGUAAUAGGAGAAAUGUCACCAUUUUCACAUGAGUUUCGAAACCUCUAUCUUCAUCCUCAACUUCAUCUAGGCUUAGUUACAUACAAGGCUUGAAUGAAACAAACUAUACUAAUCUACACUACCAAACUAAUGAACUAAGAAAACUAAUGAAGAUUACAUUUUUUGUGGUAUUUCUAGCCUUCAAAAGUUGUUCAAAUAAGCUCUCCAAAGGCAUAUAUUUAUAGAGAAUUCAAUAUCCAAAUGAGUUGUUAAAGUUGAUGUAGAUUGCAUCUUGAAAUCAUCAAAAGUUACUUCUUGAAGUCUCUAUGCUUGCUUGCUCAUAUCCAGCUGAAUUUCUUAUAGAAAAAUUGGUCAAAAAACUUGUGUAAACAGAGACACAAGUUGUAGAACAAGUUGCAGCCGCAAUUAAAGAAAAUGCAGGCUCAGAAAAUGUGGGCUGAGGUCACAUAUUUAUCCCAUGUUUUCCUCUUUUGUGGGUUUUCUCAUUUUUGGUCAGUCUUCAACUUUGCUCUAUUUUUGUAUCAAAUUCAACUGAUAUUUUCUAGAUCAUAGAACCUGAACUAACUCUUGCACGAAACAUGAAAGUUGUAGUCCUUUGAAUGAGCUUUCCAAUGCUUCAAGAAUCAUUCAAUUUAGAGCUCUGUGUACUGAGAAAUGACCAAAAUACCCUUAAUUAAUCAAUUCCCUAUUUCAGCUUUCAACAACAAAAAUGAAUAGAGAAUUUUAAAAAUUUUAAAAAAUGAGUGUAAAGGAAUCUAAAAAAUAUUCAAUUUAACACUAGAGAUAAAGCAUGUGUUGUGGAUGCACUCUAUUUAUUUGUUUUGAAUACUGUUUUAACAAAAAAAUUAAGCAUUAUAAUUUGUACAUGCACUUUUAUAUACUAUUAUGUACAAAUUAUGAAUUCUUAUACCUACCAAGUGUUUUAUUUGAUCAAAAGUGAAUAUCUUAUACUUAUUUUAUAGAGUUAGCAAAUUUUUUGUCAAUUUUUCUAGAACGUUUCUAUAAUUUUUAUAGAACUUUUGUAUAAUUUUAUCAUAUGAUAAUAAAUUUUAUAGAUUGUACAAAGCACUAAGACCCAAUAUGGUCAAUUAAUAUAUUUUAGGGGCUACCUUUUUUCAGAUUGAAAAUUAAGGCACUAAUUUGAUCAAAAUUGAAUACGUUAAAGACUACUUUUCUUUUGUCUAAAACUAUGAAAACUAAUUUAGUCUAACCCAUAAACUUUGAGAACUAAAAUUGCAUUAUAAGACAAAAGAGUUGAUGCAUUUGGAAAAGUGUAAGGGUCUAUUUGUUUGGACUGAAAUUGUUUUCCAAAAAAUGUUUUCUGAAAUUUCUGGUGUUUGGCUGUCAAAAAGGUCGCAAAAAUUUUUUCUCGUAUAAAAUGUUUUGCACAUGCAAGUGUAAAAUACUCCCUCAUCUAAUUAAACGUAUCAUACUUUCAAUUUUGAUUUGUCCCAAAAUUAAUGUCACUUAUCACAAUUAGCAAUGAAACUUUUCACCCAUUUCCAUCUCAUGAAACGUGUCAUACUUUCAAUUUUGAUUUGUCCCAAAAUUAAUAUCAUUUAUCACAAUUGGCAAUGAAAAUUUUCACCCAUUUCCAUCUCAUACCCUUAAAUAUACCACAUUCUUUUAAUCUUUUGAUGGGCCCCAAAAAAUUAAAAGAAUUAUGCUUGGUACACGUGUGUCCCACAGCAAGUGCAACCAAUGGUUGUGCAGGAUACUUUCCCAAGUGCAACCAAUGGUUAGGAGACAUUCUCAAUGCUUGGAUCCCAGAGUCUUGUCACCACUACUUUAUCUUUCUAAACAUCCAACAAGUUUUAAUGCAUAGAAACUACAGAAGGUAUUGCUAGAAGUUAGACCAGAAUCAUUUGAAGUCUUAGCACUAUUGAAAAUAAGUUCUGAGUCUUGAGUGCGACAAAUAUUUUAGGACAGAGUAACUUAGGGUCUGUUUGAUAAUAUAAAAAAGUGCUAAAAUUGAAUCUUUUCAAAUAUUCGGAUAUUUUAAAUAUUUGAUAAAUAAAAAUCUAUCUGCUGAACUUGUGUCUAUUCUUUUCAGCGCUAGAAUUCUAAUUGAAUGUUUAAUUCUGAUAAGAAUCAAUAAAAUUAUUUUAACUAUCUUAUCUUAUCUAAUUCUUAUCUUAUCUUAUCUUUUCUACCUAACCUACCAUUGUUUAUUAAUUAUGUUCAAAAUUCUUAUAUGAUUAAACAACCUAAUAUUCUCUAUCUAACAGUUUUCCAUUUCUCUUUUCUCCCUUUUUAAUGACUUUCAUAUCUUCGCCAAACUCCUCAUAUAAUAUACUUCAUUUUUUGUAUUAAUUUGAUUUAAAAAUAUAUAUUAUCAUUUUCAUACCUAACAAUUUUAAAUUAAUUAAAUCAUAGGUUCUAUUUUUUUUGUUGAAAAGAUAUAAGGGCAAAAUUGUCAAAUUUUACUUAUUCAAUAUUCAGUUAUAAAUGUUUAUCAAAUAAUAUUAAUAGGUUUAGUAUUAAAAUUCAGACAUUCAUAUAUUUCUUUUUAGUGUUUAAAAUUCAGCAAAUUAAUUGUUUCAGUAUUCAGAUUUUAGAAUUCAGACUUCAGAAUUCAGAUUCAAUUUUAUCAAACGGAAUCUUAUCCAAGGAAUGUACUGUGGUACUGAAGUUAUUUUCCCUUGAACAAUAAAACUGUCGGAGCUAAUCAUCUCACUAUCCCUUUAAAUAUCAAAAUUGUACGCAUGACAAAACAUCCCUCAUGAAACUUGCUGAAUAUCCACUGCCAGCGACCUCCCCUCUUCCUCACAGUUCUCGCUUAACCUACACUCGCAGCCGCAGGCACCACCUGCUAGAGAAAUUUCUAAGUUUGUGAUGAAAUUUAAAAAAAUUCUACAAAAAGGGCGAUUUCGGUGAGGUAUUCCGUAGGGGGGUCUUCGCAUUUCAGGAAUGCGAGCUCUGAUGAGCUCGCAUUCCUGGAAUGCGAGCUCAGCAGAAUUGUUUUAUUUUUUUUUUCGGAGAGCUCGCAUUCCGCGAAUGCGAGCUCUCCCAAAUUUAAAUUUUUUCGCAUUUGCAGCAAAGGAAUGGACUAGUGCAUACGCAACUGGUGCAUGACAAAGAAGGCAGGAUAUCGUGGUUAAAAAGGAUUUUGGCAACUCUUGUUGUAUGUUUAAUUGACAGGCAAGUUUGUCGUUUGAGUAAUAGAUGAAUUAGUCUUUCAAACUAUGUGCCAUUGGUGUCCCUAAAACUUCCGCAUUCAGCUGUAUUUUACUAUUUUCCGGUUUAGAAGGCUUGCUUUAAAUAUGUACAGCUGCCGUGCUAUAUUUUGUUAUAAAUUUGCUUGUCAUACAUUUUAAGGAUAAUUAUAGAAACUUCCCUUAAGAUUUUUGAUAAUUUCACUGGGCUCCCAUAAGGUUUGCAAGACUACACCUGCCUACCUUGAUUUGAUUUAACUAAACAUUAAAAUAACAUUGACUUAGGUCAAAGUUUUAAAUGAGUAACCUAAAAUGCUGAUUUAUUAUAGUGAUAGGAUAUUUUUUUAUGGUGUUUAUUAGGGAUUGAUUGAGAAAUUGUUGAAAUAAUUCUUUUAAAGUUCGUAAAUUUUUUGAGUGAUAGAAUUACCAUAAUUUGGUAGUUGGGUCAUAUCUUUUAGAUUUAUUAUAAGUAUGACUUUCAGAAAAUUAAAUUCAAACUUGCUAGGAAAAAAAUUUAAAAUGAAAUUUACGAGCUCCCAAAAAAAUGUAAAAUUAACUGUAAAUGUUGUUUGUUUUGUAGAAUUUGUCUUUACUAAAAUGCUGUCGGUAAUAAAAUCUUAUUUUAAAAUCUGUACUAAAAUCUUAAAUUUCGGAGAAAUGUUAGAGAAAUGUUAUUUAAAAAUCUGUAAUUAGCAUAGGAAUAAAUUUUAUUUAUUUUAAAACUUGCACGUGCCUAAAGUCAUCAAAUAUGUGCUCUAAAAAAAAUCAUAUUUCUUUUAUAUUAAAAAAAAUUGGCCCAAGUUCCGUCAAUGCUCCGGCUCCAAGAGAAGAACAACCGGGACCUGCAAAGAGCUUGGAAUGCCUAGCACUUGAUAAACUAAUUAAAUUUCGUAAGAAACAAAGUUAAACUGGCAACAUUUAGCAACAGUACCUCCAUUGAGCCACAGGAUAUAUCACUGAGCAGGACAUAUCACUGAGCUCGCAGACAUAUCACUGAGCUCGCAUUCGCAAUGCCUCCUGAGCUCGCAUUCUGCGAAUGCGAGCUCCAAUGCGAGCUCGCAUUCCCGGAAUGCGAAGACCCCCAUUUGCAGAAUGCACUCCAAAAACCGCCCUCGUUGUAGAAUUCUUUUUUUUUCCAUCAUAAACUAAGAAUUCACCCCCACCUGCUAUCCUCCUCUUACUCACCUUUCUCAUACUAAUCCAUUCCUUUCAUACUAAUAUACAACUAUAUGCGUGGGAUAGAGAAACUCCACUUCUAAGGUGGGUUUUGUCUUGACAAGUUUUUUGGAAGAAAAACCGGGAAAAACGAAAGAGAUGCUAUUGGAUGAAGAUCUGUUAAAGAAUUUAUACGCAUCAAAUUCGAAGCACUAAUUUUGCAUAUGAUGGUUAGAGUAAUCAAAUUUGAAACGAUUUUAAUUGACAUAUCAGUAUAUAACUAGUAUGAUAUGUAAUUGGUUUGAGAUAUUAUGAAUUCCCUUUCAUGGAGUUUGAUCUGAUUUUUGGGAAGUCGAAGGAUUUGCAUUUGGAUGGUCAAUCAACGUUGAAUCGGGUGGUGUCAUGCUGGCAGUUGGCAGUAGGGAAGGGAAUGGAUUGGGUACCUGCCCUAGGCAUCAUUUCGCUAACCCGAUCUGUACCUUACGCAUCAGCAAUUUUUUGUUCCUUACCCGCUCCACAUAUCAGCGGGUAUCUGCUGAGAUAGGAUCGAGUCAACGGGUAUCCAUCUCACCCCGCUUAUCAUUUAAUUUUUGGGAAAAUGACCUGUUUCAUCCCUCACAUUUCGUAAAAAUAUUCUUUUCGUCCCUCACUUUUAAAAUGAAGCAAAUUCGUCUCUGACAUUUAAAAAUUAAAUCUAUUACAUCCCUGAACCUAAUUUUCAAUCUGAAUUAAAUCAUCUAAUAACUCAGUAAUAAAUUUCGAAAAUAGAAUUGAUAGAUCAUUUGGUCAACUUCAUCGUAUUCACAUGACAUUUAUUAAACCAAAAAAAUAAAAAUUAUAACAUAAAAGGUCAUUCUUUGUCUUGGAAUAGUAGAGUUUUUUUUUUAUAAAUCUUUUCAUGCACCAUUAGUAUAUCCGCUUGCAAAUCUAGAUGUGUAUCAUAAAUAUAAAAUUUGGUGUUUAAAUUUAAAUUAAAAUGAUAUGGCGGUACAUAAAACUGUCAGUGUAUACAAUAAUAAUGUAGAAAAGAUUAAUCUUUCUUUUUUAUAUUAUAAUUUUUUCUUUUUUCUUUUUAGGUUCAUUAAAUUUUACAUGAAUAUCAAGUUGAGUUAACCAAGUGAUCUACCAAUUACACCCCCAAAAUUUGUAAUCAGGUUGAUUGGUGGUUUGAUUCAGAUUAAAAUUUGGGUUCAGGGAUGUAAUAAUUUUAGUUUUUAAAUGUCAAGGACGAAAUUGUUUCAUUUUAAAAGUGAGGGACGAAAAGAAUAUUUUUGUGAAAUGUGAAGGAUGAAACCGAUCAUUUUCCCUUAAUUUUUUUUAAAAAAAAUUAAGUUAUAUUAAUUAGUUUUGUAUUUUACAUAUUCUUCUAAAAUUUAAUAAAGAUUUUUUUUCUCAACAAAAAGUUUUAGAAACAAAAAUGCUAAGAGAGUACAAGAAAAAGAAAAAAAUUCAAAGAAUUCAAAGUAAAAAAAUUGAAAUAAGUAGCACCUAUAUGUUUCACAUUAAUUAAAAUCUUUUUAAAAAAAUAUAAGAUCAUGACCUCUACAAAUGAAUCUUGUAAACAAACUAUAAUCUCCCAUAUUUAUAAUGCAAUUUGUUCAAUGAAAUUGCUUACUUAUCUCUAAAAAUAUUGUUUUAUUAUAUGUGCACAAAAAUAAAAAUUAUAUAUAUAUAUAAUGUAUAUAAGCCGGUAUCCGAUCCUCUUUUGAUCUAAUCAAAUAAUACAGAUUGAGUAUCUUAAUUUUCGGAUUGGAUAGGAUCGGAUAUGAUCGAUUUUCGAGUUAACAGGUAUUUUUACCCACCCCUAAUUGGCAGACGUAAACAGAGGAAUCUGAGGGGAAUAUUCUUGUUUUGAUUUUGGGGACAGUGCACCAAAUACAUGAGAAUCGAAGAACUUCCUUGAAUAAAAUUAUUUUCAUCCAAAAUCUUUUCUUCGGGAAAAAGUUUUACACUCUGACUAACGGACCCUAAGUGUUCCUCUAAUUAUGCAACGCAAAUAUGGCAAUUUGAAGAGAUCUGAAUGCUCUCUCCAUUGACUUGAUUGUGUAACAUCAUUGUCUAUUUUCACUCCUUGCCCUUUUUCAAUACCUCAGGGUGGCUUAGCAUAAGAGGCAUAACCGACUCCAAUGCAUGUAUAGUCAAACAGAACAAAAAGCCCAAGCAAAACAAGAGCACAACGUUAUGGCCGACUACAAUGCAUGUAUGGUCAAACAGAACAAAAUGCUCGAGCAAAACAAGCGUGCAACGUUAUGGCCGACUCCAAUGCAUGUACGGUCAAACAUAAAAAAUGCCCAAGAAAAAGCAAAAGGAGAGCACACAUUAUGGUGAACGGCAAAAGAUGUUUAACAAGAUUUUGUAUUGAUUGAGGAAUAAUGCUUUAUAAUUGCUGCAACUGACAGUAUAUUUUUAUGGAUGCUACCAAAGAAAACCAAACGAUUUUUUGUGAAUAAAAGUUUCUUGUCAGAUUCCAUAAUGUAAUAGAGGCUACUCUUGUCUGCUUUAGCAUUUCCAAAAUUUCUCUCUGGAGAGAUUCUUCAAAACAACCGUUGUUUAGAGAUUUAAAGCCUACUUUGGUUUUAAAAGUUGUAAACAGCAAUCGGUAUUUGAAAAAGAACCUUAAAAUUAAAUUUCACAAAAUAAAUUUUUUCUCUACAAUGAUUUACAAGGAGAAGACAAAAUCAAGGAAGGAAACAGUUAAGACAAAGUUUCUAAGUUUUGGCCCAAAAAAAGAAAAAGAAAAAGAGAAAACUAGCUGAUUUUAAGGAAAACAAUACAAUAGCAAUCGAAAAUGCAAGUUCUUGAUUUGUUAAAAUGUUUAAAUUGGGACCCUUGUCUUAGAUCUUUUAUUUAUUUGGCGACCUAUUAUGAUAUAAAAAAAGGAUAAUUUUAUAAACUUUCCUUAAGCUUUCUACAAAUUUUGCUUCGCCCCUUACAGAUUUCACUAUUAUAUAUAAUGCCCUUAUUUUUCAAAUUCAAUGUAACAAUGGCACUCCAUGCAUAUCAAAUGUUAUAAAAGCUUUCGAUUAAAAAAUUAUCCUUCCAUGGCCUUUAGAAAAUUAAUAUAAUAAAUUCAACUAAAAAUCACGAAAAUGCUUCAAAUAAAAUCAAAGAAAUUCAUAAAAAGUAUGAUAGUCCACAAAGAAUUAAAAUGAGGUAUAAAAAUAAUUGAUAGAAUAAAUAUCUAAAGCUAAUCCUUGAAAGUACUUAGGGUCACAAGAAAUUGAAAUAACAAACUUAAAUUCUAAAAAGGGUUUGAAAUUGCAAAAUAAAAACCGGAGAGAAAAUUCCUUCAUUAACAAUAGUUUAAUAGGCUACUUGAUCACAUAUACCAAUUUCUAAAAAUGAACUCUUUAAUUAUCCCAAGCAACACUAGUAUUUUCUUAAGUGUUCCUAAGCAUCAGAGUUUAGGUUUUUAAUUCUCUAUAUGGCUUUGUUAUGAUUUACCUUAUUAGAUUUUCAUGAUUUUUUUCAAAACAAAAAUAAUAAAAUCAACUUAUCUCAUUUUCAUUUCAUUUUCAAAGUCCUUUGUUGGAGUUUAAUUGAAUGUAUGACUUUUAACAUUUUAUGUGAUUUUUUUGGAUAAAUGGCCGACUUUGUUGCAUUGAAAUUGAAAAUAAGGAAGCCAGGGAGGUAAGCGUAAUAUUUCUAGCUUCCCCCACCCCCCCAGCCCCAAGGGAGGGAGCCAAGGUGAAGUUUUACUUAUCCCUCAAAAAAAGUGCUAAGUGCUUGUGGAAUGGGGUUUAUAUUUCUAGCUUCCCCCACCCCUUCCCCCCCAAAAAAAGCCCUUAUAAUUAUUUAGAUAUUUUCUCACAUUUUUUCCCCUUCCCUGAAGUAGACAGCUAAUGAAUCCAGCUCCUUUCCAUUACUUAUUUUCUCCGAUUAUCCUCAAUAUAGCAAUAUGAGUUUGACAUGUGUCCAAUUUGAAGUCAAUGUCCAGGAUUUCUUUUGCUCAUAACCAGCAUCUUAACCUUGGUUAAGCACAAUUUAACAUACCAUGUUUACCAUAAUUUGGAGUAUUUGAAAAAAAAAAACCACCUUUUCCAGCCAAAUUUUAUAUGGGAAAAGUAAAAUAAAGAAAAGUCAAAUCAUGGAAUUUCAUGGGAAAAGAAAAGGAAAGAAAAGUCAAAUCAUGGAAUUUAAGUUACAGGUAUAUCGUGCCCAAAUCAUGAUCUUGCGUCUUUUUCUCAAACUUUCAGUGAAUUGGUAAUGUUUUUCUCACUUGAAACGGAUUUUUUGUUUUGGGAAUCUCGAAAUUGUUCUCAAAGUAAAUAUUCAGAUUAAUGUUAAGAUCCAAACGCGGAACACACAACUAUUGAGAUAUUAAGUAUACAACAAUUCAUGAAAAACAAGUCACAAGUAUGAAAGAUAAACGACAUUCAAUAUUUAAUGUGGUUUAGCUCCACCAUUAAGUUUACGUGCAUAGAGAUAAACCUGUUCUUUAUUAUGAAAGGAAAAUCCUAUACAAGAAUACAACUUAAACCCAAAUCCAACCCUUGUAUACCAUCUCUUAUCUCUCAAGAACCCUAUCUGACUCCAUGGAUAAGGCUACAUGUUGCCUCUUGUGUGCCCCCUUGUGUGUCUCUUUAUAGUAUGCCAGCCUAUUUAUUUACAGGGAACAUUAUUUGGUCAAAACCCAAAUAACAAUAGGAAACCAAUUCUAAUUCUUAGACUUAUACAGAAUAGGAAAUAACUUCUAAUCUUAAACAAAAUACGAAAUUUCUUGGCUACUACUUCAAGUAACUAAAACCAAUUAGAAAACUAGUUACUUCCACACAAAACAAGAAACUUGCCUAAAAGAAAUUAAGUCAAUUUCUUAACAAAUCUCCACCUUGGCGAAAAUUUCUUUUAACAACCAUUUGUUUUUAACUACUAAAUAAUAUGGUACCGAACUACACACCCGAAUCAAUACAGUCCUUGCACCAAAUUGAUUCAAUCAGCAAAUGAACAUGUGUAGUUAUUCCAAAUCUACCUUCCAGUUGACUCGUGAGAAAGUGCCUCAAUUCACCAUCUCCGUUUGCAGGAUUUCUUCUCACCACUACUUAUAAUCCGAGAUCUCCUUCUGUGAGUUUUAACCCUGAUCAUUGAGGCAAUCAAGUGAUAAAAUUAUCAUAUUUCUUUUCAUCCUCAGGACUGUCUCGCCACGUGUGAUUUUCAAGACUUCGUAAAAAACGAAAAAAUCGUAACUGUCAAAGUCUUCUGGGACGUACCACACCACACCACACAAAGAACUGUCAGAGACUUCUUUGUUUCUCUGGGACAUACCACACCACACAAAGAACAUAACCAAAAUCUAAAAUCCACUGGAACGCAGUUUUAACCUUUGGAGGUGUGAGAAAGUCUCUACCGAUUCACGUCCAAAAUCAAAAUUGGACUCUACCUUUUUCCUUACCCUUGAAUCACUUGGCUAGAUUCACCGUUAAGCGCCUCCAUGCUUUUCGACUUCCUAUCCUUCACCAUCAAUUUUUUUUGUCAAGCAAUUGAAACAAGGAUAUCACUCAUUAAAUUGUCCAAUUAGUAACAGCUACAAAUUCACUUGAUCUCAAUAGUUAACCAAGAUUCAACCUUGAACAACCAAACUUUUGAUUCAACCAUUCAGUUUGUUGGAAUCUAAGUGCUUGUGAGCAAUCCAAUCUCACAACCAAACUCUGAUACCACUUAUUAGGAUUCAAGCGCGGAAUACACAACUAUUGAAACAUCAAGUAUACAAUAAUUUAACGACAAAUAAGUCACAAGCAUGAAAGAUAAAUGACACACAAUAUUUAACAUGGUUUGACUCCACCAUUGAGCCUACGUCCACAGAGAGAAACUUGUUCUUUAUUAUAAGAGGAAAACCCUACAUAAGAUUACAACUUGAACCCAAAUCCAACCCUUGCAUACCAUCUCUCAUCUUUCAAGAACCCUCUCACACCCCAUGUAUAAGACUAUAUGUUGCCUCUUGUGUGCUCCUUGUGUGUCUCUUUGAAGUAUGCCAACCCACCUAUUUAUAGGGAAUAUUAUUUGGCCAAAACCCAAAUAACAACAGGAAACCAAUUCUAAUACCUGGACUUAUACAGAAUAAGAAAUAAUUUCUAAUUCUAAACAAAAUAGAAAAUUUCUUGGCUACUAUUUCAAGUAAUUAAAAUCAAUUGGGAAACUAGUUACUUCCACACAAAACAAGAAACUUGCCUAAAAGAAAUUAAACCAAUUUUCUAACAAUUAAUCAUAUCAUUCUCAUCUUUUUAUCUUAUUUCAUCGUCGAUUUUCUUGCUUAUGUAAUCGAUUUAUGAUUUUAGAACUUGAGUCACUAGAAUAAGUUCCAAAAGGACAAGAUAUUCUAAUUAUAUAGUUGCCUAAUGCAUAUUAACUUUUUCUUGAAGCACAACAUAUGCUAAUUGGACAUAUAAAAAUUUUUACAUCUUCAAAAGCGAGGUAGUGAAACUGAAUUUUACUAUUCAGUUUUAGAAUUUGGAAGAACUGAUAAUGUUUAGGGAUCUUCUACAGUGGAACGGUAAAAUGAAGAAGCUGAUUAGAUGAAUACAGAAAUGAAGGCCUAGAAUUUUGCUUCUACUAAUUGGAUGUAUUGAAGUCCGUUAACUAAUGUUAAGUAAAUAAAUCUUAUCCCUCUAAAUAUUGUAAGGACAAGUGUCAGAAUAUCCAAAAGCAUAUUUAGGGAAAUGGAAAAGGUAUUGGGUGGGUGUGUGUGUGUGUGUGAUGGAGAGGAGCCAAAUCCAAUGGGUAACUAGGCGUCUAGGACAAAUCACCCAUGUAAUAUAUCUAAUCGAACUUUCUAAGUCUUCGACUUUCUUCAAUCCUUGCAUACAAAUUUGCAAAGUCUGUUUGUCAGGAUCAAUUUUAUCUAUCUUUUGUGUCCGAAAUGGAAAGGUCAGACAUUGUUUCUCUUCUUAUGGUUCUAUUUCAGGUGGGAAUAGCCAUAGUAGUUGGAAGUCAAGAUGGAUCAGAAGCGUGGAGAUAUGUUCAAGUCAGACCAAGUAUGUUUCUGAUGUUUUAAAUGCCAAUUAAAAGGAUCACUUGUCAAUGCUGAUAUUGAGUUCUUGUGUUUGUUUCAGAGGCUCACAUGUUCUGGUGGUACUCAUGGUUCGCCAUAUCAGCCGAUACUAAUACAUAUCAGCCGAGUCGUAACCGGAACGGAGGGGACCGAUACGAUACCAAUCCACGAAUCGCGGAUAUUACCAUAUCCAUGACGACUUGCUCUGACUCGGUCAAUAUUGGUCUAUUCGAAUCCGUGAUGCAUGAUAUCGGCCAAUAUAUCCGAGAUAACUCGGAGUCAACUGGAAUAUUUUUUUAAAUUAUGCCUUUUUGAUAUUUUCUAAUUUUAGUAAUUUUUUUGAAAUUUUGGAAAACUUUCUUGUACUAUAAUGUGCAUAACACCCGAUAUUCAACUGAUAUGUCGCGACGGAUGUGGAACAACCGAGACCGUAACCCGUGAUGGCGAACCAUGGUGGUACUACAGAAGUCCAAAUAGGAUUCAAGAUCUAGAAAAGCCUUGGCCAAUUAUUCUUUGCCUGCAAGGCGGACCGUGAGUAUCAGAAUUCUCGUGGGAUUUUUUCAAGUUUCAAUCUUUGUUGCUUGUUCAUACAAUCAACUGUAUUUUGUUUAUGAAGGGUGCUUUAGGAGUUGGAUUUGGUAAUUUUGAAGAAUUUGGACCUCUAGACAUGUUUCUAAAGCCAAAAAAAUUUGACAUGGUUGCAGAAAGCUGAUCUUUUGUUUGUGGUUGGUACUAGGUUGCAUAAUGUUGGUGAAUAAUCACAUCAGCAUCCAUGCUGUUUUUCAAACUGAAAUGGGAUUUUCCUACAGGUUUUUUCUUGUAUCUCCUUAUCUAAAUUUAUUUUGCCUGUUUGCAAUCUAAAUAGGAUUAUCCAGUUGAAACAUGUUACAGUUUUGUGAAAAACGUUAAAAACACCACAUUAUUUGUGAAGACUAAUGUGGAGGCUGCAAAGGAUGGAACUAAAUUCUUGAUUGAAUUUUUCAAUAGGAAUGAGACCCUCCAAAAGAGUCCUCUAUAUAUUGUGGCUGAGUCUUAUGGAGGCAAAUUUGCCAUUACUCUGGCUUUAUCUGCUUUAAAAUUAAGCUAUUGAGGCUGGGAAGCUAAAGCUGAAUCUCGGAGGUAACAAUUCGUUUUUCAUUCUUAAAACUAAAAUCUUAGUUUCUCUUCAAUCCUAAACUCUUGAGCUAGCUCUUACCUUUUUUGUAUAGGAGUUGCAUCGGGGUAUAGUUGGAUUUCACCAGAGAUUUUACCAUAUGUAGUUUCUGUUCUUCAUUCAUCUCAUGAUUACUUAGUUAGAAGAGGUGAAUUGAGUUCUGGUGACCAAAAUACAGUUUUCAUGGGCUCCUUUUUUGAAAGACAUCUCGUUUCUUGACAGCAAUGGUUUCCAGAACUCAAUCAGGUAUCAAGUUUUACACCUAAAGAUGGUACCAUCCUAAAUCCAAGCCUUAAAUGCAUCAAUGAAAUAUGUUUUUUACUAUUGAAACUUGUGUGAAUUUAGCAACCCCACAUGUCUGACCUAAUCGAGCUCAAAAAUUUUAAGUUGCCUAAGAAGCUUGUAUUGUUUAAUGCAGGGUGGCUAAUCAAAUUAAGAAGCAAAUUGCAGCAGGUACGUUUGCAGAGGCCACAGACACUUGGAACGAAUUGGAAGAUCUAAUUACCAAUUACAGUAACAAUAUGGUAUGAAUUUUCGCAUAGUCUAAUUGAACUUAUGUUAAUCACAACAAAUCGGUGCAUUUGUGUGACAGCCCCACCUCCCCCUAGGGCGUACCCAAGGAUUUGGCGGAUCGCUUGCCCAACUCUCGCCAGGACUCAGUCACAAUUCAUGAAAAUUUACAAAUAGAACCUCAAAAUACAAUGAUCUUAAUUACAGCCAUCAAUAUAGAUACAUUCAUGGACCUCUAAUGUUCAUACAGUCUAUAAUACAGCCAAAGAGUCGAACUUGCUAAAAAUCAAACCAAACAAGUCGGCUAGACACCUAUGCAGUGCUUACACGAGCAACUAACAAAUUUGGAAGAAAUCGAGACCUUCCUCAAUUCAAUCUCUCAAGUUCUCAUCCCUGUAAGGAAAACAAAUGCCGUGGAAUGAGCUAAAAAUCUAGUGAGAUUUCAAGUAAUUAAACAGGUAAAAUACAAGACAAGAUAGCAUAUCCAGACAUCGAGAAACAAGUCAAACACGAAUGGAUCAUGACUCAGUAUAUAGCUAAACAAGUAGCCAGAUAAAACAUGCAAAAGGGUACAGUAAGAAACACAUUCAUGUCAAGGAUACAAGUUGCCCUCUGGAGCAAGUUCUACAGUAGCUUGAUCAAGGUCCGUUGACUCUCCGUUAACCAUGGAAGUAUAACGUCCGUAGAUCUUCACUUUACACCAAUUCCGUCCACCUAUCAACCACCUUACCUGGCCCGAACACCAUAGGAGUACCCAAGGUUCGUCAAUCUCAUCGACCAAGCCCUUGCUGGCUCGAUUCGACCAACUAGCCCUAUGUUGGACUUAUAGUCCCAGAUAUUCAGAUUGGAGACGUUAGUUGUCACUUACGCUCCAUAUUCAGAAAUAAACAGAGAUGGUAUUACUCUAGCAUACCAAUAGUCGAGGAGAUAACACUCCACUCGACAAAACAGAACAGAGGUACGUACGGCCGCUCAGCACUUACAGGUAAAGCACAAGCAUAAACACAAGUACAUGUCAUCUACAAAUCAAGUUACUUGUUCAUGUAUGAAGGGGAUAUCAAGUGUUUAGUCACAUCAAGUUAAUUGAGUGUAUAUAAGAGCAUCCUCGCCUACACAAGUUUAAAUCACAAAUAAGUUCAGCAUAUCAUGUUUCCAAGCAUUUCAAAUAUUUCAAAUCCAAACAAUUGAAAUCAGGUGAUUAAGAACCCUGUUCAAACAAGAAAACUUGAAGGAAGAUACAGAAAUAAAAAAUUCUCUCAGCGAAUCUGGCCACCAAUCCGGCCAGGUUUUGGCCGGAUUUUCAGGGGAAAACUUAAAAACUUUGAAGCUCACUGCCUCAAAUCCGGCUGGCAAUCCGGCUGAAAAUCCGGCCUGAAAGUGACCGGAUUCUGGCCACUUUUCAGUUGUAACAAAACGGCUAACACAUGUUUUAACAAAAUAUCACAAGUUCAAUUGAGCUAGGUCAAGUGCGAUAAAGUACACACUUACUUAUGAGACGAGAAAUCAAGUACCUAGAAUUGUCUAACAACAAUGAGCAUGUAACACGUAAGUCAAGGGAAUAACCACUCGAGUGACCAACAAGUCAAGUGCAAGCAAAGCAAUUCAUUUCCUAUCAAUAUCACGAAGUGAACUGCAUAGGAUCGAGUAUGAUAAAGUACAUCCUCAUCCCAAAGAUUAUCAGUUCAAGAACAACUACUUAAACCAAGUAAACAUGUCAUUCAAUCAAGCAGACAUUCCACGUAAAUAUUUUCAUGUACUUGGAACACUCACCAAUCAAAUGCAACCCUUCACUUUAUCCCUAGUUCGUCCUCUUGAACUCUCUCAAGUCCUGUGGUUAUAUACUAACGUGCAAUAUAAAGCCAAAAUACAUGAAAAAAUUAAAGUUUCUAAGACUUCAUUUCCUUUCUCUUAAACCUCAAUUCCACUCAUAAACCAUACCCAAAAUGAUUGACCAACUCCAAACUUAAAGUGGAAAAUAAAAGUACAAAUGGUUCUAAGAGAACAAAAUUUCUCAGCUUUGCACAACACAAUUUUGAAAAAUCAUAUCUUACGCUUCUUAAGUUCAAAAUUGAUAAAAUUUAUAUCGUCGGAAAAUAGACUUAAAGGGCUACAAUUUUUCAGAAUGCACUUUUGUAAGAUUCAGACCACAAGUCAGUCAAAUUCAAGCCACAAAUUGCUGCUUCAUUCAGUAAAAGACAGAACAGGGAUGCAAUUUCGGUCAACUUUGAAAAAACAUAGAUAUUCAUAGGAAUUGAGAAAAAGGAUGAAAUUUUCUUAGUUGAUACUAGUUUCAAAUGCAAUAAACAGAACUCAAUUCCAAUUUUUCUACAACAAGAUAUAGUAGAUUUGCUAAGGCUGUCCACGGGUUCCUAAGGACAAAAUUUUCAGCAGCACCCCCUUUGUGUUUACUACUUUUUCCAGCCAAUUCAAGGCUUCAUUCUUACCACAAAACAGCCUCAACUCAAUCAUAUACAUACCAAGCCAAAAACUCACUAAAUCAAGCAUGUAACUAUCACCUACUCAAGCUAGAAAAUGAAACCCUAAGCUGAAAUUUAUGCAUACAUGCUGAAAUUUCCUUUAGGCAAGUUAAACUAACACAUAAAAGCUAGCUAUUUCACAUAGCAAAGCUACCAAACCAUGGCCAACACUUAACCAUCGUGUGUGGGCAGAUAAUUCACCAUAAAAACUGAAUUUUUCCAGAACAUCACUUCAAAUCAUAAUAUUUCUCAUAAAACUACCAAAGUUGAAACCCUAAACCACUAAUUGACAAAUAUUUGAAGUAGAGAGAGUUUCUUGCCAUAAAUACCUUGUAACUCCAAGAUAGAUGGAAGCUUAGUGCUUUUCCUCCAAAAAUCUCUCCACUCAAGCCCUUAAUCUUCCCUAGCGAACCACUUUUAUGGAGUAUUUUGCAAGCCUGUGGAUUGAAACUCAAGAUUCAAGCUAGCAGUUGAAGUGGAAGAUGAACUUUUCUCUUGGUUUCUCCCUCUCAAAAUUUCGGCAAAGCUAGUGCAAAAUGAAGACAAUUUUUGGUCAAAUUUGAUUUUAAGAAAGUUAAGAAGACAUGGUCAAAGUCCAACAUCCAAUGGUUUCGCGACACUUGGCUCUUUAGGGUUUUGAUCUCAUCCUCUUGUCUUCCAAUGGUUAGUCUAUCUAGCUGACCUCUAAUUAUCCCCUAACACCUUGUAAACUAAUGUUCCUUUAUGCAAGAUUUCACCUAGUAGUCAAAAAUUUACCGCACUAACCGUACUAGCAAGUCCCACGUCCAUAAUGCACUUCAAAUUUAACGUGUACUAAUUUAUACCAAGAAAAUGAUUUUAAAACUUCACUCACUUAUAAAAAUAUCAAGGAAAUUAAGGCAAUAAUUUAAAGUAAAGAAAAUGCACUCAAAGAAAUAAAUAAAUAUAACCUAAUUUUCCAGGGUCUCAUAGUUUGUGCUUGAUGAUUUCUUUUGUGGAUAAAUACAGGACUUCGAACAAUUUCCUCUCGUUUGCAAUGGACGACCCUUUAUCGUUGUUAGCUGCUUCAGAACUAAAACAACGUAUUGCAGUAAAAAGGUCCUCUCCUAGAGGUGACGGUGAUCUUUAUGCAUUUAUGAAUGGUGAAAUUAAAAAGAAGUUGAAGAUUAUACAACCAAAUAUUAUGUAAGUUUUUCUUCUUAGAAAAAUUUCAGACUUCUUCUGAGUUCAUCACUUAAUUGUCAUUCAACGACUAAUAAUGGAAUCAACAGAUGGGGAGGGCAAUCCGGUCCUAUUUUUGAAGGCCUGAAAGGUGAUUUCAUGAGGGCAAGGAUUAGUGAGGUAACUAAAUCAGCUUUUUUUUGUUAGUAGUUAAUUAUAAAAGUUUAAGAACUUCAGACGUUUUGGUUUGAACUAUACCAAGAAUGUUUAUUGACUUUCUGGAUUAGCAUUUUUUUACACAUCUCAAUUGAGAUGAGACUAGCUUAUCCAAUUAUAUGCAGUCAAUUCUAAAGCAUUUUUUCAACUACUUUUUUACAGGUAGAUGAACUUCUAACAAAAGGAGUAAAUGUGACUAUCUACAAUGGACAAGUAAGAUUAUGCAACUCUAAGCAAAAGAAAUCUAAAUCUUUAUGCUUAGAAUGUUCUCCAAAAAAAUUUGAAAAAAAAUACUAUUUUAAGAUUCAUGGAAGAAUGGAUAUUUGUAGAUAUCCAAGAAAAACUUCAUAGGACAUCGUAGAUUAUUGGCUGCAAUACAACAGCGUGAAUAAUGGAACAAAAUAAUGGUAGUCAAGUUGGAUGGGAUUUUGAAGCAGUCGUAAUUAGUAUAAAUUUGAUACACUGACAUGGUCUUAAUCAAGUUGAAACAUUUUUUUUGUGGUCACAAAAAAUUGUGACUUCUAGUAGAUAAACUUGACCUGGGAUUUUUUAUUAUCCACGCUAUGAAUUUCACUCUCUCCUUGUAUUUUCUUUUUGGCUAAAUAGUUCAAUCAAAGUGUUAUUUUACUAUUGCUUGUAGUUUGAUCUCAUGUGUGCAACCAAGAGAACAAACGCAUGGCUCGAAAAGCUCAAGUAAGAAAAAAGAAUCCCACAAGUAAAUAAGCACCUAAAUCACCUCCUAAGAAGAAAAAUGUACAAAAUAAAAACACCCUAUUACCCUAAUCAAUAAUCUUUUGCCUAUUUUAAUAGGUGGAAUAGGAUCAAAGAUUUCUUGAACAAGGAUAGAACGCCUCUCUAUUGUGAAGGUGAUAGGAGUGUAAAGGCUUUCACCAAAUCAUACAGAAAUUUACAUUUCUGCUGGAUUCUUAAUGACGGCACUACAACAAAAAUGGCUUUUCUUGACACGUGUAUAAGGACACUUGUUGGUUUGUGUCAUUAUAGCACUUCUAUCAUGACAUUUGUUAUCAAAUCAAUAAAAAAUACUUUAAUUUUUUUUAUUUUAUCUGAUAUAAAAAUAAUAAUGUGUCUUUAGAUUCCCUAUCAUGACACUUGAGAAAAUGUGAGAUACACCAAAAAAAUUAAAACAUAAAACGAUGUCGUUUGAUUUUGGCGGAAGAUUCCUUUGCCAAAACACUUAGUGAAAUCUCAAAAUUUCAUUUUGCCGGCCAGCAAAAUUUUGGCUCUUCUCAUCUCUCUCGGCAAACUAUCUCUCAAAGCUCUCUGCCAAAAUUUUCCUUUCCCCACAAAGUUUUUUCUGCUGAAUCUCUCUGCAAUCAAACUACCUUUGCUUCCCUAUUGAAGGUAUGUAAUUGCAUGGUUACUUUUUGCCCUAAAUUGUACAAUUUUCUGAUUUCCUGCUCCUGCUCUGUAAACCAAUUGAUGUGAAAAUAAUUAACUCCUGUAAGCUGCAAUAAGAUUCUGUGGUAUGCUAGUUCAAGUUCGAUACUGAUUUUUCUUCUAAAAGUUGCUUCAUUCUCAAUCUUGUUUUCAUGAUUUUCUGUUUCGGCUGACAGGUAAGAACUAUAUAUUAGUUGGCAUGGUUCACAAGCCCAAUUAAUUAUAAUAGAUGUAGAGCUAAUCAAAGAAUUACUAACCAACAGAGAAGGCGCUUACCAGAAAAUGGAUAUGGAAGGCAUUGCAAAGAAAUUAUCAAAUUAAUAGGUGAGCCGCUUAUAACAAAUGAGGGGAAAAAAUGGGCAAAAGUACACAAACUGGCUAACCACUCAUUCCUUGCAGAGAGCCUAAAGGUAAGCCUUCUUCUAUGUUAAUCACAUCACGAGUCAAGAAUAAGAAAGUUCGUUGUCCCAUAUAUGAAAAUGGGAAGUGAAUUUGGCAUAUAAUAUUGCUCGAGUAAUUCCCUAUACAUGAUUUGCUUCUCAUAAGAAUAACCUUUUGCACAGAGCAAGGUACCAGAAAUGAUUGCUAGUGUCGAGGCGUUGCUGGAAAGCAAAGGUAUCAGCUCUCGUCUUAUGCCAAAAAAGCUCCUCUUGCCCCCUGCCCUGUACCCCGGCUUCUCCCACAUAAGUGACCACUACCCUUUAUACUGGAUUUGUCGUCCAUAACCUGUUCGAUAAAAUGUCAACCUUCUUUCCUUUGGUACUGAUAUUAAUUUACUCAAUAAUAUAUAAACUAAUAGAAUUAUUGUAAUUAAGAUGCUUUAUCCUCUUUCAUAUCUGUGAGCGCAUUUGAUGUGUUUCUGUUGCUUUGACAUAUGCUUGUUUAUUGCUGAUCUCUUUCUUCAGUCUGUAAUUAAGAAGAAGUAUGGCCAAGAUGCAACAAAUGUUGGUGAUGAGGGUGACAUUGCUCUAAUAUCCAGGUUAGUUCAUGGCAUUUUGCUAAUAUGCUUCCUGUUCAUUGUUCAAUUCGGUUGUCAUAUGUUUUACAACUUUGUGACUUUGACAUUUCAGGAGAACAAGGAAGGUCUUGAAUUGCUUAAAACAGCUAUUGCUAAAGCUGGUUACACUGGUAAAGUAAGUAUUGGAAUGGAUGUUUAUACUGGUUACACUGUUCUUGAAUGCUAUGGGUAUAUGUUUUGCUGGUGAAAAUGGAGCAGAUGUCAAAGGCGGAUGUUUGUAUGGAAGCAGGCUGCAUCUAAGCUUAGGGGUGUACAAGUUUUUACUUACACAGAGCUUGAGAUUGCAACAAACAAAUUUAGUGCAGCAAAUGUGAUAGGAAAUGGAGGGUAUGGGGUAGUGUAUAGAGGGAUUUUGAGUGAUGGCACUGUGGCUGCAAUUAAGAUGUUGCACAGAGAAGGGAAACAAUGAGGAACGUGCCUUUCGGUUAGAGGUUAGUGGACUUCAUUUAUUGCUAGUUUUCAUAUUAUCCAAUUUUUUAAGCUACAUAAGCUUGUCAAUUAAACUCAUCUGUACACUCAAUUGAAGAUUUUUUUUUAUUUUUUGGUAUUUUCCCCUCUUUGGCUAAAUACAUUGGGGAAUAAAGGGAAGUGGUGAGUGAGAAUGGAAGUGAGAUAUUUGCCUAAAAAAUUAAUGGUACUUCUGGCAUUGGUCCAGCCAUUGCUUUCUUGAACAUCCUAAUUGAACUUAUUUGAUGGGUGCUUGUCUGUGGUAUGGUUUAUUUCAACAAGUCUGUAUUGAAAUCAGUUUGAAGAGUUUGAAAUUGCUGCAGGUUGUGAUUGGGAUGGAUGUGGCUGCUUCUGAGUUUUAUGGUAAAGACAAGACUUAUGAUCUAAACUUCAAAGAAGAGGUAUUGCUUUUUCACAUUUUCUCCCCAGAUUGUUAUGUCAAACGUUCGAAUUCAUUGCUAAGCCAAAGGAUAAAAUUACAUCUAGAUUCAUAAAUUCUAGUCUUCUAAAGGGCGGUAAUUUCAAUCAUGACAUCUAUCUUUUUGGUCAUUCUUCUUCUUUAUUUAGUAUGUUUGCUGCUUUAGUAGUAUGUUUGGUGAUAGCAAGUAGAAAUUUCAGUGCAAUGAUGGCAACUGGAUCAGUGUGUUAUUCCAAAACCUUUUGAUAUACAAGAAAAUAUAACUUGUGUUAUCACCUUUGCUUUUGCCAGUUAAGUUUUGCAAACCUGCUUGGUACCAAAAUUUGGCUAUUCAGCAAUCAACUUUAUUUCGAAUGAAAUGAAUCCUGUUUGGUAUCGUUACUUUACAUUAGAACGUAAUUGCUAGGUGCUGAUAUCUUUAAUUUAUUUUUUUAUUUCUGGUCUUUCUUUGCAGAAUAAUGAUGGCUCACAAAAGAUAUCAGGUUAUGACUGAAGGCUCUCAUUUCAUUGGAAAGUUUGGAAGCUACUGCAAGUUCUUUCUACUUGCUAGGGAUGAGAAUAUUUUAGUUUGUGCACAAGAGAAUCUUUUAAGUUUGUGCACAUGAGAAUCUUUCAAGUUUGUAUUUGUUAGGGAUUUGUUAUGUUAGUACUUGUUACUGACUUUUAGUUCAACAAAUUAUAUUUGAGUAUUGACUUUUGCUUUAAGAUUACUAUAUGCAUUCUGUUCUUUGGGAUAAUUUUACAAGUCCUUUGGGUUUCUGAUUGACGGAAUGUAUAGCAGGGAGCACUACCUGCAGGUUGCUUCUAUAUAAAAAAAAAAAAGAAAAAAAAACUCCUGGCAGUUAAAAGUGUCAGCAUAGCUCAGUUAAAAAAACUCCUACUUGUUACUGACUAUAACUAUCCUGACACUUUCGAUUAUCAAGAAAAUGGAAUUUUGUUGGCAGAUGGGUUGCUAUAACAGCAUAGUUUUCCUGACACUUUGAAUGCUACGAGCCUAUCCCCACAUUGGAAGGGACGACACUCGUCCGAGAUGUGAGGAAAGGUAAAGUGUCAGGUUAGAUUAUUUAUACUGACACUUUUAAAUGCCGUUAAAGGUCAUUUUUGUUGUAGUGUUCUAAUGAAAAUUCUUUUACAAUGUCCUCAGUUCUAAGUUGAUUUGCUUUUUCCUUGGGUAUAAAGGGAUCCAAAUUGGUUGCUUGAGCCACCAAUUUUUCUUUCCCUUUGAGGAUGGCUAUAUAACAUGUCCUAACCACCUCAAGAUCUCCAUGAACCUCUGCUGUCCCACUGGAAGUCAGAAACUUCAUGCUCAAAUGUAAAGUUGAGGUAUUGGCUUUUAAAGAGUUAUGAGUAGAUUAGCCAAGGAACAUAUUGUAUGAUGAAGGUCCUUUAGCAACCACGAAAUUGACUGGAACAAUUCGAUAUCUAGGGACUUUUCCAUUAGUUACCAUUAGAGUAAUCAUCUUUCAGGUUUUAUAGGAGGGCUAAAAUAUCCUACCUAUGGCCUCCUUACUAGAGUAAAUUGCCUAUCUUUUAACUUAAGGUUCUUGAAAGUUUUGUAAUAUGAUACAUCUACUAUGCUUCCUGGAUCUAUAAACACUUAUCUGAAAUUAUUAGUGAUCACAUCUAGAUAAUUGGCUCUUGAUGGCUUGAUGCCAAUGAGACAAAAUCCUCAGGUCCAUUUAUGAUUUCUCAUAUAUGUUCAAUUCAUUGGGUAGAAUUAUCCUCUUCUAGUAGAGUUUGGUUAUUUUUUUGGGUUGAAUGACUAUUCUCACUAGUAGGUCCUCUAGCUAUUGCAUUGAUGACUCGAACUAGAUUUUGUGAAUCAAGGUCAAGUGAACGAUCUCGAGGUGAUCUCUGUUGAUCUCGUUUGUCGUUUUCUCCUUUAUCAUUUUGAUUGUUCGGACUAUAAUCUUUUCUUUCUCCCUAGGAAGCUUGGUUAUUUUGAACGUACUCUUUCAAGUUUCUCAUUUGAUCAACUCCUCUAUUUCUUUUUUUUAAUCCUUGCAUUUCUCAAUGUCGUGACUGAUAUCCCUAUGAAAGUACAAUAAAGGAUUUUAUUCCUUUAUUUUUGGAACCAGACAUCCUAGGAGACCUUCUUUCAAUAUCUUUUGCUUCCAUUACUGCCAAGAUUUGAGAUCUUGGUAUUGAUAAGGGCGUGAAAUUCUUUUCCUGAGAUGGACUCUUCCUUUUAGAAAGUUGGUCAAAAAUGUUCCUCUUGAUCUGCCCAACUUUAAGGUCAAUGGUUCCAUUCUUUCUUCAUCUGUCUUCAAAGUCUUUCUCAGAUUCUUGUUUAAGACGAGUAGCCUUCUCGGCAGUUCCAUCUACGUGAGCUCUAUUCAAUAGUUCUUCCAAUGUCAUAGGUGGUUUCUUGGCAAAUUUAUAAUAUAACUCAUUACUUCUCAAGCCAUUUAUAAAUGCUACCAUCAUCACCUUAUCAUCUUUAUCUCAGGUUUGGAGACUCAUUAUUAAAAUUAGUCAUAUAAUUCCUAAUAGAUUUAUCAUGCCUUUGUUUUAUCACCAUUAAUGUGCUGCAUUCUUGUAGUAAACUUUGGAAGAGACGAAUUGUGCUACAAAUUGCCUAGCUAGUUCAAGGAAAGACUUGACUAAUCUUAGUGGUAAUAGUGGAACCAAAGCUGAGCCCUUUCCUUCAAGAACAUAGGAAAGGUCUUGCAAUGAUUCUCAUCUAUAGUGCUUUGCAGUCAUAUAUGAGUAAGAAACACAAACAGGUGAUCCUCUAGAUUUGUAGAUGCAUCAUACAUAUCCAUGAAUUUUAAAUCUUUUUGGUGGAGGAUAUUCUUCAAUUUCCUUGACAAAGGGAGAAAACUAUGUAAAAAGAUCUGCAUAUUGAUUUGGCUGCAGGAUUAGAUCGAGUUCAUCCUGAAUUGGAUCCUUAGGCAUAUGGUAUUCCAAAUAACUUUUAUUAACCGAGGAUGAGAGCAAUGAGAGUAGUGCUUACUAGUUUUUGAGAUAAAAAUAUGCUUCCUAAAGGGAGAAUAAACCCAUUUCCUCUUAGGGGGAUGAUCAUCAUCAGAGCUAUUUUAGGACGACAAAGCUUGCCUUUCUAUCAUCUUUAUCAGAGCUUUUGAAUUUUACACCUCUUCUGCCUUAUUUUUCCUUUCACCAGGCUGACAAUAUCAUCAAAUAAAGGGAAAUUAUUUGGUACAAAAUUCAUAAUUUUCUCUUUCUUCUCCUCUAAAAUCUAAUAGUCAUUGUUACCCUAAGUUUGCCCAGGGAUGUCAUGAGGUUCUUUGGGGUAACUUUAAUUGGUAUUGCCUAUAGAUUACUUGGAGGCUGUCUUUGUCAUAAGGAAGUUAUAUUACUCCACUUCCCAUAGAGAGCGCAAAUUGUUGAAGCAGUAUUUCCUUCCACUGAGUUGGACUAGACAGGUAAGAAGGGAGCUCAAUCGCAUAAAGGUAGAACUCUCUAAGAAACAUACAAGGAAAGUACCAAUUCAUGAAGAUCCUCGGGGUCAAGUCUCUAAGGUCACUCUGAUUCUCAAGUCAUUUUUUGACUUGAGGAGAAGAAUAUCCUCCUAAUUAGGUGUUAGGUAUCCCUAUAUAUAGGUUUUCGUACAAGAGAGUGAUAAGAGAUUAAGACUAACAAGAUAAAGAGACAAAGAUUACCUCUUUUUGAUUAGUUGAAUAGACAUUAGUUCAUAUGAUGAUUUUCUUAAGAUUAGGAUAGUUAUUAUCACUAACCAACUCAGAUCACCCUUAUUUUAGGAAGUCAAAAACUUAUCCUACCCCUAAAGUCUUCAGUGUCUGAAAUGGAAAAGUCAGACGUUGUUGUUUCUCUUCUUAUGAUUCUACUAUUUCAUGUGGGAAUAGCAAUAGCUGCUGGAAGUCAAGAUGGAUCAGAAGCGUGAGGAUAUGUUCAAAUCAGGCCAAGUAUGUUUCUGAUGUUUUAAGUGCCCAUUACAUGUAUUACUUGUCAAUGUUGAUAUUGAGUUCUUGUGUAUGUUUCAAAGGCUCACAUGCUCUGGUGGUACUAUAGAAGUCCAAACAUGAUUCAAGAUCUCGAAAAGCCUUGGCCAAUUAUUCUUUGGCUGUAGAUAGGGCUACAAAUGAGCUAAAUCGAGUCAAAUGUUGAUUUAAUUUUAGCAAGUUCGAGGUUGAAUUCGAGUUCGACGAGCUCUCAAUGUAAAGGUCGAAGUCAAACUUGACCUCAAAUUUGAACCAAGUCGAGCUCGAUCUCGAGUUUAAAAAAUAAAAAAAAAAUUAUCUUAUUUUUAAAAGAAUGAAUAAAAUAAUAAUUUUUCUUAAUAAAUAACAAAAUAUUAUGGAUAUAUACAUGUAAUUUUAUUAUGUAAAUAAUAUAUAUAUAUAAUUGAGUCAACUCACGAGUUAACAAGUUGAUUAUCUUUGUAUUCAAGCUUGACUUAGUCAGUUCAAACUCGACUCAAGUUCAGUGUUGCCCGACCUCGAGUUGAAUAUUGAUUCGAGUUACUCGUGAUCAGUCAUGAGUGGCUCUACUUGUAUGCAGCCUUAGCUGCAAAGUAGACCUGUGAGUAUCAGAAUUCCCAUAGGGUUCCCUCAAAUUUCAAUCUUGAUUAUUUUUAUGAUAAAACAAUCUGUUUUUGUAGUGAAGGGAGCUUCAGGUGUGGGAAUUGGUAACUUUGAGGAGAUUGGGCCUCUAGAUGUUUUCCUAAAGCGAGGAAAUUCAACAUGGUUGCAGAAAGUUGAUCUCCUGUUUGUGUAGGUAAUGGUUGGUACAUUAAUGUUAGUGAAUUAUCUCAUUAAUAUGCAGCUUUUUCAAAAAUCAAUAUGAGAUUUUCCUGGAGGGGUUUUUUGUAUUUUCUUACCUGAUUUUGUUUUCUAGUAAUUGUGCAUAGAAUUAUCUAGUUGGGAUGGCCAUAGUUUUGUGGAAGACACGGAAGACACCACAUUGUUUGUGAAAAGUGAUUUUGAGGCAACAACUGACGAAACUACAUUCUUGAUCGAAUUUUUCAAAGGGAAUGAGAUCCUUUAGAAGAGUCCUCUGUACAUUAUAGAAGAGUUUUAUGGAGGCAAAUUUGCUAUUAAGGCUUUAUCUGCUUUAAAGGCUAUUAAAGCUAGAAAAUUGAAGCUAAAUCUUGGACUUAAAAAUUGAAUUUAGAGCCCUAAAAUUGAAUAUGGAGUACCUUUUUUCUUAAAUCCCAAAGUAUUGAGCUAUUACCUUUAUAAAUAUAAGUUGCAUUAAGGGAUAGUUGGAUCUCACUAGAAGAUUCUUCAGUUUGUAGUCAGUAUUUUUUUUCUUUACUUGUUCACUAGUGUCAUGAUUAGGGCAGCUGAAUUGAGUCUUAUAUUGAAAUGCAGUCUUCAUGGGUCCUCUUAUAAAAGAUGUCUCGUUGCUUGACAGCAAUGAUUUGAAGAAAUCAAACAGGUCUUCAAUGUUUAUGCUUUAAACUAGUAGUACAUAUUAGCAUAAUUCUCUAAUCUAAUCAAGCUCAAAGAUUUUGGUUCUCUAAUAAGUCUAUAUUUAAUGUAGGGUAGUUCUUCAAAUUAAGAAGCAAAUUGCAGCAGGUAAGUUUGCAGAGGCCACAGAAACAUGGAAGGAAUUGAUAGCAGUCAUUAGCCAUUAUAGUAAUAAUAUGGUAUGAAUUCUUUUGACUUUUUUCCUAGCCUAUCUAAACUUAAAGGUAAUCACAAUAAAUUGGUAAAUUUAUGCUUGCCGAUUUCAUUUGUGUAUAAAUAGAGUAUUUCUACAAUUUCCUCUCAAUUUUACAUGAGGAUGAGCCUUUAUCAUUAUCAGCUGAAUCCAAACUAAAACACAAAAUUGCAGUAAGAAGGUACUCAGUAUACCCUCAAAGAUUGAGGUGCCCUUCCGAAGGUGAUGGUAAUGAUGAUAAUGUUACCUAGAUGAAUGGUUAUAUUAGAAAGAAGUUAAGGACUAUAUCACUGAAUGUCACGUGAGUUUUUCUCCUUAGAAAAUUUUUUACUUCUCAGAGUUGGAGAAGUAAUAAUGGCUAGAACAGAUGGGAAUUUUCAACUUGUUGCUAGAGCCAUCCAAGGUGAUUUCAUUAGGACAUGGAUUAGGGAGGCAAAUAUAUCAGCUUUUGUGUUUUAGUUGAGAACGAAAAGUCGGGAAGUUUUCAGGAACUAUAUCAGUUUGUAAUUUUGAAUUAUACCAAAAAUGAUUUUUUUUCCUCAUUUGAUCAGCAUUCUUCAAUCACAUCUCAAUUGAGAUAAGACCAGCUUAUCCAAUUACAUGCAGUAAAUUCUCAAGCAUUUGUUCAACUACUUUUUGCAGGUCGAUGAACUUUGAGCAAAUGGAGUAAAUGUUAAUAUCUAAAAUGGACAAGCACAAUUCUGCAAUGGUUUAAGAAAUAUAGAGCAGGAAUGAUGCUUUAUUUUCCAUGCUAUCAAUUUGACUUUCUUUAGUUUGAUUAGAAUGUUAUUUAUUGUUGCUGAUAGCUUCAUCUCAUCUGUCCAACCAACGUAUCCAAUGCCCACAUGGGUUGAAAAGCUCAAGUAGGAAUUAAUUAAUCCCACAAGUAAUUGAGAACCCAAAUCCCUCUUUCUAAGAAAAACACUCUCUUAUCAAAAUCAGUAACUUUUUUCCUAUUUCAUUGGUGGGAUGGGAUCACAUUUUUCUUGAACAUGGAUAGAACUCCUGCGUAUUUUGAAGAUGACAAAGAGUAUAAAGGGUUUCACCAAAUCAUACAGAAAUUUACAUUUCUACUGGAUUCUUAAUGCUGGCCACUUUGUAGGUCAACUAACUAUUGUCAUAUUUCUGCUGUAUUUGUCUCUGUUGGUCUAAAAUUACUAUGACUCUUGCCUACUAGAGGCAAGGUUGAGAAGACAACACAUCCAAUAGUUUUAGUACGUCAUAGCCAAUCUCCUAAUUUUGGAAGGCUAAAGUUUUGCACAAUUUUAUCAUGAAUGUUGAAGAAAAUGUAAGGUUUGCUUGGCAUCCAUGCUUUUUGCUAGUUUAUUUUGGACAAAUUUUUUCCCCAACUUUAAGUUACACUUUUAAAAAUAGGGUUAUUAUCACUUUAAUGGAGUUUGUUAAUUCAAUUAAAAAGACAUGUUUAGCCCUUAAAAUUAUUAUCAUUUUCCUUUCAUAAACUAUAGCUUUAUUAUCAAUUUACCCCCUAGAAUUAUUUUUUAGACAAUUUAUCCCACAAUUAAACCAAUUUAGUGAGUUAAAAAACUUUAGAAAAAAAGUAUUCUCCUCUUUAAAUAAUAAAAAUAAUAAAAAAUUUAGAGUGGUUGUUCUCUUUUUUAGUAUCAAGAGAAAAAGUCAAAGUAUUAAUCUCUUUCUUCUUGGUAAUCUUAUUAAUACUAAAAAAAAUAGAAAGGUUGGGAAAAGAGAGAGAGAGAGAGAGAGAGAGAGAGAGAGAGAAAGAGCUCAAUUCUUAUUUUAAAAAAAUACAAAUAAGAAAGAAUUCAAUAUUUUUAUUUUUUUUAAAGUUACUUUACUUUUUUGUUUACUAUCCAAUUCUAAUCCUAAUCUCGGUGAUGUUAAAGUAAUACGAUAAUAUUAGAUUCUUUCUUAUUUUUUUCUUUGCAAAAUCUAAUUUUUUCUGUCUCCUUUUCUCCUAUCUCUUUUUCUUUUCUUAGUAUUAAUAAGUAUGAAAAAAGAAAUUUGAAAAAAAUCAUUUUUUAUGUUUUUGGAACUCUUAGAGUGAGAAAAAAAGGACGAAUAAUCAUUCCAAUUUUUUUUUAAUUAUAUAUAGAAAGAAUAGAUACAUUAAUAUUUUUUUGAACAUACUAUUGUGGCUAAUAAUGGAGUAAAAUGCCUAGAAAAUAUUGUUAGGAAGUAAAGUGAUUGUAUCACUGUAAUUUAAAGGGGUGAAAUGAUAAUGAUAAUGUAGUAAUGCUAAUAAAUAAAAGGGUAUUUUUAUCCAAAAUUUGUUAACAUGUUGAGUUGAACUACUUAUGGGGGUGGAAUGAUUAAAAGAUAAUGUUAGAAAAUAAAUUGAUAGUAGUGAUAUAGUUUAAGGGAGUAAAGUGAUAAUAAUCCUUAAAAAUACUCCAAAGUUUUUAAAAUAUACACCCAAAAUACCCCAAAGCAUACAAAAAAGUCUUUUCCUUCUUUCCUUUCUUCCCCCCACCUCAACCUGCUAUCACCACCAUCGACCACCUCAGCCUCUCCUUUUUUUUUAAUUCUCUCAUUCUCUCUCCCUCACCUCCUCCCCCUCACUUGUCCUCUCCUAGUCUCGGGAAGGGGGGAGGGGGAUGGGGUCAGGGAGAGGAGGGAGAGAGAGUGGCAGGGGAAAGGGAGAGGGAAGGUGAGGGUGGCGGUUGCACUAGGGAGGGUGGGAGAAGGAGAGCGAUGGUGGUGUGGGGAAGGAAGAAGAAAGAGAAACAAAAGGAAAAAAAAAAGAAAGAAAAGGAAAAGAAAAAAAAGAAAGUUUUUAAUUUUUCAAACUCUCAAAUAUACAAAGUUUUUUUACGAGUUCUACAUUAAGUUUUAUGAUAAAAUUUUAUAUAGACACCACAAAAUACACCAUCCAGGUGAACCCAUUGUUUUUCUUGAUCCUUCCCAUUGAAAUGGUUAUUCUCAUUUUUGUGCAUCUAAAUAUAUUUGUCAUAUUCAAAAAGUAAGAACAUAAUGUUUACUCUUUUUAUGCUCCAAAUCAUUGUCUUUUUGUGGAAGACAUGCAUGUCGUUCCAUUCAGAUGUUCAAUUCGAGAGCAUAAACUUCGAAAAAGUUUAGCUAAUUGUCUCUACCAAAAAGCAACAAAACACUAGCACGAAGUAAUUGAUGGGCUUGUAUGGAUGGAAUUUAUAUAUGAAGAUAGCAAGAUGUGUAACAUGUGCAUCUAAUACAAGAAUUAAAUGAAUUUAAGAGGUAAUAAGACACCACAUCACUACUACUGGAUAGUCAAACUGGUUUUGCUUUACCACGCACUAACAGAUGUCUGCCAUUUACUGGUAAAUUUACUAAUCAAGAAUGGAACAUGAAUUUUAAAGAAGAAAGAAAGCUAUGGAAGUCAAAAUUUCACGCACCAUUUAUUUAUUGAAGUUAUUGACAGAUAUCAGCAGUUUCGAUCAAAGGAAAUUAAGAUCAUAUGCUGAACGAAUUCUUGCAAAAUUAAUGUAUGUUAGGUCUUGUCCUAGAAAAUUGAACAAGAAGAACAAAAAGACUCUUGACAACCCAACAAAGGCAACUGCACAACAAAUAAAUCAAACAGAGAGAUAUCAAAAUUUAAGUGGUUCAAUAGAAUUGGCCUACAUCCACGGGUGAAAGAGAAACAUAAUAUUACUACAAACUAGAGAGUACAAAAGAGAGAAAGUACAAAAUCAUAGAAAAUCAUUCUAAAAUCUAAAGGCACCUAAAACUAAAAAUACAAAAGAGACUAAAUAGCACAAAAAAGUUUAAUGGUCCAAAGGUUCACUAACUUGCUCUUUUAGUUUGACGCAUAAACAAAAUCUCUCUCGACUUGGGGCAUGAGACCCCAAAAAACUUCUCUUGAAUGGAGCCUUGAAACUUGGAUUGGUACGCUUAAUAUAUUUUAACUCAUUAAGUCCAUUGUAUUUAGAACCACCAAGAGAGAGAUUUCUUUGUAAAUUUUUUGAUAAGGGAUACAAAGAUAAACUCAACAAAUCUCCACCUUGGCAUGUAUCCAACAUCAACAAAUGACAGACAAGUGGCAAAUAUGCUACACUUCCCCACAAAAGUUCCUACAGAACCCAAUGAGUCACAAAAAUCCCAAAAGAUCCCAACGCACCAUCAAAAAAUCAAAAUACAAAAGACUCAACGGAUUCCAACUGGCAAAACACGCAAAGGAUUCAACAGAUCCCAAAGGGUUAAAAACAUGAAUAUGAUAAUUUUGCUUUUCAAGUUCACUAUGUAGGACGACUCCCAAAUUGUCCUCUCUCGUGCUCAGGAAAGACCAAUUUUUUUUUUAUCAUAGAAAAAAAGUGGGAAUAUGAUAUGGUGACAAUUGAGAUGGCAUCUAGUAGGGCUCGUGGUCAAUUUGGUGGUGGAAGUGCAUCACCAAACUCGAAAAGUUGCUUUCAUUCUUGCUGAAUAACUGAACAUCAAUCUUUCCAAGAUUAGAAACUCAAUUUCCUCACGUUUGCUGCUACUGGAAUUUUAAUUUUCUUUGCAUUUGUUGCUGCUGAAAAUUGGGCUUCGCCAAACUUUAGUCGUUGGUGUUUGAAUUCAUUAGUGUAGCCUUGCACCUCAAUUGUUUGUCAAUUUGCCUCAACGAAUUUUAUGCCAAAAUAGACAUCAGCUCUACGUCCCUACUUGCCGGAGAUGGCGGCCUGUGGGCCGUCUGACAAGCUUCCGGACAGUGGGACUUCAGUUUUGAGGUCCUUUGCAUCAGUACUAGCAGAUGGUACGAAACAAACUGAUGCCUUAGCCUUGGGAGAGGUCUCAACCUUUAGAGGAGAGCCAGCCUUGCGCAUCUCUCGCAGGGAAAUAGAGCAGCUUUCUGUUCCAUUUCAGAACUCUUUGGUGGGGCGCUUCUUGUUCAACAGACCACCCAUGGAAGUUAUUAGGAAAUUCUUUCUUUCGCUGGGUUUACGAGGUGCUGUAAGGUUGGGCUCCUUGACCAGAAACAUGUUCUGAUCCGUCCGGUGUUGGAGGAAGACUACACCCGUCUUUUUGCACGUAGAAUCUGGUAUGUUAGCAGCUCGCCAAUGUCAAUUUCCAAGUGGUCGCUACAUAAGCUUGUCAAUUAAACUCAUCUGUACACUCAAUUGAAGAUUUUUUUUUGUUUUUUGGUAUUUUCCCCUCUUUGGCUAAAUACAUUGGGGAAUAAAGGGAAGUGGUGAGUGAGAAUGGAAGUGAGAUAUUUGCCUAAAAAAUUAAUGGUACUUCUGGCAUUGGUCCAGCCAUUGCUUUCUUGAACAUCCUAAUUGAACUUAUUUGAUGGGUGCUUGUCUGUGGUAUGGUUUAUUUCAACAAGUCUGUAUUGAAAUCAGUUUGAAGAGUUUGAAAUUGCUGCAGGUUGUGAUUGGGAUGGAUGUGGCUGCUUCUGAGUUUUCUGGUAAAGACAAGACUUAUGAUCUAAACUUCAAAGAAGAGGUAUUGUUUUUUCACAUUUUCUCUCCAGAUUGUUAUGUCAAACGUUCGAAUUCAUUGCUAAGCCAAAGGAUAAAAUUACAUCUAGAUUCAUAAAUUCUAGUCUUCUAAAGGGGGGUAAUUUCAAUCAUGACAUCUAUCUUUUUGGUCAUUCUUCUUCUUUAUUUAGUAUGUUUGCUGCUUUAGUAGUAUGUUUGGUGAUAGCAAGUAGAAAUUUCAGUGCAAUGAUGGCAACUGGAUCAGUGUGUUAUUCCAAAACCUUUUGAUAUACAAGAAAAUAUAACUUGCGUUAUCACCUUUGCUUUUGCCAGUUAAGUUUUGCAAACCUGCUUGGUACCAAAAUUUGGCUAUUCAGCAAUCAACUUUAUUUCGAAUGAAAUGAAUCCUGUUUGGUAUCGUUACUUUACAUUAGAACAUAAUUACUAGGUGCUGAUAUCUUUAAUUUAUUUUUUUAUUUCUGGUCUUUCUUUGCAGAAUAAUGAUGGCUCACAAAAGAUAUCAGGUUAUGACUGAAGGCUCUCAUUUCAUUGGAAAGUUUGGAAGCUACUGCAAGUUCUUUCUACUUGCUAGGGAUGAGAAUAUUUUAGUUUGUGCACAAGAGAAUCUUUUAAGUUUGUGCACAUGAGAAUCUUUCAAGUUUGUAUUUGUUAGGGAUUUGUUAUGUUAGUACUUGUUACUGACUUUUAGUUCAACAAAUUAUAUUUGAGUAUUGACUUUUGCUUUUAGAUUACUAUAUGGAUUCUGUUCUUUGGGAUAAUUUUACAAGUCCUUUGGGUUUCUGAUUGACGGAAUGUAUUGCAGGGAGCACUACCUGCAGGUUGCUUCUAUAUAAAAAAAAAAGAACAAAAAACUCCUGGCAGUUAAAAGUGUCAGCAUAGAAUUCGAUAUUCUAAUGUUGUACUAUACCUAUCCUGACACUUUCAAUUAUCAAGAAAAGGGAUUUUUGUUGGCAGAUGGGAUGUUAUAAUAGCAUAGUUUUCCUGACAUGUUGAAUAGUAUGAGUCAAUCCCCACAUUGGAAGGGACAACACUCGCCCUAGGUGUGAGGAUAGAUAAAGUGUCAGGUUAGAUUAUCUAUACUGACGCUUUUAAAUGCCGUUAAAGGCCAUUUUUGUUGUAGUGCGGCCACUUUGUAAGCCAACUAACUAUUGUCAUAUUCUGCUGUAUUUCUUUUAUUGGUCUAAAUUACUGUCACUCUUGCCUACUUGGCAAGAUUAAGAAGACAAGGCACACUAUUAUCCCAGAAUUGGAAUAGAUAUGAUUGAGUUACGUCACAGUUAGGCAUGGUUAUUGUACUUUUUUCAUAAUUUAGUGUAUAUUUAUUGACAUGAUUAUAUUUAUGUGUUGAAUUGAUGUAUAUGAAUAAAUUUUGAAUACAACAAAGUUAUAUAAAAGUAUACCAUAUUAUGGAGAAAGUACAAAAUCGGACAAUUGCACCAAAAUUUCAAUAGCACUUGUCCCUGGUCCCUAUUAUCCCAAUAGUUUUCACAAUUUGAUCGAUGUCUAAGAAACCACCCAUGUAAAAGAAAAAAUAAUACUUCCUUCAUUCUAUUGGAAAUGUCACUUCCCAUUUUUUUCACAGCCCAAAAUAUUUGUCAAGUCCAAAAAGUUAAAACAUAAUUUUUGCUUUUUUUUUCUACUUUUAUUCAUUAUCUUUUUGUGGAAGAUGUUGCCAAUUCAGGUUUUACUUCGGGAGAAUAAAGUUGAGAAAGUUUAAACAAUUAUCAGUAUCAGACCACUUUUAUUGAAAGUUGGAUUGCCAAAAAGUGACAAAAGUAGUAAUUGCCAGACUUAUAUUGGAACUUUAUAUGAUGAUACAAAGAUGAAAUUGGUCCUGCUGCCAAAGCAAUAACUGCCAAGCUAUUUUUCAAAAAAAAAAAACACCAAACUAUGGUAGAUUACGCCUGGCAUUUAUUGGUAAAUCUACCAGACCCUUAUGGAAUACUAGACGUUUAAGAACAAAAGAAAAUUAUGGGACAUCUUUGUGAUAGAAAUUUUCCGCAUGAAUUAUUUCUUGAAAUUAUUUAUUGGUUACAGACAUGAGAAUGGCUACCAAAAUGGACAUUGAGAUUUACUUUGAAUAUGUUCUUGCUAAAUGAAUAUAAAUAUAUAUAUAUGUUGGAUUUGUGGGCCAGCUUAUUUAUGGGACAAACUACAAAAACAAACCUUAGGAUUCCAUUCUUGUGAAGAAGGAAAAAAGUCAGCCAUCACUUUUGCCUUUGGAGGAAAAACGAAGAGAGAGAAAGUGUGAAGAAGCUAGAGAAAGAGAAACUUCAAAGUCUUGAUUGGAGGGUGAUUCAAAAUCCAAUUGAGAUGAAAUUUUACACACGCGAUCCUCUCAUCAAGCCCUACUCAUCUACCUAUUCAGAUUUUGGAUUUUCUCUUUGUUUGGUAAUACUUUUUCAAACUCACUUCUUUGACAAUUGUAGUUUUUGGGAGUGAUUUUGUAGCGAUUUGACUUGAUUGAUAUUGGCAAUAUUAUUGUCAUCUAGAUGUUUCAAAUAGACCUGUGUAUUCCCAUUAUUAUGAUAGUGAAGAUUUUUGACUGGAUUAGGUCCCGUGAUUUUUUUCAAUUUGAAUUUUUCACGUAAAAAUCUUGGUGUUCUGUGUCUUUUAUUUUUCUUGCAUUCUAUUUUUACUGUUGGCAUCGUUGCUUGGUGAUUUGAUUUAUUCCUAUUUUAAUUGGUACUUGGGAAAAGAAAAAUUUAUUCUACGCUAAUUCUAAUAUUGUGUGCCUGUACCGGUACUCCUUUCCCAAAAAAGAGUAUCAGAGCAGUCAGGUUAGGUUGCUUUUUCAUACUAGUUAAAAAUGGAUGAUUCAAAUAGUGGUUGCAUGACAAAAUUGGAUUCUAAUAAUUAUUCGAUUUGAAAGUCUAGAAUGAAAAGCUACCUGUAUUGAAGAGAUUUGUUUGAAUCUGUUUUAUGGUAUAAGGGUAGACCAAGUGAUAUGAGUGAUAAAAAAUGGGAUGUUAUGCACAGAAAAAUUGUUGGUAAUAUUAGAAAAUGAAUUAGUCAGAGUAUAUGCUAAUGACACCAGAACUGAUAUAUUAUGAAAAAAGCUUGAGAGUAUGUAUGAACGGAAGACCAGUUUGAACAAGGCUAGUUGUCUGAAGCAGAUUACUCGGAUGAGAUAUAAAGAUGGGAAAUAUAUGACUGAAUAUCUGAAUAAUUUUCAGGAAUUGAUAAACCAGACAACUACGUUAAAUUCGAAUUUGGAUGAUGAAGUGUAGGCUCUAUUAUUAUUCAGUUCACUAUCGAAUAGUUGAAAAAUCAUGGUGGUCUCUAACAGCAAUUCAGUUCCGAAUGAUGUGUUGACCAUGGCUAUUGCAAAGGAGGCCAUGAUGAAUGAAGUGUUCAGGAGGAAGGAACGAGAAAUUAUCUAUGAGUCACAGGCCCUGAUGACAGAAAAAAAAGGAAAGAAGAGGGAGGAGCAAAAGUAGAGGACUCUACAAUAGGAAUGACAAAUCCAGAUGCAAGUUUGAGUCACGAAAAAAUUUGCAUGCAAAUAUUGUAAAAAAAAUGGGCAUUAUAUGAAGGAAUGCAAAAUUUUAAAAUGGGAACAAGAUGAGAAAAAGGGUAAGAGGAAAGAAAAAGGUGAUAAAGAGACUACAACAGUUGUGGUAGCUCAUAAUGAUAUGUUUGUAUUCUGUGAUGAUGGUCAGGUGAAUAUUAUUCAUUAUGAUAGUGAUAGGGUAGUUGAUUCGAGUGCAUCCUACCAUAUUACUGCUCAUAGGCAUUUCUUCUCAAUUUACACCGAAGAAGAUUUUGGAUACAUUAGGAUAGGAAAUGAGGUCUCAUUCAAAGUUAUUGACACGGAAAACAUAUAUUUGGAUACAGAUGUCGGGUGUCAGCUGAUAUUAAGAAAUGCUUGACAUGUCUAUGAUAUUCGUCUUAAUCUUAUUUCUACAAGAAAACUUGACGAUGAGGGUUAUCAUAACUUGCAAGGUGGAUGCAAAUGAAAACUCAACAAAGAAAAUCUUGUUAUUGCUAGAGGAAAGAAGCAGAGUACCCUCUACUUGAUGCAAGCCAAGUUGGGGAAGGGAGAAGUGAAUGCAAUUCGUGAUUCAUCAAUUGACCUUUGGCAUAGGCGACUUGGACACAUUGGUGAAAAGGAAAUUCAGACACUUGUUCGCAAAUAGUUUCUACUUGAAGUUACAGGUAAUGUACUUAAACCUUGUGUUGAUUGCAUUUAUGGAAAACAACACAGAGUUGCAUUUUAAAAUUUUUCUCGAAGUAGAAAACUGAAUCCGUUAGAAUUGGUGCACACUGAUAUUUACUAUAUGAAAGAUAAGUCUCUUGAUGGUGUUGUUUAUUUUAUAAGUUUUAUUGAUAACUUUGCUAGAAAGGUUUGGUGUUUUGUUUUGAAAUCUAAAAAUCAGGUUUUGGAUGUAUUUAAAGAUUUUCAUAACAAAAUUGAAAGAGAAACUAGUAAGCAGUUAAAGUGUGUGCGUACUGAUAAUGGUGGUGAGUACAGAGGACCAUUUGAAAUCUAUCACAAGUUCCGUGAGAUUAGAUUAGAGAAAACUAUACCAAAAACUCCUCAAGAGAAUGGAGUAGCAGAGAGGAUGAAUAGAUCCAUUACUGAGCGGAUUAGAUGUAUGCUCUCUAAUUCUAAGUUGCCAAAAUCCUUUUGGAGUGAGGCAAUGAGGACUGCAGUUGAUUUGAUUAAUCUUUCUCCAUUAGUUUCUCUAGAUGAUGAUAUCCCAGAGAAAAUAUGGACGGGAAAAGAUAUAUCCUUCAAGCAUUUGAGAGUUUUUGGUUGCAGGACAUUUGUUCAUAUUCCUAAAAAUGAGAGGUCAAAACUUGGUGUAAAAUCAAAGUAGUGUAUUUUUUUGAGUUAUGGACAUGAAGAUUUUGGCUAUAGGUUGUAUAAUCUUGAUAAGAAGGUGAUUAGGAGCAAAGAUAUUGUUUUCUUUAAAGAUCAAACUAUUGAAGACAUUGAUAAAGGUGACAAUCCAAAAUCCUCAUAUGACAUUCCUGCUAGUUCAAAUCUAGAUCCAAAUCUAGUUCUAGUACCUACUGAUUUUAAUCAAUGGGGAGUUGAGACAGAGUAGAAAGAGGAUGUUGAUGAUGGUAAAAUCCUGCUGCUAAUGAACCUGAGCAUGAGGCGCCACCUACUCCACCACCUCCACCACAAGAUGAGUUUAGGAGAUCUACUAGAGAGAGGAGACCUUCUAACAGAUAUAAUCCCCAUGAAUAUGUGUUAUUGACAGAUAGAGGAGAGCCAAAGUCCUACUGUGAGGCUCUAGAGCAUGAGAACAAAGAAGAUUGGUUGCGAGUCAUGCAAGAGGAGAUGGUGUCCCUGCAUGAGAAUCACACUUAUAAGUUAGUGAUACUGCCUAAGGACAAGAGAGUUCUGAAAAACAAAUAGAUCUACAAGUUGACGAUUCAAGAGUAUAGCUCACAAGCAAAGUACAAAGAAAUAUUGGUUGUGAAGGGAUUUAGUCAAAAAAAGGGUAUAGAUUUUGAAAAAACUUUCUCUCCUGUUGUAAAGAUGUCAUCAAUUCAAAUUGUUCUGGGUAUUGCAGCCAAUUUAAAUUUAGAGAUUGAAUAAUUUGAUGUAAAGACAGCCUUCCUGCAUGGUGAUUUGGAAGAGGAAAUCUACAUGGAACAGCCAGAGGUGUUUAAAGAAAGUGGAAAGGAAAAUCUUAUAUGUCGUCUCAAGAACAGCUUGUAUAGUCUAUAACAGACACGAGACAAUGAUACAAGAAGUUUGAUUCCUUCAUGAUAGACCACAAGUACCACAGGACUACAUUUGAUCACUGUAUUUAUGUGAAAAAUUUUUCAGAUAGUGAUUUUAUUAUUCUCUUGUUGUAUGUUGAUGACAUGUUGAUUGUUGGCCAUGAUACUAUAAAAAUUGAUAGGUUGAAAAAGGAGUUAAGUAAAUCCUUUGAAAUGAAGGAUUUGGGUCCGGUUAGACAGAUAUUGGAGAUGAAAAUCUCACGAGAUGGGCAAAAUGAAAAGUUUUGGUUGUCUCAAGAAAAUACAUUGAGAAAGUAUUCAACAAAUUUAACAUGAACAAGGCUAAGUAAGGCUCAACUCCACUUGCGGGUCAUUUUAAUUUGAACAUCAAGCAGUUGCUCAUGCAGUUGGAAUAGUCAGUCGGUAUCUCUCUAAUCCUAGUAAGGAGCAUUGGAAUGCUAUCAAAUAGAUUCUCAGAUAUCUCAAGAGAACUUCCAAAUUGUGUUUGUAUUUCAACAAUGGUAAAAUUAUGCUAGAUGGGUACAUCGAUGCAGAUGUGGCAAGUGAUAUUGAUAAUAGAAAAUCCACAUUUGGGUACUUGAUGAUUUUUGUAAGGGGAACAAUGUCAUGGCAAAAUAAAUUACAGAAAUGUAUUGCUCUUUCCAGUAUAGAGGCAAAGUAUAUCGCAACCACUAAAGUAUGCAAGAAGAAUUUUUGAUUGCAAAAAUUCCUUCAAGAGUUAGGUAUAAAACAAGAGAAGUAUAGUCUUUACUGUAACAGUAAGAGCGCUAUUCAUUUGUAUAAAAACUCUACAUUUCACUCUUGGUACAAACACAUUGAUGUGAGAUAUCAUUGGAUUCAGAAAAUAAUGGAUAACAAGUUGUUGACACUUGAGAAGAUUCAUACAAAUGAUAAUGGUGCUGACAUGUUGACCAAGGUAUUGCCUAAGGAGAAAAUCUUGUUUUUUAGAUAGGAAGUAGGUUUGACUAUACCCUCAAAUGAGUUGGAGAGGGAAAUUGUUGAAUUUUUGGGCCAAACCACAAAAACAAAUCGUAGGUUUUCAUUCUUGUGAAGAAAGAAAAAAGUUUACCGUCACUUUUGUCUUUGGAGAAAAAAUGAAGAGAGAAAGGGUGAAGAAACUAGAGAGAGAGAAACUUCAAGGUUUUGAUUGGAGGGUGAUUCAAAACCCAGUUGAGGUGAAAUUUUACACACAUGAUCCUCUCAUUAAACACUACUUAUCUACCUAUUCAGAUUUUAGAUUUCCUUUUCAUUUAGUAGCAUUUUUCCAAACCCACUUCUUUGACAGUUGUAGUUUUUGGGGGUGAUUUUGUAGUGAUUUGACUUUGUUGAUAUUGGUAAUAUUAUUAUCAUCUGAAUGUUUUAGAUAGACUUGUUUUUUUCCAUUAUUGUAAUAGUGGAGAUUUUUAAUUGGACUAGGUCGCCUGAUUUUUCCCAAUUUGAGUUUUUCACGUAAAAAUCUUGGUGUCCUGUGCCUUUUAUUUUUCUUGCAUUCUAUUAUUACUAUUGGCAUCGUUGUUUAGUGAUUUGGUUUAUUCCUCUUUUAACUGGUACUUGGAAAAAGAGAAAUUUGUUCUGGACUAAUUCUAAUAUUGUGUGUCUGUACCGGUACCCCUUUCCUAACAAUAUAUAAUAGAUUUGUAAGAAAAUUUUCUUAUAGUUAUGUCAUGUAAUUUUAUUUGCCCUUUUCGAUUUCUUUAUAGGUCUUUGUUGAUCAUCCCUGUGUGGCAUUAAAGAUGAUAGGAAGCAUCAUGCAGUCACCUGCUGCUUCAGAAUAGGGGUGGCUUUCCAAUUUAGCCAAUAUAAAAGACCAACGCUGAAGAUACAUGAACAGAAGAAUAACAUAGAAGUCUCUUUUGAUUGUGAAAGAACUAUCACAGGAAUGUGAAUUAUUAAGAGAAAAUUGAAAAUUAAUCUUUAGUAUAUUCGUCUUGUGGUGUCAUUAUGACAUUUUCUUUUAUAGAAAAAAGAGAAUUUUCAUUACUAAAUUUGCUAAAAUCAUCCAGCACAAUUUAUUUAAUAAAGUUAGGAGGUCAAUUGUUAUUGGACUUAACAUGAUUUAAUUUGCAUGUCCUUAUAUUUGAUGGAUUAUUCGAGACUUGAUAUUUGAUUAGCUAGUGAUGCAUCAGGUCAAGGGAUACAAACUAGAGGUACUCAAACCAUUUCAUUAGCAGGGUUAAGUUAGGUGAUAGGAUGAGAGGAAUUGUAAAUAUAAGAUAUUGGGUACAAGACCUCCCACUUAAGAAAAAACGUUUCCAUUACUGUUGCGAUUGAAGCAGAAUCAAAAGCCUCAAAAUAACUCUUUACAUUCAAUUUGCCAUAACACAUGUAACUGGAUGCAUCCUAAACACUUGGGCUAAUUCCUAUGAUUAAGAUUUGAGGGAAAAAAUUACAGAAAAAAGUAGUAUUGUAAAACUAAUUAACCAUACCAUCCAAAUUCUACACGUUAGGGACAAAAUAUAAAAUUAAAUUUUUUACUAAUGUAAAUUUGAUUUCGACUAUUUGCCAAGCUUUUCUUCUAUCUAAACAAGAAAAUUUUAUUGCCACAUUUGUUUUGCAUGAAACUUUAGAAAUUAAUUUUGCUCAUAGUCCAAACAUUAGGAACCAAAAAUACAUUUCUCCAUUUUCUAGAAAAGGAAAGCAAAACUUCCUUCCGUUCAAUUUUAUGAACUUGUACUGGUGGACUUUGGUUGAAUUGAAUGUUGGUUUCUGGUUGGACAUUUGAGACAGUUUGGUCAGUUUCAUUAUGGUUGUAUAAUUGUCUUUUGGAAUGAAAACUUCAUUUGUUGUUUUAAAUUCAUUGUUGGAUUGAGGAUUUCUUAAAUUAGGUUGCAAAUAUUGUGUGUUGGUAAUAGGGUUUUGAAUGGGAUUAAACAUAGGUUUAAAUUUUAGACUAGCAGUACCAGUUUGAAAACUAGAAAAAUGAGUUAAACCAAACUCGAGUUGGUUUGUCGAACUCACACAAAUUGAACUUCAUUGAGCCAAGCUCAAGCAUAGGAAUUUUUUUGCUGAAUCAAACUCGAGCCUCAUUUUUCUUGGCUCAGCAAGUUCAAGUUUGAGCUUGACCGCACACAAAAUAAUGUCAAGUUUGGCUCGAUUAACAAAAUGUUUGAUUUGAUGUGGAUCAUUUGCACCCCUAUGUAUGAUUAUGCAAGGGUAAUUUGGAAAGAAAAUCAUUUUAGCAUUUUAUGUGAAUUUUUUUGGAUAUAUGGCCGAUUUUGUUGCAUUGAAAUUCAAGAUAAGGAAGCUAAGGAGUUAAGCAUAAUAUUCCCAACCCCAGGGGAGCCAAGUGAAAUUUUUAGAAGCUGAAGGAGGUUUUUGUAUUUAUCUCUGAAAAGAAGUACUGAGGAAAUGAAGAAUGGGGUUUAUAUUUAGGAUUAACUAUUUAUGCACUACCAUUGUAGUGAUUUUUUCACAUUAGUAGUUAUGGAUGUCUGCUAUAUGUUCAUGAUUUGAAUUUCAAAUUUGAAUUCAUGUUAUGUGAUAAUUUAAACAUGCUAGUGUAAAAAAAAAAGUACAAUGAUAGUAUAAAAAAAACUUAUCUUAUAUCUAAGGGCAAAUUACAUAUAACCUUCCUAUAGUUUUGCAUAAUUCUAGAUGACCCCUCUAAAAUUUUAAAAUAGUCAUAUAACCUCCUGUAAUUUUAUGUAAAGCGAACAAUGGAUGGAAUGCAUAAUCAAUUAUAACAAUUAAACCACACACACUCUAGAAGUGCAUGUCAUGAAAUCAUAAUAUCCAUUUACGCUAUGAUUUGUAUAAAUAUCCACUUUAUUCUCCUGUAAUUAUUACAUUUAUCCACAUAAUUCUCUUAUGGCUUUAUACAAGGUAGUAUAAGUCAUCAUUUGAUUUAGCAUUUAAAUAAGGGCACUGUUGGUAUUUCAAAUAAUAACAUUAUAUAGGUUAUUUUCAAUUAAAAUUUUAGUUUACUAAAAUCAUAAGGGGUAAAGUGAAUAUUUUGAAAUUUUAUGGGAGUUAUGUGGCAAUAAAUAAAAUCAUAAAGGGUUAUUACUAGUUUACCCUAUAUUUAAUAGGUGACAACUUAACCAAAAAAAGACCCUUAUAAUUAUUUAGAUAAUUUAUCACAUUUCCUUCGUCCAUUCUUGAAGUAGCUAGCUAACUAGGAUGUAUAAUCGAACUUUCCUAGCCUUUGACUUUAAUUAAUCCCUGCUCACAAAUUCUUAAAGUCUGUUUGUUAGGAACAUGUUUAUCUAUCUUUUGCUUCUGUUGAAGUGGUAUUUCCUUCCAACGAGCUAAACUAGAUAAGUAAGGCGAGAGCUCAAUCACAUAAAGGCAGAACUCUCUAAAAAACCUAUAAGGAAUGGACCAAUUUAUGAGGAGUCUCGAGGUCAACCCCUCAAGGUCAUUCCACAUUCAAGUUAGUUUUUGACUUGAGGAGAAGGAUAUCCUUCUCGGUGGGUGUUAGGUAUUUCUAUAUAUAGGUUUUCGUACAAGAGAGUGAUAAAGAAAUUAAGAGAUACUGAGAUAAAGAGAUAAAGAUUACCUCUUUUUGUUUGGUACGAUAGACAUUAGUUCAAAUGAUGAUAUUUCAUCAUUUUUAAGAUAAAGAUAGUCACUAUCAUUAACCAACUAAGAUCAACCGUAUCUUCAGGUAGUCAAAAUCUUAUCCUAUCCCCAAGGUUCGAGUUCAAGAUCAACUCGAUCUAUCACUACAAGAAAAUUGGUCAUCAGUGACAACUUUUCUCUGUGACGAAAAAAAGUUGUCACAAAAGUGGAUCCUUUAUUGACGACUUUCUAACUCGUCACAAACCUCUAAUGGGAGCCAACUCAUUUGUGACGACUUUUCUAAGUCGUCACUAGUAAAUUCCCGCCAAGUUUUAGCAAGAGCGCGGGAGUGUUUAGAACACACAAUAGUGACGACAUUAAGAACAUCAUCACUAUUGCUUGGCCUAUUUACGGACGACUUUUUGUUGUCGUCACUGAUCACUAAAAAAAAAAUUUAUUAGUGACAACAUUUUUUAGUGAUGACAAUAAGUCGUCACAAAAGGAGCUUCUUUAGUCGCGACACCUAAAGUUGUCAUAAUUGCAUCAAAGCAACUAAAUGUUUAGUGACGACCCGUUAUUUUCGUCACAAACUACACUGCAAGAAAUAUGGUCAUUAGUGACAACAUUUUUUAGUGACGACAAAAUUCGUCACAAAACGUGAUUGUUUAGUGACGACAAGGAAAGUUGUCAUAAUUGCUCAAAGCAACUAAGUGUUCAGUGACGACCUUGAAAAAGUUGUCACUAAAAUGAUCUAUAUAGUGACAACUUCUAAUAUCGUCACUGUCACUCUACCGAUUUGGAUUUAGUGACAAGAAUUAAUCGUCACUGUUUAAAGUACUUAUUUCUAAGUCACUUUCUGUAAUUCUACUGUGCCACCCUAACUUUUGCGAUUUAGCCCCAAAUGUUGUAAAAAAUUCCAUUAAUUCGAUUAUGAUACCUUAACUUUUACAAUUUAGCCCCAUAUGUAGUGCACCGAUUUCUUUAAUUCUAUUAUUACUCCCUAAUUUUUGUAAUUUAGCCCCAUAUGUAAUUCACCAAUUUUAUUAAUUCUAUUAUGGCACUCUAACUUUUGCAAUUUAACCCCCAUAUGUAAUAUACCAAUUUUAUUAUUUCUAUUAUGGCACCCUAGCUUUUACAAUUUAGCCCCUAUUUUUUUAUUAGGAAAUUGCGAAUGGUAUCUUGAUAAACUAUGCAUAAAUAUUUUAUAAUUUUCUCAAACUUAAGUAAUAAUUUGUUAUAAACUCUAUAGAUAUAUCUUUCAUUACAAUAGUUAUAAGGUAGGCAGGUCUUUUUAUCAAUGGAAUAAGAAAUUUAUGCCAGAUUUAUCCUUUGUACUACAUGCCAAGUAGUAUUAGCAAAGGAAUAACAAAGUACUACAAAGUAAUUAACAAAAUAGCCUUUAGGGAGUGUUGUUUAUGGGCAAAUGAGCAUUAUCUAUUUAAAGUACCAACUUUUUAUGGGCAUUUUACUCUCAAACAUAUAAUUUAUGAUAAAUUUAUAAAUGUUUGUAAGUAAAAUUCAAAAAGUAUUACACUGAUUUCUUACAAAACGAAAACUGGCAGGUUAUCUUUUCAACAUAAAUUAAAUUUUUUUAAAAAAAGAAAUGGCCCAUAAAGUACCAACUCUUUGUGGGUUUCCUCCAUUACAUGAAUAAAUAUUCUGCUAUUUAUGGGCAUUUCACUCUGAAUCAUUUAAUUUACGUUAAAUACAUAAAUGUUUGUAAGUAAAAUUCAAAAAGUGUUGCACUAAUAUUUUUAUGAAAGGGAAACUGGUAGGUUUUGUAUUUAACAUAAAUUAAAUAUGUGAAAGCAAAAAAAAAAAAUUACCCAUAAAUCUAUGUCUUGCAAAUCUAUACUAGUAAAAUAGUUUCAAACAAAAUUAAAUAUUAAAAUAAACUGUAAUUUAUACACAAAAUAUCUGUAAUUUAUACACAUUUUGCAACUACUACUUUGUGUUUUCUCUGUAAUGAAUUUUUUAACUAUUGAGAACUUAAGUUUUGUUUUGCAAAUCUAUACUAGUACAAUAGUUUUAAACAAAAUUAAACAUUAAAAUAAAUGUUUGAAAAAGAACAAAAGUACAUUUAUCACUUGCAGUAAUGUAACAAAAAUUUCUCAACCAUUAUCAAUAUUUUCACAAAAGUAUUAAAAACUAGCAAUUGACAAUAUUAAAAACUAGCAAUUUAAUUAGUGACGACUUUUCUUGUCAUUAUAAUCUUGAAUAAAUCAGUGAUAACAUUAUGUCAUCACUAAAUUUUCUUUGAUUUUGACUUAACAAUAAUGUCUUAUUAAUAGCAUUUGAUUAUUUUUAAUGAAAGUCUGUUAUAACCAUAGAAUUUGACUUUCGUUAUUUUCAAUUAAUGAUGUACUUUAGUGCUGCAAUUAUAAAAAAUUGCAGGGCUAAAAUAUUUGCAAAUUAUAAAAGUAUAUUUUCACUUAUAUGUAAUUAACAAAUUUUGCCACCUAUAUUGAUGAAAAUUUGUGUUUUUGUACUAAAAAAUAAAGAAUAAUACUAUAGCAAUAAAAUCUAUGCUUCAAACCAAAUUAAAAAUAAAAAAAAGCAUGAUGAUUGGUCUCAAAUGUUGGGAAAAUGAUUAUUUUUAUUGAAACUAUGUUAUAACCAUAUAAUUUGAGUUUAAUUAUUUUCAAUUACAUGAUGUUCUUUAGUGCUGCAAUUAUAAGAAAUUAGUAUAAAAUAUUAGCAAAUUAUAAAAGUACAUUUUCAAUUAUAUGAAAUUAACAAAUUUUGCCACCUAUGUUGAUGAAAAUUUUUACUUUUUUGCUAAAAAAUAAAGAAUAAUACUAUAGCAUUAAAAUCUAUGGUUCAAACCAUAUUACAAAUCCAGAAAAAAACAUGAUUUUUGGUAUCAAAUGGAGGGAAAAUGAGCGAAGUCAAAAUUUUGAUCAAAUCACAGUGGAAGUGCCGCGCAACAAAAACAAUAUCCAAAGCAAAGCAAAGACCAAAGCAGCGGAACACAUUCUGAAAAGAAAAGCAACGGAACACUUGGUCUGAGUUAAAGCAACGGAACACUUGAGCAACACAAACUUUCACCGAGCUGAAACAAACAAGCUUCUGCACUGAGCACAAAACAGAGCUUCCGCACGGCACCUGAUACCUUCACCCACACAACAAAUCCGUUCUCUGGCUUCUCACUAGCAUCACCAUGGCUGUCCAGCAUUAAAGGGCAAGGUUUUCAUUGGAAAGGUUCAUUUUUCUCUCUCCUAUACAUUUUCCCCAAUUUUUCCAAAUCCCUAAUAUUCUACAAUAUUUUUUGCAAAUUUCUGCCCAAAAUCUUUUAGCUGUCAAGGAAGAAAAGGGGUCGUCGGCAGGGGAACGAAGGAAAAGACUAAAGUUUCAUUUGGGGGCUGGUGAUUGAGGAAGUGAAACCAGAAACAGAGAAAGGUCUUGGCCUAGAGGGGACACAAAGAAAAUACAGAGCAACAGCCGCUCAUCGGCCAUCACAGCGCGCAAUCUCCAUAGCUGCCGUCACUCUGCUCUCAUCCAAUUUCCGCCGCCUUCAAGUUCCGCCACGGCACCUCCAUUUCGUGCGCCGCCUAGCUGCCUGACGCAUCUCCCCUUCCCGCACGGCCUUUCUCUCUCACUGUCGCUCCUCGAUUUCAUGUUGCCACCCACCACUGGCGCCCAGCUCCAGCGCGGCUACCAUGGCAGCUACAGCCGCCUGAUCAUUCGCACCUUCCUUCGACCAUCACCAUCGCCUGCAGACUUCGCCAAGCAAACGCUGUAAGCCGUCUGCCUUCUUUGAAUUUUAGUUUUCCAUUUUUAGUAUGAACAUUGAAAAGUCUCAAAGCAUGUUUGCCGUGCGUUUGUUCAGUGCCAACUUCAUGUUGAUUGCUAACGAUUUUAGAUUGUAUGCUAUUGUAUGUUGUUUGGACUGAAAUCUCUUGUGUUUUGACAAAUUUUGGGGGGCUAAUUACAGUCCCAAUUGAGCAAAAAUUGCUGGAUCCUUCUAUGCCCAUGUACUGUUUGUUAAAAUGCCCGAGUGAAGGUCUAAAUAGAAGAUUGAUGCGUAAUCUGCUUGGGGAAGACGAUCGUUUGCUUAAAUUUGCAAUUCUGGUCAUUCCAUUUUCUUUUUUGUAAUUUAGCCCCAGAGUUCCUGAACUAAUUUUAGGAUUCCCAGUUUUGGAGGAUGAAGUAUGAGAAGACUUGUAUGCAAAACAAAGGUCUCGUUCUUUCUUUAUCUUACAUCUAUUCAUAUUCAAAUAUUUAUAACCCAUUGAUAUGCACAUAACACGCUCAUAAAAAUAUAGCUGGUUAGAUGCUCUGAAUUUCAUUAGCCAUAAUGUUGACCGUCUGCCUGAUGCAUUGGAUUGUAAAUAUUGUGAAGUGAAAAAAUUCUACUUAGAGACAGCGAACUUUUACUAUUCUGAUGGCAAGGUGGUGCUCAAUGAAAAUAAGCUGCCUGAUUAUUCGAUUCAGUGACUGUCUGCCUGAUUAUUGUUUUUGCCUGUUAAUGUGCUAGAUUAUCACUGUAUAGGCAGAAACUCUGGUAAAACAAGAUUACACAUCUGAUAUUAUGCCUGUUGAUGUUACAACAAAAAAAGCUCUCAUAAUUUCUUGAUAUUAUGUCUGUUGAUAGUCAAACAACUAUAGCUCAUUGAUCAGCAUUGGCCUAAUUUUCAAUGAUAGAAGAACACAUUUUUUUUACUAGCCAUUGAUGUCUAUUUUCAUUGUUUUUGUGCUAUUAUUUUUUCUAUUUCAUUUUCAUAAAUGAAAUUUUUUUUAUCUGUAAAUUGGUUGGAAAUGAUUCAAAUUAGUUCUCUCCAAUUAAGCCAAAAAGUAUAUCAAUUCGAAAUGAGCCAAAAAACAAAGAGUUAUUAUCUGCCACGCCCUCCUCACGUAGCAAGUGACUAAAGAUUUUUAGAAUAACUAUUAUAGGAUCUUCUUUAAACUAACUCAGUUCGCUAAUUUGAUAGGUACUAUUUGAUACUUUCAAAGCCAUUUUUUAGCAAGGAAGGAUUGGGAAGGAAGAAAAAAGGGAGAUGGGAAAAAAAACCAUUAACCACUAGGCUAUCUAUCAGAUUGUUCUUCGCAGUUCAUAUCCUUCUUCUGUUCCUGCACUGUUUGUUAGUUUGAUACUUGAUGUUCAUUUCAUUUUCUUGAAAUUAAAUGAGUUCUUAUUUUUUCCACUUGUUCUUGGGAUGGUCACCACAAUGUUUGAGCAAGCUGACGGGAUUUUUUUUAUCAAUGCAAGUUUAAUUCCGAUUUUACACCCGUUGGACUGCAAGUAUACAGGUCGCAAUUGUAGUACAAGAUGUGUAUCGGGUCGAUCCCACGAGGAGCAAUUAAAACAAUUAUUAGAUACUAAUUUACUCUAUUAUUUAGACUUACAAUUAAUUUGAGCAGAAACUUCAGAUUUUAAUUCAACUACAAAAAUUUUUAAAUAGAUAAAUGCAAUUUCACAAUAGGAGUAGAAUUCACUAAAUAUUAAGAUCUAGGGAUGUAGAUUCCACUUAUGACUCAAAAGAUCUAAAAUGAAUUAAUUCAACACUUGUUACUGCUCUUGUUUAACCAAGGAUUCAUUUCCAGAAAUACCAAAAUCACAUUCUCAUGAUAAUAAUGGGUUAAAACAGAUUAGUUUUUCCUAAUCUCUUGGUAAAUACUAAAUCUGUUCUUAUUCACACAUGAAAUGCAGAUUUCAUCCACUUGAAUGUAUUUCUAUUCUCAUGAAUAUACUACUCAAGCUCUAUUUAUGUCAUUCCAUUAUUUUUACCAUUUCUCAAUGAGUAAAAACAACUAUAAACCUGCUAUUGGUGAUCAAGCAACAACAAGUAAUCCAACAUACACAAGUAGAUAAGUUAAUACAAGACAUAACAAGCAUAAAUCACAAUCACUUCAUAUCAUUUGGCCAUAAGCUUCAUCUACUCCCUAGAUAAAGGAAAUUAGCUACUCAUGAAUGAUGAAACACUCAUAACUUCAUUAAUGUAAAUCAUCAUGAAUUACAAAUACAAACAGAGUAAAGAAAGUCUUAGCCAAGAUAUGGUGAAACCUUCCAAAAAUCUCCUUUGUCUUGAACUUAGAUGAUUACAAGAUGAAACCUCAAUUGUCCUUUGCAAGUACCUAGCUAGAGAGACUAUGUUUUUCUGUCAGAAACUAAGCUACGAAUGGUCCUCAGAUCUCUCCCCAUAUCUCUGCAUAAAAAACACUCAAAUGCUCCAUUUUUCCAAGUCAAAUUCUAUCCUUUGAUUCCCAAAUCUCCACUUUGUUAGCAUAGUCAAAAACCAAUAUUUUUGACUUGAAAAUAAGCCACUUUUCUUGCCCUUUUGUCUUCUGAAGCAUGUGCACCGAAUUCCCUUGCAUCUUAUAGCUGGAAAGUGGUAUGAACACAAGAGAAUUGGCUGAGUCAAAUUGCAGAAUUUCGGCUAUAAAACGCGCCUACACAAAACGCGGUUACAAGUCACGUUUUGUGUACUCGCGUAUUCACUUUAGCCUUACUUCAUCUGCGAUUUUCCCUAUCAUAAAGGCCGAACUAGAUUUUGUGCAAAACACAAAAGUUGUAGCCCUUUGAGUUAGCUUUCCAAUGCUUCAAGAAUCAUCCAAAUCGGAGCUUUGUAGCCUGAGAUAUGAUCGAAAUACUGUCACCUGUUCAAACCUCUGUUUUAACUUCCGACCACAGGGUGCAGCUUCUGUAUUCCAACGUUUUGCCCAUGAAGAUGGCAGAAAUGGAUUUCGAUGUCUUCAUACGAAUUGUAGGUCUCUUUCUUAGCUUUAAAAUGGUAUAAAAAUCACCUCAAUCCGAUAAGUGUAGCUCCAGAUAUGGUCAAAAUACUGAAAAGUGUCAAAACUGACUUGUAUUGCAUUUCCUCACUUGAACGUUUUUCACUUCAUUCUUCUUGUUGCCACUUAAAUUCAUCACCAAAUCUCUAUUUUUCACCUCAAUUGACCUCCUUUGGUGAUUGAUUCAUUAUUCCUGCAUAAAAAUGAAGUUUUUACUAUUAAAAUCAAUAGAAAUGCAAUAUUAUCCACUUUUACCAAAAACCUCUUUAUUUUAAUUAUAAAACUAAAUAAUCAACUCAAAAUUAACUAAUAAAAUGCACUUAAAAAUACGUAAAAUAAACUCUUAUCAAAUACCCCCACACUUGAAUCAUUGCUUGUCCUCAAGCAAUAUAAAAUUCCAACCAUCAAUGAUCCAAAAAUUUAAAAUAAACAUAUGUAGUAUUUCAACUCCAUUUCCUUGAAUCAAGGUAAAUAACCCUUAUGUGAUCUUUCCAUUAAGUUCAAGUACUCAUAAUAUCAAGCAAAGAAGAGCCAAGUAUACCAUAAUUUUACCAAUUCAACUCAACUUCUUAUUUUUAUCUAAUUUCGCAAGCAAGCAACUCCUAUAGUCAAUAAAGAUGCUAACUAAUCUCAUGAUCAACUUCUUAUUUUUCUUAAAGAGGGAUUUAAUUUACUUCUUUUUUUUUUUUUUUUGAUAUUUUAAGGGUUAAAUAUUGCUUAAGUUGUGAAAAAUGCCUUUUGACGCGAAGAUCAACAUUUUUAGAUGCAGAUCCCCGGUUACUCAACAUUUCACAUACUCAAGUUGCUUUGCAUACUCUUAAUUCAAGUACCUUUUUACGCGAAUGUCGACAUUUGUAGAUGCCAACCCCCGGUUACUCGGUACGAGAAUCAUUGGAGUAGAAUAACCAUUUUUUUUUUUAUUUUUUUUAACAAUAUAUAAUAAAAUUCCCUCUAAGAGUAAUCAUGAGAAGAGUAUGACACUUAUUAACCAUAUUAAUUUCUUAUCUUAUAAAAUUAGAUAAAAAGAAGAAUUUUCAUCAAAUAUACAAAAUGUAGGCAUAAUUUUCUCCACUUUACUAGAUAUACUUUCCUAUAGAUGUAAAAAUUAUAAUCACAUAAAAAUCAUUUCCAAAUUUCAUGAGAAAAGAAUUAUCAAAACCGCAUAUAUUUAUUUCAAAAGGAUAAGUGACAAAAUUUUAUUUAUUUAUUAUAGUUAAUAACAUAUAUAUGUAUAAGGUUUUGGAAAAAUUUUGACAGAGUCUCCCCUUAAAAGUGGACUAAAUCUCCCUGCCAGCAACCACAAGAAACACCAUUUAAGCACAAGAAUUAUAUCAAACACAACUAAAAUCACAAGUACCACACAUUUCUUCCCCCACACUUAGAAUACACAUUGUCCUCAAUGUGUAGGGAAAGAAAAGAAAAGAAACAGAAGAAAGGAACAAGUGACUCCCCAAGUGAGAUGACUGCGGUCCAGUGAAGCCUUGAAUCAUGAGUCAUCGACCGCUCAACCAUCCACAGUCAACGAUCUACUAGUUACUGCCACAAGUUCCAAUAUUCAAAAUAAGGAAUGUAAGUUAACAUUUUUCAAACAAAAGAUAAAAAUAACAAGCAAACAAGCAAACAAAAGAAAAGCCAGCCAAAGGGGCAGCCUCAAUCAUCCCCUUCAUCGUCAUCUUCAUCAUCAUUGACAGGAGGUGGAUGUACGCCCAGAUGAUGUUCAAUGUGGUCUAGGCGAGUAUCCAGUCGGGCUAAAUGAUGGUCGAUGUCGUCCAAGCGACCGAAAAGCCGCUGCCAGUUGGUCUGUGGCGGAGGAGGAGGUGGUGCUGCAGUAGAUGGUCCAGCUCCAUCGCGACCAUGUCUAGCCUUUUGUCUCCGCUCCUGAACAGGGCGUGGAAUGUCUCCCGUGCCAAUACCAAGGCGGCGAAGAGUAGUGAUAGUCAUCUCAGCACGUGGUGGAACAUACUCCCGCCUCAUUCCUUCCAACUGAACCUCAAAACGGGGAAAGAUUAAAGUCAGUAGACGAGGAAAUGAUAGUUUGAAGGAAGUCGUCUUACGCCUCGCCGUAGACCGAAUGUGGCUAAUGAUGAUAUUAGGCAGCGAAAUACGAGCAUAUGGAGAUGUCCGGUUAUGGAACAUGUAAUCCAAGAAGUAGAUAUCGCUCUUGCGAACCUCCGUGUGCCCCGUCUUCUUUGGGAUGACAUUGUGAGCCAUCAUGUAAAUGAUAAGCCGAUGACGAGGUUCGAAGACAUUCGCCAAAAUGGUCUCCUUCCUUGUAGAGCGAAAGGGUUGGUACUCGAGACCAAACCUAGCCAUGGCCAAUGAUGGAUCCCACCUCCUAUUCGGGGGAACAAACUCCUUCUUCAAAUCUACUGGACGUCCAUCAUCCAUACACCCCAAAAUAGCAGCCAAAUCUUGCCGUGACAAGAUGAUUCGUCUUCCACGCACCCAGGACUCAACUAUUUCUCCACUAUGGCGCGCCUUACUUUCAAUGUUGGCGUAAAACUCGCGCACCAGGUCUGGGUAGUAAUGAUUUGGAAGGGUGAGAAUCGGAGCCCAUCCAAGUUGAGCAAAAGCGUCCGAGAUAUUAUACAUCAUUUCAACUGUCGGAUUCACGUGCAUCUCAAACAGGAAUUCCAAAUUAGCACGCGCCUCAUGCCACUCCUGAUUCCUGCGAGUGUUGAACCGAGCACUGUCAAAUACAGACAUUCCCGCUCCACGAGAAGUGCCCUCACCAGGUUGACGACUCACUGGCGGAGGAGAAGGUGAACUCUCCUCUUCAGAUACUUCCAUUUGUUCAUUUUCCUCCCUCUCCUCACUGCUAGAGGACGAGGUUAUUACACGUCUUCCCCUUGGCAUAGUACCUAUUGGAAAAUAUUGCAAUUAAACUCAUGUAAUUGGACACAAUUAAAAAUUUAGCCAUGAAUAUCCGAAAAUGAUCCAAAUAAUCUCUAAUUGAUUCCUUCAAGUGAUAACACGUCCAAUAACUAAUAUAUAGGACCAAAUAAGAGAACAAAAAUUUAUGCCCAAAAAUUACUCAAAAUCACCAAUUGAAACAAGAUAUGCAAUAAUUAUAACCCAAUCGGUGAAAUUAGCAACAAUUAUGAUUAUAACUAUUGAGAAUUAACAAUAAUAAUAUGCUUUUAGUUAUAAUCAUGCUUAGGCAAAAAUUAAGCCAAUGAACUCACCAAAUCAACCAAAUUACUCACUAUACACAAUGCACAUGCUUAAACAUCAUCAACUAACCCUUUUUAACCAUAAUUUAACAUCACCAAUGGCUCAAAAAUAUCCUAGUUCCUUUUUCCAAUUUCAUCUAAAUAUAGCAAUUGUGAAUUUUAAAGUACUUGAAAACCAAUAAAUUGCUACAUUUAAACAUUUAAACAUGCUUAAACAAUCAUAAUAAUCAUGAAUAAAAUCAAAAAUAGCCAUGAACCUCAUCAAAUUUUCGAAAUUAAAAGAUGUCAGAUAGCUCAGGAUAAAAAAUAUGAACUUCUAAAAUCAAAAGAUUUGAUGAAGAAACUUACCUCAAUCACGUAGAAGGAUGUUUGGUGAUGCUAAAAAUGCAAAAAGCCCUAUGAAACAACCUCCAAUUGACCUCCAAUUGAAGAAAUUAGAGUUUAAGAACCCUAACCUUCAAUCCCUCAAAAACCAGAUUUUAGGUGUUUUUCUUGGAUUUUAAUCGGUUAAAAAGGUUGUAUGAAGCUCAAAAGGUGUUGGGGUGAUGAUUUCUAGCAAGAUUAUGGAGUAUAAAUGAAAAUUUGUGAGUUGGGUAGAAGGAAGAGGGAAAAACGCGGCUGGAAAAAUUGGAGAAGUGAAGAAGAAAGGCUGAAAUCGCGUUUCUGAAGGCUAUAUUCAGAUACGGAAAACGCGACUAAAAACACGCCUUCAACUCGCGUUUUUGAAGUCGCGUUUCCUGCACAAAUCUUGCAGGAAUGAAAACGCGACUGUGAUGGAAAACGCGACUUCAAGUCGCGUUUCUUAAGUCGCGUUUUUGAGUCUUGAUCCAGGCUUGAAAACGCGACUUCCAUUAAAACGCGACUUUGGGUCGCGUUUUUAAGGCGCGUUUUCUUUUCUGCAGUUGCAGAAUUGAAAACGCGAUUCUGAGAAACGCGACUUGUAGUCGCGUUUUCUUUGAAAACGCGUUUUCUGCUUCGAUUUUUAGCAGAAUUUCAACUUUUGAAAAAUUACAAAAGGUACCCCAAUGACUCAAAAUGCAUCAUAGAUCAUUUGUUUGCCAAUUUUAAUGACUGGAACAAAUGUAAAACAUUAAAAACAUGCAUUUUACCCCUUUAUAAUGAAUCAAAAACACCUUUAACGCAAAUCGAGGGGUUGAGUUGUUUGAUCAAAGUUCGCCUUUUUUGUACUCAAUUGGUCAUCCUUGCCUUCAAUUGCCAACCCUACAUUACAAAAACAACUAUUUAGCUAAAACAUUGAUUCAAACCACAAAAUCACACCAAGUUAACAAAUAUAACCUAAAUAUUGGGUUGCCUCCCAAUUAGCGCUUUUGUUUAUAGUCGUUGGCUCGACUGAAAAAGUUGAAUCACUUUAGAGCAUUAGAGAGAGAUUUUCUCCCCAUGGGUCGAAACUCCCGAACCAAUCCACCAUGUGGUGAACCAUGCAUUGAUCUUCAUAGUCCAAUUUCCUCAAAUGCCAAGGAGGAAUAUUAGACUUGUCAUAGAGAGGCUCAACUUCACCUUGGAGUGGAUUUUGCUUGUCUUUUCUGAAUUGGCUCAACUUUUCACCAUUUUCUUCAUGGAAUGGAGAAUUUAUUAAGCCAACUUCCAUCCUUAUCUUCUCCUCCUUUGUUCCUACACCAUGAAAGUUAGUACCAAGGACAUUUAUAAAUUUAACUUCUUCGGUCCUUUCUUGGUUGACCUUUUCAUCAUAUGGCAUAUUAGAAACAAGAGCAGUAGGCUCUAUAUUCCCUUCUUUAUUUUCCAAAUUGAAUUCCAAUUCCUCACCAUUAACCCGUAAUAUAAGCUUACCUUUUUCUACAUCAAUUAUAGUUCGUGCAGUGGCUAAAAACGGUCGUCCUAGAAUAAUUGGCAUUCUCACAUCUUCUUCAAUAUCUAAGACAACAAAAUCCACAGGUAUUAUAGAUUGUCUUACCUUUAUGAGCACAUUUUCCAAAAUACCCGUGGGACGUGUGAUUGACCGAUCCGCCAAUUGCAAUGUAAUAUUGGUAGCUUUUAGCUCUUGAAGUCCCAAUCUCCGGGCAACCGAUAACGGCAUAAGUGACACACUUGCACCUAAAUCACAUAAAGCAUUAGAAAAAUGCAAUUGACCAAUAGUGCAAGGAAUAGAAAAGCUUCCCGGAUCUUUCAAUUUAGGAGGGAGUUUAUUCUUAAUCAAUGCACUACACUCUUCCGUUAAUGCUAUCAUCUCAUUAUCUACAAUUUUCCUCUUCUUUGACAUGAUGUCUUUCAAGAAACGUGCAUAAGAGGGAAUCUGUGUUAUAGCAUCAAUGAAAGGAAUGUUAAUGUGCAAUUGUUUAAACAUUUUGAAGAACUUUUCAAACUCCCGAUCCUGUCCAUCUUUCUUCAACCUGUGAGGAAAAGGUAUCACAUUAGAAUUUAAAUGAGAAUUUAAUUUGGGAUGAAGUGCAUCAAUAUCAAUGAUAACAUGAUCAUUUUGACUUUCUUGCUCCCCUUCAAUUGCUUGCUUCUUGUCUUUUUCACCACCUGAAUUUUCAAAAUCGAAUCCCUCAACCGUUUUACCGCUUCUAAGAAUGAUUGCAUUGACAUGCUCUCUCGGAUUCACUUCGGUUUUACUUGGUAAUUCACCAGGGUUUCUAUUGUUAAUCACAUUGGCAAUUUGACCAAUUUGAACCUCCACAUUCCUGUACAUUGUAGUGAGUUGAUCCAGUUUCCCUUCUACUCGUUCAAAUCUGUCCGAAGUCACCUUAGCAAGUUUUUCCACCGCGAUCUCCCAACUUGGUUUAGUUUCAGCCUGUGGUUGCCUUGGUUGAAAUCCCGGCGGAUUGGUUGGCCUUUGUUGAUUGCCUUGAUCUUUCCAUCCAAAGUUUGGAUGAUUUCUCCACCCCGGAUUGUAAGUAUUCGAGUAGGGAUUAUUUGGAGCAUUUCGGUUGUAAUUAUUGACAAAUUGUACCUGCUCAGAAUCAACACACUCAUUAAUAUCAUGUUCACCUCCACAGAAAGAACAACAAGCUACGUGAGCAUUAGAUGAACUUGGGCUAACUCCACCUUGUCUACUCAAUAACUUCAUCACGUUAUUCAUUUGGGCACUCAACAUAUUGAGAGUGUCCAUUUCGAUCAUACCUGCGUGACGUCUCGUAUUACCUCUUUCAUUGGCCCAUUGGUAGUUAUUUGCGGCCAUUUCUUCUAUCAAAUUUUGAGCUUCUUGGGGUGAUUUACCCAUUAAAGCUCCACCUGCGGCUGCAUCAAUAAUAGUUUUAGUGGAGAAAGAUAAACCAUUAUAAAAGGUUUGUAUAAUCAGCCAUUCGGGUAGUCCAUGGUGUGGACAUUUCCGUAACAAAUCUCUAAACCUUUCCCAUGCUUCAUAUAAUGAUUCUCCUUCCAUUUGACUAAAACCAGUGAUAUCCAUUCUUAGCUUAGCAGUCUUACCAGGUGGAAAAUACUUAUUCAAAAAUGCUCUUGAUAGUUCAUCCCAUCCAGUGAAAGUAUUAGGAGCAUGAGAGUGUAGCCAAAGUUUGGCCUUAUCUCUCAAUGAAAAUGGGAACAAUCUUAACCUUAUAGCAUCAUCACUAACUCCAUUCAUUUUAAUUGUAUCACAUAUUUCUAAGAAUGUAGCUAAGUGUGUAUUAGGAUCUUCUGCUGCAUUACCUCCAAAUUGAGACUGUUGAACCAUUUGGAUAAGUGAUGGUUUAAUCUCAAAGUUGUUAGCAUUUACCGUAGGCCUUGCUAUGCUCGUUUGAGAUCCUUGUGUUCCUGGUAGAGCAAAAUCUCGUAGAACUCGCCUAUUUGCUUCAUUUUCAGCCAUUUCUUCUUCAAAUGGUAGUUCUAUCAAAAUUUCCUCUAUAGGUUGCCAAAUCUCUUGUUCCUCUUGCUGUGGUGGAUGCCUCCUUUGUCUACGUAGUGUCCUCUCAAUUUCUGAAUCGAAAGGUGCGACUUCUCGAGACUCCCGGUGCAUACACUACAAACAGAAAUAAGGGAUAUUAUGCAACUUCAAUGGUAAAAAAAAACUGAUUACAAUAUAAAAUAAAGCUGUCUAAAUUAAUAAAGAUGAUUAGGCUCUAAUAUUGCCGCUCCCCGGCAACGGCGCCAAAAACUUGACGGGAUUUUUUUUAUCAAUGCAAGUUUAAUUCCGAUUUUACACCCGUUGGACUGCAAGUAUACAGGUCGUAAUUGUAGUACAAGAUGUGUAUCGGGUCGAUCCCACGAGGAGCAAUUAAAACAAUUAUUAGAUACUAAUUUACUCUAUUAUUUAGACUUACAAUUAAUUUGAGCAGAAAUUUCAGAAUGUAAUUCAACUACAAAAAUUCUUAACUAGAUAAAUGCAAUUUCACAAAAGGAAUAGAAUUCACUAAAUAUUAAGAUCUAGGGAUGUAGAUUCCACUUAUGAUUCAAAAGAUCUAAAAUGAAUUAAUUCAACACUUGUUACUGCUCUUGUUUAACCAAGAAUUCAUUUCCAGAAAUACCAAAAUCACAUUCUCAUGAUGAUAAUGGGUUAAAACAGAUUAGUUUUUCCUAAUCUCUUGGUAAAUACUAAAUCUGUUCUUAUUCACACAUGAAAUGCAGAUUUCAUCCACUUGAAUGUAUUUCUAUUCUCAUGAAUAUACUACUCAAGCUCUACUUAUGUCAUUCCAUUAUUUUUACCAUUUCUCAAUGAGUAAAAACAACUAUAAACCUGCUAUUGGUGAUCAAGCAACAAGUAAUCCAACAUACACAAGUAGAUAAGUUAAUACAAGACAUAACAAGCAUAAAUCACAAUCACUUCAUAUCAUUUGGCCAUAAGCUUCAUCUACUCCCUAGAUAAAGGAAAUUAGCUACUCAUGAAUGAUGAAACACUCAUAACUUCAUUAAUGCAAAUCAUCAUAAAUUUACAAAUACAAAAAAGUAAAGAAAGUCUUAGCCAAGAUAUGGUGAAGCCUUCCAAAAAUCUCCUUGUCUUGAACUUAGAUGAUUACAAGAUGAAACCUCAAUUGUCCCUUGCAAGUACCUAGCUAGAGAGACUAUGUUUUUCUGUCAGAAACUAAGCUACGAAUGGUGUUUUUUUUUAUCUCUCCCCAUAUCUCUGCAUAAAAAACACUCAAAUGCUCCAUUUUUCCAAGUCAAAUUCUAUCCUUUGAUUCCCAAAUCUCCACUUUGUUAGCAUAGUCAAAAACCAAUAUUUUUGACUUGAAAAUAAGCCACUUUUCUUGCCCUUUUGUCUUCUGAAGCAUGUGCACCGAAUUCCCUUGCAUCUUAUAGCUGGAAAGUGGUAUGAACACAAGAGAAUUGGCUGAGUCAAAUUGCAGAAUUUCGGCUAUAAAACGCGCCUACACAAAACGCGGUUACAAGUCACGUUUUGUGUACUCGCGUAUUCACUUUGGCCUUAUUUCAUCUGCGAUUUUCUCUAUCAUAAAGGCCGAACUAGCUUUUGUGCAAAACACAAAAGUUGUAGCCCUUUGAGUUAGCUUUCCAAUGCUUCAAGAAUCAUCCAAAUCGGAGCUUUGUAGCCUGAGAUAUGAUCGAAAUACUGUCACCUGUUCAAACCUCUGUUUUAACUUCCGACCACAGGGUGCAGCUUCUGUAUUCCAACGUUUUGCCCAUGAAGAUGGCAGAAAUGGAUUUCGAUGUCUUCAUACGAAUUGUAGGUCUCUUUCUUAGCUUUAAAAUGGUAUAAAAAUCACCUCAAUCCGAUAAGUGUAGCUCCAGAUAUGGUCAAAAUACUGAAAAGUGUCAAAACUGACUUGUAUUGCAUUUCCUCACUUGAACGUUUUUCACUUCAUUCUUCUUGUUGCCACUUAAAUUCAUCACCAAAUCUCUAUUUUUCACCUCAAUUGACCUCCUUUGGUGAUUGAUUCAUUAUUCCUGCAUAAAAAUGAAGUUUUUACUAUUAAAAUCAAUAGAAAUGCAAUAUUAUCCACUUUUACCAAAAAUAUAUAAUUUUACCAAAAACCUCUUUAUUUUAAUUAUAAAACUAAAUAAUCAACUCAAAAUUAACUAAUAAAAUGCACUUAAAAAUACGUAAAAUAAACUCUUAUCACAAGCUCUUCAAACUCUUCAAUCCCACGGUUGCUCGAGUAAUUGUGGAUUUCAUCAUGAGUGUGGAAUUGCUUCAUCCUGCAGUGUUUUAGUUUUUUUCUCUCAAAAACUAUACAUAAGAGUUUUACUUUUUCCAAUAAUAUUUUUCGGUGCAAAAGGCUGUCUAUCUACAAUUUCCAUCACCAAAGAAUAAGCUGUAAAAUUGGGAAUAGUCAUUGGAAUAGAUCUUGGAACUACCUAUUCAUGUGCUCAUAUUUACAAAAAUGGUCAUGUUGAAAUCACAGCAAAUGACCAAGGAAUCGUAUUAAGCCAUCAUGGAUUGCAUUUGCUGGUAGCGAAAGACUGAUUCGAUGUUAAUGUUGAAAGAACUAUCUUUGAUGUCAAGAGACUUAUUGGAUGAAAGUAAGGCACACUCGUGUAUUUAUCAUUUUUGCCGGAACAUUUUGGUGUGUAUACAUAUGCUCACUGAAGUCUUAACUGUUAUAUAACAGGAUUGAGACUAAUGAAGUUUAGACGUUCCUUGUAAGAUUGUGAACAAGGAUGGAAAACCUUAUAUCUAGGUGAAAAUUAAGGAUAGUAAGGUUAAAGUCUUCAGUCUUGAGGAAAUUAGUGUAAUGGUUUUAACUAAGAUGAAAGAAGCAGCUGAAGCUUUCCUUGCAAAGAAAAUUAAGGAUGUUGUGGUAACUGUUCCCGGUAUAGUUCAAUUUCUAGAGUUAUUCGUUGAAUCAUAUUUUACUUCAAUGAUGCCCAGAGGCAGGCAACAAAGAAUGCAGGUAUUAUUGCUGGGCUGAAUGUUGCUAGGACUAUCAAUGAACCCAGAGCAGCAGCAGUUGCCUGUCUAACUACGAAUUAAAAAAGUUUAUCUAACUACACUAAUUAACUGUUGAUUUUGCAAAAUAUUGAACAAUGAUUAAAGCAACCAAUUUCUUGUAUAAGUUUUAUUAGUUACAUUUCUUAUAAAAAGCUUUCAUAUGGUUCUAAUUGCUCUAUUUUAUUGUAGGCAAAGGCUUUCAUCAAAGGAUUAUAGAAUAUUUCAUCAAGUUGAUUAACAAGAAACAUGGAAAGAACAUCAGCAACCACAAUAGACCACUUGGAAAACUGAGGGAAGCUGAACGUGCCAAAAGAGCUUUAAGCAGCCAGCAGCAAGUUAGGACUCAUGCUUGAUUUGACGAGUUGAACAAUGACCUCUUUAGCAAAAACAUGGGACUUGUCAAGAAGGCUAUGGGGGAUGCUGGUUUGGAGAACCACCAGAUGCAUGAAAUUGUUCCUGUUAGUGGGGCUACCAGGAUCCCAAAAGUCCAAUAACUUCUCAAGGACUACUUUGAUGGAAAGGAACCCAACAAGAGUGUAAAACCAGGUGAAGCAGUGGCUUAUGGGGGUGGUGUUCCAGGAGGUAUUCUAAGCCGGAAAGGUGGUGAUGAAAGCAAAGGUACUUUUUAAAAUUUUUAAUGGACAUGUAAAACUUGAUAUUUUGCAAACUUAAGAUGCAACUUGAUUGUCUCAAGAAAGUUGAAACUGUUGGUAUUGAAACUGUUGCUGUGGUAAUGACCAAGUGAUUGGUACUUGUGAAUUUAUUUUGCUGCUUCAUAAUUUAUAAAUUCAUUCCUUGUGAACCCAGAACAAAAAAAAAAUUUGCAUGUGACCAAGUUGUAGCAAUAUCUUGCUACUUCCAUUAACUGUUACUGCAGUAAUGACCAAGUGAUUGGUACUUGUGAAUUUAUUUCAUUGUCAUCUGAGUUGUUGUUACAUGUUAAUGGAAUGUAUUUGAAUGUCAAAGGAGCCUCUUUCUUUUGAAUCAUCUAUACUAAAUUACUGCUGUAUAUGUAAAUAUCAUGCUUUCCUUUUUCUUGUGAAUCAUCAUUACUGCAUUGGCUGUAUCCUUUGUAUUAGUACAUGACUACUCUUUGAACUAAUAUAUUUUUGACUAAUACUCCUUUUCACUCCCAGCCCAAGUUCACGAUACACACCACAUCACUCUUUUCAUCAUCUAAAAUAUUAAAAAUAUUACAAUAACAAAUACAACCUUACUAACAGGUCUAAAGUUCCCACGCCUUGCGUGGGAAGCAAUCACCUAGUUUUAAUAUAUAAACAACCAAAAGCAUAAACAUUAAACAAUAAUUACUGUGGGAGUCCAAUUUAAUUGUUCAAUAAGUUGAGCUAUUUAAAGAAGAAGAAAGAAAAUUAAAAAAAACUGUUUUAGAGAGCUCUUUAGUUGAGCUUAUGCAGUGUUGUAUUUGUAUAGAUUGGACUGUGAUUUCUAACUUCUUGCUGGUGUUGUAAUAUGUGGGCCCAAAUUAUAUGAGCUUCUUAAUGAAUUGUAAUUUUUGUCUUAAUAAUCUAAGUCUCAUUACUUGUUCUUUAUUAUUGUACUCCUCCCCUUACCUACUUCUUUUACUCUUUUAUGACAGAUAAAUGCUAUUCAUACUAGCUUUUGGAAGAUAUCUAUGGUUAUGGUUGAAGAAUGUUGAAGACAAAAUUGCCUUUUACUCAUGGAGUGGUUCAUUUAGAUGUUCUUCAAUUUCUUAAACUGUGAUUGCUUUUGUAAAUGUACCUUAUGUACAAGUGAUAUUUUGGACAAAUGUUAUUUUUGUAGGCAUUAGUUGGGCAAUGUACACUUGAAUUUGGCAUUUGAGAAUGCUAUAUUAUUACCAUGUAAUCUAAUGCAAAUACUUUUGGUUAUCAAUCGUUUAUGUUUAUUUGUAUGGUUUGUUCAAAAUCAAUGAUUUAGCAAUGAUUACAGGCCAAAUUAUGACUAUUAAGCUAUUAUGAAAUUAUCUAAUGACAAAAAAAAGUUGUCACAAAAUAGAAAAUAAAAACUCCUUGUCACAACAGAGACUGUCACUAAAUCUAAGUUACAUUUGUGACGACAAUUGUUGUCAGUAAAAUAGUUAUAUACAAUGGCUUUCGGUGCUUUUUAGUGACGACUUUAAGUAGAGCAUUUUUGACAAAAGGUCAAUUCGUCAAUAAAACACUUCCAGAUUGUCGUCACUAAUGACAACUAUUUAGUGACGACCAAAUAGUUGUCACUAAAUAGUUGUCAUUAGUGACGACAAUCUGGAAGUGUUUUAUUGACGAAUUGAUCUUUUGUAAAAAAUGCUCUACUUAAAGUCGUCACUAAUGAGAACUAUUUAGUGACGACAUUUUAGGUCGUCACUGUUUACUUUUAUCGACGGGGAUUUAGUGACGACUUUGUGACGAUCAAAAAGUCGUCAAUAAAAGGUAUUUGUGACGAUAUUUGUAUGUUCUGUGAUGACUUUGUGUUGUCACUGAUGAACAAUUUUCUUGUAGUGUAUACCAAGUUGGGAUAGUUUGGGUGGCCACAUGGCAUACAUGCAAUGCAUAGCCCUGAAGUCAAAUUUUAUUCUUAUCUGAAUAAAUCUUACCUUUAAUGAACUAGAUACGUAGCAAUCUAUCAUUAGCCAAGCUAGAUCACCAUUAUUUCCUCGAUGCCUGAAUCGACAUUCCAACCACCACUUCGCUAAGAAAUUGUGUCCACCAAUCAUGUCAUCCCUAGAAAUUCAUAAUCCUUUUCAAAUUUUACAUGCAACUACCUUUAUUGAAUUUUCAAAAGUCCAGAAAAGUCCAUAUUCUUCCCCCAUCUUCGUUCUAUAAAUAGAAGACUUCUCAUAUCUAUUUUACUCUUUUUUGCUUCCAAUAUUCUUCUUCCAGUUUUAGGUUUUCAAUUUCGAAAAACCAUCUAUCUAGGAAAUUUUGUCUUUUCUCCUCCAGUGAAUACUCCCUUCUAUAAUUUUUUUAGGCAAUCUUAUUUCUGCAUCUUAAUCAGUAAGUCUCUCUUCCGAUUUAUUUAUCGCUGAUCACUCCAAUAUCUCUAUAUCUUUAUUGAAGCAUAGGUAGAUUCCUGUGAUUAUUAGAGUAGAAAUCGUUUCUUCUUCUUCCUCUUCUUCAUCGUCGCCCUUUUCUUCAUUUGGUCAAAAUUUUGGUCCUAAGUAUCUCCCAGAACUAUUGGAACCCAUAGAAGUUAUGAGUUCUCAUACUUCUUCUAGAACCCCAUCUACUAACCUUCGAGUAGAUCCUGUAGAGCAGGCUAACCCUUCCGAGUAGCUCCCUAUUGUAUAACAUGCUUCUUCAGAAAAGUUUGGUACCAAGUAAGGAGAAGGUGAGGUCAGUGUUAGUGACCAAUGUCACCACCCAUAUGCUCAGGUUUACCUACCUGACCAUGGCUUCAGUGACUUUAGCUACAUCCCCAAUUUCUCCUUUACUCUUUCUCAAGGGGACAUGGACGAGUUAGCUACCACUUAUUCCAUCUCAGAAUCCUUUGAAGCCCAAGCAGCUAGCCUUAACAAAAGGGUCAAUUGACUUUCUCCUAACUAUGUUGCCAUUUAUAGGGAACAGGUUCUCUCGGGUAUAAGACUUCCUACUUCUAUGGCCCUUUUCAACAUCUUGGCCUACAAGAGGAUUAGGAUUAUUUUACUUUAACUCCAUUAAAACCACUAUAGGCUUCCUAAUCUACUGUAGUCUUUGUGUAAUUUCUUAUUCUCUUUCCUUAUUCUGAGCAUACCAUAUGCGUAAGACUUCUCAGCUUGGGUGGUUCUACUUUGCUAGGCGUUCCUCUAGUAAAGAUAGUAAGGGCACCCGUGAUAUUUCAAUUGAGUUCUUUAUUUCAUUAAAAGGUGAAAGAAUGAAUUCUUUUUUGUAAAAAUCGACUUCUCUCCUCCUAAUUUUUGGAAGGUAGGGGAAGUCAAAACUGAUCCAUAUCAUGUCGAUCUAGACAUGGAUGCCUUUUGACUUACUCUUGAGACCUAUAGCCAAAUUACUUACCAAGAAUUUCUCCUCUAGUCAAAUUGCAACAGUCGGACUAGUCAAUCCUCUAUCCAGUGACUAGGAUUGGGAUUUACACUAAGAGGAAUACAAGAAUUGUAAUUUUUCCUUUCUCUUCCUUCCUCUCUCUCUCUUUACGUAGAGCUCUAACCCUUAUUUUUCUUCUUUAUAGUGAGAUAAUUCUCUCAACUCUUAUCCUUUGAGACUUCUGCUCAACUCUUCAGAGGCUAGUAGUAGGGUGGUUCUCUUACUCAAUAGGUCAGCUCUCCUCCUACCUAGACCCCUACGGACACCAAGCAAAGUAAAGGGGCAAAUUAAGGGCAAAAAGGCGGCACCUAAGAGGGAUCGUUGUGCGAAGUUCUGAUGCAAGGGAGACAGUCCAUUGUGGGCUUAAUUCGGCUGAGCAGCAGGCAGACCAUGUAUCACCACUAUUAACAUGGAAUUUCAGAUAUGCAGUGCCACUGAAACCUAGCCAAUAUCACACUAUCCAUGACCCCUAUUACUUUUAUUCAUAAUAGGGUCUUUUCAUCAAUGAUCAAGCUCAGUAUCCAUAUGUUGUCCACGAGUUGACCCGCAGUUCACUGUUGCCAAGGGAUAAGAGAUUCAUGGAGUUGGCUUCCAACUUCAAGUUGUUAGACGUCUUUUAUUCUUUCUAAGCUCAGGUAGGAAGCCAAAGCCUUUGAACCUCAUCUUUUUUUUUUAAGCAAGUUUCCCUUUAAGAAGAGUGUUUUCUUUUUUUACUAAUUUAAUCACCAUGUUUCUCUUCUAAGGAAAAUGAAUCAGGUAUGGAGGUGGCCUACCACUUUGAAAAGCUAAUGCUUGAUCUAGAGAAGGCAACCAAGAGGAAUCAGACCCUUGAAAAGUAGCUCAACACUGCAUAAAAAGAGCUUGAUUCUCUUUAGGCUCAGCUCCAGAAAGCACAGGAUUGGCUACUUAAGUUGCCUUGCUUCAAAUUAGCUUGCAAGAGAUUCAAAAGAGUCAUGCCAAACUAGAAGGGAAACACAAUGUCAAGUUGAUUAAGUCUUUCCAAAAAGGGGAGAGUAAAGCCGUCAGAGAGUUCAUUUGCUCCCCCAAAUUUGAGGAAAACUUAGUCACACUCAGUAGACCAACCUUCCAGUAUGGCUAUUCUAGCGCUUUACCUAAAGUCGAGGCAAUGAACCUCCUUGGAAUCAACUUGUCAAAAUUUUUGGUUUACGAUAUCAAGGCUAAUAAACAGAUCAACAAGUUGGUUGAUGGUUACAUCAAAAGCUACAAACUGGAGGAGGUUAUUGCCAACCUUGAGCUAGAGCUAGUUGAGCAACCGGAGCAUAAUUCAGAGAAAUAAGCUGACCAGGACAGCACUAUCUCCAAGAAAGAGAUUACUAACAACGCUAAUAACAAACAAACUAUAGUCUAGGGCCUUCUUCCUUUGUACUCAACAGUUUUUUGUAUAAAAUAUUUCACAUUUUAAUGAAAAUCUUUCAAUGAAUUCCUCACAUUGCUGUCUUCUUUCAAUGAAUUCCUCAUAUUGCUAGCUUUUUUCAAUGAAUUUGUCAUAUUUUUGUAAUAUGUCUUGAUAUAUCUUGCCCCCUAAUGUACUUAGAAAAUUUUUUAAAGUAUACUAAGUUAAAAGCAUAGCGUCACCUAUUUAUUGGAUAAUUAAAAAUUAUCCAAUUUAAAUGACGAGUGUUCAAAUACAAUAAGAAUUUAGGCCAAAAAAAUAUUUUUAUUUCAAACACAUAGAAAGUACAAAAUCAAAGUUCCGAUUACUUAUUACUGGAUAAAGAGUUUCAAAUUAGUUGUGUGCCAGGGGUGCGGGAUCUCUUCUCUACUGAGAUGAGAUAGUUUAUAAUAUCCAACUUGUCUAGCCUCUAUAAUUGUGUACGGACCAUCCUAAUUAAGAUCUAAUUUAUUAGUUGCAUGUGCGUGGCUAAUUAAAUUUUUUUCUUAGGACAAGACCUCUUACCUUAAAUCUCCUUUGCAGAACUUUAAUGCUAUAGUACUGAGCUACUUGUUCUUUAUAUUUUGCCAUUCUUAUUGUGGCUUACUCCCUCUUUUUGCUCUAUCAUAUCCAAGUUAUAUUUUAUUUCUUUAUUAUUGACUUCUGAAAUAAAAUUCUGAGUCCUAGAUAAGGGGACACCCACUUUUGUUGGUAUAACUGGUCUUACCCCGAAAGUCUGUGCAAAUGGAGUUCCCUGAGUUGUUGUCCUUUGAGUAGUUGUUUGAUAGGCCCAUAGGAUGUUAGGCAAUUCAUCCAAUCAUUCCGAUUGUACUUGCUUCAUCUUGGUUUUCAACUUGUGCAAAACCGCCAUAUUCAUAUUUUUCACCUGCCCAUUAACUUACGGAUGUUCUACUAAAGUGAAAUGCUAUUUUACUUUCAACUCUUCAUACCACUUCUUAAAGGGAUUUUUCACAAACUACUUUCCAUUAUCCGAUAUCAGUACAUAUGGUAUCCUAAAGCGACACAUGUGAGAACUCGAGAAUUUAUAGUUAUACCUUGAAUUUAUUUUUUUAUUUUGUUUUUAGAAAUAAUACAUAUAUUAUACAAUUGAUUAAAUUAAGUGUUUAAUUGAUUUCUUAUAAAUUGAAAAUAAAAAAAAUCCCAGAAUGGUGUAGAAAAAAUUCUUAUAGGGGUAUGUAAAUUGGAACAAACUAAAGUUUGGGGCAAUAUUUGAAGUUGAUAGAAUAACAAAUUCUUAACUAGUAAAUAAACCAAAGCUAAAAGACCAAUUUAACCCUAAAACUUCAGCAAUCAACCGUGUAACCAAGAGGACCACCUUCUGGAAUAGAACCGAAAGAAAAAUGAUAGGUUCUGCCAAUGCAUUUGGGCGGUGAAUUGAGAUAGCUGCCAGGAAGGAAAUGUUACUAAGCCAGCUGAGUAAGCAAUAACCAAAUAGAGAGCAGCUUAAAAGAAACAAAAACUGGGCGGUGGCCGAAAGGAAACAAUCUAAUCUCCUUAAUCAAUAAGGCCGAGAGAGUUGAGAAGAAAAGUUGUCUUCCUUUCUUGCUUCUUCCUAAAGCAGACUCGAGUGAGUGAGAUGGAGUGUGAGGGAAAAGAAAGUGUAAGCUUCACCAACAGCUAACUAUGCGAACGAAAACAGAAGGGAGGUCGAGUGAGGAGUUGUGAUAGCAAACUUGAGCAGCCUGCAACAUCGAACUUUAAGGGAACAGGUAAGAGCUAUAACCACUCUCUGUUUAGUUGAUUUAAUCCAUUAAACAUAAGCCUUAUACGUUGAAUUUAGCUAGAGGCUUAGUUCUGGUUCAAGAAAAUGUUAUGCAGAAUUUGUAACUAAGAGCAGAAAUGAGGUAUGGUUUUGUUUAGUUCUUGAAUUUAGUCUAACAUUUGUUAAGGACAACCUGUAACCGAAGAGAUGUUCCCUGCAUGCUAACUGGAACCUGAGAUUGAAGGGGGAUCCUAAGGAACUAACAAAUGAUACCUUGUUGCUAUACGCAUGUGAAAGCAUUCAAAUCUGAUGCAUGCUGCAAUGCACCAGAUUUGCAGCUAGCUGCAGAAACGAAGCAGAACUCAGUCUUUUUUCCUUUGAACCCUGGUCAUGAACGACCUUGUUUAGCUUAGAGUAACCCGCAGUAGGUUAAGUGUCCUCUGCAUAAAUGAUUGAGACCAAAACUCAGGAAGCUUAACUAGUUGAUGCAACCUGCUGUGAAUCCGAGAGGGAGGAAAUUAACCUUGGAAAGAAAAGCUGCAAACCCUUAAACUUCUAAACUAACUUACAGAGUUGAACCUGUUAUAAUGCCUCUAAAUCUCCACCAGAAAGACAGAAAUGAGUAGGAACUAAACUGAUUGUUGAAGGCAGAAUAAGUUUAGUGAUGGCAGGUAACUUGUCCGAGAGAAUGAAGCAGAAUGUGCUUCUGAUCGGCUAUUUUUUACCCUGAAAAUGUGAGAACUGGGUGUCGAUGCCACCAUAAGAAAUGUAGGUUCAUGUCUUAGUUUCGAAACAUUAUAAAAUUUACCUCAAUCCGAUAAGUAUAGCUCCAGUUAUGAUCAAAACACCAGAGGUUGGCAAAGCUGCCUUUCUCGUUGCCUUUCUCUUGUUUUUCCGAAUGCAUUCUACUUGAUGCUGGCCGUGAAGAAACUUAUUUUUUUAACAGCAUUUCAUCUAAUUCCCAACCCUGUAAGCAUUCAUAAAUGAUAGUUAAGGUUGCUCUGAGAUUUAACGACUAUAUCUAGUUCACGAGUAGAGUUAAAUUAAAGCAAAUGAGAGGAAAACUCAUGAUAGUUAUAUACCUAAAUUGGCUUCUAAUCACUUAAUAUUGUCUUUACAAAUAUGUUAAAAACUAUAAAAUUUGAGGGACGAGUGUAGUGGAAUAAAAUUUAAUUUACAAAUAACUUGGAGUUUAACUAAUUUAAAAAGGGGACCAAUGGAAUAUUCCUAAGCUUUAAACUUAGAAUCUUGAGUAGAAAAUGAUUAAUCCUAAUGUAAACAUUUUAUAAAUUAUUAACUUGAAAAGUAUGUAUAAUUCGUGAUUUAAGAUAAUAAAGUCAAUAAGUCUCGAAAUAAAUUGGGGAAUAAAUAUUGCGUAUAUUUUAUAUUUUAAAGUCAAACCUAAUUCGAAUAAUUUAAGUAAUAAGUGAACAUAUACAAAUUAUAAAUUUAUCAUGAAAUUAUAUAUUUAUCUCAGGAAGUAGCUGUGAGCCAGGAAACAAACCCGAGACUCGAGAGUAAAUUAUUUGGAUAAUUGGUGAGUGUUUUCCGAAUUUAUGUGUUUAACUGUUUAUGUGUAUCUAAGUGAAAUUAUGUGACAAAUGUGCUUAUCAUGAAUUAUUACUAAAUGAUUCCUUGUGAAGUGUAUCUCAAUUGUCCCUCACCUUCUAAGUCGAGAGUGUACUUUAUCACACUCGGCUUAGUUGAGUUUGAGGUCAAUAAUUGGCUGAAUGUUAUUGUAAGUGUGCAUGAAUGUAAGUCGUAUAUGUGCCUCACCGCAUCGGCUGAACUGGGCCCCAAAACUCUCUGUUCAACGGACUAUUCGGGCCAGCAAAGGGCUUGGUUGGGUAGGACCGUAGUUUUGAGUAAAUGUUUCGGUAUACUCGAGUAUUACCAUGAGGUUGGGAGUUAUUGAACUAAUUAUUGAAUAUAGGGGAUUGUUUGUUGUAUUGGAGGACAUAAGGAGGUGAAUCAGCGGAAUGUGCAAUGAUAUUGAAAUGAAUGUACAAUGAUGGUGAAAUAAGUGUCUCUUGAUACUGAAAUGAAUGCUCAAUGACCUUGAAGUGGCUCUAAUGCGAGCACCGUAUCCUGUUGAAAGUGAUUGUUUAGUGAAGUGUUUUUUCGAUUGCUUAAUGAAAGUGAUUGUAUAAUAAAAUGUGCACUACUUGCUUAAUUGUACUGAUUUAAGUGUUUAUUAAAUGUUGCCUACUAGGCAAACCUCACUGAGGUUUAGCUCAACCCUUUAGUUUUGUUUUCCUUAUAGGAGCUGGUGGUAGGGGAACGAACGAGGGAUCUUAGGGAGUUAACGUGAAGAUUUUUGUGAUUGUAAAUCCUUUAGUUUCAUAUUAUGGUUGAAACUUUUGUAUUGAACUUGGUAUUGUAAAAGAUUUGAGCGUUUGGUUUUGGUUAUCAAAAUGUUAUUUCUGAAGUUAAUGUAAGUGAGUGCGCCCUGGCGAGAGCCAGGCAGGCGAUCCGCUAACUUUUAGGGUAUGCCCUAGAAGAAGGUGAGGCCGUCACAACACAUGAUAUUCUUUCAAAAAAAAUUUGAAUUGUUCUCCCUGUUAUAGAACUCAAGGGUUUGGUCUCUAUCCAAUUAGUAAAAUAAUUUAUGGUUACCACCAAGUAUUCAUAAUCUCAAGAGCUCUAGGAAAGGAUCUAAGUAGAUCUAUUCUCUAUGGAGCAAAAGGCCAACAGCUUUGAAUAAGGAUUAUAUCCUAAGUAGGCUAAUGAUGAAUUGAUGUAUGUAUUUGGUAAGCUCUUCAUUUCAACACCAGUUCAGAAGCAUCUUUGAAGAUUGUGGGCCUAUAAUAACCCAUUAGCAUACAUUUCUUUGCUAACAUUCUUGACCCAAUGCGAUUUUCACAUAUCCCUUCAUAAUUUUCUUGGAGUACAUGCAUAAUCUCCUUCUUUUGGGGUGAUACACCUUAAUUGUGAAAAUAAAUAAGACUUCCUAUAAAGAGUUUCUCGAAAGCAGACAUACCUAGUAGUUCGGAGUUUUAUUUAUAUGCUUUCUACUUAUUUCUGGUAGCAUUCUCGAGUUGAGGUAUUCAAUUAUGGGUGACAACCAUGAAUCCGAGUUAUAAAUCGCUUGAACCUCUUGCUAUUCAAAACUAUGCUAUUUGACCACUUUUACUAAGAUUUCUUUAUUGAGAUGUAUAGAGGAUGAAAAAGUUAAUUUAGAUAGAGCAUUUGCCCUCUUGUUCUAGGAACGCAGAAUUUGCUCCAUCUCUACUUUCUCAAACAUCAUUACCAUUUUCCAAACUCUUGCCGGGUACUUCUUGAUCAGAUCUUCCUUAGCCUCAUAGUUCCCUUUUACUUGAUUGACUAUGAGUUGAGAAUCACCAUGAAUCUUUAAGGAAAUCACUCCUACUUGCCAAACUAACUUCAUUCCAAGCAUUAAUGCCUCAUACCCUACUUCAUUAUUGGAUGCUUUAAAGUCAAACCUUAAAGCAUAUAUCAGCUCUUCUCCUGUUGGACUGAUCAACAGUAGCCCUGCUUUACAUCAUUUCUUACUAGAGGACUCAUCCAUGAAUAAAAUUCAUGCUGAUCUAGUUUUAUCCAAGCCAUUUACUUCAAUUUGAGAUAUAACUACUCCUUCAGUUAUGAAAUCGGCUAAAACUAGUGCUUUUAUCGCUGUUCUUAACUUAUAAGAGAUAUCAUGCUUAGCUAAUUCAAUAGCCCAUUUUGUCAUCCUUCCUGAUACCUUUGAUUUUGUGAGUAUUUGCUUAAGUGGUUGAUCUGUUAUGACUAUUAUACUGUGAGAUUGAAAAUAAGGUUUGAGUUUUUUAGUUGCAUGAACAAGAUCCAAGACAAGCUUAUCUACGGAUAUGUAUACCACAUCUUGACUCCAUGAAAUGUUGUAUAACAUAAUAUACUGGUUUUUGAAUACCUUGACUUUCUUGAACUAAGACAACAUUGGUGGCUUCUUUGCACAAAUAUAAGUAGACGAGCAGGAUUUCUCCCUGUUUUAGUGAGAUAAGAGUGGGCAGGUCAACCAAAUACCUUUUCAGCACUUCAAAGGCCUUCUGGCUGUCCUUAAUCCAUUCAAAAUUGAUACUUAUUUUGAGUAUUUUGAAGAAGGGAAGCUUUUUGGUAUUCAUAAUUGAUACCUAGAUAGAGACUAUUCAAUGCUACCAUCCUUCCCAUGCACUUCUUUGACAUUUUUUGAAAGAGUCAUUUUGAUGAUAGCAUUGAGUUUAUUCGAAUUAACUCAUAUUCCAUCUUUGGAUACCAUGUAUCCUAGGAAUUUUCUAGACUUCACCGCAAAUAUACAGUUUUUUGGGAUUAAAUGCAUCCUGCUAUCAUGCAAGAUCUCAAAAACAUUCCUUAAGUCAGGAAUGAGCUGUUAAGUAGUUCAACUCUUUACGAAUAUAUCGCCUACAUAGACCUCCAUGUUCUUGAUGAUCUGCUUUUGAAACAACUUGUUUACUAGCCUUUGUAGGUAGAUCCAACAUUUUUUAAUCUAAACAGCUAUAACAAUAUAUACCUCCUUCUUUAAUAAAAGAGGUCUUUUCCUUAUCGCUUUUCUUCAUUUCUAUCUGGUGAUAGCUCUUAAAAGUAUUCAGAAAAAUAAUAUCACAUCCAAUAAUAUAAUCUACUGGCCUGUCCACCUGAGAAAGUGGGUAACAAUUCUUUAGAAAUGCCUUAUCCAGAUUGGUGAAGUCUACACACAUUCUCUAGGAUUUGUCUUCUUUUUUCACCAAUACUGGAUUAGCUAGCCAGUUCGGAUAGCAUACCUCAGUUAUGAUCCGAGAUUCUAAAAGUUUUUCCACCUCCUAAUUAAUGAUCUCAUUUCUUUCCAAGGCAAAAUUUUGCUUCUUCAACUUUACUGGUUUAGCACUUAGGUCUGCAUUUGGUUUAUGGACAACCAGCUCUACUAGUAUUCCCUAAACAGCUCCUUCAACUAUUCCUUCUCACGCUAGAGUAGAGAAAACCCAAUUUUAAUCACCUGAACUUGUAUUUUCUCUUCCACUACAACAAAAAUGGCUUUUCUUGACACAUGUAUAAGGACACUUGUUGGUUUGUAUCAUUAUAGCACUUCUAUCAUGACAUUUGUUAUCAAAUCAAUAAUAUAUACUUUAAUUUUUUUUUAUUUUAUCUGAUAUAAAAAUAAUAAUGUGUCUUUAGAUUUCCUAUCAUGACACUUGAGAAAAUGUGAGAUACACCAAAAAAAUUAAAACAUAAAACGAUGUCGUUUGAUUUUGGCGGAAGAUUCCUUUGCCAAAACACUUAUAGUGAAAUCUCAAAAUUUCAUUUUGCCGGCCAGCAAAAUUUUGGCUCUUCUCAUCUCUCUCGGCAAACUAUCUCUCAAAGCUCUCUGCCAAAAUUUUCCUUUCCCCACAAAGUUUUUUCUGCUGAAUCUCUCCGCAAUCAAACUACUUUUGCUUCCCUAUUGAAGGUAUGUAAUUGCAUGGUUACUUUUUGCCCUAAAUUGUACAAUUUUCUGAUUUCCUGCUCCUGCUCUGUAAACCAACUGAUGUGAAAAUAAUUAACUCCUGUAAGCUGCAAUAAGAUUCUGUGGUAUGCUAGUUCAAGUUCGAUACUGAUUUUUCUUCUAAAAGUUGCUUCAUUCUCAAUCUUGUUUUCAUGAUUUUCUGUUUCGGCUGACAGGUAAGAACUAUAUAUUAGUUGGCAUGGUUCACAAGCCCAAUUAAUUAUAAUAGAUGCAGAGCUAAUCAAAGAAUUACUAACCAACAGAGAAGGCGCUUACCAGAAAAUGGAUAUGGAAGGCAUUGCAAAGAAAUUAUCAAAUUAAUAGGUGAGCCGCUUAUAACAAAUGAGGGUAAAAAAUGGGCAAAAGUACACAAACUGGCUAACCACUCAUUCCUUGCAGAGAGCCUAAAGGUAAGCCUUCUUCUAUGUUAAUCACAUCACGAGUCAAGAAUAAGAAAGUUCGUUGUCCCAUAUAUGAAAAUGGGAAGUGAAUUUGGCAUAUAAUAUUGCUCGAGUAAUUCCCUAUACAUGAUUUGCUUCUCAUAAGAAUAACCUUUUGCAUAGAGCAAGGUACCAGAAAUGAUUGCUAGUGUCGAGGCGUUGCUGGAAAGCAAAGGUAUCAGCCCUCGUCUUAUGCCAAAAAAUCUCCUCUUGCCCCCUGCCCUGUACCCCGGCUUCUCCCACAUAAGUGACCACUACCCUUUAUACUGGAUUUGUUGUCCAUAACCUGUUCGAUAAAAUGUCAACCUUCUUUCCUUUGGUACUGAUAUUAAUUUACUCAAUAAUAUAUAAACUAAUAGAAUUAUUGUAAUUAAGAUGCUUUAUCCUCUUUCAUAUCUGUGAGCGCAUUUGAUGUGUUUCUGUUGCUUUGACAUAUGCUUGUUUAUUGCUGAUCUCUUUCUUCAGUCUGUAAUUAAGAAGAAGUAUGGCCAAGAUGCAACAAAUGUUGGUGAUGAGGGUGACAUUGCUCUAAUAUCCAGGUUAGUUCAUGGCAUUUUGCUAAUAUGCUUCCUGUUCAUUGUUCAAUUCGGUUGUCAUAUAUUUUACAACUUUGUGACUUUGACAUUUCAGGAGAACAAGGAAGGUCUUGAAUUGCUUAAAACAGCUAUUGCUAAAGCUGGUUACACUGGUAAAGUAAGUAUUGGAAUGGAUGUUUAUACUGGUUACACUGUUCUUGAAUGCUAUGGGUAUAUGUUUUGCUGGUGAAAAUGGAGCAGAUGUCAAAGGCGGAUGUUUGUAUGGAAGCAGGCUGCAUCCAAGCUUAGGGGUGUACAAGUUUUUACUUACACAGAGCUUGAGAUUGCAACAAACAAAUUUAGUGCAGCAAAUGUGAUAGGAAAUGGAGGGUAUGGGGUAGUGUAUAGAGGGAUUUUGAGUGAUGGCACUGUGGCUGCAAUUAAGAUGUUGCACAGAGAAGGGAAACAAUGAGGAACGUGCCUUUCGGUUAGAGGUUAGUGGACUUCAUUUAUUGCUAGUUUUCAUAUUAUCCAAUUUUUUAAGCUACAUAAGCUUGUCAAUUAAACUCAUCUGUACACUCAAUUGAAGAUUUUUUUUUUGUUUUUUGGUAUUUUCCCCUCUUUGGCUAAAUACAUUGGGGAAUAAAGGGAAGUGGUGAGUGAGAAUGGAAGUGAGAUAUUUGCCUAAAAAAUUAAUGGUACUUCUGGCAUUGGUCCAGCCAUUGCUUUCUUGAACAUCCUAAUUGAACUUAUUUGAUGGGUGCUUGUCUGUGGUAUGGUUUAUUUCAACAAGUCUGUAUUGAAAUCAGUUUGAAGAGUUUGAAAUUGCUGCAGGUUGUGAUUGGGAUGGAUGUGGCUGCUUCUGAGUUUUAUGGUAAAGACAAGACUUAUGAUCUAAACUUCAAAGAAGAGGUAUUGCUUUUUCACAUUUUCUCCCCAGAUUGUUAUGUCAAACGUUCGAAUUCAUUGCUAAGCCAAAGGAUAAAAUUACAUCUAGAUUCAUAAAUUCUAGUCUUCUAAAGGGGGGUAAUUUCAAUCAUGACAUCUAUCUUUUUGGUCAUUCUUCUUCUUUAUUUAGUAUGUUUGCUGCUUUAGUAGUAUGUUUGGUGAUAGCAAGUAGAAAUUUCAGUGCAAUGAUGGCAACUGGAUCAGUGUGUUAUUCCAAAACCUUUUGAUAUACAAGAAAAUAUAACUUGCGUUAUCACCUUUGCUUUUGCCAGUUAAGUUUUGCAAACCUGCUUGGUACCAAAAUUUGGCUAUUCAGCAAUCAACUUUAUUUCGAAUGAAAUGAAUCCUGUUUGGUAUCGUUACUUUACAUUAGAACGUAAUUGCUAGGUGCUGAUAUCUUUAAUUUAUUUUUUUAUUUCUGGUCUUUCUUUGCAGAAUAAUGAUGGCUCACAAAAGAUAUCAGGUUAUGACUGAAGGCUCUCAUUUCAUUGGAAAGUUUGGAAGCUACUGCAAGUUCUUUCUACUUGCUAGGGAUGAGAAUAUUUUAGUUUGUGCACAAGAGAAUCUUUUAAGUUUGUGCACAUGAGAAUCUUUCAAGUUUGUAUUUGUUAGGGAUUUGUUAUGUUAGUACUUGUUACUGACUUUUAGUUCAACAAAUUAUAUUUGAGUAUUGACUUUUGCUUUAAGAUUACUAUAUGCAUUCUGUUCUUUGGGAUAAUUUUACAAGUCCUUUGGGUUUCUGAUUGACGGAAUGUAUAGCAGGGAGCACUACCUGCAGGUUGCUUCUAUAUAAAAAAAAAAAAGAAAAAAAAAACUCCUGGCAGUUAAAAGUGUCAGCAUAGCUCAGUUAAAAAAACUCCUACUUGUUACUGACUAUAACUAUCCUGACACUUUCGAUUAUCAAGAAAAUGGAAUUUUGUUGGCAGAUGGGAUGCUAUAACAGCAUAGUUUUCCUGACACUUUGAAUGCUACGAGCCUAUCCCCACAUUGGAAGGGACGACACUCGUCCGAGAUGUGAGGAAAGGUAAAGUGUCAGGUUAGAUUAUUUAUACUGACACUUUUAAAUGCCGUUAAAAGUCAUUUUUGUUGUAGUGUUCUAAUGAAAAUUCUUUUACAAUGUCCUCAGUUCUGAGUUGAUUUGCUUUUUCCUUGGGUAUAAAGGGAUCCAAAUUGGUUGCUUGAGCCACCAAUUUUUCUUUCCCUUUGAGGAUGGCUAUAUAACAUGUCCUAACCACCUCAAGAUCUCCAUGAACCUCUGCUGUCCCACUGGAAGUCAGAAACUUCAUGCUCAAAUGUAAAGUUGAGGUAUUGGCUUUUAAAGAGUUAUGAGUAGAUUAGCCAAGGAACAUAUUGUAUGAUGAAGGUCCUUUAGCAACCACGAAAUUGACUGGAACAAUUCGAUAUCUAGGGACUUUUCCAUUAGUUACCAUUAGAGUAAUCAUCUUUCAGGUUUUAUAGGAGGGCUAAAAUAUCCUACCUAUGGCCUCCUUACUAGAGUAAAUUGCCUAUCUUUUAACUUAAGGUUCUUGAAAGUUUUGUAAUAUGAUACAUCUACUAUGCUUCCUGGAUCUAUAAACACUUAUCUGAAAUUAUUAGUGAUCACAUCUAGAUAAUUGGCUCUUGAUGGCUUGAUGCCAAUGAGACAAAAUCCUCAGGUCCAUUUAUGAUUUCUCAUAUAUGUUCAAUUCAUUGGGUAGAAUUAUCCUCUUCUAGUAGAGUUUGGUUAUUUUUUUGGGUUGAAUGACUAUUCUCACUAGUAGGUCCUCUAGCUAUUGCAUUGAUGACUCGAACUAGAUUUUGUGAAUCAAGGUCAAGUGAACGAUCUCGAGGUGAUCUCUGUUGAUCUCGUUUGUCGUUUUCUCCUUUAUCAUUUUGAUUGUUCGGACUAUAAUCUUUUCUUUCUCCCUAGGAAGCUUGGUUAUUUUGAACGUACUCUUUCAAGUUUCUCAUUUGAUCAACUCCUCUAUUUCUUUUUUUUAAUCCUUGCAUUUCUCAAUGUCGUGACUGAUAUCCCUAUGAAAGUACAAUAAAGGAUUUUAUUCCUUUAUUUUUGGAACCAGACAUCCUAGGAGACCUUCUUUCAAUAUCUUUUGCUUCCAUUACUGCCAAGAUUUGAGAUCUUGGUAUUGAUAAGGGCGUGAAAUUCUUUUCCUGAGAUGGACUCUUCCUUUUAGAAAGUUGGUCAAAAAUGUUCCUCUUGAUCUGCCCAACUUUAAGGUCAAUGGUUCCAUUCUUUCUUCAUCUGUCUUCAAAGUCUUUCUCAGAUUCUUGUUUAAGACGAGUAGCCUUCUCGGCAGUUCCAUCUACGUGAGCUCUAUUCAAUAGUUCUUCCAAUGUCAUAGGUGGUUUCUUGGCAAAUUUAUAAUAUAACUCGUUACUUCUCAAGCCAUUUAUAAAUGCUACCAUCAUCACCUUAUCAUCUUUAUCUCAGGUUUGGAGACUCAUUAUUAAAAUUAGUCAUAUAAUUCCUAAUAGAUUUAUCAUGCCUUUGUUUUAUCACCAUUAAUGUGCUGCAUUCUUGUAGUAAACUUUGGAAGAGACGAAUUGUGCUACAAAUUGCCUAGCUAGUUCAAGGAAAGACUUGACUAAUCUUAGUGGUAAUAGUGGAACCAAAGCUGAGCCCUUUCCUUCAAGAACAUAGGAAAGGUCUUGCAAUGAUUCUCAUCUAUAGUGCUUUGCAGUCAUAUAUGAGUAAGAAACACAAACAGGUGAUCCUCUAGAUUUGUAGAUGCAUCAUACAUAUCCAUGAAUUUUAAAUCUUUUUGGUGGAGGAUAUUCUUCAAUUUCCUUGACAAAGGGAGAAAACUAUGUAAAGAUCUGCAUAUUGAUUUGGCUGCAGGAUUAGAUCGAGUUCAUCCUGAAUUGGAUCCUUAGGCAUAUGGUAUUCCAAAUAACUUUUAUUAACCGAGGAUGAGAGCAAUGAGAGUAGUGCUUACUAGUUUUUGAGAUAAAAAUAUGCUUCCUAAAGGGAGAAUAAACCCAUUUCCUCUUAGGGGGAUGAUCAUCAUCAGAGCUAUUUUAGGACGACAAAGCUUGCCUUUCUAUCAUCUUUAUCAGAGCUUUUGAAUUUUACACCUCUUCUGCCUUAUUUUUCCUUUCACCAGGCUGACAAUAUCAUCAAAUAAAGGGAAAUUAUUUGGUACAAAAUUCAUAAUUUUCUCUUUCUUCUCCUCUAAAAUCUAAUAGUCAUUGUUACCCUAAGUUUGCCCAGGGAUGUCAUGAGGUUCUUUGGGGUAACUUUAAUUGGUAUUGCCUAUAGAUUACUUGGAGGCUGUCUUUGUCAUAAGGAAGUUAUAUUACUCCACUUCCCAUAGAGAGCGCAAAUUGUUGAAGCAGUAUUUCCUUCCACUGAGUUGGACUAGACAGGUAAGAAGGGAGCUCAAUCGCAUAAAGGUAGAACUCUCUAAGAAACAUACAAGGAAAGUACCAAUUCAUGAAGAUCCUCGGGGUCAAGUCUCUAAGGUCACUCUGAUUCUCAAGUCAUUUUUUGACUUGAGGAGAAGAAUAUCCUCCUAAUUAGGUGUUAGGUAUCCCUAUAUAUAGGUUUUCGUACAAGAGAGUGAUAAGAGAUUAAGACUAACAAGAUAAAGAGACAAAGAUUACCUCUUUUUGAUUAGUUGAAUAGACAUUAGUUCAUAUGAUGAUUUUCUUAAGAUUAGGAUAGUUAUUAUCACUAACCAACUCAGAUCACCCUUAUUUUAGGAAGUCAAAAACUUAUCCUACCCCUAAAGUCUUCAGUGUCUGAAAUGGAAAAGUCAGACGUUGUUGUUUCUCUUCUUAUGAUUCUACUAUUUCAUGUGGGAAUAGCAAUAGCUGCUGGAAGUCAAGAUGGAUCAGAAGCGUGAGGAUAUGUUCAAAUCAGGCCAAGUAUGUUUCUGAUGUUUUAAGUGCCCAUUACAUGUAUUACUUGUCAAUGUUGAUAUUGAGUUCUUGUGUAUGUUUCAAAGGCUCACAUGCUCUGGUGGUACUAUAGAAGUCCAAACAUGAUUCAAGAUCUCGAAAAGCCUUGGCCAAUUAUUCUUUGGCUGUAGAUAGGGCUACAAAUGAGCUAAAUCGAGUCAAAUGUUGAUUUAAUUUUAGCAAGUUCGAGGUUGAAUUCGAGUUCGACGAGCUCUCAAUGUAAAGGUCGAAGUCAAACUUGACCUCAAAUUUGAACCAAGUCGAGCUCGAUCUCGAGUUUAAAAAAUAAAAAAAAAAUUAUCUUAUUUUUAAAAGAAUGAAUAAAAUAAUAAUUUUUCUUAAUAAAUAACAAAAUAUUAUGGAUAUAUACAUGUAAUUUUAUUAUGUAAAUAAUAUAUAUAUAUAAUUGAGUCAACUCACGAGUUAACAAGUUGAUUAUCUUUGUAUUCAAGCUUGACUUAGUCAGUUCAAACUCGACUCAAGUUCAGUGUUGCCCGACCUCGAGUUGAAUAUUGAUUCGAGUUACUCGUGAUCAGUCAUGAGUGGCUCUACUUGUAUGCAGCCUUAGCUGCAAAGUAGACCUGUGAGUAUCAGAAUUCCCAUAGGGUUCCCUCAAAUUUCAAUCUUGAUUAUUUUUAUGAUAAAACAAUCUGUUUUUGUAGUGAAGGGAGCUUCAGGUGUGGGAAUUGGUAACUUUGAGGAGAUUGGGCCUCUAGAUGUUUUCCUAAAGCGAGGAAAUUCAACAUGGUUGCAGAAAGUUGAUCUCCUGUUUGUGUAGGUAAUGGUUGGUACAUUAAUGUUAGUGAAUUAUCUCAUUAAUAUGCAGCUUUUUCAAAAAUCAAUAUGAGAUUUUCCUGGAGGGGUUUUUUGUAUUUUCUUACCUGAUUUUGUUUUCUAGUAAUUGUGCAUAGAAUUAUCUAGUUGGGAUGGUCAUAGUUUUGUGGAAGACACGGAAGACACCACAUUGUUUGUGAAAAGUGAUUUUGAGGCAACAACUGACGAAACUACAUUCUUGAUCGAAUUUUUCAAAGGGAAUGAGAUCCUUUAGAAGAGUCCUCUGUACAUUAUAGAAGAGUUUUAUGGAGGCAAAUUUGCUAUUAAGGCUUUAUCUGCUUUAAAGGCUAUUAAAGCUAGAAAAUUGAAGCUAAAUCUUGGACUUAAAAAUUGAAUUUAGAGCCCUAAAAUUGAAUAUGGAGUACCUUUUUUCUUAAAUCCCAAAGUAUUGAGCUAUUACCUUUAUAAAUAUAAGUUGCAUUAAGGGAUAGUUGGAUCUCACUAGAAGAUUCUUCAGUUUGUAGUCAGUAUUUUUUUUCUUUACUUGUUCACUAGUGUCAUGAUUAGGGCAGCUGAAUUGAGUCUUAUAUUGAAAUGCAGUCUUCAUGGGUCCUCUUAUAAAAGAUGUCUCGUUGCUUGACAGCAAUGAUUUGAAGAAAUCAAACAGGUCUUCAAUGUUUAUGCUUUAAACUAGUAGUACAUAUUAGCAUAAUUCUCUAAUCUAAUCAAGCUCAAAGAUUUUGGUUCUCUAAUAAGUCUAUAUUUAAUGUAGGGUAGUUCUUCAAAUUAAGAAGCAAAUUGCAGCAGGUAAGUUUGCAGAGGCCACAGAAACAUGGAAGGAAUUGAUAGCAGUCAUUAGCCAUUAUAGUAAUAAUAUGGUAUGAAUUCUUUUGACUUUUUUCCUAGCCUAUCUAAACUUAAAGGUAAUCACAAUAAAUUGGUAAAUUUAUGCUUGCCGAUUUCAUUUGUGUAUAAAUAGAGUAUUUCUACAAUUUCCUCUCAAUUUUACAUGAGGAUGAGCCUUUAUCAUUAUCAGCUGAAUCCAAACUAAAACACAAAAUUGCAGUAAGAAGGUACUCAGUAUACCCUCAAAGAUUGAGGUGCCCUUCCGAAGGUGAUGGUAAUGAUGAUAAUGUUACCUAGAUGAAUGGUUAUAUUAGAAAGAAGUUAAGGACUAUAUCACUGAAUGUCACGUGAGUUUUUCUCCUUAGAAAAUUUUUUACUUCUCAGAGUUGGAGAAGUAAUAAUGGCUAGAACAGAUGGGAAUUUUCAACUUGUUGCUAGAGCCAUCCAAGGUGAUUUCAUUAGGACAUGGAUUAGGGAGGCAAAUAUAUCAGCUUUUGUGUUUUAGUUGAGAACGAAAAGUCGGGAAGUUUUCAGGAACUAUAUCAGUUUGUAAUUUUGAAUUAUACCAAAAAUGAUUUUUUUUCCUCAUUUGAUCAGCAUUCUUCAAUCACAUCUCAAUUGAGAUAAGACCAGCUUAUCCAAUUACAUGCAGUAAAUUCUCAAGCAUUUGUUCAACUACUUUUUGCAGGUCGAUGAACUUUGAGCAAAUGGAGUAAAUGUUAAUAUCUAAAAUGGACAAGCACAAUUCUGCAAUGGUUUAAGAAAUAUAGAGCAGGAAUGAUGCUUUAUUUUCCAUGCUAUCAAUUUGACUUUCUUUAGUUUGAUUAGAAUGUUAUUUAUUGUUGCUGAUAGCUUCAUCUCAUCUGUCCAACCAACGUAUCCAAUGCCCACAUGGGUUGAAAAGCUCAAGUAGGAAUUAAUUAAUCCCACAAGUAAUUGAGAACCCAAAUCCCUCUUUCUAAGAAAAACACUCUCUUAUCAAAAUCAGUAACUUUUUUCCUAUUUCAUUGGUGGGAUGGGAUCACAUUUUUCUUGAACAUGGAUAGAACUCCUGCGUAUUUUGAAGAUGACAAAGAGUAUAAAGGGUUUCACCAAAUCAUACAGAAAUUUACAUUUCUACUGGAUUCUUAAUGCUGGCCACUUUGUAGGUCAACUAACUAUUGUCAUAUUUCUGCUGUAUUUGUCUCUGUUGGUCUAAAAUUACUAUGACUCUUGCCUACUAGAGGCAAGGUUGAGAAGACAACACAUCCAAUAGUUUUAGUACGUCAUAGCCAAUCUCCUAAUUUUGGAAGGCUAAAGUUUUGCACAAUUUUAUCAUGAAUGUUGAAGAAAAUGUAAGGUUUGCUUGGCAUCCAUGCUUUUUGCUAGUUUAUUUUGGACAAAUUUUUUCCCCAACUUUAAGUUACACUUUUAAAAAUAGGGUUAUUAUCACUUUAAUGGAGUUUGUUAAUUCAAUUAAAAAGACAUGUUUAGCCCUUAAAAUUAUUAUCAUUUUCCUUUCAUAAACUAUAGCUUUAUUAUCAAUUUACCCCCUAGAAUUAUUUUUUAGACAAUUUAUCCCACAAUUAAACCAAUUUAGUGAGUUAAAAAACUUUAGAAAAAAAGUAUUCUCCUCUUUAAAUAAUAAAAAUAAUAAAAAAUUUAGAGUGGUUGUUCUCUUUUUUAGUAUCAAGAGAAAAAGUCAAAGUAUUAAUCUCUUUCUUCUUGGUAAUCUUAUUAAUACUAAAAAAAAUAGAAAGGUUGGGAAAAGAGAGAGAGAGAGAGAGAGAGAGAGAGAGAGAGAAAGAGCUCAAUUCUUAUUUUAAAAAAAUACAAAUAAGAAAGAAUUCAAUAUUUUUAUUUUUUUUAAAGUUACUUUACUUUUUUGUUUACUAUCCAAUUCUAAUCCUAAUCUCGGUGAUGUUAAAGUAAUACGAUAAUAUUAGAUUCUUUCUUAUUUUUUUCUUUGCAAAAUCUAAUUUUUUCUGUCUCCUUUUCUCCUAUCUAUUUUUCUUUUCUUAGUAUUAAUAAGUAUGAAAAAAGAAAUUUGAAAAAAAUCAUUUUUUAUGUUUUUGGAACUCUUAGAGUGAGAAAAAAAGGACGAAUAAUCAUUCCAAUUUUUUUUUAAUUAUAUAUAGAAAGAAUAGAUACAUUAAUAUUUUUUUGAACAUACUAUUGUGGCUAAUAAUGGAGUAAAAUGCCUAGAAAAUAUUGUUAGGAAGUAAAGUGAUUGUAUCACUGUAAUUUAAAGGGGUGAAAUGAUAAUGAUAAUGUAGUAAUGCUAAUAAAUAAAAGGGUAUUUUUAUCCAAAAUUUGUUAACAUGUUGAGUUGAACUACUUAUGGGGGUGGAAUGAUUAAAAGAUAAUGUUAGAAAAUAAAUUGAUAGUAGUGAUAUAGUUUAAGAGAGUAAAGUGAUAAUAAUCCUUAAAAAUACUCCAAAGUUUUUAAAAUAUACACCCAAAAUACCCCAAAGCAUACAAAAAAGUCUUUUCCUUCUUUCCUUUCUUCCCCCCACCUCAACCUGCUAUCACCACCAUCGACCACCUCAGCCUCUCCUUUUUUUUUAAUUCUCUCAUUCUCUCUCCCUCACCUCCUCCCCCUCACUUGUCCUCUCCUAGUCUCGGGAAGGGGGGAGGGGGAUGGGGUCAGGGAGAGGAGGGAGAGAGAGUGGCAGGGGAAAGGGAGAGGGAAGGUGAGGGUGGCGGUUGCACUAGGGAGGGUGGGAGAAGGAGAGCGAUGGUGGUGUGGGGAAGGAAGAAGAAAGAGAAACAAAAGGAAAAAAAAAAGAAAGAAAAGGAAAAGAAAAAAAAGAAAGUUUUUAAUUUUUCAAACUCUCAAAUAUACAAAGUUUUUUUACGAGUUCUACAUUAAGUUUUAUGAUAAAAUUUUAUAUAGACACCACAAAAUACACCAUCCAGGUGAACCCAUUGUUUUUCUUGAUCCUUCCCAUUGAAAUGGUUAUUCUCAUUUUUGUGCAUCUAAAUAUAUUUGUCAUAUUCAAAAAGUAAGAACAUAAUGUUUACUCUUUUUAUGCUCCAAAUCAUUGUCUUUUUGUGGAAGACAUGCAUGUCGUUCCAUUCAGAUGUUCAAUUCGAGAGCAUAAACUUCGAAAAAGUUUAGCUAAUUGUCUCUACCAAAAAGCAACAAAACACUAGCACGAAGUAAUUGAUGGGCUUGUAUGGAUGGAAUUUAUAUAUGAAGAUAGCAAGAUGUGUAACAUGUGCAUCUAAUACAAGAAUUAAAUGAAUUUAAGAGGUAAUAAGACACCACAUCACUACUACUGGAUAGUCAAACUGGUUUUGCUUUACCACGCACUAACAGAUGUCUGCCAUUUACUGGUAAAUUUACUAAUCAAGAAUGGAACAUGAAUUUUAAAGAAGAAAGAAAGCUAUGGAAGUCAAAAUUUCACGCACCAUUUAUUUAUUGAAGUUAUUGACAGAUAUCAGCAGUUUCGAUCAAAGGAAAUUAAGAUCAUAUGCUGAACGAAUUCUUGCAAAAUUAAUGUAUGUUAGGUCUUGUCCUAGAAAAUUGAACAAGAAGAACAAAAAGACUCUUGACAACCCAACAAAGGCAACUGCACAACAAAUAAAUCAAACAGAGAGAUAUCAAAAUUUAAGUGGUUCAAUAGAAUUGGCCUACAUCCACGGGUGAAAGAGAAACAUAAUAUUACUACAAACUAGAGAGUACAAAAGAGAGACAGUACAAAAUCAUAGAAAAUCAUUCUAAAAUCUAAAGGCACCUAAAACUAAAAAUACAAAAGAGACUAAAUAGCACAAAAAAGUUUAAUGGUCCAAAGGUUCACUAACUUGCUCUUUUAGUUUGACGCAUAAACAAAAUCUCUCUCGACUUGGGGCAUGAGACCCCAAAAAACUUCUCUUGAAUGGAGCCUUGAAACUUGGAUUGGUACGCUUAAUAUAUUUUAACUCAUUAAGUCCAUUGUAUUUAGAACCACCAAGAGAGAGAUUUCUUUGUAAAUUUUUUGAUAAGGGAUACAAAGAUAAACUCAACAAAUCUCCACCUUGGCAUGUAUCCAACAUCAACAAAUGACAGACAAGUGGCAAAUAUGCUACACUUCCCCACAAAAGUUCCUACAGAACCCAAUGAGUCACAAAAAUCCCAAAAGAUCCCAACGCACCAUCAAAAAAUCAAAAUACAAAAGACUCAACGGAUUCCAACUGGCAAAACACGCAAAGGAUUCAACAGAUCCCAAAGGGUUAAAAACAUGAAUAUGAUAAUUUUGCUUUUCAAGUUCACUAUGUAGGACGACUCCCAAAUUGUCCUCUCUCGUGCUCAGGAAAGACCAAUUUUUUUUUUAUCAUAGAAAAAAAGUGGGAAUAUGAUAUGGUGACAAUUGAGAUGGCAUCUAGUAGGGCUCGUGGUCAAUUUGGUGGUGGAAGUGCAUCACCAAACUCGAAAAGUUGCUUUCAUUCUUGCUGAAUAACUGAACAUCAAUCUUUCCAAGAUUAGAAACUCAAUUUCCUCACGUUUGCUGCUACUGGAAUUUUAAUUUUCUUUGCAUUUGUUGCUGCUGAAAAUUGGGCUUCGCCAAACUUUAGUCGUUGGUGUUUGAAUUCAUUAGUGUAGCCUUGCACCUCAAUUGUUUGUCAAUUUGCCUCAACGAAUUUUAUGCCAAAAUAGACAUCAGCUCUACGUCCCUACUUGCCGGAGAUGGCGGCCUGUGGGCCGUCUGACAAGCUUCCGGACAGUGGGACUUCAGUUUUGAGGUCCUUUGCAUCAGUACUAGCAGAUGGUACGAAACAAACUGAUGCCUUAGCCUUGGGAGAGGUCUCAACCUUUAGAGGAGAGCCAGCCUUGCGCAUCUCUCGCAGGGAAAUAGAGCAGCUUUCUGUUCCAUUUCAGAACUCUUUGGUGGGGCGCUUCUUGUUCAACAGACCACCCAUGGAAGUUAUUAGGAAAUUCUUUCUUUCGCUGGGUUUACGAGGUGCUGUAAGGUUGGGCUCCUUGACCAGAAACAUGUUCUGAUCCGUCCGGUGUUGGAGGAAGACUACACCCGUCUUUUUGCACGUAGAAUCUGGUAUGUUAGCAGCUCGCCAAUGUCAAUUUCCAAGUGGUCGCUAGAGUUCAAGGCAGACCAGGAAUUAUCGAUAGCUCCAAUUUGGGUUUGUUUCCCAGAGUUGCCAAUUCCAUUUUUUCAGCAGACCCAAUUAUUCAAGCUUGCGUCUACUUUGGGAAGGCCUCUUAAGAUUGAUGCAUCAACUAGUGACAUGCGUCGUCCUUCUGUAGCCAGAGUUUUGGUGGAGCUUAACUUUGCAUCUAAUCCUGUGCGGCGUAUUUGGAUAGGUGAUGAGAACUUCGGGUUCUGGCAGCCUGUUGAGAUGGAAACGUGGCCAUCUUACUAUGGGUUUUCCAGUAGGUUUGGCCCUGCAGAGGAGCAAUGCUUUCAUAAAAAUCCUUUCUUGCGAUCUGAUCCGCCAAUUCACAAAGUCCCUUCUAAAACACAGAAACAGCGCCAAAUCUAUGUUCCAAAAGUAGUGAAUGAGAAGGAGAAGGAGUUGGAGGUGACGACAGUCCAGAGCAAACCGGCCGCAGAUGUCAACAAGGAACAAGGAAUGUCUGCUGCUCAUGCUCAGACAAUUCCGGAGGCUGCCACUUUAGGGAAUAAUUCGCAGUUUGUUUUGGAUAGUAUUAAUCCUGAUGAUUUUCAAUUGAAUAUUGGGCAAAAUCAUAAGGGUAAGGAAAAGAUGUCUGAUGUUCAAUCUUUGGUUUUACCAAACCUGCAAAUGAAUAAGCCGUUGGUUAUACGGGAGCCUCAAGAGUCUGGUGUGGAUUGAAAUUUGAGUGGGGUUGUAUCUCGGAUAGGAAAAGCUGCAAAGUCUGUUAUUGUCACAGAUCGGGUUGUGGUGCCGGAGCAUGGAACAGAUGUUGGGCUGCAGACUUCGACUUCGAAUCCACUUGAGGAUGGGGAAUUCACUGAUCCGGAGUCUGAGAAUGACCAUUCCAUUCAACCAGCUAAUGGCGCAUUCACAGAGGCUGCUUCGGAAGAGAAGGCGAUGGAGGUUGGCGACUCCUCAUAGCAAGGUAAUGGAAUUACGCCUGAUGUGGCUAACGAUGCGCUCGUGAAGGUAGACCAACUUCAUGACCCACGUGAUAUGGUGUCAGUUGGAGACACACCCCUUGUGGGUACAAGUACAAGUACAAGAACAGACACGAAAUCCUCUAUGCCUCAAAAUCCAUGGUUUAAAAAUGUGCCACAAUUUAAAGAUGUGUUCGAAGAGCUUAAAUGGAAGAAAUUACAUGGUAGGAUCCCCCUCGUUGAUAGGUUGCAAUUUUAUUAUUAAUUUUCCCUAUUACCUGACUCGAUGUGGAUUAAUUGUUGGAUUCUACUCACUUUUAAUAUUUUGCAUUUAUUUCAGGGAGUAGAACAAAAAUAUGAUAACAAGUGCCGAUUUGACAGAAGAGGAAUCCAAAUAAUAGAACUUAUCCCAGGGGCAUUUUUGGAAAAGAAAAACUUAUCCCCAUUUUGGUAAUUACUGCAAAGGCAAGGAUGAAGGCAGGGCUUCCUUUUUGCUGAUGGGGAGCCGCCGCACAAUAGUUAGGCAUUAGAUAGGAUUGCAAUUAGAUAGGAAUAAAUAGAAAAUGGGAGCAGAGGGUUUUCUCUCCUUUACCUUUAGUUUAUAGCUUUGACUUUUCUUUUGGUUCUUAGUAGCUUAGCUCUCGUAUGUCAGAGGCAAAUAAGAGCAAUUGAAUGAUUCCUUGUAGUUUUUUUUCUUUUGACUUUUCCUUGUGGUCUGUGGUGGAUUCCUCCUGCCGCAUGAUGGCCGCGACUAUUGCUUCAGCUUUACAUGGGUUUUUUGCAACGAAUAUGAACUAAUUUCCUUACUCUAGCCAAGGAGCAACGGAGGCCUUGGUUCGCCUAAGAAUUGUGAGAUCGAUUUAAUUUAAUCUUUUCCUUUUAUUUAUUGGUAUUCGCAUAUUUCUUGAUUGCUAAGCUUAUGCUUAUUUAAUUAAUUGAUUGUCUUGGAUCCGGAUAAUUAGUUAAUUUGGUAAUCUAUUGUCAAUUAGGGCAUUUAAAUCCGUAAUUGUUUAAUUGCCUUGAAUUAGUGACAAUUGGCACGAUUGGAUUCGUGUCAGGGGGAUACGCGGGCUAAUCUAAAAUAACCCUGGUAGUGCGUUAUUUGGUUAGAAUAGGGCUCCUCUAAUACGUAAGGCAAUUGGGGAAUUAAAUCUUACGGGCGUACCUAGGAUUAUUUCUCAAUUAGAGCAGUGAUUAAUGGGCGUACCUUAAUCACCGACACAGUAAGGAGGGGUUGACUGUCAUCGCUUGUUUGGCAGUUAUAACCUAUUUAUUAAUAAAUAAUUGAAAUCGCUUGUGCAUCGAUGAUCAAUUAGGUGAAUCAUUGCCGAAGUUAUUUCUUGGUUAGAUCCUUAAUUAUCACCCAUUUGACUUUAGUAAUUUGUUAUUUAAUUUUUAGUAGUUUUUUAGAUUUUAUUUGAAUUUCUUUGAUUGUCACCUUCUGCACAAAAACACCCCCUUUGUUACUGUGAAUUUGAGAAGAAACAGUUACACCCAGUCCCUGUGGAUUCGACCCUACUUACCACUAUCUAUAGAAAUUAACUUUAGUUGAGCAGGUUUUUGUUAUUGCACAGGCUGACAACCUGGCACUCGUAUAUCAAAAGCCUUUUCUUCAUUCAAAUACAACAUGCAAUGGUGACAAAAUUGAAGAAGAAGAAGAUGAUUCACAACGCGAUAAAGACAAAGACCAAGACCAGAAACUAGUUCACGAGCAAUUUACCCAAGUGAUUUCAAAGAAAGCGAGGAAGCAGCUUUCAAAAAAAGGUAAAACAAUGCAAACACGUCAAGAUGUUAAAUCAAAUUCCCAUGCUCACUCACAAUCCCACAAAUGUGGGGCACCAUCAUGUGGAUGAUUCGUUCGAUUCAUCUGUUAUGUAUUUAGAUUCGCAGAUUUUUUCAUAUGUGCGUAUUAUUGUUGAUCCUUAGCUGUCCCUUUUACUUUAACAGAGGUCAGGUUUGGCCCCCCUCUAAUUCGUUGUACUCUUUUCGGAUAUAAAUAAAUUAAGGGAUGGAUCUCUAUUUAAAAAAAAAAAAAGUUCACUAUGUAGGAAAGUUGUCUUAACAUCAAGCUGUUCCAACUCCAAAUCAUAUAUGACAACUAAAGUAAGUAAAAUACGAAUAUAGCUAUGCUUAACAACAAACGAAAAUACAUAAUUGAAAUCAACAAUUUGUACCCAACUGUAAUCCUUUGCAAUCAAUUGUACUUUGUACAUUGCAUUUUCAACUACUGAAACACCUUCAUUCUUCUUGAAUACUCAUUUGCAUUCAACUUCUUAUCUAAAGAUAAUUUUACAAGAACCCAAGUUCCAUUUUGGUAGAGACUCAAUUUCUUCAUUUAUUGCAAUAUAUCACUAAGUAGAAUCAUCACAAUAAACUAACAUCUAAAUAGGUAAAAGACUUGUAAACUCCAUCAUUCUGUUUUGUAAUAGACAAAGCAUAUGCAAUCAAAUUUACAUAUCCUUGAGGUAGUCGAAGAUCCCUCCUUGAACUAUUUUUGGCUAUUGAAUAUUGCUUCUCUUCUGGAUUAUUUUCAUUAGUAGAUUCAAGUGCAUCUACUAGCAUUUGCUGAAUAGAAGAACUAGACUAAGAAAGAACAAAACUGCCAAUUUCAAUUUUCACCUAUUUCUACAUACUAUCAUCUGUACCACAAGAACUGGAAGACUCCUUGGAAGACAGUAUAGAGAAUAUAUCGGAAAUAACAUCUCUACUGAUCAUAAAUUUUGGGAAUUUCAGAUGAAGAAAACACAAUAUAUGCACUUUUACCCCAAAAGCAUACCCAAGAAAAGUACUUUUUUUUGCCCAAAACUUCAAUUUUUCAUUAUUCACAUGCAUGUGUGUUGUACACCCAAAAGCUAUUAAAUUAGAGUAGUUAGCAGUAGUGCACAACCAAACUUCCUCAAGAGUUUGAAAAUCAAGAGAUGUAGAAGGAACGCGAUUGACAAUAUAACAAGCCAUAUAGAUAGCCUCUGCCCAAAAAUCCUUUAUCAACUGUGCAUUAAAGAUCAUACAUCUAUCUCUUUUCAAAAGCGUUCUAUUUAUGUGUUCUACCAUACCAUUUUAUUGAGAUGUCAUUCUAACAAUGCGGUCUUGAAUAAUUCCUUCAUUCUUGUAUAAUUCAUCAAAUUCACCUUCACAGAAUUUCAUGUCAUUAUCUAUUUUAAGCCCUUAAUGUGUUUAUCUAUCUGUUUCUCAAUCAAAACUUCUAUUGUUUGAAAGUUAGGCAAACAUGAUUCUUAUGUUUAAGAAAAUAAACUCAAAUUUUCCUUAAAUAAUCAUCAAUGAAAGUCAAUAUAUAGCUUGCACCACCCUUAGAUGAAACACGAAUUGAACCCUAUAGAUCUAAAUAAAUAUAAUCAAGACCUUUAGUCUUGUGAAUUGUUGAUGAAUUGAAACUGACCUUUUUUCGUUUUUCGAAGACACAGUGUUCAUAGAAUUCCAAUGACUCAAUACUUUGUCCACAAAGAAGUCCCCUUUUGUUUAGUAUGUCCAAGUCUUUCUCACUUGCAUUUUAAAUGCAUAUGCUACAAUUUGAUGAUGUCAAAAUCAAAUAAAGAUGAUAGUAGAUCCUGUGCUAAUAGAUCCUUGCAAAAUAUACAAAUGACUAGACUUGCAAGUUUUUAUAACAACAAAAACAUCUCUAGAAACCUUCAAAAUGCCAUUUUCAGCUGUGUAUUUGAAUCCAAGGGCCUCCUAGAUUCGUCAAGAGAUGAAAUUCUUUUCUAAAUCAAGAACAUGUCUAACAUUAGUGAGUGUUCUCACAAUACAUCAUGCAUUUUAAUUCAGACUGUACUCUUACGAAUAAUAUCAUAAAUGGCAUUAUUGCCCAUUAAAACAAAUCCACCAUUACCAGGCUCAUAAGUAGAAAGCAAAUCCCUAUUGAGACACAUGUGAUAAGAACACCUUGAAUCUAAAAUUCUUUCUUUUUUAGACCUUGUUCUAUCAUUAGUCACAAAGAAAAUAUUUCUAUCACUCUCAUUAGCUGCAACACAAGUUUCAACAAUGUCAAUAUAUUCCUUACAAUGUUUUCCCUUUUUCUUUAGUUUAUUUUUCAAUAUAAAGCAAUUAGCCAUAAUAUGCCACAUUUUGUGACAAUAAUUACACUCCAAAUUUCUAUGUCUGGAUUUAGAUCUAAAUUUAGACCUACUACUAGCAGAUUCUUUUUUAUCAAUUCUGCCACUAAGGCCUUUUGCCUGACCCCCCAUUAAUUUUUCUAAUGAUAUCUCUGUCUAUCUACUCCUUAGUUUUUAAUGCAGAUUUAAGUUUUCAAUAUGAAACUGUUUCUUUUCCAUAAACCAUAUUAUUGUGAAAUACUUAAACGAUUGGGGAAGGGAACACAACAAUAAUAGGAUCUAAUCUUCAUUAUCAAUUUUCGAAUAAAUAUUCUCCAAAUCCAUAAUAAUGAUGUACCUUCAGUCAUCUAAAAUAUAUAUAGACUUUGCCUUAGAUAAACUUGAUUCUCAACUAUCUUCUUCGUAUACAAAACUUUAAUCUUGUCCCAAAUGGCCUUAGUUGAAGUCUUAGCGGCUAUCUCCCAUAAAAUCUCGUCAUAGAGAUUUAAAAUAAUACUUGAUCUUGUCUUCUUAUCCAUUUUAGCAAAAUUCGCAUAUGUCAUAUUCUUUAAUUUUUUUCAACUUCCUGUAUCACUAGAUCAACUCCGUGUCGAACCAAGGUCGCCUCCAUCUUAAGCUGCCACAAUCCGAAGUUGACACUCCUGUAUAAUUUUUCGACUACCGUCUUUAUUAUUGUCAUUGUCGCCACAUAAUCUAGAGAGAAAUUUUGAUACUAGUUCCUCAGGUCUAAUCCCAUGAAAUUGACCAACAAAAAUAAUAGUACUCUUGGCAAUCUAACAAAGAGAAUAACAUAGCAAAUAAAUCAAAUAGAGAGAUAUCAAAAUUUAUGUGGCUCAGUCAAAUUGACUUACAUCCAUGAGCGAAGGAGUAAUAUAAUAUUACUAUGAGUAAGAGAGUACAAAAGAAAAAGUACAAAACCGUAAAAAAUAAUUCUAAGGUCCAAAGGUACCUAAAACUGAAAAUACAAAAAAGACUAAAACUGAAAGUAUAAAAGAGUCUAAAUAGUAUAAUAGACUUAAUGGUUCAAAGGCCCACUAAUUUGUCCUUUUCAUUUGAUAUUUAACCAAAAUUUCUCUUAACAUAGUACAUUUAAACUCAUUUAAAUCCAUUGUAAUUAAAACCACUAAGAGAAGAGAUCUCUUUAUAAAAUUCUCAAUAUGGGAUAUAGAAACAAAUUCAACAAUAUAUAUGUGCUGAAUCUAUGGCCCCAUUUGGUAAGUGAGUUUUUUAGCUAUUUGUCUAAAACUUUACUGUAGAAGUUGUAAAAAAAAAAUUUUAAAUGUGUCAAUUUUUGGAUAUUUUGAAGUGUAUAGUUUAAAAAUUUUAAGAAAUUUUUUGAGAUUAUUUAGUUAAAGUUGUUAAAAAACUUGUAGCAGACAAACUUUGCCAAAAACUUGCCUGCCAAACAAGGUAUAUUAAAAUUUCUUCUAUUUGUCCCACUAUUUUAUUUUCCCUUCUUGUUUUCUUUGUAGGUUCUUAUUGACCAGCCGUGCGUAGCAUUGAAGAUGAUAGGAAGCAUCACAAAUCACUUGCAGCUUUAGAGUAGACAUUGGCUUUCCAAUUUAACCCCACACGAGACAGACUCUGAAGAAAUAAGAAGAGAAGAGAUGACCUAUAGAUAGCCUGCUCAGGGAGGGGAAAAGAAUAACAGAAAAGAAGUCCAUUGAUUGCCAAAGAAAAAUAUCACAAGAAUGAGAAUCAUUUCAGAAGAAAAAGGAGAUUAAUCGGGACCUUGUUUUUCACAUUAUUGUGUCACAGUAGUUUUUUCAGUUUAUGACGUGAUUUUAAUUUGCUUGUGCUGAUAGAGAUUAACUCUGAGGCGUUAUAUUUGACCAGCUGGUGAAUGACAUUGGGUUCGGUGCACAAAUGCACAUUAGGGGUAUUAAUACCUUUUCAUUGUUGGGCAAAAAAAAAAAACAUUUCAUUAGGGUUGCAACUCAAUAAAAAUUAAAAAAGAAAUGCACAGAUGCUUCCUAGCGUUUCACGCAAUUAUAUGCCUAAAAUCAUAUGCUGAAACAAGUUCUAUUUUUAAGAUUUGGAGAUUAAGUUGCAGCAAAAAGUAGCCUCAAUUUCUGUCUUAAGAGAAAAAACAUAGAAUUCUUUGAAAUCCAAAAUAACUGUAAAGCUUCUAAAAUUCACCCAGAGAAUGAAUAUUUGUACAUAAUUGAACACCACAUAUCUAAUUUUAAUCAUAAACGGAAAGUAUUUUGCCAAACUCAGACUCUUUGAAAUAUUUAGAGUCAACUAAACCAUACUCCAAACUUUGGGAGUUAUGAUGUAAAGUCAAAACGUUGACUAACAUCAAUUCAAUUUCAUUGUAAGCCAUUGUUAAAUUUCUGUCGAUUAUACCUAAAAUUAAAGAUUUUAAGAAUCAUAUUUAUUACCCUCGAAAGAUUAUAAACGAGUUUUGCUUAUAAGGCAAACGUUGCAAACUACAAUUGCAUUUUUCCCUUCUCCAAAAAGGAAAAAUGAAAAAAAAAUCCCCCCAGUCAGUCCAGGUGAAUAAUCUAAGGUGUUUUCUCUUGCAUUCAACUUCUCUAAAUUCUAAUUCACGCUUACUGCUAAUCCUCGAUUCAUGUCAGUUGAAGACCCAUCGCAAUAUUUUGACUGAACCAUAAUUUUCUUAUAAUUCCUCGAGUUUUAGCAAUGAGUUCUAAAAUUUGAACUAACCUUGUUUAACAUGAAGAGACAUUUCACAUAAUUAUCUGUUGCUUUUGACUUUGAAACUAAAUGAUAAAAAUUAACCAAUUGAAUAAUUUGUUAGAAGCACAGUACAAUUUUAUUUUAAAAAUUGUCGUAGAUUAUCAAUUCAACUUAUCCUUGUCCUGUUCUCCAACUUCUAAAAUGCCUAUUUUUUUGAUACAAAGAAAAUAAAUAGGCUUUUUUUGUUCUAAAAAGCCUAUUUAUGAAACGGGUAUAAAAAAUUUGAAGCAAUUUGUAAUAAGUAUAUGAAACGGUGACUCAAUAACGCUUAUUUGAUUUAUUUCAUUUAAUAACAAUAAUUUUCUGGUUUAUUUGAAUUGUGAACCUCCCCACUGUCCUCAAAAAAAUAUUGACUAACAAUACGAUAUGAAACAAUUUACCUGGGUCCGUGAUGGACUAGAGUCCUAAACAAGUUUAAUAUGCUUCAAGCUUUUUACAUUUUAGAAGGAUACAAAAGAUUUAUUUUACAAAGACUUGCCAGAGUAAAGAAGAAGUGGGGAACAAGCACACUUGGAGAGCGCAAUACAACAGAGAGUUGUAUGCUGCGUUCGGGAAGGAUGAAUUACUCCCGAAAAGGAAUCUAUUAAUUCGUUAUUAUCACUUUACUCCUAUAAUAACGUCUUGUUUAACUAUCAUUAUUCCCUUUAUUAUUAUUUUCUAGUUAUUUUACUCUCAAGACUAAUGGCAAAUGUAAUAAAGUUUAUUGACUCAAGUGAAAGAUAUGUUUAGCUUUAUGAUUAUCAAUUUACUCUGUUAAACUAUAACAUUAUUAUCAAUUUACCCCAUAAUAUUAUUUUUAGACACUUUACCCUAUCAUUAACUAACUCAGCAAGUUAAACAAAUUUAGAUGAAAGUGUGUUCGUUACUUGCAUAGUUAAAAAAUAAAGGAAAAAAUAUAGAAAAGCCCCUUGAGGUUAAUUGAACAUAAACUUUAGUACCUCGUGAUUUAAACUAAUUUAAAAUAGCUACAAAAAUUGUUUGAAUUAACGGGUUUGAAAUACAUGCGUUUUUUUUUUUUGCAAGUAUUUGUAGUGGAAACAAACAAAAUUUCAGUUGAUAUAUCUAUUAUACCCUUAGAGUUAUAAUACAGAAAAGUUUCAUGUGGUUAAGCAAACCUACACAAAAAGGCCCUUGUAGUUUCAAAUCAUGUAAUCUAGUACCUCAUGGUUUGAACUAAUAUAAAAAUCAACAAAAAUAAUUUAAAUUAACAAGUUUGAGGUUGCUUGAUGUGAAAAAUAAUUUUUUUAAAUCAAAUUUUUAGCUAAUGUAGAACUUUCAAAAACAACCCAAAACUCCCAAAUACAACUCACCUUAUUUCUAUACAUAAAAUAAAUAAAUAAAAAUUCCUAAAUAAAGCUCACCUUAUUUCUAUACACAAAUUAAAUAAAUAAAAACUUUCAAAUACAACUUACCUUAUUCCUAUGCACAAAAUAAAUAAAUAAAUAAAAAUAACAUGUAACCAUAUGGGCUUUUUCAUUGGCUUAAUCAUAGAGGAUUUUUCCAUGAGUUUGCCUAAUAGGAUGAUUGCUAGAAGGUCUUUUAUUACUUAUAUAUAUUAGGAUAAUUGUAUCAUUUCACCUGUCUUUGUUAGUUUUGAUGAUUUCCAUUACUAUUUCAAAUUAGUUCAAACAUGUUGAGCCGAAAUGUACGAUUUGAAACCAAAAAGGGCUUUAUUGUAAGUUAGCUUAACCACCGGGGACUUUCUUGUAUUUUAUUGAUAGGGUGUUAAUUGUUAGUAAUUUUAUUGUUAAUUUCCCCUUUUAUUCUUGCCAAAUAUUGUUUUAAUUAUUAAUAUUUACUUAUAUUUGGUAUUGGGGUUUAAUUUCAGGAACAAAGCAGAAAAUUACCAAAAAGGAGGGACUUUUAUGGGAAAAUGGAGACUUCUAAGGACCUUGGACUCUUGAAUUGGUGGGGACCACAAGCUAGUGCAAGGCAUUUAGUCAUGUGGGCUUUUCAAAGAAAGUUACGUAAGAGACUUGGAGCAAGAAGUACUUUGGAGGUUUUGUCCACAUGUGCGGGGACCACGGAUAAGAAACAUGAGUCAUUUGGACUCUAGGAAAAGAAACGUACAAGACUUUGAAUUUGGUGUGGGGACCACUAGAGAUAGCAUUAGACUUCCUUUUGGCUUUAAAAAGGGAGAAACGUACGAGAGAUGGGGAAUCAAUAGUUCUUAGUUUAGUUUUAGUUUUCUUUUCUGGGCUCUUUCGCAUGGUUGUUCUCCAUUAAUGGAGAACUAACCUCUUAAUUCUAGUCAAGGGGACAACUGAAGAUUUGGUUCAACAAUUACUGUGAGAUCGAAUUUAUUUUAAUUGUUUCCUCCAUUUAUUGGUAUUCAUAUGUUUCCUGCUUUUAACUGUUAUAGCUCUUGUGUAUGAUUGAUUAGUGCGCAAUAAUUAAUUAUUCAUAUGGACUAUUUUGCUAAAUAGGGGUAAUUGAAUCCGUAAUUGUUCGUUAUCUCUACCUCAGUAGCAACUGGCGUAAUCGGGUUUAUGUCAGGGGAGCAUAUGAUCUAGCUUAAACAAACCCUCGUAGCGUGUUUGUUGGUUAGGAUUGGGCCUUUCUAAUUAUUAAUGCAAUCUAGAAAUUAAAUUCCACGGUCGUACCUGGGGUUAUUUUUGGGUUAGAGAAAUAGCUAACGGUCGUACCUUAGCUAUCGAGAAAUUAAGGAAGGGUUGGUUGUUUAUCGCGUACAUGACAACUAUAACUAAUCUAUUACUAAAUGUUGGAAUUAUCUGUGAAUCAAUGAUCAGUGCCCGAACCAUUUCUGAAGUAUACCCUUGGCUAGAGCUAUCUUAAUUAUUUCUUUUACUUAUUUUCUGCAGUUAAUUUAUUUAGUUAGCAUUUAAUCCAAAACCCCCCAUAUCUUGAACUCUAGAAGAAACGAAUUAUCCCCAGUCCCUGUGGAUUCGACCCUACUCACCGCUAUAUACAAAAUCUGUAUUUUUCUUGAGUAGGUAUUUAUUAUUGUACAGGUUCGGCACCUGUCAAUUUUUGGCGCCGUUGCCGGGGACUGGCGCUAGUUAUUUGUUUCUUUUUAAGUUCAUCUUGUUUUCUUUCUUUUUUUUUUUUUAUAGUUUAUGGCUGCUAGCAUUCCAUAUUUUGAUGAUAGACCGGACUUUGUUCCUGAAUGGGGUUAUGAGACUCAUGUUCUUCCUAAUGAUCAAUGGGCUGUUGCAAAUUGUGGAACUUAUUUUGACUCAGGUUAUUCAACUGACACAUGCCCCGCAUUUCAAGACAAUCUAAGUGCUCCAAUUGAUACUUUCGGAGAUUUUCCACCCCAAUAUCAAAUGCAGUAUGACCCUUAUUCAAACGGGUAUGAUCAAGGAUGGUGGGAUAAUUCCAGUUUUGAUUAUGCGACCGGGCCAAUGGAUUUUCAACAGCAAGAGUCUCAACAACCAUCGUCCCUGUCAGGGUACCAGCAGCAAUACCAACCCCGACCACCUCCGCCCCCAAGCUCUGGUCCAUCUUUGGAGGAGAUGAUAAAACAAGUGAUGACAAACAUGGCGCAAAAUCAGCAAAGGACGGAGGCAAUUCUUAUGCAAAAUCAACAAAGGACGGACUCCGAAAUGCAGGAUAUAAGGAAUCAGAUAAGUCAAAUGGCUACAACAAUCAAUCGUUUGGAUUCCCAGAACCAAGGUGAAUUGCCAUCUCAACCUGAGUUGAACCCGAAGAAUGUCAGCGCCAUGACCUUGAGGAGUGGCAAAGAGGUUCAAGGGCCUGAGCUUGUAAUCCCUAAGGACAAGGAUGAGGAGAUGCAAGAAUGUCAAAAUGAGAAAUCUACAGAUGCAGUUGAAAAAGAAGCCGAAAAUGAAGAAAUGGAACCCCAACCGCAACCCAUUGAAGUGAAAGAAUCCAGUGAAGAAUCAUCAAAUGUGGUGACACCACCUCCAUUCCCUAACCCGCAUUUUCUUAACUUUUAUUCCAUGAUUUCUGUUAAUGAGAUUGAUUUUGUUAUACCGGAAGUUUUUGAGUCUCAUGGCAGAAAUAAGUUAAGAGUAGCUAUGGUCAAAUAUCUUGAACCGUUGAGUGCUCUUGAUGGAGGGGUGGAGGAAAAAUUGAGAUCACUGCUUGAUUAUUUGGCACCAUCAACUAAUCCAUGGAAGACCGUAGCUCGUGUGCUCAAAGAUUACUCCAUCUAUGAGGGUUACCAGGAUCAUAUAGAGGAUGAAGCAUUAAGACGAGCUACACGAUUUUAUCCUCCAUGAACAAAACAUGAUAAUGUCUAGCCAAAGACAUUAAAGAAAGGCGCUCAUUGGGAGACAACCCAAUUUCUUUUAGUUGUUUGUUUGAUUUUAUUUGUUAGUUUAAAUCUGUCUUCCUUGAAUUUGAUUGAUUUUGGGUGUUAAUUUUCGUUUUUUGCUGAUUUGUAGGUGAUCUUCAAUCAUGACGCGCCCGUGUGGUGAUGUGCAGGACGCUCACGAUCAGAAAAUUCUGAAACUUCUGGGAGCUCUCUUACCCUCAUGACGCGCCCGCGUCACGUUCGCGGGAAAGGUAAGGAUUCAAAAAAAAAAAAAAAAAUCUUUUAACCGUAGCUACCUCUUUUCUUUUUUGUUACAAAAGAAAAAAAAAUAAAAAAUAAAAUAAAAAAAUAAAAAUAAAAAAUUUUGAAAAAAUAAAAAAAAAAAAAAGAAAAAAGGAAAAAAAAGAGGAAGUAAUACGGAAUCAAAAGGAAAAAAUUUUUCUUUCUCCUUAACCGUAGCUAGUUCUUGACUUGUCAACGUAAAAACAAAAAAAAAUAAAAAAUAAAAAAAAAUCCUUUCUUUUUCUUUCUUCUUUCUUUCUUUUCUUUCUUUCUUUCUUCUUCUUUCUUUUUCUUUCUUUCUUUCUUCUACUCUGUUCUCCUGCUGGUCCGUCGCUCCUGCUACACGCGCACCUCCAGCUCAGUGCCGCCCUCAGCCCUCUCUCCACCACCAAAUCUGCCCCCACCGCUCGUCACUGCCGACGCGAGAGUGACGCGGCCGCACGCUGCCGGCUCCAACUACACGGCUCUCCUCCAUCUCCCUCCAGCUCCUCUGAGCUCUGUUGCUCACCCGGCGUCGACCACCACCACAAGCCGUCCCUCGCAGCAGCUUCCUCUUUCUGUCCGCUGCUUCUUCCUCUCGCUCGAUUGGACCCAUCGAGCGCCGCCGCUGCUGAAGCUUGCCAGCCGCCCCCUUCGCUGUCCGCGCGCCAAGUUCAGCCACGCGACGCAGGCCACGGACAGGGCCCGUACGCCACUUCGCGAAGGCCCAGCUCAUCUGAGUUCCGCCGCCCGCAGCUCCACCUCCGACCGCUGCUGUUCACGACACCAAACGCUGCACCUCCUCUCUCUUCGCCGCACGCCACCCGCUGCUGUCCCCUUUCAUUUGGUUGUCAUCCAAGGUGGAGGUAAUUGGAACUUGUCCCCCAUUCUCUUAAUAACUAAUUGGUGCUGCCUGGGUUGCUCAAUAGUUAAUGUUGUUGACGAUUGAAGUUUAUUUUCUCAAUUGGUGAAUUCCACCAGUGGUACUGGUCGGACUAUUUUCGCUUGGAAUUGCUAUUUCUUUUGGGUUGGGUGAAAUUGUGCAAUUAAUUGGCCAACUGGAGCCAUUUGUUGGGACUUUGGGUGAGCUGAAAUAUUGCAGUUGUUUGUUAAAUUGGGAGGCCUCUGUACCAUUUACAUUGCUUAUUCCAGUUCAGUGCAUCUAGUUGAAAUGCUGGGGUUCAUUAUUAGAUUUGACUGAGAAUCCUGUGGAUACAUUGCUUGUUGUGUGAAUUGAGCUACAUUAUUUGGGGGAUCUCACUAGUGUGGGUUAGUAGCCGUUGAACUUGUUUCAUCCAUUGUUUGGGUAUUUUGGCUUCGCUGGGUCACUUCUACUCUUUUGGCUGACUGUUGGAGGCUGGGCACUUGGAGUUACUCUGCUACUGUCGAAUUUAUGAGUUAUUAUUGAUUGCAUUGUUAUUUCUUGGGGCUGUUGCUACAAUUUCAGUUGAUUGAGUUGUGCAUUUCAUUUUCCGCCAGUUGUACUAGUUGGAGUGUUUUCCCCCGAAUGUGUUUCCUCUAGCUGGUUAGAUAUUCGAUCAAACUGCCAGGAUCUUGUGGUUGUGUUGCUCUUGAUAAACUUUAGGGUUGCUAUUGCUAGAUUUAGCAUAUUACUGGGGUAUUCGUUAAAAUUUUAGAGUGCAUUUGUUGAGAUUAUGAAUGGCCAAGUUUGCUUGUUGACUGACUGAAUUAGGUAGUCCCUGUGCUUAUUGACGUGACUUUGCUAGUUCCCAGUUAUUGAUAAUAGUUUCUGGUUGUUGAUUUUGGAGUGCAACUAUUGCUUUAUUGACCAUAUUUGGGCUUGAGUGGCCCGUGUUUGCUUUUGCAUUUGACUAUUGAGUUGGGGAACACCAGUGACUAUGGAUUUGCAUUUGUUGGUUGCUAUCUUUGUUGGAUAUUCUGUCUUUUGUUAUUUGGGGUGAUAAUUGGCGUCAAUGGUGAGUGGCGCCACUUACAAGUACAGGUUCACAACGGAGAUGAGCGAAUGACGAAUAUCACCCGCCAAGUGGCAAGGAUGUCUCAGAACUCGGCUUCCCUCCACUGUUCCCUCCUAUCCCUUAGCUGUUCAACAGGGAAGUUUCAUUGUUCUCUUCGUUUUCAUUACUUUAUUACCUCCAUUGAGGACAAUGUAGGAUUUAGGUGUGGGGGGAGCAGUUAUGGUGCUAGUGUCUUUCAUUCAUUUUUUUUUCUUUUUAGUGAUUGGCUCGUAAGUGCAUGCCAAGGUUUGAUGUUGGAUUAUUACCUCUAUUUCUACUAUUGCCAAUUUUAAUAAUAAAAGGGUAUCAAGUUAAUGUGGUUGAAUCCAAAAACAUCUCUUUGGUGAAUAUCGAUGAUUGUUUUACUCUUAUAAUUUUUGGUUAACUUUCCUAGGCAUAGGGAAUGAUUAUUGGCAUUUUCAUGUGAAUUGGUCCGGUUAUUAACUUUAGUUCUCCAUGUUUGAAAAUGAGGCUAGCUGAUGCAAGUUUUCUUUUGGUUCUUGUAUUAUAUUGAGUUUUUGUGAUUUUUAGCUAUGAAUAAACUUGACUGUACUCCGCUAUUAGUUACUACUGAGUAACCGGGGAUCUGCACCUAAAAGUGUUGAUUCUCGCGUCAAAAGGUAGUAAUUGCUAUGAGUACGUGGUCACGUGGCGAUAGAAGCUGAGUAACCGGGCUCCUUCAUAUGGCCAAUGUUGGAGUUCGCGUCAAAAGGCUCAAAUGGCUAGCGACUAAGUCUUUUGUUACUAUUGAAAAAAAAAAAAAAAAAAAAAAAAAAAAAUAGAAAAACGAAAAAAAAAAAAGUGAAGGUUGUGUUAGUGUGUAAUAAAAAUCAGCUUGCCGAAUUAUGGAUUUAAUGUUGAGAUUUUGGUUAAUAGUUGGACCAUUUGCUGAUAAAUGUGAGCAACCAUUCCUUUUUCUUAGAUUAGUUUGCUUUAAAUUGGAGGAGUUGGUAGUUCAGAUGCUAACCGGGGUGAUUUUUCUUGGAUCUUGACCUGUGUCGCUUGAUAUAUGAUUUUCUCGGUGUCCUGGCAAUAUGGUAGUUGGAGUAACAGCCAUGGUCAAAUUUUGGUAUUCAAUUGUUGUUCCCAUGCUUGAGGGCAAGCAUGAUUUAGGUGCGGGGGGAAUUGAUAGGGUGUUAAUUGUUAGUAAUUUUAUUGUUAAUUUCCCCUUUUAUUCUUGCCAAAUAUUGUUUUAAUUAUUAAUAUUUACUUAUAUUUGGUAUUGGGGUUUAAUUUCAGGAACAAAGCAGAAAAUUACCAAAAAGGAGGGACUUUUAUGGGAAAAUGGAGACUUCUAAGGACCUUGGACUCUUGAAUUGGUGGGGACCACAAGCUAGUGCAAGGCAUUUAGUCAUGUGGGCUUUUCAAAGAAAGUUACGUAAGAGACUUGGAGCAAGAAGUACUUUGGAGGUUUUGUCCACAUGUGCGGGGACCACGGAUAAGAAGCAUGAGUCAUUUGGACUCUAGGAAAAGAAACGUACAAGACUUUGAAUUUGGUGUGGGGACCACUAGAGAUAGCAUUAGACUUCCUUUUGGCUUUAAAAAGGGAGAAACGUACGAGAGAUGGGGAAUCAAUAGUUCUUAGUUUAGUUUUAGUUUUCUUUUCUGGGCUCUUUCGCAUGGUUGUUCUCCAUUAAUGGAGAACUAACCUCUUAAUUCUAGUCAAGGGGACAACUGAAGAUUUGGUUCAACAAUUACUGUGAGAUCGAAUUUAUUUUAAUUGUUUCCUCCAUUUAUUGGUAUUCAUAUGUUUCCUGCUUUUAACUGUUAUAGCUCUUGUGUAUGAUUGAUUAGUGCGCAAUAAUUAAUUAUUCAUAUGGACUAUUUUGCUAAAUAGGGGUAAUUGAAUCCGUAAUUGUUCGUUAUCUCUACCUUAUUUUCUUACUUUUUAAAAUUGAGUUUUCUAGCUCCCUCUCCUUCUACUUUUAUUUUCUUGAUGUUAAUAAGAGUGAAAAAAAAAUAACGGAAAAACUGUUUUGCUUUUAUUUUCUUUGUACAUUUAGAGUGGAAAAAAGAGAGGAGAAUAGCCGUUUCAAUCUUUUAUUAUUUUUACUUAUAUAUGAGAGAAGGGUAUUUCCUUCACAAAAAUUUCAACGCGCUAAGUUUAACUGUGUAAUAAAAUGCAUAAUGCUUGGGAAUAAAUCGGCUUAGGGGUGCAGAUAAAGUAAUGAAAAAAAUAACAUUGGGGUAAAGUGAAAAUAGUACUAUGGGGAUAAAGUAAUAAUAAUUCAGAUAAAUGAUUAAAGUUUUGGUAGAAGUGGACCGGAAGUAGACAACAAUUUCCCAUGUAAGGCGGUGGCUUCUAAUUCAUUACUCCAAUAAUUUGUCUCCGCGGAUAAAUUUUGGUUUUCGUUUAAUAUUUAAAAGUCGCCUUUAUAUGAUUUGCUAUAAGUAAUAAAACUUGAGUGUACAAGAUGGUUAAACAAUUAAGGUGGGAUUUAAAAUGGGCUUCUUUGUACUUAAAAUAUAGGCUUGAUUGCAAAGUGCACCCUUAAACUAUUACCGGUUUGUACAUUGCACCCCUAACUAUGAACUGUAGCAAUAUACUACCUUUAUCUUUGAAUUUUUAGCACAUUACUCAAUUAUCAUUAAUUUGGUGGGAUACAGGUUAGUGAAAAGACUUCAACAACCUUGCAAAAUAUACGGUGCCAAAUUUGAUCUUUUACUACUCCUACAAUUGCGGCCACAAUCAUAUUUACAACUAAUUAAUGGCAACAAGCAAUUUUAGAAGGUCACAUGCAAGGAUUUUAUUUUCUCUUCUUAUCUACUAUUUUUCCAUUUUUUUCACAGCAAAAGCAAGGAAAAAUCUCUUCACCUAUGCUUUUGUCUUGGUAAUUAGAAUGUUUAAUCUCUUAUUUACUAAUACAAAAUUAGUUUCCAUCAAAUUCCACUUCAGAUUCCCUAUCAGCAAUAUAGAUCAAAACUAAUUAUCACCAAACUCAUAACCACAGCAAACACAUGGCAAACCAACCAAAUUAGAAAAACCAAAACAAGCCACCAAGAUAAACCCAUCAUUAAUGAAACCAAAACCAUAGACCUAAAAACAACUCGUACCCUAAUUCAUUUGGAUGGAGGAAUUGAGAUAAUAGAUAGGCGUUAUCUUUGAGAUUAGGAUAGAAAGACGAAGGUUAGUGGGGUUUUAGAGGAACUGCAAUUGAUUCAUAUGUUUUACAAGAGUGGAAAGGAGAAUUCGAGACCUGCUUGAGAACAAAGAAUCAGAGGGGUGAGGGAGUUUAAAAAAUGGAUAAGGGAUUUGUUUGAGGACAAAUAAUCAGUGAAGAAAAGGAAAUGGAAAUGGAUUGGGGUUGUUCCAGAGAUUAGAGAGUGGAGUGUAUCCCAUAUGGAGAGGCAAAAGAAUGUGAGCAUAGGAAAUGGUCACCAUAGGGAUUUUGGUUACUCAGAAUGGGGCAAAAUAGUCAUCAAAGUUUUUUCUUGACUUAUUUAUAAUCGAUUGAGGUAAGGUGCUAAAAAUAAAUAGAUGAAGGUAUUAUAGUGCUACAAUUCAUAGUUUAAGAUGCAACCUAUAAUCCAAAGAUAGUUUGAGGGUGCAUUUUGUUAUUAACCCUAAAAUAUAUGGAACUGGGCAAAGAAUUGGGUUGGAUGGCAAGAUAGCACAAAAUAAGAGGUGUAUCUGGUGCUAUUUUGUAUAAAAAAAAAGAUUUAAAUUUAUGAUGCUAAAUAUGUAUCUGUAACGCUAAAAUAUGCAAUUAAUGGAUAUUGAUAAUGUUAGAAUUUUGUAAUAGGCUCAUUCUCUCUUUUUGGUUGAUUAUCCUGUGCCCUUUGGGGCAAAAAAUAGGAAGCGUCAAAUUAAAAUAACAUAAAAAGCAAGUAUAGUCAAGAUCUGGAAUUGGUCGAUGAAAUGGCUGGUGCCUGGUGUCAUCUUGAUAUGAUUUGUUUAUCAUAUAUACACGCUUUCUCAAUCUGACAAGCUAAGAUACACCAUUUCACUAACAAAUAAGAAGAAAAUUUAAUCCCCUUGAUAUAUGUGUGUGUAUAUAUAUAUAUCAAGUCAGCUGCUUAGAAGAUCUUAGUGAUUAUUUUAUAGACAUAUAAUUGCAUUUAUUUUUUCUUAAAAAGUAGUAUUCAAUAAUGUCGUGUAUUUGCUACAUAUGUGAAGAACUUGAUUUUCGACGAAUGGCAAUAACUUUGGUCAUGCGGCGUAGCCAAGAACUCGUUUUGAUUGAAUUUUUUAGGAGUUUUUGGAAAUUUUUUUAUAAAAAUAAUUAUACUAUAAUAUUUUUUGAAAUAUGGUAUAUCAGUUAAAAAAUAGUUGAAAAAUGUGUCCAGAGAGUGUUUAAAUAAAGGUAAGAUAUUUAGACUAAGAUUCAAGCGCCAAUUUUCUUACAUAUUCUUCCAGUUCUGUUUCUUUUAACUUAGGAAUGGAAUAAAUACCCAAAUAAUUAAAGUAUUGGGUAAAAAACAAAAAGUCUCUUGUGGUAAAUCUAAUAUACAGAAAACCCCCUAUAGUUUCAAAAUGUAUAAAACGAUACCUUACGCUUUGAAUUAAAUUGUAAAGGUGACAGAAUCCGUUAAAAUUAACGAAAAUGACUUAUUGGAACCUAAAAAAUUUUUUUUAUGCCUAAUUUUUAACAAAUAUACCUACUCUACCCUUAGCCCCCAAUUAUCUCUCUCCAAAGAAUGAAACAAAUGAUUUUGUUGAGCUAUCCUUUGCUUAGUUAUAUCAGGGCAUUUUUAUCAUUUCAUCUAUCCCCGUUAAGUUUAACAGAUUCCAUCAUCUUUACAAUUUAGUUCAAAAUAUGAGGUAUCGUUUUAUACGUUUUGAAACUAUCUGGAGUUUUUCUGUAUAUUAGAUUUAUCACAGGGGAUUUUUUUUAUUUUUUAUUUGUUGCAUCGAUGAAAUGUUAUUUGCACUCUAUAUUUUGUUUUUUGCAUUCCUACCAUUUGUUUUAUCAUAAGUCUAAUAAAUGAAAAUUAUAUGAUUAAAAUAAUAGUGGGAGUGUAAUUAACAAAAAUUAAAGUGUGAAUAACAUUUCUCCAAGUUUUUUGUUUAAAAAUAAAUAUUGAAAAGACUUGUAUUUUCCAAAACAAUUUUGAUUCCAAAAAUCCAAAAUUAUACAAAUGGUGCCCAAACAAAAAUUCCAAAACUAUUAAUUGCCUAGUACCUUUCUUCUUCUUUUUUUUUUUUUAAUCAGAUGGCGAAGGUCGAAUAAGAUCUAGAGAAACAUAGAGAUACUACGCACCCUUAUCAAUUUAGAAGAAAUCAUAUAUAAUGACACGUUGACGAAAGGAAAAGUUUGAAUGGUUGACCUUCCGUCGCACCAAAAUUUAAAAGUCUUUGGGAGUGGUUUUGGGUUGUUGGUUAAUUGCCUGGUACUUUUCGCUUCAUAAAAGUACACAUAAUGCUAAAAAGCUGCUAUUACUUUCCAAAAUAAUUUCUACAUAGAAAGCAGGACCGUAGACUUCACACUGCAGCUUCUCUCCGACUGUACCUCUCAACUUUCCAUAACUUUGUCUUCAAGAAAACGCCGAAAAAAAUGAAAAUGAAAACUUUCCAAAUUUCUUAGUAUUAACUAAUCAGCGUAACGGUAGCAUAUAUAUAUAUAUAUAUAUAUUCUCAGGGCCCAGACAUCAGUCUAAAUUAGUCCCAAGCUCUUUAGUUCUCAAAUCAUCAGGUAGUAUUAAAACUCCGGAUUUUCUUCAAUUUUUGCAAGAAUGGCAAUUUUGAGUUCUCAGAAGAGAGAAGAGAUGAGAAGAAAUGAAAGUUUUCGCCGACGCCCUCGAAAGAGCAGCAAGCCCUGUAGAGCUAGUACCAAUUCUGUUGCAGAUCAGUUUCGUUUUUGGCCCUUUUUGGUUGAAAAAACCGAAGCACCAACCCAGAAAUCUUGUGUAAAUAAGGGCAAGAAAAUGAUCGGAUUAGCACUGCCUAAUCUUGAUCAAGAACUGCCCUCCAAGAAAUCUUGUGGAAAGCUACGUGCUGAAGCUAAAACUAGCCAAGAAAGCCGAAAAAUCGAGAUCAUUUUCAAGAAAAAAUUAGUGAAAGCCAAAGCUCAAGUUUUUCCACCUCCAUCGCACAACUUCCAACUGACUUCAAGAAUUACAUGAGCAGGAAACUGGGGCGACGGGGGACCCUGUUUUGGUGAUUGAGAAGAGUUUGUUUCCAUCAGAUGUUUCAGCCAAGCUUCACAGAUUGUCGAUACCAGUCAAGCAAGUUGCCAAUCACGAGUUCUUGACAGAAGAAGAGAGGAAAAGAUUCAACAAUGGGAACAAACAAGAAAAAAUUGAUGCCAUCUGGUUGAGCCAUCACUUUCUGAAUCGAAAAUCAGGUUCAAGAAAUGGUACAUCCAUGAUUCUGGAAUGUAUAUUUUGACUAGUGGUUGGAAUGAUGUUGUGGAGAGGAAUGGAUUGAAACAAGGAACAUUAGUGCAGCUAUGGUCAUUCCGGAAAGAAUCCCAAUUGUACUUUGCUCUGAUUAGGCUCUAAUUACACGGUUAAAACUUUUGUGUAAUUAAUUGCAAGCUAAUCAAUUAAAUGAAGUUCUGAAGUUGAUUUUCUUUUGUCGUUUUGGAAGUUGGAACUUGGAAGGGUGGAAACUAUUACAUAGCUAUAAAUUAUAUCUUAAUUUGCUCAAAAAGAUUAUUAAUAAUUUAAUUUAAUUUUAAUUUGUACUUGUUUAUAGGGAUAAUUUCAGUAACCUCCCUUGAGGUUUUUGACAAUUUCACUCGGCUCCCCUAGGUUUAAGAAAUCACACUUACCUCUCUUGAUAUAGUAAAAUACCUAUAAUGCCCUUCACUCAAUAGGCAAUUUUAAAUUUAAAAUAAUAAAUUUAAAAAUCUAAAAAAAAAUCUAUUUUGCCGUCUCUUGUCUAUUUUCUAGUUUAUAUAACAUCUUUUUAUUAUUUUCAAUUUUGUGGAUAUUAGCAAAUUGAAAUUACAAAAUCUACAAAGGGACCAGAUUAUGUGUCAAAUUAGAAGGAAAUGAAGAGACUCACAAUGAUAGAAAAAUAAAUAAUGAAAUUGAUGAUUGAAAUAGGAAAAAUAACUAAAGAUGUGGAAUUUGUCAUAUUUUGUUUGUUGUUAAGAAAAUUUUUUAUAAAAUAUCAAUAAUUACAUAAUGCUUUCUUCCAUUGGAUUAGAAAUUUUUUAUUAUGAUUUUAUUGUGAAGGUAGAAUUUAUAAUAUUUUGUUUGUUGUUAAGAAAACCUUUUAUAAAAUGUCAAUAAUUACAUAAUGUUUUUUUUCAUUGGAUUAGAAAUUUUUUAUUAUGAUUUUAUUGUGGAGGUAGAAUUUUUGCUCUAUUUUUGAGAUAUGAAUAUUUUUAAGGCUAUUGGGGAUUUAUAAUGGUGAUUCUAGAUCAAAUUAGUUUGUAUUUGAGUAUUGAUAUUUAAUUUGGGGUAUAACAUUAGUUGUCAAUAGGAUUUUGUGUGUGUAUGUGUAUUUUGUGGUAAGUAUAGAUACUGUGUAUGUAAUUUGGGAUCUUUUGGAUAGCUAUUUGAUUUUAGAACUUAUAUUUGGAUGGUUCAUAGGGAUUUAACUUAUUAAUAUAUGUAAAGUGUGAAAGAAAAUGAUUGAAUAUAUUAUAUUUUUCUUUCUUAGUUUUGUACAAAAGGACAAUUUAGGAAUUUUGAAAGAAAAUCUAAAUUCUUGGACCUGUAUUAUUAUUAAACAGUAAAAGUAGGGGAGGUAUAUAUAAUUUUUAAAACCAGAGGACAGCUCUUUGUAAUUGUGAGAAACCUCAAGGGAGGUUUGUGAAAUUAUCCCUUGUUUAUAUGCUAUAGCUGUAGUGGAAUGAUCAAUUCUCGCUGUCAAGCCAACCCAAUGGUGGGAUUGUGGGGUUCUGCUUUUACUGUUUUUCUUUUUACUUAUUUAAUUUAAACUUGGGGAGCAAGAUUUAGACCUUGCACUGACUAGCCGCGUUGACCAAGAAGGUCUGAAUCUUUUGCAGGGUUAAGAAAUGCAAGAUGACUUAUUAUAAUGGGUCUCGGAGUUUACUUGUAUUACAUUGUAGCCCCUCAAUAGUGUAUGUUGAAAAAACACAUGAUUUAUUUUGAGUGCUUUCUUGUAUACUAAAUUGUAAAAUUUUGCCCUGUUAUUUUUACUUUCACGGAAUGCAUGUUUUUGUGCUAAGAUUACAUUGAACAGGUGCAAAAAAAAAAAAAAGGUAUAAUUGAUGUGAUCAAAAAGAUUUGAGUAAUGUGCAAAUUGGAUAAAUGUUGGAGGUAAAUUUUCAAUAUUAACUGUAAAAGAAAUCAAUAAAUUGGUUGGAUAGACUAGUAAUGACUUUAAUUUCAUAAAGGGCCCGUUUGGCAAGUGAGUUUUUUGGAUGCUUAUCUAAAAUUUUACUGUAUCUUUCUGUAGAUGUUGUAGAAAAAAAUUUUGAAGUGUAUAUCUGGAUAUUUUGAAGUGUAUAGUUUAAAAAUUUUGAAAAUUUUUUGAGAUUACUCUAGCUAAAAUUAUUAAAAAAACUUGUAGCAGACAAACUUGGCAAAAAACUUGCUUGCUAAACAAGGAAGGCUAGCUAAAUUUUUUUAUAAAAGUAAUAUUAAUAUGACUUUAAUUUAAUAAAGGCUGGCUAAAUUUUUUUUUGGUAAAAGUAUUAUUAAUUUGAUAAAGUCUAUAAAUGCAAGGGUGUAAUAACUAUGAUUUUAGGUCUUUGCAUGGCAUGUGAAGUAGAAAGCCAAGUAGUAAAAUUUGAUUAUCUCAUAUUGUUGAAUGUUACAUUGAUGCCCACAUUGCACCUUGCCCAAAGAUUAAAUUAUCACCCAGGAUAAGAUCCAUGCGGUAGUUUAAUUGGAAGAUAUUUUGGAGUUUGAGGGUACAAUCUUUGUUAAUUUUUCUAAUAUAUUAUAUCUCAUUUAGUUUUAGAUAUGUUGGAAUCUAUUGUAAGUUUGAUGUAAUUUAUGCCAUUAGUAUAAAGCGCAUAAAAUUGGGUGCUCUAACUGGUUUGAAUUUUGUAGUUUAAUAAAAAAAAAAAUAGCUUUUAUAGGUUAAUUGAUUAGCACGUGAGUUAUUAUUCCUUAAUCUUGCUGUUUAAAAUUAGGUGCUACUUUAUUUUUGCUUUUUAAAUUUAAUUUAACAGACAUAUAACUGUACGUGACUCUUAUCAAUAAUUAAACAAACUCUUCAGAUAUCUUAAAUUUGCUUUGAAUUAGAUACAACAGGGACUAGAUUUGUUUUUACCAAAAUAUCAAGGACUAAAAUUGCACAAGUACUAAAUAGCCAAAAUUACAUUUUUCCCCAAAUCCUAGUACUUGUAAUAAACAAUAAACUCCUAUUAUUUAGCGGCCACUCACGUCCAACACUAAAACAAAUUUUAUAUUUUUACUAUUAUAAUCUAAAGAGAUUCAGGGCUUUCAAUUUUAAAUUUGCUUAUGGAAUUUAUUAAAAAAAAAAAAAAGAGCAUAAUCCUCAAUGAUCGGAAACCAUUUUUAUCAAUAAAAAAAAUCCCAGCAACCAAAAAAGGAAACUUUCCUAAACAUUACUUCCGCAAACUAACACAACGGUAAUAUGACCUUCCCGAAUCCGAAUAGAAUUCAGGAUUAAGAGGUUUCCGGGUUUCAGUUUUAAAUUUGCUCUUGGAGAAAAUGGAAUGAAAAAUGGUUACAUUUUCUAAAUAUAGUUCUCAAAAUAUUAAUACGGGCAACAAAUUACCUUUAGGCAUUGAACAUCAAGUACUAUUACUAAAAUCCCAGAAUCCCAGAACCAGAAAGCAAAAAAGGAAACUUCCAAAACUAUUACUCCCACAAACUAACAUAACGGUAAUAUGCCCCACCUGAGUCCUAAUAGGAUUCAGAUACCAACUUAAACUAUCCAACACAAAUAGCUGUAUAAAUUCUGAAUCCUCACAUUGCCGCAGAAUUUCUUCGUAGGAGUCCUUAAACCUAGUUUUUUUCAACAUCAGCAGCAGUUGUUCUUGAGAAGAAGACGAGAGACAGAGAUUUCUGAUCACUGGGCUUCAUCAUUCCAGUCCGUUUUAGGUUUUCUUCAAUUAUUUCUUUUCAUUGUUAGUUUUAAGUAAUCAUUAAUAGGAAGAAAUCGUAGUUCUAGCAUCUAAGUUGGUGGAAGGGAAGAUCAAGAAAAUUUCCGCCGACGCCCUCGAUAGAGCAAGUAUCCUCAAAGAUCAAAGUUCGAUUCNNNNNNNNNNNNNNNNNNNNNNNNNNNNNNNNNNNNNNNNNNNNNNNNNNNNNNNNNNNNNNNNNNNNNNNNNNNNNNNNNNNNNNNNNNNNNNNNNNNNNNNNNNNNNNNNNNNNNNNNNNNNNNNNNNNNNNNNNNNNNNNNNNNNNNNNNNNNNNNNNNNNNNNNNNNNNNNNNNNNNNNNNNNNNNNNNNNNNNNNNNNNNNNNNNNNNNNNNNNNNNNNNNNNNNNNNNNNNNNNNNNNNNNNNNNNNNNNNNNNNNNNNNNNNNNNNNNNNNNNNNNNNNNNNNNNNNNNNNNNNNNNNNNNNNNNNNNNNNNNNNNNNNNNNNNNNNNNNNNNNNNNNNNNNNNNNNNNNNNNNNNNNNNNNNNNNNNNNNNNNNNNNNNNNNNNNNNNNNNNNNNNNNNNNNNNNNNNNNNNNNNNNNNNNNNNNNNNNNNNNNNNNNNNNNNNNNNNNNNNNNNNNNNNNNNNNNNNNNNNNNNNNNNNNNNNNNNNNNNNNNNNNNNNNNNNNNNNNNNNNNNNNNNNNNNNNNNNNNNNNNNNNNNNNNNNNNNNNNNNNNNNNNNNNNNNNNNNNNNNNNNNNNNNNNNNNNNNNNNNNNNNNNNNNNNNNNNNNNNNNNNNNNNNNNNNNNNNNNNNNNNNNNNNNNNNNNNNNNNNNNNNNNNNNNNNNNNNNNNNNNNNNNNNNNNNNNNNNNNNNNNNNNNNNNNNNNNNNNNNNNNNNNNNNNNNNNNNNNNNNNNNNNNNNNNNNNNNNNNNNNNNNNNNNNNNNNNNNNNNNNNNNNNNNNNNNNNNNNNNNNNNNNNNNNNNNNNNNNNNNNNNNNNNNNNNNNNNNNNNNNNNNNNNNNNNNNNNNNNNNNNNNNNNNNNNNNNNNNNNNNNNNNNNNNNNNNNNNNNNNNNNNNNNNNNNNNNNNNNNNNNNNNNNNNNNNNNNNNNNNNNNNNNNNNNNNNNNNNNNNNNNNNNNNNNNNNNNNNNNNNNNNNNNNNNNNNNNNNNNNNNNNNNNNNNNNNNNNNNNNNNNNNNNNNNNNNNNNNNNNNNNNNNNNNNNNNNNNNNNNNNNNNNNNNNNNNNNNNNNNNNNNNNNNNNNNNNNNNNNNNNNNNNNNNNNNNNNNNNNNNNNNNNNNNNNNNNNNNNNNNNNNNNNNNNNNNNNNNNNNNNNNNNNNNNNNNNNNNNNNNNNNNNNNNNNNNNNNNNNNNNNNNNNNNNNNNNNNNNNNNNNNNNNNNNNNNNNNNNNNNNNNNNNNNNNNNNNNNNNNNNNNNNNNNNNNNNNNNNNNNNNNNNNNNNNNNNNNNNNNNNNNNNNNNNNNNNNNNNNNNNNNNNNNNNNNNNNNNNNNNNNNNNNNNNNNNNNNNNNNNNNNNNNNNNNNNNNNNNNNNNNNNNNNNNNNNNNNNNNNNNNNNNNNNNNNNNNNNNNNNNNNNNNNNNNNNNNNNNNNNNNNNNNNNNNNNNNNNNNNNNNNNNNNNNNNNNNNNNNNNNNNNNNNNNNNNNNNNNNNNNNNNNNNNNNNNNNNNNNNNNNNNNNNNNNNNNNNNNNNNNNNNNNNNNNNNNNNNNNNNNNNNNNNNNNNNNNNNNNNNNNNNNNNNNNNNNNNNNNNNNNNNNNNNNNNNNNNNNNNNNNNNNNNNNNNNNNNNNNNNNNNNNNNNNNNNNNNNNNNNNNNNNNNNNNNNNNNNNNNNNNNNNNNNNNNNNNNNNNNNNNNNNNNNNNNNNNNNNNNNNNNNNNNNNNNNNNNNNNNNNNNNNNNNNNNNNNNNNNNNNNNNNNNNNNNNNNNNNNNNNNNNNNNNNNNNNNNNNNNNNNNNNNNNNNNNNNNNNNNNNNNNNNNNNNNNNNNNNNNNNNNNNNNNNNNNNNNNNNNNNNNNNNNNNNNNNNNNNNNNNNNNNNNNNNNNNNNNNNNNNNNNNNNNNNNNNNNNNNNNNNNNNNNNNNNNNNNNNNNNNNNNNNNNNNNNNNNNNNNNNNNNNNNNNNNNNNNNNNNNNNNNNNNNNNNNNNNNNNNNNNNNNNNNNNNNNNNNNNNNNNNNNNNNNNNNNNNNNNNNNNNNNNNNNNNNNNNNNNNNNNNNNNNNNNNNNNNNNNNNNNNNNNNNNNNNNNNNNNNNNNNNNNNNNNNNNNNNNNNNNNNNNNNNNNNNNNNNNNNNNNNNNNNNNNNNNNNNNNNNNNNNNNNNNNNNNNNNNNNNNNNNNNNNNNNNNNNNNNNNNNNNNNNNNNNNNNNNNNNNNNNNNNNNNNNNNNNNNNNNNNNNNNNNNNNNNNNNNNNNNNNNNNNNNNNNNNNNNNNNNNNNNNNNNNNNNNNNNNNNNNNNNNNNNNNNNNNNNNNNNNNNNNNNNNNNNNNNNNNNNNNNNNNNNNNNNNNNNNNNNNNNNNNNNNNNNNNNNNNNNNNNNNNNNNNNNNNNNNNNNNNNNNNNNNNNNNNNNNNNNNNNNNNNNNNNNNNNNNNNNNNNNNNNNNNNNNNNNNNNNNNNNNNNNNNNNNNNNNNNNNNNNNNNNNNNNNNNNNNNNNNNNNNNNNNNNNNNNNNNNNNNNNNNNNNNNNNNNNNNNNNNNNNNNNNNNNNNNNNNNNNNNNNNNNNNNNNNNNNNNNNNNNNNNNNNNNNNNNNNNNNNNNNNNNNNNNNNNNNNNNNNNNNNNNNNNNNNNNNNNNNNNNNNNNNNNNNNNNNNNNNNNNNNNNNNNNNNNNNNNNNNNNNNNNNNNNNNNNNNNNNNNNNNNNNNNNNNNNNNNNNNNNNNNNNNNNNNNNNNNNNNNNNNNNNNNNNNNNNNNNNNNNNNNNNNNNNNNNNNNNNNNNNNNNNNNNNNNNNNNNNNNNNNNNNNNNNNNNNNNNNNNNNNNNNNNNNNNNNNNNNNNNNNNNNNNNNNNNNNNNNNNNNNNNNNNNNNNNNNNNNNNNNNNNNNNNNNNNNNNNNNNNNNNNNNNNNNNNNNNNNNNNNNNNNNNNNNNNNNNNNNNNNNNNNNNNNNNNNNNNNNNNNNNNNNNNNNNNNNNNNNNNNNNNNNNNNNNNNNNNNNNNNNNNNNNNNNNNNNNNNNNNNNNNNNNNNNNNNNNNNNNNNNNNNNNNNNNNNNNNNNNNNNNNNNNNNNNNNNNNNNNNNNNNNNNNNNNNNNNNNNNNNNNNNNNNNNNNNNNNNNNNNNNNNNNNNNNNNNNNNNNNNNNNNNNNNNNNNNNNNNNNNNNNNNNNNNNNNNNNNNNNNNNNNNNNNNNNNNNNNNNNNNNNNNNNNNNNNNNNNNNNNNNNNNNNNNNNNNNNNNNNNNNNNNNNNNNNNNNNNNNNNNNNNNNNNNNNNNNNNNNNNNNNNNNNNNNNNNNNNNNNNNNNNNNNNNNNNNNNNNNNNNNNNNNNNNNNNNNNNNNNNNNNNNNNNNNNNNNNNNNNNNNNNNNNNNNNNNNNNNNNNNNNNNNNNNNNNNNNNNNNNNNNNNNNNNNNNNNNNNNNNNNNNNNNNNNNNNNNNNNNNNNNNNNNNNNNNNNNNNNNNNNNNNNNNNNNNNNNNNNNNNNNNNNNNNNNNNNNNNNNNNNNNNNNNNNNNNNNNNNNNNNNNNNNNNNNNNNNNNNNNNNNNNNNNNNNNNNNNNNNNNNNNNNNNNNNNNNNNNNNNNNNNNNNNNNNNNNNNNNNNNNNNNNNNNNNNNNNNNNNNNNNNNNNNNNNNNNNNNNNNNNNNNNNNNNNNNNNNNNNNNNNNNNNNNNNNNNNNNNNNNNNNNNNNNNNNNNNNNNNNNNNNNNNNNNNNNNNNNNNNNNNNNNNNNNNNNNNNNNNNNNNNNNNNNNNNNNNNNNNNNNNNNNNNNNNNNNNNNNNNNNNNNNNNNNNNNNNNNNNNNNNNNNNNNNNNNNNNNNNNNNNNNNNNNNNNNNNNNNNNNNNNNNNNNNNNNNNNNNNNNNNNNNNNNNNNNNNNNNNNNNNNNNNNNNNNNNNNNNNNNNNNNNNNNNNNNNNNNNNNNNNNNNNNNNNNNNNNNNNNNNNNNNNNNNNNNNNNNNNNNNNNNNNNNNNNNNNNNNNNNNNNNNNNNNNNNNNNNNNNNNNNNNNNNNNNNNNNNNNNNNNNNNNNNNNNNNNNNNNNNNNNNNNNNNNNNNNNNNNNNNNNNNNNNNNNNNNNNNNNNNNNNNNNNNNNNNNNNNNNNNNNNNNNNNNNNNNNNNNNNNNNNNNNNNNNNNNNNNNNNNNNNNNNNNNNNNNNNNNNNNNNNNNNNNNNNNNNNNNNNNNNNNNNNNNNNNNNNNNNNNNNNNNNNNNNNNNNNNNNNNNNNNNNNNNNNNNNNNNNNNNNNNNNNNNNNNNNNNNNNNNNNNNNNNNNNNNNNNNNNNNNNNNNNNNNNNNNNNNNNNNNNNNNNNNNNNNNNNNNNNNNNNNNNNNNNNNNNNNNNNNNNNNNNNNNNNNNNNNNNNNNNNNNNNNNNNNNNNNNNNNNNNNNNNNNNNNNNNNNNNNNNNNNNNNNNNNNNNNNNNNNNNNNNNNNNNNNNNNNNNNNNNNNNNNNNNNNNNNNNNNNNNNNNNNNNNNNNNNNNNNNNNNNNNNNNNNNNNNNNNNNNNNNNNNNNNNNNNNNNNNNNNNNNNNNNNNNNNNNNNNNNNNNNNNNNNNNNNNNNNNNNNNNNNNNNNNNNNNNNNNNNNNNNNNNNNNNNNNNNNNNNNNNNNNNNNNNNNNNNNNNNNNNNNNNNNNNNNNNNNNNNNNNNNNNNNNNNNNNNNNNNNNNNNNNNNNNNNNNNNNNNNNNNNNNNNNNNNNNNNNNNNNNNNNNNNNNNNNNNNNNNNNNNNNNNNNNNNNNNNNNNNNNNNNNNNNNNNNNNNNNNNNNNNNNNNNNNNNNNNNNNNNNNNNNNNNNNNNNNNNNNNNNNNNNNNNNNNNNNNNNNNNNNNNNNNNNNNNNNNNNNNNNNNNNNNNNNNNNNNNNNNNNNNNNNNNNNNNNNNNNNNNNNNNNNNNNNNNNNNNNNNNNNNNNNNNNNNNNNNNNNNNNNNNNNNNNNNNNNNNNNNNNNNNNNNNNNNNNNNNNNNNNNNNNNNNNNNNNNNNNNNNNNNNNNNNNNNNNNNNNNNNNNNNNNNNNNNNNNNNNNNNNNNNNNNNNNNNNNNNNNNNNNNNNNNNNNNNNNNNNNNNNNNNNNNNNNNNNNNNNNNNNNNNNNNNNNNNNNNNNNNNNNNNNNNNNNNNNNNNNNNNNNNNNNNNNNNNNNNNNNNNNNNNNNNNNNNNNNNNNNNNNNNNNNNNNNNNNNNNNNNNNNNNNNNNNNNNNNNNNNNNNNNNNNNNNNNNNNNNNNNNNNNNNNNNNNNNNNNNNNNNNNNNNNNNNNNNNNNNNNNNNNNNNNNNNNNNNNNNNNNNNNNNNNNNNNNNNNNNNNNNNNNNNNNNNNNNNNNNNNNNNNNNNNNNNNNNNNNNNNNNNNNNNNNNNNNNNNNNNNNNNNNNNNNNNNNNNNNNNNNNNNNNNNNNNNNNNNNNNNNNNNNNNNNNNNNNNNNNNNNNNNNNNNNNNNNNNNNNNNNNNNNNNNNNNNNNNNNNNNNNNNNNNNNNNNNNNNNNNNNNNNNNNNNNNNNNNNNNNNNNNNNNNNNNNNNNNNNNNNNNNNNNNNNNNNNNNNNNNNNNNNNNNNNNNNNNNNNNNNNNNNNNNNNNNNNNNNNNNNNNNNNNNNNNNNNNNNNNNNNNNNNNNNNNNNNNNNNNNNNNNNNNNNNNNNNNNNNNNNNNNNNNNNNNNNNNNNNNNNNNNNNNNNNNNNNNNNNNNNNNNNNNNNNNNNNNNNNNNNNNNNNNNNNNNNNNNNNNNNNNNNNNNNNNNNNNNNNNNNNNNNNNNNNNNNNNNNNNNNNNNNNNNNNNNNNNNNNNNNNNNNNNNNNNNNNNNNNNNNNNNNNNNNNNNNNNNNNNNNNNNNNNNNNNNNNNNNNNNNNNNNNNNNNNNNNNNNNNNNNNNNNNNNNNNNNNNNNNNNNNNNNNNNNNNNNNNNNNNNNNNNNNNNNNNNNNNNNNNNNNNNNNNNNNNNNNNNNNNNNNNNNNNNNNNNNNNNNNNNNNNNNNNNNNNNNNNNNNNNNNNNNNNNNNNNNNNNNNNNNNNNNNNNNNNNNNNNNNNNNNNNNNNNNNNNNNNNNNNNNNNNNNNNNNNNNNNNNNNNNNNNNNNNNNNNNNNNNNNNNNNNNNNNNNNNNNNNNNNNNNNNNNNNNNNNNNNNNNNNNNNNNNNNNNNNNNNNNNNNNNNNNNNNNNNNNNNNNNNNNNNNNNNNNNNNNNNNNNNNNNNNNNNNNNNNNNNNNNNNNNNNNNNNNNNNNNNNNNNNNNNNNNNNNNNNNNNNNNNNNNNNNNNNNNNNNNNNNNNNNNNNNNNNNNNNNNNNNNNNNNNNNNNNNNNNNNNNNNNNNNNNNNNNNNNNNNNNNNNNNNNNNNNNNNNNNNNNNNNNNNNNNNNNNNNNNNNNNNNNNNNNNNNNNNNNNNNNNNNNNNNNNNNNNNNNNNNNNNNNNNNNNNNNNNNNNNNNNNNNNNNNNNNNNNNNNNNNNNNNNNNNNNNNNNNNNNNNNNNNNNNNNNNNNNNNNNNNNNNNNNNNNNNNNNNNNNNNNNNNNNNNNNNNNNNNNNNNNNNNNNNNNNNNNNNNNNNNNNNNNNNNNNNNNNNNNNNNNNNNNNNNNNNNNNNNNNNNNNNNNNNNNNNNNNNNNNNNNNNNNNNNNNNNNNNNNNNNNNNNNNNNNNNNNNNNNNNNNNNNNNNNNNNNNNNNNNNNNNNNNNNNNNNNNNNNNNNNNNNNNNNNNNNNNNNNNNNNNNNNNNNNNNNNNNNNNNNNNNNNNNNNNNNNNNNNNNNNNNNNNNNNNNNNNNNNNNNNNNNNNNNNNNNNNNNNNNNNNNNNNNNNNNNNNNNNNNNNNNNNNNNNNNNNNNNNNNNNNNNNNNNNNNNNNNNNNNNNNNNNNNNNNNNNNNNNNNNNNNNNNNNNNNNNNNNNNNNNNNNNNNNNNNNNNNNNNNNNNNNNNNNNNNNUGGUGGAGAACCUUCCAAGGUACUGCUCACAUUGUUUCCGCCAAGGUCACGAUGUGGAGACUUGUCAUGUUUUAAAGCCCGAGUUGCGAGGAGCAUCUGGUCACCAUACCAAGACUACUGGAACAACACAACUACGGUUGGCAGAGACGUCGAAUACAGACAUGCCUGAUGGCCCUUUGGAGGGUAAUGGAGAAAGGCCAUCGGUAUUGAUACAAGAUGCGGCAGUAAUUGAUGGGGCAAAGGGAGAAGUUAAUGAGACUGUGACUGGCAAAGCGCUAGUUGCUCACGAUCAGUUAAUAGGUGGUACGCCUCACGAAGCUGAGCAAGGUGACCAGGUGCAGCAGUCCUGUGCUACUAUACCAGCGCAGCAGGAGAGGAAAAUGGAGGAGAAUUAUGGGACGGUGGCGGUAGAAGGUAUCGAGGUGGUGCUGCCACAUGACAAAGGAGAGGAACGUUCUGAGGAUGUGGGGAGUGGGUUGCCCGCGAGGGUGGUCGUACGUUCUGCUGAGGGGCAAGUUGAAGACAUACAAGAUACUCAACGAAGGGACGGUACCCUCUCCCCUAGGGGCAAGGAUCUUAUCCGACAAGAAGAGUCAUCACUAGAGACCGGGCAUAUAGACACGGGGGGUACCCUGGAACUAGAAGAAGUUGUUCGUAAGGAGCGAAUGGAUGCAAGGUCGCGUGGUCUCCGGGUUGGUCUCCCGUCAGAUAGAACACUACGCUCCAUGGUUAGUUCUUCAACAAAUUCUUUUUCUGUCCUUUCUGAUGAUUAAGUUACUUUUUUGGAAUAUAAGAGGGGUAGCUCGUGCUCCUAAUUUAAGGCGGUUAAGGAAACUUAUUAAAUUGUAUGAUCUUCAAUUGGUGGUUGUUGUUGAACCUAAGUUGAGGGUGGAGUCAAUUACUGAUAUUAGAAUUAAAUUGGGGAUGGAUUGUUGCAUGUUCAAUCAUUGGGGUUCUGUUUGGAUUUUCUACCGGUCAUUGUUUACGUGUCAGAUUACAGGGGAGUCUCCCCAACAUAUAACUAUUAGAGUACAAUCUCAUCUUUUCCAAGACUCCAUUAUUUUGUCUUGUAUACACGCGAAGUGUACGCAGCAGGACAGAGAGGAUUUGUGGAAUGCACUUUUGCAGGAUAAACCCGCCUUCAAUCCUUGGUUUUUGGUGGGGGAUUUCAAUGUGGUCACAAAUACAGAGGAGAAGAGGGGUGGAUUGCCAUUUAGACCGUCGGAGGGAUCAGACUUUCUGAAUUUUAUGGCGCUAGCUGGUGUCAGUGAUGCGGGAUUCUCUGGGUCAAGGUUUACAUGGUGUAAUAAUCGUUCGGGAACGGCGCGGAUCUGGAAGCGUCUGGAUCGCUUACUUCUGUGUGGGAGUGCAAUGGAGCUACCGUACCAAUUCAUGGUGCAACAUUUAGGCCGUGACCCGUCGGAUCAUGCUCCCUUGUUGCUAUCGGUGGAUACGAGGCUAGACAAUAAACCCAAGCCGUUUCGUUUCUUAAACAUCUGGACCACUCAUCCUGAUUUUCUGGGGGUUAUCAAGGACUGUUGGGUUCAUCCAGUCAAUGGCUCUCCUUUGCAAGUAUUGGCAUCGAAGUUGAGGAAUGUUAAAAAUGCCCUCAAGCAGUGGUCUAGGACGACAUUCGGGGAUAUUUUUGAAGGGGUACGUAGUGCAGAGCGUGUGGUAACCGAGUCUGAGACAGCAUACGACCUCGAUCCUACUGAGCAGCGACGGAGCGAGUUACAUCAUGCUCGGGCUCGAUUGCGCCGAGCGCUUGUAGUUGAGGAGGGUUUUUGGAGACAAAAGGCGCGGGUUAAGUGGCUUUCGGACGGAGAUAGGAACACCAAAUAUUUCCACUCCUUGGUUUCGGAAAGGAGACGUAGGGCAGUAAUUCAUCGAGUCAGGGGUACUGCUGGAGAAUGGAUCGAGGGGGAAUGCCAAAUUGGGGAGGCAGCGGUGGGUUUCUUUAAGGAACUUUUCACGGCAGAGGGGGAUCUUCCCUCCCUUACCGGUCUGGAGAUCAUACCUAAACUGAUAACAGACCAGGAAAACUCACGGUUAACGGACAUUCCAUCUCUUACAGAAGUUAAAGACAUAGUCUUUGCUAUGGAUGGAGAGAGCGCAGCCGGCCCGGACGGGUUUACAGGGAAAUUCUUUACCUUUGCUUGGGAGGUAGUGGCAUCGGAUUUAUACCGGGCGGUUGUCAGCUUUUUCUGCGGUGCUGAACUACCUAGGAGUAUCACGGCUACCUCAAUUGUGUUGCUGCCAAAAGUGGAGAACCCCCAAGAUUUUAAGCAUUUUCGUCCAAUCAGUCUGUGCAACUUUACUAACAAAAUCAUCUCCAAGCUGUUAUCGGCAAGGUUGGCGAUGAUAUUACCCCGGAUUAUAUCUCCACAGCAAAGCGGGUUUGUCCAAGGGAGGCAGAUUACAGAUAAUUUCUUGUUAGCUCAGGAGUUAGUAGCCGAUAUCGGGAAAUCAAAUCGGGGUGGCAAUGUGGUCAUCAAGUUAGACAUGAUGAAGGCUUAUGAUAAAGUCUCAUGGCCCUUUCUCCUACAGGUGCUACGAUAUUUCGGAUUCAGUGAGACCUGGAUAGACAUGAUUUGGCGAUUAAUAUCGAAUGUGUGGUUCUCGGUACUUGUUAAUGGUGGUUCAAACGGCUUUUUCAGAUCUUCACGGGGUUUACGGCAAGGGGAUCCAAUUUCACCAGCCUUAUUCGUUAUCGGAGCUGAGGUGCUGUCUAGAACCCUCAACACGCUACCCACACAAAGAGGAUUUACUCCGUUCAAAGUUCCUCCUCAUUGUUCUAUAAUUACGCAUUUGGCAUUCGCCGAUGACGUGAUUAUCUUUUCCAGUGGGGCCAAGUCAUCCCUACGUCUGAUUACACGGGUUUUGGAUGAUUAUAAUGAGGCAUCAGGUCAGCGAAUCAACCCUCAGAAGAGUUGUUUCCUUACUCAUCCACGGGCACCAUCUCAGAGGGCAGCGGUUGUUAACCAGAUACUAGGGUAUAAUAAACGCGACUUUCCAAUACGGUACCUUGGUUGUCCCUUGUAUACCGGAAGGAGCAAGAAGGUUUACUAUACGGAUAUAUACAAUGCGGUGGCGAAUCGGAUUUUGAGUUGGAAAAACCAGAUUUUAUCGCUAGGAGGCAGGGUGGUGUUGAUUCAGAGCGUGUUAUCCUCUAUGCCAAUUCACUUGCUGGCAGCCGCGUCCCCUCCAAAAGGGAUGUUGAUGGUCAUAGAGAAAUUGUUCGCCAAGUUCUUGUGGGGAUCUUCGAAUUUCGGGGAUAAAUUCCAUUGGAUACGUUGGGCAGAUUUGUGUCGGCCGAAGGAUGAAGGGGGUGUAGGCCUGCGGGGUUUGAAACAGGUCUACGACUCAUUUUCCAUUAAACUCUGGUGGAAAUUUCGACAACAACAAUCAUUAUGGGCAAAGUUUAUGUCCCAGAAGUAUUGUGCAGGUCAUCACCCUUGUCUUGCUGAUAUUGGGCAUCCGGGAUCCCAAGUUUGGCAGAGGAUGGUCACAAUGCAGCGUUUUGGGGAGGAUAAUAUUAGCUGGGUAGUUCGGGAGGGGGCUUUGGACUUUUGGCAUGAUAAUUGGAUGGGGUCAGGUGCGCUUUGUGACAAGGUUGAGGUCUUCCAUGAUCAUUCGGUGGUUGAUUUUGUAGAUCGGCGGGCUUGGAAUGUGGACAUGCUCCAUCAAUUCUUGGAUGGAGAAUUGGUUACGCAGGUUUUGGAGAUUGACCCUCCUACCGAUAGGGGAAAUGAUACAAUGGUAUGGGCAUUGACGAACUCGGGUGUUUUUUCCACUGCAUCGGCUUACUCAUUGAUCCGUCAAUCCAAUGACAAUUCUUGGCUUUUUGGUCGUAUAUGGCAGCAGGGUCUUCCAGUCAAGGUUUCUUUCUUUAUGCUGCGACUACUACAGGGGAGGCUCCCUCUUAUGGAUCGCCUAAAGAGGUUUGGGGUUUGUGGCCCAUCUAGAUGCUUGUGUUGUCAGAAUCCCCAGGAGGAGGAUUUGAAUCAUGUGUUUUGCUCAGGAGAAGGGGCACGAUUGGUCUGGCGACACUUCGAGAGUACUGCUGGUGAGUUUAGUGGGGUGCAUACGGUGCGUCAUAUGGUGUGGUCUUGUUGGUUAAGGAGGGGGACUAAUGAUCGUGUAAAGUUUUUGCAUAAUAUACUUCCUUCGGUGGUAUGCUGGGUUUUAUGGAAGGCUAGGAAUGAAGGGGUGUUUGAAGGUCGGAAGAUGAGGAUCAGGCCUACGGUGAAUCGGAUUGUUCAGUUUCUGCAUGAUUUCCUUCAGUCACGGUUCCCGGGGGUGCAGCCUUCUGCCCCUACAUGGGAAGGGUUGCUUCUCGAAUUAGGUAGUCAUCAAAGGCGGAUGGUUAUUAGGCCAGUUUACUGGGUAACUCCACGUAGAGGCUAUAAGUUGAAUUCAGAUGGAUGUUCUCGGGGGAACCCAGGAAGGAGUGGGGGGGGUGGGCUUGUGCGGGAUAGUCGAGGAAAUUUUGUAUUCGGCUACGCGGAGCCCUUCGGGGUGAUAACCAGCAUGCAGGCGGAACUUCGAGCGUUGCUAUGGGGCGUUAGACAUUGUGUGAUUCGAGGGUGCUUGGAGUUACACUUAGAGGCGGAUUCUCUCACCCUGGUUCACAUUGUUCAAGGGACUAGUGCUUGUCCUUGGCGUUUACAGAGAGAUCUGGAUGAGUUGAUGAUGUUCAAGCAAUAUUUCACAUCGAUCACACACUGCUACAGGGAAGCAAACGCACCUGCAGAUCGUUUGGCAAAUUUUGGUGCUGAUUCUAGUACAGGUCAUGUGUUUAAUACAUUCUCAGAAUUGCCGCAAUUGGUUAGGGGGGCUAUUAGAUUAGAUCGAUUAGGAUUUCCUACGUUUCGUACACGGUGUCUGGCAUGAAUUGGAAUAAGAAGCAGAAAAGGCCAAUGAAGGUGAAAAUGGCGGUUAGAAGGACAUCAAGGGAGGAAGAUUGACUGCUAAAAUCUUCAAAGAUCAUCCUUCAGAUUCACUGGAAGACAUCCUGAUAUGGAAAAAUGAAGAUUUAAUCUUAAUUUCAGUUUUUAAAUGCUUAAACUUUCACUAGCUUGUAAAUUUAUUGUCAAAUUGUGGUUUGAUGGCAGGGAGUUUCGUCCUUUUUUAAGGGGAAACUCUGCCGAAAUUUUUAUAAAAUAAUAAAAUUUCAAUUAAAAAAAAAAGUAUAUAUUUGUUGGUAGUGAAAGUAGAGAGAAAUUUAUACUUUUAUUCACUAGUUUGUUUGGAGUUCACAAGAUUGCAAAUGAGGUUGGAAUAACAUCUAUUUUUACGGAAAGCAGAAUGAAUAAUACAUUAACUAACUUUAAUACUUAUACAUGGAAUAGUACAUCAAGAUGAUAAAAUUGAGUUGUUUCAUGAGAAGAUAAGUGUAUCACAUUAAUCUAGGGGGAAAAUACAUGUAUUAAUCCUCUAGGGGAAUUGAAUGGACAUCCACAUCUAUUUGUAUUUGUUUCAUAACAAGUUUGGUGUUUUUGCCAUUUUUGUUUUGGGUAAUCAUGAAAAGUUUUAAGUCUCACAAAAAAUGAUAACUCUUUUUGUUUUAAUCCGUCGAGACAUUGGUUUACACUAUUAUCUCGCUGCAACAUAGUUUCAACAUAUUUCUCAAAAUAUUUUCAUCUAACUUUGAAUUCAUGUAUAUUCCUGUUUGGUUAAGUUACACUAAAUUUCUUUAACAAUUAUCAUUCAAUUCAAUAUACUUUAAAAUAAGUUAAAUUAAAAGAACCGUUUUCUCUUAGUCUUAAAAAGAAUUAAGUUAGUAAUAUUCAUAUUUGAGAACAACACGUUACCCACACUAAGUCUAGAAAAGAAUUACUGAUGUAUCAGAAUUAUCGUUUUCGAAAAAAAAGAUGUACCUGUUUAUUCAAAAAAAAAAAAUCAUUGUUUCACUAAUUUAGAUAAAAAAAAUCAACAAAAUUGAGAUGAUGUACAGAUUAUUGAAAAGGGGCCAAUUUUGUCAAGACUUCAUGUUUUCUCACCAAAGCUAUUGAGCACCAAUCUCAAAAAAGUCAUAAAGAGCCAAGCCAAAGCAAAAAAAAAAAUCAAUAAGGAAGGCAACAAACUGGCCUGUACGGUGACCUUAUCCUUUUGGAUUCAUUUCAGCGGAUAAUGAUUCAUUUACACUUGAUAGUGAUGUAAAUCUGCAUCCAUCUUCAAAAGCAAAAAAUACCUCCCUUGUUUCCUGUUAAUGAUCAUGGAAGUCAUCUAUAGCAUCCUAGUUCUCAGUUUCUUGGUAGUCUUAGUUGCUAUAAAACAUCUUCAAGAAAACAAGAGAACACUAAAGCCUCCAAGUCCACCAGCUCUCCCAAUUCUAGGCCAUCUGCACCUCCUGAAAGCUGCCCCUCACCGUGCUCUUCAACUUCUCUCCAUCAAAUACGGCCCCCUGAUUUCCCUUCGAUUUGGGAUUCGUCCUAUACUUGUUGUUUCCUCACCAUCUCUUGCAGAGGAAUGCUUCACUAAGACUAAUGAUGUUAUCUUUGCUAACCGACCAGGGUCCAUUUCUGGCAAAAUCCUUGGCUACAACAACAGUACUAUCGGAUUCUCUCCUUAUGGAGACCACUGGCGAAAUCUCCGCCGUGUUACCACCAUCCAUAUUUUUUCUUCCGCUAGUCUCCACAACUUUUCCUCAAUCUGGACAGAGGAAAUCCGUUUCAGUGUCAGGAAAUUGUUCUCAAUGAACUCUGAUGACAAAGUGUGGAAAGAUGUAAACAUGAACUCUGUGUUCUUGGAUUUGGUAUUCAAUGUGAUCAUGAAAAUGCUUGCAGGAAAAAAAUGGCCAUCUGAUAAAACAGCUGAUUUGUUUUCGCUGAUCUCCUUCAUGGGUAUUUGUGAUUAUGUCCCUGUCUUGAGAUGGAUUGGAUUUCGAGGGUUGGAGAAAAAUUUGAGCAAUUUACAGCAAAAGAGGGACAAAUUAUUCAGGGAUCUCAUUGAUCAAACUAGGAAAAAGGAAGGUGAAGGUGGCUCAUGCUCGACUGAGCAGAGAAGAACUGUUAUCCAAGCAUUGCUGUCCCUUCAAGAUGCUGAACCUGAAUUCUUAACUGAUGAAACUGUCAAAGGGAUCAUACUAGUAAGCCAACUUGCCAUUUCUCUUUUCUCCUUAACAUAAUAUUUUUUGCUUUGGUAAUUAUUGCUCUUUAUAUCCGGUUUCUAUUUUCAUAUUUCAUUUUUUUUUAAUGCAAAUCAACCUUUUCUCCAAUUAGUCAGUGAACUCCUCUUCUAGCUGGUAAUCUCUUAUGUUGGGCUUUACAUUCAUUUUGACAAUACAUGCCUUGUUGUUCUUCUAGAUUAUGUUCACUGCUGGAGUACACACUUCAGCUCUGACCAUGGAGUGGGCUAUGUCCCUUAUGCUAAACCACCCCCAGGUAUUGAAGAAGGCAAGGAGUGAAAUAGACAACAACGUUACACAAUCAGGGCAAUUGAUUGAGGAUUCAGAUCUCUCCAAAUUGCCAUAUUUGCGUUGCAUAAUCAAAGAAACACUUAGACUUUUUCCUGCAGCACCAACUCUUUUGCCUCAUUAUUCAUCUGAGGAUUGCACCAUAGGAGGCUUCAAAGUUCCUAAAGGCACAACUUUGUUAGUAAAUGCUUGGGCUAUUCACAGAGAUCCGAAGGUUUGGGAAGAGCCAGCCAAGUUUAAGCCAGAAAGGUUUGAGGGAAUUAAUGAAGGGGCUUGCGAUGAAGGGUUCAAAUUUAUUCCAUUUGGAAAAGGUAGGAGGGCUUGUCCAGGUGCUGCCUUAGGCAUGAGAUUUAUUAGCCUGACGUUGGGAACAAUGCUACAAUGUUUUGAUUGGGAAAGAGUAGGGCCUCAAUUGGUGGAUUUAGAAGAAAAAUCUGGUAUAACUUUGGACAAGGCCAAGCCUUUGGAAGCAUUGUUCAGGCCACGCUCAUCCAUGAUUGAAUUGGUUUCUCAGCUUUGACUAAAGAACAUGACUGGUGGCUUUUGAAGAUUGUAUCAUAAUACUAUCUGAAAUACUUAAAGCUCAAACUACAAAGGUGCACCUAUUGCAAAGUGUGAAAAAAAGUGAAAAUAAGAGGAAGGAGAAUAUAAGCAUGAAAAUCUUUCAGUCUAUGCAGUUAUUAAAUAUUAAAUAGGCUUUGAACUAAACCGUGUUUGGCUUUUUCUUUUUGCUUUUAAUAUUGGUCUUUUCAAUUCACUGUAAGUGCAUCUACUCGAGGUCUUUGGUUUUCCACAUUUGUAAUUAUAGAAAAUCUUCAACCUU